CCAGAAAUUACAUAUUUUUGUUUUUGUAGGACUACUUUUGUUUGAUCAUUGUAGAUCUCUAUGCUAUUGUGUUAUUUCACCCCAAUUCUAUUCUUUUCAGUAUAUCAGGUAAAAUCUUAAAUAUGAAUAUGGGGAACUUUAUGUCUUGAUAAUAUCUGCUUGUAAAUGUAAUCCUUUUUUUAGUAUGCUUAUUGGAAACUUUUUCAUGGGCACUUUGAAGCAUUGCGGUCUUAGAUGGAUAGUAAUCUUUGGAAAGGAAACAGUCUUUUCACUUUCAACGAUAGUAUAGAUAGUAUUGAACUAUAACCUUGUGUUAUUGACUUAUUGGUAUUGAUAAUUCUGAUAUCAUCUAUCUGCUGCUAUAUGCUUAUUAUGCUUGAACCAUGUAGUUCUUGCACUUUUUUAAGAAGAAAAUCUCGUUCUCUUUGCCUGUUGUGUCCUUGGCUUAUUGUAGCUGAUAUAUGAGUGGGUGGGUGGUUGUAUUGUAUAUUUUUGUUCAUGUAUGUAUGUGCCUAUGUCUUGUUGGCCAUGGCUGCUAUACAUUAUUGCUAAUUUUCAUGCUUUUCCUUCAAUACAACUGGUGAUGAUUUCCUCUUUUAAUUAAUUUAUGCAGCGAGUCAACUACAGCAAGCACCCUGGUUGCUUAAUGAAGGCGUGGCUACCUACUAGCUAGAUGAGCAAUUCUCUCAUACUAGUCAUAUCGGAUCUUUGUACUGAAAUUGAACUCAUUUACCUGAAUUUUAGAGCAGACAGAAAACAAUUUCUUGCAUUUUUUAAAAAUUUAUUUUAGUUUUUAAAGGGAACAGAUUACCUAAUCUAUUGUUUUUAUUGGCAAUGUUUCACACUUUAUCCUAUUGGAGCUGUAAAAUUUUGAUAUGGGUUAUAAGCUACAUGUUUAUGUUCAGUGAAAGGGAUAAUUUCACUCCUUCAACUCAGCAUUAACCACUUUCAAGGUGCCUAUUUGAGCAACAUAAUACCUUUAAUUUAUGUAACAGUAAUAUGUAACAAUAACACGACUCUUACUGGAUUCUGCUAAAAUCAGAAAGUCCCAAUAUGAACAAAUUAUUCUAGUUCUUUCAACUGGUAGAAAACUUUCACUCGGUAUCUUACACAACGGGGAACCUUUUACCUGUCCAGAAGGAGAGAGGGAAAAGAUUCCUCUUGCAAGGAACGGCCGUCUGAGGACUAUAUUCCUUCCAAAUCUUCGGCUCAAUGAUUCUUGCAGCCCGAAGCACAUAAACUUGAAGAUCUAUUUCCUCGAAGGCGUCAAGGGUUUUCCUUUGGUAUUCAAGAAAGUGAGAGAAGUCAGAAAUUGGGAGGGAAAGAAAAAGACAAGGAGGAAGAACCGAAGAAGUAACAGAUAAGAGCAGUAAUUAUAUUAUCAACCUUCUCGUAUCUCGAGAUCAAUACUCCCUUACCGUAUAGCUAUUCAAAAUAUCACGUGGCGAAAACCUUUUUCUCUGCGUUUUUCAAUUUUUUUAACUACAUUUUUUGUUUAAGCUCUCUGCUAUAAUGUAGUGUCACAGCUCACAAUUCAUCUUUCUCAACUGUAACGAACAGUUCAAAGUUAAAUUUCUAUUGAUAAAUAUCACAAGUUUUGUUUUAGCUUCAAUGAGAUUAAUAUUGUUGUAUUGCAAUUUAAGCUACAAAGUUAAGUAGCUACCCUGAAAUUUAUGAAGAGUGUUUAUUGCAACAUAAAAAUGUAAGGAUUUCCAUGAAAAUGGUAGGUCAAUAAUCUGCACUUCUCUGUUGAGUCUGCAAACUGGAACACAUUAUCACAGCAGUGAGAUUCUGGUAAGUCAAUUUUAAAUCUUUUUCCUUUUUCUACCAAGUUGUGUUGGGGCUUAAAGAACCAAAAAAUAAAAUAAAAUAAGAAGGGAAAAAAUAACUUACACGCACAAAAUUCACUUCACAAUUUCAUGAAAAAAUUUUGAUUGCCAAAUGUACAAAUGUACAACUAUGUCAAACAGAACAACUGGGUUCACAGCUAAAACACUAACAACCUCCAGGAGAGUCCAUUUGCAACAAAUAUGCUAGUGGAAAUUUAGCACAGCCAUGUGAACAGUCGUGUGCAAAUCUAAUUUAACCGGUUGCCUUAGGUUCUGACAACAAUUUGGUUGUAGUGUACAAUGAUUGCAUAUAAGAAGAGAGUAAAAAUGGAAGAAAACUCGCCCAGGUAGACUGCAAAAUGCUUUCAGUGUCUAUAAUUUGUUCUUUCUUCAGUAGUUCACAAAGAUUUGAAAUAUCUUUCUGAUCAAUGAGGAAAACUUCUGCAUUACUAAGUAGCUGCUCGUCUACAGUAUGUGAUUCUGAACUUUCUGAUGCAGGAGGCAAUUGAUUUUUUCCAGAUGGACUUUCGGAGUUUUCUCUAUGUUUGGGCUGAUCAUCUGGAUCUUCUUUCUCGUUCUCUUUUUCACUGUGACUCCCACCAGUACCAUCUUUAGGGAUGCCCCGGACUAAAUCUGGUCGAGCUUCAACCCCAACUCGUCGCAAGUGUAGCUAUAUGCAGAUAUACAGUUAGUAAUACAGCAUAUGUUGGCAAGCAGAGUGUAUAUAAGCAAGCAUAGAUAUUCUAUCAACCUGAAGAUGCAAGUUGACUUCAUCUGGGCGAGAAAGAAAUGGGAAAUCUCCUCCUGUUUUCAAGUAAGCCCGCCUUGCUUCAGGAUAUCUUUCACCCAAUUGGUCUUUGAGUUGUUGAGGAAUUGCACAAUAAUCAUUUGUCUUCGAUGAGUAAGCAGUAAAUAUGCGAAGGUUCAAUAGGGUUAUUAGCAAGCAUUUAACUUUAGUAAUCAAAUUAAAAAGGCACAUAGCAAAGCUUUAGUUGUAACUGUCUUUUGUACAGGGAAUAAGUUACGGUCCAGUUUCCUUAAAAUGAAAAACAACUUCCUCAAUCACCUUGUUAUCUAGAUUCUAAUAAUGCAUGAGUAGUGGAAUGAUUUCUCAAAACACAUAUAAAAGCAAGCUUCAGCUUACAUCCAUUAUAGUGAUGCAGGAAUCUGAAAGUAGAAGAGAUCCAACUGAAGCAGCAUCAACAUUCAAGGUCAACCUGGAAGCCAAGUCUUCUCUUGAAAGCGUUUCAACCUGAAUUAAUAAGCACGAGUCACAAAGUUAAAGGACAGCAAAAUACGAAGGCUCCAACGUUUGAUAAUCACCAUGCUAACCACCAGUCCAUCAGUAAUCACCCAGCCUGGCCACUGUCAAAGUCACAGUCGACAGUAAAAGUAAUACAGAACUUUCCUCUAUAUUCUACUGAUUCUGAACUUGAAAUUUCUCCUCUCAAUUAGAUCUACUAAUUCAUUUUCUUUUCUACUGAAAAAUAUGUAUUGAACUUGUUUCAUGAACGGGUGCUUUUCUCAACAUGAUUAAUUAAUGAAAAAGUGAAUAUUGACAUGUGUGGACAAAAAUCACUCAUGAGCAUAUACAAAAUCUUUGGACUUCUCUACUUUUAACUUUACUCUUACGAAGUGUCUUGGACAAAUUACUAGACUGGUUUCUUCAAUGUAUUAUAUUAUUUGGAUGUGUUGAUUACGAGUCCUAACAUGUCUUGCAUUCUUCAUUAGUUCAAAGUGCAAGGAUAAAGAAAACGAAUAAGCAUGCAACACUCUUGUUUGACAAUAUGUGUCUAUGAAGGAGAAUGGCAAAGUGGUGAAUUUUGAUUGUUAUCAUUCUUACUAAUCAUUCACCAAUCACAAAAUCGUAUUAUGUGAUAUAUGUGUCUAUACCACUAAGUAGUCUGAAGAUUGUGUACUUGGCAUCUCUAUGUAUUCCGCAAGUUUGUACUUAUUCCUAUAGAAGUUUGAUCAUCUCCACUUUUCCCCUGUUUGUUUUAAUAACAAGAAAUAAAAUUUGCCAGAGACUAGACAACAGAAAAUAACUUUUUCUGAAAAGAACAUUUUGCAUAGACAAAUUAUUUUCUGUAAAACAAACAAAGCUUGAGCAUAAGUAAGAAUGAAUCCACCUUAUACAGAAGAUAGGGAAACAUUCUCCUUACUAAUAGGUCAUAGAAAUUUUAAUAACACUAAAAAAGCCAAAAACAAAUGCAAAGUCCAGCGAUUCCAAGAAUAGCAACACUAUUCAGCAAGGAACCAACAUUCAAAAUGAAGAACAUGCAUGCUGUUCUACACUUGUUAUAUCCUUAAUAUUUUGAACAAGAGACUUUUGUUUUAAAAUAAGUGAACUGAAACGCUUCAUUGGAACUUUUAUGCUAACCCAAACUUCAAGUUCAAAACUUUAUAAAACUGUAUUCUUGUGGGCUUUCUUAAAUCAUUAACUGCAUCUUCCCACUAAAAGGAUGGUAACAUUUUUAGCAAAUAACAUGAGCAACUCCAAUCUCCAGAACGUGAAUAAUCUAUGACUGCAGUUCCCACCCUCUGAAAUCUGAACAGGUGGUUGUUGAUGAUAUAGCAAAAUGAAAAGAACAUCAUGACCCUCAACAAUUGUAGAUGCAAGCCUUACAAGAUGGAGUUUGAUUGUAGGAUAAAAAGAUCAGAGAACAUUAAAAGCAUCAAAAGGAGACUGCUUAGACAUCAUAGAGAUAAUGUUAAUGAACAACUGACAUGGGCUUUUCAGCAAGGUCUGUAGAAUUAGGUUUAAGACACUACCUGAGAAACAACAAAAUCCACAGAAUCUGCAAUGAAUGGUUCAUGAGGACCAUCACGAAUUCCAGUUAAGACAUAACGCUUAAGCAAAAAUGAAGGGGUCCAGCUAACACUGCAUGAAUAAUAUACAAAUCAAUUUGUUAGAUAAGAUUAUAAAUUUAUGCCCGGGAAAACAUGCCAGAGAAAAAAAAAAAAAAAUCAAUUUUUAGGUAAUGCAAUCUUUAGGUAGAGGAAAUGUUUCAUUCACAUAAUAUCAUUGUCUCUUAAUAUCUCAUAAAAAGCUCCCCUGGUUAUUAGCCAUCCCUAAUUAAUAUGAACUGUAUUCUUCUGGUGUGCAGUGUACCUAUACAAAAUGUCAUGUAUCCUUUCUAUUUUGCAUAAUCAUAGAAUCUUUCAUGCAUAUGAUUUCCAUGUUAUCAAGUGAUCAAAUAUGUAUUGUAAUAUAAUGCCAAUGAUUCUACUAAGGAAGAUGGUUAAUAAAAUAAUAAAGAUUAUAUAAUAAUAUGACAACAUACACUGGAGCCCAUGGCAUUGCAGCUGCAAAAUCCCGUGUGUCCAGAAAUGUAUUUGACAGUAUUAGUGACCUCACUCGUCUUGGACGAUGCUGUGCGAAAAGUUGUGCUAAGAAGCCCCCGAGAGAUGAGCCAUACAGAUGUACCUGUUAAUACACAUUAUUCAAUCAGUUCUCAGUAACAAAAGUUGACAAUAAGAUGAAUGAAAAUAGUAAGCGAUAUAUGCAAAUAUAUAACUAGUUACUUUCAGUUUGAUAUAUAAACUGAACUUAUGCCACUGGUGAGCAAAUUUACAAUCUCUUCCUUUUAUGAUAGGCCCCAAUUAAUCCAAAUGCCAACAAUAAAUUAUUACUCAAUCUAUAAGUCCCUAGUGAUUAAAGGAAAUCAAGAAACAAUAGAGUAUUUUAGCAUUAUAUUGAUUCCAUGAUGCACAAAACUCUCAGCCAUGGGUGUUUCCCUCCGUUUCGGAAAUGUUUCCGCAUAUUCGUCUCUCCUUAUAAUUUUCCCAUCUAAAAGUAUAAUUAAAAUGUUGUUUUUCUGUAUUAUUUCCAUGUUUCCACGUUUUUGCAUAUCCAUUUCUGUGCAACACAAUGAUCACAACAAUGAUAAUCUUAUAAACUUUUGAUCACUAUGAGCAUGCUAUUUCAUGCUUUUACUCAUAGUUGAUUGUCACACAAAUUCUUACCAAUUCUCUACAGCUUGACUGUGUAGAUCUGGUUCAAAGACUAUUUAACAUGAACCAAUAUAGUUAGAAAAUAUAGCAUGUGUUGUUCGGAAACUAUGAGCAAAACAGCAAAGGUUAUCCUUUACAAGAAAAAACAUAAAGGAAAUGGAUCUAUCUUGUAACUCCUUGGCGUUGAACCAAAUACAUAUAAAUAGAACUGAAAAAGGUACCAAAAGUUUCUCUCAUAGGUUAGUAAUAUAGAAUAUACGAGAUGUGUGGUGCUUAGAUAUCAAUGAAUCAACCUUAUAAUAAGUUCUGCUGUUCUGGUCCUUCUGGACUCAGUAACUGCUAACAAAGCAUUUUACAAUCUAAACUAAGUUAAGCGACCACUCUAAAAAGGGUGACUCAGUGCACACUAUUUGUUAGCUCUGUGAAGAAUUAAUAUAUGCAGCCUUCACAUUACUUUUGUAGAAAGUUAUUUCCAUGGCUCAAAGUAACAAGUGGAGUAACUUCAUCAUUACAGACCUUUAAAAUAGCAGAAGCACUUGAAAUCAUUAAAAAGCUGUGUCAAGAAAAGCAAACAUUUGGCACACUAUAAGAACACCAUGUACAAAGUUUCAAUGUGAUAUGACAGCUUCAUGGGCUAGGAAAAGUAUGUGAUACAUGCUAAUGAAGGUCUUACAUGAUGAACAUCGAUGACAUCCAAAAAUUUUUCAAAUGCUUGGAUCCAUUCAUGAUGAUUCCAUACACGCGGAAUAUCAAUAGAAAUCACCCGAUAACCCUGAAUUUGCCAAAAAAAAAAAAAAAAAAAAAUAUAAGAAACAGGAUGAGAGCAACUACAAAGAGAUAAAUUACAAAACGAAAAAAAUAAUGGACAAGUUGCCUGUCCGACCAGGCAUCAUAACACCAAUUUUUGGGUUGGGUUUUCAGUUCAUAACUUUUCAAUAUUUUAUUUUUAAACUUGAAAAUAUUUUAUAUGUUAAUAUAAAAGAAAUUUAAUAUAUUUUGAUAAUAUUUUUAAGAAAUUGGCCAUAGGACUUGUUACCUUCAACUUAACAGACUGGUCCAGUUUUUAAAGGACAGGUCACAGUAAAAGGUCAAGCAGUUUGCUUCCCACGAGAAAAUAAAAUAAACAAAGCAGUCCAAAUGAUUGCCGUCAUGUAUGAUGUGAAUACAGUUGAACCUUAUAAUUAUAUAGUUCCCGAGCAUUUAUCAUAUAUUUAGCAUAUUUCUGUUGAAAUGGAUAAUAUAGAUUGAACUUAGAAUAGAAUGAAGGCAUGAUGCAUAUUUCUAUAUCUAAUAAUACACAUAUCUCCAAGUUCCAACAUGUUCUGAGUCUACAUGACCCAUGAGGUAUUCUCCUUGACCAUUAAGUACCGAAUGGGACAACUUAGCCCCUAGGUUCCAUAACUGAUGAACUAGAAUUGAUUUUGUGAAGAGAAGUUUUUGCUUUUUCCAUUUUAGCGACAGAAAAAGGCAGAUUCAUAUAAAAUUGAAGUGAGAAUGAGAUCAAUAAUGUAACUUGUUCUAAAUAGCUUAGAAGCAGAAAAGGAAAAGAACUAACUCAAUUGCAAAGAUAAGAAAAGCGGGGCUUAUUAUUAUAUAAAAGAUAUAUGAUAAUUCUAUUGAUAUACAUAUCAUGCUGGCGACUACCGAAUGAUAAACUUGCCAUGUACUCGACAAUUAUGGCAAGAAUAAAUCUUUCCAAACAAAAAAGUUGUUUCGAUAAUUUUAGUUGGUUUCCUUAUAUUUCCUUUGAGAAACAGUAAUCCCGCAUCAUGUACCAUGCUUUAGGACAUGACAUCAUCAGUCCCAAGCGAGUACUGGCUUUCUCUAGAACAGCUAUACAAGCAACAUAUAAUCCUAUGUAAUGCGCAUGAAAAACUCAAUUGUCAACAAAUUAUUCCACAAAAGAAAUAAAAAGCAGAAAAAGAAAACCUAAACAUGUCAAUCCACUUUCUAGCUAGCUACAAAAUCUGGUUAAUUACCUUCAUGGACAAUGACAUUAUCUGUUUAUAGUAAACAUCCGCUGUCCCUGCUAUUCCAGGAAGACAAAUAAGAGGUGGAACCACUUUUGGACCAAAAUCGUAAUACCGCCACUGCUUUGUGCCAAUCUUUUGAGGAGAACAAACAGCAAAAUGAAAAGGUAAAAUACAAGUUCAGAUGGUAAAAUACAAGUUCAGAUGGAUCACAUAAGAAUCUUCAAGAAAAAGAAAAUAAAAAUGUGCCUUUACUUGAAUCAAACAACUGACAGAAAACAAAGAGCCUAUCUUUAUAAACAAAAGGCAGUAAGAUAAUAAAAUGGAGAAUGCGAAUCCGUGGAAUUCAAUACUAGCACUCAAUAUAAGCAACACUUAAAUGAGUAAAAUAUAAAAUAAAAAUCAAGCUCAUAAGAAUAUAGAGCUACAACCUCAAUCAAUUACUGGUUGAAGCAUGUCGAGACCAAAUAUUGCAUCUUUUAGAUUGAUAGAGACACCAAAUCCCAUCAAUGGGGUACUUGUAUGUAAGUCUAAGUUUGUCAGUGACAUAUACAAGACUUCAUGAUUAAAACAAAAAGCAUGCCCAGUAGCCAGAGCAAAUUAACAAGUAAAAGCCAUGAUCAAACAAGAAAUAAAAACACAGAUCAAUACAUGUCGAAAUUGACAAAAAAAAAAAAAAAACACAAAUAAAAAAAUGUCAAAAUAGAAAAAAAAAAAAAAAAGAAAACGAAACCCAGUGCAGAAAAUUGGCCAAGGAGAAUGCAACUACCAUUAAAACAAAUUCAAACCCAGUAACAAAAUGAAGGUAACUGAUAAAACCCAUGGCCAAAUUCAUAUUAAAAUGGCAAAAAAUCGAAAUCAAUAGAAAGGAAAAACACUAACAGGGAUCUUGUGAAGAGGAACUUGAGACUUGAAGUAAACAUAAUCACCGGGCGCCGACGAGACGCCUUUCAUUGCUGAUUGCGGCUAUGAAACAUAAAAUCUCAUGAGAGGAAAAGAAAGAAAAGGAAAUUGGAUUUGAUAGAUCAAAUCACUGUUUAUUUCGAGAAUAAAAGCUAUUUCCUCUUUUCCCCUAUCAUCUCUCUCAUUAUUAUUGAUGAUCGUGUUAGUAUUGGCUGUUCGUUUAAAUUUUCAAUUUCUAUUUAUUUGUAAUUAUCGGAGAAAGUGGUUGACCGGAUGAAUAAACACACGUGGCUUGGUCUCAACGGUCAAUUCACGGUAACGUUUUCAACUGCUCGUCAGCGUUAUUCUGUCUUGCUCGCUGGAAUUUUAGGUUCACCAGAAAGUAUUUUCUAUCGUUCCAACGACACGAAAAAGUACAUUCCUCCUUAUCAACUUACUAGCCCGUCGUUUAGGAAUUCUAGUUUAUUGUGGUAGUCGAACGACCAUGCGACUGAUCUCUACAGAUGGGCUAUUGGGCUCCGGCCCAUUAUUCACUGACCUGCAAACGCCAUUUUUUCUUAAGAAAUAAUUGACGAGAAUACGAGCGUCUCAACAGAGACAAGCGUUCUCUUCUUUUGCGGUAGGGAGUCUUGCUUCUGAACAAAUACUCGUCGUCUUAGUUUUUCUCGUUUCUUUACCCAUGUUAUUCUUUUGAUUCAUGCUUUCUUUUGUACAUACCUUUUGACGUUAACUAUGUUGCUCAAACUUCGUGUUUGUUUCCGUUCAAUACAGUCCAGACAGCUAAACCCAUGUCUCAAUUUGUUUAGAUACUGUCAUUUCGAUUCAAAACUGGGUUCUAAUUCUACAAACCCAAUAACAACUGUUACACCAAUAGAACCCCAAAAUAAUGUUGCAAUUUUCUGGGAUUUGGACAACAAGCCACCAAAUUCAUUCCCGCCAUAUGAGGCUGCUUUUAGGCUUAAAAAGGCUGCGUCUUCGUUUGGGGUUGUUAGAUAUAUGGUGGCGUAUGCUAAUCGGCAUGCGUUUAGUUAUGUGCCAAAUGUUGUAAAAAAGCAAAGAAAAGAAAGAAAAUUGUUGAAUCAGCUAGAGAAUAAGGGUUUGAUUAAACCAGUAGAACCAUAUUUGUGUAGAGUUUGUGGUAGAAAGUUUUAUAAUAAUGAGAAGUUAAUUAAUCAUUUUAAGCAAAUUCACGAGCGUGAACAGCAGAAGCGGUUGAAUCAAAUAGAAUCAGCUAGAGGGAAUAGGAGAGUUAAGUUAGUGGCAAAGUAUGCAAUGAAGAUGCAGAAGUAUAAGAAUGCUGUGAGGGAUGUUUUGACUCCGAAAGUAGGAUAUGGUCUGGCAAAUGAGUUGAAAAGGGCAGGGUUUUGGGUUAGGACUGUAUCAGAUAAGCCACAGGCUGCGGAUUUGGCAUUGAGGGACCAUAUGGUGGAUGUGAUGGAUAAGAGGAAGGCUGAUUGUUUAGUACUUGUAUCAGAUGAUUCGGAUUUUGCUGGCGUUUUAAAGCAGGCUAAGUUGAGAUGUCUGAAGACUGUUGUGGUUGGGGAUAUUAAUGAUGGGGCAUUGAAGAGGGUUGCUGAUGCUGGUUUUUCUUGGCAGGAGAUUUUGAUGGGGAAGGCUAAGAAGGAGGCAGUAUCAGUUGUGGGGCGGUGGAAGGACCGUGACAUGUUGGAGAGACUAGAGUGGACACACGAUCCAAAGGAGGAGAAAAAUUUUUCUAGUGUGGUUAAUGCUUUUGAUUAUUGUGGAAGUGAUGAUACUUGUGAUGAUGAUGAUACUUGUGAUGAUGAUGAUGAUGAUGGCGAUGCUGAUGAUGGUGAUUGUGAUAGAGAGUGUGGAGGUUUUGGUGGUAUCUUUGAUGAAGAUGAUGUUGACUGUAAGCAAAAGGAAGCUGCGAGUGCUUGGUGGGAGUUGAAUUCUGAUCCAGAGGCUAAUGCUUAAAAACAUGCUUUGGUCACAAGAUCAGUUUUUAUUACUUGGGUGAAGUUCACCAUUACAUUUUAUGAGGUUUGACAAGCAGACCACCUGGAACCAUGGCCUAUGAUUCCUGUAAGUGGCCAGAAUUAUGCUGGACUAUAAAUAUUUUUUUAUCUGUUUCUAUUAGAGUAAAAGUGUGUGCCAUAUAGAUUUUUUUUAGCCAUUUGCCAUGGUAUCUCAUCUAAAUAUUUGAUGAGCUUUCUCUUGGUUUUUGUAUUGUUGAACUCCAUCACAGUUCAUUUUUUUGUGGAUGUUGAAACACUGGCUUGUAUAUGCCCACUGUUUGGUCUCUUCAUAUUGCUACAUUCAGGACACUGGUCAAUAAGCUACAAAUAUAAGACCUUGCAUCAAAUCUUCAUAAAUAGCUAUAAAAAUCUUGAUACUUUUGGCAUAGAGUGUGAUCCUAGACAGUAAAAUAGGUGAAGCAGGAUUUAUGUACAAUGAAGGGCUCUGUUGAGUUCAGUAGUUCUAUUGUUAUUAUUUUAGCCUCAAUAGAAUUGCGCACCUUUUGUGAUGGAAAUUCAAGCAGAUACGCGCUUGUUUAUGGUGUUGAUCUUUUCACACUGACAGCAAUUAUUAGUGGAUUGAAAUUCAUAAUAUGUUGCAGAUUGUUCAUUUCUACUUUCUGUUGGAGAUAGUCUUUACUCGAUAUUUAAUUUAUAUCCAUCGUAAGUUGAUGGUGAACAGUUGCAAUCCAAAUGCCAAAGGAAUAAAUGAUCACCAAUAAUUUUGACAGGAACAUUCUAUUUAAAUUUCAGCUCCAAAAUGCGAUUAUUGCUAUGGAGAUAACAUGUGAUAAUUUGAAUGUAGCUGGAAAGUUUUGGGCAGAUGUACAGGAAAUUAUAAGGUAUUAAAUUCUUUUUUCUAGAUUUGGCUGUGAUUAGCAAGCGCAUGGACUUCAUAUGGUCGAUGAUGUGUUUUUCUCGGAUGCAGAUGGUUCAUUGCUGGAUCAAGGGGUAUUAUGUACCUUAGUUGAGAAAUGAUCUUCAUUGUCUCUAACAAUGAAAUUUUCGAACUGGAGCCUAAAAUCCAUUUUUCUGCUGAUGGCAAGCACUGAAAUAUGAAAUCAAGAAUGAGACCUUCGUGCGAAAUUGAAUAAUUGAAUUUGAUAUUGAAUCGAUCAACUACUUCAAAAAGGAAGUAGCUUCCUUUAUGAAUGUUGAAUUUAUCCGAAUAAUUCUCUAUUCUAACAAGAAUUUAUACAUGUUACUUUUCAAAUAUAUAUAUGCUUCUUGGUCCAAUCCAUUUCCCAUGAUUGUGAUUACAUGAAAAUGAAUUGUUUCUAUCCUAUCUAGGAAUGAAAGGGAGAAAAACAUCAAAGCUUUUUCAGGCUGUACAAUUCAAAGUUGUCCAUCCAAAAGAGAAAUUUUUUAUCAAACAUUAGACUGUUAAGUUUGGCUGCUACCUGCUAGAAAUUGAUCUGGUAGCAAAUGCCAAACCAAUAAUAUGAUAUGAACUUUGUUAAUUAUUGCUACGAAGAUGCUAUGUGAGAAUAUGAAAUUACAAGGUGUUAUAUUUUCCACAAUUGACUUUGAUUAGCAAGGGCAUUCAAAUGGUUUAUUGCAGCCUAGAAAUGCUCUUCCUCAUGUUGUGAGAAUUUUCAAACUAGAGCCCAUCAGCAAACACUAAUGGCUGAACUUUUGGCGUACAAUCAAGAAUGAAGCUUUUCUGGGAAUUUGCAUAUUGAUCAACUACUUCAAGAGAUUAAUUUUUUACAAUAUUUGAUUGUUAGAUUUUAAAUGCUAGAAAUUGAUCUGUUACCAAAUUUCAAUUUAAUUACUGAAUUUUAAAAUAGGAGGCAAUCCUUAAGUUUGGAGAAGGAACAGUUGUGAGAAAGCUCUAAAAUGCGACGCUUCAAAACAAAAUCCUUUUAAGUUCUUCCAGCAAGAAUAAACAGUCAAUCCAUGCUCAAAUCAGAAGCAAUUCAAUGACAGUCAAAUAGAUCAACAAGGAGAUGCAGACGAUGCAAAUGACUAUGGAAAUGCAAACUUUGAGAUAAACUCGUGUCAUUAUAAAGACAUAAAUACUUAACAAAAAGCUUGUGUAACUAACAAUAUAUUCAAACUAAAUUGAGACUACUUGCUUAGUGAUUCCUAAUUCCAGGAUUGCAAAAACACCAAAACCUCAAAAUAGUGAGCUGCUGUCACCUAUCUCUUUUCUGAAAGAUGUUCUUUUGGGAAAAUCAUAUUGCUUCUGUUAUUAUUGGCUUAGUCUGAUCAACAAAUACAGGAACGGAGUUAUUAAAUCUAGCUGAUGUGCAAAAAAUAGAGAAGAAAAGAUACAAUAUCUAACUGAAAACCAAGUGAAAUCAUCAGUCAGUGCAUAAAUUUCUACGUAGUGAUGCAAUCAAGAAAUGACAAGAAAAAGAAGUGAAAUUUAUAGUAUUGGUAUUUGCAAUCUUUACUUCCCUAUUAUAUUGUUCAGUAGGUUCGCCAUGUUUUCUUCUCAAGUUUCUGUGUCCUACAUCAACAUUACAAAAAUAUGAAUGACAAAUAAAAGGGUAAAACAAACUACAGGGAGUAUUUACAUGCCAUGCACACAUUUACUCAAUGAACAAAAGACCAAAAUAAGUCAUGCCAAUGCAGAUUUUACCAUUACAAGCAUUUUUUCAAUAUCUAGCCACCUACAUUAGGUAUAUUCUGAUGCAAAUAUAUACUUACACUUGUGCAUAAUAUAAAGAAAAGAAGCGCAGAAGCACCGUUAAUUUCCAAUCUCUUCCCAAUCAAGUAGUAUUAAUAAAAGCAAGGGGAUAUAAGCUUAAUCCAAGAUUAAAAGUAAUUUAUUGAAAUUGCUUCAAAAAUCAUCAAAAAAAUUACAUUAUCUACACUCUAAACUAUAAAUGAAGCAAUAUGUGGGGAGAAAUUAAGAAUAAAUAACCAUUACUGUUCGAUACAAAUCAGAUAUGCCCUGCAAAGCAUAUUCUCAUCAAAUCAAACACAUUGCAAGACAAAUAUUCCUCCUUGUGUCAAUAAUCAAAUGAACCAAAGAUAUCAAAGUAUGUGCCAACAAAGAUAAAUCAAAUUUAAAGCAUAUUUAUAAUUCACCAUGAAGAAGUCUUCUUCUUUGACCCUGAAUAAUAACUGAGGUACCAUCUCACAAACUUCUUAAGCCCCGUCUCCAAAUCAGUAGUAGGCUUAUAUCCUAGAUCCUUCUGUGCCAAACUAAUAUUAGCAUGUGUAAACUCCACAUCCCCAUUUCUAGGCAAAGGCAACACUUUUUUCUUAGCUUUAACUUGCAAAAGGCUCUCUAAAAUCCCAACAAGCCUACUCACAGGAACAGGGGAAGUAUUCCCCAAAUUGAAAACCCUGAAUUGAGCUGGCCCUCUCUUCUUCCCUCCGCUUCCUGUACUCUUCUUUGCAGUAUCCAGAGCUGCCAAACAACCAUUAACAAUAUCAUCAAUGUAAGUAAAAUCUCUAGCCACACUUCUUCCAUCAGCAGUUUCAAAGACACCAAUCUCCUUCCCCUUUAGAAUAUCCUUGGUAAAAAAGAAAUAAGCCAUAUCAGGUCUGCCCCAUGGACCAUAAACAGUAAAGAACCUUAACCCAGUAAUUGAAAGACCAUAAAUAUGAUUAUAAGUAUGAGCAAUUUCCUCUCCUGCUUUCUUAGUUGCUGCAUAUAAACUCGCAGGCUGAUCAGUCCUAUCUUUCUCUGAAAAGGGUACUUUCGAAUUAAGCCCAUAAACUGAACUAGAAGACGCCCAAACAACUACAGGUUGUGGGUUAGCUGAUUUACAUACUUCAAGCAAAUUGACAAACCCACCAAUAUUACUAUGAACAUAAGAUUUUGGAUUCUGCAUUGCAUAACGCACCCCAGCUUGAGCAGCUAAAUGCAUAACAUGGGUAAAAAACACAACAUCAAAAAGCUUUUUCAAUAAAGUCAUGUCAUUUAUAUCUCCUUCAACAAUAAAAACCCCAGAUCGCUCCAGUACCUUUUGCCUGGCUCUUUUGAGAUUAAUAUCAUAGUAAUGAUUGAAAUUGUCAAGCCCAAGUACUCCAUCACCGCGUCGUUUCAGGGAAACGGAGACAUGGGUUCCGACAAACCCAGCAGCACCGGUGACUAGAACGGUCAGGCCACCACGCGACUUGGGACGCGCCGAUUUGACUACUUUUUUUUCCCAUAGAGGACCGCCCGGUGGAUAGGUGUUGGGUUGGUGGCGAGAGGAAGGAGAAGGAGAGGAAAGGAGAAAGAAGAAGAGAAAAAGAAUUAGAAAGAGAAAGGAAUAGAAAGUGAGUUUAGAGAGAGAAGAGUGUAACCGGAGAGAGCGAUGGUGCGGAUGAAGGUACGCUGACGAUUUGUCCGGUUUGAAUUUGCCUGGUGUAGAAGGUGGAGUAGUAUCAAGGAGUGAGGCCAUAUUGGAUAAAAAAAUAUUAGCAACCAAAACUUUUUGAUUCUGGGUUUAAUUGAUACGCGGUAAUGGUGGUGGUGGAGACGGCGUUUGUGACAGCGGAAAAAGGGGAUGGAGGUGUUUUACAUGGAUUGCAUUGGGUUCUCUCUUUUCUGUCAAAGCGGUGGCUUUUACGAGUCAAGUGUGGUGGGAAAGAGAAAGUUGGAACAUUUGCAAAUUUAUGGAGAGAGCGAGGGAGGUGAAAUUUGACCAAAUUUUGAUGAUUUGUUGACAGAUUUUGUGAGGGUUAGAUUAAUGUUGAUCCUUCUGUUAUUAAUAUCUCAUAAUUUUCUUAUUAAUAUCUUUCAAUUAAAAUUAAAAUGAAAAAAAAGGGAAAAUAUAUGAGAUUAAAAAGAUGUUCUUUUUUUUGGAAAAAACAAUUAAAAAUACCAAUUUCUUUUUAAGGGAAAAUUAAAAUACCAACUUAGGAAGCAGAAUUUGGCCCAUUGUUUAAUUAUUAGAUUUAACAUGAACAUUCAAUAAAAAGGAAAAAAACAAAAAAAAAAAGAAAAAAAAAAGAGAAGAAUACGAAAUUGAAUGCUUGAUGUGGAUAAAAACAAGAUAAAUAAAAAUCCAGGGCAAUUGAUUUUUUUUUUUUUUAAUCCACAAGUAUAGCUUCAACAGAGAAAAGAAAAUAUCAAAAGGAAAUUACUUAUAGUAUAGUAGCGACUAUCUCGCGUAAUUUUUCUGAGUACAAGCUCAGAUUUGUGACUGGCUAUUUUUAUAUAAUUAAAUUCUCCAAAGUGCAUUUUUUGUUUGUUUGUACUAAAUGUAAUUUAAUUUUUUUAUUAAUUUAUAUAUAUAAUUUCUUUAUUACUUUUUUUAUUAUAAAUAAUAAUAUUAUAAACAGUUAUAUUACUUAAAAAUCUAAAAACAUUCACAAAAUAAAAUAGAGAAAAGAAAAUUCUAUGAAAUAAUAAAAUAAAAAUUUAAUAAUUAAAUAGCUUGCGAAGGAAAGAAGGUACUUAUAAUAAUAAUAAUAUAAUAUUAUAUGACACUCAAAUUUUCGUGAAAAUAAAAUUACAUAUCAAUCGAUUUAAUUUUUUUUAUAAUUAUUUUUAUUUAAUUUAAUUUUUGAUUCGUAUAUAUAAUAAAUUAUCUGUUUACCAAAAUAUGAGAAAUCAGUGUUAGCUAUUAAAUAAUUAAUAAAAGUAAUUUUUUUAGCAUUAUUUAUAAUUUUGGUGUUUUUCUUUUUUCUUUUUUUUACUGUUAAAGUAUAUUAGUAUAUAAUUAAUUUAUGGUUACUUUGUUUGAGAAAAAAAAAAAUCUUUCUAUGAAUUAUAUGGUGCCAAUAUAGAAAAAAAAAAUCCUUCUAUGAAUUAUAUGGUGCCAAUAUAAAUACAUGAUUAUAUAUAUAUAUAUUUUUAGUGAGUUUUAUUUUUUAUUUAUAUUAAAAAAUAAAUCUAAUAAUAUAUUUCUUAAUAAAUAAUAAUCAAGUGCAUUUAUUUUUUGUGGAGUAAUUUACUUGUAGGAAAUAAUUAUAACUAAUAUAUAUUCAUUAAAAACAAUAAUGGAACAUAUUAUAGUUUUGUCAUAUUUAAUAUGUACCUUAUAUUGUAUAAUAUAACCAAUCAAAAUAAAAUUAAUUUUAUUUUUUCAACCAAAUAAAAUUAAAAUCCUUAAAAGAUAUUAUAUCCUUACCACAUUUAAUAUAUAUAAUAUAAUUUCUUACCUUAUCCAAUAAAAUUUAGAUUUAAAUAGAAAACUUAUAUUACCAAUCAAAAUUAAAUUACAUUUAUUUUUUUAACCAAUAAAAUUAAAAUAAAUCGAGAUAAUAAUUUAUCUCUACACAGUAAGUCGAGAUAAUAAUUUCUGUCAAAUUUCAUAGAUUUGAUAGUAAUUUAUCUUUUAUUUUAUUUUUUUUUCCAACUUAUCUUGAAUGUUUAUGGGCCAUAUCAUACGAAACCAUUUCCUAAAAUAUUAGAUUGACAAUAUAAUGAGAUUGCAAAAAGUUGUAGUUUCAAAUAUUCAAAAUAAGUAGGCAUAAGAUUUUUCUUGUUUUGACAUUAGCAAUUUUGUUUAAUUGGCAGUCUUUACUUUGUCUUUUUAGAACAUUGAACCAUAUUGAAUGAGCACAUUCAUGCAUGGCUGAGAAGAUAUCUUUGAACAUUGCAGAUUGAUAAGGAAAGGAUUAUGAAUACCAUUCGCGGCUUCAUCUUAAAGAACAUUCCAGUAUAUAAUGGAGUAGCAAAUGAAAUGAUUAUUAUUAUUACUAUUACUGCUGGUCCUUUUACUAAUGUAAAAUGUCCAAAUUUAGAAUCUUGGUAGCUAUCAUUUUUUCCAAAAAAAAUAAAUGUAAUGGAUUUUAAAAAAUAGUAAUUAGAAAGGUCAUUAAUGGAGGUGGGUGAGAGAGCUAUGGAUGCAUAAUGCAUUUUGGUUGAAAUAGUAACAAGAAGGUGAGCAGUGAAAAGGAGAAACUUGCAAAGAAGGCAACUAUAUUUUCCUCAAAGAUACUUAUAUGGUAUCUUGUUUUCUAAUUUAAGUUAGGUUUUGUUUCUCAUGUUUUUUUUUUCUUUUUUUUUUUUUUAUAAAAAAAUUGGUGAAAUCCCAGACAUUCACCAAAUUCACUUGUGUAAUUUCAUCAUGAAAAUUAACCUUCAAGAAACAUGUUAUACAUGUCUUUGGCACAAUUCUUUUCCCUAGUUUAAUUCGAUAUGUUAUUCAACUUCAUUUCUUCAAUAUAUAUGGUAAUCAAUACUAAAAAAAAUAAUAUAUAUAUAUAUAUAUAGAGAGAGAGAGAACUUCACAGUUUGAAAAGUUUCUAUCGUGGAUGACUAUACUGGUGGACUACAUUUUCGAUUGAACUUUACUUAUAAAGUCAGGAGUUAAAAAAUUAAAGUCGCGAUUGCUAGGAGAGAUUUAUCUUUAAUAUAAACAAGUUGUGAUUGCUCUUACUUAUAUAUAUAUACUGAUCGAGUGAUUUUCUAUCGAUAAAGAUUAUGAGUUAGAACAGAACAAGUGAUCGCGAGAGUAACUUUCAUAUUAACUUAGGUCAGAUAUUAAGAAUUCAAAUAAAAUGAACAAAAGAGUGAACUAAAAGUGAUACCAAAACAAAAUGAAUUAAAGAACACAUGAGCCAAAUUGAAGAUAGUGGAGAAAAAUGGCUUAAUUAGAGAGUAGUUGAGGAAAAGUUCGAUUUAGACUGUAUUGGUUUCGAUUUUAUGGUUAUAACUUAACCACUCCUAUUGUCUUCAUGCAUCGACGGUUACAAUGUGACGGUUUUUUUCACAUGGCCACCGGCCGGACGUAUUCCCUUUCUCGAAGCUGGUGCAAAAAUUUGUACAGACAACCAAAUUUCCAUAUUUGGGAGACAAGGUGAAAGGAAAGUAAAUAAUAAGAGGUAUAAUAAUUCAAAUAAUUAGAUUAAAUUAUUUAAUUAGUUAAAACUCGCGGUUGGAUAAAUCACUAAUCCUGAAUGAGUGUAGAGACAGUGUGCAAAUAAAAAAAUUGCGUUUAAAACUCUAAAACGACAAAGAAAUUAAUACAUCAAAUAUCCCAAUAUUUGCUAUUCACGUCACUUCUUGUUUGGCUAUAUUUGCACAUCAACAUUUUUGGCCUGCAAUUUCUUCAAGUUAUAAAAGAUCUAUCUCUUCGUAAUCAAAGAUGGAACCAGAAAAUAGUGUUUCCAGAGGGACUCAAGUUAAGCUAUAUUCAAUAAUUAAAGCCUAACAGCUUUAUUCCGUACUUAAAAGCCUAACCACUAUAUUCUUAGCUAUAAAACUCCCUCUUAUCCUCUUUGGAAGGACAGUUGACAUAUUCUACGGAAUACUAUUUUUCUUAUUAGUCUCAGUUUAAUUUUUGUAACUAACAAUCAUGUAUAUUCCUUAAAAGCCUUUUCGAAUCUUGAUACACCCUCAUCACAGGAAGAAACUCACCAUGGAAAUUGCUUCAAGUCUUCAUUUCACCUUCUUCAUGUUCAUGUUUCUGCUCCUUUUCGCAUUUUUUUUAAACAAACCAGAAUCCUCCUAUAGCUUCACCUCCAAGAACCGAAUUUACUCCAAGUUCGGUUCAGUUUUAGAAACCCAAAUACCAAGAAACCCCAAAAUCAAUGAUUACUCUGGUCCAACACCUAAACACCCGUUAGAUCCACUUACAAUACAAGAAAUCAAUAAGGUUAGAGCCAUUCUUUUAUCUUUCUAUAAGCCCUUUUUGUCUUCUAACAAGUUUCCUACUAUUCAUUCUUUAUCACUUGAUGAGCCUGAAAAGUCUUUAGUAUCGGAGUGGAAACAAGGUGACCCUUUCCCUCCUAGAAAAGGACUGGUAAUUGCAGUCUUGAAUGGUCAAACUCAUCUUCUCAAUGUUGACUUGGCUUUGGGCCAGGUCACAGCCCAUGAAAUCAACUCAGCUUCAGGUUAUCCUAUGCUGUCCAUGGAAGAUAUUUCAGCUGCAGUUCAAGUAGCACUGUCUUACAAGGAGCUGAACCAGUCUGCUAUAGCAAGAGGAGUUCACUUAUCAGAUUUGUCUUGCAUAACCCCCUCACCUGGUUGGUUUGGGUCUCAUGAAGAAGGAAGAAGGGUUAUUAAGGUCCAAUGCUUCUCUAGCCAGGGUACACCAAAUUUUUUCAUGAGACCACUUGAAGGGUUAACCAUGACAGUAGACCUUGACAAGAAAGAAGUGGUAAAAUUUUCUGAUACAGGGAGGGGAAUUCCAAUUCCAAAAGAAACAAAUACUGAUUACAGAUAUAUAGAACAAGAAAAGCGAAUUGAAAUGGACCCUAUAAACCCGAUAUCAAUGGAGCAGCCAAAAGGUCCUAGCUUUACAGUAGAAAAUGGACAUUUGGUUAAAUGGGCAAAUUGGGUUUUCCAUUUGAAGGCUGAUCAAAGAGAAGGCAUGGUUAUUUCUAGAGCUAUGGUUAAAGAUUCAGAGACUGGAGUGCUAAGAAGUGUAAUGUAUAAAGGGUUUUGUUCAGAAAUGUUUGUCCCUUACAUGGACCCAGAUGAGAAUUGGUAUUUUAAGUCAUAUAUGGAUGCUGGUGAGUUUGGUUUAGGGGCAACUGCUAUGCCACUUGUGCCAUUAAAUGAUUGCCCUAGGUUUUCACAUUAUAUGGAUGCUGUUUUUGUUUCUUCUGAAGGAACACCCUAUGUUCAGCCCGAUAUGAUUUGUCUGUUCGAAAGAUAUGCUGGGGAUAUUGGUUGGCGUCACUCCGAGAUUCCUGUUAAUGGUUUUAAGGUACCUAAAAUCAAUUACUGCAUAUUUUUGUUUGUGAAAUUAGAGUAUAUAUAUAUAUAUAUAUAUAUAUAUAUUUAUUUAUUUAAGGUAGAUAUUGAACACUUGAUUUUGGCUUCAAAAUGUGGAGCAGAUCAGAGAAUCAAGACCUAAAGUGACAUUAGUGGCUCGAAUGGCAGCAUCAAUUGGAAACUAUGACUACAUAUUUGAUUGGGAAUUUCAAACUGAUGGUUUAAUUCGGAUUAAGGUAAACUCUGUUCCUGUCAUUUAUUUAAUUUCACUUCAUUUUCUUUAAUUAUUAAGCAUUUUAUACAUAUCUAAGCAGGUCUCUCUUUCUGGGAUGCUAAUGGUAAAAGGGACUCCUCAUCAAAAUGUGCAUCAAAUACCAAAUGAAGAAGAAAUGUCAAGCCCUUUAGUCUCUGAAAAUGUUAUUGGUGUUGUUCAUGAUCAUUUCAUCACAUUCCAUCUCGACAUGGAUAUUGAUGACACUAAUAACACAUUUGUUAAGGUUCGUUUAGUCAAGGAACAGAAAUUUCCUGGUGAAACACCUAGAAAAAGCUACUUAAAAGCCAAGAGAGAGACAGUUAAAACAGAGGAAGAUGCAAAAAUUAAGCUUAAGCUUUAUGACCCUUCAGAAUUUCAUGUAAUUAACCCUUCAAGAAGGUCUAGAUUGGGGAAUCCAGCUGGGUACAGAAUUGUUCCUGGUGGUACUGCAGCUAGCUUGCUCGAUCACCUUGAUCCUCCUCAACUACGAGGUGCUUACACUAACAAUCAGGUACUUUCAAUCACUUGCACUUGUUCCAUGGAUUAACAGUAAUAAAGAUUUUGAAUUUCCAUUUGCAAAAUUUAAUGUUAAUUAGAUAUGGGUGACCCCCUAUAACCGGAGUGAACAAUGGGCUGGUGGACUUCUGGUGUAUCAAAGCCGAGGGGAUGACACACUUGCUGUGUGGUCUGAAAGAUAUAAGACAUUAAUUUGUAUUAUCAAAUUCUGUUUUGUUUUUUGAGCAUAAUUAAUCAAAUGUUGUAAUUUUUAACGUUAAACAGGAACAGAGAUAUCGAGGAUAAGGACAUUGUGUUAUGGUAUACACUUGGAUUCCAUCACAUUCCAUGCCAAGAGGAUUUCCCUGUAAUGCCAACAGUGUCAUCUAGCUUUGAUCUAAAGCCUGUCAAUUUCUUUGAGAACAGUCCAAUUCUUAGGGCUCCGCCCAUUUUUGAAAAGGAUCUGCCCGUCUGCCGGCCUGCUGUCUGAUCUGGGACGGUCUGGGCCAGUGUUCACGGGCUUGAGAAUCAUGGCCCAAUGAUUUCUGACAGCACAAUGCGAAUUUUAAUGAGUUUAAGUAAUUGAUUGAAAAAAAAAAAGCAAAAAAAAAAAAAAAAAAAAAAAUUUAGACACUCCAAAUGUAAGUAUCCGUUGUUGUUAAUAAGGUCCAGAGGUUAUUUUAAUUUUUAAAAAAUUCUAAAUGAGUAUUCUGCUGCUACUAGUGCGCCAUGAUUCUUUUGUGAAUAUCUUAUUUUGGGAGUGGUGGGCCGGCGAGUCUUUGUCCGUUACGCGAAUCUCAAUAUUCCAGAUCCAGAUACCAACUAAUGCUCGAAGAUUCUAAUAUUUGGCUCCACCAGAUAUUAUUGUAUUGUAUUAUGCAUAGAUUUCUCUUUGUAGUUAGUAAUAGCCAGAAAUAAUAUAGGAAAAAUACUAUGCAAGACGUUGAUUGCGGACAAUUAUUUUGUGUUUUCCAAUAAAAACAAAUAAAUUAUUUAUCAUUAAAUCUUGAAAUCACACAAAAUAAAUCUGAUAAUGCAAGUAGUAGUAAUUAAGUAUUCAUGUUAUUUUUAUUAAUUAUUAAUUAUGAAUUGUUGAUCUAAAAAGAGUUUAUAUUACGUACACUUGGAAUUAUUAAAUUUAUAUUUUCAUAUUAAUGUGAGUUUUUAAUAAAAAAUUUGUGCUAGCAGAUUUAUAAUUUUAAGAUGGUCCAUAUAUAAUUAUCCUAAACUUAAUGAUGGAUGCGCAGGGUUGGAAAAAUAUAUAGUAUUAUUCAUGCCAUUGAUUUAGCAAAUUAAUGAAAUAAAGAUACUAGCUUAGUAUUUAUACAUGUCUAUUUAUGGAUGGAAGCUUAAAAAAAUUUGAGAAAUUGUGUCCAAUUAGACUUUUGAGAAUCAAGAUUCAUUUUCCAAAAUCCCUUUUAUCUUCUUUUAGAACCUAACACAAAACAUUUUUUCUUUUAACACUCAACAUAAAAUAUCAGACACUGAUUCCUAGUAGUGCCAGGUGUUUUUUAGGCCACGAAAGCAUAUAGUAUGCUUUUGCGAGUGUACACCUCAAUGUCAUCACUUGUCAUAUUGGCACUUUCCUUCUAAAUUAGUCCCUCCAUUAGCUCUCUGUCACUCUUAUCCAUUUCUUUCCAUUCAGUUCCAUCCCUUAAUAUUACAACCCAUAACAAACAGCUGAGAUAGCAGUAAUUAAGAGUGAAGUUCAUGGAAUCAAGAAACUUCCUCCGUUUCCUCCUAAUCUUUGCAAGUGGAGCUCUUCUUUUACUCUUCACUUGGACUCAUCUCCCCUACGCUACACCCCCUACCACGGCUGACUUCCUCGACUGUGCCACCGCCACCACCUCCCUUUGGUGCACCAGCUCCAAAAACCGUUUCCAAUCCAAAAAUAUCCUCAAGAAACCGCCAAGACCCACUCGCCAACACAACCAUGACUCCGACGUCCCCCACCAUCCGCUUGAUCCUUUAACCAUUAAAGAACUUAACAAAGUCCGUACAAUCCUAUCAUCGCAUCAGCUGUUCAAGUCGUCAUCUUCCUUUGCUCUUCACUCUGUAGUCUUGGAAGAGCCAGAUAAGUCGCUUGUUCUUAGAUGGCGAAAGGGAGAUCCCAUGUUGCCAAGAAAGGCUGCCGUGGUCGCACGUGUCAACGGCCAAUCACACGUGCUAACGGUGGACUUAACUACGAGCGAGGUUGACAUACAAGAAACGAAUCCACUAUCCGGUUAUCCGACGAUGACGAUAGAGGAUAUGACUACAGCGACAUGGGCUCCACUAUCAAACGCUGAUUUCAACCGUACGAUCAUCCAGCGUGGAGUUGCUCUUAAGGAUCUGGCUUGCCUGCCCAUAUCUCUAGGCUGGUAUGGUAAAAAUGAAGAGAACAGGAGAUUAAUUAAGGUACAGUGCUAUUCCAUGAAGGGCACUGCAAACUUUUACAUGAGGCCAAUAGAAGGGUUGACUGUUCUGCUUGACAUGGACACUAAAGAGGUAGUGGAGAUAUCAGACAAAGGAAGGAACAUACCCAUACCGAAGGCCGCCAAUACAGAUUAUCUUUACUCCACCGUUAAAGUCAACCAACAGAUGAAGCUGGUCAAUCCGAUUUCCAUAGAGCAACCAAAGGGGCCGAGUUUUACUGUAGAAGAUAAUCACUUGGUUAAAUGGGCAAACUGGGAAUUUCACCUUAAACCCGACCCGAGAGCUGGGGUUAUUAUUUCUGGCGCUAAGGUCCAGGACCCGGAUACUGGAGAGACGAGGAACGUGAUGUACAAAGGGUUUACAUCAGAGUUAUUCGUGCCAUAUAUGGACCCUACUGACGCGUGGUAUUUUAAGACUUACAUGGAUGCGGGUGAAUACGGGUUCGGAUUGCAGGCCAUGCCCCUUGACCCGCUUAAUGAUUGUCCCCGGAAUGCCUACUACAUGGACGGAGUGUUUCCCGCCGGUGAUGGAACGCCAUAUAUCCGAUCAAACAUGAUUUGCGUGUUUGAGAGUUAUACUGGUGACAUCGGGUGGCGGCACUCCGAAAGCCCGAUUACCGGUAUGGAGGUAAGACUACUUCGAAAGACACUGUACAGUUAAUGCAAUCUAACUAUUAAACAAAAAAAUUGCAGGUUUAAUAUGCAAAUUUUUUAUACUGAUUAUUUUUUAUUCCAAAAAAAAAAAAAAGAAACAGUAUGGAAAAAACUUGCAGCUCUUAUUUGCUGAUAACAUUAGCACUAAAAUUGUUGUUGUCGUUUCUUUUGUUUUUGUUUGACAGAUUAGAGAAGUCAGGCCAAAAGUGACGCUUGUGGUGAGAAUGGCAGCAUCAGUUGCUAACUAUGAUUAUAUAGUUGAUUGGGAGUUCCAGAUAGAUGGGCUAAUCAGAAUUAAGGUUAGUGAUUAUAUAUAUAUAUAUCUGCUGUUACAAUUAUAUUAUAAGCCCAGUUAGAGAAGAACUAUAAAGCUUACAUCUUUAUGUUCUUUUACCUUUUUCAAAAGCAUCUUUCUGUUCUUUGAAAAUAUCAGAAAAGAUGCAAUCUUUAUCAAUCAGCAUCAGCUCCACUUGCUGGGGUGGAAAAAAUUUCAAUACGGACUUCUUGCCUCUAGUCACUAUAAUUAUUUUCUUGGAAAUGUUUGAAUUGGACUUUUCUUUGGCUAAUCUGUGAAGCAAAAUGGUCAUUUGUCACAGGUUGGACUUAGUGGAAUUCUGAUGGUGAAAGGCACCUCAUAUGAAAACAUGAAUCAAGUAGCUGGCAAAGAAAAUCUCUAUGGUACCCUUUUAUCAGAAAAUGUGAUCGGUGUCAUCCAUGACCAUUAUAUCACAUUUUAUCUUGAUAUGGACGUUGAUGGCUCUGAUAAUUCCUUUGUUAAGCUAAACGUCCAAAAGAAACGUACCUCACCUGGAGAAUCACCUAGAAGAAGCUACUUGACAGCUAAAAGAAAUGUUGCGAAGACUGAAAAAGACGCACAAAUCCAACUCAAACUUUAUGAUCCGUCGGAGUUUCAUGUGAUUAAUCCGAAUAAAAAGACUCGUGUGGGAAACCCGGUUGGUUAUAAAGUGGUGCCUGGUGGCACCGCUGCUAGCUUGCUUGACCUUGAUGAUCCUCCACAGAAACGUGGAGCAUUUACAAAUAAUCAAAUAUGGGUCACUCCAUAUAAUCGGAGCGAGCAAUGGGCCGGCGGGUUAUUUGUUUACCAGAGUCAAGGUGAAGACACUCUUGCUGUAUGGUCCGACAGGUAAGAAAUUUGGAUAGUUUUUGUUCAAAAAGUAGGAAACUUUUUUUCAAUGGUUAAAGAGUGAUGUUGAUUUUUUUUUUUUUGUUUUGAAGGGAUCGUCCAAUUGAGAACAAGGACAUAGUAGUGUGGUACACAUUAGGAUUCCAUCAUAUACCAUGUCAGGAGGAUUUUCCAAUAAUGCCAACAGUAUCAGCCAGCUUUGAUCUUAAGCCAGUCAAUUUCUUUGAGAGCAACCCUAUUCUUCGGAUCCCACCAAAUGUUGAGAAAGAUUUGCCUGUUUGUAGACCUUCAGAUUCUGCUUGAAGUGGCAUAGUACCAAAUAAUUUGCAUAAUUUACAAAUGUAGCAGGUUGUCCCAUGGCUUGGGAAAUAAAAUUGCGUAUGGUCUCCUUGUACAAAUAGCAUAUAUUAAAUGAAAAUAUUGUCAUGCUCUCAAAUAAUGUCAUAAAAAAUAAUGAUGAAACACUAAUUUAUUUUCAACCAAAAUGCUGGUUUUACUAUUUGAUUUUACAAUUAUUUACAUGGUACUGAACGCGUUUAAUCGUUAUAUUAAGUUGUCUUGGUAAUAUCGAUAAGAUUAUUAAUCAAUUCGCAUACUUCAACUAUAAUUUUUUAAUACUUAGUUCCAUAUUGUACUUUUCAGUUUUUAAUUAGGAUUGAGAUACUAAAGUAACCCCAAGAACUGCAGUUAGCUAAUUAUACAUUGUCCCCAUGCUCUUUUCAACCCUAUAAGAGCUUCCACCAGUCAUUUGUAUUGCGCUUUAAACAGUGGCCAUGAUCAAGAAAUGAUACAAAAGAUGAAAAAGACAUCCAAAUUGUACGUGAUUGGUGAUUUUUGCAUGCUCUUUUUGUGCUGAUUGCGGGUAAAAAAUCAUAAGAAAUUAAAUUAACGAUUAUGCCAAAAGUUGCUAAUAACGAUUAGUGUGAUAUUAUAUCCAUCAACCACGUAUAAUGUGUGUCCACAUGCAGAUAAUUGUAUAUAGUUAUGAUGAGUCAAGCUUCCACUCACCGUGAACAUCAUAUAGGAACUAAAAAUAAAAUUAGAAAAAAGAACAGCGAUAAUAUCAUGAUAUUAUCUCAACACAUUUAGAAAUAAGAUUAGGUUUAAAUGAUCUCAUACACAUAAGGUUUCUAUCACAUACCAUGUCGUGAAGAUUUCCCAUUAAUGCCAGCAGCAGUAUCAGAAAGCUUUGAUCUAAAAAACCAGCAAUCUUAUGCUUGACAGUAAGCCCACAUCAGAUUCAUUACAAGAACCCAGAAUACAAAAAUUAUAACAAAAGCCCACCAUCUAUGUUCAUGUAGAUGGAAAAUCGGAAGAGCUCAAGGAGUAGCUCACAAGUUAAAUGGAUUGGCCUAGAUUUCUUAUCAAUUCUUGUAUAAAAUCACUUAAUAUUGAGAAUAUUAACCUAAGUAAAUCUUUUUAUCUUUGGUACAAUCAUGGACUAUACAACAAAAGUAACCUCUCUUUGAAGUAACAUUUACUAAAUUAAUGAAAAUUAUUGGGUCGAAAGUGUUCAAACUCUAAAUCUCCCAAUAUUUUACAUUACUAUUAUUCUUUUAUUUUCAUUUUUACAGAAAAACCAAAAUAAAUGUCUACAGUCACUGUUGCUAUCUAUGCAUAGAGGGCUAAGUUGGACAAUCUAGGAGUCGGAAUAACCAUCAGAGGAGUAGCUUUCUCAUGAACAAUCCCAAACUUCUCUGAAGUAUCAGGCUUUUCACCAUUCGGCAAUUCCCAAUUAAACAUAUGCAAGAAUGUGGCCAUCACAUACAUUACCAUUCUUUCAGCUAAAGGAAGUCCUGCACAAACCCUCCUACCAGACCCAAAUGGUAAAUACUGCAAAUGAUUCCCAUUAUAAUCCAACUCACUGCCCUUUCCAUCCAAAAACCUCGCUGGUUCAAACUCUGUAGGGUUGUCCCAAAACUCAGGGUCCUUGUGCAGAGCCCAAGCAUUCAAGAAAACCGUAGCGCCCUUUGGGAUGGUGUAGCCACCGACGUUGCAGGAGUCUUUAGGGCAACGUGGCAGGAGUAAUGGUGCCACCGGAUGAAAUCUUAGUGCUUCUUUUACAAUUGCAUGUAAAUAUGGCAAUUCUUGAAUGUGGGAUUCUUCAACUAGGUUGUUGGCUCCUACUACUUUUGUUAAUUCUUGUUGAGCUUUCUUUAGCAUUUGGGGAUGAAGCAUCAAUUCUGUCAUGGUCCACUCUACUGUUCUUGAAGAUGUGUCGGUUCCACCAAUUACACUAUUCUGUUAAAAAGAGAAAGAACGAAGGAUAUGUAUAUACUUGUUUUUGGUUAUUAUUAUUAUUUGGAUGAUAAAUAAAUAAAACAAAAAAAGGAUACAAACAAAGAAAAAAUGGAGCAUGGGCCAAUCAAAAUUUUCAAAAAUUACGAUGUCCAUAAAAAAUUCACUAUUUUGUAAAGCCAAAUUCAAAUAAAAAAAUCUAUGGGCAAUAUCCCCUCCUUCUCCCAAUGGUCACGAACUGAUUUUUGUUUCUGCAUAGUAUACCAAUAUCUCCUCACAUGUUACCACUUGAUUUAACUUUUGUGAAAGGAGUUCAUCAUAAAAGAAAUAAAUUCUCCUCUACUUAAAACUCUUUAAAUUUUUUGAAGCGAAAAGUUUUGAGUUUGAAUCGUUAAAAAAAUUUCAGUAACUUAUAACUUAAAGAGAGUGUUACUCAUUUCUAUAUAUUGUGUAACGCACGUAUUAUUUUAGUUCGUAGAGUCUCCUAAUCAAUAAAAAAAAAAAAACAUAAUAUAUGAUCAUAAUUUCUAAUGAAAUAUCCUAAAAUCAAGAAUAAAAAAGUUAAAAUGACGCAUGCAGGAGACGAAAAAAGAGAUUAUUUACCAUAAGCAAGCCCUUAAUUUGUUGUCUGGAAAUUGAUCUUCCAGUUUCUUGAUCUUUAAACUCUAACAAGAAAUGCAUGAAGUCCUUUCUUUCUUUAUUUACCUCCACCUUUUCUUUUCCUUGCGUCAACUCUUUCUUCAUUACAUACUUAUCUAUAACAUAAUCAUAUAUAUCCUCAAUCUUUUGCGAUGCCUCCUUCAUUUCCCUCUCCACCCCUUGAAUAUCAAAUCUUGCAAGAAACGGGAAUAAAUCUGAAACAUUUGGCUUUCCUAAAAUCUGAACCAGCUCUGCCGUUGCGGACCUAAACUUAGCUCCAACACUAAUCUCCUCUUCUCCGUCAAGGGUGGCACCCCAAAACAUUCCUGACAUCAUGUUAAUUAUUGUCAAAAAUAUCAAUUCUCCAAAAUUAAUAGCCUUUCCGCUUUUCUUCUCAAACAAAUCUUUUACACUUUUCCUGACUUUGUUUCUCCUAAGUGGAUAAAACGACUCAAGAUUUGCAUUGCUCUGCAUCUCACGGACGAAUAUCUUGCGCAGCACCCGCCAUUCGGGACCAUACGGUGCAAAUGCUAUGUCGUUUCCACCGUAUGAGAAGGUUUUUGCUGCGACAGAUGGAAUUCUGUUAGCGAAUGUAAUGUCAUUUUGACGUACGAUUUCUCUUAUCAGAGUUUGAGAGCUCACUACGACACAUAAUUUUUGUCCAAUUGAGAGCUUGUAGAUUGGACCGUAUUUUUGAGCCAGUUGCAUGAAGAGUUGGUGCAUAUUGUGGCGAAUAAAAGGAAGAUAGCCAACUAUUGGAAGGCCAAGUGGCCCUGGUGGCAACCGAACCUUAGGUUUUGAAUUCUUGAAUGCCCACAAGAGUAAACAAGCUAAUAAUAUGGGAACUGAUAAAGAAAUGAAGAGUGAUGAUUCAAUUUGGUGCUGUUGCUCUUUGACAUUGAAAAUCCAUGAAUUGAACCAGUUAUAGAUUGUCUUUGCGAGGUUACAGACAGACAUUGGAGAAAGAGAAUUGUAAUGAAAAGAUUGAGUGGAGGUAAUUAUGGAUUGAGUACUCAGUAGUCUCUCUAAUUAUAUACAGUUGUGAGCUUGGAAUUAAACUCAGGCUAUUGUUUUGUUGUCGCCCAAAAAUAGCUUACGUAUAUGUUUUCAAUUAUGAUUUUUUAAAAAAAAUAAUCUAAUAGUAAAUUAAUUUUCAAUAUUAGGUUCUGAUUCAAUUCAGUCAAUUUAAACUAGAAUUUUUCGGUUUCAGUCAACUUUGGCAGGCUCUAUGGUUAAAUUAAUUCUGCAAUUGCUAAGGAAAUGUCCAAGAAAAUAAUAUUUAAAAGCUUGAAAUGUCAUUUCUUGCUAACCGUCUAUAGUUUUUAAUUGCACGCUUUUCCAAUAAUUACAGAAUCCAAUUGUAAAUUUGGCCGGCUCCAUAAUUUAUUCUGCAUUUGAUAAGGAAAUGUCCAAGACAAUAUUGUUUUUAAUGCUUGGAACCUAAUCCUUUCUCAUUCUUGGUUUAAAACUUUUAAAAUAAAAUGAAUGAUUAAUAUAUCAAGAUUUUAAUUAAUUUUUAUUAGACUUUUUUCCACCAUUUAAUAAAUUCAAUUAAUAUUAAUAUUUACAUACGUUACUAUAUAAAAGUAUCAUGAAAAAGUAAAAAAAAAAAAAAAGUUCAAAAAUAUAAAUGAAACUCUUAUUUUGAAAUAUCUAAAAGAAUAAAUGAAAAUUAUAAUUUUAGAUUAUCGUGGAAUCGGUGUUUGUUGUCUUUUCCAUAGAUGUGGACAGGAGCACAAUAAUUCAACAUCUUUCGACAAAAUUGGAUGUAAUAGUACAUCACUAACCUUACUCUCGUCCGGAUGUAUUCAAAACCAGCUAAAAUAUGUAGAGUUGUUUUUUAUUUUUUUAUUUUCCAAAAUUUAGCUGUUGAAUCACAAUUUAUAUAUUAUUUAGUAAAAUUAAGUUCGAUAUAAUCAAAACCAAGUAAAUGUAAAUUUAAGCCAAAAAAUACUAGCAUCUUUUUUUUUUUUUUUUUUUUUUUUUUUUGGAAACGUUGAAAUUUUUAAAUGAAAAAAAAAAUAGUAAAAGCUAUUCUUAUAAAUAUGCACUUAUGUAAGGAUAAAUUUAGUAGUUAACUAUAUUUUAUUUUAAAAUAAAUGUAUAUUAUUAAUUUUCUGUCUUACUUUAAUAGAUUAUCAUAUCAUGUCAUGUGUGAAAAUUUUCUAAUACAUCCAUUUCACCUUUUUGAAUUUUUUUUUUCCUGACAUUGACACGCUAUGCCUCAAAGAUUGAGAGGAAGAAAAUUAUAGAUAAGACAGGAAGUCAUAUAUAUAAUCUUAACCAAGUUUCGUAAUUGGCUAUAAUUUUAUUUUGACUAUUUAGCUAUUAUAUUUUGUACAUAAAAUAAUUAGAGUCCUGUCAUAUGUGUUUAUAGAUGUAAAGUGGAGUGUGGACCGACGAAAAUGAUAUUUCACCAUUUUUGAACUUGUCCGGCUACGCAUAAAUCAAGGUAAUAAUAAUAAUAAAAAAAAAAGCACUUAAGGAAAUUUAAAUUACACUCAAUAUAUGUAUGGAUACGAUUUAUACGAAGCAGGAUAAUAUAUAGACAACUGGCGGCACAUAAAUAUGCAUAUGAUGCAAAGAAAUAGAUACGUCUUCUUCUAGUACAAGUCCGCAUUAGAGAGCCUAGGUUUAGGUACAAGAAUUAAGGACUUCAUUUUCUUGACGACUAUACCAAAUUUGUCUGAUAAUUCUAGUUCAGUACCUUGUGGUAAUUUCCAUUCAAAUGAAUGCAAGAAUGAAGCCAAAACGUACAUAACCAUCCGUUCUGCUAAUGGAAUUCCUGCACAAACUCUCCUUCCUGAUCCAAGUGGUAAGUACUGAAAAUUGUUGCCAGAAUAAUCAAAUUUGCUAGAUUCACUAAUUAAGAACCUCUCAGGUAUAAAUUCCAAGGGAUUGUCCCAAAAAAGGGGAUCCCUAUGGAUAGCAUAAACAUUGACAAAAACAGCAGUACCCUUGGGUAUGGUAUAGCCACCUAAUGUAGUUGAUUGACUUGAAACAUGAGGCAGUAACAGAGGAAGUGCAGGGUGCAAACGUAAUGUCUCCUUGAGGACAGCAUCUAAAUAUUUCAACUUGUGCAAAUGGGAAUCUUCUACAGUGUUGUUAAUUCCAACGACUUCAUCUAAUUCUUGAUAGACUUUCUUCAUUACUUCUUGAUGUAGCAUUAUCUCUGCCAUUGCCCAUUCUAGCAUGGUCGAUGAUGUGUCAGUGCCACCCACCAUAAUGUCCUAUCAAGAACAGAAUUUAUGAAGCACCAAAAUUGUAGUAAGAAAAUGUCUAACUCGUAACAUAUAUUGUUUUAACAGGAAAAGAAAAAGAAAUGAAAAAACCAAAAAUUAAUAAAUUAAGAAUAAUCAUACUAAUAGCACAGCUUUGAGUUGAUCGGUAGUGAUAGAUGUUUCAGAAUCUCCAUUCUUGUUAAAAUCCAAAAGAAUCUGCAAGAAGUCUUUCUUCCUCAUCUUGCUCUUAUCUUCUUCAACACCAUCGAUAUACAAACGUUGCUCUAUUAUAGAAUUAAGAAUCUCAUCAAUACGUGAAAGUACAUUUCUUGCUUGACUUUCUAUACCUUGCAAAUCAAACCUUGCAAGAAUCGGAAAAAGAUAAAAAAUAUUAGGCCUUCCUAUAAGUACCAUAAUUUCCCCUGCCAAUUUCCUGAACUCUGAAAGAGAACUUAUAGCUUUCUCUCCUGUAAUCAUUCCACCGCACAACAUUCUGAUAGCAGAAUUUUCAGUUAUCUCAAAUACCAAUUCACCAAAGUCUAUUGACAGGUUAUCACCAGCUUUUUUAAACACAUCUCUUAUACCUUUCUCCACUUCGUGCUUCCUCAUGGGAUAACAAGCUUCAAUAUUUGAAUUACUUAACAUUUCUCGAACAAAAACUUUUCUCAUCUUGCUCCAUUCAGGACCGUACGAUGACCAUGAUAUCUCAUUUCCACCAUAAGUGACAACCUUUGCAGCUAUUGGCGGGUCUCUGUUGGCAAAAAUCUUAUCUUUAUCACGGAAAACUUCUUUGGCUAGCGAUGGAGUGCUUACAACUACGUGUAAUUUGUUCCCAAGCCAGAGUUUGUAGAUAGGGCCAUAUAAUUGAGCUAAUUCUGUGAACUCUUUGUGGAGGAAAGUGCCCAGGAAUGGAAGGUAACCAACUAACGGCAAGCCCCGAGGGCCUGGAGGCAAUGGAGGGAUUAGUUUCUUUAAUUGCUUGAGUUUCCAUAAUAAGCAGAAGAGUGUAACUAUUGUGACUGUUAUGGUAAUUGCUGCUUUGAAAAUGUUAUGCCUCUCGUUGCUGCUAGAAGCCCAGUACCAGGACCAUAAACUAUUAGCCAUUUUCAAAGUUUUUGAGAGUGAUAUUGAAGAUGGAAAUGGGAUCCAAUUAGCUAGAGCUGCUCUUUUAUGAACAUAUUGUAAAACUCUCAUUUUUUUUUUUUUUUUUGUUAAAAAGAAGAAGAAACCACUGUUUAACUCAAUUAUAUUAAAACUGUAUUGUCUUUUUUCGAUCUGUUGGAUAGACUGAUAAAAAAAAUUAUAUUAUCUUUCUACCCUAAGAUAUUUAUAUAUAAAGAAUAUUUUAUAGAUAUGCAUUGAUGAUAGGCCAAAUAAAUAGAUUGUCCACUGAACUUUUAAAAAAUAAUCAUACGGUACUUCUAACUUUAUAGGGAACCAUUUAUGCAUCUAAAGCUAAUGUUUUUGACCAUUUAAGCACCUGUCAAAUCUGGUAUAAGUGCAUCCUUUUCAAAUAUGUAGACUACGAUAAAUAAUUUAAAGUAGAACAAAUUUUAAUUUUCAGAUCAGCAAUCUAAAAAAAAAAGAUAAAUAAUACAACCACCGAUCUCAAGCCCCAACAACCCUUUAUUUUCUUCCAUGGAAACCUCACACUCCUUAUUAAACACACCAGAUUCCAAAGACAAACCAAAAUCCAACAGUAGAAAUAGAAGCCAAACAGAAUGAAUUUGAAGAAGAAGAAGAAGAAGAAACUGCUAAAGUUAGCGAUCGAGUUUUACUGAUUUGAUGUAAGAUUUUAGGAUCUGGAGGGAGUUCUUUUAUGUGAGGGAUCCAUGAAUUUAGAAUACGAGGGAUCCAUGAAUUUAGAAUACGCGUCUGAUGAGCCAAAAAAAAGCAUCAUUUUUCUCUUACUCCUCUGAGUUCUCUCACUCUCUAAUGGUUGAUAUUGUGCAACAGGCAAUGAAAAAGUUUUAUUUAUAAUGAAAUUUUAUUUGUUGGAGCUUUCUCUUUUAUAAUUAUAUGAUAAAUCUAUAUAUUUCAAACUAGAUCAGGAUUAAAGAUUUUUACUUUUCAGAAAUGUAGAAUUGAGAGUUGGAUCUAAAUUUUUUUAUAGAACUAAAAAAACAAAUUUGAAUUUUUUCAUAGAACUAAAGAAAAAAGGGAGAAAAUUUGCACUAAAACGAUACCAUUUAAUCUAUGUUGACAAAACUUUUUCACAUCAGUAGAAAUAUAUUCCUUUUACGCUCCAUUAUGCGAUUGUAUUUACACUCUGAGUCAGCUUGAAAAAGUUGCUUAACUGGUGUAAAGAAAUUAAUCGAAUGUGCAUAAAUAAUUCCCUGCAACAUUAAGGAUGCGUUAUGAUUAUUUUUCAAAAAUUUAAAUAUAUAUCGAAAGUUGAAACAUAUAAAAAGUUCAAAUGGAAUAUAUGUAUUUGGCAUUUGAUGUGCCAAAAAACACAUUAAAACUUUUACAUAACAAUUUAAUACAUUAUUAUAAGUUACAUCACAUUCUCAAAAUAAGUAAAUAAAUUACGUCACAAACUCAUUAAAAGGGUGAGCACAUGAACUUGGAUACAACGUUUAAGUAUCAGCCUUAGUCAUCUUGGGUAGAGGUCAUUUGUGCAUAAAAAAUAUUUUCAAAAUAAUACAAUUAUAAAUUUUAAUUUCGAUUUGAACCAAUUAUUAAAUUUUAAGUGCUUUAAUUAUUAAAUUAAUUGUGAUCAAACUAUUCAUAUAUACAAUAUCACUUUAUUUAUAAUAAUAAGUUGAACUAAAUUUGUUGAGGAUUAUGUAAUAAUUAUGGACAUCGAAUUUUUAAAUUAAUUUUUAAAAACUUGCAAGUAGUAGAAUUUCAAUAAAGUUAAAUUCAAACUUCAAAUUCACGCGAAAGAUUUUUGAGAAAUAUACAUGACGAAUGUAAAAUUUUUAAAAAUAAUAAAAUAAAAUUUAGAAUUUUAGUAUUUUAAGAUUUUAGGUAAGGAUUUUUAGGAGUUUAUGAAAUACCCCGAAUUUUUAUUUUCAAAACAUUUUCCAAUUUAAUUUAACGAACCGACAGCCUGGAAAUUGCUAUUAAUAUUUUAGUGCGAAUACUAUGAGAAAUCGAAUCGAAAACCGAUUGAAAAAGCCGAAACCGGUUGAAAAUCGAAGAUUUGGGCCGAAUCGAACCGAAUCGAACCGGUUCGACCCAAACCAUCUAGAAACAUCCUUUUCCCUUUAUCUUCAACGCCUAUCUCCUUCACUCUCACCAUUUCUAUGCCACCUCCAGCCCACCACCGCACCACCACACCUCCCUCUCUUCUUCUUUUUCUUCUUCUUUUUUCUUCUUCUUUCUUUCUUUCCUUUUUCUUUCUUUCUUUCCCUUUUCUUCUUCCCUGCAACUGGGUCUGCGUCACUGCCAGCGACUGCAGCAGCUCCAGCANNNNNNNNNNNNNNNNNNNNNNNNNNNNNNNNNNNNNNNNNNNNNNNNNNNNNNNNNNNNNNNNNNNNNNNNNNNNNNNNNNNNNNNNNNNNNNNNNNNNNNNNNNNNNNNNNNNNNNNNNNNNNNNNNNNNNNNNNNNNNNNNNNNNNNNNNNNNNNNNNNNNNNNNNNNNNNNNNNNNNNNNNNNNNNNNNNNNNNNNNNNNNNNNNNNNNNNNNNNNNNNNNNNNNNNNNNNNNNNNNNNNNNNNNNNNNNNNNNNNNNNNNNNNNNNNNNNNNNNNNNNNNNNNNNNNNNNNNNNNNNNNNNNNNNNNNNNNNNNNNNNNNNNNNNNNNNNNNNNNNNNNNNNNNNNNNNNNNNNNNNNNNNNNNNNNNNNNNNNNNNNNNNNNNNNNNNNNNNNNNNNNNNNNNNNNNNNNNNNNNNNNNNNNNNNNNNNNNNNNNNNNNNNNNNNNNNNNNNNNNNNNNNNNNNNNNNNNNNNNNNNNNNNNNNNNNNNNNNNNNNNNNNNNNNNNNNNNNNNNNNNNNNNNNNNNNNNNNNNNNNNNNNNNNNNNNNNNNNNNNNNNNNNNNNNNNNNNNNNNNNNNNNNNNNNNNNNNNNNNNNNNNNNNNNNNNNNNNNNNNNNNNNNNNNNNNNNNNNNNNNNNNNNNNNNNNNNNNNNNNNNNNNNNNNNNNNNNNNNNNNNNNNNNNNNNNNNNNNNNNNNNNNNNNNNNNNNNNNNNNNNNNNNNNNNNNNNNNNNNNNNNNNNNNNNNNNNNNNNNNNNNNNNNNNNNNNNNNNNNNNNNNNNNNNNNNNNNNNNNNNNNNNNNNNNNNNNNNNNNNNNNNNNNNNNNNNNNNNNNNNNNNNNNNNNNNNNNNNNNNNNNNNNNNNNNNNNNNNNNNNNNNNNNNNNNNNNNNNNNNNNNNNNNNNNNNNNNNNNNNNNNNNNNNNNNNNNNNNNNNNNNNNNNNNNNNNNNNNNNNNNNNNNNNNNNNNNNNNNNNNNNNNNNNNNNNNNNNNNNNNNNNNNNNNNNNNNNNNNNNNNNNNNNNNNNNNNNNNNNNNNNNNNNNNNNNNNNNNNNNNNNNNNNNNNNNNNNNNNNNNNNNNNNNNNNNNNNNNNNNNNNNNNNNNNNNNNNNNNNNNNNNNNNNNNNNNNNNNNNNNNNNNNNNNNNNNNNNNNNNNNNNNNNNNNNNNNNNNNNNNNNNNNNNNNNNNNNNNNNNNNNNNNNNNNNNNNNNNNNNNNNNNNNNNNNNNNNNNNNNNNNNNNNNNNNNNNNNNNNNNNNNNNNNNNNNNNNNNNNNNNNNNNNNNNNNNNNNNNNNNNNNNNNNNNNNNNNNNNNNNNNNNNNNNNNNNNNNNNNNNNNNNNNNNNNNNNNNNNNNNNNNNNNNNNNNNNNNNNNNNNNNNNNNNNNNNNNNNNNNNNNNNNNNNNNNNNNNNNNNNNNNNNNNNNNNNNNNNNNNNNNNNNNNNNNNNNNNNNNNNNNNNNNNNNNNNNNNNNNNNNNNNNNNNNNNNNNNNNNNNNNNNNNNNNNNNNNNNNNNNNNNNNNNNNNNNNNNNNNNNNNNNNNNNNNNNNNNNNNNNNNNNNNNNNNNNNNNNNNNNNNNNNNNNNNNNNNNNNNNNNNNNNNNNNNNNNNNNNNNNNNNNNNNNNNNNNNNNNNNNNNNNNNNNNNNNNNNNNNNNNNNNNNNNNNNNNNNNNNNNNNNNNNNNNNNNNNNNNNNNNNNNNNNNNNNNNNNNNNNNNNNNNNNNNNNNNNNNNNNNNNNNNNNNNNNNNNNNNNNNNNNNNNNNNNNNNNNNNNNNNNNNNNNNNNNNNNNNNNNNNNNNNNNNNNNNNNNNNNNNNNNNNNNNNNNNNNNNNNNNNNNNNNNNNNNNNNNNNNNNNNNNNNNNNNNNNNNNNNNNNNNNNNNNNNNNNNNNNNNNNNNNNNNNNNNNNNNNNNNNNNNNNNNNNNNNNNNNNNNNNNNNNNNNNNNNNNNNNNNNNNNNNNNNNNNNNNNNNNNNNNNNNNNNNNNNNNNNNNNNNNNNNNNNNNNNNNNNNNNNNNNNNNNNNNNNNNNNNNNNNNNNNNNNNNNNNNNNNNNNNNNNNNNNNNNNNNNNNNNNNNNNNNNNNNNNNNNNNNNNNNNNNNNNNNNNNNNNNNNNNNNNNNNNNNNNNNNNNNNNNNNNNNNNNNNNNNNNNNNNNNNNNNNNNNNNNNNNNNNNNNNNNNNNNNNNNNNNNNNNNNNNNNNNNNNNNNNNNNNNNNNNNNNNNNNNNNNNNNNNNNNNNNNNNNNNNNNNNNNNNNNNNNNNNNNNNNNNNNNNNNNNNNNNNNNNNNNNNNNNNNNNNNNNNNNNNNNNNNNNNNNNNNNNNNNNNNNNNNNNNNNNNNNNNNNNNNNNNNNNNNNNNNNNNNNNNNNNNNNNNNNNNNNNNNNNNNNNNNNNNNNNNNNNNNNNNNNNNNNNNNNNNNNNNNNNNNNNNNNNNNNNNNNNNNNNNNNNNNNNNNNNNNNNNNNNNNNNNNNNNNNNNNNNNNNNNNNNNNNNNNNNNNNNNNNNNNNNNNNNNNNNNNNNNNNNNNNNNNNNNNNNNNNNNNNNNNNNNNNNNNNNNNNNNNNNNNNNNNNNNNNNNNNNNNNNNNNNNNNNNNNNNNNNNNNNNNNNNNNNNNNNNNNNNNNNNNNNNNNNNNNNNNNNNNNNNNNNNNNNNNNNNNNNNNNNNNNNNNNNNNNNNNNNNNNNNNNNNNNNNNNNNNNNNNNNNNNNNNNNNNNNNNNNNNNNNNNNNNNNNNNNNNNNNNNNNNNNNNNNNNNNNNNNNNNNNNNNNNNNNNNNNNNNNNNNNNNNNNNNNNNNNNNNNNNNNNNNNNNNNNNNNNNNNNNNNNNNNNNNNNNNNNNNNNNNNNNNNNNNNNNNNNNNNNNNNNNNNNNNNNNNNNNNNNNNNNNNNNNNNNNNNNNNNNNNNNNNNNNNNNNNNNNNNNNNNNNNNNNNNNNNNNNNNNNNNNNNNNNNNNNNNNNNNNNNNNNNNNNNNNNNNNNNNNNNNNNNNNNNNNNNNNNNNNNNNNNNNNNNNNNNNNNNNNNNNNNNNNNNNNNNNNNNNNNNNNNNNNNNNNNNNNNNNNNNNNNNNNNNNNNNNNNNNNNNNNNNNNNNNNNNNNNNNNNNNNNNNNNNNNNNNNNNNNNNNNNNNNNNNNNNNNNNNNNNNNNNNNNNNNNNNNNNNNNNNNNNNNNNNNNNNNNNNNNNNNNNNNNNNNNNNNNNNNNNNNNNNNNNNNNNNNNNNNNNNNNNNNNNNNNNNNNNNNNNNNNNNNNNNNNNNNNNNNNNNNNNNNNNNNNNNNNNNNNNNNNNNNNNNNNNNNNNNNNNNNNNNNNNNNNNNNNNNNNNNNNNNNNNNNNNNNNNNNNNNNNNNNNNNNNNNNNNNNNNNNNNNNNNNNNNNNNNNNNNNNNNNNNNNNNNNNNNNNNNNNNNNNNNNNNNNNNNNNNNNNNNNNNNNNNNNNNNNNNNNNNNNNNNNNNNNNNNNNNNNNNNNNNNNNNNNNNNNNNNNNNNNNNNNNNNNNNNNNNNNNNNNNNNNNNNNNNNNNNNNNNNNNNNNNNNNNNNNNNNNNNNNNNNNNNNNNNNNNNNNNNNNNNNNNNNNNNNNNNNNNNNNNNNNNNNNNNNNNNNNNNNNNNNNNNNNNNNNNNNNNNNNNNNNNNNNNNNNNNNNNNNNNNNNNNNNNNNNNNNNNNNNNNNNNNNNNNNNNNNNNNNNNNNNNNNNNNNNNNNNNNNNNNNNNNNNNNNNNNNNNNNNNNNNNNNNNNNNNNNNNNNNNNNNNNNNNNNNNNNNNNNNNNNNNNNNNNNNNNNNNNNNNNNNNNNNNNNNNNNNNNNNNNNNNNNNNNNNNNNNNNNNNNNNNNNNNNNNNNNNNNNNNNNNNNNNNNNNNNNNNNNNNNNNNNNNNNNNNNNNNNNNNNNNNNNNNNNNNNNNNNNNNNNNNNNNNNNNNNNNNNNNNNNNNNNNNNNNNNNNNNNNNNNNNNNNNNNNNNNNNNNNNNNNNNNNNNNNNNNNNNNNNNNNNNNNNNNNNNNNNNNNNNNNNNNNNNNNNNNNNNNNNNNNNNNNNNNNNNNNNNNNNNNNNNNNNNNNNNNNNNNNNNNNNNNNNNNNNNNNNNNNNNNNNNNNNNNNNNNNNNNNNNNNNNNNNNNNNNNNNNNNNNNNNNNNNNNNNNNNNNNNNNNNNNNNNNNNNNNNNNNNNNNNNNNNNNNNNNNNNNNNNNNNNNNNNNNNNNNNNNNNNNNNNNNNNNNNNNNNNNNNNNNNNNNNNNNNNNNNNNNNNNNNNNNNNNNNNNNNNNNNNNNNNNNNNNNNNNNNNNNNNNNNNNNNNNNNNNNNNNNNNNNNNNNNNNNNNNNNNNNNNNNNNNNNNNNNNNNNNNNNNNNNNNNNNNNNNNNNNNNNNNNNNNNNNNNNNNNNNNNNNNNNNNNNNNNNNNNNNNNNNNNNNNNNNNNNNNNNNNNNNNNNNNNNNNNNNNNNNNNNNNNNNNNNNNNNNNNNNNNNNNNNNNNNNNNNNNNNNNNNNNNNNNNNNNNNNNNNNNNNNNNNNNNNNNNNNNNNNNNNNNNNNNNNNNNNNNNNNNNNNNNNNNNNNNNNNNNNNNNNNNNNNNNNNNNNNNNNNNNNNNNNNNNNNNNNNNNNNNNNNNNNNNNNNNNNNNNNNNNNNNNNNNNNNNNNNNNNNNNNNNNNNNNNNNNNNNNNNNNNNNNNNNNNNNNNNNNNNNNNNNNNNNNNNNNNNNNNNNNNNNNNNNNNNNNNNNNNNNNNNNNNNNNNNNNNNNNNNNNNNNNNNNNNNNNNNNNNNNNNNNNNNNNNNNNNNNNNNNNNNNNNNNNNNNNNNNNNNNNNNNNNNNNNNNNNNNNNNNNNNNNNNNNNNNNNNNNNNNNNNNNNNNNNNNNNNNNNNNNNNNNNNNNNNNNNNNNNNNNNNNNNNNNNNNNNNNNNNNNNNNNNNNNNNNNNNNNNNNNNNNNNNNNNNNNNNNNNNNNNNNNNNNNNNNNNNNNNNNNNNNNNNNNNNNNNNNNNNNNNNNNNNNNNNNNNNNNNNNNNNNNNNNNNNNNNNNNNNNNNNNNNNNNNNNNNNNNNNNNNNNNNNNNNNNNNNNNNNNNNNNNNNNNNNNNNNNNNNNNNNNNNNNNNNNNNNNNNNNNNNNNNNNNNNNNNNNNNNNNNNNNNNNNNNNNNNNNNNNNNNNNNNNNNNNNNNNNNNNNNNNNNNNNNNNNNNNNNNNNNNNNNNNNNNNNNNNNNNNNNNNNNNNNNNNNNNNNNNNNNNNNNNNNNNNNNNNNNNNNNNNNNNNNNNNNNNNNNNNNNNNNNNNNNNNNNNNNNNNNNNNNNNNNNNNNNNNNNNNNNNNNNNNNNNNNNNNNNNNNNNNNNNNNNNNNNNNNNNNNNNNNNNNNNNNNNNNNNNNNNNNNNNNNNNNNNNNNNNNNNNNNNNNNNNNNNNNNNNNNNNNNNNNNNNNNNNNNNNNNNNNNNNNNNNNNNNNNNNNNNNNNNNNNNNNNNNNNNNNNNNNNNNNNNNNNNNNNNNNNNNNNNNNNNNNNNNNNNNNNNNNNNNNNNNNNNNNNNNNNNNNNNNNNNNNNNNNNNNNNNNNNNNNNNNNNNNNNNNNNNNNNNNNNNNNNNNNNNNNNNNNNNNNNNNNNNNNNNNNNNNNNNNNNNNNNNNNNNNNNNNNNNNNNNNNNNNNNNNNNNNNNNNNNNNNNNNNNNNNNNNNNNNNNNNNNNNNNNNNNNNNNNNNNNNNNNNNNNNNNNNNNNNNNNNNNNNNNNNNNNNNNNNNNNNNNNNNNNNNNNNNNNNNNNNNNNNNNNNNNNNNNNNNNNNNNNNNNNNNNNNNNNNNNNNNNNNNNNNNNNNNNNNNNNNNNNNNNNNNNNNNNNNNNNNNNNNNNNNNNNNNNNNNNNNNNNNNNNNNNNNNNNNNNNNNNNNNNNNNNNNNNNNNNNNNNNNNNNNNNNNNNNNNNNNNNNNNNNNNNNNNNNNNNNNNNNNNNNNNNNNNNNNNNNNNNNNNNNNNNNNNNNNNNNNNNNNNNNNNNNNNNNNNNNNNNNNNNNNNNNNNNNNNNNNNNNNNNNNNNNNNNNNNNNNNNNNNNNNNNNNNNNNNNNNNNNNNNNNNNNNNNNNNNNNNNNNNNNNNNNNNNNNNNNNNNNNNNNNNNNNNNNNNNNNNNNNNNNNNNNNNNNNNNNNNNNNNNNNNNNNNNNNNNNNNNNNNNNNNNNNNNNNNNNNNNNNNNNNNNNNNNNNNNNNNNNNNNNNNNNNNNNNNNNNNNNNNNNNNNNNNNNNNNNNNNNNNNNNNNNNNNNNNNNNNNNNNNNNNNNNNNNNNNNNNNNNNNNNNNNNNNNNNNNNNNNNNNNNNNNNNNNNNNNNNNNNNNNNNNNNNNNNNNNNNNNNNNNNNNNNNNNNNNNNNNNNNNNNNNNNNNNNNNNNNNNNNNNNNNNNNNNNNNNNNNNNNNNNNNNNNNNNNNNNNNNNNNNNNNNNNNNNNNNNNNNNNNNNNNNNNNNNNNNNNNNNNNNNNNNNNNNNNNNNNNNNNNNNNNNNNNNNNNNNNNNNNNNNNNNNNNNNNNNNNNNNNNNNNNNNNNNNNNNNNNNNNNNNNNNNNNNNNNNNNNNNNNNNNNNNNNNNNNNNNNNNNNNNNNNNNNNNNNNNNNNNNNNNNNNNNNNNNNNNNNNNNNNNNNNNNNNNNNNNNNNNNNNNNNNNNNNNNNNNNNNNNNNNNNNNNNNNNNNNNNNNNNNNNNNNNNNNNNNNNNNNNNNNNNNNNNNNNNNNNNNNNNNNNNNNNNNNNNNNNNNNNNNNNNNNNNNNNNNNNNNNNNNNNNNNNNNNNNNNNNNNNNNNNNNNNNNNNNNNNNNNNNNNNNNNNNNNNNNNNNNNNNNNNNNNNNNNNNNNNNNNNNNNNNNNNNNNNNNNNNNNNNNNNNNNNNNNNNNNNNNNNNNNNNNNNNNNNNNNNNNNNNNNNNNNNNNNNNNNNNNNNNNNNNNNNNNNNNNNNNNNNNNNNNNNNNNNNNNNNNNNNNNNNNNNNNNNNNNNNNNNNNNNNNNNNNNNNNNNNNNNNNNNNNNNNNNNNNNNNNNNNNNNNNNNNNNNNNNNNNNNNNNNNNNNNNNNNNNNNNNNNNNNNNNNNNNNNNNNNNNNNNNNNNNNNNNNNNNNNNNNNNNNNNNNNNNNNNNNNNNNNNNNNNNNNNNNNNNNNNNNNNNNNNNNNNNNNUUUUUUUUCAGGUAAUAGAAAGAAAUAAAAGCCUUGUGGAGUUGAGACACUUAUUGUAGAAGACUUUUAAUGAUAGAAAUAACGAUGUAAAUAUAAAGGUAGAGUUCCGCAAUUGUAUUCCAGUUGGGUUGUAAAUAAAUAGUAAAAGUCCAUAUUAAAUAUAUGAACUGCAUUUUGAGUUAAUGGGCCUGAAUCUAUAAUUAUGAAUAGAAGGUGAGAUUUAAAUAAGUUAGGCUUACUACGGGCUUCGGGGGCCUUAAGCCCACCCAGGUCCUAGGGCCGGUCCGGUCCAUGGAAAUGGGUCGUGACAGUUUAAGAUUUAAAAUUUAAAAUUAUAAUAUACUAUUUUAGAAUUUAAGAUUUAUGAUUUAAAAUUUAGUAGUAUAAUUUUAUUAUAUAGACGUAUUCUUUUUGUCAAAACCCCACAACAAAUUUCUCCAAAAAAACCCACAACAAGUGGACCGCAGGUAUUUAUUAAAUUUUGUCAUGUUUCAAUAAGUUUUCCUGAUAUGACGUCGUACAGGAGAAAAUCAAUUUGGGCUAUUUGACUUUUCUGUGGAUAAGUAGAUUUUUUUUACUUUUCUGUGUUUAAGCAAAUCUUAUCCUUUGGAGCAACUUGCUUAAAUUCCUAACGCACAUGAUACGGCAUUUCCUUUUCUGGAAGUAAAAAAAAAAAAACAAAAGAGAAAAAAAAGUAAAAAAAACUCAAUUUUUAAGUUUCAUUAAAAUAUAAGGACUAAUUAGUAAUUUACCUUUAAAAAAAAGUAUAAGAGACUAUAAAUCUUCAUUUAUAAAUUUCAAAUAGAAAGUGAUUAUAGGAUAAAUUACUUUUUCAUCUUUUUUUCUUUUUCCUUUUUUAAUAAUCUUUUCUUCUUUUUAGCUUAGUCAGUCAGUUAGUUUCAAUUGAGGAUUGAAUUUUAAAUGAGAGCCAAAUUUUUCUUUUUUAAUCUUGAAAUACCAAAUUGAAUUUUGAAUUUGGUUUUGAUGAUUUAUUUAUUCUCUUUCGAUGAAGAUCUGAAAGAAAUUUUUUUUUUUUUUUUUUUUUUUUUCCUUUCAAAAAAGUAAAAGUAAGGUUAUUUCGAUGAAGAUCUGAAAGAAAUUUUUUUUUUUUUUUUUUUUUGUUCUCCUCCUUAGAAGUACAAGUACUGUUAAUAUAAACAUAAAUUCAGCCGCCAAGCCAAAGGGCAAACACAGAUGAAUCCUUUCAUUUUAGUAAAGCUCUAAAUUAGAGAGCCUAGGUUUAGGUAUAAGAAUUAAAGGAUUCAUUUUUUUUAUUACAAUCCCAAAUUUUUCUGACAACUCCAACUGUGUCUCACAUGUCAAUUUCCAUUCAAAUGAAUGCAGUAGGGAAGCCAAAACGUACAUCAACAUCCUCUCUGCUAAGGGAAUUCCGGCACAAACCCUCCUUCCAGAUCCAAACGGUAGGUACUGAAAAUUGUUCCCUGAGUAAUCGAAUUUGAUAUGUUCAUCACUAUUUAAGAACCUCUCAGGCCUAAACUCUGAGGGAUUGUCCCAAAGAAGGGGAUCCCUAUGGAUAGAAUGAACAUUUAGGAAAACUGUAGUGCCCUUAGGAAUGGUAUAGCCACCAAGUAUGCAAGAUUGGCUAGAAAAAUGAGGUGCUAACAGAGGAAGUGCUGGGUGCAAACGAAAUGUUUCUUUUAGGACAGCAUCUAAAUAUUGCAACUUCGGCAAAUGGAACUCUUCUACAACGUUGUUAAUUCCCACAACUUCAUCUAAUUCUUGGUAAACUUUCUUCAUUACGUCUUGAUGGAGCAUUAGUUCUGUCAUUGCCCAUUCUAGCAUGGUUGCCGUUGUGUCUGUUCCACCCACCACAAUGUCCUGUUAAGAACACAGAUGAAGUUAAAAUAAAGAACUUAAAAAGGAAAAUAAAGAAAGACAAUAAUUAUGUAAGAAUCGUACUAUUAGCAAGGCUUUGAGUUGUUUGCUGGUGAUUGAUGUUUCAGCAUCUCCAUUCCUGUUAAAAUCCAAAAGAAUCUGCAAGAAGUCUCGCUUUUUCUCACUCUUUUCAUCCUUGGCACUCAUAUUCAAACGUUGCUCUAUUACAGGAUUAAGAAUUUUCUCAAGAAAUAAGAAUACCUUUCUUGUUUGCUUCUCUAAACCUUGCAAAUCAAACCUAGCAAGCAGAGGAAAAAAGUCUGAAACAUUAGGUUUUCCCUGCAGCACCAUAAUCUCUUCUGCUAAUCUACUAAACUCUGGAACAAAACUACCCAAUUUCUCUCCUUCAAGCGUUCCACCACACAACAUUCUGAUAAUAGCAUUUGCAGCUAUUUCAAAUACAAACUCGCCAAAGUUUAUUGAGUUAUUAUCAGCUCUACUAAACACAUAUGUUAUGGCUUUCUUUACUUCUCUCUCCCUCAAUGGACAGCAAGCAUCAAGAUUUGAAUUACUUAACAUUUCUCGAACAAACACCUUCCGGAUCUUCUUCCAUUCAGGACCGUAGGAUGACCAUAGGAUAUCAUUCCCACCAUAAGUGAUAACUUUAGCAGCCACUGGUGGAUCUCUGUUAGCAAAUAUUGUAUCUUUAUCGCGAACAACUUCUUUGGCUAGCGAUGGUGAGCUGAUAACUAUGCAUAAUUUGUUUCCAAGCCAGAGCUUACAAAUAGGACCAUACACUUCAUUCAAUUCUGUGAAUUUCUUGUGCAGGAAAGUGCCUAAAAAUGGAAGAUAUCCCACUACCGGCAAGCCCCAAGGGCCCGGAGGCAAUGGAGGUGUUGCUUUCUUUUGUUUCCUGAGAAAUAACAAGCAGAAUAAUGUAAUUGUAGCGACUGAUAUGGUAAGAACUGCGGCGGAAACUUUCUGCUCCUCGUUGUUGAAAACAGACCAGCACCAUGACCAAAAACUAGACACCGUUUUCAACAUUUUUGUGGAAAUAUUGAAAUGGGAUUUUCAUCAACUUGAGGACUUUCCUUUUGUAUAUAAAAAUUCAAUUAGCACCAGGAUGGAAAAAUAUUAUAAAAUUAAAAUCAUGGAGAACCAAUCAGUUCUUGUCACCUAUAAUAUGAAUGUUAAUUACAAGUUGUGGGCUAUCACAUGACAAUGAAUGUUGAUUAUAUGUAUUUUUUUUACAACUUCAUUAUUAUUGUUAAUGCGGACUUACCUACUAUCCAUACACAAAAUCAAUUUAUAAAGAUUUUUUAGAUAUUAUUAUUUUCAUCUAUUUUUACCAGAUGAAUAUUUAAAAAUAUCAUUAUUACAAUCAAAAAUUUAUUUUUAAUUAGUUUGAUAUACGAAAUGAGUCUAUAUACCAAGUAUAGUUAAACACUUGCAAUUGUCAAUUAUUGAAUUCUAUAAUUUAAGUCUAUUUAAUUAAGCUCUUUCUUUUCUUUUCUUUUUUAAAUUUUCUCUCUGAUGCUAAUAUUUAUAAUAUCCUCUGCACACUCAACGUUAUGAAUUGUCAUAUUCUACAAUGUUGGAGAAACGCUCCGAUGUCUAAAAAGUUAGGCACCCUAUCAUUUUCUUAAUAGGCGACCAUUAUGUGGGAACUGUGAAGUUUGGCUAUUCCUAAUAGAUCCAUUUCAUUUUUUUAAAAAUUAAAUAUGCAAAACUUAUUUUUUAUGGAUAAAAAACUUAUGGACAGAAAUAAAGCAAUAAUCAAUAGCCUUUUAUUUUAACUUAUCAAAUGAUCGAAAACUCUUUUAAUCAAAACACUUUUAUACAGACUCUCACCCUUAAACAGUCAGAGAUGGGACAGAUGAUGUGUCGUCAGCAAUAACAUCACUUGUCUUAAGUAGCUAUGUAGUGUCGUCAUUUUUUAAUUGCAAUAUAUAAAUAAAAUUAUAGUGUUUUUAAAUAAUUUUAUCUAGUGCAACUUAAUUUUUGCUUUCAAUUUAAUUUAAUUUAAAAAAUUACACUUAAUGAAAAGUGACGGGCAUUUCUUCCUUUUAUACAUAGUAGAUAGAUAAGAAAUUUCUAUUGCAAGUGGCAGACAAUUACUCACACAUGAACAUAAACAUAAACAGAAAGGGAAUAUAGAUAAAUCUUUCUCUCUAGUACAGGUCUACAUUAGAGAGCCUAGGUUUAGGUACAAGAAUUAAGGGCUUCAUUUUCUUGACGACUAUACCAAAUUUGUCUGAUAAUUCCAGUUCAGUACCUUGUGGUAAUUUCCAUUCAAAUGAAUGCAAGAAUGAAGCCAAAACGUACAUAACCAUCCGUUCUGCUAAUGGAAUUCCUGCACAAACUCUCCUUCCUGAUCCAAGUGGUAAGUACUGAAAAUUGUUGCCAGAAUAAUCAAAUUUGCUAGAUUCACUAAUUAAGAACCUCUCAGGUAUAAAUUCCAAGGGAUUGUCCCAAAAAAGGGGAUCCCUAUGGAUAGCAUAAACAUUGACAAAAACAGCAGUACCCUUGGGUAUGGUAUAGCCACCUAAUGUAGUUGAUUGACUUGAAACAUGAGGCAGUAACAGAGGAAGUGCAGGGUGCAAACGUAAUGUCUCCUUGAGGACAGCAUCUAAAUAUUUCAACUUGUGCAAAUGGGAAUCUUCUACAGUGUUGUUAAUUCCAACGACUUCAUCUAAUUCUUGAUAGACUUUCUUCAUUACUUCUUGAUGUAGCAUUAUCUCUGCCAUUGCCCAUUCUAGCAUGGUCGAUGAUGUGUCAGUGCCACCCACCAUAAUGUCCUAUCAAGAACAGAAUUUAUGAAGCACCAAAAUUGUAGUAAGAAAAUGUCUAACUCGUAACAUAUAUUGUUUUAACAGGAAAAGAAAAAGAAAUGAAAAAACCAAAAAUUAAUAAAUUAAGAAUAAUCAUACUAAUAGCACAGCUUUGAGUUGAUCGGUAGUGAUAGAUGUUUCAGAAUCUCCAUUCUUGUUAAAAUCCAAAAGAAUCUGCAAGAAGUCUUUCUUCCUCAUCUUGCUCUUAUCUUCUUCAACACCAUCGAUAUACAAACGUUGCUCUAUCUAACCACACAGUUGAAAAGGAAGAAGAAAAUUUUUUUAGGUGAGGUGAUAACCUUUGCAGCCAUCGGCGGAUCUCUAUUGGCAAAAAUCUUAUCUUUGUCCCGAAACACUUCUUUGGCUAGUGAUGGCGAGCUUAUAACUACGUGUAAUUUAUUCCCAAGCCAGAGUUUGUAGAUAGGGCCGUACACUUGAGCUAAUUCUGUGAACUUUUUGUGGAGGAAAGUGCCCAGAAAUGGAAGGUAUCCAAUUACUGGCAAGCCCCGGGGGCCUGGAGGCAAUGGAGGGAUCUUUGAUUUCUUGAGAUUCCGCGAUAACUAGAGGAGUGUAAUUAUUGUAGCUGAUAUGGAAAUUAGAGCUGCUUCGGAAAUUUUAUGCCUCUGAAUGGUUGGAACCCAGUACCAUCCCCAUAAACUAUCAGCCAUUUUCAAUAUUUUUGCGAGUGACACUGAAAAUAUUGGAAAUGGGAUCUAAAUUUCCUUGAUAACUAAUGAGUGGGCUUCUUCUCUUCCCUCGUUUCCUGUUGUGCGGUGCCCACUCAGUGGGACCCACACAGUUGAAAAGGAAGAAGAAAAUUUUUUUAGGUGAGGUGAUUUAUUUUUCGGUGAAAGCGUGAUUAACACCUCCACCUCUUCUAUUUGUAGAUUGCUCAGUUCAUCUCACUACACUAAUAAGAGAGAAAAAUAAAAAAUUUUUAAUUUUAGAACGAGUUCUAAAAUUAAGGUAGAGAAAAAUAAUAAAGAUAAUUUGAAGUGUUUUUUUAGAAAAUACUUUUUGAGUGCCAUUAUUUUUUUAUUACUUUCUUUGUAAAUUUAUUAUUUUUAAUAAAAAAAAUAUUUAGAAUUGAUCCCAUAAAUGUAAUCUUAAAUAAUUAAAAAAUAAACCAUAUAAAUUUUUGUGUUAUAUUUUUAUUGUUCGUUUCGUAAUUAUUCCUGUAACUUUUAUUAUCGGUACCUAACAUUUCCUUGAUAACUAAUGAGUUGUAUUGCGUUGUUAAAUUCCGACCACACAUGACAGACAUGAUAUUUUCUUUUUCAUUUUUAUCAACAAAACACGAAGAGGGCUUAUUUUAUCGUACACGUGUCUACAAACAAAAUUUAUUUUUCCUUAUUUCUCAUGAUUAGAGGCUCAGUUUUGGUAGAAUCUCUUCGAUCUAGAUUUGGCAUGAAGCAUCUUCUCUCUCUCACGUGAGUGAUUUCAAAAUAAAAUUUACUUUUUUUCAUUUUUAUCAAAAUCGAGACUAUUUAUUAUUUCGAUUAAUAUAUUAUUUAGAUUAAUAGGAAGAACAAUAUAGACAAAUAAAUGAACGUGAUACAUAUUUUAAAAGAUCAAAAAGAUUUUUGAUUUUGUGGCUACUUUCUGCAAAGUAACUCUGGAUCGUCUGGUCUUUUUAAUGGCAGUUGUCUUGAUAAUUACUAUAAAGAGAUUUUGAUGGAGGAGAAAAUUCACAUUUAAAAAAACAAAAUCAAUUAGGUUAAAGCUUGCAAUUUAACAUCUCAAUUUGGGUUCUCAUAGAAUUAUAAUUCAGGUAAAAUACUAUGAUUUUAGAUUUCAAGCCUUUUUUUUUGCAGUUUUUUGAAAUUGAAAUCUUUGAAAAUUAGAAACUUUUGUUCUCAAUCAUGAAAUAAUGUGUGAGAAUUCAUGCAAAAGCAUGUAUAAUAAAAAGAGUAAGUACUAUUACUAAAAAAAAUGAAAUUGUUAAGAUAAAGCAAAUUUUGCAACCAAAAAAAAAAAAAAAAAAAAAAAAUAACGUGAAGAAGAACUAAUGCAUGCCCCUCGUUUUUAAAGUAGGUCUCUAUUUACUUAUUUUUAAAAUAUAGUCUGAUUUAUGUUCGUAUUUAUAAAAAUCUUCAAAUUCUGGUACUUAAUGUACAACAAUUAUAAGCAGUACAAAAGAGAACUACUCAUAGAGUUUCGGAUCAGACAACCUUGGUGUUGGAACAGCGAUCAGAGAAUUUUUCAACUUCAAAACAAUCCCAAACUUCUCAGAAAGAUCCAUCUUCUUUCCUUCUGCAGGCAAUUUCCAAUCAAAAGAAUGCAAUAAUGUAGCAAGUGAAUACAAAAACAUCCUCUCAGCCAUUGCAAUACCAGCACAAAUUCUCCUUCCAGACCCAAAUGGGAAAUAAUUAAAAUCAUUUCCACUGUAAUCCCAUCCACUAUCCAAAAACCUCUCUGGUUUAAAUUCCAACGGGUCUUCCCAAACUGAAGGGUCUCUAUGUAUCGCCCACACGUUAAUGAAAACUCGAGCACCCUUCGGAAUGGUGUACCCUCCUACAGUGCAGGUUUCACUAGGGCAAUGAGGGACUAAUAAGGGGAGUGCUGGGUGCAAUCGCAAUGACUCUUUCAUGAUAGCAUACAAAUAAGGCAGUUGGUGUAUGUGAGACUCUUCUACUAUAUUGUUUUUUCCGACAACCGUGUCUAAUUCUUGCUGAGCUUUUCUCAUUACUUCUGAUUUGUUCAUAAUCUCUGCCAUUGCAAACUCAAUUGAGUUUGAUGAUGUGUCUGAACCGCCCACAAUCAUAUCCUGUAAAUAGAGUACACAUAUUUUGUAAAUUUAACCAAUUUGGAUAGUUCUUAUAAAAAUUCCUGUUCUCAAAUAACAAUGUACACACAGGUCAGAGUCAUAGUUGGAUUUUCUUGAAAGCAAGUAGUGCUUUUAGUGAUAACAAAAAGGCCACCACCGUAAUUACCAAGAUCUGCAAUUCGGCCAUAGGUAUCUAUUGUAGCCGGCCAUUUUUGUGUUUGUCUCCUUUGGACAAGUAGCUUUCUUUCUGUAUGUGAUCGAGAGUCGAAGGCCAUAGGUAUCUAUAAUUACCUUGUUUUGGCUGGUAAUGUUAUUGUUCUAUAUUGUUUAUAUUAUAUUCUUAAUCAAUAACCAAAGCACAAUUAACUAAUAAUUAUAUUACAAAGAACAAUAUUAGAAGAUUUAAUAUCCUCAACAUACUAAAGUGUAAAGGUUUUUAGAAUAAAUAAAGAUAGCUAAUUACUUCCUCACUUUACGGGUGAACAAGAGGAUUCAAAUUUACCACUUGUUUGGAAUAAAUAAUCUCCAUAAAAUUUGUGAAAUUUAUUUAUAAAUCUAAUUUUUUGUGUUUUAUGAAAAAAAAUAAAAAUUUAAAUUUUACAAAUUCAAUUGUAUGGAUUUGAAUAUAAUUAAAUUCUGCCAAAAAAACGUGAAAUUUCUAAUGAAUUUUACAAAUUUAAAUAAGCUAAAAGUUUAUGAUAAAAGUAUUCAUCCCCUAAUCUUAUAAAAUCAUUAUUAUGGCAAAGGUAUUUUAAGAAAUAAAAAGAAAUGUUUUUUAUUUUAAAUUAAUUUAUACCUAGCUGAGAGUUAGACUCCUAAUAAUUCUACAUUAUUGUAACUGAUAUUGUAAUUAACUAAUGAAGUUAAUAAUCCAAAUAAUUAAAUGCAUAUUUUCUAAUAAUGAGUUCAAGAUUCAAUCUAAAGGUAGAUUUGAAUUUGUAUUUUAAAUGAAAAAAAAAUCAUAAAAACGAAUACAUGGUAAUAAAUAUAAAUGCUCAGUUAUUUCAACUAACUCUAUGUUGAACUUCUAUAGUGUAAUUUAAAGAACAAAGUAAUGCACAUAAAAAGGAGGACAAAGAUAAGAAAUUACAUACCAUGAGCAAAGCUUUGACGUGAGUCAUUGUAAGAGGGGUCUUAGUAUCUCCUUCUUCUUUCACCUUCAACAAGAAUUGCAAGAAGUCUUUACACUCUCUGGCACUUUCUCCACCCUCUGAAUCCAUCUUCAACCGUUUCGCAAUCAUUCUUUCGAAGAUCCCAUCAAACUGAACGGACAAGCUGUCCAUCUUCUUUUGCAGACCUUGCAAGUCAAAUCGAACCAAACCCGGGAAAAAAUCCGAAAUAUUGGGUUUACCCAGUAAGGCGGUCAUGUCAGCAACCACCUUCCUGAACUCUGAUCCUAAGCUCGCUCUCUCUUCCUCUUGUACUGUGUCUCCCCAUAACAUAUUGGUAAUCACAUUCAGUAUAGCUAAAAAUAUUUGCUCUCCAAAGUCCACUGGUGAACCGACCCGAUUAUAUAGGUAACCAACGGUUUUCCGGACCUCAUGGCGGCGAAGGGCGUAGACAGAGUCUAAGGUGGUGUUGCUAAGCAUUUUGAGGACACAAACUUUCCUUAACAUCCUCCAUUCUGGCCCGUAUGGGGUCCAAACAAUAUCGACUCCCCCAUAGGCGGCGGACCGGGCGACAUCAGGGACAUCUCGGUUAGCAAAGGUGAUAUCUUUGUCUUUAAGAACUUCACGAACCAAAGAUGGGGAGGUUACGACGAUACCAAGCUUGUAUCCGAGUCGGAGCUUAAAGAUUGGCCCGUAUCGAUGGGCCAGAGAUGCAAAGUAUGAGUGGAGCUCCGGGUCAAGAGAGGCCAGGUUGCCAAUAACCGGUAGGCCAGGUGGUCCUGGCGGCAGCGGCGAACUCCUUUGGUUAUGGGACUUGAUACAUGCCCAUGUAUACCAAAUGACUGCAAAUAUACCGCAGAGAGUAAACAAUAUGGAUGUUGGCAAAUCUGUGCCAAGAAUUCCAAGAAAAUUUGUGAUGGGCGUCAUGUUGGUGUGUGUGGAAGAACUCAAGAAACCUAGAGCAGCAGAGGUGAAUUUAAAGAAGCAAAAGGAGUGGAAAGUCGUAUUAUUUAGGAAACUUACUAUUAGAUCCUUAUAUUGUACCAAAAUUAAUCACUCUUCUCGAUUUUCUAGAAUGCACUUGGUCUUUUUUUCGUUGUACACCUUAUGAAAAAGAAGAAAAUAUCUCUUUGGUUUAAGUUAAGGGAUAAUUUUGUCCUUUUAAUAAAUCUAAAGCAAAAAAAUUCUAUGAAUAAAUGAAAAAAUUUAAUUAGUUUUUUUUUAGAAAAACGAAAUAUUAGAUAGUUGAUAAAUAAAAAUCAUGAAUAAAGUAGUGUAUUAUUAUAAAAAAAAAGAGAACAAAGUCAUUAAUUUUCAUAAUAUAAAAUAUAAUAAUAAUUUUCGUUUCUUUUUUUUUUUUUAUUAGGAAAAGUAAAUUCAAAUUCAAAUCUAUUAUCAAUUCGUAAAUUAUACCUUGAUCUCUAUUAGUAUUCGCUAUUAAGACUGAUUAAGAAUCUCAGAAGGGAAGAUGCUAAGUGAGAAUGAAGACAAAAAAAAAAAAAAAAAAAAAAAAAAAGAGANNNNNNNNNNNNNNNNNNNNNNNNNNNNNNNNNNNNNNNNNNNNNNNNNNNNNNNNNNNNNNNNNNNNNNNNNNNNNNNNNNNNNNNNNNNNNNNNNNNNNNNNNNNNNNNNNNNNNNNNNNNNNNNNNNNNNNNNNNNNNNNNNNNNNNNNNNNNNNNNNNNNNNNNNNNNNNNNNNNNNNNNNNNNNNNNNNNNNNNNNNNNNNNNNNNNNNNNNNNNNNNNNNNNNNNNNNNNNNNNNNNNNNNNNNNNNNNNNNNNNNNNNNNNNNNNNNNNNNNNNNNNNNNNNNNNNNNNNNNNNNNNNNNNNNNNNNNNNNNNNNNNNNNNNNNNNNNNNNNNNNNNNNNNNNNNNUAUAUAUAUAUAUAUAUAUUUUGGAAUAUAUUAGGGAAUUCUCACUGAUGCCAUAUAAUGUUCCAAAUAGAAGGGCUAAUCCAUUUAUAUAAUUAAACAAGAAAAAUCACCCGCAUGUUUGUUAUUGCAGCGUUAAUUUAAUAUUAUAUUUUUAAAAAUUUCUUCUACCAUAAAAUAUUAAGAAUUUUGAAAAUAAUUAUAAUUAAUAAUUUCAAAAUACUUCAUGAAGUAAUUUUAAAAUUACUUUAUUUUCAUUUGGAUAAAUGAGAAUUUAAUAUGAAAGAUUAUUCAAAUUUGACAUUGUAUUUAUAUUUUAUAAAUUUUCAUUUAGAUACACGAAUCCAUAAAUUUUUAUAUUAUUAAUAAAUGUUAAUUUAAGGGUAAUAUUCCUUUAAAAAAAUAUAAAAUCUUUGUGUGUAAUUACAUUUUAAUUUGUUUGUAUUAUUUAAUAAAAUGAUAUAGUUUAUUUUUUAUUAGUUAUACUCUCUAGAAUUUUUAACAAUAUGUCUUUAUUAAUUUCAAAUUAAUUUAGAAUUUGAUAGUGAACGUAAUUUAGAUGAUAAUUUUGAUAUUUAAUUAGUUAAUGUAAAUUUUUUGUAUAUGCAGCUUAUUGUUGCAUUUUUUUUUAUUUUUGAAAUAUAUUUUAUGAAUAUAACUUUUUUAACAGUCAUUAUUAACAUAAAAUUAUGUUAUAAAUAUAUAUUAUUAUUAUUAUAUAUAUUAUAAUUUUUUUGUAAUUGCUAAUAAACGAAAAAAAAUAAUCCUAAAACUCUGAAAUACGCCUUGAUUUUCUCAAAGUUAUAUAUUUUUUCCAUUAAAAAAUCAAACUUCUCAUAAUUUUUAUUUUUGUGGUAGAGAAUGGUUGAUGCUUUGUUUAAUAAUUCCAGCAAGGGAACCAUUUUAUUUCUUUAAAAGUAAAAAAAAAAUAAUAAUAAUAAUGGUCUGAAGUUGACACUUUAUCUAAAUUUGAAAUUGAUACAGUCUAUGUGAGUAAUUUUUAAAGCAUGGACCCCAUGUUUAUUAUCAUUAGGUUGCAGUCAGAUUAGGUAAGCAUAUGAUAAUGAUAAUGCAAAUGCACAUUUUUAAGCUUUGUAAAAAUAGACAAUUUAGAUGUGUUAUAGUGCACACAAAGCAUAAUCUAAUACUAAUCUAAUAUUAACUGCUACAACCUUCGAAUCUCAUUCCUCAAUAUUUAAAAAAAAAAAAAAAAAAAAGUGAAUUUGUUGAUCUUUUUACUUAUACAAGGAGUGAAAAAUCUCAGAUUUGAGAUCUUUUAUUUAUAAAAAUUUUCUACUAAUUUUGGUGAGUAAAGGGAAGGACUAUCCUAAGGUGUAGUCCAAGACAUUCUUUCGGCCCAUUCGACCCUGUUAAAUCAAUAUAUAUAUGUGGAGAGAUAUUGCAUAUACGUGUCCAAUUUGCCAUUCACCAUAUUGUAUGGUCAUCUAGAUACAACAUAUAACACAAUCGUUGACAGUAUAUGUGUUAAAUUUUUAUGUACAACAUCAAGGACUACCUCUACAUUCAAGGGGCAAAUUGUCAAGCCAGGAAUCAUCCAAGAGAGGCGUUGAAGGUUCCAAUUCAGUAGGCCACUGAGAACUAACAUCUACUUCAUCAUAGAUAAUAGGUUUACACUUCCAAUCUCUACUUUGGCAAAUUGCUUGUAACCAAAGAUUGCAAUGAACAAAAACCAAAUCAUUCAACUUUUCCAGCUCAGUUUUGUUGCGUUUUUUGUUAUGUAUACUCUCAAAGGUUUUCCAGUUCCAUUUGCACCAAUGGGAACUACAUGGUUGGCUAAGUAUUCUUAUAGCAACUCUCUGCAGAGUUGGAAUCUCGUAGCCGUAUCCAGCCCACCAAUCACCUAAAGAUGCGUAUGAUGGCAUAUUAGAUGCACUUGUAAGGCUUCUUCAAAACUCAAAAGCAUACAAAUGCGAAAUAUUACAUUUCAUAUUCUUUUUGUGUAAUGCACUAUGCACAAGUUGACAGAAAUGACAGAAACUUCAACAUACCUGGAGAAUUCAGUGUCCUUCCCAUGAUUGCAAAAUCAGUACCCAGUGCCCCUUGAGCAUUUAUGUACAUUGGAUGUUCUUUGGUGAUUUCUAUUUUAUCUUUAUCUGAGGUAGCCAUCUUGAUCAUAGUAUCUUGAAACCCAUUCCUCAUCCUUAAAUCAAUUUUAAAAUUCGGGUUGUAGAAAAUUGAGGGGUUAAGAAAUGCCGCUGCAGCAUGUAAUGGUGAGUGGAGCUGUAUGUUCCAUCUGCGAUCGAUUAUAUCCCAAAUUGGAAUAUAUUUUUCUUCAAUACCUUUAUAAUAUGUCUUGAUCGCAGCCUUUGCCCUCUCAAUUCCUUCAUAUAUAUACCCCAUAGCUGGCAUGUCCCCAUCAACAAUCCUUAGAAUUUUAACAAGGGGUUCAGAAACACUAACAGCUUCACGCGCAAACUUCCAAAAACGAUCUUGAUACAACAAAGAUUUGAUGACUUGAGCAUCGGGGCGUCUACUAUGCACAGAUGAUAUCCACUCUGAAUGGGAGAACAUAUGCUUUAGAUUGUCCUCCUGGAUAACAAUAGCCCUCAAGGAGAGAUAAUUACUCACAAAUCUUGUGAUUCUAUGUCUGACCAAUUCCCUUCCACCCAUAAACUUUCUCAUCAUAUUCAAAGUCCAUGCAUUACUAUAUAUGUACCUGGUUAUGGUGUUUGCCUCCUCCAAAACUGUACCAACCCACUCUUGUUUACUUAUAUCCUCCAGCAUCUUAUCAAUACAAUAAGAAGCACAAGGCGACCAAAACAAUGAGGUGUACUUGGCCAUGAGAAGCCUCCCUGCAUAAACAUAACUGGCAGCAUUAUCUGUGAUUACUUGUAUCACAUUUUCCAAGCCAACCUCCAAGACAAUUGACUCAAGCAACUCAAACAAGUAAUUAGCAUCAUCUUCAUGACCCGAUGUAUCAACUGAUUUCAAAAAUAACGUUCCUUUAGGACACGUAACCGAAAAUACAAGAAUUGAUUUGGUUCUUCCAUCAGACCAGCUGUCACACAAAAUUGUACAGCCUGUUUCUUUCCAUUCCUCUCUAUAUUUCCUGUAACAAUCAUGUACAUCACCUUUUACUUUUUCCAACAGUGUGGAUCUCAGCUUGUCAUAACUUGGAGCUUUGUAUCCCACCCCACACUCAGCCACAGCAUCAAACAUAUCCUGAUAAUAUAUAGAUUUAGCAGCACUAAACGCAAUAGAAUUAUGGAAGAAAAACACAGCAAUUUUUUUAUCAGCAAUAUCCUGUUUUCGCUUCUGAGCAUCAUCUACUUCUGGCUGUCCACUAGGUGAGGGGUGUGGAAAUAACAAAGAUGGGCAGGUGCUACCACGUUGGCCACUGGAUCCAUGGUUUGGAUGUAAGCCACCACUAGCAGAAGAGCUAUUUUGUUGAUCAUUAACCACUCUAUCCACCUUUGGUUUUCUGGGAGUUUUCUGUUUCUUAGGAGUGUUUAGUAUACUUUGAAUGUGAUCUCGCACGUUAUCCGGGACUUCUACACAGGGAACUAUGUCUUUGUUCUUUAUUUGGGCCAAAUGGAACUUCAUCCGGUAAACACCUCCACUGAAUUCCCGAUGACAAUAAUUACAUCUAACCUUUUGCCUUGUUGCAUCGACAAGAACACAGUGUUCCCAGCAAGCAUCUCUUCCGCGUACCAUAAUCCCUAAACUAAUAUGAAAUUUGUUCUGCCAUUCAGUUCAUAGAAAUAAUUAAGGAAGUAUAUCGAAAUUAAACUGAUAUAAACCUACAUGAGACUCAAAACUAUAAAUAAAAUCUAGAGAAAACACAGGAAUCGAGAAUUGAAGUACAUAAAAUGAUUUAUCAUGUCCAAAGUCUCUUGAUGCAGCAUGUUUUUUUGAACAUGAACUUAUACUCUAUAUAAAAUGACCAAUGACAUACCAUCAGACCAGCAUAAAUUUAUGUUUCCUUUUCCUUUGCCAAAGGAAGCAAAUUUUUUGACGCACAAAAAGAACUUGAAACAAUGUCAAGCACAACAAGGUGAAAAGAAUUUCGAACAGCCUAAUUAAAUUGAACCAAUGACAAAGAAAUCUACAGUCUUGAUCACAGGAAUAAUCAAUAGCUUAUAUUAACCUAUAAAUUGAGAAGGUAACGUUAUGUUCCAAACCAAAAGCAAAUGAAAAGUAAGUAAUUCUGAUCAUCCAAAGCUUUAUUUAGCUGCAAAAAUUCAGAAUUCAUAAAGUACACCAAGACUACCUUCUUCUAGACACUCUAAAGUCCAGUAUUUAUCUAUAUUGGUAUAUAUACAUAUAUCAUCAUCAACCAUCAUGCUUUCAAAAACCUGAAUUUUCCUAUGCUAACAUUUCUAGUUGGAAAAAAUAAUAAUUCUCUCUUUUAAUUGUAAAAAACCCACAUCUUUUCAUAAAUCUUGCAACUUCAAUUUCCAUGCUUUAUUCAAAAUAUCAGGUUCUUAUUUAUCACACCAAUAAAAGCAAACAGUAAAUUCCUGCAUUUAAAAUUGCUCUAAUGAAGUACAUUUAACGCCAGAAUAUACAAAUAUCAUCAAUGCAGAUAUUCAAAUUCCAACACAAGCAUAUUCUUCUGAAAAUAGCCACCCUGAAGUUGCAAACACAGUAUACUUCAACAAUAAACACCAAACUAAAACUUGCACAAUAUAUAUAAAUACAAAAAGAGAAAAGUUCUAUAGAAAUAAACCUCAUCUGCAAGGCUACUAGAGAGAGAGAGAGAGGUAUUUUAGUUACCUGUAACGGAGAAAACGACCUGAAGCAGUAGUAGCUUGCUAGGGAGGUGAAGAAAAGCGAGAGAAAAGGUCGGAGAUUGGUCGGAAUCUGGAAAGGAAAUGGAUCGGCGAUUUUGGAAGUACAGAAGAAACGAGGAAAUGAAAAACAACGGCGAUAAAUUAGUGGUCCUCGCCAGCGCCAGGACCGCGACGUUGGACAUCGUCCACCACUCUCACGUGAUCAGCGCGUGAUUCUCUAUUUUUUCCUUCAUUUCAAUUUAUUUAUUUUUAAUUAAUUACUAAAGUAAUUUAAUACAAGAAAAAUCUUAUUUCCUUUGUAUUAAUUCCGGUGGUACAACAUGAAGAGACUAGUUUAGCGGCAAAAAGCACUUAUGAGAUUUAUCACCAUAAUAUAAAUCAUGAGUUCAAUUCUCUACAAAAUAAAUUUUCUCAGAUUAGCCCAUUUACCUCUGAUGACAAGUGAAAAUUAAUGCAAGUGUCAAAAAAAAAUUCUCAUGAUAUCCCCUUGUAUAUGUCACUUCAAUUAAUGGAUUCAUCAUUAUUAACAAGCAUUUCUAACAACAAAUUAAUAUUUUGAUGCAUACUGAAAUAUAUAUAAAAAAAAUUCUCUUUGCAAAAGAAAAAUAAAAAAUUUUAAAAUAAAAAUCUAUUUUCGCUAUAUUCUAUAUUUAAACUCAAAGUUAUUUGCUUAAAAUAAUAAAAUAAAUAAAUAAAUUUUUAACAUAUUUUAGUUAUUUAUUUAUAUUGAUUUUUAAUAACAAAAUUUUCAUUUUACUUCUCCUUUUCUUGCUCUAACUUAUAAUUUUAACCAUCAAACUAACUUAUAUUUUUUAAAAAAUUUGUAUUUUUUCUUACAAUGAUUUUUUUUUUUUUUUUGCGAAAAAAAAAAUCUUAUUGUAAUAAAAAACUUUGAUGAAAUUUUUUAAAAUUAUAAGUUUUUUUUUUUUGAAAAGUUUUAAAACUAUAGGUUAUUUCAUAUAAAUUAAAUUAGUAAGUAACCAUCGGCUGAACGCAAAGGAAUCAUCUUGCGCCAAGCCGCCAACUAUCCAACACGUGUAAUCACAGUUUCCAUCGUGACAGCCGAUGGUGAUAUAGAGAUUAACCAAAAAGAACUCAGGAUAACUAUUAUAGAGUUUACCCCAUAAAAGCAAAACUCUUCAGUAAAUGCAGAAAAUACGAACUCACAAUCGGUGCCCUUCUUAUUGAAAGAAUGAGUCGAUUCUCCAAGCAGGAAGGAAGGAAGAACCCUAAGCGGAUCAUGAUCUUCUAGCUAUUCUUCAAUUAUUUUCUUUAUUUCUUCUCUAACUGGUAUGCCAAUUUUUCACUCUCUGAUCUUUUUAUUUUCAUUUGUUUAACCUGCCCAUGAAUUACAAUGCUCUACCCCUGUUUGUUUAAAUGCCUCUGAGAAAUGUGUUUUUUUUUUUUUUUCCUUCCCUGUAAUGUUUUUGCUAGUUAUAUUCUGAAAUGUGCUUGGUUACAUUACUUCACUGGGAUUAAGGUUUUGCUUUGAUCAGAGUUCUACAAUUAAGCUUAUAUAGUAAGCACAGUAAUCCCAUCCCAUCAAACAAAUUUGUACACAAUUUUUCCUAGGACGCAUCCUUUUCAAUUUGUGUGCUGUUUCUUGGAUUUAUUACCUGUAAUUUCUUGUGUUGGUUGACACAAUGCAGUUUAAAUACUGCAUUCUUGCUUACUUUCUCAAGUUUUGUAAUUUUACACCAAUGUCAUUGUUGGCACUUGGCAGUACUGGUAUUGUGCUUGGCAGGAAAUUGAGAGCCAUGUUUAACUAAUGGAGAGCAACCUUAUAUUAUAUAAAACGCGAAAUUCUUGUUCCUAAACCAUGUAUAGAAUUCCUCUCCCAAGAGUUGCUAUCUUAGGAAAAACAAUAUUUUGUGCAACUUGUUUUUCAUGGGCAUGUCACAGAGAGAUGGAAUGUUGGGGCCAAGAAUUCAAAUCAAGCAUUGGAAAUAAAGUUAAUAAACCAUGGGAGAAGUAUAGAAGGUGCAUGGUGUGACAAUUGAUGCCUGAUGUUUGUAGGAAUUGCUGAGUACCAUAAAACUUUGCAAGUUUAUAUAAUCAAUGUUUUUGUCUUAUAAUGAAAUGAUCUCUGAGUAAUAGCAUAAACUGCAUACUUUUUUAUUAACUUCUUAGGUUCAUCUGCCAUGAUUGCAAGUGUUUGAACUGGCAAAAUAUUGACAUUCUUAUCUUGCAUCCUUGAUCUCUCUAUUUCAAAUCCUUAUCUUUCAAAAGAAGAAAAAAAGAGGGUGUAAGCAUAAAAAGUACUUGGUGUUUUUGUUAUAAAUUUCUUAACUAAAUAUGGUGGCAUCUUUUUCCUGUGUUUCUUAACUAUGCUUUUAUUAUCGAUGUGUAAGCCUCACCUUUUUUUGACCUUUAUUUAAACUCGCCCCUCAUAUGUACCUAUGAUGCAUUUCUAGGAGGAACGACACUUGGGAUUUGAUGAAAGGUGCUUCUAGCAGCCUACGUGCAGCAUUUUCCCACUGUGUACAGCAAGUGCGAAGUUAUGAUUACCAUCACUAUCUCUGCCUACUUGAACUCCCUCCUAACAUGCGAAAGGCUGCAUUUGCCCUCCGUGCCUUUAAUGUUGAAACAGCCAAAGCUAUGGAUGUUGCUUCAGAUCCCAGGAUUGGUCUUAUGCGACUCCUCUGGUGGCAAGAAACUAUAGAUAAGAUUUAUGCUAACAAGUUAAUUGAGCACCCAACUGCACAGGCCCUCUCAUCAGUGAUAUUAGAGAAUAAAAUUACUAAGGGAUGGUUGAAACGGUCAGUCGAAGCACGCAUCAAUGAUGCAAGGAGAGAAGUUACUGACAUCCCAGAAACCUUAGAAGAGUUGGAAAAAUAUGCUGAGGACACUGUGUCAACCAUUCUGUACAUGACACUUCAAGCUGGUGGUAUUAGGUCCACUGCGGCUGAUCAUGUGGCAUCCCACGUUGGUAAGGCAAGCGGGCUUCUAUUGCUACUUAGGUCACUCCCAUAUCAUGCUAGUCGCAACCGUCACUUCUCUUAUAUACCAACUGAAGUGGCAGCCAAACACGGGUUAUUAGUUAAGGAGGGAGGUCAAUCAGAAAUUCGAUUGGAUUCACGCGAGGGCUUAUGUGAUGCUGUCUUUGAGAUGGCAUCAGUCGCUAAUGUUCAUUUGCAGAAGGCUCGUGCAUUGGCUGGAACAAUACCUGCUGAAGCUCAGCCGGUGCUUCUACCAGCUAUUCCAGCCCAAGUUCUCAUAGACUCCUUGAGUAAAGUGCAGUUUGAUGUGUUUGAUCCAAGGUUGGAACGAGGAGUUCUUGGCAUUCCUCCUCUGUGGUAUCAACUGAAAUUGAAGUGGUAUUCAUGGAAGGGCAAAUACUGAUAAUUUAUUUUUAUUUUUGUACUUCUAGUUCCUUUACAAUAAAGGGAUUGUCUUUUACAUGAAAAAUGGUGCUUUCCCCUAUAGUACAAAAGCUUUGGCUAAACAUUUAGUUUGUGAAAUUUUUUGAUAGCGACAUUACCUGUGAUUUAGGAGGAACAUCUUUUUUUUUUUUUUUUAAUUGAAAGGAUCAGAAGCUUCUAUUCUUGCUUUAUUUGUUUUCAAUAUAUUUAAAUUAAGGUUAUUUGCUUUAAAAGAAAUAGAAGAAUGAAAUAAAAUAAAAUAAAAAGUCAUAACAGUUAAAUCUAAAAAUGAAUUUUACAUGUUAGUCACAAAAACUGCAAAAGCAAAUUAGUUUCUGAACACUCCAAGAAAUAGUUUCGAACAUGAUUGUUAUGAAUAUAAGCAGGAAAUGCAUCAAGAUUUCACCACUCGAUUGUUCAUAAAAAUUAUAAUAUACAAUCAUAUAGAUCAAAUUCUUCCAACGUGCUAUAGGAAAGAGCAACUCAGUAGCAAAAAGCUGUGAUAUUGAAUUCUGUAGGCAUCAAAUGCUCAGUACAAUGUAAGCUCUCAUAGUUAAAUUGUUGAAAACCAACAAAAACACAGUUCAGAGAUGGAAAGAAGCAAUAGACUUGACCAAAUACUAAAUGACAUCACAAAGCACAGCAUAAAUUCCAACACCGGUAAUAAGAAUAAAUGUUUGAUUUAUUGCACCGCAAAAAUGUAAUUGGCUCAUCUUUCAAACUGGGAUUAGCUUGGAAUCAUGUAUACAACUAUGGAAAAUUUUCCUCCUAACUCGCUUGCUUCUUCACGCUGCGAACACAAUCAACAUAGCUCCUAGUUAGAGGGGCACAUUUCAGUAUAUCAUUAGGAUUCUCCUUGUAACAAGCACGGCAGGCUUCAUAAUCAGCCAAACAGGGCAUAGGCUUCUGAUAUGGAAGCUUGAAUUCCUUAUCACGAAGAUUUUUGGCUCUUUCUGUUACUUCUUGCACCAAGGCAUCCUCCUUCUUCUCCAACUUUUCCAAAACCAUUUCACUUUUCUGAAUGACAGAUCUAAUUGCCUCUAAUUCCGAGUUUUCAGAAUGUGCGGGUGGGGUUACAGGCAAGAACAAUGGCGGUUGCACUGGCCAACCUGGAGAAGCAGCACCUUUAUGUGUCUCAGGAUCAUUAUGAAGUUGACUCUCAAUCACCUUAGUUUGGGGUUGAGCAGGUUCUCGUGGUAUCUUAGCUUUAGUUUUCUUCGGUUUUUUCUUCAACUUCUCGGCAUCAUUGGCAAGCCUAUUAACAAGAUCAGCACUGAUCUGAAUUGAAAAAUCACCCAUAGCGGCAAUACCCUUGAAAUUUUUACCUGGGAAAAAAAGAUUCCAAAGAGAUCUUGCUGCUCAGAAACGAAUAGUUCAGACUUUCUAGUACAUAUAAUAAGCAAUUUGGAAGUGAACUUUGUUUCAUAUCAUUAAUAGUAGCAACUAGCUUGUUCUGAUGGGUUUGAGGGAGCAAUGGUCAAUCGGAGAUUUAAUAGUUGAAAAGCACCAAUCUGAUCAUUCAGAAAAUAAGAUAACAAGAAAGGUGUCUGUUCAUUAUACAGGUACACAAGGGAGUCAUCAAUGAAUUAUUAAAGACCAAGCGUACAUUUCUAAUGAUUAGGCCUUUCUUCGCUGAUCACCUACACUGAACGAGUUAUGCAUCAAUUUAAAAGUUCCAAUAAUGCCUCAGCCAAAACCAAAAUUGCAAUGAUAAAUCAGCCAAAACAUUGGCUGUAUCUUUUCUUCGUUCAUCAAGUUCACAAAAUGAAACGAAAUCUCAAAACAAAACAUUUGCGGAAGGCAAAAGAAGGCAUUGUCUGUCACUUCAAACAUGAAAAAUAACAAAUUACACAAACAGAAGCAACAAGCCAACAAAACCCUACUAACUAAAACGACAUGUUCUUCGCUUUUUUACAAGUCCAAAACAACACAUAUAACACCAAUUCCAAGUUUCUAAUGUAACACAUGAUUACCACUAAAAUUAGAGAAAAUCUGAAUUCACUUAAUCCGAUAAUGUAUAACCUGAGACUUUUUCUGCAUAAAUAAAAUUGGGAUGGAAUUGAGUAUUCUAGGGUUUAAAAAAUUAUGUGAAUUUUUUUUUUUUUUUUUUUUGGUGAAAAGAAAUUGCAAAAUAAAAAUAAAAAAAAUCAGAGAGUGAAAAAAUGGCAUACCAGUUAGAGAAUGAAUAAAUAAAGAGAAUAAUUGAAGAAUAGCUACAAGAUCAUGAUCCGCUUAGGGUUCUUCCUUCCUUCCUUCCUGCUUGGAGAAUCGACUCGUUCUUUGAAUAAGAAGGGCAGCGAUUGUGAGUUCGUAUUUUCUGCACUGAAGAGUUAUACUAUUAUGGGGUGGACUCUAUAAUAGUUAUCCUGAGUUCAUUUUGGCUAAUGCCUAUAUCAUCAUCCACUGUCACGAUAGAAACUGUGAUUACACGUGUUACAAAGUUGGCGGCUUGAUGCAAGAUGAUUCCUUUGCGUUCAGCCGAUGUUUACAAUUUACUAAUUUAAUUUAUAUGACAUAACCUAUAAUUUUAAAAAAUUUCAUGAAAAAUUUUAUAUAUAUUUUUUUACAAUAAGUUAGAUUGAUGGUUAUUAAUAAAUUUUUUUUCUUAACUAAAUGAACUAUAUUGUCGAUAUUUUUAUAAGAAAAAAUCGAGUUCAACACUACAAUUCAUUUAUAUAUAAUCAAUUAACGAUAAAAAAAAUUAAAUCCAAUAAAUGCUUUAUGUAUUGUCACUCAAAAUAAUGGAAAAAAUUAAUAGAAUUAUAAUCAAUCGGAAAAUUAAAAUAAAUAUUUAAUUAAAAAUAUUAAAUUAAAUGAAAAAUGUUAACAAAUGGAAAGUAUAUAGACAUUCGAUAAGUUUAACAUUUUAUGUAUCCAAGGACCGGAUAUUUGCAAUUUUGAAAUGCACUUAUGGCUAUGGGCUAUGGGGUAUGGGCUAUGGGCUGUGGGCCAAGUCCAAAAUCAGGUUUGAAGGGGAAAACUCGUUUCCUAUUUUAUUCAGCAUUUUUGUUCUAUUUCAUUUUCAAGAAAUGUAAAAGAAGAAGAGUUUAAUCGUUUGCCUCUUUUCUUUUUCAUCCCUCGCAAAAGCAUAGAGAUUUACCUUUCCCAGUUCACACUAUUUUGACAUUGGAACCAAGAGCAGUAUUUAAAUAAAACCCUUUCAGAACAAGGACUCCAAAUUUUUUCUUUGAGUGAGUUUGCAUUUGUGUUUUCAUUCUUGAAAUGAGUAUUUAACUCUAAAAUCUCUGAUCUUACAGAUAAAAUUUACUUGAUACAGUCUAUUUUUUAUGAUCCAACUAUCUGUUGCUUGCGUGUGAACAUUAUUUCACUUGAAUUUUUCUAAAUUUUCUUCUUUAUAGACACGAGUGGGAUGAGAUGUUUAAGUGUUUCCCAUUCUGCAGGACAAUACAAGUGAUUUAGGCCUUAAAAGGGUUUAAGACCUCAUCGGUAUUGCUAUGGAUAAUAGCAAUUUUAAUAUGGGUUUCACACAUAGUGCACUCUUUGAUUUUAAAGUGGUCGGAGGUAUAUGCUUAGUGUCAAACCAAAAUACGAAAUUUGAUGAACUGUGCUCCACAAAGUAACUGGAAAAGAUAUCUGCUUAUCCUGCCAACUCCAAUAUAAAACUAAAUAAAAACAAAAAGCAUGGAGGCCCAUCACUAUUUUUUUUUUUUUUUCCUUCUUAAUUCUUGUGUCCAAAUUGUAAUUUUUGGAAAAUUAUGAAAAUAUUAUUGAAAUAAUCAUUAAAAUUUGAAAAAGAUUAACUCUUUUCUAAUGAAUUCUUGAAAUACUGUGGAGGCCCAUAGCUAUAGGUAUAGAUGCUACAUACACAUCAAGACGAGAUGGGCAGCUUUUCCCUCUCAUUAUAAGAUGGACUCUCAGUUGUUGUUUUCAAAACAACACUUGAAAUCAGAAGCAGAAGUAUCAGUAGAAAUGAAUUAUUCAAAGAAAAUGUCAAAGCCAACAGACCAACACCAAUACACCUUCAUGUCAUGAUUCCACAUUCCACUUUCUAAUCACUCCAUUUUAGUUUUUCAGGACAUGCCAUUGCCAUAGCUAUCCUAUCCAUCCAUUUUAGAAUCUUUAGGUGUAGGGUCUCCACCUUUCAAGCACUCAUCAUCAUCAUCAUAUGUUCUAUUCUUUCAAAAAUUUAUUUUCUUUUUUCUAAGUCGUGCCAAAAAGUAAUUACCUUGAUGUCCAAUACAAGAAAACUCUAUCAUCAAAAGUACCUUUCCUUUACUCUUUGUUAUAUAUAAAUAUGUCUGUUUAUAUAUAUAUAUAAGCAGAAUUUUCUUUUCAUUUUCUUUUUUAAGUGCAUAUAUAAAUAUAUAUAUAUGCUAAUUUAUAGGCCUAAAACGUUUAGCUUAUGUAACUUGAUAAAUAAUUUUUUAUGAUUAACUUGUUUUUUAAGAAAAUUUACAUCGACACUAAGCAUAUAUAUAUAUAUAUAUAUAUAUAAUGAUAUCAAGCUCUUCCAGAUCACGCUUGUUAAUUAAUCUGUUGUUUCUUUUUUUAUUUUUUCCAUUGCAUAUACAUUAUUUUUAGUAUUCUUUUGAGCUCAAAAUUAUGUCUUGUUUAACUUAGCAUUCAAUCAAAUAUUAUCUCUAUUAUUUAUAGUUAAAAUUUGCAAAAGUGAAUUAUGACAUGUUAUUCCUUUUUAAGGUUCAAUUGAAUAUUAGUAAAAUAACUAAAAAUUAUUAGAACAGUUAAUAACUAGUAAAAUAAUUAAGUUUGCUGAAAAAAGCCUAUAUCUUAUUUAGUAACAGCUUUUAACGAAACAUUCAGUGUUUUGAAUUUUGUCAAAAUAUUAUUUCUAUUAUUUAUAGUAGCGUUUUAUACUAGUAUUUAAAGUUUUGUAGAACUGGAUUAUGAAAUGUCCUUCUUUUUAAUAUUUGAUGGAAGGUUGGUAAAAUAACUAUUUACAAUUAACGACUAGUAAAAUAAUUAAUUUUGCCGAACAAAACUUACGUUAAAUUCAUUAAAUUCAUUGUCAACUUUUCAAACUUGAAUGAUAACCUAUAUGUUUGAAUAUAUGUAAUAAUUGAAUUUAAGGUCCAUUUUCAAGUCACAAUCCAGUCAAGAUUAUAAUAUCACUGAUGAAAUUAACUUGUAUCCAUCAUUUUCUUAUUAGGACAUAGUUAUUUCAAAGUGCAUGUAUGUAUGUAUGUAUAUAUAUGUCUUCUUCAUCAAGCGACUGCAGUAUAUAUGCUGACAUUUAAUCAGCGGUCAUGGAUGAUCAAAAGACAAAAUUGGCGGCAAGGCAGCUUCUAAAAUUACAAAAACAAUCAAAUGGAUUUACAAAAACAUUGAUGUCAAGAGUUCUUAUUUUGGAUAUAUAAUUACAUUCCCAUUAGGGUUUGAACCUAAAAUUUCACAAUCCUAAAUUAAAAUUCAUAGAGUCAUAGUUCUUGGCUGUUUUAUUGUAGGCAUAGAUCAUAUAAAAGAAAAUGAAAUCAGCAGCACUGAGAAGUACUUAAUUCAAUGGAGAAUAUAAUCAUCAAAUUGGAAGGAUAACACAAUUGAGAUUAUUAAUUAAAUUAAUUAGUACGAUCAGCUUUAUUAAAUCGUAAAGAGAUUGAAAAGCAAAACAUGAUUAGUGUGUGUGCUCAGUUGAUUAAUUAAAUAAAAGCUAAUUGGAGCUUAAUUAAUUCCUUGUCUUGCACUUAUGGAAUUUCAGUAACUGCACAAAAUCAUAAUUGGAUAUUCCACUGGAAUAUAUUAAUUGCAUUUGCCAUUGAAACACUGUAGUUUAAUUAAAAAAAAAGGUGCAUGAUGAUUUAUAAUUAUAUAUAGAAAAUAUCUUUUAUGUUGAUCAUUAAGAGUAAUAUAAAGUUUCAACUUUUUGUACUUUAGACGAGUACUGGCUACCUAAUUAAUGGAUGCAAUGGAUAUACCAUAUGCUUUAAUUUAAAAACCCUAACUAGGGACACUGCUUAUUAGAAAAAUUUUAAAAAAUAAUAUUCUCUUCGUUCCAUUUAUAUAAAUAAAGUUAUUUUUGCACAACAAUUAAAAAAUUAUAUUUACCAUCAAAAAUUAAAAAAAUAAAUUUCACAAUUUUCUUUAUUUAUCAUCAAUAUAUCAAUAAAUGAGUUUGUCACUGCAUAGAAACUUUUAUAUAUAUAUAAAUUUCAUAAAACUUACAUGUACCUUUAUAAACUUACAUUUAUAAAAGUAAUCUUACUUAAAAAUGGAUUUUGCCUUAAAGUAUAAAAAUAAUAAUUUUUUUUAUUUCCGUACACAUUUUUAUAUUUAGACUAAUGAUAAUAUUUAAACAAAAUUCUUCAAUUGUAAUAAUUUAAAAUUUAAAAUCCUUAAUUUUAUAAUUAAAACUCGCUUGAAAAAAUAUUUUAUCUAUGUUGGAUCUAAAUAAAGCAUAAUAUUACAACAUUAUUUUCUUUUGAGAUGAAUAUUUAUAAAAAGAUGGAUGAUCUUUAUUUCCACCAGUUAUUUAUUACAAUAAGAAAAACAAAUAAUAUUAUCCACUUUAUUCGACAUUAAUUAAUUAUCAUACAACAAUAUUUACAAAUGUUAUAAUUAAUGAUAAUUUACUAAAAGACCCACUAGCCACAUAUGUAUAUGUUUUUUCGACAAUGGCCCAACAUGUCCCUGUCUCUUACAUGUAGGAUUACAGCAACUUUCGUAAAGCACCAAGAAUAUAUUAAUAAUGUCACAUUUUAUGAUUUCCUUUUUCAAGUUAUUUGGGAUCACUGUUUUGACCAGGUUGGUGAGAAAUUGAGAAACCUGUAAACAAGACAGGUUUUUGCUUCGACCCUCACAACAAUAAUUAAUCUAAUGAUAAAGCACAUAUAUACCGUAACCUAACUUCACCUACCCGUACAUGAUACUUAGUUCUGUAUCAUUUUUGUACCUUAAAAUUUUUGUUACUACCAUAUCCAUAUGUACAUACUUGUGUAUCUUAGUUCUUGCCUUCCAUCUCUAACGCAUGCAACGCCGCGCUGUCCGAGCAAUCAAACCCGAAAUCAUGUACUCCAAAAUCUUGGCAAUCCAAUAACCAGGUGCAGUUAUCUUCCCACGACGGAUAUGGAUAACCCAUUUCACGAUUAGGGUUUUCAAGAGCAGGAGGACUAUUGUUGUUAUUGUUAUUAUUAGUAUUGUUCCAUGAUGCGUCUAUGAGAGGAGGCUCGUCCAUCAAUAAACUAUUCAAUAACGUCGUGUCGUUGCAAAUACUAUCUAAUAAAAUUGAUUCAUCCCUACAGAAAUUUUGAUCAUUUUGCGAUGAGCUUGAAUUUUCCUCUGAUGAGUUGACUAUGCCAUCAUUUUCUUGUAUGCUAUCAUUGCUGCUGUUGUUGGCGGGUUCUGGUAAAAGAUGGUCGGUUUGAGACACCGAUGAACUUUCUUCAGUCUUGGCUUCUUUCUGUAAGGGUUCGUGUGUGACAGGAUCAAUUCCCAUUUUCAGAAGCUUUUUCUUGAUAUGGGUAUUCCAGUGAUUCUUGAUUUCAUUGUCUGUCCUUCCUGGUAACCUAGCAGCAAUCUUGGACCACCUAAUCACAUGAAAGAAGAAUCAAGAAAAUGUGUUGGAGAUAUAAAAUUAAUUCAUCAUCACUUGAAUCUUAAGCAAAUUGAAGAUGAAAUAAUUAUAUUCUUGCACUUUACACUAACUUUCAAAAUCUUUGACAUUUGCUGCUGAAGGUUUUCUUAUUCGUUUUCCGCAUGUUAAUUAUCAAGAAUGUAACUAAAAAUAUAAUGUUUGAAGUAUGAUUAUUGUUCAAAUACAAGAUAUUAUUUAAUUAAGUCAGCUUGUCCAACACUUUCAUUUCAAAAAUGAAUUAUCUUGUUCCUACAGAACAUGAUUAUCCGUUACAAUAAUAUUUAAAUGUGUCAUUACAUAAGCAACCAAAAACCAACAUGUAGAAGAUGGAGGCACCGUACCAAACCCCAUUAAAUAAAACCACUAAAAACAUUUAAAAUGCUUUUUAAUUAAUGCAUGAUCAUCAACAACAAAACUAAUAAUAAUAACAGCAACAAAAACUUACAAAAUAAGAAAUUAACUAAUUAAAAUAAGCAAUUAACCUAUUGCCAAGACGUGCAUGAAGAUCAAUAACCAAUUGCUCUUCAGCUUCAGUGAGAAGACCUCUCUUCAAAUCAGGACGAAGAUAAUUAGUCCAGCGGAGACGACAACUCUUACCGCAUCGCCGGAGACCGGCGAGCUUAGGGACAGCUCUCCAACAACAUUGACCGUUUGUAAGAAUGAAAUUAAUGAGUUUCUUGUCUUCCUCAGCUGUCCAUGGCCCUUUCUUGACUCCAAGCUUAUCACAACAAGGUUGCCUACCCAUAUCACAGGACAAACACAGUAAACGUUUAUGCUAUUCCACUAAUUCCAAGCAAAGAAAAAGUCUCACCAACACAGCUUUAUAUAAAGUCCUCAACUUUGGUACCCUAAAAUAUAUAUUAGAAAUAUAUAUUAUGAGAACAAAAUUAAUAUUGUAUGGAGAGAAGGGGACUUGAGAAGGGGUCCACCAUUGGUUUAUGAAAAGGACAUGGGAACAAAAAUGGCUCGUUAGGGUAUGUGUGGAUACAGAAAAUUGAGUGACAAAAGAAUGAUAGGUGACCAAAAGACUGAGCUGAGCUACAUCUAAAGAAGCACCCCCUAAUAAGGAGAAAACGAUUUAUAAAAAAAAAAAAAAAAAAAAAAAAAAAAAAAAAAAAAAAAAAAAGAAAAAAAGGAAAAUUUUUCUUCCCAUUUUCCUACACAACCCCACUCCUCCUGAUUGCACUCUUACUCAACCAUUCCAUCACUCAUUUCGUCAUCACCACGUUUACGUGUCCUUAUUGGGAUACUCUUUUAUAUUAUUCAUGUGCCUCAUAUUCUUUAUUGGCAUUUUAUUUUUAGAGAUUUCCCUUUGAUAGAUAUGUUGUAGGUUUUGAUUUUCCUUUACUUUUUCUUUCUUUUUUGUUCUUUCUAUUUUGCAAUUCCAACAUUUUUAUACAAAUUAAUUGAAUCAUGGACUUUGCAGAAAUCGUACAAUGAAUUUAAAAGUGUUUUAUUACUUGCAACUACAAAUCUAUUUUAUUCUUUAAUUUUGCACAUAUUAAUUGAAAUUUGAAUUUAAAACCUGACAGCUAUAAGAUAGUUCUAGUACCACCGUAUCAAAAAUUCAUUAUUUGCUUAAUUGUUAAUGUAUAUAUAUAUUAUUUUUUUAAGGCAAUGAAUUGAUGAAUAUAAUUUUAGGCUCUAAGAGGAGCAAAAAUUAAACACUCUGGAGCAUAAAUAACUGAUAGUCUAAUAGUAAAAAAUAAGAGAGUCAUAUGUUCAGUCUCAGAGAAAGUUAAUGCCAAUUAAAUAAUGAUUUUUUUCAGACAAUUUCCCACAACAUUUGCCUACUUUUUCCUGGUAUGUAGAAUGAUCUAGUUGAAUGCGAAAUAAUUUUCUUCCCUGUAAUUGGAAGAAAAAAAGAAUAAAGAAGAAAGCACUUGGAACAUCUUAGAAGGCAAAAUGCGAAAUGAUUUUGGAAUACAUUUAAUUUACUUCAUGAAAUUUGGAAGACAUUCACAUUUUUCCAUUUGCAAUUUGAGUAGCGUUCUUGCAAGUGGUUUCGGCUUAUUAUUCUUUGCACAAUCGGUGAGAGGAAAAAUAAUUCAUUAAUAAUGUAAUAUUAAAAACAAAAACAAAAAUAUCUUAAAUGAGCAUUUAGUUAUCCAAAUUCAACUAUUUCAUCAAAAAGCACUUUCUUAAAAUGGUAAUCAGUUUAAUAAAUAUAAAAAUUUUCAGUAAAAUAAGUUAAUUGAAUGUUUUCAUAUAUAUAGGAAAGCAGAAAUCAAACUCAUGAAUUUCAAAGAAUCGAAAUUUUACUUUUCCAAGGAUGAAAUUUGAUCAAUCAAACCUUCCAUAAAUGUAAAUAAAAUAAAAUAAAAAACACACAUAUUUUAGUUACAAUGAAUUUAAAACCAAAUUAAUAAAUAAACAUGUGUAGAUUCUCUAUUGGGUUCUAUAUAUUUACAUUUCCAUAUUUUUGGGAACUUUCAGAUCGCUGUUGACGAAUAGAGGGAGAUAUAGCAUGUUGGUGAACUAGAAAAACAAUCAUAGUAAAAAAUUGAAAAAUAUAGUUUACUUUUGUCUUAAGAAAAGGUAGUAAUAAGUCAAAAUUGUCAAGAAACCUCCACUGUUUUCCUUCAAGUAUGCAUUACAUGAUUUGUUUCCCUAUCAAACCACAAGAUCAUCAGUCAUUAACAAUUUGCUAAUCUGCUUAUCUUCUAAGUUCUACAUAUAAUUACUCAAACUAAUGACGUUUUUAAAAGAAAACCAUGUUCUGAUUAUUCUUUCUUAUUUUCUUUAUUACCACUAAUCCCACAUUAUUGCCUCACCAGCUUUUGGAUAUCAAGAAAGCAAAGCUAAUUUAAAAUCUUAAUUAUGCUUAAAUUGCUAUUAAUUAUCCAUCUUAACCACAAAUAAGCAUAUUUAGGUGUCAUUAUCAUAAACAUGCGUGCACAUUUUGGCAAAAUGGUACGCAGGAAAAAUGAUUUAACUUCUUUUUGACAAGGACAAUAUACGUUUAUAUUAACCUUAAUACGCACCAUUAUAAGAUACAUGACACGUAUGUAUCAAAUUCUAGAUUUUUCGAUUUCUCAAUCCAAAGAAGAUCAUUUGAGGUUUCUUGAUUGGUUCAAUAAACCAAACAUAUCAACCCUUUACAAGAUUUUGCCCUCAUAUUAAAUUAUAUUCAUGGAAUGCCCAAUCGAGGUAUUACAACUAUAAAAUGUGUCUCUUUGGAUUUAUGAUAAAUUAACCUAAUCAUAUCAAAUUUCCUUUUUCUUUUCCUACCUUUAUAAACGAAAUUUUCUUCAUUCGGGUCAUAUUCGGUAAAAUUAAUUGUCUUACUAGUUGUCAGUUGUUUUACUAGUAUUUCAUUAAAUAUUAAAAGAAUUAACGUGUCAUAUUCUAGUCCCGCAAACUCUAAACAUUAAUAUAAAACGUUAUAUCACAAAACACUAUAAAUAAUAGAAAUAGUGUUUUGACUAGAAGUUACAUUAAAAGGAGUUCCGGAAUAGGGUACUAAUCCACAAAAUAUCAUAUCAUCUAUACUUCAUGAAUCACAUAUUUAAUUCAUAUAUUAAUCACAAAUGAAAUUGUGAAUUAAUUAAAUAAUCCAUUAUUCACCGUAUUCAUAUCAAAUUGUAAUUUUAUGUUAAUAAAACCUAAUAUGUUAAUUGAAAAUUGUGACUAAUUGAAAUUUUUAAUUUGAUGUGGGAAUCAAUAGUUAUCUAAAACUUUAUUUCUAGUUUUUAUAAUCAUUUUAUACUUGUCUUCCCAAAGGGACAUUCAUGCAUGUUUCAAAGUUUAAUUUGAUAAAAGCCAAUGAACAUCUUGUGAUGGUUGAUCAUAUAAUAGGUAAAAGAUGAGGCGGGGUAGUUGAUGAUCCAAUUUCUUGGUCUUUGACUUGUCUCUCUAGGCUUAGGUUAAUGUAGUUCAAUGUGGACCCUUUAUCCUCAAUAUCACUUCUUUAGACUUAAAUAAAAAUUACCCUUAUUUAUUCCCCUAUUAAUAUUAAUUAAUUAUAAUUAUUUGGUUAUUAAUUUCAAACUCCCUCCACAGAGGCUGCUAAUUUGUAGAGAUUAAUCAUAACAGAUUCAAUCUGAAUCUUGUCAUUAACUACCUCUCCUCUCCUAUUGCCAAGUGUUUAUCAAACACAAACUUUAAAAUAACUUGCAAGACACUAAACCUAAUUGGUGUGUUGAAAGUUAAUUUCUGCUUAAUUAUAUCAUUUUUUGGCAUUAAUUGUUAAUUAAUUUGAUAAUUAAGAAGCAAUUUAAUUAAGCACAUACAUACUCUCUUCUCCGUCCGAUAUUAAUUAUUUUAUGGGAAAAUAAUUAUUUCGUCCCUGAGGUUUGUCAUAAUUAUUUAAGUAGUCCCUGACAUUUAUACAAAUAUUUAUAACAUCUCCGGGGUUUACUUCCGUCUUAUUAAUUAGUCAUUCCGUAUGGAAAAACACACAUUUUCUGUUAAUUUUAAAAGAAAAAGACGAAAUUAUCAUUUGUAAGUUUUCAUUAUUUCGACUCUAAGGUUUGCCAUAAUUAUUUAAGUAGUCUCUGAUAUUUAUAUAAAUAUUUAUAACAUCCCUAAGGUUCACUUCCGUCAUAUUAUUUGAUCUUUCCAUCCAAAAAACACACUUUUUACUGUUAAUUUUUAAUAGAAUGACCAAACUAUCCUAAAUCUUCUAAUUAACAUAUCCUCCCUUUCAAUUACCCUAAAUCCUCUAAAUUUACCCAAAAUUUAGAAAUUUUAAUUUAAAUUUUGGGUAAAUUUCUAAAUUUCUAAUCUGUUUAUUCAAUUUUGGAUUUAAAUCAAACUGGGUGAUUACUUUAAAUUUAAUUUACAAUUUAUGAUUUAAAAUUUACAUAGGCAUUUAUUAAUGGUGGUUUCAGGUUUUAAGUGAACAAGAUUAAGCUAAAUGUGCUAUGUAAAUUUUUGCUUUGCUAUAUUGGUCUUCUUUUUAGCAGAUUUUGCAUAUGGUUGCUGAUUCUAGGAUUAAUUGCUGAGGUUAUUGAGCAAAGUAAUGCAUUGGAUGCAAAUACAAAUAUUAAAUACAUGAACAUGUUUGAUGCUCAAGUAGAGGUUGUUCAUUAUGCUUUGAGCUCUAUGGAAUUUUUUUAUACCAUUUUUGUGAGUGAGUGAGAAGGAAAGCAAAUGAGUUGAAAGGGAUGAUAUAUUAAUUAGAGGAUUUAGGGUAGUUUGGUCAUUCUAUUAAAAAUUGACAGUAAAAAGUGUGUUUUUUGGACGGAAUGAUCAAAUAAUAUGACGGAAUAGAACCUUAGGGAUGUUAUAAAUAUUUAUAAAAAUAUCAGGGACUACUUAAAUAAUUAUGGCAAACCUCAAGAACAAAAUAAUUAAAACUUACAAAGGAUAAUUUCGUCUUUUUCUCUCAAAAUUAACGAAAAAAGUGUGUUUUUUGGACAGAAUGACCAAUUAAUAAGACGGAAGUAAACCUCAGGGAUGUUAUACAUAUUUAUAUAAAUGUCGGGGACUACUUAAAUAAUUAUGACAAACCUCAGGGACGAAAUAAUUAUUUUCCCUUAUUUUAUAAAUAAACAAAUAUCUUUAUCAAAAAACCUUUUUAGACCACCAAUAAUAAAACUAAAAAUUUAUAUCUCAACCGUUAAAUGGAAUGGAAGAAUACCCUUUGAGCCUUGGAAACUAUGAAAAAAAAUAUAAAAGAAAAUUUUACUUAUAAUCUAAUAAAAUAAAUAAAUUUAGUAAGCCACCAAACUUUUGAACGUUUCUUAGUAUUAAGGUAUAUGUACAAUUUUAUGUAACUUAAACAUUUGCAGGUAGAGAGACAGCAAUGCAUGAACCCCAUACUCAAUGUGGUCCGGUAGCUGAGGAUUAGAUUGCUUGUACCAGUUGGUUCUGUCUGGUUUCAGGCUUAGCCACAACUGCAACCGUUGUGACUUCAUGAUCACCUCAACGUCAAUAUAACAUUAAUUAUUAGCCAUCAAAAAUUAUAUACUCUCUUCGUUUUGAAGAUAUAAACCGUUUUUAAGUGAUUAUUUUAUCUCGAAAUAUAAAUCAUUUUGAAUGUUACUUCUUAAAAUACUAUAUUAAUGUAUUAUUGACAAACUCAUAAAGUAAAUGAAAAUUAUUCUCUGGGUAUAUAUUAAUGGCUAAAUAUAUAAAAAUACCCAUAUUUUUGCAAAUAUAUAUAUAUAUAUAUAUAUAUAUCUAAAUAUAAUUAAAUGCAAUUAAACUGUAUUUGAUCAUCUUAUGUUACCGCUUGUCAAAAUUAUCCUUCUUCCAUUUUAUUAUAAGUGUAAAUGGAUUUAAUCUUAUUAACAAGAUUUAAUAUUUCUUAGUAUUUCAGUGAUGAACGAGUGGACUAUGCCUACCGCCAUGGGAAAAUUAAAGUAGAAUUAUUGAAAUUGAAUUUAGUAAUGGGGGAUCCAAAAUUCAAAAUUACAGGGACUAGAAAUAAAUUUUAAAUAUUAGAGGGACGAAAUUUUCACAUUAAUUUGUGAAAUAAAUUUUUAGACUUAAGGAAUGAUGGUCAUCAGUCAGUAACCCCCUCGUUCCGUCAUUAAUUGUUAAUUUACAUUUUAAUUUGAUCAAUCUAAUCUAAUAAAAUAAAAGUACUUAUAUCAAAAUUAAGGAAUUUAUAAAUAUAAAAAAAAAUUGUUAUGGGGUAAUUAGCACCUUUAAAAAUUAAAUUAUGAUCAACCAUGAAUAGAGUUUAUUUUUUCUUUUUCGUUAAGAACGACGAAUUGCAAUAAGAAAUUAUCCAUUUUAAUAGUAAGUAAACUUUGCUACAAGAAUCAAUUUCAAUAGCAACAGAAAACGAUGUUGUCUGUAUUCUGUUGCUAACAUUGUCACAAAUUUUUUUUUUUUUUUUUUUGAAGAGAAAAGAUUUAUUCAUUAACCGAACUUGCAAAUCAACAACCAUGAGAGCUCCAAUAUUUUGAUGAAACUUAUAUUAUAUUUGAACAAUCUUCUUUUCUAAAUUGAAGUAUUACUUUUUGUCUUAUGAUAUAAUAAAACUAAAAUAACUCAAAUAAAUUAAUUUAAAUGACAAUUUAAACCAACGAACUUGCGUUCAUAAUGAGCAUCCAAAGAGUAAAUUGCAUAAUUAUGCCUUAAACAUCAUCAAGCACAUUACAGCGACUUGUGAACUACUGCCAAAUGGCAACUCAUUGAACCCCAUUGUAAAUAACUAUUUUCCACAUAUAUAUUUGACUCCAAAAAAUUUGAUAUAUCAAUUAUAUAAAAUUCACAUUAUUAAACUCCCUAAUUUUACGUAAUUUUCCAGUAAUCAAUUCGUCAUUAUAGAAACAUGAAAUUAUAAAACCCAAUAAAUAAAUCCGAAAAGAAGAAAAUGCAAUGCCAUGGUAAAAAAUAAAUAAUUAGAUGUACAUAUUCAAGUAGAGGUAAGACCAAUUAAUAAAACAGUCACACGUUCAAUUCAACUCCGCCAUCAAUAAUAUAAUGACUACUUACAUAGAUACAAACUAAGUGCUAAACCCUUUUGUUUAAAAAAAAAAACUACUUUUUGUCUCAAGAAAGAAGAGACUUGAAAAGGAUUCAAAAGGAAAAAAGAAAGAAAAAGGAAAUUAUGAAGACAUAGCUUGAUAAGAAAUUUAUCUUAUUUUGGAUAAAUGAGAUGUAUAUUUGUGUUUGAAUUAGGUACCUUAGUUUGGUAUUGAAACUUUCAUUGAAAAGAAAAUGUAACCUGAUCCAUUACUUGUUUUUUUUUUUUAAAUUUUCUUGUAUACGGUUUGGUAGCUAAAAUUUUCAAAGGAUGUCAUUGACCAGUCUUUUGACGCAAAAACGACAUCUCAUUGGUCGGUAAUUCCCAAUGGGUGACAGGUCGUUUUCUUUGUCUGCCAUCUUGGCAAAGAAUUACAAUGUUCAAGAAUUCAGUUCAAAAAAGAAAAAAAAAAAAAAAUACAAUGUUUGGUGUGAUAAGAGGUCUUUCUUUUUCAGCAAAAGAAAUUAAUGUUCCAUACUGAACUGACAUUUUGACUCUGUAAAAUGACAAAAAGCAAGCAAACGCCUUGGUGAAAUGCAAAUUCAAAACUUUUUAUGAUCAUACUGGAGAUUUUAUUCAUCCAUUCUCAUCAUCUAUCUUGCUAUGAGCUGUACAUCAUAAAGGCACUUUUCAUUCUUAAGUGGCCAGUUCAGAGCUCCAGCUGAAUAUCGCUGGUCCGCCUGUAGCACCUAGGAUUGCUCACAAUGGAGGGCAAAUCAAACCCAAAAUGACCAGGCCUGACUUGAUUUGGUCUAACCGAAACUUUAACAACCAGCAUAUUGAAACUGAAGCCAACCCGAAAGAACCAGUUCAGGUUCCAAUUCACGUAAUUUAAAAUUCAGGCCUGCCUUAACUCUUCAGUAUGGAUCAGGCUCGCAAAGGUUCUUAACUAUAGUUUUCUAAAUUCCAGAACUUGAUCCACGUAAGAGGCAAAGAGAUCCAGUUACCUAUUCCUGCCCAAGUCUGGAUAUUUUUAACCGCGCUACAGGUCUUAAGCCCACUAACACCUCCUGCUAAAUAAUCUAAGAUUUGCCAUCCAAUUGCAGAAACCAAGUACUAAGAAUGAUGCAUGUCAAAUCAUGUUCCAAAAUAAAUUACUGGAAAUUUAACAACUCUGAAAUCAAUCAGUUCAAUCUACAAAUGAGAAGUCCGCACACAAAAUUAAUGUGAUACCCAAACAUAUACUAUGCCCACAGAGAGAAUUACACAUGUAUCAUUGAUGUGACAAAAGGAAACAAAGAGUUCCUGCCACUGAGAUCAACUUUAGAGACCCUUUCACUUUGGUCCUGCAAAUUUGUUCAUCAUCUUAGCAAUUACAGGAGCCACCUUGGGAUUGGCUUGAUGCUUAGCGAGAUUAGCCGGGUUCUUCAUUACUGCAAAACCAAUACCCAAAUGCAUAAGAAUAAUCAUAAAAUAGGAAUUAAUAAUUCAGAAGUUAUUGGGGAAAGUUAUUAGUUAUUUUAAGUGAUACAAUAGCUUGUUUUGCAUAGACGCGUCGAUUGACUGAGAAAGAGUAAACAUAGAAUAAGGACUUCAACUAGUUUCUGAUCCUCAUCAUGCUUGGCAGGCAUAAAUAGAGUAUAUAACUCAAUCCAACAGUCAUCUUAUCAAAAGCUAAAAAUUAGCUCAGAGGUGGCUUCAGAAUGAAAUGAUCCAACAAAAAACUACACAAAACGGCAAAAGUUUACCAUCCUGAAGAGCAGCCAUGAUUUCAGGAUCACUAAAUGCAGCCAUCAGUUCGGGGUCCUGCCAAAAUGGUUGAAAAAUAAUGCAAGCAUUAAACAAGCAUGCCAACAAAAAGCAGUCACUAGAUUAAUCAUCCAUUCAAGCACAGAAAUUUGACCAAGACCCAAUUUCACAAUAUCAUGCUUCUAUAAGUGUGCUUCUGCACAGACACGCCUCCAGUGACAGUCUAGUAGAUAAGUUAUCAUAAAGUAACUAGGGUGAAAGAGACAAUGUAAGAAACAAAUUUAGCUUCAACAUUUAGCAAAAGCAUGGCAAACCCUUUUCGGACUAUAAAAAUGAAGUACAAACCUCCAGAGACACUUACAUUCAAGAUUUUACUAAAAUCCACAUUUCCUGGCAUCCCUCCAGGCAUGGCACCUGGGAAACCUCCAGGCAUUCCACCAGGCAUUCCACCAGGCAUUCCUCCAGACAUCCCUCCUGGCAUUCCACCAGGAAAGCCACCAGGCAUUCCUCCUGGCAUUCCACCAGGCAUACCUCCAGGUCUUCUGCUGGAAGAUGAUUGCUCUUGCUUCUUUGCCUUCUCAUAUUCGGCCUUUAAAAAGAGUUCAAUAAAAUAAGCAUCAUGCAUUAAAAAAAAUAGCAAUGAAAUGUGUUACAGUUGAACAAUAGACGGGAUUAUAGCUACCUGAGCUUUGGCACGUCGACGUUGUCUCUCACAUUCAAUCUUUCUAUCCUCUCUUUCUUUGCGCAGCCUUUCAUACUUCCUACGAUGUUCCUCAAUCCUGUGUGCAUUGGGUUCAACCUAUGUAGUAAAUUAGUUGCAGUGAGAUCUCAGACUAAUGUUAUCCGCCAAUGAAGCUCUCACUUUUGCAUGACAGAUAAAUCAAUAAAAGCCAACAAUUUGGCACUUGAAAACAAAUCAACUUAAUUCUUUGGAAACAAUCCAAUAUCCACGCAGCUAAGAUUUAAACUGGCAAGAUCCUCCUUUCCUUUUUUUUUUCCAACUUAAUAAUGCCAUUGAAAUUCCAAAUACCAAAUUAUAAAAAUGGAAACUAAAAGAGGAACAAUUGAGUGCUGGACAAUGUCUCGCCAUGUUAACCUAAAUGAUAAUCUACUAUUAAGCUGUAUAGCUGACUGCAGAUAAAUUGUACAUAAAAGUUAAUCAAAAAAAAUGAACUUCAAACUAAAAAAUAUCUCAAUCUCAACAUUUUUCAAUUUUAGCCAAAGACUGAAAAGUGGAUAUUUGAUAAUGCAGUUAUCUUCUAUCAUUAACCACGGCCAGGACAACAAAAAAAAGGGAGGGAGGAUGGGGAUCACCGCCUGUUGCAUGCUCCACUUCCCAGUACAUGACCACAUGGAGCACAUACAUGUGAGCAGAAUAUUGCUGUUUCUGCUUCAGGAUCAAACAUUUUGCAAUCAUUUUGAAAUUUUGAACAGGAAUUAACAUAUCUGUUUAUUAAGUGUAUAUCGAUAAAAACAAAUUAAUAUACAUGCGCACAUCAGAGAGAAAAGACCUUUUUGAGUACAGCACUUAUUUCUUCAUCAUAAUCCAACUUUGAUGCCAGAUGGAGAUCCUUAGCAGCUUCUUCCCACUGACCAAGCAUUGCUCGGGCUAUGCCACGAGACUUGUAACCCUUAGCUGAAUCUGGGUUAAUCUGAAACAACAAUUAUGGAAUUCAGACUUCCACUCAAAGUAUCAGACUACCGACCGUCACUUUAUUCAUAAUAUAUUAAAAUAUUACUUAAAUUGGAAAAAAAAAAAAAAAAAAAAAAAAAAAGGGGAAAAAAAGACAGAAACAAAUGGUGCAUGGGUAGGCAAAAACCUCAAGAGCUGCAUUGGCAUCUCGGAUGGCAGCAUUGGGUUUCUUCAUUUUGACGUAAACGAUAGCUGUGCCAUAUUCACACAAAACAAUAAAAACGAUAAUCCACACAUAAACCCCAAGCUAUACAAAACCUAAACUUCUAAACUACUAAUAAACAUUUACCUCUGGUCCCAUACAUAAUUGCCGAAGUAGGAUUGAGAGAAAUUGCUUCUGAUAAGUGCUCAAUUGCUUCCUCCAAUUUACCUGCAUUGCAGAGAACCGCCAUAUUCAGAACAAAGAAAUGAACCAUAUCAAAUGGAACAUUCUAAAUGAAGCAUAAGCAUCCAUCAGAGCGGUCAUUACAAUACCUUCGGAGAUGGCCUCCAUGGCUUUGGCCUUUGCCUCUUGCGAAGCCUCGCGUUUCUCAUCUGUGACCUCAACAGACGGGUCUCCCAUCUGCAAACAGCCAAUGUCCAUAACCAAUACUAGACAAGAUAAACUACACUCAAUGAAACGCACAUAAAAGACGUUUUAAUUCCUAAAGAGUACCUUCUGAGGAGGAUCAUUAUCAGGUUCAACAGUCUCGCCCUCGAGCUCAAUAUCUGAUUCGAUUAUCUCAUCUUCUUCCUCUUCCUCUUCAGACUCUACUCGUGCCUCUUCCUUAUCCUCUAUUUCGUCAUCGCUCUCCUCUACCACAUAGCUCUUUAGCAUCGCCAAAAUACAUAUCAAUUAAACAUUCAUUUGCACAAAAAAAAAAAAAAAAAGUACAGAAAGCGGGAGAAGAAAAGGGGCAAUAACAGUACCUUGGAGUCACCCUGCUUGUAAGCAGAGGGAGGAAGCUUAGCGCCAAGACUAAAACAAUAAAGAAAUAAGAGAAAGGUAAAUCAUGAGAAAUAGAGACUGAAACUGUGAUAGACAUGAAAAAUUAGAAAAAUAAAAUAAAAUAUUACCUCUCGAGGAAGUCCCGAAAGAAUAAGAGGGAAGGAUCGCUGAGAAUGGAGGGAUUGGAUUUGCACUGUUCGACGAAAAGCUUGAGUUCAUUCAGUUUAGUUGCGUCCAUUUGAAUUUGAUCAAAGUGAUUUUUCUGAUUGAGAAAUGGCAGAAAAAGGGCUUAUGUGCCGGAUGGGGUUUAUAAUGCUUUUCUCCGAGAAAAGAAAACGAGGAGACGAGUAUAGGACCUCGACGAAUCGUUUGGCAUCUUCUAGUAGCUUCUUUCUAUCGGAUAGGCACGGGCUUUACAUUUUCCUUCUUUACGAAAAAAAAGAAAAUACUGCUAAGCAUUGGUGGUGGAUCAAUCUGUUGAUCAGUGAUGGACCAGGUCCAAUUCGGAUUGGAUUGAUCAAAUAUCAGAUUGGACCUUCAUCAAAUUGGGCUAUGGCCUAUUCCUGAGAAGGAUUUGUUUACAAAAGUUGAAUUACGGUUUGUCCGGCGACAAACCAAAAUUACCUAUUUUGUUUUGGCAUUUUAGUAAAGUUUAGUUAUUUGAGUAGCAUUUUAUAAACACUAAAAAUUAAAUAUUAUAUAAAUUAACUUUUUAAAAGUUAAUUUAAAUAAAUAUUAUGUGGAUAAACAUUAUAAAAAAUAACGCUUAAUCAAAAUGCUAGAAGCUGCUUAAACAAUCGUCGCCAAACAACACAAUUUUAAAUCAUGCAGAAGAACAUCAUUCACUCAUUUACUCCUCGUAAACGAAAUCAGCUAGCCUAGCUACCAAAUGAGCGAUUGACAGUUUAAUUGCUGACUUAUUAAUGAAUUUUCACUAUGCACAAAACUCGAAUCAAACUCAAAAUCACUUGCUUAAAAUAAUCAAGCUCCUUCUAUUCAAACCAAUUCGUACCAAUACCAAAAGACAUAUUAUUUCAUUUUUAUGUGUGAGAUUUUUCUUUUAACUUUUUAAUUAUUUUGGGUAAAGAAUUUGGUUAUUCAAAGUUGCAAUAUAACAAUUGUAAUAAAGAUCAAAACACCAAAUGCUAUAUAUAAAGUUCAAUAGGUAAAAAAUCAAUGAGAUACAAAGGAAAAGGAAACGAAAUAAGUGAACCACAAAAAAUCUCCAAAUGGGGAAAUACAUAUAUAUAUCUCGCUAAUACAUGAAUAAUGAUCACGCCAUCAUAACACUCUACUAAUAAAUAAUCAUCUCAGAACAUUAAUGUAGAUGGCCUAGUAAAUUAGAGAAUAAGAAGCCCAUAACAAGACCAAGCUUGAAAAGCCAGUCCAUGCCAUCCUGCUGCCAUCAUUUCCAGGUACUCCUGUAAACAAAACAAUUCCUCCCACUGUUACAUUAUUGAAGCUCGAUGUUAAAAAUAAAAAAAUAUAUAUAUGUUAAUAAAUAAUGGCUUAAGCCAAUGUCUUUGUGGAUUCAGUUGAGAAUUAUUGCUCCUUAGCAGUAGCGUAGCCACAUGGAGACAAAAUGAUAAGCAAUGUAUUAGCUCAAACCAUGUGUUCGGUAGACAGAAUUAAAAGUCAAAAUUUGUGGCACCGAAAGCAACCAAAAGCCCCAAAAAAUUAGCAUACCAUGGCUCAUCAUCCUAGUCCCACUUUUACAAUCCUAAGGCUUAAACUAUGCAAGUUCUGCCGCCCAAGUCUUUCACUAGAAUAAAUACUUUUUCGGUUCCAAAUACACCAAAUAUUUAGGUGCUGUUACCCAUAGUUAAUUGUUUUAUUUUAAUAACCGUUAAUUAUUUUAGAAAUAUUUAAUUGUUUAAAUUAUUUUUAAUUAAAAAUUAAAUAUUACGUGAAUUAAUAUUUUAUAAAACACUAUAAUGUCUCUACCUUAGUCGGUGGUAUUUUUAUUUUCAGUCAUAAAUGCGAUGCAACCUUUCAAAAAAAAAAAAAAAAAAAACCAUUGAGAAUUCACAGGAAAAACAUCAUUUACGAGCUUGUCCCACUCCCUCAUAUUUCAUUUUUCACGGGCGCCAUAUUCCAGUAAUUAAUUGGUUUAUUAGCCAUUUUAAGAACUUAAAAGCCAAUAAGUUAAAUUAAAAUUUUUUUAAAAAAUUGAAAAAUUAAUUCCAGCAUCAGAGUUGAUCAGUUGAAUUUUACCUGGGGGCGGCGUUCCGGCGCCAGCAGUUGGUGCUUCAGCUGCAACAGUAUAAUUAUAAAGUAAAUGUUAGUACACAACCCCUAAGUAAAUCUGAAGAAGGGAUUUAUUUUAAUCAGAAAUCACAUAUAGAAAAUUAAAAUAAAAAAUUAAUUACAUGAUUCAUCAUUCACUAAUUUCCAAAGUAUGUGUUUGAAACUUUGAUUUUAUUUUUCCAAAUUUUCCUUCCAAACAAAUGGUCAGAGUUUAACUUUACCAAACCCACAACCCCUGUACCCAUAUGAAUCUUCAAAUUUAAUUACCACAAACAAAUUCAAAUCAAAUAAAAUCCUAAGGACCUAAACAGAAAUAAAAAUUUGAAAAUUUACCUUUGCUGCAAGCGCUGAGAUCAGUGCUAACCCCACAUCUCUUGGUGAGACCGAGAGCCUGAGUUACAUUGAUACCAAAGCCUGAAAGCAAACCAGGUGUAUUGUAGAGAUUGCAGAGGCAAGCCCUCUCAGUAUUAACUGCUUCUUUGAUGGGGUUGCAGCAAGUAGAGGGAGGCGUGACUGUGGUGUUUGAUAUAUACUCGGCGCAUGGAAUUAGUUUCUGGGCACAAGAUGGGAUAUUUUGCGCUUGUGUUAUGAUUGUGGUGGUGCUCACAAAAAGGAUCGCCACCAUCAUCGCCGCCGUGGACAUGGUCAAGGAUGCCAUCUCUUUGCCUGUGACUUUUCAGUUGCCCGUGAAGAAGAAGAGAGGGAGAGAGGGUUGGUGUGUGUGGGACACGUUUGUAUUUGUUACUUGCUAUCUCUGUCUAUAUAUAAUAUAACUGCUCUGGAAAAUGAUUGUUUUUCUUAUAAUAAUAAUAAAAGAGAAAGCUGAAAAGUAGCAAUUAAGUCAUUUCCAUAGAUACAAAUACACUGGUCCUUGUUUUCCAGACGCGGAGAGCUUUUAUUUAAUUAUCAUAUCAAAUAAAUGGAACAAUCUUUUGAAAAAUGCUUUCUAAUAUUAAUAUUUAUUUAUGAUGUUAAGCGAUAUGACAAAAAUAUAAAUAGACAUAGUCUAAUAUACCUUUUAUUUCUAGAGUCUUUCAGACAAUUUUAAUAUGUAUUGCUCUUUGUUAAUUAAUUACAUAUUAAAUUGUGGCCCAAGGAGAGGAAAAAGAAAUAAAAGAAGAUUCAAAAAUAAUGCAUUCGAGAGAGUUUUUUAAAAUUCAUUGUCUAUAAGUAGACAUUCAACCAUAUUAUCAUUCACACAUUUUAUUUGAAAUGACACAUCAGUCACAAUCCAUGUUAAUAUCGAACAUGCUCUAAAUACUAAUAAGUAUAUUUUUUUUAAUUUAGACACGUUUUUUCAUAUUUGAAUUUCUAUAGUCAAAUUUAAAACAUUUAUAUUCGGAUAAACAAAUAUAUCUUUUAUGAAUUUUUUUAGAAGAAAUCAAAUAAAAGAUUUCAUUAAAAAAGAAAUAGUAUACGUACAUAUAUGAAAUAUAUUUAAGAAAAUGUCCGCACUUUGCUCGGUUAUUAUAUAUUAUACACCACACUUGUUAGACCUCCAUUAACUUAUAACUUUUUUUUUAUUUAUGCAUUUAGAUAAAUUUUCAAUUCAUUUAAAAUCAAAACAUACAAACUUUAAAAUUAAAAUAUUAAUAAAUAUUAUAUGUGAAUAGAUAAAAUAUGAUUAAAUUUUAAAAAUCUUUAUAUAGAUAUCAUUAGAUUUUCUUUUUUCUCCUGCGGAGCCAUGAUAAAGUCACUGGCAGAAGGUUAGUAUACUUCUCCUCCUCCCCAUUUAUUUCAAACUAAUAUAAUUUGAUGGGGAGCACCCAUUAACGCAAAAGACAAAUUUUAAUUAUUAAAAAUAACCAUUAUCAAGUAAAAUGUUAUAGUAUUAAUAAUGUUAGUAUGUUCAAAUUUAGAUACUAAAAAGAAAAAAAAAUUCUUAUAUGUAUAUGAAUUAGUAUGAACCUCAAAAUUGUGAACAUGAAUAGCAAGGAAAGAAGGAAAAAAUUGCAAAUGUCAUGUACUUGUCUCCAUUUUCUUUGUUCUAUGAUUCUUUUACGUCCUUUUUGCCUUCAUUAUCAAGGCCUAAGCUUCAACCAAAACUAAGCUUGGGCAAACCCAAAUUCUGUGCCUCAACGAAACAUAAGUUUUAAACAAUUCAUGUGCAUUGUAAGUAUAAAUUCUAGCUAGAAACAAAGGAAUAAUAUUUUCUCAGAUGAAAUGCAUCAUGGAUAUACCACAACACCAGCAAAACAGUAGCCAUAAUGGGAAUAAAUACAUUUGUAUCCCCGGAAACAAACGCUCCACUUCCACUUCACUCUUUCUCCACUGUCAAGCCCAGAGGACGAAGAAACACAGCUGCAGCGACGGUGUGAGUAUCAAGCCUUGGACAUUAGUUGGCAGGGACAAUAACAGCAAGGAGAUUGUUUACACUUUGAUCAAAUCUUACCGAAAUCGAUAAAAUUUUAAAAUUAAUUUAAAAAGGUGUAAGCUACUAAAACUAAUGGAUUAUAAAUAUAAAUAGCUAAUGCUAACUUUUAUAUUUUUAAUAAAAUUCAUUUACAAGUAAAAUAAAAUUUUAUAUGAAAUCAUUCCAAAAAGUAAAUUUUAAAAAGAAUUUAUCAAAUUAAAUCAAAUCACGGUCCUUGUCAUAAUGAAGUAAAAUAUGGUAAAUUUUCAUUUCCUUUCAAUUUUUUUUGAUAGUUAUUGGAAAUAACUAUAUCAUCAAUGUCUAUUUUUUAAAAGAAUUGUAUUUUUUCACAUUUAAAAAAAAAAUUUCUAUUUUUUCAUGUUUGUUUUAAAUAAGUGGUUAGAUGGGUAAAAUUAUUUUUUAAUUAGUGUUUUCCUUAGGAAAAAUAUUUUAAUAUUGUAGUACCAAAAUAAAUUUAUGAAUUGACGUGGAGACGUGGAGUGUUUCUUAAACGGUGGCUGCGGACUUUUUUGUUUGCUUGAUAAAGAAAAUGGCUAUUCAUGACUUACAAUUAUUUAACUUCAUUAUUUCUAGAUCCAUUUGACUUCAAUGUUAAAACUAAACAAUCAAAUUUUCUAAUUCCAAAUUACAUUAUUAGCCCUGUCAAAUAUCAAUUCCCAAAUUUAAUACCAUAAUUCCCAACAACUUUCUAAUUGUCCUCCCUCACUAUCAGUCGGGUGAGAAUAAUUAUAAAGUGGUGUCGUUCGCCACAUAAAUAAUUAGUACUUCUUUGAACAACUUAGACUUUUUAACUUGUGAAUUGAGUAGUUAUUAUUUAUAAGGACUUGCUAAAAUAGUAUGUCAAGACCUUCAUAAGAUUAGGGUCUGCAUAUUAAAAAAAAUAUAUAAAUAAAAAUAGCCUCGAAACUUAAAAAUGAACGUUUAUAUAUUUAUUUAGAUAUUUGUAUACAUUAAAUUGUCAAUAACUUGAAUAAUUUUAUUUUAUCGUUUGUUAGCUAUGAAGUCAAGUCAUAGUUUGGAACCAAAAAUAAACUAAAAGAACCAAGAGACAAAAAAUAGCGUGUUGAAAAAUUGAUUUGGGCGACGAAUUGACCGUGGAAGGAACCUACUGACAUUCUCAGAAACAUAACCAAAGAUAAGAUAUAUGGGUCUCAAAAUCAAUUUUGACUCAGUAAGAAAAAUCGUAUCAUAAAAUAAUAUUACAUUACUAAUAAAUUUACUUGUUGCAAGAUAGUAUAUGGGUCUCAAAGAGUGAUAUGUAUAAGUUUGAAUUUUCCAAACUUUAAAUUGAAGUUAGAUUCUUUGAAUUUAUAAAUAAAUUUCAUAAAAUUUAUUUAUUGUAAAUAAUGGAUUAAUAUAAAAUGUAUUAUGUCAGCAGUAUAAUUUGAUAUCACAAAACAACAAAGCAUAAGAUCACAUGGGAGUUGUGGAGUGUGAAAGCAGGUACUACUCUAUCGUUUUGAAAUCUUCAUUUAAUAGUUUUUGUUGUUGAAUAGUUUUUGUUGUUGCAAAGUCACGUUCACACAAUAUUAUUAAUAUUAAUCAAUUAUCUAUCUCAAUGGGUCAGCAAAUGCGUCUGCCCAGUCUCUGUGUUUUGUUGAAUUAAUGCCAACAAAAAUAUAAAUAAUUCAUCUUUUUAUCAGUAAAAAGAUAUCAUUUUCUUGUUCGGCCCAAAAAACAUAAUGAAAAUGAUCUAUAAGGAUUUGAGAAAUAAAUAUAUUUUUGUAAAGUAUAAAUUUUAAUUCAUAUUGUUGUGUAUAUAUAGAAAAUGCAACGGAAUUUGGUUUUAUAUAUAUAUAUGCAAAACGUGUCCAAAUGGUAAAAAAUAAAUUAAGAUUUGGGAUUUGAAGAUUGUAAACUCAAAUUUUAUUAAAAGCUUAGGAGAUGAUAUUAAAUAAUUGUGUUUAAUCAUUGUAAUUUGAUACUGAGAUAAUUUUAUUUUCAAUAUUAAAUAAGUCUGAAUAAUAUUAUUGUGUCUUUAUCGAUUAUAUAAAUGAGUAUAUAAUUUAUCCAGGAAAUUGAAAGAUUAACUAAUCAAAUUACUCUCUAAUUAUAAAAUCAUUCCGAAAUGUCCUAAUCAACAAGCAAUUGGAAAGAGAUUUACAUUUCCCUCAAAUGAAAAAACCUAGAAAUAGAAAUAUUGAGUCAUUUCGCUUAUUGGCACAUAUACGAAAUGGACAUUCUUUUGAAACUAAAAAAGCAGUUUUGAGUUGUUAAAUUAGACAUCACAUUACAUGGCGCGAUAUAAGGAACCAUGCUGCCAGUGGGGACCGAUGUUUUCAUGUGGGGCUUCAAAUAAUUGCUCCAAUUUUAUUAAUUAAGAAAGCAAUUUAUGUUUUUAAUUAAUCAAUGUAAUUAAACAAAAUAUUUCAUUUAAAAAAAAUUAUAAGAUUAUAAGAAUAUGUGAUUAUAUUGAAUAUUUGUUUUAAAUAAAAUAUUUCACUAUUUUUAAUUAUUUUUUAUUUAAAUCAAAAAUUUUAACAAAAUAAAAAUUUGGAUUUUUUUAAAUGUGUUUUUUGCUCUUUGGCGUAGGUUCAAGGCUAAGUUACAUAAAAAAAAAAAAAAAAUGAUUCUUCGGCAAAUUGUAAAUUGUUUCCAAGUUUAGGGGCAACUUUUUCUUUAUAAAAUACUGAAGUAAGAUAUUUAUUGGGUCACCAAGCUGUCCUUUGUUGUCUUCUAUUUGAUAAUUUGAAUGGCCUGAAGAAGUGGAACAAAUUAGCCUAGUGCUAUUGUGAAUGGAUAGAGUUUAAUAAGGAGAAUUUUUGUAUCUUAGCUUGAUGGUGUCAAUAAUAAUGCAUGUGUAUGGUUGGAUAAUUGCUUCUUUGUGGUUAAGUUAAGAGUGGGAAAAGUAUGUCUGAACUCAAUUUUUGGCUUGGUUCUCUUAAUAAGCUACCUAUAGGAAUUGUUCAUCUUAACAUUCCAAUGCUUGUAAGCAAUGUAUAUAUGUGAAAGUAGAAAAACAAUUAUAUGAGAUGUUGACUGAUAUUUUAAUUAGGAAAUUUCUAGUUUUUUUAAAAAAUAUUAUUAUUUUUCUUUUUUAGUGUAUGAUCAUAAAUAUUUUCGUUUAAAACGAAAUACUGUUAAAAUUGAUUUGGUAUUUAAAUGGUUUCAUAUACAGAGUGUUUGUAAGUCUUUCUCUCUUAAUUAAUAUUCCUAAUUGAGUUUAGUGGAUUAGAGAGCUUUUUUUAUAAAAGGACAAAAAGAAACUAUAUUUAUAAAUGAAAUUUAAAAAAUACAGCUAUCGAAUUAGUAAUUCAACCAUCAACCAUCUGUUUUUACGCUAUAAUAGAUGAAAAUUUAAAUUAACUUGACACUUUUUUUUGUUAAAAAGUUUUUGAAAUAUAUGGAAACAAUUUUUAUAUUAGAAAAUCAAGUUUGGAGGUAAGAAUUAUUUGAAAGGGCAAAGAUAUCUUAUCUUGUAACUCUUGUGUGCAAAAACACAAAAAACUACGAAUUUAUUAGCUAUGAAUUUUAUUAAAUUUAUUUAAAAUUCACAACUGUUGUAUUUGAUAUUGGAAAAAAAAUUUAAACGUAUUAAAAUUGAAGAAACAACAUGUCAAGGAAUUUUAAUUAUUAUUUGGUAUAGAUUUGAGAAAACAGUAUCAGAGUCGUUCAUUGAUGCAAGUCAAAUAGCAGGAAGAUUUCUGUUCCAACAACCAGCUUAGCCUAUUUCGGCUUGUAACUUUAAGUUGGGCUUGAGAUCCUCCAGACAAUGAAUUGUCCUUUAUUGAAGCCCAUUACAGAACUAUGUGGGCCAGUCCAUAUUUUUUCACACCGACGGUUCAGAUGAGCUAGCAACUGCCAAUGAAGAUGUAAAAUAUCGGACGGUUAUAAUUCCCGCCAAGCGCAGAAAUGCCAUUGCCAUAGGAAUGAAUAGCCGUAGACAACUCUCCAAACGGAUAACAGACGUUACUAUUAAUUGCAGAAAGCUAUACUUACUUACUUACCAGAGCUUCCAUAAGGGCCACCGAUGGCCGCUCUUAACCUUGGCAUCGCCACCUCCACCACCAUCACUUUCCGUGCAAGGCCACUGACGAGAACCGCUCGCAGGCCUCGAAUCUCCUGCAUCGGUUGGGUACCUAUCCUAAUAAAUCCUACAGUUUAAUUUUCCUUCUCUGUUUUUUUGAUUAAUAUUUAUGAUUUUAAUCAUUUUCUGCGAAGGAAGGAUCCAGAGGGCGUAUUUGGUCCUCCACAGACGGGCCAUCUCGCUCGGCGCGAGUUUCAAAGACGUCUGGAGAGAGACGCCGAGGCUCGUGAAGCUUUCGAGCAACAAGUUCGCGAAGAGAAAGAGCGUCGCCGAGCUCUUCGCGAAGUAAAUUUAUAUAUGAAUAACCUCCUCAACGUUUAUUUUUACGUGAUUGUUCGUUUUUUAAUAAUUUUUUUUUAUUGUAUUAGUCUCGGAUAAUUCCGGAUACUCCGGCGGAGCUUAUUGAGUACUUUCUCGACACUGAGGCUCAGGACAUUGAGUUUGAAAUCGCCAGGAUGAGGCCGAGGUUAGUUCCUUUAACUUCCUCUGAGGUAGACAAUGUGUUUGACAGUUUGCCUCUUCCAACUUAAUUUAUACAUAUCUAACUAAUGGCUUCUACUUCCUAGUUUACACUUAUUUGGAGUUUUUUUCCUUGAUGGAUGCCUUUGUUGUCUGCUAAAAUCAUCUGCAAAGAAAGGAAAGAAUAUUUUGCACUGUCCACGUGAUUAAUUACAAGUGUGGUUCCGCUCUCUGUAGCAUUGCCAUUUAGGCAUUUACUCUCACUGCGAAUCAAUUUGUUUUUGUUCUUUAAUAUUAGAAUUUACAAUUGUAUUAUUGCCAUUUGAACACGUGCAUUUUCCAGAUUGAAUAAGGAGUUUUUCUCGAAGAUAGAAUUUGAACUUGGGCAGCUUCGGUUUGCUGUUUCAAGAACAGAGGUUUGCUCCUCAAAUUACAUAUUAGAGUUGGAUUCUAUUUGCAUAACCAAACAAAGUGACUUUAUUAAAUCUGAUGGUUUAUAUAGGAUAUGGAGGACAGAUUGAUUGAGCUGGAGGCAUUACAGAAGGCUCUGCAGGAAGGAACAGGUCCUUCAUCUCGGCAAACUGUUGCUUAUAAGAAUUCAACUUUUUUUUUUGGCUACGAACUAAUGCAUCCUAGUUUAUUGUUCCGUUACAGAAGCCUAUGAUAAAAUGCAAGUUGAUCUUGUAAAUGCAAGGAAAAGUUUAACUGAAAUCUUGACAUCGAAGGAUGUAAAAGCAACUGUAUGCAUUGUUAUUUUCAUUCAUCCAGUCCUUAAUUUAUAUAGUUUAUCAUUUUUAUGCUUCUUGUUGUGUUGACUAUAUGGCCUUGUCUGCCCUUGCUAGUUAUUGGAGAUGGUUGAGCAAAAUAAAAUCAACAGAUCCUUGUUGACUCUUCUUGAUGAGAAUAUUGCAAGUGCCCACCAAAGUAACCAGGUAUUACCUGUUGCAUUACUUUUAUUAUUAAAAAAAUUCAGUAAUAAUUAUUUUUAUUGAAAUUUUUUGAGUGUGUUAGCUAUUCUCAUUUAUUUUUUGCAUAAUACAAGGGGAUUUAAUCUUUUCUGGGUAUAUCUCUCUCAUGCUUUCCAUCCGUCACUUAUAGUUUGACAGUUCACAUUGAAGUUUUUCUUCAAGAUUUAAGUUAGCUCCAAGCUUUUGAUUUUUACUUAUUCUUGGAUGGUUGUUAGUCUUUCGUAAAAAUUCUACUUGGAUUCUUCUGCCUGUACCACCAUCUGCAAUGGAAUUGCUUCUCUUUCUGUUCAGUGUGGACUGCAGAAAGUGUGCUAACUUAAUGUUUAAAAUUAGAAUUCCUGUGCAGACUAACAUUGCUUUUAGUUCCCGAAAGCAUUGCUAAUGAUAUUACUGAUUUUCAGCCUUCUGCUUUUUCACACACUGGGUAGAAUGUAAUACAUCACAAAUCCUCCUUUCUUUGGGAAGAGAGUGUGGUAACAUAAGUAGUAAAUAAGAUGUCUUUUGAGUAACAAUACAAUAAUAAACUAAUACUUUAUCCUUUGGUUGAUGAAAUUUUAUGUUCAGUUAAUUAAAGAUGGAAAUCUAUCUAUCACUGAGAUCUGUGCUUGCUCUCAAGGCAUGAUGAAUGCUUGAGAAAAAAGCUAUUCAGUCAACUUAUUCUUACUCUUAUAUUGGCAAAAGAAAUCUUGAUCUCAGUUGUAACUUGAUUUGAAAAUUUUGAUUGCUGAGUAGUCCAUAGUCUAGUAUAAUUUAUGAACCUGAUAAUAUGGACAAAAGUAAAGUUUCAGUAACUUGAGAAAAGUUGCCUGUAAGAAUCAAAUAGAAAGAAGUUACGGGUUUGUUUGUUUGAGUAUUCUGUGGUAAGUGAUGAUUCUUGGCCGGAGCAUUAUUACGACUUGAUGGCCUGAGGAAAUUAUGAAACGAGAGUGUACGUAGUGUAGGUCAGCUGAUUAUGGGAACUGCAUACUUAUUUUGUAAUUUAUACAGAAUUCAGCCUUCCCUUUUGUAUUAUGUAGAGAAAUAAUUCUCUUUGUGUGCUUCAUGCAGAUUUGAGUCAAUUUCUUUUUGCUUCUUAUAGUGUCAAGUACUAUUUUUUCUGCAUUUAGUCCUCUCAGUGCUCUUUUGUGCAUUAUACAGAAUCUGGUCUAACCAUUUUCUGAUUCAUAUAGAGUGGUGACUACCUUUUUUGACUUAAUACAGAAUCAAGAAUAUUUUUAUGCUUUGUGUUCGAAAAUUGUUGAUCAAUGGAAGCCAAUUUACUCUUCCUAUUUUCCUGUAUUCGCAUUAAGUGCAUAAUUAAGAUGUCCCCUAUAAGAAACAGCAUUGGACAAAAUAAAAGUGAGAAUGUACAAAGACAAAGAAGUAAUUAAUUAAUGGUUAUAUCUGAGUGAUUUUUCCUGUUGAAUUAAUGGGGAACUUAAUUCAAGAGUGUGCUAGUGUUAUUAGGAAAAUUGUCUCUGCAAAGAACAAAAACAGUGCUGUUCCAUAUGAAAUUCGCUAUUGGCACUCCUCUUCCCAUCAGUUUACCAAGCAAAACAAUGUUCCAUAUGGGGAAGAUGCACUCUAUUUUUUCAUUAGUCGGUCAAUUAUCGAUAAGCUGUAUCAAUUUAUUUGAAUGGCUAAAGUUUACAUCGAGCUUUAUCUGUAUCCUGCAGAAAGACGCAGCAGCUUUCAUGGAAAAGCUUCGGGCAGCUGUGCUCAAGUACAUGACAGUUUAGCACUGCAGUGGUAAAUAAUAUCGCCUCUGUCAAGUUGGACGCACUGCUGAUUGCUCCGAUUGAGGAUAAUCACAAAUCUAGUAUUCAUUGGUUUAAAUUAAAUUUCAGAGUCAAAAAGUUGAGAGAGGUAGAUGGAGUAUAGUAUAGAGUCUUGCUUUCAUGACCAGUUUUUUACGCGUGCUCAGGAACAUUGUUAUCCCAACACUAGAUUGGUUAUGGUACUGAAUCGAAAUUUUUGCUAAAAGUUUUUGUUGAACUUCAUCCAGUUUAAGAUUCAUUUCGUUAGCCUGAUGAGACUAUGUUUUAGAUUUCCAAACCAUCAUAGCAUCAUGCAUUCAUAAUAUAGGUGUAGUGGAGCCCUUUUUGAGCAAUAAUUGUUAGAAGGAGUGCAUUCACUUGAACAGCACUUAAAAGGCGUCAAGUUCCAAGCACUAUCUAGUGGACCUUACCGUGUUUCAUUUGUAGGCCGACUUGUUUGUAGAGAGUUGCUACCUUAAGUUGAUUCAGAAUCUAACUGUGGGAAAGAGAGAAGCCUUUCGUCUCUUUGGUCAGAGUAGCAUCUCACUUGCCCCCUAGUUCCUAUCUAAAAAAAAUAAAACUUCUCCAUUCAAAUGAUAAAUAAGAAGACUUCUAUAGGUCCCAACCAAGGUGCAAUAUUAUCAAUAAGCUGUAUCAAGGAGUAUGAUCGGAAAGUGGGCCAGCACAUUAAAUUAUUAUAUGCUCUUAAAAGGAGAAGUCAAUUUUUGAGUUACUUGGGAUUGCAAAUUUGAUAUACUUAAGAUAUUGCAGCGUGUAACCGUUGGUUAAAAUGCAUUAGCACUUAGCAUCAUCAAUAGUGGAGUUCCUGCUGGCUGAAAAUCUUGACCUCAUAGUCGAUAUCUAAAUGCAAAUUGUAUGGCUGUUGCUAUAUUAUAUUGCUUAUGGUUGUUGGGUGACUUGAUAGACAUAAAACAAGGAUAUGUAUUUUGAUGGUUUACUCUUGAAACAGUAGAAAUAAAUUGGUAGAUUAUAUCAUCAAGUAUGUUUAUUUAAUUUAAGAACCAUCCAGAACCAUCAUGUAUAUUUGUGCAUUUAUAUUUAUAUAUUGAAGUUAUAUUCAUUUUCAGUUUUUGUGGUCUAUGAUCCCGCAAAUUCCUCUUCGUGGCCUUACUGAUCUCAAUGAGCAGGAUGUUACUAUUAAAUGCUCAUUUAAAGAAAAUAAAAAUUUGUGUUCCUGAAUGUUAGUUUUUACUGUCAAAUGGCUUGCAUCGAAGUCACAACUUGAUUAGAUCAAAGCAUUUUAGCGGGUAUUGUCAUGCUAAUUUGUUUAGACCACUGGCUGGCCUUUUCAUCAUUCAUCUUGCUUGUUUGCCAAAUCUUUGCUUUUAUUGUGUUUUCGUACCAAAUUAGACCUGACUUUGUGCGUUUAAGUCCACUGAACACAUCUUAGAGGUUAGGCAUGUCGCACGUGCACAUACAUAAUACAUACAAAUGCCUUCGUUAAUUAGGCAGCCGCAGAGUAUUUGAAGGAAAAAGUAAAAAAUUGGAAAAUUUCAAUUCUUUGCCACUGGAUAAUGGAAAAGAAUGACUCAAUGACAUUCAUAAAGAAAGAAGACCAAAGGGAGCAAAGAAUCAUGGAGACAGAAAAGAAGGUAUGGGCAUGUGACUUCUUUUAUCUAAUUCUAGGACAAGACAGAUAACAACCCUUUUUAACUCUCUCUAUAUAUUUACUCAUUUGCUUUCAUUAUUCAUUCCAUUUGGACUAUUCCCAAUUUCCCAUCCUUCAGAAUCCAUGGCAAGGUUUGUCCUUUCCUUAAUACUUCUCUCCUUUGCUCUCUACAUGGCUGGCAUGAUAGUGUCUGGCUCUAGUCCCACAGACUUCAUCAAGUCCUCGUGCAAGGCAACACGCUAUCCUGAUUUAUGCGUUGAGUGUCUAUCAGGAUAUGCUAGCGCGAUUCAACAAAAUGAAAAACAUUUAGCUGAAGUUGCUUUGUCAGUGAGUCUAGCAAGGGCUAAAUCAGCCACUGAUUAUGUAACUACAUUAACUAAAGUUAGAGGAAUAAAGGCUAGAGAGUAUCAAGCUGUGAAAGACUGCAUAGAGAAUAUGGGAGAUAGUGUAGAUAGACUAAGUCAGUCAAUCAAGGAGCUUGGCCAUAUGGGUGGAGCUGUUGGUCAGGAUUUUGUUUGGCAUAUGAGUAAUGUGCAGACUUGGGUUAGUGCUGCAUUAACUGAUGAAAACACUUGUCUUGAUGGUUUUGCUGGCCGUCGUAUGGAUGGAAGUGUGAAGGCUGCCAUUAAGCAUAGGAUUACCAAUGUUGUUAAAGUCACCAGCAAUGCACUUGCAUUAGUUAAUCGCUUUGCAUCUAGACACCGCAGUUCUGCAUCUGGUGAAAAGCCUUAGAUUUUUGUCUUCGUGGAUUGUUGUUUCUGUGUGAUACUAUAAAGUUUGUUUCUGGCUGGCCUGGUUUGUCUUCAAGCAUCUAAUCUAAGUUUGCUACCUUACAUAUAUGUAAAUGUAAACACAAAAUGAAUUGAAAUGAGUGUUGUGUGAUAACUGUGGCUCUGUUUCUUGUAAAAUAGUAAUUAAACAUGAUCAAUAUAUAUACAUCUCUUUCUUUCUAAGUCAAUUUGAGGAUUUGUUGAUUGAUUAGUGAUUAUAGCUUCGUUAACUUGUCUAUGCAAAUGCAAGUGUAAGAAAAAGCUUCCAUUGAUGUCUACAGGAAAACAAUAGAUUGCGGAACCUUACCUAGAUCCUUAUGUCCCAUGUGUAAAUAAUGGAGUUAAAUGAAUCGUAUUUAUCUCUUUUAAUUUGGUUGGGUGACACUAUUACCUAAAUCUUUGUCCUCUACUACAAGAUAAUCGUGACUUUUUUUUUUUUCUUUCUUUUUAAUCGGCAUUACUAUAUUAUCUAGAAAUACUUAAUUUUCUAAUUGAUGAUUACUUUCUUGGUCCCUAGAAGGCUAGAGCGACCAUUACCUACCCUUUCGAGUAGGCAUGAGAAGCACCAGGAGGACAAUAUGUGGGCUAAUUAUUAAAAAAAAAAAAAAAAAAAGCAAUUAAAGCUUAAGUAUCAUUAGCAACAUGUAAUGAUUAUUAUUAGCACAAUUUCAUUUCCUUUUGACUGCCUUUGUGAGCGGGCAAGUGACACAAUCUGAUAUUACUAGAUUUUGCGAGUAAGAAAGCAGUGUGAAUCUAAUAAAACAAGAAGCUACAAGACAUCUUUUUAUAGUGCUUAUCUUCUUAGGCUAUCCAUGCAUCUAUUUAAUUAUGUAUGAAUCUGUGAAAGAUUAUCCUUAGAAAGUUCUCCAAUUGGCAGCGAAGAGUUGAGAGUGAAAAUCACUCAAAAAGCAUUCGAAAGUUAAAGCAAAGCAAAGCAAAGCAAUCUUCAUUUCUUCUAUUUUGUUUUUUAAUUUAGAAAUCUUUCCAAGAAAGCUGACACAAUGAGCGAUAAAGAGCUUUUCAGUCCCCAUAAAAGUAAUGUCUGGGAACAUGGAUAUUGUUAUCAGAUUCAAUCAACUGCCCAGAAAAAAGAAAAAAUAGAAUAGGCAAUAACUGAGGGAGGCCACAUGUAGCGAAGUGAGCGUCACAUAUUAAUACGGAUGACUUGGGUUGUGGACCCUUUCAUGUUUUAGAUAUUAACCAUUGCAGCAUUAUUAGAUAUGAGCCAAAUGAUAUGGAUGGUAGGCCUCUUUGGUAAAAAUAGAUGUUUUAAUAAUUAUUAGGUAUUUUAACUGUUUGGAUAGCUUUUUAUAAGAGUUAAAAAUUAUACAUUUUAUAAAAUAUUAUCUUAACCGUUAUAUUAUUGAACAUUAUAAAAAAUAAUAUUUAUAUUUUUAAUCAACUAAAAAACAUAAACUUAUACAUGGACGCCAACGAAACCUUAACCUAAUGGCUAACCUGGGAAGUACCCAUAAUAUGCAUUCAUCAUGUAAUAUUGUUGAUGUAAUUUUAUGCUAUCAUUGAAUUUUUUAAUCCGACUUGUAAUCUGCCUUUGGGGUUGUCCGCUCUAAAUGAUUAAUUUUUUAUUCGACCGAAUUAUAAAAGUUGAGAUUCAAAAUUCAAAUCAAGCUAAAUAGAAUUAAUUAUAUUAUAUUGGAGACUGGGAAAAUAGUGAGAGACCCUUUCUUUAUUUGAGCAUCAUACAUGUAAUCUUGCUUUGUGAAAGGAAAGAAAGGAUAGAAAAAUAAUUGUGAACGCUUUAGAAUUGGCCCUCAACUGUAUUGAUAAUUGGAUAUUCAUUACCUUGUUCUGGAAGAAUUCCAGAUUCUACGAGAUUGUUCAGUUUGACGGUCCAAAUUUAAUGACGCCAAAAUUUCCCUUCUCAAACAUUUAUUAGGAACAAAAUAUCUGGACCACAAUCAGUAUGGAUUUGAAUAUCUCUGUCAAUUAUAUUUGUUACCAAUUUACAUCCAAACUCCAAAACAAACAAUCCCAAAGAAUUACUUUGCUCUCUGUUUUCUUAAUCGCAUUCAAUCUUUGUUCGUAAAUUAUAGCAUUUUUUUAGACAAAAAAAAAAAAACUCUAAUCUCAAUUUGACCAAUCCAUUUUCAAAUCCACUAGAAAAAAAUUGUGUAAUGAUUAUUAAAUAAAUUAUAUAUUAACUUCAAUUUUUGAUCAUAUUUAUAUUUUCAUCUUCUACGAAAAAAAAAAAAUUUUUUUAUUAUGAAAAUUAUCAUCAAUUUAAUAAAUAUUAUAAAUAAAUUAUCACUUAUUAUAUAAUCUGCAGACGGAACUCCCUUUGACACGAAUGAUUUGCAUUUUAUAGCAAAAACAAAAAAAGAUUCCAAGGUUAUAUGCUACCUUAUCGCCAGAAGAACUUCCAGGCCAUAAUGACCUCUGGGGACAAGUCGCAAUUAUCCCAGUACGUUUAAAAACGACUUGUCAAUGUUUUAUUGCAGAUACCUCGUAAAGCCAAAUUCACAUGAAUUUUUCCAUUUUGCUGUAACUUAUUAUUCCAGACACUAUACGACCGACAUUUUAUUUCAUUCCGAAGACCCAUAAAACUUGUUAGAUCUUGAUUUAUUUGCUAAUACAAUAAAUUAAAUAUUUGAGAUCCUAUAUUAACAUUUAAUUUUGAAUUUAGAAAUUGUAUUAUAAUAAUUGAACUUAUAUGCCAAAAAAAAAAAAAAAAUUGUAAUUGACAAAGAGAAAGCAAUAAAUAAUGAAUUAUCUUGAUCAUAAAUGGAGCUUAAGCUCAAUUAAUAACACAAACUAAAAACAUUCAAACCAUUUUGCUCGUCUUGUCCUGCAACUACGUUCCGCGAAAUAUUUAGUGUUUAGAAUUAGAUAGAACGGACUAUAAAAUAAAUAUUAAUGGGUUUGGCGGAAGCAACAGCAAAAGGUUUUUAUAUAUGAAAAUAUUUAAACCUUUUUGUUUUCGAUCUUUUAUUUAUAAAAUGGAGUAUAUUAAUACUCAAUUAUAAUAGAGAAGAUCAGUUUUCAAAUCUUUAUUUCUUUUUCUUUUUUCUUUUUCUUUCUGCACAUGGAAAAAAUUAACAUAAAAGAUAGAAAAAUAUCUUUGAAGAAUUAAAUAUCAUCAAGGGCCACAAGAACGAUAUUUCUUUUCACACAUUAAACGAGGUUUUCAUUGUAGACAACUUGAGUACCUACAGCAUCAUAUCUUUCCUUAACUAUGAUAAUUCAAAUUUCAGCGCUAGAUAUUCGAUCGAACACCUCACUUAGCUAAACAUCCAAGAAAAGGAUAGAACAGAAAGGUCGACCAACCAUGGCUCUUGCUAUUAAUUACGUGCAAGAUUUUUUUUGUGCAUGGGUUUUAUUGUAAUUUGUGAGAAGUUCACAAAGAUGUUGAUAUACUAAUAGUUUGUCUUCUUCUUUCAAAGUGAUGACUUUCAAACACCAGUUGCUUUGUUCCUGAUUUUCAUCGAUUCUUAUCCUUAUUUUCUGGAUUUGAUGACGAGAUUCCCUCAUUACAGACAAUAUUGCUUAUCCAAUGGAACGCAGAAAGUUUGAACCGUAACGACCUUGGGAUUUUAAUUCGGAUAAUUACAGAUCUUAUUAAAACAUGUAAAACUGAGGAAAAAUUUAAUAACAGAUGGAUUUGAAAGUUCUUUAACUUAAUUUAAUAAGUCUAUAACUUGGAAGAUAGAAUCAUAGAACUAUAAAUUGUAUGCUCUCAAGGUUUGAAAUCGUUCUUUUCCUUUAAUCUUCAAUAUCACAAUAGAUUAAGUAAUCCUAUGGAUUGAUUCAAUUGUUUAGUGUAUUUUCCCUUUACUUUUUUUACUAGACUUCAAUUCUUAAUGCUACGUUUUUAUUCUUUUAUGAAUCUUUAAUUUAGUUAUAAAAGGUGUGUCUUUGAGCAAAUUCAAGAAAUAGAUAAAUUUCCUAAUGGAAUAGAUUUUAUUAUUUUUAUUUAUCUUGAUUAAACCUGCCCUAAAAGAGUAGACGUAAUCUCCUAAUUUAGCCUUAAAGUCAGGCUUUUUUCUCCACUACGUGGGAGCCACAGCCUGAGCAUUUCUAUAAAUGAGCUUCUAUUUUCCUUCUCAUACACAAAUUAAGAACAUAGUUCCCUUAUUCACCUUUCAAAGAAUCUCCAAGAAAACAGAGCAAUGCAAGCAAAUUCUCUUUUAUGCUAUGCACUAGUAGCAAUUCUCACUCUCCAGUUCUCUACCCACAUAAAUUCUAUCGAACCUUCUAAACCAUUACCAAAUAACACAAACACCCAGUACAUCAAAACCUCCUGCACCAACACGACCUAUCCAAGAUUAUGUUACCACUCUCUCUCAAUCUAUGCAAGCAAAAUCAAGACCAACCCAAAAUUGCUAACCAAUAUUGCUCUUAACGUAACCCUAAAAGCCACCAAAUCGACAUCAAGAUUGAUGAAGAGACUGUCAAGAAUCCAUGGGUUAAAGCGUAGAGAGGCUGCAGCUUUAGUUGAUUGUGUGGAGGUAGUUGGUGACUCAGUGUAUGAGCUUCAAAGAUCAAUUGGGGAGAUGGGUCAAGCAGAAGGAUCAAAGUUUGCUCAAGUAAUAGAUGAUAUACAAACAUGGGUUAGUGCAGCUUUAACAGAUGAUGAUACUUGCAUGGAUGGAUUUUCUGAAGUGUCUAUGAAUAGAAAAGUGAAGAUUAUUGCAAGAAAGCACUUACUGAAAAUUGCUCAUUUGACUAGUAAUGCUUUAGCUCUCAUCAAUAAUUUUGCUUCAUCUCAUAACAAUUUGCAAUAAUAAUUGUCUUUUUAUAUCUAUUUGUGAUAUAUAUACAAGUAUAAUUGACUUUCUUGGGAAACCCACUUCCCCAUGAGAGCUGAAAAAGGGAGUGAAUUUCAGUUCUCAUUUAUUUUGGGCUUAUCUUCUUUUGCAAUUAUUGAUUAGUGGUUUGCCAUAUAUAUAAAAUUGCCCGUGCGUACAAGUCUAUGUAAGUGAGAGUUAAGCACAAAGCGGAGUAGUUAAAUGUAGAUUUUCUUUAAUGUUUUGUGGUUAAGAUGUAAAUUAGUAAAUUCUUCUUUGUUUCAAAAUAUAUACAUAGCUUAUUUCUGAUAUUUUAUUUAUUUAUUUGUUGUUUUCCUUUCCUUUCCUGUCCUCUUUCUUCUUUUGCCUUUGUCAAUCUUUUCUGUUCCACUACUCCUCUUCACAGUAGAUGGUAGUGUGGAUACUGUACGCUGGGGGACGAAUUCCCAACUACUAGUGUACCCUCAUCAUCAAUGGAGGAGCAACUACGAAGAAAAUGAAAAUAAAUAAAUGGAGGGCCCAAAGCAAAAUCUCGGGGACAUUAAUUAAUAUAUGGAGAUGGAAAAACGAAUAGGACUCUGACAUUAGUCACAUGGAAAACAUUGCACGAUAGUGUCAUUGAACAAAAGGUUAUACCAUCUACAAAGAAUAAAUAUCCAACUUUUUUUUUUUUUUCUAAGAACACGGAGCUAUUAGAGUGUAGAUAUAUAAGACGCUUUUAAGGAUUGAUUGCGCUUGGGCCGUUCCUGUGGGCUAUUUCAUUACAGUAUUCGGACGGUACGAACAAGCUCCUUUGUUUUACUAUAAUUGAGCAUGUCGUUCAGUUUGAAAUUAAAUCAAAUGAUGGCUGUCAAUAGGUAAUCUUUAUUAGUAAGAAUUGAGAGUAGCUUGUAAUUUAGAGUAGUAAAUGAGUUAAACCAUUCGUAAACUACUUGAAUCAAGUUCAAGCCUAUGGGAGGUACUUUUUUUUUUAGCAACAAAUUGUAAAUGAGUUGAGUUCAGUUAAUUUAUUUGUCUAGCUAGUUUUUUCUUCUUAAUGAAUUAGUAUAUAACAUAUUAAUGAUUAUAUUUUGUUUAUCUUUUUUUAUUCAUUUAUAAAUUCAAAAAUUAAAUAUUUUUUAUAAUAAAAAAUAUUUUUCAUUGACUAAAUUUAUUUUUGAAGCACAAUUUUCCACUAAACAAAAUAGAUUAAGCAACUUAUUUUUAAAGAAAAAAGAGGUAGCUUAAGCAACUUUUAUUAUUAUUAUUUAACAGAUAUCAUUAUAAAUAUAGAUAUAAUGCUGUAUUUUAAGCAAAAUAUUAAAAUCAAAUGGAUAUUUGUCCUGUUAUAUGCAUUAGGAAACACUGGUGUCAAAAACAGAGCUCGAGAUUCAUCAAAUAGAGAUACCAUGCCAACUAGCUAAUAAUCAAAAUUUGGUGGAAUAUGAGGAUUGCAAGAGGACAACAAUAGAUGUAUAAACUUCCCAGAAUCCGUAUCAAGUGAGAUUGUCUUGCGUAUCUCUUAUAACUAUUGAUUACUGAGGUGGCUACCCAUAUAAUAACAUACAUAAUUUAGAUAACACUGAUUUGUUUUUAAUGCAAAUUACAAAAGAAUAUUUCAACCACUAUAUAAUGUAUUGCUGACCCCAAAUUCCUUAUCAUCAUGUCUUGAUAACCUUAUACGUGAAUAGGAUCUGAUUGAUCGUCUCAUUUUUGUCCAUCAAUCAUGUAAUCUUAUUAUUAUUUGAGAUAAUAUUUUCUUAAACUGUAAGCAAUUAUACAUGCUCGUCGGUUCAUAUGAGUCUUCCGCAAUCUCCACCCACCUCAGCCAAUGCCUUCCCUGCAUAUAUACUUCCCCUCUACCUAAUCUUUUGGCGAAUUAAUAUAAAUUGCGAACACAUCACAACUUCAAAAUAUAGAGAAAUAUUACUUUAGUUGAUUAUGGAAGGUCCAACUCUUCGCGUGGCAAUAAUAAUAAUAUUACCUGUUUUUAUUCUCUUCUUCUCUAUCCAAAUAAACUUUAGCUCAGCAGACACAAAUACCCAGUACGUACAAGCAUCUUGUAGUAACACAACUUAUCCUGAAUUAUGCUAUUCCUCUCUUUCAUGCUAUGCAAGAAAAAUUCAAAGAAACCCUAAAACUCUAGCCUAUGUUGCCCUUAACGUGACUCUAACAGCCACCAAAUCAGCAUCAGAGUUUAUUAAAACCCUGUAUAAUAAUAAACUCCAUGGAUUGAAGCCUAAAGAGGCUGCAGCUAUGGCAGAUUGUGUGGAGCUGGCAGAUGAAGCAGUCGAUGAGCUGGAAAGGUCUAUCGGAAAGAUGGGUCGAGCAAGAGGAUCAAAUUCUGAUCCUGUAAUUAAUGACAUUCAAACUUGGGUUAGUGCAGCUUUAACAGAUGAUAAUACUUGCAUGGAUGGAUUUUCAGGUGAUGUUUUGGAUGGAGAAGUGAAAAGUAUAGUACUGAAAAAUAUGACACAAGUUGCUCAAUUGACAAGCGUUGCUUUGGCUCUUGUAAAUAGGUUUGCCUCCUCGAAAGGAAAUUCUGUGUUAGUACUUUGAUUAAUAAUUAAGCUCUAUAUGAUAAUGUAUUGAAUAAGCAUAAAAAAUUGUAAAAUUGUAAAAUUUUAAUUUUGUGCUUGAUAUUGGAGUUGAAGUGUGUCGAAUUUGAUAUGUAUAAUAAGUUUCAUAAUAAAGAGUAUCAAAAUGUAGUUUAACAAAUUCUUUUGUUUCCCUUUUUAUCCAUAUAUAUUGUUUCAGUAUUUUACUUUUUAUACCACGACUUCAAAAAAAUAUUUAAGAUUUCUGUAUUUUCUGUAUUUAUCCAUAUAAUAAAUAACUUAAAAAAGAUUUAAGAAAGCCAAUACAAAUCAAACAAAGUACUUAUUUAUUAUGGAUAAGGUUGGCCCUUAAGGCCAUUAUUUAAUACAUGGCAUUGUUCUUAUAGCCUAAUAAGACCAUGGUAUGUUUAUAUUUUAUAUAUGGCCUAAUUAACUUUAGGCACAUUGACAAAAGGGUAAAGCUUAUAUCUAACAUUACAGCUUCCAGUCACCACUCUUGCUCCUUUUUUACCACUGCAACAACUUGGAAGUUCAUUAAUAGCAUCGUCAAGACAUUUCUUACACUCCAUGUUAGAAAGAUCUCUAGUACAUUGAGCCAUACCAUAUAUCUUCUUAUACUUCCCUCCAAAAAGCUUUAGCUCUCCUGUUGCAUAAAACUUCUUAUUCCCGUAAGCUUUACCUGAUAAUCCACUUAACAACUCCUUAACUUUUUUAUUAAACAGGGCAGGAUUCAUCUUCUCCACAUCCUGGUAAUUAUACAAGUAAAACUUGUUUUGUUCAUCAAUGUCUCCAAAGAAGUUAAAGUUCGAGUAUUUCAAUAAACAGUCAUCGUACCAAAUAAUCGCUCCCUUGUUAUUAGAGCAACGAUCAAUAAGAGCAUCACCAGCAUUUGCGACACAAGUUUUACAGUCUUUUUUCGCAACGUCGCCACGGCAGAGAGCUAACGCAUUUACAUGGCCUCUGCCUCUUGGUGGCCCGGUUGAGGCUAGUCCGAAUCCGGUUGCCGGAGUUUUGGUGGAUAGGAGGUUUAGCAAGCCAUUCAAGCUGUUGCGAUGAUGGCCAUAGUCAGCGUAGUUUUCUUGGCUAAAAACAGAUAUGGUAAAGUGGGUCUGCAGGAAAUGCUACAUUGAGCAUUAAAAAAAAAAGAAGGAAAGAUAAUGGGAUUGAUUUAGAGAUAUGCAUUUUUGAUUAAGUUGAAAGGUUUAUGUGUAUAUGGAGUUGAUGAUGAAAGGAUAAUUCAUUAGGUUUAUAUAAAGAGAAGGUUUUGGCUAAUUUAAUUAUCAAUUAUGAAGUUGAACUUUUCAGUACACAGAAAAUAAAAAUAGGACAAACAGGAAUCAGGGACGAGUAAAAAUUUUAGAGCAGAGCAUUUAUAUUAAUGUUUUCAAUAUGCUGAAAUCUGUCGCUUCUUUAUAUGUUAUAUGAAAGCCAAUGAUCGAUGUAUGUUAGACGAAGUGUAUAUAUAUAUAUAUAUAUAAGAUAUAUAUUAAAUGUAGGUGUAAAUUGUCAAAUUUUGAGUCAAACUAAUUAAGUUUUAAGUACAAGUCUAAUGGCUUCUUUGUAUCAAACUACAGGCACAGUGAUAUCCUUAUCAAAAUCUGUGAGUCAUACUCUAUGAUACAUUUUUUUUUUUUUUUUUUGAAGAAAGCUAUAAAGUAUUAUGAAUCUUGUUAAUUACUUGUUCAAUAUAUAUACAUUAAGCAAAAUUUUCACUAUUACAUAAAUUUAUUGGGAUAAACAAGAUUGGAAUAUUAUCUGCUGAACUUAUUAUGUAACAUAUAUUGAAUCUUUUGAUAGCUUUACUGGUAAUUAGAGUGUAAAAGAAAUAAAGAAUGCCAGUGAUAAUAACAUAAACCAUGGAGUGGAUUAAGUUAUGUUGACACAAUUUGUGUGAAUUUUUGAAACUUUGAAUUUAAAAUAAUCAUAGAUUUAGAAAUGGUAGCCUUUCCUAAUAUACCAAUUGGCAAAGCAGAUCAUAGGCUCACACUGAAACCCACUAGUUCUCGGCCCUUUUAAUUUUGAUGGCCCGCUGAAAUUGGACUUGCACUUAUAAAUAGGCCUCCUAUUAUAAUAGAAAUUGUUCAUUGAAAUGAAAUUUGAAGAAAGUUAAGAACAAUUUCAUUUCAUUUAAUUGAUCCGGUUUGAUUCAUUAGUCAGUCCAGUCCAAAUAUUUUUUUAAUAAAAAUUUUAAAAUAAUUCAUAAAAAAAUUAUUCUCGAUUAAGAAAUUGGUUAAAUAUGGUUAACAAGAAAUAAGACUAAAAUGCAGAGUCGUGGGCUCUUCUAAGCUUCAAGUUCGGAUGGGCAUUUUCCCAAAGGUCCACCUCUUUUUGUACACUUGAGGAUAAAAUUGUGAGCGAGUUAUGUGGCUUCUUUCAAGCCAUUGUUUGCUGUUCCUGGCCUUAUAAUUUCUCAAUAAGUUUCCUUUUCAUUGCAAAUCUGAAUAAUACAAAGUUCCAUUUUUCCAAAAGAUAUAUAAAAAUAAAAAUACGGAUGUAUAUUUGAGGCCGAGAAGCAGCGAGAACAGAGAGCUAAGCCAGAGAAGCUGUUUCGUUAUCCCUAAAUAACACCCAUUCACAACUCAACUAGUGAGCGAGGGAAAGACUCAGACCACUAACAUUAAACCAAGAAAAUGGCGGCAGAGACUGUGAAAUUAACGGUUUCACUCUGCAGCUUCAAUGGGUCUCAAAGAAGAGGGAAUUCUCCUUCUACCCCAAUUCGGUUUCUGGGUCUCCCUCCGCGAUCUUCAGUCUCCGCUUCUUCAAUCUCUUCUUCGCUUUCUCAUUUCCUGGGAAGUGUGCGUAUUGGCUCACGGUCUUCUAAAGUCUCCAUUUCACGUCAACAACAGAGGAGCAGAAACUUUUCUGUCUUUGCAAUGGCCGCUGAAGGUCUUUAUUUCUCUAUCUCUUUCAGUUCAGUUGUUUUGAUUCUUUAGUUACUGAAUUCCUUUGUUUAGAUGCCAUUUUAUAUGUCCCCUUUUGCUUAUAUUGUUGUGAUUGGGCUAUUUCGUGGAGUUAAUGUUACUUAUGAUUUCUUGAUAAUGGAAUUUGAAAUUUGGUUUUUAGUUUGUUUCUUUAUGUUGUUAUGUGUUCCUUUCUUGUUUCUUUGUUUCUUUUCCUUCCUAAGCUUUCCCAAGCUUUUCUAAAGUUUAGACUUUGUUAGUUUUCUGUAAUUAGGCUGCUUAUUGUAUAACUUUUUGUUGGAUUGACAAGAAGAUAAUGGUAGUGAGCUGAAUUAUGAGCUCUGGAGUUUGCACCUAAUCUGAAAGCACAAAUUAAAUUUACCCUGCUCAAGGUUUCUACUUUAUUCCAUGUAUUCAAAAGAAAGGCAGUCCAGGCAUGAUUAAAAAUGUGUGGAAAUUAGAUAAUUAUCUAUUUAUCUUACCUGACUGUACAUGGUGACUGCGCUUCUGAACAUCUUCGCUUCAAGAGCUUUGAUACUUUUGAUUGGUUGUAAAAUACUAUGACCUACUAAUUGGAGCCCACUUUACUGUGCAUUAUUUAUUAUGUUAGCUCCAUAAUGUGAAAUAUUGAAAUAUGAAGUUCUCUCAAUUGCUAACAUCUGUGUGUUAUACUAUCAAAUGUUGUUCUAUAUUUCAUUUUUCAGUUAACAUGUUUUCUUUCUUCUCCUUUGGCAGAGGCAAAGCGUUCAGUACCUUUGAAAGAUUACCGCAACAUUGGAAUUAUGGCUCACAUAGAUGCUGGAAAGACCACUACAACUGAACGGAUUCUUUACUAUACAGGAAGAAACUAUAAAAUAGGAGAAGUACAUGAAGGGACAGCUACAAUGGACUGGAUGGAGCAAGAACAAGAAAGAGGGAUCACAAUUACUUCUGCUGCAACCACCACAUUCUGGAACAAACACCGCAUUAACAUUAUUGAUACUCCUGGCCACGUUGACUUCACACUCGAAGUGGAACGAGCACUCAGGGUAUUGGACGGUGCUAUCUGCCUAUUUGACAGUGUUGCUGGUGUGGAACCACAGUCUGAAACUGUAUGGAGGCAAGCUGAUAAAUAUGGAGUACCUAGAAUUUGUUUUGUCAAUAAGAUGGAUCGCCUUGGAGCAAACUUUUUCCGAACAAGAGACAUGAUAAUUACAAACUUGGGUGCUAAACCCCUUGUUAUUCAACUUCCAAUUGGUGCAGAAGAUAAUUUUAAAGGAGUUAUUGAUCUUGUAAAGAUGCAAGCUAUACUUUGGUCAGGGGAAGAAUUGGGUGCAAAGUUUGAAUAUGCUGAUAUCCCAGCUGAUCUUGAAGAGUUGGCUCAAGAAUACAGAGCACAAUUGAUAGAGACUAUAGUUGAGUUGGAUGAUGAUGCUAUGGAAAAAUAUCUAGAAGGAGCUGAACCUGAUGAGGAGACAAUAAAAAAAUUAAUUAGGAAGGGCACAAUUUCCAGCAAUUUUGUGCCAGUCUUAUGUGGCUCUGCUUUUAAAAACAAGGGGGUUCAGCCAUUGCUUGAUGCUGUUGUUGAUUAUUUGCCUUCCCCUCUCGAGUUGCCAGCAAUGAAAGGGUCUGACCCUGAGAACCCAGAAAAAACAAUUGAAAGGACCGCCAGUGAUGAUGAACCAUUUGCUGGAUUAGCCUUCAAGAUCAUGAGCGAUCCAUUUGUAGGAUCCCUCACGUUUGUGAGAGUUUAUGCAGGGAAGCUAUCUGCGGGAUCUUAUGUACUGAAUGCAAACAAAGGAAAGAAGGAGAGAAUUGGAAGACUUCUUGAAAUGCAUGCUAAUAGUAGGGAAGAUGUUAAGGUGGCUUUAGCUGGUGAUAUUGUUGCCCUUGCAGGUCUAAAAGAUACCAUAACUGGAGAAACACUAUGUGAUGCUGAUAAUCCGAUUGUGCUUGAACGUAUGGACUUCCCUGAUCCUGUGAUCAAGGUUGCAAUUGAACCCAAGACCAAGGCUGAUGUUGAUAAGAUGGCAAAUGGUUUGAUCAAACUUGCUCAAGAGGAUCCUUCUUUCCACUUCUCACGAGAUGAAGAAAUCAACCAGACUGUUAUUGAAGGAAUGGGGGAAUUGCAUCUUGAGAUCAUUGUGGAUCGCCUAAAGAGGGAAUUUAAGGUUUGUAUAUGCUUUUUAUCCAUCUGUUUCCAAUUUAAUCUUAAAUGUUCAUGCACAUGGUUCCAAAUUUUCUUUUCACUUUUGUGGUGCUUAAACCCUUGAAUAUUGUUCCGGUGUUUUUUCUCUGUGAGAAAUUCAACAGUUAUUACUUUUUGCGGUUCUGAAAAGAUAUUAAGAAAAAAGUUAUAAAAAAGAAAUUCAUAGUUCUCCUAAAUGUCGAUUUGUAUAAAAAUGACAUGGAUUGCUUCACUCAAACAGGUGGAAGCUAAUGUUGGUGCACCCCAAGUAAACUACCGUGAGAGCAUUUCCAAAGUUGCAGAAGUGAAGUAUGUGCAUAAAAAACAGUCUGGUGGACAAGGACAGUUUGCUGAUGUAACAAUACGAUUUGAGCCCAUGGAGGCAGGCAGUGGAUACGAGUUCAAAAGUGAAAUCAAGGGAGGUGCUGUGCCUAAAGAAUAUAUUCCUGGAGUAAUGAAAGGAUUAGAAGAGUGCAUGUCUAAUGGAGUGCUGGCAGGUUUCCCUGUCGUUGAUGUACGUGCUGUAUUAGUAGAUGGUUCUUACCACGAUGUCGACUCGAGCGUCUUGGCAUUUCAACUGGCAGCUAGGGGAGCUUUUCGGGAUGGCAUGAAGAGAGCUGGCCCAAAGAUGUUAGAACCUAUAAUGAAAGUGGAAGUGGUCACACCUGAAGAACAUUUGGGAGAUGUGAUUGGUGACCUUAACUCAAGGAGAGGUCAGAUCAACAGUUUCGGUGAUAAACCUGGUGGUCUGAAGGUAUGUAAAUUUAAGUACGAUCUUUUAUUUCUCGAUUGACUAACCAACGAUUGGCAACUCUGGCUGAACUUUACCUAGAUAUUUCAUACCUCUUCUUUUACUUAUAUAGUACCCAAAAACAACAAAAACAACACUAAACCUUAAUCACAAACUACUUAGGGUUGGCUAUAAGAAUUCUUUCUAUAGUACCCAAAACAAAGAUGUCAUUAGCAAAGGCAAGAAACAUGCGCAAAGCAUUCACAUUUGAUGUUCAUGUUUUAUUAAUAUUUUGCUAAUUCGUCGAUCGUUUGUGAUUAAUGCAGGUGGUUGAUGCCCUUGUUCCACUGGCAGAGAUGUUCCAAUAUGUUAGUACCCUUAGAGGAAUGACAAAAGGCCGUGCAUCGUACACAAUGCAAUUAGCCAAGUUUGAUGUUGUUCCUCAACACAUUCAAAAUCAGCUUGCUGCAAAAGAGCAAGAAGUUGCUGCGUGAAUCCUGUGAGAGAAUCCUGUGAGAGGUGGCAUUAUUAUAAAUUUUUGUGAAGUUGAUACUGAAUGAUUCGAGGAACCAGUUUUGAUUUCAUCUGUACUCACUUCAGAUAUAAAAUGCAAACAAAUUUAGUCGAAAAGAAUUGACACACAAUUUUGUGUCCCAAACAUGAUUGUUGAUUCUGUAAAAACUGUAAGAGAAGAUCAAAUUAUGUAAUAACCUUCCAUGAUAUUAGCCGCAGCCAACUCCGGAGAGAAAUUUACAACUGGGUCUUUUAUACUUUUUCUUCAAUGCUUGGAUUAGAAUUUAUUUAGAUUAAGAAUUCACAUUAUUAUGCAACAAUAGUGAUAAUUGGGCAUAUAAUUUGGUUUGCAUUUCCGUUUCCCAAUACUCUUAAAUAAAAUUUCAUAUUUUUCUUUCAAUUCGAAUAAUCUAUAGAUUAUAGUUUUGAAUUGUUUAAAAUCAAUAUGUCAUACGAUAAUACUUUACAAUGUAAUUUUCUUCUAUUGAGAGCAACUAGAAAUGCUUGCUUCAGUUUAUCUCUUGCAUCGUGACUCGUGAUGAUUAAAAAUGAUAAAUCUAAAAUAAGGAAUGCAAUAAAUUAUUAAAAAAAUAAUAAAAAUUGUCAUCAUUAUAGAACUAAAAUAAUUAUAUUAAUAAUAUUAUUAAUCUUAAUAUUUAAAAUAGUUAUUAUUAUACUUUUUAACCUUUUUUUGACUAAAAAAUAAUAAAUCAAUUACUCUUACUGUUUUUUUUAAUUUGAGAUCAUCCGGUGAUUUUCUUAGAAAGUAACACUAAAUUAAAAGAAAACUUUCAAAAAAUCAAUCAAAAAUAUAAAACUAAAACUUUGUCUGGGAAGGGGGAAAUUUUACUAUUCAUUUUCCUCCCAAAAUGAAGUAAAAAUGAAGUUAAAAUAGGUUUAAAACAGAUGACCCUCUUUGAUAUUUUACCUCAAACCAAACAAGGAAUUUUGACACCCGAUAAAUAUUCACUUUUUAUUUUAUGUCCACCUAAACUUUACACCCAUCCAAUCAAAGGCUAAAGUUGGCAUGCCUUCAUAAAAAGGUUUACAUCUUAACGACUUUACGUGUAAGGUAGCUGGCGAAUCAGACAGGACAUCAGAAAGGGCAUAAACAAAGACAGAUCCUGCUAGAAGCAGAAGAUGAGGGAACACGCAGUGCUAGAGCAUGCGAGAGAAAGAAAGCAUAAAUGUCUGGUAGUGAACUAAAAACAGGCAAAUGCCUCAAAAUUUUUCCAACUUAAAUUAGUUUUUAUGAAACAAUCCACAAUGGAGAUUACAAUUCAGUGAAAUGAUUAAACUGCAUUAUCAUAGAAUUUGGUUGUUUUGGCUUCAACUCUUAUCUGAUCUGAACUAUUCCUGCAUUCACAAGCUUCUGAAUCUUGUUCAUGACCAUGGGAUUCUUCAUAUGUUCCUGAGCUGCCUUGGGAUUUUCUUGGAAGUCAACCAAGACCUGCAAUAUUUGGAUCACGCAAAGUUACAAAAAUAAGCGAAACCAACAAUUCUCUAGCAUUGUCAAAUAUGACAAGAAAAGUUUAUCCAUUUAGAAAGGAACUUUGAACCUUUACCUGUCUCAUGAUAGGAUCUGAGAGGAUAUUCUGAAUUUCUGGAUCCUGCAUUGCCUUGGCCUGCAAUAUGCAACAAACUUUAGACCACUUCCUCUAAAACGUUCAAUCCCCAACACAACCAAAGUGAACUCCCAAAUAGAAUAUGGCUGCAAAAGACAUAAAAACACUAACCUGUCUCUCUUUCAGUUCUUCAGGGCUUAUAUCACCACGGCUAGUCUUGUUAAGUUGUUCAACACAUCUGCAAAACAAUUGAGUACAUAAUUAACAUUUUCAAUAACAGGAUGCGCAAAUAAAAUCGGUUCAAAUAUGUGGUAGUAGUAUCGCAUACCUUCUGACACCAUCAAGCAAUUCUGGGUUCUGAGGAUCAUGUUUAAGCCCUUCCUGGUAGGUCUCCAGGGCCUUGUCAUACUCUUUCAUGAAAAAUUGAACAGCCCCUUUUCUCGUAUAACCCUUUGAAAAAGUUGGAUCAAGCUCAAUGCAUUUCUCUGCAUCCUUCAAUCCCUCGGGUAAAGCUCCCAGUUUAGUAUAGCAUGCAGCUCUAUUACUGUAUACCUAAAGGAAGCAAGUAGCAAAAAGCCACAAGUAAAAACCAAGUUGACUAGCAGAAUCAUAAUACAUAAUGUGCAACAUAACAUUUGGAUUUGAGAGUCUUUUUUACCUUUGGAUCUUUCGGGUUCCUUCUCAAAGCUUCUGUGUAAUGCUUCACAGCCUCUGGAUACUUUUGUUGCUUGAAAUACUCGUUGCCUGCAGAAAAUUGGUACCAUCAUCAUAACAGAGUUAAUUGCAUGCCCAAAUGGAUAAUAGAAGCCAAAAAUAAGCAUUUAUAUAUGAGCUUCUUAGGUGUUUGGAAUAAAAAUCGGAUUUUUUCUAUCGUUCAUUCUUUUUCUUUCUUUUCUUCUUCAUUUCUUUUUCUCAAAGGAUAAGGACAAAUGGAUGAUGAGUGAGAAAACUAAUGAGGUCAUUUAAAAAGAAGAAUGACAGAAGACAGCAAAAACUUGAAUAACUGCUCAAUUUUGAUAUUAAGUCAUACCUUUCUCACGCUCCUCAUCAGCCAAUUUUGGAUCAAAGUAUUCUUGUUGCUCCAGUUCUUUCUUUGCUCUCUCUGCAUCAUUUAGUUUCUUCAAAGUGUCUGGGUUGCGAUGCUCAGUAAGAGCUUUCUGGAAUGUCUCGAUAGCAAUAUCAUAAUCCUUUGAGCACUUGGCCAUUUUUACCAAGGCAGUUCCCUUCCUUGUCAAAGCUCUUGCUAUCAUCUUAAAGUCUGAUCUGAGUUCCCUUCCUCUCUCAACAGCUUUGUCACAGUCUUUUAUACAUUCCUCAUACUAAAAUUGCAGCAAUAGAAUCAGAAACGGGAUUACAGAUUGAUUCGAUGCCAAAACAGACACACAGAUAUAACAUCAGGUUAUUUUAAAAAAACAUAAUUUUUAAAACACCUAUUCACCUAUUCUUUUUUUUUUUUUUUAUCUAUUCCCAUUGACUUGGAAUAAAAUUAUUCAAUUUUAAAGUAUCUUUUGACUGGCGCUAAAAUUAGAAAGACAAUUGUAUACAAAAUGUUCUUUGAACUCAUUUGUAAAUACAAACAUGCAUAUAUAUUCAAAUCAAAAGCACAAAUUUUUAUCACUAGUUCAUUACCCACAUAAACUAUGAAAACAGGGUACCUCAAGAUAAUGUUAAAGGUUACUUGGAGAGAUUACUAGCUUGUUGCUGUCCUAAACAUGUAUUAGACCAACCGGCUACUUUCUAAUACGAAAAUGCUUUGCACAAUGGAUGUUAGUUCCUACUUCUAUAAGACAAAAGAGAGCAAUAUCUGAUAGCAAUGCUCGACAUUUUUAGGGAUCAAUAAAAAAUGGUUAUACAGGACAUUAUUAAGCAGUCCACAUAUGUAAACUCGAAUAGCAUAAAUGGGAACUCUGUAAAGGAAGCGUAAGUGAUUCAUAACCAAGGCAAAACAGCCUACCAACAUAUAUUAACACAAAGGAAACAGGAGCCCAUGACGUAUCUAGCAAGAGAAAUAUAUGCAAUUUCUAAAGUUUUUAUAAUUUUAACUUUCAAUUUAAGGAAACAUAAAUAAAAUAUAGCUAAACCAAAAAAAGGAAUUACCUUGCCCAUCUCGAGAUAAACAGCAGCACGAUUUGUCAAAUAUGAAAUAUCCUCAUCGUCCAGCUCCAUUGCCUUAGUGUAAUGUGCAAUUGCAGUCUCGAAAUCCUUCUUCUUAUAAGCUGCAUUUCCCAACUCUUUCUCUUUAACUGCUUGAGCUUUCCUCUCCUUAGCUUCUUUCUCCUCUACUGAAACAUCCAUAGGCUCUGGUUCAGGCUCAGGAGCCUUCUCCUCCUUCGCAGGCUCUGCGUUUUUCUCCGACUGGGAAGGAGGGGACUCCGCCUCUGGCACCUCCAUAUCGUCUCCAGCAUUCGGUGCUCUAAAUUUCACGUUCAAAAGAACCCCCAAAGCUUGCAUCACUCUCUGAUCUUUCAAGUACAGAUUCAAAUUGCUAGGGUUUCUCUGAAUCUCCUGCAUCAUCUUAACAAAAUCCGGUUGUUGCAAAUACAUCCUCGUUGACGGAUCCGCCGUUAAUUUCGCCCACAUCUCAGGUCCAGAGAACGCAUCCCCAAACGGACUAGGCGGCGGCGCGGCUCGCGACCUAGAAGCUGCCGCUUCAGCAUCAGCCAAGCCAGACUUCAACGCUUCAUUGUUGGGAUCAAUCUCGAGCCCCUUCUUAUACGCUGCGAUAGCGUCCUGAAUUUGGUGCAAUCCAAGGUGAGCCGCGCCCAGGCGAGAAUAUCCUUUAGACCAGUCGGGCUUAAGCUCGACGGUUUUCUUUGCAUCGACUAGCGCGUCAGCGUAGUUGUGCAGCGAGGCAUAAGCAGCAGAUCGGUUAGAAUAGAGGACAUGAUUAGAAGGGGCUAGUGAGAUUGCUUGAGUGAAGUGUUUGACGGCGCCGGUAAAGUCGCCGGCUGAGAAUGCGGCGUUGCCUUUGGCUUUGGCUUCGUCGGCCAUGAAACGCAAAAGAGUAGGUGUUUAGGGAGGCUUUUCGAAGGAAUUGAGAAUUUUGGAAUUUGUGAUUUGGGGAGAAAGUAAGGAUUAGGGGAAGAGAAAGAGAGGGGUAUUAUAGGAAAUAAAGUCGAGGACGAGAGAGUUCUGGUGAUUCCAGAAGAAGGUGUUCUAGAAUGUUCCGUUCCGUGGUGUACGAGGGGAAUGGAUUCACUCGUGCGUGCUCAUGCAAUUGGAGGUGUUUGGCAGCGGAGAAAUGGACGUUCCGUCGAUGAAUUUUUAGAAGCUUGUUUUGAACGUCCUAUCGUUUUACUUAUUAUCCGAUCCCAAACUGAAACGAGCAGUGCUGCCCAGAAUCAGCUGUCGUUUUCGCAAACCGCUAACUUAAUCUAUGCAUGAUGACAUUAGCCGUUGUUUAGAAGGUAAAUUUUUUAUUUAUUAGGUCCAGCAUUAAGCCCAAAACUUGAUGUUCAGAGCUAUGAUUCACUCAAAUGGUGAGUUCAAAGCCCAGAAAAAACUAUGUAUCGAAUUCCAGCCGGGCUCAAUACAAAGUCAAAAAGAAGACUUGUCAUCAUGAAAAUUUGUACGAUGAAAAUCACUAUAGAAAGGGAUCCAACCUUCAACCUUGUAAUCAGCAGUCGCACGCUCAAACCAAAUGAGCUACUCCAGCUGAACAAUCAUAAAUUUCAAAUUAGCACUUAAAAUUAAUGUUUUGGACACUGAUUUUAAUUUCUUAACAUAUUAAAUUAUUACGUUCAAAUCAGAAUAUAUUUUUUAGAAGAAAAAAAAGAUAAAAUAAUAAAUGGUUAGAAGAAUUAGGCUGAUAAGAAUUUAUAGGUAAAUACCAAAUACUAUCAGUUUAAGUAAUAGGAGAUUUACCGGUAAAAAUUGGUGUGCAAAAUCCUUGUUCCCUAACAAGCAACCUAUGAGUAAGGGCGUCCACUCCAACUUGUCUUCAUUGAAUGGCAAAUAGUUCUCUACUCUCAAUAUCCCCAUUAUUAUUAUUAUUAUUAUUAUUAUUAUUUUUACCCAAUAGCCCAAUCUUGGAUUUGCAUUCAAUAGUCCAAUUAUGUAUUAUAUUGUUACAUUUAAUAGUUGUUUUUCUUUUAGAUUUUUUUUCCCAAUAGCCCAAUCUUGGAUUUGCAUUCAAUAGUCCAAUUAUGUAUUAUAUUGUUACAUUUAAUAGUUGUUUUUCUUUUAGAUUUUUUUUUUUUUUUUUUUUUUGCUCAUAUCAAACAAGCAUGUCAUGUAUUCUUUAAAAAAAGGAAAAAAAAAAAAAAAGGCAUAUCAUGUGAUAGUUUUUUAUUUUAUAAUAUCAUGUGUAUUAUCGAUAACUUAAUAUUUUAAUUUUUCUAUUUUUGUCCAAAUAAUUUAAAAAAAAAAAAAUGAUUCAUCCAAUUAUAUUAGAGGUAGAUGAUUUUUGAGAUAGGUAAGUCCUAUAAUUUGAUUGUACUUGAUGUGUAAGAUAUAUUAAUAAAUAAGUUUUAAAUUAAUAGCACUUCUAUUUUCAUUAUAUAUAUAUUGUUUUUUCUUUUACAGUUAUAAUAGUAACAUGGUAGGAGAAAUAUAAAGUUAUUUUCUUAUUAUAAAGUAAUUAAAUAAUAUUAAAGUUUUGUCAAUAUUGUCAUUAUUUGUAAUAAUAUUUAUUUAAUUUGCAUGCUGAUGUCAUUUUAAGGGAAAAGUAUAAACUAUUAUGAAUAAGAGUAACCUCCAUUAAGAAAUCUAAUAUAUAUAUAUAUAUAUAUUUUUAAAUAAAAGGUACAAAUAAUUUUAAUGCAAAAAACAAAAGAGUGGCAGAGAAAGAAGACAAUUAAUAUGCCACAAAAGAGUGAUUAUUAUUUAAACAUUUUUUGUUAAGUUAAAUUAUUAUAUCUUUAUUUUUUAAUUAUCAUCACAAUUUGAAUUAUUAUAUAUAGUUUAAAAUAUCAUUCUAUUCUCAAGUUUUUUUAUCAUAAUAUUAGAUAAUUAUAAUGUUAUAUUAUUGAUAAAAAAAUUACAAGUACGUAGUGUUGGAGUAUGUUGGUAAUCCCACAUCGGAUAAAUAUAACUAACUAAAAGGCAUAUAAUGUAAAGGGUGAACCAACCAAAAUGGCUCCGUUUUGUGUUAAAGUUAAACUCAACUCAUUAUAAGCCCAAUAUUAAAUAUAUAAUUAAAUUUGAUUUGAUUAAUUUAUUCAUAGGGCACAGAUUCUCAAUACUUAGAAUAAGUAUAAACGUGUAAUUUAUGUUUAAUAAAAAAAACUAAUAACAUAAAAAAAUAAAGAUUGAACCGCAUAUUGAAACGUAAAAUUUCUAUUAUAAUUAAACUUCCAAAUCUUAUUUUUGCCAAUAAUAGCAUACUUAACUGAAUUUGCUGGGAUAAAGAAAUAUUAUUUUUGCAAUCAAAGCAUAAUUGCUGAAUAUGCUAGGAUAAACUUCAAUUACGCCAUCUUAUUUUUCAUUAUUCUGCUGAUUCUGUGUUUGCAAUCAAACCUUUGUUUAAGCCGUGCUGGCAUGCAAGUGCUAUAAUUUCUCCACUUAAAAAAAGAAAAAGAGAAAGAAAAUAAUAAAUUAGUGUUAUCGCACUGUCAAGUAAGGUUUAAAUAGUAAACACAUUUAAAUUAACCAAUCAUUUAUUUAUAAAUAAUUUUUUAAAAUUAAAUGCAUCUAGUCACAUGCAAAUAGAAGUUUCGCCAAUCAUAGAAAAAUAUAUAUUUUUUCAUAUUUUUCUAAACAAAUUGAGAAUUUAUUACAAAGUAAUAUAAUAUAAUUUUAAUACAUUGUAAUAUUUAUAGAGAAAUAAAAAAAAUAUGAAUAUAAAAAUUGAAAUCUUUUAUUUAGUGAUUAUUUUAGCAAAUUAAUUUUAGAGUAAAAAAUAAUUCAUUUUCUAUAAGAUGACAGGAGAAAUUUUCUGCAAUAAUUUUUAAGUACUUGUUCCAUUUAUCACCUAUAGAAAAAAUACAAAUAUCAAUAGAGGAAUAAACAACAUUAUUAAAGUGUAAUUGUUCGAAAAUUUAUUCGAACAUGAAAAUUUAAAGUCUGCAACUAUAAAAAAUCAAUAAUGCAUCUUAUAUUUCAAACCGUUGACAAAGAAAAAAUCAAACAUAUAUAGUUGUUACGAAAGAAGUGAAAACACUAAUAAAAAUUACAACUAGAUACUAUAAAUAUUAAGAUCUAUCAAUUACGACGAAUGUGAUAAAUUAAAUCCAAGGUAUUUCGAAUGGCCACAAAUUUGAAGAUUAUUGAAAAAAAAAAGUAAAUAAAAUAAAAUGAUGAAAAGAAAUAAAAGGAACCAUCAAGGACUAAAGGAUAUGGUAAUUUUAUUUUAAAAUUACUUUUAUUAUAAAAAGAAGAUGUUUUUUCCCUUGAGAAAUUAAUAGUGCAUGAAAGAUGUUUGACAAGACUACCUUAACCAUAACGCUUGAUCUUUUAGCCCAAUUACUGCAAACGACAAAUCAUAACAGACACAAGCUUUACCAACGGAAAUAGUGGACAAAACAUCACUAACAAGCACCUUAUUGAUCCUCACAACCGAAACGCCUCCCUGAAAAUCCCACUUUCUAUCCGAGUAAAUUACUUUUUAAUCCAUAAGAAACCCAAUUAUCUAACUAAUUAAUUAAUUAAUCCAUUAAUCAACAUUAGAGAAUUAACCCAAGGGGGGAAGAGAACAAGAAAGGCAAGAAAUCCAUCGAAGCCUUGCAAACAACAAACACCACUUGCAUAAUCCACAGCGUUUAUGGACCCACCAUCAUCAGUCAGUUUCAGGACGUGUCAAACCCUUCUGUUGCAUGGCUCCUUAAACCACCGUUUCUUACCACCUUCUCUUUAGUCUUUAAAUACUCCUCCUUUCAUCACUUUCCUUCAAAGCCCAGUUCCUCUCUUUCUCCUCCGGUGACGUUCCACCGCUUCCGCUUUUUCUUGCCCACUCUGCAUGGAAACCCAUAAAUUCUUGUUCCUACUCUCCAACUAUGCUCUGUUUCUUGUUCUUUUACUUUCUUUUCUAGAUUUACAAAGUGGCUCUGCCUCUCGGUUGAACCCAUUUGAACCUGGAAUUCUUUUACCGACCGAAGAAGAUGCAUCAGAAGUUGAUGAUGAUCAAAUUGGCACCAGAUGGGCAGUUCUUGUCGCUGGAUCAAGGGGUUAUGGAAAUUACAGACAUCAGGUAAUAAAAUCCCAAUUAAUCCUUUCUCUCCCUAAAAAGCAAAACCAAUCAAUCUUUUUUUUUUUUUUUUUUUAAUUAUUUUGAGUUCCGGUUUCAAGAAACUACGUUCUUGAUUAUAAAUUUUAAUCAGUUAACUUCUACUAUUUAAAGAAAUUGUUUUUUUUGGGCAUGAUCUUAUUACAGGCUGAUGUUUGCCAUGCAUAUCAGCUGCUAAGAAAGGGUGGAAUUAAAGAAGAGAACAUAAUAGUGUUUAUGUAUGAUGAUAUAGCACAUCAUCAGUUAAACCCUAGAAAAGGGGUUAUCAUCAAUCAUCCACAAGGAGAAGAUGUAUAUGCUGGUGUGCCCAAGGUAUAUCCAUUCCAUUAUGUAAAAAAUCAAAUACUAUGAUAUAAAUGCUUCCACCAUAUAAUUGCGUAUAUUAUUUUAUAUACUAUGGUAAUUAUCAUGUAAUAGUAGAUACUUGGAUUUUUAUAAGUUAAAUCUGUGGUUAAGGUUUAUUAUUUAGUAUAAUGACGUCUCCCUUUGUUGAGUAUUGGUUGGCUGGCCAUCAUAUUUGAUAGUAAUUGAUAAUAUUUAUUUAUAUGGAGAGGAGCAAAAAUCAAGAAGUUGGUGGGUCCUUGACUUUGUAUGGGUCUGUUUCACAUUAUUUAUUACAGGACUCUGUGGAUCUUCACAAUUGCUUAGAUAUUGAAAAUUUGCCAGUUCUUUUACUUUUACUUUCAUUUGUCAGUGAGUUUUCUCUGUUGGAUCAUGUUGUUGAAAGUGAUGUUUAGGUUAAUUAUUUUCUAGGUUGAAUUCUUACAUUUUGAUUUUAAUUUUAUUGGUUUGUGCAAAAUAUCAUUGUUUAUUAUAGAAUCUUGCAACUAUACAAUACACAUAGAAAUAGUCGAAAAAAACUGACCAUUAUUAAAUUAUAUAAUGCAUUUAGAUUAUGAAUUUAUUUUUUGGACUCUUCUUUAAAAAAAUCUUUCCUGGAUUAUUAGAUGUGAUUAAUUAACUUGUUGCAUAACAUUUAUUUGGAUGGUGACUAUUUUUAAAAUAAAUAAAUAAGGAUUAUCAUAGUACGAAUUGUUGAACUCACCGAUAUUUUUUGGACAAUGUUGUAUGAUUUUAAGGUUCAAUCUUGAUUGGUGCAACUACAUUAUCAUUUGGUUCCACUAAAAUAAAGCAAGGAAUUCUUUAAUUGAAAGGGAGAAAAAAAAAAGCAAUGAUGUGAAUGAUCAAAACUCAAAAGCCAUUUCGGUCGCACUACCUUAUCACUUGGUUCCACUAAUUUGGUGGGAUCAACAUGUAGACAUUUGCUGUAACGGGUCUUUAAUAGGUGAUCAUAAUUAACUUGAACUUUGAUGGAUCAUAUGUGUGGCUAGGAUUAUACGGGCGAGCAUGUCACUGCUAAGAAUCUCUACGCAGUACUACUUGGUGACAAAAGUGCUCUCUCAGGUGGAAGCGGUAAGGUAGUAAAUAGCACGGCCAAUGAUAGGAUCUUCGUUUACUAUUCUGAUCAUGGCGGCCCGGGGGUUCUUGGUAAGCUGGCAAUUUCUUCUCUGUGUGGUGCUUGCUACUUAAUUUGCUAAGUUUAACAUUAAUUAACUAUUUUUGUAAUGUUAAUAAUGUAGGGAUGCCAAAUUUGCCUUUUCUAUAUGCAAUGGAUUUCAUAGAGGUUUUGAAGAAGAAACAUGCAGCCGGCAGCUAUGAAAAAAUGGUAAUUAAUUAAACAAAGUAUAAUAUUUUCAAGUAUGAGAAUCUAUGGAAUGGAAUAAACAAAGAGAUGAAGUUACAAAGUCGAUUUUUUUUUUUUUUUUUUUUUUUUUUUUUUUUUUGUGCUAAAUGCAGGUGAUAUAUGUAGAAGCUUGUGAAAGUGGCAGCAUUUUCGAAGGGAUCAUGCCGGACGACAUAAACGUUUAUGUCACAACAGCAUCAAAUGCACAAGAGAAUAGCUGGGGAACUUAUUGUCCUGGAAUGGACCCUUCUCCACCUCCAGAAUUCAUUACUUGUUUAGGGGAUUUGUAUAGUGUUGCUUGGAUGGAGGACAGGUCAGUUCAGUUCUGACACACAAAAUUUACUUCUUUUCUUAGUAAUACUGCUAAAUUAAUUUUCCUAAUAUGUAUAUGUAAUGAACUAUAUUUUGCCUAUUAAUUUUCUUCUGCAGCGAGACUCAUAAUCUGAAGAGGGAAACCAUAAAGCAACAAUAUAGGACGGUAAUUUUGAUUAUUUAUGUGAUUUAACACUUAAUUAAUUUUAAAUGAACAUUUUUAAUUUCUUCACUUAUCUCAACUUUUCCUAAAUUUAUGAAUGAAGGUAAAGGAGAGGACUUCUAAUUAUAACACAUAUACUGCUGGGUCUCAUGUGAUGGAAUAUGGAAAUUCAAGCCUUAAAACAGAGAAACUCUACUUAUAUCAAGGUUUCGACCCCGCAAAUGUCAAUUUGCCCCCAGUUAAUGCACAUGUCAAUGCCCCUAUGGAAGUUGUUAACCAGAGAGAUGCAGAGCUUCUUUUCAUGUGGCAAAUGGUGAGUAGUAUUUUACAUUUUGCAGCUUCUUAUAAUUGAUAUUAUAAAUGAAAUUACCAGCCGUUAGUAAUUUUCUCGUCUUUUUCUCUCCCUGCAGUACAAAAGAUCAGAUGAGCAGUCAGGAAAGAAAGCACAAAUCCUACAGCAGAUUAAAGAGACAAUUAAGCACAGAAGUCAUUUGGAUAAUAGCAUAGAAUUGAUUGGAACCUUAUUAUUUGGACCCCAAAAAGGUUCUACUGUUCUUCAAUCUGUUAGAGAACCUGGUUUACCCUUAGUAGAUGAUUGGACUUGCUUAAAAUCAAUGGUAACAUUAUUUUCAUUCCAGUCAAAAGUUUUGCCUCCCCUAUUGUAUAAUUUGUUGGUUGCAUAGUAACUAAAGAUAAUUGUUCCAUACCUUGAAAUCUCAGGUUCGAGUGUUCGAGACAUACUGCGGAUCAUUAACCCAGUAUGGCAUGAAACACAUGCGUGCAUUUGCCAAUGUUUGCAAUGGAGGGGUCUCUCAUGCCUCCAUGGAAGAAGCUUGCAUUGCCGCAUGCAGCGGCCAUGAUGCUGGCCAAUGGCAGCCUUUGAACCGAGGUUAUAGUGCCUAAAUUAGUCACAUGGCAGGAAAUGUGCGAGUAGUUAUUCAUAGUGUUUCACAAAAAUCACUACUGAGUUUAGAAAUUUUAGUGUUCCUGAUGUGAAAUAUCUGUUAUAGGACUAUAUGAUAGAGUUAUAGAUUUGUUAUAAUAAAGCUACAGAUCUGUCAUGGGCUUUGCUGUGGAACAUUAUGAUAUAAAGCUUUACACUUGUACUUUGAAGGCCACUUUGUGAUAAGCGGAAAGGCCUUCUUAAUGAUAACAAGCUGAUCUUUAAUGUAUUUCAAUGUUGACUCUUCGAAUGCCCUAAAAGAUUAGUAUGCAGUUUUAUUCUUUGACCUUGUUCUUUUUUCACACGUAUAUUCCUCUUAACUCUUUGUGGUACUACACAAGGUUACGAUCUAUGAAUAGGGAUUUUGAAGAUUUUAUUCCUAUAUGGAACCUUUCAAAAACGGCUCAAAACUUUGAAAUUAGGAAGUAGGGGACCAAAAACCAAUGUGAAGACAACCUAAUACAAUUGAAGUUUCUAAUAGAGGCCAGCAUGCAAUUGGUUAAGAAAUAAAAAAACAGGGACUUGAAACUGAGUAGCAAACGUCAACCAUUAUAAAUAACCUGAAUAGUAAUAUGAUGAAAGUUGACCUUGACCAUGUGCAAUUGAUGUCUGCCUAAUUAGCUAUUAUUGUCAAUGGGGACGGAACAUUUUUUUUCCCCAUUCCCAUUUUGGAGCACUCCUAAAAGAAGUGGUUAUGACGAGAAGUAAAGUUGUAAUUUGUUUAGCUUUUCACGUAGUAAGAAAUAAUCUGAGCAAAUUCUCAAACCUUGUAUUUUCUUCUUAAAGAAAUCAACGUAGACUUUUAAAGGAGCCAACUUGUAAAACCUCUUUUAGGAAAGUAUGAUGGUUUUCCUUCUCUUGAUUGCUUGCAAGAACAGUAUACCUCUCCCACUGGAGAGAUGAGACUUGUGUCGGUUUCAGGUCCGGAAUCCUUUAAUGGAAGGUCAUUUUGAAUUUUUUUGGGAAAUAUGACAUUACGAUUUAUUAAAAGUAAAGUUUCGUUAGAGAGCAUUUUCAUAUGGUCGAAUCUCCUUAGAGGAAUGCAAUGGUUUCAUAAGGCAGAUCUUGAGCCACCAUGCGAGCAAAAAUAUCUUUUUUGAAAAUAAUAUUCUUAGUGUAGAAAGUUUCAAAUUUAGGAUCUUCGAUUACAUAAUUUUACGAGAGAUAAAAUUAUAAAUAUGUAAAUUCAGAGUUAAAUAGACUACUUCAAGAGUAUUCAUACAUAAAUAAAUAAUAUAAAAAAAUACAACCAACACUUAUUGGAAAAAUAAACUCUAAAAAUUUAAGAUUAAAAGUGAUUAGCGAUUCAAUAUUUUAAAUAAUUAAAUUUAAAUAAAUAAAAAUAUUGAAUAUCUAUCUUCGGAGAUUUUUUUAAUAUCUCCUAUGCAUCAAUGAUCUAUUUUCUAAAAUAUCGUUAAUAGAUUUAAUUAUAAUUCUUUCAAAUUUUCUAAUAAUAAAUUCUAGAUUAUUAUCAUUCUAAGAUUUUAAAAAUUAAAAGGUGUUAAUCACUUUUAAAUCAUAGACAAUAAAACUUUUUGGUACGAUUUCAAUAACAUGGUGUUGGUAUAUAUAAGUUAAUUAUUUUAAUGACAUUGAGUGAUUGAUAUGGAGAAAGAAAUGUUGGAUGCCAAAGGUGGGGAAAAGGGUGAAAUUAAAUUAUAAAAAGGAAAAAAAAAUCUCUGCGCACAACUAAAUUAUCAUAUGCUAUUUGAGUUCUUAUAUUCACGAAAACUAAGAACUAGCUGGUGGAAUCAAAUUUUAAUUUCCAGAAAAAGGGGAAAAUUUUGUUGCCACAUCACCAUUCCUGACUUUGACAAUUACUGUCCCGGUGGCAAUUGUCCCAUGCGGCGAUCCUCAUCUUCACCUUCUCGAACUCCGAAUACCGGCAUGGUAUCUUUAUUCCACCCGAAUGAUUGUACCCGUAUACCCGCUCUGCACUCUUCAACAACUCUCCAAAUAGCGGGUGAUUGAAGUAUAUGACAGGCACCACUUCUCGUCUCGCGUCACCAUUUGAUUCGCCCACGUACACAGCCAAGUGCCCUCUCGGUACCUCCGCCGGUUUCGCAUGGCCCAGACGGACAUAUCCUCUAUUCGAAUUCAAAAAACCGGCCGUUUUUGUUCCCCGUCGUAACUUUCGAGCUAAGGCCAAGAUUUUGGAGAUGGGAUUAAUGGAUCUCUUGACGGGAUAAUCCAAGGAGCGGGAACGGGUGGGUUUUCUACAGGGUCGGAUUAUCCAAUCGAAAACUCUUACAAGCCUGCGGCGAAGCCGGAAAACUCUAAGCUUUUUCAUGGCGGUAAGUUUAAAGAUUCAAGAAAUGAGUCUUCAACUUUUAGGCGCUUUGACGAUCAAAAUCCGUCAAAUGGAGUUAGAGGCGGCGGCGUGGGUGGGUGCAGAAGUGAUAUUAAUGGAGUCAAGUACGAAGAAGAAUGAACUACUUAUGGUUUGAAGAUUUCAGAGAGCUCUUUGCAAGUGUUUUGUCUGGAGAGUCAAAGCUUGGUCCGUAUAUAUACAUAUAUGUACACGUGUGUUUAAUUGUACACGUGGCUAUAUGUAGAGAGAGAUAUUUGGUCGGCACACGGUUCAGAGACCAGAUAAAAAGAAAUUGAGAUUGGACAAUGAGCAGUUCUUGUUUUUCAUUUUUUUCCUUUUUAUUUUUUGUUUUAUUCAUAAAAUGAUAACAACAAAACUAAGAACAGUAAUAAUGAGGGUUUUGUAUCUUAAUAAACAAAUAUUUGCGACUAAAAUUAGUAUUUUCAAUAAAUAAAUAACGACAAACAUGUUGUAAUUUUAUUUUUAGACAAAAAGACAAAAAGACAGAAAAUAUAGGAAAGAUAUGGAGAUGCGAAUACAGGGGUCAGCUAAAUGAACGGUCUGAUGUCUUUUGGCCUUAAGAUGUCCCGAGAAGCCAAGCCAUCAUAAUUAGGUUAUUAGUUUUUACAUUAAUCAACAAUUGUUAAAUUGCAAGUAGAAAGUUGAUUAAUGUAUUCCAUCUGUAACACAAUUUCAUUUUUUUAUUUUCAAAUUAUACUCCUAUUUCUCUACGAAUUAUACUGUUUAUUUCUCUAUAAUUUUUUUUAUUAUAAUCCAGUUAUAUCAACUAUAUUUUAUUAAAGAUAAUUUAUAAUAUAAUUCCGUAAUACGAAAUGGUACCCCUUCCUUAAUAUGACAUUGUUUUAAAGUAGUUGUACGUACGUGUCGUACGAAGCAACAGUUAAGUACUUAAAGGUCAACCCAGGAACUUGGAAGUCUUUGCUAAUGAUGUAGAAUUACUGGCAAUUGAGAGAUGUGGGCAUUUACUUAAAUUAUAUCCAUUCGUUUUUAUUUUAUUUAUUUAUUUAUUUAUUUAUUUAUUUUUAUGACUUGUCUAAGUAUGAAAAUGUCAAAAUAUCAGAAUUACGUCCCAAACUUUGCUUAUGUACCAAAAAUACAGGAAAAAGAAAAAAAUUGUUUGUCAUAGCGUAUAUUUAAUAUGGGCAGUUGCUUAAUUUAUUUUUUAAAAAAAAAUAAAUGAAUUUUCUAGUGAUUUUUUUUCUUUUGUCAAAUAAUAAAAAGCUAAUUUCAUACAGUAUAAGAAAUUAAGUCGUGAUUGUUAUGUAUUAAUUAAUUGAAGAACUUAUCCCAAAUUAAUGUGGAUCCAUCUCUUCACGCCUAGGGUGUAAAAAUUGCAGAGGAACACAUAUGCUGAUGACUCAACAUUGAUAGACUUUAAUGCCAUAUUAAUAAAAUCUUAAACAAGUUUUAUAUUCUGACUAAAGAUCUUAAACAAGAACUUUCUAUUUCACAUGCUAAGAAAUGUAAGUUGGAAAGUAAAAAAUGCAAGUUUUAGUUUGAGCAUUUUAACUAAAAUUAGUAAGUAUGAAAAUAAUAAAAUGAUCAUAAUAGUAAUGAUUUUGUUUACUUUACGUCUAUAUAAAUUUAUAUCAUUUGAAUAAUUUUUUGAUGUGCAAUGUUUUGUAUGAUUGAAAUAUCUCUAGUCUUUAGAUCAUUAUCUGCAAUAAAUGAGUGUUUCUGAAAUUAGAUUCUUUUAUAAACCGAAACAAUUUGACUUAUCAUUUUCUUCAUAAAAAACUAGCAUAUUAAUAAAAUUAAUUUAAAUCAAAUUUAUUAAUUAGUGGAUUCUUGUUCUAAGCUAUAUGUUUUAGAAAAUUCAAUGAAUUUUCUUUUUUUAAAAAAAAAAAGAAAAAACAUAUAUCAUGUGUAAUUAUGGAGGAUCACAAGGACCAAAUUAAUAUGCAAGAAACUGAAAUUUUAGCCACGUCCAAUUCUAAAAAAUGAACCACACACACAUGCACCUUUUCACUAAUAAUGAACAUGUUUUUUACGUUCCCGCAUAGAUAAUAAUUUUUAGUGUUACGUUUGAUAUUUUCCCCAAAAUUUCUGGAACAUCACACCAAAAUUGAGAAAAGUUAGAUUUUUUUGUUUGAAAAGCAAGAAGAUAAGAGCCUUUUAGGGAAAAGUAAGGCAAGAAGAGUAGAAGAGAAAUUAGUUGGAGCAAAGAGGCAACAAAAUUCAACUGUUAGUGCUAAAAGGAAAGUAGGUUACGCAAAUUGCAGGGUCACUUGCGCUUCUUGUAUCAUUGUCUUCUACGGUAAUGAGACUGCGAUCUUUCCAAAUUCCUAAGUAAAAGGAAGGUUGGUUGGUUCGUCUAAAGAUGAGCUCAUGUACGCUAAAUUACAACGGUAGAGUAGGAUUUCAAAAUUAAACAACCAAAGGAAAUUUUUUAAAAAUUAGAUUGCAAGAAUUAAUUAAUCGUUGAUAAGAACUGUGAGGUAUAUAUAAAAUCCUUUAUGAUGUGCCAAAAUAUGAGUUAAUUAUGUAUUAAGGGAUUUUUAUUCGGUGAUUCUGAAAUUGUUUUUCAAAAUAAAAAUUAGGGCUUUCAGUUUCAAUCCAAGUCAGAUUACAAUUAGAUCUAUUUGCUGAUGGAAAACGACAAAUAAUUAAAGGUAAGCAAUUGUCUGCAACUGGGCUGGUUGUUUGCUUAGACAAGCAAACAAAACCUACCGUUUUGUCGUAAUCCCAUAUUGCACGGACCUUAAUCCGCUGUGGAAAAACGUAGUACGGUUUUAUAAUUAAUAUUACUAAAUGCUAAUGACGAAACCUAAGCAGCUACUUCAAUUCUUAAACUAUUAUAUAUUAACUCUUAAACAAUUAAGCUGGCAUCUCAAAGCUAGUGAGUUUGUUUUUUUUAAUACUUAAGCUAAACUUGUGUGGAUAAAAAAUACAAAUCUGUUGUCUGAAAAUUGUAUCAUUCACAUGUCAGCUUUGGCCUAAUGCAAGUAUUAGUGUAUAUAUAUAUAUAUUUGCAAUGAAACAAAAUAGAGAAAAAUCCAAACCUCACCAGCUACUUAACUGCAAGUAAUCGAUCAUGAGUUGGAUACAGAUGGAAAUGAAGUAAUGAAAAGGCCCCGUCAAGUUAAUUACUGCAUAUUGUAUACUGUAUGUAAAAGUAUACUGUAAACUGUAUAUAUUGUAUACCGAGAAAGACUUAUCUAUACUGGGUGUGGAUCUACCUAUGUACUAAAUCAGGUGUAAAUAUUAUUUUGAUUCAAAUGAGGGUAUUUCUGAUUGCACGCAAAAAGACUAUCCACACACUGAAUAUACGCAAGAAAUUCCUUGUAUAUAAAAGUAAAAAAUACAAUAAAAAUCAAUUUUAUUUACUCAUUUUAUGAAUCAGUCUUCGAGCAGUUCGCAUUGAAUCCUUUGAAAAUAUAUUCUGCGUUUAUCAAUAUCAUAUGCCACAUUAUAAUUUUGCUGAGCCAAGAUUCCAAUUAUAGAAACCUGUUCAUCGGAAUCACCGGGAAGAAACGCUAAGCAAGACAGACCUUCAUCUAAUUUAAAGAAGAUGCUUCCGACCUCCAAUUCCAAUUCAGCCCCACCAGAAAAAUGAAAUGUGAUUGUCGGAAAACCCCUAAGGUUUCUGAAGAUAUUUCCAUAAUAACACAACUGUUUGAAACCAUCUACAUUGAUCCAUGUUGGAGUCAAGAACCCAUUAAUAAUAUUAAAAACUUUAUUUGUAAUUUUAGCAUAAGCAGCUUUAGGUAAAUGCGUAAGUUCAGAUCCAGAGUCAAUUAUCACGCCACCUCUAUCUUCAACUCUCUCAAAAAUGCUAAAAUCUAUGUCAAGUCUUUCCUGUCCUAUACUUAUCCAUUCAAGUGUUACAAAGUAAAAGUUGUCUAUCAGCUCGAAACGAGUAGAGUCACCUUCAAUGUCCACAUCCUUGCCUAGUUUUAGUUUAUUAUAGCUAUAGAAAGGAUCCUGAACAUCGCCAACGCAGUAAGAGAAUUUACGUCCCAGGUGGUUCACUAUAGAGUUACUUGCAUAUCCCAGUCCAAACAUUCCAGAUCCUAAUCCAAAUGUCCCUGUAUUGUUUAUACCACAUCCAAAGACAACAUCGUCUACUGCUACUAUACCUUCAUCUCGUGUUUCGAAUAUUAACCUUUCAAUUCCGAGUAUCCCUCUUGACCCGGUAUUGUCCAGGUAAGAUAUUUCAUAAAUGCAGUUACCGUCAUCAUCACAUUUUGCUGAUUCACAAGAGCGAUCUGCGCAAGGCAUAUUUUUGUACGUUGAAGAACUUGUAUGAUCAUAAAAUGGAACCUUUUGGCUAGAACAAUUUAUGCAUCGCCUGCAUUGAAUCCAAGUUAGAUCAGAACCUGUAUCCAUAAAAGCUAAUUGCGGUACAGGUGGUUGACCAAUGAGGAAACUAACAGAAAAACCAUGAACCACAUUUUUGAGACUGGCUACGUAGGUGUAGUCGUCGUUUUCAACUACAAAAUUUCUCUUAACCUUUGCCUGCAAGUACUUAAAACGUGCAUUCGAGUUUUUGACGGUUCGAUCAGCUCGAUCUUUAGUACUUUCGCUUGGAUUAUAAUAUGGAGAGAAAAUGGAGUUGGUGUGGAUGAGUUUUACAACAAGUUUUUGAGGCUUUGUGUUUGUAGUUAAUGCAAAGGCUAAGAAAAGCAUCAAUUCUAAUGUCAAUGAACUUGUCAUUGCAAUUCUUUCAUUAAGUUCUGAAUGAAUGGAGAAGAGUAUAUAAUAUUCUUUAGCAAAAGAUACAACUUACAAGAAUUAGGUUAGAAGAUGGAGAGAAAAGAGAGGCAAGUGACAGAGAAUGAAAGAUUGGAAGAUGGAAAUUGGAAUGCCAGAAUAAAGAAGGUGUUUGAUUUCUUUUCCAUUUAACAUUUUAGUAAUGAUUUAUAGAGAUUAGGUUCUGGAGUAGUAGAGCGAGGAGAAUAACAAUGACCAUUAACUAGUAAAGAUUGGCAGGUUAGAAUACAAUCAGUAUGCCCUUGGGAAUUUUGCUUUUGUAUUGGGCCCAAAAAAUGUAAGUGCAGACUGUGCAGUGGUUUCUCUUUCCUUUUGGGCCUCGGCCCAUCUUGUUUUCAUUUCUGCUCGGUUGUCAGUUACAUUGACCAAAUUCAUUGGCACCUACAGCAAACUAAUAGGCUCAAGAUUUUCAAGCACAGGUAAAAGACUCUCAAUUGGAGUACUAAUUGAUUAAUGAUAAAUCUAUAAUCCAUGGGAAUAGAAGAGAAAAAUUUAGAUGGACGACACAAUAGCUUUAAAAUUUUAUUUUUAUGAAAAUAAAGGAUUUAUUUAGAAAUUAUUUACGAAUAUAUAAAAUAACAAAUAUAUCCUAAUAUUUUUUUGACUCGCUUAGAAAUAUUUUUAACUCAGUUAAAAUUUCUAAUAUUUUUAAAAAAUGAUAAAAAUGUUUUGGAAUUUAUUGGAAUAUAGAAUUUGGUCAAUAUGCAAUGAAAUGAUCUCAUUUCAAUUCCAUUUUGAAAUGCUUGAAAGUUAAAAUUUCAUUACAUUCUAUUUCAAAUAUUUUUAAAUUUAAAUUUCACUCUAUACUAUUACAAUUUGGUUUAAAUUUGAUAAUUUUAAUUUUUCAACCAUAAAAAUAAAUCUAUUCAUGAAUUGCAAUAAAACAAUAAAUUAAUCUCAUACAACUACAAAUUUAAAUUCAUUCAUCAACCAUCAACUUAUAUUUUUUAUUUUUUUAGGCAUAAAUUGAUUAGAGAAGGUAAAGUAAUAAAAAAAAAAAUUAUAUGUAUUGUACACCAUAUAUGAAAGUAAAAAAAAUACAAAUUUUAUUUACUCAUUUUAAUUUCAUCAGUCUUCGAGGAGUUGACAUUCAAUCCUUUGAAAAUAUAUUCUGCGUUUAUCAAUAUCAUAAGCCACAUUAUAAUUUUGCUGAGCGAAUAUUCCAAUAAUAGAAAACCCUUCAACAUCAGAUAUAUUAAAAGGAGCCAACCACAAGCAAAAUUCACCUUCAGCUACUAUAUGGAACAAUGCUCUAAACUCCAACUCUAGUUCAGCCCCAUCUGAAAACUGAAAUGUGGUCGCCGGAAAUCCCUUAAGAUCUCUAUUCAUAUUUCCAUAAUAGCACAACCGUUUAUAUGUACCUACAUCAGCCCAAUAUGGUUUCAAAAACCGAUCAAGAAGAUUAUGAACUUUAUUUGCAAUCUUAUCAUAUGCAGCUUGAGGUAAAACGGUAAGUUCAGUUCCAGAGUCAAUUACCACACCACCUCUGUCCUGAAUUUUCUCAAAUACAUCAGGAUCUAUGUCAAGUCUUUCUUGUCCAAUACUUAUCCAUUCAAGAGUUAUAAAAUAAAGGCCGUAUCUCAGCUCGAAAGGAGUUGAGUCACCUUCAAUGUCCACGUCCUCGCCUAGUUUUAAUUGAUUGUAGCUAUAGGAAGGAUCGUCAAUAUCACCAAUGCAAUAAGAGAAUUUACGUCCGAGCCUGUGCACUAUUGAGAUACUUGAAUAUCCAAGUCCAAAUAUUCCAGAUCCUAGUCCAGGGAUAGUCAUUGAAUUAGAUAGACCACAACCAAAUACGACAUCGUCCACUGCAACUAUACCUUCAUCACGUGUUUCGAAUGCAAACUGUUCUCUUCCAAGUCUCCCUCUUGACAUGGUACCGUCCAUGUAAGCUAUUUGGUAAAUGCAGUGACCAGAAUCAUCGCAUUCCUUUACACAGGAAGGAUCUUGGCAAGAUAUAUUUUUGUACGUUGAGGAAGUUCUAUCAUCAUAAAACGGAAUUUCUUGGCGAGCACAUAGUUGGCAUCGCUUGCAUUGAAUCCAUGUUACCGUACUACCUGUAUCCAUAACAGCUAAUUGUGGUACAGGUGGUAAACCAAUUGAGAAAUUAACAGAAAAAACACGAUGAACAAAAUUUGAUAGAUUAGCUACGUAGGUAUUGUCGUAGUCGUUUUGAAUUACAAGAUUUUGCUUAACUUUUGCCUGCAAAUACUUAAAACGUGCAUACGAGUUCUUUAGGGUUCGAUCAGCUCGAUCUUUUAUACUUUCGUUUGCAUUAUAAUAAGGAGAGAAAAUGGAGUCUCUGUGGAUGAGUUUAGCGACAAGUUUUUGAGGUUUUGUGUUUAUAGUUAAUGCAAAGGCUAAUAGAAUCAGCAGUUUUAAUAUCAAUGAACUGGUCAUUGCAAUUCUCUCUUUAAGUUUGGAAUGAAUAUAGAGAAGGAUGUAUAAUAUUCUUUAGCAAAAGAUACAAAUUAUAUAUGCAUAAAGAAUUAAGAUACCCUAUGUAAUAGAAAAUGUUCAAGUGGGAAAGAAACGAAAGAUUGUAAUAAAAUGAAAAAAUGGAAUGUGGGUGUAAAGAAUGUGUUUGAUUAUUUCCCUUUAUUAUUUUACUAAUGAUCUCAAAUUAGAAAAAUAAGAUUUGAUUAUGUUUUCUAGUAGUAUAAUGAGAGCAUAACAAAGAUUGUUAAUUAGUAAAGAUUGGUAGGUUAGAAGUACAAUAUGCACUUGGCAAGGGAAUUUUGCAAUCUUUUCUGUUGUAUUUGUACCCAAGAAACGUUUUCGGGCUUCGGCCUAUCUUGUUUUCGUUUCAGGUCGGUAUCUAUUUAUACUGGCUAGCAACUUCCUGCAAAGUAGUAGGCCCAUAUUUUCAAAACCAGGUAAAAGUCUCUUCACAUGUAAAAAUGUUUAAAGGUGAUUAAUUCCAGAAAGAAAAAUUUCUAAAUCUGCGUAUCAUUGAUUAACAACAAUCUUUUUUAGGUUAGUUUGGUGUGCGUGUAUGUUAGUUUUGAAUCUUUAUAACUUCAAUUAUAAACAUAUAUUUAUGUAAUGAUGAGAAUACCUCAUAGGUUACGUCUAAUUGGGUAAUUUUUCAUACUUGUUCAUAAUCCAUAUAUGUUAGUAUCAUUAUAUCUCAAAAAUGAUGAUAAUGAACCACCUCCAAUAUCUUUUCCAACGUACCUAACAGCAUGGUAUCAUACUCCUAAUUAAAGAUGAAAUUAAUUUGUCAUCAACAUUAAUAACAAGCCUACAAAUCAUGCUCUUCUCCACUCCAUUUCUCAUGAAUAGAUGAAGCAGAAACAAAUUAUUUUAAAGCUUAACAUAAUUUUAAUUUCACUUUUAAAUCAUAUGCUUUCUCAAUUCUAUAGUACAACUCUUAUACCAACGGUUGAUGUAAUUGCCCAUAAGUUAAAUCUAAUUAACACUCUCAUUCUAUUUAAUUAGUAUUGUAAUCCUAAUUAAUCACUUCUUUAUAUAUACAUAUAUAUGUGUUUGUGUGUGUGUUUGUUUUCAUAAAAUUGAAUGGCUUUCCCUGUAGAAGAACCCUUCUCCUAUUUGAUUAGAUGUGAACACAACGUUAGGCAGACAGCCCUAUAUAAGGACGAUACUCUAUAAUCUAUAUCAAUUGAUGGCCUUUUUCUUGUGGGAAGCCCCACAGCCAUUCUCUACGAAGGAUUGCUUGUUUAUCAACUGUAACUACUUUGUGGGACAUGCAUUAGGGCAACUUAUUUAUAUACAAUUAUAGUCCUAGAGAAUUAAUAUAAAGCUCUCUUUCCCCUUCAUGCAAAAGAAGGGUUCACAUUGGCCUUUCUAAGGGUUAGUGCCCUUCAAUUCAUGGGCAUUGAGGAAAAGCAAUAGGGCAUGGCGACCUGUCUUUUAGAAUUUGGUGACAGAAACAGAGCUUUCAUAUAUCAAUUUACAAAUUAUAAUGCUUCUCAAUUGGUCCACGCCUUCCUUUUUUUUUUUUUUCAAAAAAAAAAAAAGGAAAAAGAAAAAAAAAUCUUCUAGAUAAAUUGAUACGUGGUGAUGACUGAUUAAUGAGGUUUAAUUAAAUAUUUUAUGUAGUAAAAAAUUAUAAUUAAUGAUUAUAUAUUCACUUAAAACAGAAAAAACAAAAAGAGAUAGGCUUUUGUAGAAGUAUCUUAACUUAAUAUCGAAGCAUAAGAACUGUAACCCUCCAGAAAUGCUAAUAAGUUUUUAUUAAUUUGAAGUAGAGGUAGUGAAAGAAAAUGAAAUGAUAUUGAGGUUUAAUAAUCAUGGGAAGUCGGUGGAUUUGACGGUCCAGAUUGUUGGAGCACUGGAUCUGUUUAUGAUUGAAGUUAGAUAUGUUAAUUGAUUAUUAAUGGUUAAAAAGUUUCAGUGACACAUAACUAAUUAAUCUUGAAGCAUCAAUAAAAAAGGUAAUACUAUAUGACCCCCCUUGUUAUAAUGAGAACAGCAUCUUCGCAUACUCUUCUUGGAUUUCAUAUCUUCUCCCAUUAACUUCCACUAACUUCAAAAAUUUUAAUUGUUUCCUUCCAUUCACCAAUUUUUAGGUUAUUAUAUAUAUAUAUAUAUCGUUACGUCUAUUUUUACGUACCAAUAGUGUGUGCAUAUAUUUCGGUUAAUCUAUAUUCUUGUGUGUUACUAAAUUCUAUAUAUGGUUUAUACUCAUAUUUUAUCACGUCUGUUAUUACAUGUCAGUCAAACAAAUCAUAUCACCGUGUAUUACCAGAUAUUAUAUAUAAAAAACAAAAAUUUCAUGCAAUAAUGCUUUUAUGGGCUUAAAUUUUUGGAUUAGAAUUAAUUGAUUCACAGUUUCUGAAAAAAAAAAAAAGUUGAUAAAAAUUAUCCAAGUUGUUGAAUGCGGUUCAUGAUACGAAAAUAUUUAGAAGCACUAGUGAGUUAAUUUUCUUCCAGCACACUCAUUGCAUAUGAGAGCAAUUUCACAUUAUAUGUUUGUGAAGAGUGGUGCUAUGAAUCUCAGAAUCAGUGCAACCUUUCCAAUUAAGUUCUAACCAUCAAAUUAUAGGACAAGACGUUAAACUUUUGAUCUGAUUUCUGUUUUUCUGCUGUAGAACUGUGUUUUGUGCCCUCUUAUUAUUACUGUAAAAUCUGUCUAGAUUAACAUUUUGAAAUAUGAAGAUUAUGUAUAAUGAUUUCAAAUUCCACUUUCUUAACCUUCAUUUCUUAACCCUUAUUAUUAUUAUUAUUAUUGCCAUAAUUGGUAUUAUUAUUCUGAAGGGGACAUAUAAACCAAAACGUAAUCAUACUCUUCUGUUGCUAUGGACAUAAUAUAUAUACAUAUUCCUAACAUGGCAAUCAAGACUCCUAAAAGAGCCUCAGCCAUAGAAAAUGACAUCAAGAUUGUCAUUAUUAGCCACCACGCCUUAGAGCAACAAACAGUAAAAUGAUGGAGCCCCCCCUUUGUGUGCAUGUGUUUUUGUGCAGAAGUAGUGGAGUUGACUUUCAAGUCAAUAGUCAACGAUCCCAAUAUCAUUUAAAUCGAAGGGAUAAUGUUUAAUUUGAUGUUUAUUGUUAGUUUAUUCUAAUGAUCAUAAUUACAGGGAUGGGCUUACUGUUUUAAUUAUAAUAACAUAUAUUAGAUUUAUAUAUUAUGAACGUGCUUAUGCCUCCUUAAUAUAUUCCUAAAACAGAAGAAAUAUGAAAAUAUUAAAUUAUAUAUGUAAAAAAAUAUAUAUGUGGAGAUAUGCGUGAGAAAUAAAUAUAAAAAAAAUAUACUUUUUUAAAUAAAAAGCUAAGGAUAACAAAAAUUAAAAACCUUUGAUCAGAUCUGAAAUUUUGAUUAAUAACACAUAAACCCUUUUGAUGAGAUGUGGUAUAUGUUUUUCUUGUGAUGUAACUUUCUCCUUGCCAAUUGGAUUUUUACAAUUAACUCUUUAUAGAUAGCUAAUUUGACAAUUAAAUCCUAUUCGAAUAAUAAUAAUUACAUAAAUAUUUUUAAUUUAUUGAAUAAAACACAAUAUUUGGUUUUUUUAUUGGAGUUGCGGCAUUCAGCAUUAUGGUCUUUUACUAAUUUAUUAAUAUAAAACCAUAAUUACUGAGAAAUUUAGUGAUAAUGGAAACUAAUUAUAGCUUAUAUUUCAUGUUCUGAGCUACAUAAUUUGCAGAUUAUAUAUACAUACAAAAACACCUGAGUGGAUCUAAUAGUGAUUGCCAUAAAUGCAAUUAAUGGAAGCUAUGCAGAGACAAUGAGUGCCUGUAUUUUCCAUGAAUGAGAGACAUUUGCAAAAAUUAAAACUUUACAUGUAAUCUUUACAACGUUAGAAAUAGCAAAUGGAAUAGUCAAAAAAAAAAAAAAAAAAACAUUAGGGUUAUGUUUUUCCUUUUCCACAUAAUGUUCAUGUAUUUGAUAAAUGAAUUCAAAACCUACCAACCCAACAGCAAGAGGACAAGAAACUAGAUUUGCCCAAAGUGGUGACGUGUUAAUAACCCUUUCCUUUUCUAAUUAAGAAGAAAAUAAAUGUGGGUCACGUGCUUAAUUGUUUAGGUGUUUUGUGAAGGUAAUCAUGCUUUUGGGACAAAUAGUGCGACCUAAUAAAUCUUUGUCUGCCGCGUGGUGAUGCGCGUGUACUUGUUUCCUGAUAUUAACAGAAAGAAACACCUCAGCUCUUUCUCUGUCUUUUCUGUCUCUCUCUUUUUGGUUCAUCUCUUGAUUCUUUUAAGUUGAAACCAGCAAAAAUUGGUCUUCGGGCUUUGCUACAGUGUGUAAGGAAGGUUCAGUUACAAGGGUUUGGUUUUAAUAGAAAAAUUGAACCGAACCGACAUUAUUCGAUUUGAUUCAUUCGAGUUCUUAAGCAAAAUUAGUUUGAUUUGAUUAGUUAAAAAUCAGAAUUAGGUCAUGUAUACGUAAGGUGCAAUUUGUUAUUUGAAAGAAAAUUAACAUUAUCAUAUUACUAAUUAUAUAAACAAACUAUUAGUACUGUUAGGAUUAGCAAUCUAACAAGUAGAAAAUAAUGGUUUUACAGAUUUAAUUAUAUCUCGGGUUGCAGAUCUCAAUUUAUAUAAAGAUUUUAGUCCGAAUAGAUUAUGUUUUGAAAAUUUAAUUGCAAGUCAAAAUUCAAUUUAUAAAUAGGUAUACUACCUUGUAAUCUAAGGUAUGUAUUUUCUAUAAACAUAAAAUUCAAGCUAAGAUGACCAUAUUAAUCUUAUAAUUGUAAUUAAUAUGCGAACCAACUAAUUAAUGAUUCAGCUGAAAUUUUCCUCAAUGUGAUACACUAAUUAUUUCCCUAAUUAAACUAAUUAAUUACUUUGCUUAAGAGUUUUCAAGUUUUAAGUUGGUUUUCCAUCCCACUUACUAAUCAAUCGUUUAAUUCAUGAAAAUUAAAUUUUUAUAUCAGUUAACAAUAAAAUAUAACAUAAUAAUAUUUUAUUAUGUUACUAUUGAUUUGAUUAACCUAUACCAUCAGGAAACUAAAUUUCUUUUAAUUUUUCUAGCAAAUGCCUUUUGGACCCCAUGAUAUAAUUGACUUGUUCCAUAUAUAUAUACGAUGACUCUGAAAUUUUAGCCUGAAAGCAUCCCCUGGAGAGGAGAAAGAUGGUAAACUGUCGUCAACAGAAAAUAUAUAUAUUCGUUGUGAAAGGAAUAGUCUACUUUGUAUUGCCCAAGCUUUACUCCAUACCCUUUCUAGAUUUAUAUACAUUCUUGGAAAUACUUGGACCAAAAACAUAUGCCAAAAAAAUAAAAAAGAAAAAAGAGAUCCAAGAGGCUUAUAUUAUUCAUUAUUUCAUUCCAGUAUUAAUGAAAUAUUGUUGGAGUACGACGGCAAUAAUGCAAAUAAAAUUAUUUUUGUACUUACCAAUAUCAUACCUCCAUUAAUAUAUCAAGUAUUCAUAACAUGAAAUCGUAAAAUCAAUUGGGAUUCUAGUAAUAAUAUUGAACAUUGAGUUGGAUUAAAAUUGAAAUAAUUAAAAUACAAGUUAUUAUUCAAAAUCUAUCACGUUUAAGCCUCUCGAUAUAAAAACUAAUGUUCAUUAAUUAGUAUGUAUUUAGCAAAUGGAAGGGUUCAAAAUUCAAAUCCAUGAAUAAAAACUUAACAUAAAAGAGUUGAAAUUUAUUGAAUUUUUCUUUUUUUCUUGGAGAGCUUUAAAAGCACUUAUGCUUUCCAAUUAAUUUCAUCCUUCGCUAUCUAUUUUGCAACUGUCAGAUUGUAGUCCACUCCAUUAUCAAGGUAACACUUUCUGAAAUUGGUAUAUCAUUUCUUCAUAUAAUAUAAGAUUUUUGGUAUUGAUAAUGUGUAAUAAGUUUAAACUUUUUAAAUGUAAACUAGACAACCAAUAGCAACUCACCGAGUAACUCCAUGCCAAAAAAUUUAAAAGAGAGAAAAAAAAAAAAGAAUUUACAUGAAUUAAAAAGGAAAACCCUUUAGCAGAUUUUUAUUAGAAGGCAGCCCUAUCCCAUAUGUGAUGGAGAAGGAUAAAUUUUUUCCAAAUUUAAUUUAAUUUUUAAGCACUUUUUAGAGAGUUGGGCAUCCCUAGUUGAACGUGGGGAACCAAAACAAUUAUGGGUCUAUUUCAGCAAUCAUUAACAGAGGCCCCCCACCACUUCUGCUUCUGCUUCUCUUAACUUUUCCUAAUCUCAAUCUUAAUUUUCAUUAAAUGGCAACAAAACAAACAACAUAUUGUAAAUAAGAUUUAUGAAUUUUCACAUAGACUUGAGGAAAAUUUUAUAUUUUUUAUCCCUCUCUCCAUAUGCAAAUACCCAAUAAGAAAUGGGAAAUAAAAAUCAUAUCAUCAUGUCUUUCAUUUGAUAAGGACAAGUAGAUAGCAGAAAUUAUUUUGUACAGUGUAUUUCAGUUACCACAUCACAUACCAUAAGGUAGAAUAUCAUUUGUACUCUCAUCUACAUUGCAUUUCUCAUUUUUCGAAGAUUCACCGAUUGAAGUUCGCCGGGUUAAAAUUAUAAUAAACUGUAGCUUUUCAAACUGUGAACAGCCACGCAAGCUUGGUGUGGGACAGGAUGACACUUGGAUAACGUUGGAGACUUUUGCUUCACUUCUAUGCUUUUUACAACGAAACAUAGCCAAGCAUUAUAUAUAUAUUUUUUGCCCUGAAGACCUUAACCCUAGCCGAUAAACCAGAAAAAGCAACAGGGUUAGUAACUUGACUUACCGGAAUGCACUAGCGCUUUAAAAUAAGAGAGAAAUUCUUAAAAAGUGCAAAAAAAAACUAAUGUUAUAUGUACAUGUGGCAGUCCCGGAAGGCAUCAGCUUCACUGGCAAAAAAGUGCAGUGAAGUGGGGCCCCGUCUAUGAGAUGCGCAGUGGGGCCCAAACGGGAUAACCGGAUGGGGACCACAAACACAACCGGCCUGCAGCCCAAAUUGUGAGCUUAAUGAUCGUGGCUAGCCCACGCCGGCACGCCGGACCAUAAGCCGCCACGUUCUCAGUUUUCAACAUCAUUCCGUUUUUGUGGGUCCCUUUCUCCACCAACAGAGGCUUACACUAUUUCUAUUUUUCAGAUUUCCUCCGAAUUAAUUGCGUAAACAAACCCUCAAUGUAAUUUAUAAAAUAAUAAAAGAAAAUUUUUUUUCCUAAAAAAGGAACCUUCAGGUUUUUGUGGCUGGCUUGGCUUGGAGGCUGAGCGGAGCUGUGAGUGUCGUAUUUUCAAUUAUUUAAAAACAAAAAGAAAUUUGGAGAAGUGUCCUUAUCGCGAUACAUAGGGUCGGUUGGUGGGGCCCGAAAAUUGACAGCUUUUUGGAACAGAAUAAAAAAAAAAAAAAGAAAUAUAAAAUUGCAGACCAACCAACCAGAGACCGCGUGCAAUUGGCAAGUGCUGGUAAGGACUUGGAUAAUAUUUGAUUUUAUCAUAAAGCCCACCAAACCUUAAAAAUGUCACCAAACCUUAAAGCCCCGCUUUCUUAAUUCCAUAUAAAUAUAUUUAUUAAUUUUAAAAUUGCACUUUUAGAAACUAAUUUAUUUUUCUUUUUUUUAAGGUUGUUAUUAUUUUACCAUCCUUUUUUGGUAAGCUUGAAGUUGCUGAUGAGUGUGUAAAGAAAAAAAAAAAGAAUGGAGAAAUGGUGAUGGUCUGGUCCGUACCAACAUAGUAUAAUAUUUUUUAUGCAAGUUGCAUAUAUAAAUAUUAUUUUUGAAUAUUUUGGUGGACUGAUGAAAAUUUUCUAGGUCAAUAUAUAGAACAUGCCGUAAAUCAUAUCCAUUGAUGAACUACAUACAUUUCAACAUUAUAUUUAUAUUGUUUUUUUUGGCCAUAUCUAUGUAAUUGAUUAUAAUACAUAAUGAUUUUAAAUCAUUUGUCAAUUGACUUAUAUUUCUCAAGAAUGUGCUUUACAAUCCAAUCUUCAACUCAAUGUUCUUGAUUUUAAAGAAAAUAAUAAUUUGUUGUAUAAAAUAAUCUUAUUUAUUUUAUCAAGUUAUGUAUGAAAUAAUUUGUUGAUUCAUAUAAUAACUACUUGAACAAGUUUUUUAUAGGGCUCAAAAUGAUUAAUACAAAUUUGACAAUUUCAUUGAUUACCGAUGUUUGAGUAUUGAAUUGCUACAAAGAACAGAAAAAAAGUUUUUGAUUUAAUCAAUAAAUAAAUAAAAUUUUAUUUAUUAAUCAAUGAUGUCCAUAAAAAAUGUAAUAUAUCUGAGUUUUACCCGAAGCAAAUAGGGCCUUUAUCUAUACUUAAAUUUAAACCAGAUAUAAUAAUUGGAAAAAAAAAAAAAAAGAAUAGAAAAACUAUCCCCUAAUGUGGAAGGAAGAAUUACGGGGGGCACUACUAGAGAUGCAUACCCCAACCCCGUCCCCUACCUUACCCGUUAUGUCCCCUGUAACACAGAACAUUUGAGAAAGGUAUAAUAUAUUAAUAUUAUAUCAUAAUUAGUCUGAUCGUGUACACCACGCGGAUUGAAGUGGACAAUUAAAAAUUAAUUGAUUAAUAAAACAAGUUAAUGUAACUUUUGGCGGGAGGGAGAGGGUUUGAUAGUUGAGUUGAGGGAGUAGAGAGGCAGGUUGCUUUGUGGACUGGCCAUGGCUAACUAGGUCACCACCACCUCGACCACCCAAAAAUAUCAUCUCCUAAUCGAUGGCGCUUACCAUCAAUGUCAAUAUAUGUCUUUUUCUUUUCUUUUCUUUUCUUUCUUUUUUUUUUUCUUUUUAAUAUUAAAAUAUGUUUUCUUUUUUUUGUCCUCUGAUGGAAACUUGUUUUUAAACUAGUCCAUCCAAAUCUUCCUCGCCGUUUGAUCUCAAGAAAUUACAUUCUCUUCUAGUCUUUAUCAGUUGCUGGUGGAGGUUGCCUCUCUCUAUCUGUCUGUCUUUCUCUCUCUCUCUCUCUCUCUGAAAGCCUGAGCCAUUAUCCGCCUUCCCUUUUUCGCGCAAAGCUUUUCCAGCAAUCAAGCUUCCACUUAAAAGAUAAAGUUUUCAGAGAGGAGAACAUUUGAGAGAGAAAGACAGAAACAUAUAUUAUUAGGGCAUGUGUGUGUUUCUACUCAUUGCUAUUUCUUUGCUUCUUAUUUAACCCUAUCUUCUCUCUCUUUCUCCAUUCCUAAACUCUUUCUUUUUCUUCUCUCUCUCUCUCUCUCUCUCUCUCUCUUUUUCUUUCUUUCUUUUCGUCUUCCUCGGGAUCUGAUCUUCCUCUCUUCUGCUCUUUCUCUCUUUCUACAUUCAUCGAACUGUACAAACACUUCAAUUCCCGAGGAAUACUUUCUUUCUGUGUUUUUUUGUCUGGUACUUGUUAAAAAGGUGAAAGAGAGUGACAAAAAGCUCUGUUCGAAGUGUCUCUCAGUUAUCUAUAUUCGAUCGAGCAGUUUCAACCAGAUCUAAGCAGGAGUUAUCUUAUCAAGGUUUAGUACUAUCAUCAGUUUCUUCUCCUUCUUCUUCUCCUCUUCGGGUGCAAAAUCUUUUUUGAUUUGAAUGAUUUGUUUUCUUUUUUUGAAUGAUAAUAACUGAGCUUAUGGAAGGAUGCCUAAGUUUCAAGCAAAGCAUGCAAAAGAUGCAACAAGAUUUCAUUCAGCAAUAACAAAUUAUUAACGCAAUGAAAUAGAACAUCAUAAACUUUAGUAAUCACUUCUUUUGAGAUUUGUGUUUGAUCCGACUGAUUCUUCUUCCAUAAUCUGGUUCAUGACUGAUCCUUUCAUGCUUAUUUUGAAUUAUCCAAAUCGAUGAGUAUAAUACAUAUAUAAGUGUAAUAUAUAUGUGCGAGUCGGUAUGUUAUAUGAAUUUUCCUUCUCCAUUUUAUGACGUUAGUAGCCUAGAUCCUACUUUUCACGUUCAUGCUCACGAACGUGACUCAGAAGUAUCAUUUUCUUUUGCAAUAUCAGGAUUUAAGGGCAUAUAGAAUUCUGCUACAAAUUACUUUUAAAGAGAGAUUCUAAAUCAUUGGUGCUUUCUCCUUUCCUUUGAGGCAUAUGUUCGAUGAGUUCAACAAAUAUGUUUAAGAAAUGAAGUAUAAUACUAUAUAUGGAGUUAUGUACAUUUACAAGGUGCCAUCUUACUUAUGAUGUUGUGCAAUAAUUUUGUCAUUUCAUGAUCAUAUAAUCCUUUCUUGCAAGUUUCACAAAGUAAAGCUACUAAACUUUGAUUCAUUUCCUCAUAUACUCUAUAUAUUUAGCAUUCACUUUUCUGAGUGGAAAAACUUUGUUUUCUAAAACUUGUUCCAUGUGAUAAGUGAGCUAAUUAAAAGGAAAUUUAUGCUUUUUUUUUUUUCUGAUUAAUUGAUAUUAAAUCUUAUGUGAGGUUGAUUUGAUAUUUUUUACUUCAUGUACCUAUAUUUUUCUCUCCCGCUCCUUUGAUUUUACUUUUUCAAACUAUAAAAUUGUCAAACCUUUCAAAGAUACUUGCAAGUUCUGGUACAGAUGAAAUUUUGACCUUUAUUCAGCAUUUUAAUGGUUGAAUAAUGCAAAUAAUACUAUUGUAUAUGUCCUUUUUUUUUUCGAGGAAAAUGCUUUUUUGUUUUAGUUUGAGGUUUAAAAAAAAGUUUUUGCAAAAUUUAUGAACAGAACUAAAUAAAAGUUAUAAAUAAAAGAAUUUCUCUAAGCAUGAAAUUUUUAAGAUGACAUGUUGAUUUACGUUGUCUCUGAAAGAUCUUAGAUUGGUUGUGCAACUGCAAGGAUAGUAUAUCGCCAACGAUGAGUUAAACUACAGAUUAUUGAUUCUUCAUUCCAAAACAAAAAAGAUCUUUUGAAUUCUUAUUCAAAAUAGACUUGAUUUUAUUCAGAAUAAUUUUUGAAUUGUUUGAUAUUUUAUUCUUUUCUUUCUAACACACUUAUAUAUAUAUAUUUCUGACUGGGAAUUGCAAAAGUAAUGCUAAGUUGAAAGGUUUUAUUAGAAUUAAAAAAUAAAAAAAUUUAACAUUUUCAGGAAUCUAACCCAAUCCAAUAGGCUUAUCCAAUACACACAUAACUUAUUUUCAAUCUUCCUUUCUAAUUCUACAUUGUGACAAAACUUUUUUCUUUUUUUGGUUUACUUUCAUUAAUUUUACUUAAUUGUACAAGAAAUGUACCAUGAUUCAACAUAUAAUUUCUAUCUCAAUCUUCUGCGUAGGAGAGAAACACCCUUCUACACCCAAUUCAUCAUCCAUAAGGGCAUUCUUCAAUCCUUGAAUUAAUUUUACCUUCUCUUUUUUUUUUUUUUUUUUUUUUUGGCCUUCUCAUACAUAUGCCAAAGAUAACAUCACAUUUACUAUUAAGUAGAGAGCUUUAUGAUUCCAACAUAGUUUCUUAAAUAAGCUAAGUUUUUCAUGAAUUUAAAAUACUAAAUAAUUUCAUUUUGCUGAUUAAAAAUAAUAAAACAUCAAAUUUACUACUAAGUUAAUUAGCGAUUGUUUGUUUUUUAUUAUGUUAUAAAUGUCCAAAGGUUAAUUAUGUACUGCUUAAAGAUAGUGAUAAUAAUUUAGCUUGUUUUGAAUGUACAGAAAUUUAACCACCCUUUUUGUUGGAAAAGUGCCACAAAAAUAUGUUUAAGUAAUCACUGCCAUUGUUUUACUUUGCUGGUCAGCAUUGCAUUACGCAUCCAUGAGGUUAAAUCAUACAAGUAAUAUUAAAUAAUUUAAAGUCAAAUGUUGGAUAGGUUCGCAAUUUCCAAUGUUCAAGGUAUCAUUACAUUAUUGUUAUUUUGACUUUUGCUACUACAUAUAAUUAAGGUGUCUAACACUUGAAAUUGGAAGCAUGUAAGAUUGAUCAUGGGUAACAUUGUAUUGCAGGUAUUUUUUUUUUUUAGUACUUGGAAGAGUAUGAAUACCUUCUCACAUGUUCCCCCAGGCUUUAGAUUUCAUCCGACGGAUGAGGAACUUGUCGAUUACUACCUCAGAAAAAAGGUAGCUGCAAAAAGGAUUGAUCUUGAUGUGAUCAAGGAUGUUGAUCUUUAUAAAAUAGAGCCAUGGGAUCUUCAAGGUACAGUACUGUUGUCUUUGAAUUAUCUAUAUCUUUGUUCUUUUUUUUUUCCCAUAACACUGGAGUUAUUUACUGCUACUGAUAUACUCGUGAAUCAAAAUUAAUUGAAAUUGUUUCAUAUAUUGAUUAUAAUUUUUUGCUUGGAUACAUAGAAUUAUGCAAAAUAGGAACUGAAGAGCAGAAUGAAUGGUAUUUCUUUAGCCACAAGGAUAAGAAGUAUCCUACUGGAACUCGAACUAAUAGGGCAACAAAAGCUGGAUUCUGGAAAGCUACAGGAAGAGACAAAGCUAUCUAUUCUAGGCACAGCUUGAUUGGCAUGAGAAAAACCCUAGUCUUUUAUAAAGGAAGAGCUCCAAAUGGACAAAAGUCAGAUUGGAUAAUGCAUGAAUAUCGACUCGAAACAAAUGAAAAUGGAACUCCUCAGGCAAGUACUCAAUUUUCUUUUUCUUUUCUUAUAUAAUUCUCUCUUGGUUUUAUGCAUUUUUCAUUUCCUGUUAUUUUCAACAUAUUUUUUUGAUUGUAUUCCUUUAGUUAGAAGCGUAACAUCAUUCCCUGGAUAUAAACAUUACUUGGUUCUUCACAAAACUUGUUUCAGCUGCAACUCCCUCUUUGACUUUCUUCCGCUUUUGCUGUUAAUUAAUUACUUGAGCUUAAUUUAGUGUAUGUCAAAUAUGAUAUUAUAUAUGGUGAUUCCACCAGGAAGAAGGAUGGGUUGUAUGCAGGGUGUUCAAGAAGAGAAUGCCAACAAUGAGGAAAGUUGGCGAGUACGAUUCUCCUUCUUGGUACGAUGACCAAGUCUCCUUUAUGCCUGAACUUGAUUCUCCUCGGCGAAUUGCUCAACCUUAUACAACAUACCUUCACCACUAUCCUUGCAAGCAAGAAUUUGAAUUGCAAUACAAUAUGUCUCAUGACCCAUUUCUCCAACUUCCUCAACUAGAAAGUCCCAAAAUUCCACAAUCAGCUGCAAGUGCCAAUUGCAACUCAUCGGUAGUUCCAUAUGGUUAUGACAGGAAUAAUAAUGGAAGCACUUUGCAAUCUUCAACUCUUACACAGGAAGAACAAGUGCAACAAAGCCAUCAUCAUCCUAAUUUGAACUCAAUCAAUUACCAUAACAAUGGUGAACAAGCUGUGGAUCAAGUAACAGAUUGGCGAGUCCUUGACAAAUUUGUUGCAUCUCAGCUUAGCCAUGAAGAUGCUUCCAAAGAAGCUAACUACUCAAAUUCUGCCGCCUUUCAUGUCGUUGAACAGAUCAAUAUGCUCUCUAGUGAGUCUAAAAGGCCUGAAGUUGUGCAGGAAUACGCCUCAACGUCAACAUCUAGUUGCCAAAUUGAUUUGUGGAAGUGAUCAAAGCAUAUAUAUAUAUAUAUAUAUAUAAAAUAUAUAGUUACUAGAGGAUGCAUACUAAUUAAUUAUAGAUACUACAGUUAUAUAUAUGAAAACAAGUCUUGAGGAUGAUCCAAGUGGCUGUACAUAAUAAAACUAAAAUGGGUAUGCCUUUUUUUUUCAUUAUUAUUUAGCUAUUAUUGGACUUAUUGUGUCCAUGAUAAUAUUGAUGAGAAAUUACUACUGGGCAACUAAAGAGAGUACAAAUGCCAACAGAAAAUAAGUUAGUACUCUCUGUAUGGCUGAGCUUCAUGAGGACUGACUCAGCCGUUGAAUGUUGAAUGCACCUUAAGCCUUCAAUUUACAUUUGAAGGUUUUUUUUUAUUAAUAUUGUAACUGUUUUUUUCUAUUUAAAUUUUUGUAUUUCUGUAUGUUUAACCACUUAAGAUACCUUUAAAUCGAGGUUUUCCUGUUAUUUUCAUGUCCCUAGCUAAGAUAUUCUGAUGGAAUGAAGAAUAGUCUGUUGUUUUGGUCUUGAUAAAACAUACACAUUUCUUCCUUACUAUUAAUAAUUAAUGAUGCUAUAUCAGCCAAACCUAAAUUUCUUGGAAAAUCUUAUAAUGCAACAUUCUUCAUGUCUAACUUAUUGUUUCGUACCAUGAGCCUUUUUUUGUAGCCAUAAAAUUUUUAUCACAAUAAAGAGCGGGCGAAAAGAAAAAAAAAAAAAAAAAAAGAACUACUAUGCCAAAUGCUAAAUUGGAUAUGGAUAUGCAGGAAAUUACAUCAUCUUGGGAGUAUAUAUAAAUAAGCUCCCAUAUUUGACCAACUUAGACAUUUUCAAUUUAUCAGUAUCUGCUGCUUUCAAGUCAUAUAGAGUUACACUUACAGAACCUUCUUAAAUUAUUAGCUGAACUUAGUUACCAUAAAUUACUUAACAGUAAAAAAUGAAACCAGUUAUAUAUAUACUUGGACAGACAAUGCCUUAUGAUCAUGGUGGCUGAACAUAUAAGCAUCCAUGUCCUAUACACAUAUAAAUAUUACGAGGCAUUCAAUGGGUGUGGAUACAACUAGCAAGUUUCAUUCAAUCAAUAACGAAGUGGGUUGAAUUUAUUUGAUCUAACAUGCAAAAAAGAGAAAAAAAAGGUGAUCAUUUACCAUUGAGUUUUCGCUACUGCCACUGGAGUCAUCUCUAAACAUGUAAAUUUGCUAUUUUAGAUUGCUGAAAAGCGUAAUUAACUUUUAAAAAAAGUUACUAUUUUGUUUACCGAGUAAUGUUAAUUUGGCCCUCCAAUGUAUUGUUAUUGUUAUUUUUAUUAUUCUGUGUGACACGAUAACUAUAGUCAUAUAAAUAAAAGAAAAGUUCACUGCAUAUCACCACCUAUAGUUUCUUUUCAUUUUCUUUUAUGCCUGUGGUGAUUUAUACACAUUUAUUUUAUUUGCAUAACUAAAAUUGCCAUGCUAGGUUAGACAAUGACGUUUACAUAUAUUUGCAGGUUAAAUACCAUUGCUCUUCAUUUACUCAAGUUUUGCCUAAAAGUUUCAACAAAUAACCCUCUAAUCAUGCUGCAUUCAGUUUAUAAAUUCUAAUUUUCCUAUACAUAAAAUCCUUAAACAAAUUAUUCAAGUUAAGGCUAGGAACAUAGAAAUAAUCUUAUUAGAAUCAAGUGUGCAUAUCUUGAACAUAAAAGAACCAGCAUAUAUAGCUAUAGCACUCUAAACAUCUCUAAAACUUCAAAAAGUGAAACUAAUAAACUUUUGUUUGUUUACCUCUGUUUUAAAAGAAAUUGAAUGAAAGGUAUAAACUCUCACCUGAUCGAAAGAGUUUUUCAUGAUUCUCUAAAUUUAUUACCAAAUACAAGAUACAGAGAUAAGAAGCAGAGAUGAGUAUAAACUUAUCAAGUUACAAGAAAAUUCUUCUCAGGUAGAGGAUAAUUAGAGAAUAUGCUAUUUGGAUAAUCAGCGCAGCAGUGAUAAGAUUCUUAAGCACAUACAUACCUGUGCAAGAAGAUGAAUUUCCAAUUCCUAUUUGGUUAGAUUGAUAAUCACAGCUAAGAACAAGAAUGACGGAGAGAGUUGCAAGUGUAGCCUUGACUGCGUCAAAGUAGGUUGAAAAUUUACUGGGUUUAAAUACUAAGGUGGCAAGAAAGCAAGUCACAUGAUUAAUGGGUAACAAGACUAAGAAGUAAGAAAAGUAUAUUGGGUUAGGGUUGUUAUUUACCUGGACGACACAAAACUCUUACUUGGGUUGAAGUCAAGCAUUAAAAUCCCUUUAAAGCAAUGAAAAUAUUUCCAAAGCGACAUAAUGAGUGUGGGCGUGCUUUCAUGGACUCAUCAGCAAUGCAAGUGCUUUGCCUUCUUGCUGACCAACUUUGACAUAUGCCCCUUUUGUCCUUUCUCCAUAGUUAGGGUUAUGUGUGUAUAUAUAUAAAUAAGACUUUCAUUUUUUAAUUUUCUUGAAUCGGUCACUUACGAUAAAAGAAAAGCCAUCUAUAUAAGGAUAGUACCUCCACUAGUCACUACGUACUGUCCUUGCAAGAUGGCCCAAAAUAAGAAGCCAUGCGCAUUGAUGCAGUAUGUAUGAGUGUGUGAGUGAAUAAUUAGGGUUACAAAUUAAAAAUGUUGUUUGUAUACUAAGUAAAAUAACAUGAUUGAUCAUGUGAGCUAGAUAAACAACCUCCCAUGUGAAGCACCAUUAUUGCUGUGCUUCUUUGGUCACCCAGAUCCUAGACCUCCAUACUUGCAUGAGAUCCCAGAUUUUGCGAUUUUUUUUUUAAAUCCAAAUUAAUAGCUAAGGAUAUUUAUUUGGGUUUUUUUUUAUAACCGAGAGGUUUAUUCUCUCGGGCCGUAAAGCUUAAAAAUUUUUACCUUUCUAAUAAAAUGUGCUUCUCAGGAUGAAACUUGUAUUCUCAUCUUUAUAGACAUUGAGGUGACUUACUACUCCGACCAACACCUUGUUGGUAUUAAUAAAAUUAUUUUUUUUUCAUAAGCUAGUGUGGUUUAAUUAAUCUUUUCACUUUUUAUAAAAAUGUGAAAACUGAAAAGUUUCGAAUUCGAGUAGGUUUCACUAAUUUAAUCUGCCUCAUUUAGCUUCCAAUGAAUUAAAAAUAAUGAUUCUUCUUAAAUUCACUAAGAUUUAAAGCAUAAUUAAUAAGAUGAGUACUAAAUUCUUUUGCCAACUUUAUGCGGAUUUAUCUUCACAUUAUUACAUAGAUUAUGUCAACUCUAUAUAUCGCCGGCAUAUUUAUCAUGAUGAUAUUAAUUAAAUAUUUUUUAGAGAUUUUAAGUCAAAUCCCUCUUAAUUAACAACGGAACGAGAAGGCAUGCAUGCCCUAAUUUGAUUUUUUGUAUGAUUUAGUGGGCUCCUUGAAUGGGGUCUCCUAAAAUUAAGUAAAUCCGGUCAAGAAAUUAGUAUAUGUCCUCUAAAGUGCAUAUAUAUAGGCCAGCUUCUAUAUUUGAAAAUUGAAAUGUCUUUAGUCUUUACUUGUGCCGGCGGAUGGUCACGGAAGGCCAAAGUCUAUCGAUCCCACAGUCGAUUUUGCAUCAAAAUAAUUGAACAAGUGGGUACCCUUUUCCUGCAAGACAAGGGUUUUGAGUUUGGUACUAUUUAUUAGGAUCACAUCCUACCAAAUCUUUUCCAUAUUCAUGCAUGGGGAUUGAAGUAAUUUCAAGCUUUCGAUUUAUUUUGUUCACAAUUUGGAAUUUGGAAAGAUAAAUGUUUUCUGUUUGUGCAGUAAAAAAAAAAAAAUCUUUUUGGAAAUUGCCAUUAUAUAAGUGAAUGACUAGAUAAUAAUGAAAGUGAAGCUAACUAAAAUAGUUUGAUGCAAUUGUUAAAACGUACUAAAUUCCACCUUGAUGAAUUUGGAGAGAACCUUAACCUAAGUGCUCCGAAUUUGAGAGUCUUCUCGUUGAACCGUUAAACUCUUAGUAGCAUGAAAGUAAAAAAAGGGAAGCUAUAUUAAUUUGUAAUCUAUCGUUUUUUUUUUUUUCGAAGUAAGUAAUUAAAAGAGUAGUUAUAUUGUAUUUGUCUUGUAAAAGCAAAUACGUAUAUGUGAAAAUGUGUAUGGUUACUAGUAGUAUAUACCUAAAGUGUAGAUACCACAAGUAGUAAUUCAUCAAUAAAGAGAGGCGCAAUAGCUAGAUGAGAGUAGAGUAGUGUAGUUGAAUUUGUGAUGAGAAGUUUGGAUAUUGGGAAGGGAAGCAUGCAUGUCUCUUGGUGAGGAGGACAAGAAGACAGAGACUUGAUAGGGUAAGAGGGCACAUUCUCUGAUUGGUAAUGCUUGAGGACCAACCAUCAAGGAGACAAGCAAUCCUCAGCUUCUUGAUUAAUGUUUCACUCUUUUCUUUUCUCUUCCAUUUUUGGUUUUUAAUUUAUUAUUUUCAGAGUUGAUCUUUUCCUGGUCCACUUUGUAAAAAAAGAGAAAAGUAAAGAUGAAGCAACUUGAUUGAUUUCCUUUCUUUAACGGCUGAUCGAUGCUUGACUUGGGAGUUUAGAUAUAGGCUUAUCCACCACUACUUUUUGUUCUUUGACGUCAUAUUACAUAAAGGUCCUUUUUCCCCAUAAUUAAUUAAUAGUAGGUCCUGUGUUUCUUUGUAACUAAUCUCUUUUUAGUUAAUUGACCUUACACUGCAAGACUUCUCUUCUUCGUCAAUCUUCAUAUUUCUCAUCUCAUUAUUGGUUGAUAAUAAUUCACAUAUAUAGUCCAUGAAAGACAGCUUAAGAGCCAGAUUUUGGGUUGCAAAUUUAUUGGAAAAAAAAAUUGAAUCCUAUGUAUUAAUUGCAAAUUCUGGGUUGUAAUAAACUUUGUCUUUUAAAGAGUUUCUCCUGUAAGACAUAAUAUAUAUAUAAACCAUUUCGCAUGUUAAUUCGAAAAAUGACAUAUUUCUCUAAUUAGAUUUCCAUUUGGCAUGAUUUGAUUUGAUUAUUUAAUGUAUUAAUAUAUUGGCUUGAUUUGGUUUCGUUUGAAUUUAUUUUGAAUUAGUGUUUUUUGUUUGAUUUGAUUUAAUUAUUUAAUAUAUUAAUGACUUUUAAGUAAUUAUUAUUAAUUAUUCAUUAAUGUAUCUUCAACGCUUCCAAUCUAAACAUUUCCAUUUUUUUUAAAUGAUAUAGUAAUGCACUUUUUUAAAAAAUUUUAAAUUAUUUACCCUCAAAAAACACUUUAGCUUUUUUAAAAAUACUAUAUAUAAGUUGUAUCACUAUAUUUUUCUGUAUUCUUGGCAAAUGUGCAUUGGUCUCUGCUUUUAAAUAUAUUAUUCUUUUUUUUUAGUUCAGAAUUUUCUACAGCUCAGUAUUUCAACUAUUUUCAUUAAUGGGUAAGUAGUUUUUACUCAAACUUUUUUUUUUGUCUCCUUUUUUAAAGAUUAUUUAAUAUAUUUUUGUAGCUGUAAACUAUCAAAUCAAUAUAUAUAUAUUUUUGUAGCACGGGUGUAUUGGUAAUUAUAUAUAUGGCAAGCCACAAAGUACCUAAUAAUUUUCAGGCCCCUAAUCUUAAUAAUUGUGCAACUUUGUGUGCAUCAUGUAUAUCUUCAUGCUCUAUAUGAUUAUGUUUCAAAUUUUGAUCUAUCCGAGGUUAAUACCAAAUGUUGAAUUUCCGUUAAGAUAAAAUAGUUGAAAAUUAUUAUUAGAAGUUAAAAUUCUUGAUAAAGAACUAAAUUUACCGAUUGGAAUUACACUAGAAAAUUAUAAUUGAUACGUUGGAGAUUCUUACCGUUCCUCAAAAUCUGUAUUCACAAACUAUUCAAAAGUUUAAUUAAAUCAUUUUUUUCUGCCUCAUAGUAAAAUAUGGAUCUAUUUAUAUACAUAUAUAUAGACAAUUAUGUGGGUAAAAAUCACUUAGCAUCACAAAGACCGGAUUGUUCGUCGCAGAAACCAUCACGAUCAAGCAGUUUCUGAGGAGGAGUACUAAGAAGAGGAGAAGAAGGGCUACCAUAUGCGUUCCUUUUGCUAUUUCCGCACCCUAGGCUUCUUCUGGUGCUUACUCCGGUUACUGGAUUUGUUCCAUUUGCAUAUUUGCAGAGAGCCUUUAUAUAUGAAAUCAUAAUUAAAAUUAUGUUAGUCAUUAAUUAAUUCACUGAACUUAAUUAAUUAACUAAUUACAUGUAUAUAAUACCUGCUUCUGUGGAAGGUCCAAAACUGCGUCGCUGAAAUCAGCACCUUGAAUGAUGGCUCCUCCAAGAUCACUGCGAGUGAGAACCGAUCUAACAAGCACAGCAUUUGUCAGGUUCGCCUCAUUCAAAACCUGUAUUACAUUUUUAAUUUGGACCGACCGAAAUUAGAAUAUAUUAGUUAUAGGAAAAUCAAAUUACUAAUAGCUAGUAUUAAUUGUUAUUAUCAUACCAUUCUGUCCAUCAAGGUGUCACUCAAAUCUGCACCUGUUGAAUUGUCAAAACAAAAUAUCCAAUAGUUACUUGUCUUCCUUUUCUCCUUUUUAUUAUAUGUAUAGAUACAAAAAUACAGUACUUAUAAUUCCAUUAUUAAUUAACAGCUUAAUGGCCAUUUAAAUACUAAUCAAUCUCUAAUUAAUACUUCCUUCAUCUACAAAUAACUAUCACAUUUGCAAAUGUAUCAUAUCCACAAAUAAGUAUUAAGAAAUGAUAAAUUCUUUUCUCGUUUUUACCUUUUACAAAUGACCCCCGUCAAUUGUUAUAAUUUUCAAAAAUCUCUCUAUUGUAAGUAUGAAAAGUGCAAAUAUAAAAAUUAAAGUCUUAGAAUUAAAUCCCGUCACCUCCAGCUUCAAAAGUCUGAUAUGUUGUCAAAUUUUCCGGUAGAAAUGAUUUGGUGGACAAAAAGAGUAUAAGUAAGUUACAUAGGUGUGUGUACUUCUAUAAAAUUACUAUGGUUUUGCAAAGAAGCACACUUUUCUUCCUAACUUGUGUGUUUUCAUGCACCGUUGUCGUUUAGGUAACAACUAAAAGGAAAGUUAGGCAAAUAAGAAAAUUUAUUAAUGAAAUAAUGAGUAAAAUACAUUUAGUUACCUAAAUUAUGUUAUAAUUAACACUUUCCUUUUUUUUUUUUUAUUGAAUAUCUUGAAAUUAUAAGUUACGAGAACUUACUCUCUUAAAGUUUAGCCAACGAUAUUUAAAUUUUAUCACAGAAAUCCAUAAAUAUGUACCUUUUAAAAACUUAAGAGGAAAAUUUGAAUAAAUUUAAAACUGGAGAUAUAACUUUCUUCUUCUCAAAAGAACAAAACUAAAGAUGGUUUGAUCAAAUUAUCAUUUAUUUUAAAACCAGAAAAUAAUAUAAUAUAAAUAAAAUGAUAUUGAAAAAAAUAUCAUUUAUUACUCCUUAAAAAAAACUUGGAAUUAAAAAAAACUUGGAAAGAAGGUUCAAAAUGUCCCGUGAACUUGUACUCAAUAUACAAUUUUUCCAUAUUUCACCUUUUUUUUACAAAAAUCUCACCACCUUAGUUAUAAACUUACAAACUGCUCCUUUCAUUACUUGCUUAGUUCGCAUGUGCUACACGCGGUCAAUGUAAAAUUAAAAAUUAAAUUUUAUUUUCUUUAUUAUUAACUUGAUUAAUGGAGAGAGAGGGAGUCUACACUCCAUAAAUCUCAAAAUUCCUAAAAUUGAUUAGCAGUGCUGUACAGCAAAAACAAAGAGAGAAGGCAGUCUUGUACAACAAAAUCAAUGAAGAAAUGGAACAUUUUAGGAAUCUCUUCAAACUAGUUCUAUAAUUUACCGAAUUUCAAUAAUUUAGAGAUUUGGAUUUCACAUUCUUUGUUUCACUAUUGCUUUUGUUGCUUUAUUUUCUAUCUUCUCGUUCUCUCUCUCUCUCUCUCACGAUGGCAGUAGCACAAAAUCAACAAGUAGUUUUGCCAACUCAGUUUUGUUCAGGCAAAUGCAAUUGACCUCACUUUCUUCUUCUUCUUGGAGUGGAUUAUGAGCAAUGCAAAGAAUAAGGAAUAUAGAAAUCGUUAUCUGUUUUUUAUAGAACAGUACUUUGUUUGAGAUGAGAAGCUGUUUCUCCGCAAUGGAGAAACAACCUUUUAAUUUUUUUAAUUUUUAUGUUUUGCUUUAUUUUUGUCAUAUUUAAAGUUUAAAUAUAUUCAAAGCAUGAAUAUAUAUAGAAAAAAAUCAAAACAAAAAGGAAAAGUUAAAUUUUAUAGUGCAUUGUAAUAGUUGUUCUUGUUUGAUUUUUUAUUUGUCAGGUUUUCUUUUUUCUCUUGGAUUUUCUUUAAACAUGAAGAAAAAUGUAUCGUAGAGUUUUAAGGAUGAAAAAAAAUUAAUGAAGAAGUUUUAAGGAUAAAAACAUGAAAAAAUUGAGAUAUGAAAAAACUGAGAUGUGGGCAAAUGUAUCGUAGAGCACAAAGAGCUAAGGGGAAUAAAUAAUUCACCUUCCUCACUCGCUUUUGGCCCUGUUUGUAGAGGACGAGCUCUUAUCAAGUUAGAAAAUGAAUAGCUUGCAGGUUUACGUAUAAGAUGAUAAGAUUUUUGUCAAAAAAAAAGAUGAAAUGUGGGCAAAUUGUAUAUUGAGUUUAAAUUCAAGGGGCAGUUUGAACCUUUAAAGGACCUAAUCUUACACAAAACAAUCACCCUAAAAUCGAGGAGUGGGAGUAAUUCCUGCCGCGUAUACUGACUUUCCCUCUUUACAGACUGACCCGAUCCUAAUAAUUAAUCCAAAAACUUGUAGGCUUGCUAAACCUUUGACAGAAACAGGUCAGUUAAUCCAUUAAACCUAUGACAGGAUGUUAGUUCGUUGAUUUGCAUUAGAUAUUUUGUUCGUUAGUGUCUUUUCUUUGUUUAUGUUAUUCGCAGUAGAUCUUUUGUUCUUUUUCUUGGCUGUUAUUUUAGUCUGUAUCCCAUCGAUUCUAUUUCUUGCUACGGGUCUUGUCUUCAUUAUUUCUUUUUUUUUUUCCUGGAAUCAAGAACAGGGAAUAGAUAAUUGGAAAUUGAAUAAAUUUUCUUUUCUUUUUUCUUUUAUUGUUAUUGCACUCCGUUAUGAUUUACCAAUAGAAUUAGGUUUACCUGUUAUAUUAUGGGUUGAGAUCACCUAUCCUAUCCGUUAUGGUUUACCAAUAAUUUAUCUUAUAAUGGGUUGGAUUUCUGGGUUUGCAAGUCAAUGUGCAGGAAAAAAAAAAGAUCGCCACGCCCAUCCUUCCCCUAUUAGGAGUAGGCAUGGAUAAGGAAACCGAUCAAUUUUCCCCCUCUAUAUAUUCACUAUUUUUGUGCUUGAAACCUGCUAUUUCAAAUAAAAUUUUUAUUUACAUAGGUUAUAGUAUAAUCAAGAAAAUGAAGUUUGGUUUGUGGAGUAAGUACGUUGUUUCCUUUCUUCUCCCUCAAAAUAUUAUAUAUGAUGGUUUCUUUAAUUAAAGUCUCUGUUGUGCUGUGGGAUCAGGAGCCAUGAAAUUUUGGUUCCCACAAGAAACAGAGAGAGUAAGAAUAUACAUGUGCUUUUGUUUGAUGGUUUUUGGCUUUUGUCAUUCUUACUCGUGGAAAUUACAUUGGCCAAUGCAGGUACAUGUUAGAAGUGUUGAAGUAUUUUAUCACUCAACAAUGUAUUUAGAAAACAUAUGUGAUUCUUCUAAAUUGAGUUUCAAAAGGAAGGCAGAGGCUAAUGAAUUUGCUUCUCCUGAUGUUCUAAUUAAGCAUGUAAAGAGGAAAAUAUUGGCUGUUCGCAAUUUUCCUAAAGGCUGCGGUCCUCCUAAAAGAUUAGAAAAUGGAGUUCAUUGCAGGGUGCCGGCAACAGCUGAUGGUUUGAGGUUUAAAGAGAAGUUAAUGGUUCCAUUUGAUAAUAAUAAUUUAGAGUUUGGACUGAACACAGAAGUUGAACUGCUAGAAACAUUUUUGCAAGACUCUUUGGAUAAUGCAGGAUUGGUAAACGCAUCAGAAAUUUCAAUUUGUGAAACUACGGUAAUGCCAACUAAAAUUAUGCAGAAGGUGGCUCAAGGUUAUCUGCUUCCAGCUAUUCGAUGCUUUCCUCAAGGUUGUGGAAGGAAAAAUCAACAACUUAAUAAGGAAGUUGUUCCUGAAUCCAUUGAUUUAAAAACCGAUGGAUUAGGUCACAUCAUAUCUGAUGUUGACAACACAUCAGAUAGGAAGAAAGAAGAGGUAACUAGUAAGAGUGGAUGCCAAAAGAAUAUUGCAAUUACUGGUGACGGAAAUAUGCUGCAAUCAAAUUCUGAAUGCUUGGAGACUAAAGAUGAGAAUCUGUGCGAGAAUGAGAUUGAUAAAUGCCUUGAUGAAAAAUCAUCAUGCCAAAAUAGCAUGCCUCUGUCACAGGAAAUGGCCUCUGCAUAUCUGGAGUUUCCUGGACAUCGGAUGAUAGUGCAAGCAUUGAUGGCUGCACCCAAUUGCCCAUGGAGAAAAAGGAAAAGCAGAGUGAAGUAGCACUAAUCUAGAGGAAGAGAUUUUAUAUGGUAAUGGGAACAGGAAAGGCAUAUGUGCAGUACUUCUAGAAUUAGAAACUACUAUUCUUGCUGUGUUAAUUUGCCGUCACACAAUCAUACAAUCUGAUAGACUACAAGUUUACCUGUGAAGUUUGCCUUGUAUGCAACUGCUUUCUCCAGGUAUGCACCAUUGAACGUUGAUCCACUAAAAUCUGAUUCUCUCAUAUCAGCAGCUGUGAAAUUGGCUCUUCUGUAUCAGCCAUUGAGAUAUAUAAGCACACAUAGUGAACUUGCAGUAGCAAAUUUAGUCAUUAAAUUUCAGUUAACAAGUAGAAGAAUACUUGAUGCAAUUUUUAGUAGUUUUGAGCCAAGUUUUUAUGCUUGACAUUUAUGGUGCAAGUUUAUCUUCUUCCAUUUGUGAUUUUCAAUAUUUACUUGCAUUAGUUGAGCCAUACUUCUAAGAUAAUCCUAUUCUCUAAAUUGGAAGAGAGUGACAGAGAGCAUUAGAAACAAAGGAAUCACCUGAAAUUUUCAUUCACAUGCACUGCUUUCCUGUAUGGAGAGGGAAAAGGAAAAAACACUCAAUUUAGCAAUUAAGGACACAAAAAUUCAUAGGAAAAAGCAGAAAACAUCAUAAAUUACAACAAACCUGAGAUCUGCAGAACCAAACUGAGCUGCUGAUCCGAUACCAAACUCACCGCGAAGCUCAGCUUCAAACUUAUUAAGAUCAGCAAAAGCUGGCAAAUUAGAGCUAAAGCUAACAACUGCAACUGCCAAUGCAGUUGAAACAAGUGUUCUCCAGUUGCUAGAUUUAGAACUAUUGACCUUUGACCUAAUUUUGGAACAAUCUUCCUUUUCAAGGCAAACUUGGUUAGUUUUAGAAAUUGACAAGUUUAACAUCACUAAUUUUGAUUAAGAUCAUUGCAUAUUUAUUUACUUACCAAGAAACAGAUCUUCUCUUUGUGUCUCUAAUUGGCAAACUAUUUUAAAAGGCUUAGAGGGUAAAUGGUAUGGAGACUUUGUGGAUGAAGAAUAGAUUUUGAGAGAUUUAAUGGAUAAUGGAGAGAGAGAAGUCAAUGCCAUUGCAGAGGUUUUCUUUCUGUUGUUUUUAGUUCUAUUGAGGAUGCAAAAAUGGAUGAGAAGAAAUGACAGAAGAGGGAAAAGAAGAGAAAAGUGCAGAUAUUUGCAGGUGAACAAAUUUGUAUCCACUUGUAUUUGCAUUGGCUAGGAAUACGAUAGCCACACAUUUUGUUAUGUUCUUUGGGUGGUGGGUUGCCACUUGUUAGUUACUAAUACAUGAAUUUUGCAUUUCCUGUUGAUAUUUCAAAUAAAAAUGUCAUUAAUAUCAGUAAUUAGUAAAUAAAUUAUGGUUUUAUUUUUAAUAUAAUUUUCUUUGUUCCAUUUUAUUUUUGUAAUCGUAAUGGGCUACUUUUUAACUUCGGAAAAUCAAGAAAUCGUGGAUUCAGUUGUCUAAAAGUAGCCGUAUCCUCUAUCCUCUAUCUCACUUUUGGGCCACAAAGGGCUCCUAUCAACAGCCCCACGGCUAAGAUACCUUGAGCCCUACCUAGGGCUUGUAAAAGGUGGGUAUGGCAUCUUCUAUAUGGUGGGCUAAGAUGUCGACCUGGUUGCCAGAAACUGUCCAGCCCUUAAUUCAAUUGCUCUCUGAAAUUCCGAAUAACGUAGGACAAUGCAAUUUUACUGCUUUUUUUCUUUUCAGCAUUAGCUUUCUUAUGGAUUCUUAAAAUUAAGGCACAUAUAUAUAUCUUAACAAAUACAUAUAUAUGUCUUUUUCCUUUCCUUUGUAGAUAGAAAAUUCUUAAAUGGAGUCUCACAAAACAAUUUUUAACUAUUAACCCAAUUAUAUAUAUAUAUAUAUAUAUACUACUAGCAACUAUAAAAAAUUGGCUCCUUUUCUUUUUCUUUUUUUUUAAUCAGUGUUUAGCAUUUGUAUUUUUACGCUUUGGUAGGAUAUUCGUUCAUAUUCUGCUGAAAUUCAGAUUAAACAUUAAAACUAAUAGUAAAAUUUACGCUCCAUGUAUAAAUAAACUCAAAAUAUGAAAUUCAUUAAUAAAUGAAAUCUAGAUAAAAUUUAUUUGUAAAUGAAUUUUUUCAUGUUUGAAGUAAAUUCAAAAAUUGGAAAUUCAUUUGUUUUUAUUUUUAAAAUAUCCUUGGCAUAACAAUUUUAAAAGACUAGAAUAACGGAGAGUUUUGUUAUAAAGUUUUAGGUUGUUUCAUUUGAAAAUUCCAUAUUUUUUUCGUAGAAUUUGGCUUAGUUUUUUUCAAAUUCAUAGAAUUAAAUUUGUGCAAUUUUGUUCUUAUUUUUUUUCAUACUAAAUGUAAAAAUUUAAAUUUACAAAUGUAUUUUGCAAAAUUCUGUGAAAUUGAUUUCUUCCAAACAAGUAACCUAUCUAUAUUAUAAAAAUAUUUUUUAAAGCUUUGCUCUCAUUUUUCUUUAAUAUAUAUAUAAUGGAAAGAGUUAAAAAAUCAAGUGAAUUUAUUUGAAUAGAAAUGCAUGGUAUAACUUUUCAAAAAAAGAAAAAAGAAAUGUAUAGUACAAGUUAAUUGAUGAAUUGAGUUGGUUGAAGAAAAAAGGAAUGAUAAAUGUUGGGGUGUCUCGAUAUGCGAUUGAAAGAAGCGGUAAAAAGUAAAAACAAAAUGUGGAAACACGAAGAGUGAGGUGUUUUUGUCUUUAUGCAAGUAGAAAGAAAGAAGCUCGUGGUAGUAUUAGUAGCAACAGUUGUAGAAACAGCAGGGUGGGUGAAAGAGAGAAAAUUGAUUAAAGCAAAACUUGUGGUGUGCACAUAGAAAGAAAACUCAUAACUCUCUCUUUGAGUUGGGGCUUGUGCAUGUCUUUGUGUGGUUAAAAAAGAAGAAGAAAAAUCUGUUAUGGGGCAUGCAAAGGCAUAUGUGGGGUUAUCUAAGCUAAGCUGAAAGAACUUAGCUAUCAAUAUCAAAUCCUCUCUCUAGUCUCUCCCCCCUUAAAACUCUCUCUCUCUCUCUCUCUCUCUUACAGAGACAUAAAGAGAGAGAAAGGAUUGGGAGGCAAAGCCACACCGGUCAGUUGGAGAGGCCAAAAAGUAUCAGACAUUCAAUAUCAGCUUUAUCGGAUUCUGCCCAACCUCACCCCAGUUUAAAUUUUACAAUUUUGCAAUAUUACAAUAUAGAUAAAAGAAAAAAAAAAAAUAGAGGAGAUUGAUGUUGAUCCUCAUAUCUCCCCAAACAGCAACAAAUUGCUCCCACCAGCUUUUUUACAGUCAUAGCUUUUCCUCUUUCGUACACCUUACCAUGCAUGCUGUGCUGCCACAAUAUGUUCAUUUUUACAUGUCAAUAAUUAAAUAAUAGAGUCAUCUUAUAUUAUGGUGAAAGCCCUCAUAUUAAUUAUGUAAUUAAAACUCUCCGUCCUCUGCCCUAGUGUUGUGGAACUACGCAUCGAAUUGAUUUUGAAUCCUCACAAUUAGUUGUUUAUAAAUUUCAUUUCUUUUUCUUUUUCUUUCAUAGAGCUCGUGUUUCAUCAGUCCAUAUGAUCGAAACAAUCUAACGCCUAAUGUAUGAAUUUUGCCAUUUAGACAGUAUAAUUAGGAGUUUUAAGAAUACAGUCUAUUAGGUUUAGGUUUAGGUUUAAUGUGAAACUUUUGAUAGAAAAAGAAACACUGACUCGCCUGAUCAAUAGUACUAGUUUAUCUUUUUUUGCUCGUGAUCUAGAGAAAAUUAACAAAAGUGGGAUUAUGAGUUAAACCUUUUGUGCUAAGUACGCUAGUAGCUGUGGGUAAGAGAAGACUCGAGCCUUGUGCUUCAUCAGACGAAAAAAGCUCCAGUGGUCAGCGACGCAGGAGAGCCUCUCGCGUCAGAUUUUGGAUCCCCUCUGCUCUAUUCCUACACUCACAAUUUUCCACUUAUGUCCAAAGAUUUCUGUCAGGUUAUAAGCUCUACCUAGGGUUUUAGUCUGCCAUCCUAAUUCCACCUAUAUAUACAUAUUAAACCUCAAAAACCCUAAUUAUUAGUUUAUCUUGUAACUUGUAAAUGGGUUUUUUUUCUCCGAUUUAUUGAUUAAAAUUUUACUUUUCAAAUCAAACAAUGGAUGAAUUUUUUUUUUUUUAAAUUUUUAAUUCACUAAUCUCGAUGUUAAUAAUAAAAAUGAACUUAAUACAAUUAAAAAAAUUUUGCUAAAAUUUUAAGCUCUACAAUUCAAAAGAAUUAUAUCUUCUGAUUCUAUAAAAAAAAAAAAAGUAAGUAAUACUACUUUGCCGUUUAAUAAAAAAUUAUAUAUGGGCUAAUUAUUAGUUCCAAUAAUUCAAUUUUAUUUUAUUCAUCAAUACUGAACUGAUCUAUACUCUAUCCUUUUACUGUUCAUUUAUAUUUGGUCUCGUCUAUAUAUAUAUAUAUAUAUAUACGAAUUAUCCUGUGAAUUGUAAGUGGCGAGGUGGGAGUCCCGGUAAAGGCGUACCGUCCAAGAUCCUUCAUUAAUUAAUUUGUGAAUUUUUUUUUUUUUUCAAUCUAGAUAAAUUACGCAGUCGCAUUUGCUUUUCUGAACUUUAAUUGCAAAAUAAAUUCUAUGCAGUGUAAUAUCUCUUUGAAGUUUGGAAAUAACGGUAAGUGUAAUUUCUUGCCAACUAAAGUCAAAUGUGAUUGUACAGUACUGCAGUUGGUUUUCUCUAAUUUAAUAAAUGUGAUUGUACGGUACUGAAGUUUGAGAAAUUUCAAAAAGUCCCUCUUAAUUAUAUCUACUUUCACUAAUUUAAUAAAUUAAUGAAAUGUAUUAUUCUAUUUUAGUCUAUUAAAACUCUUAACGAAAAAAAAAAAUCAUGUGCCAUUAAAUUGGGAUCUUAUCACAGUGAUUUAAUGACUUCAAUUAAAAACCUAAAAUUUUGCAAGAAAACAAAAUAUCUAAGCAUGCCAAAAUAUUUCUCCAUUUGAAGCUCCUGUAGACCUCCAGCUACCAAUUAAUUCAAGCACUGUAUAUCAUAUGAUCUGAGGCGCAAUUGACGAGUCGUUUUGGGUUUAGUUUAUAUAUAGUACCAAAUAUACGACAUUAUAUUAUUAGAUGGAGAGGUCAUAACGACCAAACCACAUUAAAUGUAUCAAUGUUAGUUACUUUUAGCUUCGCCAUCACCAACAUGUCCUAUCAUUUCAUAUGUAUUUGUCAGAAAUAUGACACAGCUAACAAAACGUAAAGAGACAAAUCGGAUAGUGGUGCGACUGAGUUUUUGAAUUGUGACGUUUUGAAUGCUGCUUAACUCCACUAACAAAGCCCCACCAAGGGGUUUUUUUCAACUCAAAGUCUUAAAUUAGUUGUUGACUGUUCAUCAUCGAGCUUUUUUUUUUUUUCCUUCUUUUUUUGCCUAAAUUUCCUAGCAUUCUAGUAAUUAUUAUUCGCUGGUAAUAAUUCGUCAAUUAUUUAAUCGUAAGACCAAAACUAUAUCACUUUUUAGAUACUAGUAGAUUAAAAAAAACCGAAAGACAAAAUUAAGGAAUGGUGUUUUAACCUGUGGUUAAAAUCGAGUAAAGCUAAAUACUGGAAUGAUUUCAAGGAAUUAGGGUGGGUCAUGCCAUGCCAACCUGUCCCUACAUCUCCCUACUCAUAAAUCCAUCUUUGUUCCUCCCCUAUAACCCAAUUGUCAUUUUGAUAAAAAAAAAUUAAAGGGUCCAAGUUCAAUUAAUUCAAAUUUGUGCUGGAUAGUUCCAAAAAGAUCUUUGUAAUUGUAGAGUUCUAAAUUUUAUAAAAUGGAUGUUGAUUCCUAUUAUUUAGCUCAUUCAAUUCAUUUCUGUUUGAAUAAUUUAAAUGAAAUCAUACCUACUUUAAAUAAAUUUUAAAAUUUAUCAUUAAAUUUUAUUUAAUUAUUUUAAAAGAAAGUUGAAAAUUAAACUUCUGAGAUCGAAAUAUUAGUUUUCUCUCUGAAUUCAUUGAUUUGAAUCGAAUAUACAUUAUGUGAAUACAUGAACUCCAAAUCCUUCCAAAAGCUAACAAUGUAGGUCUAGUCCCUCAUAUAACCACAUGUUGAUUUGAGUAUGAUGCCAACUAUCUUUCUCUGAGAAAAAAGAUUUGAACCCAACACCAAUAUCUGAUUUCCAGCUUCACUUCAAAAGUUGCUAAUUUGACUAAAGAAGGUCGAAACUCGACUUCAGUCCAAAUUUCAUUAGAAGUCAAGUAAUUGUUUUACCGUUUUAGAACUCAUUUUUCUUCAAUGAUGUUUGAUUGAUGUACCCAAAAAAAAAAGUGACACAAAAUGCUUUUUCUCCAUUGGUGAGGGUAGUAGCCUGCUCUCUUACUUUACUAACUUUAACCGAAGUGCUAAAACUUAUAGUGGCCAACCAAAAGAUUGACAUUGUCUUACUGUUUAGGAGGGAAUGAUGCUGCUUAUGAAGCGACAAAUGCUAAUCAAAAAGGUAAUUCCUCUAAUUGGUCAAUUGAUGUUUACCAAAAUUGCAAAAGAAGAAAAAUUUGUAAUCUGUUACUAUUGGAUGCAAGCUUUAUACAUCCCUUUCUUUUUUUUUUUAAUCUACUAUUUUCUCACCUGUUUGCUUUUGUUUGGGUACAACUUGAUUUCUUUUAAAAUUUGACUUUAUAGUGAGGACUGAGGAUGAGGACUACUCAUAAUUCAAGUGUAUGUCUCAGAUUCUCAGUCUUGUUUCCCUUUCGAAAUGUUAAAUGUUGGGAAAAUCGCUAUUUUUCCCGCCCUUCGGAUCGGCUUCAAGCAGGAAUAAAUGAGAAAAAAAAAUAACUGAGAAAUUAAAGAGAACACAAUAAUUUAGCGUGAAAACCCCCCAAAGCGAAUAAAAACCACGGCCGUUGCCAAACGACAAUCAAGAAAAAUAUUCACUAUGCGGCAAAUUGUUACAACCACAAUUACAAAAUAUUUUUUAACCCGACACCCUCAAAACACCCCAAAUAUUUUAUACUCCAAGGGANNNNNNNNNNNNNNNNNNNNNNNNNNNNNNNNNNNNNNNNNNNNNNNNNNNNNNNNNNNNNNNNNNNNNNNNNNNNNNNNNNNNNNNNNNNNNNNNNNNNNNNNNNNNNNNNNNNNNNNNNNNNNNNNNNNNNNNNNNNNNNNNNNNNNNNNNNNNNNNNNNNNNNNNNNNNNNNNNNNNNNNNNNNNNNNNNNNNNNNNNNNNNNNNNNNNNNNNNNNNNNNNNNNNNNNNNNNNNNNNNNNNNNNNNNNNNNNNNNNNNNNNNNNNNNNNNNNNNNNNNNNNNNNNNNNNNNNNNNNNNNNNNNNNNNNNNNNNNNCGGCCAUGUCGGAUACCGCUAAUAAUUUAUGGUGCAACCCUCCUGUUGACUUUUCCGAGAGUUCAUUAGCCAUCGACAUAUUUUUUUUCACCACACACUUUGCAUCAACUAUCAACCAAUGCCUUGCGCAUUUCCGUGAACCAGCCACCAAUAAUCCAUCCUCUUCCAUGGCAUCUCAACGGGUAGCAAUCAUGCCAUGAGGACACACAUCUCUCAAUUACAUAGAGAACACAUCAUCUCCUUCGCCACAGGGGAUCACAUUGGCAGCAACAACGUUAGAGCUUCUAGCCGAAUCAGCUCCACCGUUCGGGCAAUCCUUCCUCACGUGUCCAGUUUGACCACAAACCCAGCAGACAACCUUCCUCUUUCCGGAGCUUUUCUUCUUUUUCCUGGUACCGACAGAUAAAGCUGAAUCCUCAUAUGAUUUAUUUUCCAUUUCAUUCAGUCUUCUCUCCUCAGUGAUGAGCUUANNNNNNNNNNNNNNNNNNNNNNNNNNNNNNNNNNNNNNNNNNNNNNNNNNNNNNNNNNNNNNNNNNNNNNNNNNNNNNNNNNNNNNNNNNNNNNNNNNNNNNNNNNNNNNNNNNNNNNNNNNNNNNNNNNNNNNNNNNNNNNNNNNNNNNNNNNNNNNNNNNNNNNNNNNNNNNNNNNNNNNNNNNNNNNNNNNNNNNNNNNNNNNNNNNNNNNNNNNNNNNNNNNNNNNNNNNNNNNNNNNNNNNNNNNNNNNNNNNNNNNNNNNNNNNNNNNNNNNNNNNNNNNNNNNNNNNNNNNNNNNNNNNNNNNNNNNNNNNNNNNNNNNNNNNNNNNNNNNNNNNNNNNNNNNNNNNNNNNNNNNNNNNNNNNNNNNNNNNNNNNNNNNNNNNNNNNNNNNNNNNNNNNNNNNNNNNNNNNNNNNNNNNNNNNNNNNNNNNNNNNNNNNNNNNNNNNNNNNNNNNNNNNNNNNNNNNNNNNNNNNNNNNNNNNNNNNNNNNNNNNNNNNNNNNNNNNNNNNNNNNNNNNNNNNNNNNNNNNNNNNNNNNNNNNNNNNNNNNNNNNNNNNNNNNNNNNNNNNNNNNNNNNNNNNNNNNNNNNNNNNNNNNNNNNNNNNNNNNNNNNNNNNNNNNNNNNNNNNNNNNNNNNNNNNNNNNNNNNNNNNNNNNNNNNNNNNNNNNNNNNNNNNNNNNNNNNNNNNNNNNNNNNNNNNNNNNNNNNNNNNNNNNNNNNNNNNNNNNNNNNNNNNNNNNNNNNNNNNNNNNNNNNNNNNNNNNNNNNNNNNNNNNNNNNNNNNNNNNNNNNNNNNNNNNNNNNNNNNNNNNNNNNNNNNNNNNNNNNNNNNNNNNNNNNNNNNNNNNNNNNNNNNNNNNNNNNNNNNNNNNNNNNNNNNNNNNNNNNNNNNNNNNNNNNNNNNNNNNNNNNNNNNNNNNNNNNNNNNNNNNNNNNNNNNNNNNNNNNNNNNNNNNNNNNNNNNNNNNNNNNNNNNNNNNNNNNNNNNNNNNNNNNNNNNNNNNNNNNNNNNNNNNNNNNNNNNNNNNNNNNNNNNNNNNNNNNNNNNNNNNNNNNNNNNNNNNNNNNNNNNNNNNNNNNNNNNNNNNNNNNNNNNNNNNNNNNNNNNNNNNNNNNNNNNNNNNNNNNNNNNNNNNNNNNNNNNNNNNNNNNNNNNNNNNNNNNNNNNNNNNNNNNNNNNNNNNNNNNNNNNNNNNNNNNNNNNNNNNNNNNNNNNNNNNNNNNNNNNNNNNNNNNNNNNNNNNNNNNNNNNNNNNNNNNNNNNNNNNNNNNNNNNNNNNNNNNNNNNNNNNNNNNNNNNNNNNNNNNNNNNNNNNNNNNNNNNNNNNNNNNNNNNNNNNNNNNUCUUAUCGUAAAGAAUUAUCAUCCCCCCCCAUAAAAGAGUAUCGCCACUUGGAACCACUUUACCGACUCUAAGAAUUUUCUAUCGGCCAUGUCGGAUACCGUUAAUAAUUUAUGGUGCAAUCCUCCUGUUGACUUUUCCGAGAGUUCAUUAGCCAUCGACAUAUUUUUUUUUCACCACACACUUUGCAUCAACUGUCAACCAAUGCCGUGCGCAUUUCCGUGGACCAGCUACCAAUAAUCCAUCNNNNNNNNNNNNNNNNNNNNNNNNNNNNNNNNNNNNNNNNNNNNNNNNNNNNNNNNNNNNNNNNNNNNNNNNNNNNNNNNNNNNNNNNNNNNNNNNNNNNNNNNNNNNNNNNNNNNNNNNNNNNNNNNNNNNNNNNNNNNNNNNNNNNNNNNNNNNNNNNNNNNNNNNNNNNNNNNNNNNNNNNNNNNNNNNNNNNNNNNNNNNNNNNNNNNNNNNNNNNNNNNNNNNNNNNNNNNNNNNNNNNNNNNNNNNNNNNNNNNNNNNNNNNNNNNNNNNNNNNNNNNNNNNNNNNNNNNNNNNNNNNNNNNNNNNNNNNNNNNNNNNNNNNNNNNNNNNNNNNNNNNNNNNNNNNNNNNNNNNNNNNNNNNNNNNNNNNNNNNNNNNNNNNNNNNNNNNNNNNNNNNNNNNNNNNNNNNNNNNNNNNNNNNNNNNNNNNNNNNNNNNNNNNNNNNNNNNNNNNNNNNNNNNNNNNNNNNNNNNNNNNNNNNNNNNNNNNNNNNNNNNNNNNNNNNNNNNNNNNNNNNNNNNNNNNNNNNNNNNNNNNNNNNNNNNNNNNNNNNNNNNNNNNNNNNNNNNNNNNNNNNNNNNNNNNNNNNNNNNNNNNNNNNNNNNNNNNNNNNNNNNNNNNNNNNNNNNNNNNNNNNNNNNNNNNNNNNNNNNNNNNNNNNNNNNNNNNNNNNNNNNNNNNNNNNNNNNNNNNNNNNNNNNNNNNNNNNNNNNNNNNNNNNNNNNNNNNNNNNNNNNNNNNNNNNNNNNNNNNNNNNNNNNNNNNNNNNNNNNNNNNNNNNNNNNNNNNNNNNNNNNNNNNNNNNNNNNNNNNNNNNNNNNNNNNNNNNNNNNNNNNNNNNNNNNNNNNNNNNNNNNNNNNNNNNNNNNNNNNNNNNNNNNNNNNNNNNNNNNNNNNNNNNNNNNNNNNNNNNNNNNNNNNNNNNNNNNNNNNNNNNNNNNNNNNNNNNNNNNNNNNNNNNNNNNNNNNNNNNNNNNNNNNNNNNNNNNNNNNNNNNNNNNNNNNNNNNNNNNNNNNNNNNNNNNNNNNNNNNNNNNNNNNNNNNNNNNNNNNNNNNNNNNNNNNNNNNNNNNNNNNNNNNNNNNNNNNNNNNNNNNNNNNNNNNNNNNNNNNNNNNNNNNNNNNNNNNNNNNNNNNNNNNNNNNNNNNNNNNNNNNNNNNNNNNNNNNNNNNNNNNNNNNNNNNNNNNNNNNNNNNNNNNNNNNNNNNNNNNNNNNNNNNNNNNNNNNNNNNNNNNNNNNNNNNNNNNNNNNNNNNNNNNNNNNNNNNNNNNNNNNNNNNNNNNNNNNNNNNNNNNNNNNNNNNNNNNNNNNNNNNNNNNNNNNNNNNNNNNNNNNNNNNNNNNNNNNNNNNNNNNNNNNNNNNNNNNNNNNNNNNNNNNNNNNNNNNNNNNNNNNNNNNNNNNNNNNNNNNNNNNNNNNNNNNNNNNNNNNNNNNNNNNNNNNNNNNNNNNNNNNNNNNNNNNNNNNNNNNNNNNNNNNNNNNNNNNNNNNNNNNNNNNNNNNNNNNNNNNNNNNNNNNNNNNNNNNNNNNNNNNNNNNNNNNNNNNNNNNNNNNNNNNNNNNNNNNNNNNNNNNNNNNNNNNNNNNNNNNNNNNNNNNNNNNNNNNNNNNNNNNNNNNNNNNNNNNNNNNNNNNNNNNNNNNNNNNNNNNNNNNNNNNNNNNNNNNNNNNNNNNNNNNNNNNNNNNNNNNNNNNNNNNNNNNNNNNNNNNNNNNNNNNNNNNNNNNNNNNNNNNNNNNNNNNNNNNNNNNNNNNNNNNNNNNNNNNNNNNNNNNNNNNNNNNNNNNNNNNNNNNNNNNNNNNNNNNNNNNNNNNNNNNNNNNNNNNNNNNNNNNNNNNNNNNNNNNNNNNNNNNNNNNNNNNNNNNNNNNNNNNNNNNNNNNNNNNNNNNNNNNNNNNNNNNNNNNNNNNNNNNNNNNNNNNNNNNNNNNNNNNNNNNNNNNNNNNNNNNNNNNNNNNNNNNNNNNNNNNNNNNNNNNNNNNNNNNNNNNNNNNNNNNNNNNNNNNNNNNNNNNNNNNNNNNNNNNNNNNNNNNNNNNNNNNNNNNNNNNNNNNNNNNNNNNNNNNNNNNNNNNNNNNNNNNNNNNNNNNNNNNNNNNNNNNNNNNNNNNNNNNNNNNNNNNNNNNNNNNNNNNNNNNNNNNNNNNNNNNNNNNNNNNNNNNNNNNNNNNNNNNNNNNNNNNNNNNNNNNNNNNNNNNNNNNNNNNNNNNNNNNNNNNNNNNNNNNNNNNNNNNNNNNNNNNNNNNNNNNNNNNNNNNNNNNNNNNNNNNNNNNNNNNNNNNNNNNNNNNNNNNNNNNNNNNNNNNNNNNNNNNNNNNNNNNNNNNNNNNNNNNNNNNNNNNNNNNNNNNNNNNNNNNNNNNNNNNNNNNNNNNNNNNNNNNNNNNNNNNNNNNNNNNNNNNNNNNNNNNNNNNNNNNNNNNNNNNNNNNNNNNNNNNNNNNNNNNNNNNNNNNNNNNNNNNNNNNNNNNNNNNNNNNNNNNNNNNNNNNNNNNNNNNNNNNNNNNNNNNNNNNNNNNNNNNNNNNNNNNNNNNNNNNNNNNNNNNNNNNNNNNNNNNNNNNNNNNNNNNNNNNNNNNNNNNNNNNNNNNNNNNNNNNNNNNNNNNNNNNNNNNNNNNNNNUCAAGCAGGAACAAAUGAGAAUAAAAUAAUGACUGAGAAAUUAAAGAGAACACGAUAAUUUAACGUGGAAAACUCCCCAAGUGGAGAAAAACCACGGCCGUUGCCAAACGACAAUCAAGAAAAAUAUUCACUAUGCGGCAAAUUGUUACAACCACAAUUACAAAAUAUUUUUCUACCCGACACCCUCAAAACACCCCAAAUAUUUUAUACUCCAAGUGAUUCCAAAAGAUUCCCUAAUAUAAAACACGUUCAAGUGUUUUUGGUGUGUUUUGGUGUGUAUGGAAACCUAAACAUUGCUUCCAUUUUAUAGCCAAAUCACUACCUUCACUUUGCUUAUCUCCCCGAUGUGGGAUUAAGCAAAAACUAAUUUUUUUUUAUAUUUUUUUUUCUUUUGUUUUCAACAACGGCGGCUAACAUUAAAUAGGUAUGGUUUCAAAAUUUGAAUGUAGAGACCAAGAAUUUUGAUGGUCUGUAAAAGGCCAACAAGCUUUACAAACUUUCCGCUGAUUACAAUAUCAAAAAACAUUUAACGGAUUGUAAUUGCAUCCGAGUUAUACAGGACCCAUUCUCAUUGGUUAAAGAACGAUAAUAAACACACUAACCUUUACUUCAGUUUUUGGGGAAAAGCGAUUCCACAGGCUUUAAUGAGUAUGGAUGCUGAUGCUUCCUUAAAUAAACAAAAUAAAAAAAUAAAAAAAUUUUGGUGGCAAGUGGAAACUAUCUCUUUCAAUUCCACCAAAUUUAGCUAGCUAGGGUUUAGAGAACUGCAAAAUUUGCAAAGAAAACCCUGGAGGAGGAAACGGUGGUAAAAGAUUCUAACCAAAUAAGCAAACAUAAACCUAAAAAGAAAUAUAGGAAAGGACAAAGGUGGUAAGAGCAUAGCAAGAAGACCAAGAGCAAGAUCAAGAGGAAGUCUGUUACUGUGAUUGUUUUACUGACUUAAUUACGUGUCUGUAAGAAUGAAAUAGUGCAAGACAAAAGAGAAUGAGUAGUCAAAUCAAGAAAAGUAAUCUUUCACUUAAUUAAUAAUAAAGAGGACAUUAUAUCCAAAAUUAAAACUGUACAUUCUCAUGAUUAUGCCAUGAUGAUUUGAGUAAUCAGUUACAGCUCUUCUUCACGGGCUCGACAAUAAAGAAUUUUAAUUUCUUUUUUUUUUCUUUCUUUUUAUGUAUAAAAAAUAAAAUUCAUUUUCUAUAUAUAUAUAUAUAUAUAUAUAUAUAUAUAUAUAGCCCUAAUGUGGCGGAGAGUGAGGCAUAUGAUGAUGAGUCUUGAAGCUUAUUGUCCGGGAGAUAGAAGGAGGGUAUUAGGGUUUUGGGUUCGGAAAUUGAGGUCAAGAAAAGGGCUUUUGGGUUUUGAACCACACCACAAAAAGACACCAAAAAACACACCCUCUUAACUACUGAAAACAACAGAUGAGUAAGUGAAAGCUAUAUCACUCCAUGCACACGUCCCUUUCUUGCUCCUCUCCCCCACAUCUGCCGCCUCUCUCUCUCUCUCUCUCCCCCCCCCCCCCCCUCGCAUUGGGAAUGCCAACCACACAUGUUACUGUCCUAUGCAUGCUUCUUCUUCUUACUAUAAUGUAAAAUGUCAUCAUCAUCAUCAUAUGUAUUUAUACAUACAUGCACACAUGUAAAUGCAUGCAUGACUAGUCCUAUAAACAAAGACCAAUAAUAAGCACAAAGGGAAGCCACGAGGGGUUUUUCUAUUUCUUUCCUGUGUCUUCUCUCUUAUUUUAUCACCUUUGUUUCACAAAACAACACCUUAUUCACAAGAAAGAAAAAAAAAAGGCAGAUCCAAGGUAGUGGUGGUUAAGCUGUCAAUCCUAUCAAUCAAUCAAACCAGAAAGAAAGCCAGUAAAUCAUCAAUCAUUUCUUGUUUUUUUUUUUUUUCCCAAAAGACUUGAAAAAGGGUAUAUAUCAAAUUAAAAUUCUACCAUGUCCUCCUCUUCUUCACUCUCUGUGGACCACCUUUCCCCCUCCGAGCAGCUCUGUUAUGUCCAGUGCAACAUUUGCGACACUGUUCUUGCGGUACUAAUUUAUCACCAUGUCUCCUGAUUUCCAUUUUCCCCAAUUCGAUAUAUAUUUUCUGUUUCUCAUUGUGACCACUUUCUUUGAUUUAAUUAAAAAAUGAUGUGUAUGUAUAUGUUUAUAGGUGAGUGUUCCUUGUACGAGUUUAUUCAAGACUGUUACUGUCCGAUGUGGUCACUGCACCAAUCUCCUCCCUGUCAAUAUGCGUGCUUUGAUUUUGCCAUCUGCUAAUCAGUUUCACUUGGGUCACUCUUUCUAUUCUCCUUCUCAUAAUCUUCUGGUAUGUCUUCAUUAUUGAUUAAUUACAUAUAUAAAUAAGCCUUUUAAUCUAAUAUAUAUGUAUACCCACUCGAUCUUUUUUGUUUAAUUUGGCUGCAACUGGGUUUCAAGUCGCAGUGCUCUAGAUAUAACUCCAAUACUUGUCGGUGAAAACAGAUCUCAUUAAUGUAUAUAUAUUUAUAAUUUUUUGUUGCAGGAUGAAAUCCCGAACCAAACUCCAAACUUCUUGAUCAAUCAAACAAAUGUGAAUAAUUUUAGUGUUCCGUCUCGAGGAGUGACUCACGAUGAGCUUCCAAGGCCACCAGUUAUUAACAGACGUAAGAUUCAUAUCUCAUUUCAUGUUUUUCAUCCUUUAUUCUCUCAAAGAUUUUGCCAAAAAUGUUAUUCGAAUUUCUUUUACUUUGGCUUUGUCACAUAUUCGAUUUGAGAAUCAGACAUAGGAUGUCGCCUUCUUUAUUCUUUGAAGAAUCCCAAAAUGUAAUUCUUUUGGGUAAAAAUUCUCUCUCUUUGACGUGGUCAGUAAGCAGAUGUUUUUUCUCUUAGGGAAUAAAGAAAAUAUAUAUAGUGGGAAAAGAAUCAUACCAUUUCCCUUUUUUGGUUCACUAAGCUCUUAACAGUCUUGAAGAUCUUUUGGUCUGAUGGUGGGGAAAAAAGAACCUGUGUCACAUUAAUUAGUAGCAAAACCCACUUAUGCCUGCCAUUCAUAGAUCAUCCCUUCAGUAUCUCUUUUCUUUUUUCCUUUUUUCAGCUUUUUUUUUUUUUUUUUUGGUUAAAAAUGGAGAGCUAGGCUCUAAGAAUUACAAACAAAGUCUAGGGUGGGCAAUACCAUACAAAUCAUGGUUGAGCCACCAUGCCAAACCCGAAGGAGGUCCAGACAAAAAAUGAGUUCCUAGAGGGAAAUUCCUAGCAACCUUACAAAGAUAAUCAGCAUUAUAGUUGGCCUCUCUAUAGACAUGUCUAAUAUCACAAGUCCAACUACCUUGGAUGAGAUUGUUAAUAGCCAAAAUAAGCUGUUGGACACUUCCACUGAUUUAGUAUCCCUGAUUUGGUAAUGACAUUUCCCUCUUAAUAGGUAAAAUUUAGCAAUAAACCCUACAGUUUUGCCCAAGAUUUAUAACUACUUGAACACCCUAAUUCUUUUCAUUCUUUCUUUUCUUUUUCAAUGCAAGAAAGAAUAUAUUUAACUUAAUAGCAAAUAACAACAUUGUCAGUCCUAAUUUGCAAAAAUAAACCAAGAAUUUUUUUUCCUGUUGUAUAAUACUAUGCAUAUAUAUAUAUAUAUAAUAUAUAUAUAUAUAUAUAUAUAUAUAUAUAAAGAAAAAACAAGUACAGUUGUCUCCCCCGGAAAUGUAUGGGGGACGUGGAGAUAGGGAAAGGUAAUGACUAAAGCAGUGGCAGUAGAGAAAUGAGAGAGAGAAAUGAGAAAAGAAAAGGCAAGAUUGCAAUAAAAGUUGUAACUAAAGUGAUCUUAAUGUGUCUGUAUGUUGUGUUGUGUCCAUGUCCAGCUCCGGAGAAGAGACAGAGAGUCCCCUCAGCGUACAAUCGCUUCAUCAAGUGAGUAAUGAUUUCAAAGCUUUCACAUAGGGAAUUUCUUUUUCUUUUUCUUUUUUCUCAUUAAAUAUUAAUAAUAUGGAAAUAUAUUAUAUGUGUGUGUGUGUGUGUGUGUGUGUGUGUGUGUGUGUGUGUGUUUGUGGUAUAUAAGUUUUGCUAAAUUUGAAGCAAAAAAUAUGCAGGGACGAGAUCCAACGCAUCAAGGCUGGAAAUCCUGAUAUAAGCCACAGAGAAGCCUUCAGUGCAGCUGCUAAGAACGUAAGAUCCAAGAAAAUUUAUUUAGGGUUUAUAGUUACUUUACCAAAUUAGGGUUUCUUUUUUUGCUCUUUUUAUGUAAUUAGGGUUCCUCUAUUUUCUUCUUUGUUUUAUAUUAUAUUAUAUUAUAAGCAGAAUAUAAUGUGGGGUCUUUUCCCUGACCUUGUUUUGUUUUCAUUAUGUCAGUGGGCCCACUUCCCACAUAUUCACUUCGGUCUCAUGCCAGAUCAGACUGUGAAGAAGACUAACAUGCGCCAGCAGGUAAACUAUGCACAACCCUUUCUAGUGUUAUUAGUUUCCUUAAUUACUAGUAUUAAAGUUAAUUUGCUUAUGGGUUUUUGUAGGAAGGAUCAGAUGAUGUUCUGAUGAAGGAUGGAUUCUUUGCUUCUGCUAAUGUUGGUGUCUCUCCAUACUAAGAAACUUUAAUUACUAAUGGAGCUGUUUGUUUUCUUUCUUCUCUAUAAAAUUAAGUCUCUCUGCUCUUAAUUAAUUAGUAAUUAGUAAUUAGUAUUUAGUCGCAGAAAGAUUUCAAGUUUAAUUAAGAUGUAGAUUAACAGCUCUAAUCCAUAACCAAUCUACUACUACUGAUGUCUUUAAUGUCGAAAUUUGAUCUAGCAAUGUACUUCUACAUAAUCUAUUAAUCUCUACUCUUUUUUUUAAUUUCUUUUUUUAAGACAAUUUAUAUAUAAAUUCUCUGUGUUCAUUCAUAUCUCAAGCAACACUAACACCAAUGUUUUUUGGGUGGAUGAUGAUUUUCAUUAUUUUUUCUUAUUUUGCUUUUUUCUUAUUUCGAUAAAUACAAAUCCAAAUAAAUUUAUAAAUCUAUAUAUUUCUAGAAUGGAUUUAUUUUUUGAAUUUUGUCAUUCCUUUUGAUGGAAUUAAAUAGUUAUUAACUAUUUGGAUGUUUGCUAAUAGUUGUUUGAACUUCAAUAGUUAGAUUAACUCGAUUGAUAAAUGGAAAAAUAUUUAUGGAAUUUUCUAUUCAAAACUUUAACAACUUUUGAUUUUAAAAACUUCAUUUUGAAACUUUUCCAUGAAUUGGUAAUUGAUUUUGUUUUAUUUCAUAUUUAGGCUCAAUAACCGUUAUUAAUAUUUAUUAAUAUUAGAAAUAUACAUUCUUAAAUUAACUUCUAUAUGACGAUAAAUUAUUAAAAAUAACAAAUAAUUAUUAAAUAUUUUAAUUGAUGAUAGAAAAAUUUUAAUAGUAUUUAUAAGAUAAAAUAAAAUUAUUUAACUAUGUAUAUGUAAGGUCAAUAGUUUUCUUAAUUUGAUGUUUCCUAUUAUUUUCUUUUAUUUAAAUAAUAAAAUAAAAUAAAAAUAAUAUAAGAACAAAUGAGCAUUCAAUUGGUUGAAUUCAAACCAUUUAAUUAUAAUAUAUCAAAAAUAAAUUAUAUCCUCAAUAAUCAUUUAAUAUCUUAAUUUAUACCAAAUUUUAACAAUAUAGCUAUUAGACAUCUAACUAUCAGUUACUAGUUUUUUAGCAAGAGGUAAACCAAAUUGACGUUUUAUAUCUUUGUUUUUUAUAUUAAAUUUUUUUUUUUAAUUAAUAGAAAUAGGAAUAUAGAUUCAUAUCUUACCUAACAAAAAGCUAGUACAUAUCCAUCUCUUAUAAAUUAUGCUAAUAAAAUUAUAUUCUGAGAUUAAUUUCAUUUUGAAGAAGAAGAAGAAGAUAGGGAAUAUGAAUCACUAGUUUAAAAAGAAAAGUUACAUAGAUGAUAAGAAUUAUCAAGUUAAAAAAUAUCAAUUGAUAAUUCUUAUCCGUCAAACAUAUGUUCAACUCAAAGUUUAUUAUAUUAGUUUUCUUAAUUAAUAUUUUUUAUGUAAUUAAGAUACGCAUUAUUCAUUCAGAAUCGGAUAAAAAUGAAUAUAUAAGAGUAAAAUCAACAUUUUCAUUUUGAUCCAUAUCAAGCAUAAAAAUUUAAGUAGUUAAUAAUGAUAGGAUCAAAGAGAAAUCGGUUAAUAAAUUAACUAAAUCAUUUCGAUUUAAUUAAUUUGAUUUAUUUUUAGUUAUUUUUAACAGAUUUGGGUUUAAUUGAAAAUCGAAUUAAAUUGAACUAAAGACGUUAAAAAUUAAUCUCAGCCAAGAUGGUUUUACUGAACUAUGUAUGUCCAGCCUCAGCAAUUGCAGGCAAACAGCAGCAGUUAAGCUGGAGAAGAUAAAGAAGUUUCUUUCUCCAAGUUUUGCAUUUCCCUCCAGAAAACUCUUCCGCUUCUUUCUUUCUUUCUUUUUGUUCUGAAAAUUUAGAACGAACAUGGAGGUUGGUUUAAAGUCAAUUAUGGGUUUCCUUUGCCUACUUCUAUUACUACAGACAAUUGAAUGCAAAAUACUGUUAAAUAAAAUGGGUGCUUAAAUAUUGCUUAAGUAGUUAAUUUGUUUAUAUAAGUAUUUUCACAAGCUUUAAAAUGGCACCAUGAAUUACAAAACAGGGUACAACAUUGCCUUGUCAUUUAUCAGUAACUAAGCUUAUAAAGACUAAUUACCAUUCAAUUUCAGCUAUAUCAGUUCAUAUAUAACUUAAAGCGACUUCCCGAAAAGGCGAAAAUGGCGGAACAGAAACAAGAUUGCUCAAUCCAAGAUUGUAGGGUCAAGUAAUGAAGUUAUGCAUACGAUGCAACCAUAACCGAAAGGUAUAUAACAAUAUCCAAUACUUUUACACUGUAGUUAUGGAGAAAAAGGGGAUGCAAAUAGAGCCCCACCUUCUCAAUCUCAGCUGCUCGGAUCUUUGUAAAAGACAUUUCUUGUGAAGUUUGUCUCCAACCCCCAAAAGUGUGAAACUUUGAAACAAAAUGCAUGUAAGGAAGCCUUCAAGUAUAACAUGCCAAGCAGAGCGCAGCUUUUUAGAAAGUAAAUAUAAGAGCAUGUAAACAGAGGUCGCAAAGCCAAUGGUAACUUUUCCAUUUCCUUUUAUUUUCACUUCCCCUCCUCUUAAGAAGCCACAAAGAAAAUCUAUUACUUGUCCUAAUAGAAAAAGAAAUUAACUUAUAGGAUAAGUUCAGGGGGUCAGAAGGGCAGAAAACAUAACUCCUUAAAGAUAGCUAAACAGGGCACACUCUGCAAAGAAGCUAUAAAGCAACUCCAAUCAGUGUUACUAUUCCUGUUACUAUAGAACUACAGUAACAAAAUGUACAUUGCAUUAUCUUGAAAUCCAUCAUCCCCCUCAUUUUUCCUGAAAGCAUCACCAAAAAUAAUAAAAUGAAGGAGAAAACAAAAAAAUGUUUGAUUUGGAAUCAAGUGUUGUGAAGAAAGUCAUAUUUUGCAAAAGUUACUUAUACAGUCAAUUAAAAAAAGUUCAUGUAUUGUUUCCAUUUGUUUGAUAAUUAAUAGGACAGUGUUCAAUUCCUCUCUUCCUGGGCACUGGACCACUGUGUAUAUCAUAAACAGCCCCAGACAGGGUCAGAUAUCACAUGGAUAGUUUCACCUAAGACCCUUUUGAACAACAUGCAAGGGUUCCUGUGCCUUAUAUCACAAUCAGACGAAUGAGUUAUGGAGUUUGAAUCUCCGAGGAGAUCCAUAAUUGAGUUAAUGCACCUUAAAUGUUAGUAAUGGGUAAUUUAAAUAGCACUUCCCUCCAAAGUACAAAGGGAUACACAAACGGACAUCUUGAUCCAGCUGGGCUGGCUGCAUGUAAACAAAUGAUGGAAGGGACCACAACAAGCAACCUAGAAGGGACAUGAAUUUUCCAGCUUGGCGAAAAUCCUACUCCUAACAUAUAUUGGUUGAAGAUUGUGGGCCUUGAACAUAAUGCGUUUAUUUACCGUAUUUUACAACCAUGUAAGGAUAAGAGGAAGUUUCACCUCACCAAGUCUGAGAAAGAUUUCUCACAGCUGUCCUGUAGAAAAUGACUCUAGAUAUGCUGUUUCCUGCAUGUUAUAUAUAAAAGAAUAGCCAUUUUGAUGGAAUGAUUGUUUUUUUUUUUAACCGUAGGUAAGUUAACCACCUCAGCAAAAGAAGCAGUCACUUGUAUUAAGUAGAAUUUGCGAAUGAAAGAUUCCUCCUUUAUACGACAAUUCAAUAUAUAGAGCAACUGAGCAAAUGAGCUAUUCAAGUUGAAAGCAGAAAGCAUAUACGGGAUGCUAAUUGUAUUAAAAAUUUGAUUAAUUGUCAUCAGCACAUAAUAAAUUACAGGUAUUAAAAGAAUGACGAUCCCAAUAAAUUGAACAAGGACUGUGGAAGAAGAUUUAAGAACAUAUGUCAAAAUCACUUAAAAUUCUUAUCAACAGGACUAGACUACAAACCUAAGCACUCAGAAGUCACAACCACAAACCGCACUAAGAAGAAAGGCUCGAACGUGCAAGACAGACAGCAAGUCUUUCCCAGAGCAAAACAAUCAGCUGAAAAUGAACAUCACAGCACAGGCAAUCAUCAGCAAUGUGAAGAAAUGCUUUGUUCUAUCGCCCAUCAUUGAUGCAGCAAAAGAAGAGAUAUCUUGUGGCCUGAAAAAGAAAAUGAACACAAUCAGAAUCUAAUGCCAUGACUCCAAGAAGACUUGGAGAAGAAAAAUAAACAGCAGAAAAAGGUUAGUAGUCUAUACUUCUGCAUUUUGCUAAGAGCACCACAAAAGAGAGCAUUGUCUGGAAUGGGCAACUCAGUUUUGUUAGUCUUUUCUGGAUUCACAACUCUGACAUACGUUUCUUGGCCAAGGUACCAUGAGUCAAGGUUUUCUGUCCUGAGGUUCCAGACUCCAACAUUGUCUAGUGAUACCAAAAUUGCUGUCCACGCUCCAGGAUAAACCUACAUAAAACAUGAAAGAAAUUAUAACUCAUGAUUACAAUUUAGUGCCAAAAGUGUCAAUGCUGCUUCUACACAUCUAGAAUUACCAAUACUUCAUCAUGUUUAUACAUGAGCCUUGCAUAUAAGAAGAAAAGCACCACAGAGAAUUUUACUCUUGAUAAUCACUCAAUUGCUGGAGUUCCUAAAGGAAGGACAUGCAUGAGGAUAAUUAUUAUGAAAUCUGGAAAAAAGCCGGUACUCGAGGAACACAAAAACUCUUAGGACAAUGAUGAUUUUUACUGCUUAUACUAUCAUCGAUAGAAGCAAGAGACAGCAUUUAUAAAGACUCAAAAGGGAGUAGCUGUGCUAUAACAAUCCACGACAGCAUACAUGAAACAGAUAUCAUGCACCUAUAAGGUAAACAGCUAAAGUUUUACCAUCAGUGACUUCUCAAGGGGAAAUUUGAAACACAAACCAUGAAAGCAGCAAAUUGACAUUAGAUUCGCUUUAAAUGCUAUAUAAAUGUUUGCUUUAGAAUCAUGAAGUUAAAAGAAAAAUGAUGGCAAAACCCAAGCAAGGGUAAUGAUGGAUCAUGGAACUCUGUUGAGAACAUACCUGUACUGUGGAGCGUGCUAUGCCAUCCCAUUUGUUAUAGGUACCCCUGCUGUUCUCUGUCCAUUCACCAUAAUCCAUCCUGAAAUAAAUUGGUUGAAGAGGGAUGAUUAAAAGCAUGCUUUCAAAAUACAAAUGAGGCAUAAAGGAUGGAAAUGAAUUCUUACCCAACAACAAAAAAUGCAUAUCCACUCAUGUGAUAGCUCUGCAUCUUCGUAUCAUUGUUCUGCAGAAUGACUUCCAUAAAUCCUCUGUAUGUUCCAUUAAUUACAGAUGUUUCCAUUUUAGGUGGUCCUUCAAGUGGCUUAGUGGGGAAAUCAAGCUUAUAUACUCCUUUCACUUUGAAUUGAUCUGCAAGCCUGAUUGGAGUCGAAGGAUUUACAAAUGAUAUCCCACUAAGAGUUGUCCGUUUUUUCCCAUUAAUCGUCACUGGUGGCUUAUUUUUUAACACGUAAAUUUCAGUCACAUUAAUUGUUCCAUAUCUAAAUGAACCUUGAGGGUUGGGACGUGCACCGCUUGCAGAAACGUUCCAUCUGCAUUUGCACACGGAAACACCCAAAAGUUAAAGCCAAAAUGAGAUCAAAAUAGAAAUUCCUGCAUAGUAAAAGAACAAUUCUAAUACUACGAAGUCCCAAACUGAUAAAAAGAAUUAGUCAAGGUAUUUGAAAAACAGCGGAUGCCAACCUGAUAGAUCUUGCCUGGUUCAUUGAAAAGGUUUUGUCGAACUCAUCAUUUGGUGCAUCUGGUAGGGGGCCCUUCGCCUUUCCUUUGGAAUUUGUAUAGUGCAAGAUUGCAACUCCAGUAACUCUUUUCCACUGUGAUUCAUUCACAAACCUUGCGCUAGCUACAAUGUAGUAAUCAGAACUUGCAUUCUGAUCCAUGGUCACCAAGAACGAAUAGGAUUGUCCUACAUGAAUAUCUAAGCUAGUAUAAUUCUGUUGAACGGUAUAUGAUCCCUCUGACUCUGCUAAAAGAAGGUUAUGGUUCUGGAUCCUGAAAUUCAAACUAGUUGAUGUUCCAACAUUGUGUACACGAAGUCGAUAGGUUUUCCCUGUCCAACAUAUAGCAACAUCAUCAUUUAAAAGUGUGAGCUUGAGCUUCAGGAACUACAUCACAAGCAAAAGACAAUAACACACAAUAAUUAAGGAAGCUUCGGAUAGACUUUGAUAGUAACCUACAACAACAAUUUAUGAAUCAAGAGACAUUUAAUAUAAUAACAACUGAAAGAAUAGAUGAAAUAUUUCUUUCCUCCAAUAGCAAAACAUGCUAAUAUUCAGUUUUCAUAUGACUCAUACCUGUUGGCGGUUGCCAAAUAACACUUAGGAAGAAAACUAAAUAUAUUUACAAGGGACGCCAUCCAUGUUAGUAUUAAAAUAUUUUCACAUCCACCCAAUUAGCUAUUUCACAUGAUACUGCGAAGAAUAGUUAGGAUAAAUUAUGCUUUAGUUCUUUAAUUAACAAAUUAGUUAGUUAGUUAGUUAGUUAGUUAGAUAAGAUUAGGAAAGCAAAUAGAUAGAUAUAUGAUAAUUAACGAUAAUGCACUUUCAAAAGAGCAAUUGUUCCACUACGUAUCUAUCCAUUAUAUACAGCACAACAAACAUGGUAGCAAGCAGGGCAUACAUAUUGAAUAAUCAUCUGCAACGUAAGAUUUGAGCAGCAUACAAGCUUUAACUCAUUCUAACAGACACAAACCAAUUCCAUUUGGCAACAAAGGCAAAAAAUUGAUAGAUUCUUCAACAAAAAUGUCAUAUAUAGAAUAGUCACCUGGAUGGACUUCAACAGUUUCAUAGUCGAUGCCGUCAGGAACAAGUGUGGUGUUAUAUUGGUAAGGGCCUUUGCCAUUAAUAAGAACUCCAUCUGGCAUCCCAAGAGCUUUCCCUGCAUCAAGGGUUUUUCUCAAAGCCUACAUUACAAAAAAAAAAAAAAAAAAAAAAAAAGUCAUCAAACACCGCACUUUCCAACUUCUUUCAGCAAUCUAAAAGUAUCGAGAUUCAAUAUUUUAACAGCAAACACUAACCGUAUGGUUCCUUUUGUACCAAUCGCCAAUCAAAAUGACAAUGUCGCCAUAUGGAGUAUCAAAAGGAAUUGGAAUAAUAGGCCGGUUAUUUAUAAUAAAGCUACCAAAUCCACCAGAAGCUCUCUGCAUGUAGAGAGAAGGGAAGUAAAAGAAACUCCCAAUCUGAUCCUUAACUUGAAACUGAUAAGUCCAGUUCCACUUAGGAGGAAUUGGACAGUUAGUUCCAGGAAGUCCAUCUUGCCAUGAACUUCUCCUUUGUUGAACUCCAGACCUAACAGAGCCAUUACGUUCGAAACACUAAAAUCAGCAUAUAUAUAUAUAUAUAUAUAUAUAUAUAUAUAUAUAUAUAUAUAUUUCCAUCUAUUCUGGUUCAUACAAAUUUCAACAAAUACCAUCAGGCAAUAGAUUUUAAUGCUAAACAACAGCAACAACUAAGCCUUAAUCUCAAACUAGUUACAGUAAAUCAUUAUAAAUAUCCACACUUCAACUCAAAAUUCACAAAAAUACAGCAAUUAAGAAAUAGAAUCCUACCAAUGCAUGAGAAGAUUCUCAUCCAAUUUGUUUCUAACGUUGACAACCACAUUGUUGUUGGUGGUUACAUUGAUAGUAGGACCAGGAAACUUGUCAUUUAUAGCAAUAACCUGCAAAGCAAUGCAAAUUUAGUAGCAAAGACUAGAACCAUAUAACAUCUCAACAUCAAGUACAAGCUCAGUACACUGUACAGAAGCAGCUAAUCUUAAGAAUUAAACCUGUGAAUAAGUAAAUUUAACAGAUCUGAAGCUGAAGAUUAAAACUUGAGAGAAAAUAUAGCAAAUCCGCUUAUCAGAAAUCAAGAUAAAGCAGAAAAAACGAUAAAUUUACUGGAAGCACUGUUAAGAAGUGAGUAUAAUGUAGAAAAAGAAAGCAAAAGACAGAGAGAUCUAAAUAACAGACCUGCUGGGGCACACCAAGAGGAGAAGCAGUGAUAUAAGAGACCUCAAAAUUAUAGGUAACAAAAGGAUCUUCAGCUAAACACAAGUUGAAAAACAAGUAAAUGUGGAUAAAAAACAAAGCAAAGGAGCUACUAAAGAAAGCCAUAAUCUUUUAGACCCUUUCAAGUGUUUUAGCAAAACAAGAACUCAGAACCCAAUUUUUGGUUAUCUUUUCUGUUGUGUUUUACAUCAUCAGAUAGGGAGAAAAGGAAGGGGAAGGAAAGGAAGAAACUAGAGCCUCUAAAGUUGGAGGGAGAAAGAGAAAACGGCUCUAUUUCACCUUAGCAUGUAGAGCUAGUAGUAAUAGUCUUAGUGGGUUUUUGGGGCCGAGUCAAGAAAUUGAGUACUAUAAAGUUUAAAAGAGAGCACUUGGAUGACAGAUCCCCAAGCCUUUUUUUGUCGGUCACCAGUCAUCAUUCAUUUGAGCAUGAGAGAGAGGAGGAGGGUGACAGCCAGUAGCCAGUUCACUAUAUCAAAAUAAUUUAUACAAAUACACAUUAUGUUAUAUAUAUAUAUAUAUAUAUAUAAUGGGUGACAGUUGGUUAUGAAAAAAAAAAAAAGAAAUCCUUUAAUAUUGAUAGUUAAAUUGAAGGUUUUUUUUUUAAAAGAGAACUUUGUCGUGUGAAGCUGAAGACCCCCAACGUCUAAAUUUCCAGCUCUUUCGUGGACCCCACUUCAUAAAUUGGGCUUGUACCCUUUCUAAGGGAGCCCUGUGACCCUUACAUCUCCAACACUGUAGGCUGUUCCUUUUUCCCAAAAAAAAAGAAAAAAAAAAAAGGGGAAAAAGGAAUAGUUUUCCUACAAACAGCAUUUUAAAGGACAAAUUACAAUUUUACAUCUAAAUUUUUGUCAUAACAUAUAAUAUUGUACCGAUAUUUUUUAAAAUAUAUUAAUUUAUCUUUUAUAUUAUUGGAUGGUAUAUUGUUAUAUCCUUUUAUCAAUUUUUUAUACUCCUUUCAUCAUAAAAAAAGAGAGUUCACUUUUUAUUUUUACACAAAUUAAGAAAGUAGUAAUUAUUAUGAUUAAAGAAUAAUUUUAUUUAUAUAAUUUCUAAUUAUGUCAAUCUUAAAUAACACAUAAGCAAUUAUUAUAUUGAAAUAAUAAAUAAAAAUUAAUAAGAAUUAUUGAAAAUAAGAUAAAAUUUAAUAAGAGUAUUAUAUACACUUUAAAGAUCAAUUAUAUAUAAAAAAUAAAAAUAGACUAUCUUUUUGUACGAUAGAGUAUUUUUUUUUAUCAAUAAAUUACUUUUUUAUCUUUUUUUUUACCAAAUUCAACCAACUUAUCUUUAUAUUUAUUAUUAUAUUUUAUCAAUAUUUACUAAUUUAUCCCUUUAUGCAGGGGCCGAGCUCCAUUGCAGCUAAGGGGCCGUGGCCCCCUUCAAAAUUUAAAAAAAGAAGUUUCCUUCUGAAAAUUAUAGUUUAAGCCUUCAAAAUAUAAAAAAUUAUAUUUAACCUCCUAAUAAAAACUUUCGUUUAAUCUUUCUAAAUGAUUGUCUUAUCUCCACCCGUCUUUAUGCAACAGAAAAGUAUAAAAAUUGAAAGAAGAAUGUAAAGUAUAAAGAAGAUAAAAAAAAAAUUGGGACAAUAAUAUAUUUUCAAAAAUAGAGAUUUACGGAGUAAAUUAUUUAAUUCGACAAUCGAACUUUGUUUUAAGCAGCCUAAUUAAAUCAAAUGAAUUGGAUCGGUUUGAUUUUCGGUGUAGUUUGGUGGGCAAUUUUGCAUACUCCUAUUGCUUAUAGGUACCAAUUGGUUCAUUUUUUAAUUAUAUACUAAUUGCAACAAUUUUCUAGCUUUAUGUUUAAAUUUAACAUUGUCAUAAAAUACAAUUAAAUAAGAAAAAACAUUCUCAUUAAAUAAAGAUUUCUGCAAUGAUUAUUGUUCCCAUAAUAAAAAUUAGCCAACUGAAAAACAGUGGAAGUUAGUUGUCCAAAAGCCGAAGAUAUGUGGGCUCGAAAAAUUUUACCUCGAGAUUCCAACAGUAACAGUUGUGAGUGCCAUUAGCUGUUUAUCAUCUCUAGAUUCUCUACUUCCACUUCUAACGGAAAACUGCAACAAACCUACCAAUAAAGGGGUGCAUGAUAGACUCAUAUGGGACCAUUUAUUUGUCAUUUUAAUAUUAAAUAUUCAUAUUUUUCACUGCUUUUUUUUCCAAAAAGUUUACACUAUUUUAAAGUUUAAAUUUAAAUAAGAUUUAAUUUAGAAUAAUGUUCAGAAUACCUCCUUAGGCAUUUUUGAGUAAUCAACCUUACUACUUCAUUUGGCAGGACACUAUUAGAGUACUUGCCUUUUUUUAUGUUUCUUUUUUGGAGAGCACCCAUUUAUUACAUGUUCGAGAAAAAAUUGUAACUAUCCUUUAAGUCUGAUCACUAAAAUUAUCUGUUUUAGCAACGUUAGCUAUUUGAAUAGCUUUUUAUAAAAUGUUAUCUUUAAUUUCUAAAAUUGAUUCAAACAUUAUAUUACCGAACACUAUAAAAAAAUAACGUUUAGCAUUUUAACUAGUCAAAAAAACUUAAAGUUACUUAAAAGGCUAUUGUCGAAAAUACUAUUUAUCAAAUUUAAAAUAAAAAUUCGAGUCGCAAUUGCAUUUGUUGAAAAUGUGGAAAUUUAGAUCCAUGUGAGAUAGGAUCCUAUGUUGCUUAUAGGUAACUAUUAGCGUUGAUUGUUAUCUAUAUGUAUAUGGUCAUAUAAAUAACUUUUUGCAUAGGUACUCUUUUUUUCUAAAGCAGCAUAAUUAUAUACACAUAGUACGUGUAUUAAUAAUUGAAUUUUUGUACGUGUAUACACAAAAUAUACUUAUUUUUUAUGUACUUAUUUUCUUUUAAUUUAAAUACUACUUUUUUUUAAUUUAAAUAUUAGUAUAUUAAUUCAUAUAUAUAUUAUAGUUUAAUAAAUGAAGCAAAAUACCCACGUAAAGUUGUUAGUUACACACGAGCAAGCCAACUAGCCAACACUAUUUUAUAGUACAUCUAUUAGAUCUUUUAAGGCCCAUGCACUUGAAAUCUAAUAAUAUUUAAUGAGGAUGGAUUUGAUUUUUUUUUUAAUUAUCCGAUUUUUUAAGCUUACUGGCUCAACUAAUCCGAAUUCACACCGAGUAGAUUCAAAGUUCGAAAUCGAGAUAUCUGAUUAAAGGAAUAAAGAUUAGUAUGAUUGAUUGCGCUAUUUUUUAAAAAAUUAAUCCAAUGAAACAAAAACAUCAUUUUCACAAUUUAUAUUAAAGUUAAAAAUGGAAUAGUUAAUAUUUCUCAAAAAAUUUAAACAAUUGAUAUUUUUAUUUAAAAAAGAAACUUAUAUGAAAUUUCAGUUGACUUAAAAAUUACUUUCAACUAGAAAGUUACAAGUAAAACACUGUUUGAUUUGUUCAUAAAUCAAAAAAAUUAAUUUAAAAUAAAUAAAGAAUUAUAUUUUUAUAAAUUAGAAUCUAAUUAUUUAAAACUAUUUUUAACCAAGUUAAAAAAAUUAUAUUAUCUUAGUAAUAUUUUCUGCGAAAUGCCAACAUUACUAUUGUUUUGACAAAUCAUUAGCCUUCAUAUUAGUUAAUAUUCCCUUUUUUUUUAUCAAAGUAACAAAUUAAAUUACUUUUAUGUAUUUAUCAACACUUAAACUAUAUAAAAAUUACUUUUUUAAAUUAAUCUAGCUUGAUAUCAUGAGGAUUAAAAAAUUAAUAAUCCGUCCCAUUUUUAAUUAGCUUAUAUUGGGACAAUGAUACAUACUAAUUAAUUAAUUAAUCAUCACAAUCAUAUAGAUUGGAGAAAUCCAACCUUCCAAUUUCUGAAGUUCACCUUAAGAAAAAUACUUGCUCAAGGAAUUGUUUAUUAACCUUUAUAUAUUACACGCCAAAAAAAAAUUAAAAAAAUAUUUUAAUGUACAACAUAUAUAUAUAUACAUGGUGAGUGAAUCAUUUGGUCACAUGGAGUGAUAAUGGUGGCUAAGGGAUGGCAUGUUUGUUAAGAAAAAGAACAUGCCAACUUGCUAUAUACGAUGUCAUUCCUAUAAGAUAUAUUGUAUUCUCAAUAAUGUGAUUAAAAAAUGUUGUAGAAUACCUAUAAUUUCGUGGACCGCUGACUAUUGUCGUUUAUGUACUUUCUUUCUGAAGUCGUUUUGUGGAUCCAUUAGUAUGAACAUAUCCAUACCCACUACUAAUUUAUUAGUCAUGAUUAAGAAAAAUCAAUUAUUCUAACCUUAAUUAAAGCCCCACCGUUAUAUUAGUGCAACAUCAACUUAUGGUGUCACCAAAUACGUGGCCCAUAUCCCAUAAAUCUAGCAGAGACUGCCUCCAACAUUCUCAGGAUUUAAAAAAAAAAAAAAAAAAAAAAAGCAAUGGAUGUUUAAUUAAUAAAAAUAGACUGUAUUUUCAAGAAAGAAAAGAAUAUAUAAAACUCGACAUAUUAUUUACCUAAAAAAAUGAUAAAUAAUUAAAUACACAUGAUGGUGUUCCUAUAUAUAUAGGGUAUACUCAAAAAUCCAGGAUCAACUAGACUAUCCGCCUAUGCUAUAUUCCACUAGAGAAGCAAUGGUGUCUCCCUCCCAUCAUCAGAUUCAGCAGCAUCAACAGACAACUUUUUUUUUUUUUUUUUUUUUUUUUUGAAAAAAGGGAUUUCUUUAUUUUCAGCAAAAUUUUGUUAGAAACUUUAUUUACCAUUUGAGAAAUGAAAACUAUUGUUGUAAAAAUAAUUUUAUUAGUUUUUCUAGUUUCUAUAUAAUUUGGAAAAUUGAAAAACAAUAGAAUUUAAAUGAAAAACUACAAAAUUGCUUUACUUUGCAUCGAUCAGCCUAGCCAUGCCAAGUACCAGAAGUCUGUUCUCAUUAACAUGAACAUUGAGACUCCAAGGUGUAUCAGCAUACUCAACCUGAAUUCACAAUAUAAAAUAUGAAUAUAUGUUAGCAUAAAAAAAAUGCCACCUUACUAUAAUAAAUAAAAUAAAAUAAAAAAGAAAGAAAGAAACUCUUAUUUGAUAUUCACUAUUAAGAGAUAGAAAUUAGAAUUAAAGCUACCAAAAAUAUAUUUAUAAAUAAUGGCAACUUCUAUCUAUAAGCUACCUUGUAACUUUAAUUUGGGUACUUUAACAUACUGGGCUGGAUCUUGUAAAUCUGGGUUUGUACACUUCCAGGGCAAUGCAAGUCUUUUGGUCUCACCAGCAAGGUUUGGAGAGAAAACACAAAUUACUGUAAAUGAUAAUUGAAACUUCAAAUAUCUUCUUUUCCUUUCUCAUAAUUUCACCACCUUCAAAUCAGAAAGAAAAUCCUUACUCAAAUUCUAUUUUUGUCAUACAAGGUAUCUUAAAGUUCCUGUAUCCACCAUUAUUUGUUCGUAUCAGGUGUGGAGCUCUUUAAAGGCUUAACCAGGCUAAUGCUCUAUCCUUUUUAAGAGUUUACUGACACAGUGGAAGUGGGAUAUCCAACCCGUAAUCGCAACGACCCAAUUGCAAGAAUGAGCUCUACCAACUGAGCUAUAUCCCCCGGAGCCAAGUGGAGAUGCACGUAAACGCAAUAAUCUAUAUUGAUAGUUGAAGUGAUGGGUCAUUGGCCCUCCUGGGGGAGUUGACGUGAACCCUAAUUAUAUAAUCUCAUAUGAGAGAUAGGUGUUCCUGAUGCGAUCGCAUAGGAUCCACCCUUAUCUAUAGUGUAAGUAUUUCCCAUCUCCAACCUCCUAGAGAUUGCAGAGUGGCAGAAAGAAAAGUAGUAGUCAUGGAAUAUCCUCCAUUAGAUGCUUGCAAGCACCUCCAACAUAGUUAGUCUGAUGUCUUAUAAAUGGAUGCCUAAACCCACUUUGGUCGGAUGCUGUCAGCAACACUUCGCAGUACAGUGACACUAUUUUCCCCAUCAAGGCCCACCAAAUAAUCCAUGGCCAGAAAAACAAUUGUCAUGGUCAAUCCCAUUAUCUCAAAGCAUAAACAGCAGCCAUUAUUGAGGCCAAUAUGUGUCCAUGGCUUAUCCUUCCAAUAACUCAAAGGGCAAGAACGAGUUAAGUUCUUUUCAGUAAAUCAGAAUCAGUCCAACAAAUAUUGUAACGUGGCUCAAUUUCUCUUUGCAGAUUCCAAUUUUAUGGAUAAUAUUAACAUGUCAAUUUGAAAUCCAUGUGGAAGGAAGCCACUAAUUCAACUCUUGUGGCCAACUGUAUCAUUCUAACAAUUAUAGAACUCAAAUCAAUGCAGGAAAAGUUAGAAGAUUUGUUAAGAGUUAGGAACUCAAGUGAAGUUAGAGGAAUUGUUAGAAACAGGGUAAUAAAAGUUAAGAGUAAGCAAGUCAAUAAUGUUAGAGGUUAGAGUACAUGGUUAGUAAGUUAAGUUAGAUGGCUUGUUAUGCAGUUAGUUCCCAAAAAAAAUUGGAAAUUAAUAUUCGGAACCAAUCCCCAAUGAUCAAUAUAUAUAUAUGGCUUUGCAUGGGCAAACAUGUUUACACAUUCUUCUACUAAGAUCUAUCUCUAUUACCUCUAACAAAAUGAAUCAAAAUUGAAAAAUAAACCGAGCAAAAUAAGAAGAUAUUAUACAAGUUGCAGGAAAUCAAUGAGAAGAAUUGUACAAAUUGCAGCAAAUCAAUGAGGUAGACUUAGAAAGUUAAGUUUCAUAGUCUACCGGAUAUUCGGAUAAGGGCGAAUGAACGCAGAAUUCAUUUGCCAUAUCUUGAGUGAAGCAGUAACAUUUGUCUCAAUAGCAUUAUUGAAUAGGAACAGCUUUGCAGCUCCAUAAAUUGCCCUUGUUGGAUAAACCCUGGAGGUGAUGCAUGUUCUGCCCCCUUGAGCAAAGCUUUCGAUUAUCGAAUGAUCCACCUGUUUUUUGUGCAUGUAUAUUCUGUUAAAAUCACUGGACAUAACACAGGAUAUUGUUGCAAAAUUAGUUACUCUCAACUGAACUUACCAAUGUCCUUAGAGUGAAUUUUUCUCCUUCUAGAACUGGAACAAAGUUCCCAUAGAUUUGUUUAUUAACAUCAUUUGCAACAGAGGAUCUGUAAAAGAGAAUUAAUUAAUCAAAUGCUCAUUAUACAUUAUAUGUAAUCAAGUGCACUAGUUAAUUAUUAAUUAAUUACCUUGUUUGGUCUGUGCAGAAGAAUGUUUUGAGAGUGCCAUUAAAUCCUUUCGUAACAUAAAAGUAAACAGGAGUUUGCUCUGCAAGACUCUCGUCUGCGAGAACCAGGAGACCAAAAGGUCCUAAUGCACUGUGGUGAGCAGCUCCAUUGCUAGUGCUGCAGCUAAAUUCUUCAUCGGUUUCUGCUAUGUUCUCCAAAACAUUCUUGUCUAUCUCAAACUCAGCGAAGAUAUCAAGCUGCAUUAAUUAAUUGACCUGUAAGUUAGAUGUGUUCUUCUUCUUGUUGCCUAACUAAAAUUCUACAAGUUGUAGAAACAAACCUGUGUAGCUGCUUCAAGAUCUAGAGGCACAACUGACCCUGGCUUGACCUCUACGUUCUUGAAUUCUUUGCUUCUUAAUCUCAAAUUCUCUACUUCUUCGACUGGCCACUGAAGCAAAUUGCUGCCACUCUUUGUGUCAAAAGCAACUGUCCUCGGAAUACCCUACAUGAUUAAAACAAAUGAAUUAACUUUCCCAAUGUUUAAAAAACCAUGGUUUUAAAUAAGCGAAGUUAAGAAAAGAAUGAAUACCUGAAGAGAAGCCCAUCCUUUCUUAACAUCAGCAGCUUCACUAUCAGACUCACCAAUCCAACCCCACAACACUCUUCUCCCUCUGUGCUGAUCAUAAAAUGUCUUGGAAGCAUAGAAUAUACCAUAAUCAUAUCUAAGACCAAUACCAACAUCAAUUUCUGGAAUAUCAGGAUACCAAGUAGCAUUCUUGUCAUCAUAAGUUCCAAGGGCAUAAUAAUCAUGUCUAUCAUCAUCAAGACUUGCCUUGACAACAUGUUUCACUUCAGGACCAUUAGCUGAGGUUUCCAAUCCAUUUCGGUCAUAAAUCGACACAGGAUAAAAGUCUACGCAUUCCCACAUACCAGUUCCAGGGACACCAUGAAGAACCUGAUUACGCAACUCAUAAUUUAUAAAAUCAACAGUAUCAUAAAUUAAAGCUAUUCCAGUUUUACCAACUUUAGACCCUAUAGUAAUCCUCCAUUUCCCUUCAGAAGUAUACCAAGCAGUUGUCGGAUCCCGGAAAUCCUUUAUACCAAUUCCUGGAGGAGGGACUAGAACAGGGUUGCUGGAGUAUUUAACCCACUCAAUGAGGAGAGGAUCGUUAUGGUCUGCUGGAUAUGCAAGAUUCUGGACUUGAACAGAUUCAUUGGUGGACCCAGUGUAUAGCAUUACAAUUUUACCAUCUGGCAGAAUUGUGGCAGAGCCAGUCCAAACACCAUUGAUGUCAUACCAUUGGUCUGCAACCAUUGCUAAUGGGAGGUGAAGCCAAUGGAUUAAAUCUUUUGACACUGCAUGACCCCAAACUAUGUUACCCCAAACGGCUGCAUCUGGAUUGUACUGGUAGAAGAAAUGGUACCAGCCCUUGUAAAAUAAUGGACCUGUAUAAGUUUAUUCAGGUUAAUUGUCAAGCUUGAAACUUUGAAGCACGAGUUUUGCUUUUCAACGGAUAAAGUUUGAAUUAACCAAGCAAAUCAAUUUAUACUAGUCAGAUUCAGAGUUACAGAAAAUUGUCAAAUAAAAGAAAGUUCUGUUCUUCCCAAAAAAAUGUUCCAGUUUGAUGGCUAGUCUUAAUUUUAUAAAUGUCCAAAAACAAGAAAAUGAGAUCUUACCAUUAGGAUCUGAAGCACAAUGAACCAGAUUCCAGCAGCAGAGCAAUGAUAGUCCACCGGCCAAACAAUGGAUAAAAGAAAAUUAGAAUUAAAAAAAAAAAAAAAAAAAAAAAAAGGGAGACGUAUGAGCAUGUACAAAUUUGGAGACAGACCAAAAUUUGGUAACAUCUGCUUAUGAAUUAUUUUAAUAAAAAAAGUCAACAAAGCGGAAAAGUAAUAAAAUAUACUGUAUAAGUUUAAAAAAAAUUCCUCAGGCAAAACGUUAAUAAGCGAAAUUAGACUAAUUAGCGUAUGCAAGUCUUAAUCCCUAAACAUAACACAAGCUUUAAUAAAAAAACAAAAAAGUAUAGUCAUUGCCACGUAAGGAAUCCUAUCUAUCAAAUCCACCGAAACUGAAAGGAAACAAUUUUCGCUGGCCCACCUCAAUUAUGUGCCAAAAACAAAGAAAUUAAACACAUUAAAUUAAAUUAUUAAUUUUUUAAUAUGAAAAAUGAAGAAAAAAGAUUAAAAAAAUUAACUAGUGAAAUACCAAAUUACCAUAUUAAUUUAUAACAUCAACUCAUCAUAUAAGGUUUAUUUGAGUUUUAAAUUAAGGAAUAACUAUUAUAGAAUUUUACAAUUUAGAAUAUUAUUUUCCUACCCAAAAGGUAAGCCACUUUUUUUGGGACAAUUAAAAUUUAAAACCAUAGAAAAAAGAAAAAUAAAAAAAUAAAGAUAAUUAAAAAAUAUAUAAAUAAAAGGGAAAGUCCACGAAAUCGAGGAUUCCCGGCGGAUCUAAAACCACAAGCAAAGAAUCAAUCAAUCAAUAAAUAAAUAAAUAAAUAAAAGUUGAAAAGAAACAAAAUCAAGUUUGCAGAAUCUACCAUUCAUCCAAUUCUUCUCAGGUUGGAAAUGGAAAGCAGUUCUUUGCCAUGAUAACAUGCUAUUGUUCCAUGGAUAGUCUGGCGAUUCUGAGUGACUAGAUAUCAGGUUAGCCUUUUGAGAAACUCCGGCGGAGACGCCGCGAGAGACGGGCCUCAAAAUCUCCGGUUUGGCUGUAUCUUGCGACGUACCUAAAGAACCUACAUUUUCGUUUUCUUGGGAAAGAAUGUUUUUCUCGGAUCGAUUAUUGUUAUCAAUUAAAGCCACAAACAAUAAAACAAAAAACAACCCAGAAAGAACGACGGAGAGAAGUUUUUUGGAAAUCCGACGAUGGACUGCCGAAGAUGUCUCGGCGUUAAUGCCAUCCGGGAGAGAAGUGUAGCCGGCAUCUUGAGGUUGUGAAACGGGAAGGAGUGGAUUUAGAUCAGCCAUGACAGGCCAAUAGACAAAAAGAAAAAAAGAGAUACGGAGAAGAUUAAUAUGUGGUGGUGUGUAAGAGAUUAUACGUAUACAAUAUAUAUAUAGAGAGAAUGGAGAAUGGAGGGUCAAAGAGAGAGAAAGAAAGAGCGAGAGAGUUGCCAAAAGAAGAGAGAGUUCAGAGUUGAAAAGGACAACGGUAAAUUCUUGAUAUGAUUGGUUGGGUGGUGCAGUUUUUGAGGAGCAAGGAACCAACAAUUUUCAUGUGACUCCAUUCCAGACUAGGAUUAACUGGCUCCUGCCUAUUAUUUUUCCCUGCCAAUUUUGGUUAUUGAAAUUAUAUUUUUUUUCCAUGGAAAAUUAAUUUUAUAAGAAAGUAAAACUCUACAAAAUAUUAUAUAAAAGCUAAAUUAUCAUGUUUUGAUGAUAAUAAAUUUUUUUUUUACUAAAGUAACAUAAUUGUUAUAAUAAAUAUUUAUUAUAUAAUUUAAAGUAUUUUAUUUUUUAUAGAAAUCUUUUUUUUUCACCCUUUAAGAAAUUUAACUUUUACAAAAAAAAAAAAAAAAAAAAUCAACUUUUCCGUGAGAUUUCAGUAAUCAAACAUCUUAUAUAAAACCAAAUCAAAUUAGUAUUAGAAGUGGUAAGAAACUUAACCAACAAAGUUAGAUGAUUAGAAGUAGUCUAGCAGAGAAAAACUAGGGUUCAAAACCCACGGUAUUAUCCAAUUUCGUAUUAUUAUAGGAAUAAUAACAAUUAACAACUAAGUCGGCUUUUUGGACAAGAAAUUAAUUAAUUUGAAACAUAAUUGCCUAUAGUGGCUUCCUAGUAAUAAUUUUGCCAGGUCAAGACAGGCAUCCUAUGGUGUUGCGCUUGGAAUUAUUUAUUUAUUUUAUUUAUAUUUUGUUGAGUAUAGGAGAUAAAUUCACCUGAGAGAUACAUUUUGAAUACAUACAUGCUCAAGUUGAAUCUAGACAACAAAAAGUUCUUUAUGAUGCUUUGGCUUUUAACAAUAAUAACUAAAUGCUUUUUUCCAUUCAAAAAAAUAAUUGAAUCUAGACAGAAAAAUUUUUCUUCUCGUUGCACUCAUUGUUUUAUGUUUAUUACUAUUGUUAGUCCCUCCAUGUAUUUUCAUUGUAAAAUUUUUUAAAGUUAUUUCUUGUUUAAAAAAAAAAAAUAGGUAGAUUAAUUAUUUUUAAAAAAAUUUUAUCAACACAAUAAUGAUUGUCUAUAAUAAUUUAAAAUCAAUCUUGUCACUUCUUUUUCUCUUAAUCUAUAAUUGUUUCUGACAUUAAAACGUGUUAAGUGAGAUAAAUAAUUAUUUAAUCAAAUUAAGAAUUAUUUUAUUGUAAUUUGGGUAAAUAAUUGUUUUUUUAAUUACUAUAAAAAGCAACACAUAUAUAGAAAUGGUAUGAAAUUAAGUUUUAUAUUGCAGAACUUGCAAAACUCAUUAGGGGAGAGGUCAAUUGCCCCUUUCUCUUUUAUAUUUCCAAAGGUCAAAUCUUGGUUUUCCAAUUAUUUUUAGCCCUCCCGUCACUUUACCUCUUAAUUUAUUUUUUAUAUAUGAUUUGUCCUUUUUUAUUUUUAAUCCUAGCUUCACUUCUUUUAGUAAUUAAAAAAAUAUUAAAAAUUGAUAAUUAUUAACAUCUUAAAUUUAACAAGUCUUGCAGCUAGCUUAAACAAUUUUUGUACUCAAACUUUAUAUUCAUUAAUUUAGUACAAGACGAGAAAGAAAUUGCAAGGAAACUACAAAAUAUAAAAUAUAAAUUAAUAUUUCUGGAAACUAAUAAUAGUCAAAACCUUAAAAGAAAAGAAAAUAUAAUAAUAAUAAUAAUAAUAACAAUACUAAUAAAACAUGCAUGAUUGAUUAGUGAAAUGUAAGGACGUGGCAAUUUAGGGGAGUUCUCAAGAUGUUUGGAGAUUGUAAGUUUCUAGACUAAUCGAACUGCCACGCAAAUAAUAGAGGGCGAUGACGAGGCAAGAAAUAUUCAUCAAGGUUCCGUUAGGACCCAGUUUGGCAAGAAAGAGUGCGUUGGCCAGAGGGACCCAGAAUACAAAUUAUUUGCCAUAAACAAAGGAUAACCAUGAGUGCUGAGUCAGCUGAGGAAAAUGACAGAUUGCUAGCUAUUGGCCACUAAUUUUUUAUUAAAUGAUCAAACACCAGAAAUUGCAAUGAGAGCUCUUGUUUCAUAUUUGUCCAUCCAACAUUAUUUGUUAGAGGAAGGAAUGUUUCUCACCACAUGAUUCAUUAAUGACUCAGCUUAAUUCGCUAAUUGUCUUCCUUUGAUUGUGAUUUGUCACCUUUUAGUAUCCAUUAUUCAUAUGAAAACAAAUCAAUAAAUGCAAAAAAAAAAAAAAACCAACAAUUCGGAUCUCCUAUUUUUUCUUAAUUUUUUCAAAAAACACUAAAUAAUUUGUGGUCGGAGCAUCUCCAAUGCUAAUGUGCUAAUGUGAACUGUAGCUGAUGUAUCAUAUGGAAUAUAAUGUAUAUCUUCAAUGCACUACUUUCAUAUUCUCUUACAUUAUCUUUCUUCUUUUCUUUUCUGAAUCCACGGUUAAAUAUAUAAUUACAUCGAUAAGUGCUCGUAUUGUCUAAAGAUCCUUCAAAAGUGUGGUACACAAUGUCUAUUUUUUAUUUUCGACACAUCAGCUUGACAUGUCACAUAAACAUUAGUAUUAAAGUUUUUUUUUUUUAAAUUCAUAUUUCUGAUGUAACAAUUAAAUAAGAAUAAUCCAUGUUAACAUUGGACUUUCAGUUCUAACCAUUUAUUUGGAUGGAAGUUUUUGUUUGGAUGGGAGUGGGGGAGGGAGGGAAAGAAAAUAGCUAAGAAAAUAAGUUUUCCUCUUUAGGAAAGGAAAGGAAAAUAAUGAAGUAAAAUUUAGUUUAUUUUUCAUGAGGCCCACAUAUUUGAAGGCUUUCCAAUUUGAAGAGAAAAUCAGUCAAAAAAAAAAGUGAAAAUUUCAUUAUUUUACUAAAUUAUUUAAAAAAUCUAAAUUUUCCGAUGAUAAUAUAAUUAUCGAUUUUCAAUAAUAACAUUUUAUUUUAUUUAAAAUUAUCUUUUUCGAUCAAAGAAAAUAAUAAUUUAUUUUCUUUCUUUAAUUAUAUCUAAAUACAAUGAUGGAAAUAAUUAUGGAAAAAACAUUGACAAAAUUUCAAUUACUUUCAUUUUACAACUUUCCAAAAUGGAAUUCUAAUUAUUCAUUUCAUUGCUUAUCAACAUAAAUUAGGAAAGAGAAUAAAUUCACCAAUACAAGAAAGGAAAUAAAUUUUGUUUAUAAAUGUAUACCACUUUAUUGUUAAAAGGUAAAUUUUCGAGACUUCUGAAUCAAUAAAAUUGUAGUUAUUUUCAAAAAUAAAAUUGGCAAGUUCGAAAUCUAAUCAAAACCUAAAGAAAAAUAAUUUAAAAAAUUGGAUUAAUAAUCAAACUAAUAAAAGUAAAAUUCUAUAAAUCUGUUGGUUAAAAUCAUCAUAUAAAAUGAACACCUCAUGUGCAAAUCCGGAUUGGGGUUAAACAUAUGAUGGGUUUGGUUGUUCUUAUUUGCAAAAUAAUCGCAUGAUUUCACAAACUUGCACAUGCAUUUGCCUACCAAAAAACGGAUACCAGAGAUCGGGGAUUCGUCAUUGUUGGUUAUGUCUAUUUUAAUAUUCGAAAAUGAUACUAAUAAUUAUUUGGUGGAUCCACCGAUCUAGUUCCUCAUCUUUGUGAUUGGACCGUCCGAAAUGCAAUGUAAUGAACCCUUUUCUUUCUCUUAAAAGAUUCCAUUAACUGAAUAAUACUAAUAAUAAUAAUAAUAUAAUGUUCUCGUCAUGCCUAGGUGGAAAGGGUUUCGCUGUUUUGACACGUAAGGAUGGUCCUACUGUAGGCCGCCCUUAAUUAUAUGCAAGGAGACAAACAUGUCCCACCCCCAAAUCAAUAUGGAUUUACUGUGGGACUCACCACCGCAUAUAAUUGUAACACCAUCGUCCCAAGCCCCAUUCUUUUAUUAACACGUAGUAAAUGAUUACGUCCUCCCUCGCAUGAUGUAUAUACCGAUUUGAUUUAGCAUAAAUUAAGGAAAUUCAGCUAAUAUAAUUAAAUUAUAAAUUUUAACUCAAUUUUUCUUAAUAUAUCCUUAUACCGAUACGUAUAAAAAUUAAAUAAUUCAUAUUAAUUAUUUUUGAAAUUAUUCAAACAUUCGAGACGAAUGACAAAAAAAAUAUUAAGAUAGAAAUUAUGAAACGGAGAGUUUGACAUAAUUAAUUUUUAUCGAUAUAAAUAUUAAUGAUUUUUUUUAUUUCUUCUGUUUAUGUUUUGCAUUUUCUUAUUAAAAAAUUUAGGAAUUUUUAUCUGUGUAUUGUUCUAAAAUUAACUUUAUUUUUAAGGGUAAAAUGGUUUACUUCUUGCAAAAAAUGAUUAAAUAGUUUAUUUCACCCUUUCUAAAUAUUUUCUAAUAUUUUCCUUGUAUAUUUCCUUUUUGAAAAAAUUUCCUUUUUCCAAACAAAGCCUUAGACUUCAAUGUAUUAAUAAGAACUACAAGAUUAUGGAAAAUGGAGCAUUAAUAUUCUAAUUUUUUAUACCUAUUUUUUAUUACUUUAUUUAUCUAACUUUAUAAUGAAAAAAUUAAAGCUACUAAGAUAUAGCCUACUGGUAAGUGCAUAUACGAUGUGACAAUAAUUCUAAAUUCGAAUCCCCUUUCUCCAAUACUUAAAAAAAAAUAUUGAGAAAACUACAAAAUUUAUACAUUUAAAAUUUAAUUUAAGAUUAUAAUAAAUUUUAUAUCAUCUGAAAUGAUUAUGAUUUUAUCCACAUAUUUGAAUUUUAUGAAAUAUUACACACAUGUAAUGUAAUUUUUAUGUUCAACAAAUACGUUUUUCUUUUUUAUUUUCAUGAAUUUAAUUAAAUUCAAAUAAAUAAUUUACAUGAAUCCAGGGUAAGAAUUGAUUUGAAUAAUUUGUUAUUUAUUUAAAUUUAGUAAUAUAAUAAAUUUAAGCAAACUUGAAUUCCAAAACAAAAUUAUAGUUUAUUAUUUUUAAUUAAUUUCAUGAGCUACUGCUCAAGGUCGUGUCAAACUGGUGAAAUUGAAGUGAAUUCUAGUAUUUUAAUGGCUGAAUCGAAAUAGUCUGCGUCAUUUUAAUUUUUUUUUUUUUUACAUUAGAUACUGUUUAUAAGAAAUAUAUUAUAAUAUGCACUCAGGAAGUGCUGCAAUUUGAACAACUGGUUAUAUUUUCAGAUAUCAAUUACAUAAAAUUAAAGUUGAUUAAGGGCAGUCAAACCAAUAAGAUUCUGCCAAUUCAAUUACUACUAUUACAGAAUCAUAGUUAAUUACUAAUUUAGGAAGGUGGUUUAUCAAUCCAAUCAUUAGUUCUGUAGCUCAUUAAAUAUGACUAACUUUUGUAACGUGUCUUGAGCUCAUUAACAGUUGAAAAAACACCUGAAUUAUUGGUUGGAAUUAAGUCAUUUACAGUUGAAACAACACAAUGAUUGUAAAGUUUUAAAGUAUUCAGAGUUCAGAGUUAAUUCCACCGGUAAAGUGCUUGUUCUUAUUUAUUUAUAUUUUUUACAUGGAAAAAAUUAUUUUUAAUUUUCUUUAUUGGAGAUCAAAUACUAAUAUGUCACGAAUAAGCUUUUUUUUUUUUUUUUUUCAUUAAACUCUUGUUGACAAUUUAUUAGAUAUUCAACUCAUUUAGUUAGACAACAAUGAAAUAACUUUUCAACUUAUUUAUUUAUUUGAUCAGAACCAAUAAAACGCUUAUUUAAAUUCAGAAGCCAAUUUUUGUUUUAAAUGACAAUUUCUUGUUAUAAAUAUUUUAGUAAGCUAUAUAACUUAUUAGAUAAAAAAAUAAAAUUACCUCAUACGAUAAUAAAAUAUAUAAUAUACUAUUGCUUAAUCAUUUACCAAUUAACUCUUAAUAUAAAUUUUAAUUAUUCAAUUUAAUCCCAAGAAAAAACAUACCCUUAAGGAAAAAUAUUCCGCCAAAAAUAAUUGGACUUUUCGUCCCCACAAAAUGUGUUUUAAGUGGUUUAGCAAUUUUCUGUUUUUCCCAUUUAAAAGGUGAGAUAAGCUUUACGUAAAGAGACAAAGCACUUUCUUCUAGUGGGCUAUUGGCCUUGAAAAAGACCACGAAGUUCAAAAAAGAAAUGAGGUGAAGAGGGAAAAGAGAUCCCACACGUCCUCUAAUAGAACAACCCAAUCCAUGUGUUUCAUGAAAACAAAAAGUUCGGCAAAAGUCAACUUUUGCUGCCAGUUUUGACUAAAGAUAAAAUUUUGAUUAUCAUUUUAGUAAAAUGAAGAGCAGAAGACUGGAAGAGGAUAUAGAAUGAACAAGGGCUAAUUGAAAAACUGUUCCAUCUUUUAUUUCAUGAAGCCCAUAUCUCCAAGAAAUGAACUAGAAAAUUUUACACAUUUGGUGGUGGCCAAAUCUUUGCAAAUAGUUCCUCAACUCGCCUUGCUUGAUCAACAUAACCAUCCAGACCGGCAGCCAGAAGAUCGACUGCUGCUGGUCCCAUUGCUGAUGCAACACUUAACUGGUCCCAUUUUGCAACCUGAACAUAAAGUUAAGAUCAAUUUGAAAGGGAUAAAGCGGGUUUGCAGAAAGCUGCACAUCCAAGAGUAUGCACUAGAGAGAAUGGACAUGUUUUCAUUGUAAUGAAUGCCAAAACUAUGAUAUCAGGCCAGUAGUCAUAUAAUUGUGAUGGUUUCAAUUUGGCACUCACUCUACUCAUUCAGAUUCCUAUGGUUGAGGCAGAUUUUCUUUUCCCAUUUUAAUUUUUUAAUGGAGUAAAUUUUCACAAAAUUCCCCAUGUUUUUGUUAUUUUAACAUGGAAUUUCAUGAUGUUUAAGAGGAGAUCAAGAGAAUGGAAACAGAAUAAACCUCUCCUUCACUGAAACUGUAGGCAGCAGCAGAUUGUGGUGAUAACCUCCGAACAAAAGAGUACUUUUCAUCAGGAGUAGUGAUAGACUCUUUGAGAGACUGCAAUACCUUCAAUGGUGCAAUGAUGUAGUCAACCCUGAAACAAAAAUGCUGGUGUCAAAUAUUGAUCUUCUGUUGAGGUGUUGAAAAGUCCUAGCUAAAUAUGAUUAAAAAUGUUCAAAGUUUGAGUCAUAUUACCCCAAAAGACUGAAGAGAUCCUGUUUGUUACGAACUGCUGCUGCCAUCAACUUUGAUUUGUGUCCAUAUUUGUGGAUGUAAUUGUAAGCUUUUGUCACCUACAAUGAGAACGAGUAGUUCAUUAAAAUAAGGACACCUUGGGAUUUCAAAUGUAGUGAUCAUAAUGAAGUCGACAAGAGUAAAAAAAAAAAAGCGGUAGAAAUCUAGGGUUAUACUUUAACCAUCAUAAUAACUGACAUUGAGAUACAAAGAUUCAGACCCAAUUCUUAAGGUGUAAACAGUUAAGGACAAGUGUCUCAGUUUGUAAGAGAACACUAUAGAGUCUGAAACACAUCCAGAUCACUCCUCAUGGGCCCUGCUUAAGCAAGAUCAACAUUGGGUAAUAAAACAAAUACAAAGGGUUGUGCAAACAUAAUUGAAAAGUCUAAUACUUAGAUACUUGAAAUUUAGUCCGAUGGUAUGCUUACUCCUCCGACUACCAAAUAUUGCAUCAUCAAGAGAUAAUAUGAGCUAUUCGAUCUCAAAAUACUAGAAUAACUAAACAAAAGGGAAAGGAAAAAAGUUCUCCUAUGGAUAUUUGGCUUCAAAUAACAACAAAUCUAGUUUAGAUUUAGCAAAAAAGAAAAAUUGCAAUCUACAUAAAAUAUUUCAACAAUGCACUUAUAGAGUUAUGGGUGUAGAAUGUUCAAUUAGGUUUUGAUUGAUCCAUUAAAUAGAAAAUGAGUGCAUUUAAAACCCACUAAAUGGUCUGUAAAUCUUCUAGUGACAUUGAGGUAGAGAUGAUAAGCAAUCCUAUUAAUUGACAAAGCCAGUUCGACUCCUACUUUAUCUGGGAUAGUAAGAAAGACAGAAAACAAGGUGAGAGAAAGGAGUUUCCCCUUGCCUCAAGUAUGUCUUGUAGCUUUGUCUUAUCUCUGUAUUUCAGCAACAUCAUCCAGUGUAUUUGGCAAGAGAACAUGAUAGUCACUGAACUCAUAAAUUCAAAUUAUUUUAUGUUUCAUACGCUGAAAACGAAAUAAUAAGAAUCUCUUAAUCUCAGCACAUAAUUCAUUCAAAAGCUGCACAACAAAGAUUAUUGGCAUGCAGCAAUACGUAGAGGCAGAACAAACAUAAACCCUGGAGAAUGAGCCUAGGGAUAAGGGUGGAAGAAGAAGAGAGCGGGGGGGGNNNNNNNNNNNNNNNNNNNNNNNNNNNNNNNNNNNNNNNNNNNNNNNNNNNNNNNNNNNNNNNGGGGGGGAGGGGAGGGAUGGGGAUGUUGUUACUUUUGUGCCUAGCAACAUGACUGUUUACAAAUUAUGAUCCCCAAGCAAGGAAGGAAUAAAUAUUAAAAAGUAAAUAUAUCCUGAACUCAAUGUCAUAGGGUAGCCGCUUAUAAAAGUAGCAACCAAACAAAGUAAGCACAUAAAGCCAGUUGGCCAAAAACAUCAUAUUGCAGCUCAAAGAAUCACAAAGGAAAGUGUCAUUCGACUAACCAAAGCCAAACCAGGGUCCUCUCCUCUUUUUAGAGCAGCUUCUAUCUCAGGGUCACCAGAAUGGUUGCGUGCCCAAUCCUGAAGAAUAAUAGGAGCACCUUAACAACCAUGGUACACUAAAGCUUUGCAAGAAGAGUAUGCAAUUACUUGGUAAAAGUUGGGAUGAUUACCCUGAGGCGUCCAACAAAAAUCUGAAUAACAGAAGCACCAGCUUGUGCUGCAGCUGCAGCUUGAGCAAAGCUGAGAGAUGUGCCAAAAAAUAAACAAUUGAGAUAUAAACCUUAAAAUGAAUGCUAAUGCUUCUUUAUGUGGAGAGGAUGAAAACAUACACAUAGGAAACAAGCUAGUAAAGUGCAAAAAGAUCUAUUAAACCAGAAGGAUCAGCACAUGUGAAUGGUAUCUUAAGUGGUUUUGUUGUCUGAAAAUUGUACAAAAGAAACCAAAAAAGAGUUGGAUUUUCAAGAUAGUACAAUAAUAUGUUUACAUUUAAAAUAGCCAUUUCAGCAAAUUAUUAAGAAUGUUAGCAUAUAAAUCUUAUAUAACAAAGAUUUCCCAAAAACGGCAAAAAUAAUCACAAUUGUCCCAAUCCUCAUGAGUACCUUAAAUACAUAGACUAACCCAAUAAAAAAAAUAAAUGUAUACACCCAUGCUAAUUAAAAUUGGCGACUUAUAAACCUUCACUCAUUCACCUUUCUUUUUGUUUCUGUUGGGUUUGAUUGAGAACAUAAUAAUUACCUGUAAACAAAAGUCAAAUGUGUUUGAAUACCCUCAGAUUCCAGCAAUCUCGAGGCCUCUAUUCCCUGAAUAAAAGAUGAACUGAAUAAGGUACGGAAAAGUAAAAGAAGUCAUCAAUUUUUCUGUUGGAUUUGUGUAGGGAAUUCCUAAGGUUACUAAUGUAGAUCUUUUCUUCACAGCGACUCACUUGCCAGGUUGAAGGAAUUUUGAACAACAAACGCUCUGGGGGAACAUUGAUUUCAUCAUACAACUUCAGCAAGGCAUGCACCUGCAUGUUUAGAUACACAACCAAACAUCAAAUAGCAUUCCAAACCUCAAUACUCAUCAAAUGUCAUAAUUGCACUAGGAGUCCAAAGUAACUAAGUUAUACACACAGCACACAUGCAAGAUACAAAGUCCUUGAACAAAAAUAAGUGCUGUCUCACUCUAACACUAAUAUAUACAAACUUGCAUUGGAUGAAUUUCAUAUGACGAUAGAUUUUAUCAUUGAAGUUCUAGGCAAGCAUACACUACAUAAGGUGUCAAGCAUCGGAUGCUCAUAAAUAGAGUGAAGCCAUACUACUUAAUUAUUAAGUUAAACUAACUUUUGGAAAUAUUUCUGACAUGAAAAACGCCAAAUUCCUCUUCUUUAACACUGUUUUUCAUCUCAAGUUUGACAAGAAAGUUAUAUGUCGCUUUUGUAUUAGUUGUUGCAUGAAUCUCGAACUAACACAUCAUUUCAUGUAAAUAUCUGCAGGAAACAAAGCGUAUUGCAUACUUUGUAAUUAUCGAUACUAUUGAAAUUCCAGUACCACACAUCUUAAUGACCAAAUGAAUAACUCUCGGUUGACAGUGGAUCCAUAAAGUCAAUUGAAUGUGGAAGGUUAAGUUAGAAACUUGUAAGGGUGCUAGUACAAAAAGGGUGAAAGAGAUCAUAGAUUUUUCUAAAAUCAUCCAAAAAUGCAAGACAAAUUAGAAAGUUUGCAUAUUGUCUAUAAGAGAAAGGAUCGAAGAGAUUAUAAUAUUAUAAUAACACAACAUGCAAAAUUAUUUUUAUGACCAUGAUUUGUCAAGAAAUCACUCAACUUAAAAGCUCAAGCUUGUAGGUGAUGGCCCACAAAAUAAUCUAUAUUUUUAACAAGCCUCCUCACGCAAUGCCCAUUGAGCAUAGGGAUGGGUAAUAAAGUGUGGAAUUCACUGGACCACUCAACCUAAAAGCUCAAGCUUGUAAAUGAGGGUCCAAAAAUAGUGUAUACUUCUAACACAGCAUUCACUUGUGUUUUCUUUUCCCCCUUUUUUUCUUUCUUUCUUUCUUACUUUCUUUCUUUCUUUCUUGUUCUUGAACUUGUAUUCACUUGUGUGUAAGUAUGGAGUAAUUCAACAAAAGAUAAACCCAUAAAGAUCCAUCAGUACCAGUACCUUGUGCAACUUCUUUAACAAAAUAAAAGGAAGACAUUUUUCAACCAUUGUCCUAAUGAACAAAUGACCAAUUGAAAAUGAAAAACAUACAAUUCGGAAGAAAGAAGGAACUUUGAAGAAUUAUUAAAAGUGACAACUGAAUACUCAUAAUUCUAUAAAAAAAUUACCUUCCUAAUAAUGCCAUGAGUGUCAUAAGCCAACCGAGCAUCCACUUCUGUUGAAACUCGGCCAGGUACUAAUUUCACCAAAUCACCUCCAACAUUCACCAAAGCCUACAUAAACAUUAGCCAUGCCAUCCAUUUAACAUUCAAGCUUAGAUUUUUAACAGGAAGAAAAUAUGGAGUCAAUGCAAAGUUAACAACUUAGCAUGAAUUUUAACAACAAUGAAGGUUCAGCAAAACCAACCUUGUUAGCAAAACAAGACAAUCUCGAUUCAGGAUUUUUCAGAGCAGCACAACCUGAAUCGGCCAAAGCCAUAUCCACUGCAUUCUACAAGAAAAUGAGAAAUUUCAAUCGUAAUUCUCAAAGCAAAGAAAAACAAUCUACUGCCAUAGCUUAUAUGAAUCAAAAUGGAGGGUCCAAAUUAAUUUUCUUCCUUUCCCACUCCCCCGAGAUAAAUAAUGUCGGUGCUUACCCUAAAUAUAGUAUCGGGGAGACUCAAUAUACCCAAAAGAAGCGAAGAGCUAACAGUAGCAGCAGUUGGAGGAAACCUGCGAUGCAAACAAUCAAACAAGAAAUCAUUAAUUAAGCAAUUAUAAAGAAGAUUGAAGCUUCAAUUUAAUAGUAAUUCAAAGGGAAGAAAAAAAAAAAAAAAAAGCGUACUUCUCGAAAUCAUCGAAUAUGACGGUGUCAGGAACGAUUUCACUAAAGCUAGACACAGCAUCCAAUUCAGUGCUCGCACCUAAAUGGAAAGGAAAAAAAAAAAAAAAAAAACAAAAAAUGAAUUCGAAGAAAAGAAGAUAAAAAGUGAACCUUAAGUCAAAGCGAAAAGGAAAGAGAAAAAAAUUCCAAGAUAGAGAAAGACCAGUAUCGAGAGAAGAAGAGAAGCCAGAAGAAGCACGAAUUUGUGGAAAAGACCGUUGUAACUUGAAGAAGAUUGCAUUUGAAGCUCCCGAUCCACCUAGCAGCCUCAAGUUCCCUCCAUUCUGUGACCAAUCAAAUAAGCUACAAUACAGAUAAAUAUAUACAAAUCUACAGAUAUAAAGCGAGAGAGAACCUGAAGAAAUGAUUUGGAGUAAAGAGCAGAAAAGGGCGGAGAUUGCAAGGAGAGUGACAUUUUGGUAACUGAAAUCAAAGUGCAAGAGUCAGGUUGUAGUUUUGAGCUAAAGAAAAAUGACACUGGAGAAAGUAGAGAUUUAUAUACAGAUGAUAUUACCAAGUGACAGGUGCAAGUUUACAUUUUCUUAUUAUAAUUUCUUUAGCUUUUGGAUAUUUCUUCUUCUUUUAUAUUUCAGGUAUUAAAUUUAUUGUUUGGAUAAUCCUUUUUUUUUUUUUCUCUCUCUCUAUCCCUAAAAUUAAAAAUUUGUAUCAUGUAGUGUCCACGUAGACGGGUUCCAUUGCAAAAUUGAUAAUCUUUACACUUAAAAUUUACCAGAAAAAUGCAGUUUAUUUUCAGAAAUUAAAUCCCGGAUAAGUAUUAAACAAUUGUUUUUCCACUCUUAUCUCUAUAAAUAAAAGUUUAUAUGCUCUAUCCGAAAAUCUUCAAGUAAAAUUCCUGAUCUUGCAAGGAAAGUUUACACACAAAGGAUAAAUUAAAAUAUUAAUUAAUUGAAGAAAAACUUUUAUGUGUUUUACUAAUUUUACUCAAAAAGAUAAAUUCAGUUUGUUCUAGACAAAAAAAAAAAAAAAAAAAAAAUCAGACGAAAUAAAAAAUAUAUUUCUAAAAAUUGGAAAAAAUAAAUGACGGAGAAGUCCAUGGCCAGGGAUUGAAAAUGAAAGGGUGAAAGUGAUUGGUUUUAAGCUUUGUGGACUCCGCCCCAGUGAGUCCUGUAUUCGGCUGAAUAUGCUAAAGGCCUCAACAAGGACGGCCACGUCCUUUUAAAUGGGCUCGGCCUCAGCGUUGAUCGAAGGCCCAACAUACUAAUUUGCUCGUUUCAUGCUCAAUGUCGUUCGAAUAGGCGUUUCCACAUUCCACUGGCGUAAAACGACUUCAAGAUUCCAGUCGUAUGUCAAAGUAUGACAACCUUUAAUUUGAUCGUUUUUGUCCAACAGUAAAUGCAUGAGCAUAAUUUCUAUCCGUGAAGUUUAAAUUUAUUUAGUAUUAUUAUUAUUCCUUGAUCUGCAAAUAGCAGAAUUGGUAACACAUACACACAUAUAAUGAAUUGCAUAAAACAGAGCUUUUAGCUCACAAAUCACAAUUCGACCAAAAAGUAUAAGAAAAUUUAAUUUUACAAUAUCUAUAUAUGUUAAUAAUGAAAUAAUCAAAACUUAAGAAAAUGGAUUUACAAGAAAGAUCACCAAACUUUAACCUUCAAACAAUGCAGCUCCUCAACUGCUUUGGAAGUUUAUUAUCAUCUGUAAAAUUUUUAAAAAUCAAAUGCCUAGUGCUAUCUGGACCUUCUUCAUUAUAUGCUCCAUCUGUUAUUCAUGGAGCGUCCCCCUUCUUGUAGCUUUUUCCAUCUCACCAGCGAAUUCAGAAAUUUCAUUACCUGAACAACAUUAUCAAAAUCAGAAUAAGCAAUUGAAUAUAAUAAGCAUCACAGCAAUAGUGCAGAUGUAGAGUUAGCACCUCUGUUGGAUCCCUCAGGGAAUAAAAAGCGUUGGUUUCUUUCGGUGUAGAAGAUACCAGAAUGCCAUAACCUUUAUUACCUUCGCGCAAUACCUGAUGUUUAACAUUCAAGUAUGUUAUUACACAGAAACAAAAUUUUUCCAGAGAACUUUUUUUUAAGUACUUAAAAUUCAAUUACCUUGAAUGCAUCUUCAUCGGUCCGGUCAUCACCAAUAUAAAUUGGGAGCACAUCAUCAUGGUUAUUGAGGCCUGCUUUGCCAUUUUAUAGAUCUCAGUUAUUAUGACUUUUUUCAAAAAGUAAUUACCAAAUCUGGUACUGUUAUGAUCACCAAGAAGCAGAAGAUCACAUACCAAGGGAUUCUAGCAGAAAUUCAACAGCUUUCCCUUUGUUCCAGUCAAUUACGGGACGAACCUCUAAAACCUAAUGAGAAGAGGAGGAAAAAUGAGUCCAAUCAUUUAGUCAAUGAAGAGUUGACAGGGAAAGAUAAAAUUACAUGAAUCAUACUAUACAAACAAGAAAAGUUACCUUCCGCCCAUGAGUUAAUUUUAGACGAGGAUACUGUUUUAGAAUAUCAUGCACAAUUUGUGCAAUAGCAGGCCAGUUCUGGAAUCAAUAUAAAUAGAACACAAUUUAAAACCACGGGCAAAUUGGAAGUGCAGGAAGAGAAGUGAAUUCGAAAACAGAAAAAUAAAUACAUACAUAUAUUAUGAAUACUUUGCAUAGCUUACCUUCUCUUCUACAUUACGGUAAUGUACAGAAGCACAAAACUUGUGAUGCUCAACUUUUGCACCUUUGAUUUCUUUAGUAUUCUCAACAAGGGUUCUAAAAACCUGCAUCCCAAUUAAAAAACAAUUACUUUAUACUCUGAUAAAUUGAUAACUAUACAUGUAUCGAUAAACUGAUAACUAGGAAAAAGGAAAAUUAUAGACCUCGUCGAUCAUACGUAUAAAUUCUAUAGCAGGCUGGAACAGAUUUACCUCCUCGCCCUACAAAUCAAAAUGCCCAACAGAUCUUUAAGCAUAAAAAAAAAAAAAAAAAAUCAUCAGAAUGAAAAUCUGCAAAAGCCAAUGUUUAUGAUCUCUGUGAGACUGAAUACAUCUGGGGAGUGAUACAAGGUCUAAUCAUAUCUCAAACCUGUUGGUCAGUUGAUUGAAUACAAUUUGGAUGGUCAUUGGACACUGCCUUAUUAAUAGGGCCCACUAUAUCCAUCCCAUGACUACCAGCAUAAUAGAGCUCUGUUAGUCCUACUAAUUCAUACACCUGGGGAAAAAAAAUACAGUAAAUAAACAUCUACAAGAAAAACCAUGUGCAUGUUUACGAAAUCAUUAGCUGCUACACAAUAUGCAAAUCUUAAAAAUUGAAAUGACCAGAUCUCCACCUACUUUAUCACGACUCCUUCCACUAAUAAUUGCUGUUGGGAAAUACUUUGCAACAUUUCUUACAGCAGAACGCAUCUGAAAACAAAGAAAUUUGAUAACAAGGCUGUACGGAAGAAAAUGGGAAAAAAUUUUAUCAAAUAUCCAAAAACUUUUUGGUAAUAAAUUCUUACAUCACUAGACAUAAGGGCCUGAUCCGGAUCAUCGACUAUUGGAGAGAGAGUCCCAUCAUAAUCUAGAAAUAUUGCUAUCUUCUUCUUCUUUGCAAAAUUUGUAAUUUGCUCAAAAGAGUUGAGUGCUGAUGGAUACUUAAGCUGACAGUCAGAAACAAAAUUGUGAACAAAAAUAUUAAAAAACAGAAACAAUAACUUAAUCUGCUCAAUAAAGCCAAGCAAAUAUACCAUCCAUGAGUAGUCGGCAAUGUCAGUCUCAUCUGAAGCAAGUUCAAUACUGAAAUCCUUAAUGUGCUUCUUACGAGGGGGUGAAGAGGAUUUCAUGGCAUCAAGCCAUCCAUUGGAGCGAACAUCAUCAAGCUUUCCUGGCUUUUUCCUGGGAAUAUUUAUAUGCUUGCCAGAGGAAAAAGAUGCUCCAGAUUGUGGAUAAGCCAACAGAUUAGAAUGGAUGCAAAGUCUUGACUUGUUUAUCGGUGCAGGAUCAGUAAGUACUGGAGAUGAACUACUAGACUUCAUGUCCAUUGGAUUCAAAUGACUUGUAACAGUCCUUCUCAAAUGUAAAAUUAAGUGUUCACUCUGCCUAAAACACAGAUAUAUUAACCUUAUACAGAGUUUCUUUUUUUUUUUUUUUUUACCCAACCCUUUUAUCAAUAAAAAACCACCUCUUCAAUGUUUUCUUAUCACUACUGCUAGGAAAGCAGUCCAUUAAGCAUAGACUUCCUGAAAGCUGUUUAAGAAAGGAAAAUAAUUAAUUUCAUGUCAAAAGUUGCUUCAGACUAUGAAUAUAACACAGUGUCAAGUAUAUUUACCUUCUCAUCCCCAAAACUACACUGCAUUUAUAGCAGGUGGCCAAACAUUAUUUGCACAGUGAAUUUUCUAUAGCUCCAACAAAACGCACCAAGUACCUGCUCAGAAUAUAAUAAAAAAGAGCCAGUUAACUGAAAAUUGCCUUGGAAAUAAGUAAGUCUGCAGUUUCACAACUGUGACUUGUAUCUUCCAAAAACAAACUAAUAAACAAAAGGGAUCCAUAAACAGUAGUUCAACUAAUUCACAUGGUCUAAAAUACAACAAAGAAAAUAAAUUUUACUAAAGGGUAAGAAAUUAGUUCCUGGACAUGAAAAUAACCAGAUAAGCUACUAAUCAUGUACUGGUAUUCAGAAAAUAAAAUAAAACUUCUUUCUAUUCAAAGGUCAUGUGAAAAUGACAAAGUUUGAUAAUCAUCAUUGUCCAAGUUAAGGAACAGAUUUGUCUGAAUCAGCAUCUAAUUAAGUCAUAUGUCUUGACGCUGACACUAUACUAAACUAAUGAAUACAGCUAACAUAAUUAAAGUUUUCAAAAUUGAAAACAUUUUAAAUACAAUAGGGAAAAGGUCAAAUAUGCUUAAACCUCACAAAAGAUAGCAAUAACAAAAAGGAAAGGUGUGAUCAAAAAAUUUUUGCUUUAAGAUAUUUAAUUAAAAAUAAUAAUACUUAAUGAAAGUUUCUAAGGUAAGAUUUCUUAUGCUUCCAAUGCAAUCCAAAAGAGACAACUAUUCUUACAUAUUUGUCAGCUUAUAAUAGUUUAAAUGGAAAACAAAACCAACCUCGUUUCGAUCCCAUAUAUCACAAUAAAAACUUAUCGAAUUAAAAACUUCAAAAUCGAAAAAAGAAAAAAGAAAAAAAAAACAGACACUUCUGAUAAAAGUUUCUGCUGUAAGAUUUCUUUUGCCCCUGACGAAAUUAGAAAGAGAGAACUAUUGAUCUUAAAUAUUCCACAUCCUCUAACAGUCUAAAUGGAAAGCAAAACCACCAUGACCUUUCAGUCCUUGUUUAGAAUUCCAUAUUAUGCAACAGAAAGCAAAAUAUGCCAAAAAAUAAAAACCAAGCCAAUAAUACAAGCCAUAUAAAUUUGUGGAAAUUAUGUUCAUAUUUUACAAAAGAGAGACAGCAAUCGCAAAUUCUAAAUCAGUCAUCCACCUACUGUGUUCCUUUUGCGGCAAAUAAGGCCAAAUGAAAUUAUGCAAUAGCACAAACAAAAUUAGGCAUCUAUAUCAACUCCCAUAAUGAAAGAAUUGACCAAGAUUAGGCAUCUAUACAUCUAUCUCCAAGAAAAUCCAUGUUUCAAUAUCUGUGGACAACUGGACAUGGGAGUGACAUUUCAAGAAGUGGGCCAAAGUCAAUUAAGACUUAACAGGUUGUUGAGAAAAAGUUAAAUUUUUUAUGUAAAGGUAAUUAAUGAAUAAUUAAGAUUGCAUCAAAAGGCAAUAGUACAGUACAACAAAACAAACUACAUUCUCCAAAAGCUCUAGAAGAUGACAAUAAACAUUAUACAGAAAAUAAUACAAUAAGGAUUAAAUCCAAAUAAUUCUACACUAAUUUAGCUCGUGUAUGAUUGAAUUUUCUCCAAGUACACUCAAAGACAAGCUGUGCUAUUUCUUCGUCUAGAUGCAUCCACCUAUAGGAGAAGAUAUUGAUGACAAAUAUUUAAUAAUUCUGGGACUUCACAAUUUGCAUAGCAGCAGCAAUGGACAUAAUACAUGACUUCAUAAUAUAUAUAUAUACACACACACACACACACACACACCAGCAUAUGCAUGUAUGUAUUUAUGUAUUUGUCAUUAUAUGAUGGUGGGUCUGCGUGGGCCCUUGGCAAGGUCAUAUCACUUGUAGAUCUAAUAAUGCAUCCCUUUCAUAGUUCCAUAAAAUCUUCAUCAACAACAACAAUUAAGAAUUGAUGGAAAAUAAACAUUUUUUUCAUACAAUGACAGGACACUGCAACUACCAAAACGACCGUAGACUUUGAUCCCACAAGGAAAAAGAACUUGGAACAUAUGAAACCAUUCUGGAAACUUAAUUAGAAUGUCAAUAAAUUAGCUUUUACUUGUAUUUCGAAUCAAUAUCAAUGAAAUUUCUUGACAUGAUGAGACCAUUAUUAAAAUAAUUUCCCAGGAAAACAACAUUGUAACUAGUUAUUUAAAAAAGGGCACCUAAACAUCAAAUUAUAGAGUUUUCCUAUUAAAGAGUCAUCGAGUCACAUCAAAAGAAAGCGAUCAAGACACGUUUCAGAAUCUCAUCAGAAUUAGCUGGUUAAGAAGAACCGACAAAAAAAAAAAAAAUUCAUAUAGUACGAUAAACAAAACAUAAAAAUAGGUUAUCAAAGUCAUCUUCCAAUAUUAAAUAAAUAGAUUUACACACAAGGAGAGAUCUUAUAUCAUAUAUAUACUUUUAUAAAAUGUUAAAAUGAAGUCACAGAAUUAUUCCAUCAAAAACCAUAGGCUUUCAAAAGUCAGACAACCUAAAAACUCCCGAAUGGCCAAGAAAUACCUCAAAAUAACAGAAACACUGGGUACCUCAAAAUCCUGGCAAUAUAGCCAUACAUUCAAACUUCAAAGUGCUCCAUUUUUAAAUUAACAAAAAGGCUUCAAAUUUGAAGCUGGAAAACAAAAAAAAAAAAAAAAAAAAAAAGUUUUUAUCUUUAUGGACCAAAAAGAAAAGGGUUCACCUUUGAUUCAUGGGUUUUGCAUGUUGAAACAGAAAGAGCUAGAGGCCAAUAUGGAUCUUACAAAAGCGUUUACCUUUAUUUAAGUUGUUAAUAAUGAAUAUAACAGCAUUGCACAUGAAACAUGAAAAAUUCAAAUUCUAAAAGGAGAGAAAAUAUACAUGUACAUACCUAAUCCCAGAACGUGAGUCCGUGUCUUCAAUUAUGAUUUUCCUAUCAAUCAAACAAUAACUGAUGUCUAAAAACGCAGUUCUCAGAUCAAAAAGACAAAAACCCUGAAAGAUCCAAAUAGAAAAAUAAGAAGUGCAAACCGAAAUAGAAGGGACAAAACCCUAGGAAAGAAAGGGAGAGGAAAAGAAGGAGAAACGCAAAAAUAGGAAAAAAGAGAGAAAGGAAAGGAAAGGAAAAGGGAAGAACAAAGGAAGGAAUUGAAAGCAAAAAGAAAGGGUAUUUAUAGAGUUUGAUAGCCCAUAGAAAGACUUGCUUAACAAGGUAACCACCCCCUUCUCUACUACCUGGUUGUGGUUGUUGAAUCAGGAAACAGCCUUCCAAUUUUCACCAGAUUUUUUUAUUCUACUUUCAUUUUUAAUAAUAAAACUAAAAUAACACCUCAUUUUGGAGUAAUUUAAUAAUUGACCCUCUCUAUAUAUUUUCUAUGCUAUAUUAGGAAUUUUUCAGAAAGUAAAAAAUUGAUUAAAUUAUUAUUAUUAUUAUUAUGCAAAAAAUAGAUUAUUUAGUGAUUAUAUAUAUUCUCUCUUCGAUGACUUUAAUAGAAUAAUUCAUACUCAGUGCCUAUAUAUAUUUACACGGCACUAAAAUCAGAUUAAGAAAAUUUGAAAUUAUAAUCGGAUUAAAAUUUAAAGGGAUUGAUUCUGAUUUAAUUAGUAUCUCCUUCGGUGGUAUUCUUUAAAUGGAUUCAAAAAUUUACUAAAUUCGGAAUCAGUACCGAAACUUUGGAAAUCCUUUUCAAUCUGGAUUCAUUGAAUUGAAACGGUUGGUCAAUCAAUAGGUUAGUUAUAUCUAUAUAUAAUCACCUCUUAAAUAUGUUUGACAUCAAAAGAAAUUUAGUAACAAGAUGAAAACAAACUUACCGUUUCUCUAAAUUUUAUUUUUAUGUACCAUCCUCAUAAUAUUAAAAAAAAAAAAAAGUACCAUCGAGGAUGGUGCGAAAGUUUGUCCAAUUUUAGUAAUUUUUAAUUAUUAUAAUGAUUGUAACUGAUAUUAUAUGUAUUUUGUUCUAUAUUGAGAGAUUUUAUUUGUAUUUCGUUGUUUGAUAAAAUAAAAUUAUUAAUUAUUAGUUAUUUUCUAAUUAUCAGUAGGGUUUUAAUCGUAUUCUAAAUGCUACUUUAAAAGUACUCGUCGGACAAGAAAAAAAAAAUAAAUCUUUCGUAAUGCACUCGCUUAAAUUAUAAACAUUAUAUAAAUAAUAAUACUGUAGAAAACUAUAACUAAUAAAUUUCUUUUACUAAACAUUAUACGAAAUCGAUGUGGAAAAAUAAAUUUUUUUUAAAAAAAAGUUCAUUAAAAUAGUAAAAAGGACGAAAAAGCAAUUAAAUGAAUAGAUUAUUGGUCCGGUCCCAGGUGAAUAAAUACAAAGAAGCUAACACGUGUAAAUGGUACCUAUACAAGUAUUAAAAUGGUGCCAUCUGUGAUGGGAAAGGCGUGAUGUGGCCACAUGUCAGUUUGGGCCCCACCCAGCGCAGGCAGAUUUUGCGCUUGUGUCGCUUUCACGCACCGUUGGCAUUUUGAUUAAAAAGCAAAAAAAAUAUAAUAAUAAUAAUAUAUCUCCUUUCGUUUGUUUCCUUUUCUCUAUUUAUUUCUUUUUAUUUUGCUAUGCUCUUUGUGUUUAUUUAAUAUUUGUUUUCAGCGACAUGAGAAAAAUAGGAUAAGAAAAUAUAUACCAAUGACAAAAAUACGGUGCUACCUUUUUUAAUUUUUUGCCCUUUUUGGUAUAUGGUCAUUUCUUCUCUCUUAAGAUUUUGGGGCUGCUUGUAAUUUUAUCUUUUACCACCAAAAUAAUUUUCUGCCCAUUUUCUACCAAUCAAAUUAUUGAUUUAUAGACAUUAGUAGAAGUUAAAAGAUAUAAAUGAAUUAUAUAAGAAUUUAGAAUCCUUGAAAUCAAUUUUGUGAGAAUGUGCGAUAUGAGUUUAAUUUAGUUUGAUCAAAUCAAUAUUAAAAAGAUUAGUAUUAAUAAAUAGUUAGAUGUCACUUUUAUAUGCGUUUCGUGAAUUUAAUAUUUAAUUAAAAAAUAAGACAAUUCUAUAGUCUCUUUAUGUAUAUAAAGUCACCGCGACAGUAUAGAAUUAAUUAAGUAAUUAAUUACUCCUCGUAAACAAAUUCAACUCCCUCCUAGAGGCUAGAAGCAGUAUUGCUUUUUAACGGCUCACGUCGCACAAAUCUCGUGGCAUCACGUGACACAGUUAACUGUCAACUGUUAAUUGUGUGAUAUUCCAAUGAAAAUUAGAGAGAAGGGUAAAAUGGGAAAAUAAGAUAUUUAGGGCCCAUAAACAAUUCGAUUGACUUUUUUUUUUUUCGUGAUCGCGGAAAGAGUCUUCUACUCCCUCCCCACCUUUGAAUUUGUCAGAUCUUUACCUUUUUUUAUUUUAUUUAAAAAAUUAAAAUGAUACUGAUUAUUUUAUUUCAAUUUUACAGCUAUUUAUAUUUAUUUUUUUAUUUUAUUUCAACUAAAUGAACAUUAAUUAAGAAUUAAAUUCGUUAAUUAUUUUUAUUUUUUUUAAAACUAAGAUAAUUAAUUAAUUUUUAAUUUUUGUGAAAAGUCAAAAAUUGUCAAAUUUAACAAUCUUCCGCAAUUUUAUGCGAUAUAACCAUAAUAUUAGUCUUUCUUUUUGUUAUCCCCGGUCUUAAAUUAAUAAACGUUUCAGUUUGAAGGAGGCAACAUAGGAGACAAAAGUAGCAGUUUUUUUUUUUUUUUUUUUUUAAAGGAGCAAGUAAAUAUUAGUUGUGAUUUAUCAAUCUUACAAAUAACUAUUUCCUCUAUUUCAAAAUAAAUGUCGUUCAUUUAUCUUUUUUUUUUUUUAAAUAAGUGUUAGUUUUAUAAUUUUAACACUAUUUAAUAUAAUUAUCAUUCAAUUACUCUCUUAAUUAAUUGCAUUAUUUAAUAAUUCAUGUGCAGAGCUAAAAAAAUGACACCAGUUUUGAAACGGAGAGAGUAUAAAAAAAAAAAUAGUUAUUACUAAUUAGUCCAUAUGUAUAUAUAGUCAUGACUCAUAACCACAAAAUUUGAAACCAAAAUAAUUAAAAAUAUAUAUAUAGAGGUUGGUAAAAAGGAAAGCCUCCAUCUCAAAUAUUUGUCUCUCUUUGUUUAACUAUGCUAAAAAGAGCCAAUAUUUCAUGGCACAUGGUAGUGUGUUUUCAAAUAAUGGGUGAUCUUAGCAAUAAUGUCACCUAAGAAAAAAAUAUUAAAUGUUUAAUGUCUGGACUCUUCUUUACAAUGAAUUAACACUAUUAGGGCAUAAAUAUGAAAAUAAAGACAAUGACUUACCUAAUACAUGGCUCAUUUAGAAAUAAAUAAAUAUUUUCUCCAUCCUAAAUUUAUACUUGUUAUAUUCACGUGUAUAGGUCAAUUUAUAUUUGUGUAGAGAGAGAAUAGUCCAUAAGUAUAUUAAAUGAAAUAAUAUUUUAUUUAUUUUCUACUCGGGCUCAUAUGUUUUACAUCACUUCAAUUUGAAAAGGAAACAAUGGAGGAAAAGUGAAAACCUUUAACAUAUAAGACAUUACAUUACAUUUUUAACAACAAAAAGUCAUCUGUGCAUUUAAAAUAGUAAUUUCCAUGUUUUAAAUUAAGCUCUAAAACCAUCCAUCAUUUUUUGUUUGUGUCACCUCUUAUGACAAUAUAAUUAUAUCUUAUCAAAACCUAUAAUCAUUAAGAUUGAUAUAAUUAUCAAUUAAAAUGAAAUUCACGUGAAAUUCACAUGAAAUGCACGUAAAAAUCAACAUAAUGCACCAAUUAAUGAACUUAUUAAUUUAUGUAAUGACCAUCUCUUUUUUUGCCCUUUUAUUUUUUAAUUAAUGUCUAAUUUUGUAUCUUCUCUCUUCUCAUAUGACAAGCUCAUGCAUGUGGAUGUGGACAGCUCUCCCACUAGACAAAUCUCACCUAAUAUAUUUUUCUCUUUUCUCCAAUUUUUCAAGUAAAAAAUCUUGACUAAUGAUUAAUUAAAGACUCUGACUAUAAACGUGGAUGAUUAAUUAUAAUUUAAAUCUUAAUUAAAGAUUUCCAUCCAUUUGUUUAGAAGAACCACAAGAAACACAACAAUUUGAACAACUAGACUUAAUUAGCAAACAAAUUACAAAAAGAAAUUAAUGGUUUGAAAAAUUAGAUAUAUCCAUAUAGUUCUAGAUUUAUUUUUCUUUGUCAAAUUUUUUUUUUUUUCGAAAUUAUAGGGUUGACUACUAAUAUGUAUCUGAGAGAUUUUUAAUUAAGGAGACUUUUCAAAUUCAAACCUACUAGAAUUUGAUUCUAAAACCCCGUAGAAUUUGGAAAUUGAAACAAUUUUAAAAUUUAUUUAUUUUUAGUCUUUGGUGUUGAAUUUCUAAUUCAGAAUUAUAUAUUGAUUAUUGAGUUAGAAUAUUAUUGACAGAGAAAACCAUUUAAAUAUUAUUGUUAAAUUUGUAUGCAUUAGUAUUUUUUUUUUAUGAAAAAGUUAUUCAAAAAAUGGGCAAUUUGUAACUUUCAUUAAUUAAGCAAUAAUUUUUUUACGAAUUUAAUUAAUAAAAUAUAAUUGGAAAAACCUUUACUUUUAGGCUAGUUUAAAGGUAUACCAAACAAAUAAAAUAUUUUUUUAUUUUUACUUUUCAGAAAAAUAAUUAAGUAAGUCAUUUUCAAGAGUGACACUGUGAAAUAGAAAUAGUAGGUAAAGGUCGGCAUUAAUUUCAAAAACCCACCAAUAUCGACCAAACAGUCAGGUUAUACCAAACAAAUCCUGGCUACCUACACCAGAACACGUUCUUUUUUUAAAGUCUGGCAAUUGCCUUGCCUUCAAUAUGUUACAUGUAUAUAUAUAUAUAGAUGGGACUUUUUUUUUUUAUGUGCCAAAUAUAUAUAUUCAUUUUCACGAUUUAAGUUCAAUUUAAUUUCAAAGUCACUAUAUGAGGCAGUAAAUUAAUAAAAAGAAGAGAAAUAAAUUCUAUUCCAUUAUUUAACUAAAUUAGAUUAAUUAGACCCUAAAUAAACUCAUUUAUACAAUCUUUUCUGACCUGCAACCUUGUACUAUCAAUUUUUAGUUUUCUUUUCGAUCUUUGUCAUGGAUAUUCUGAUCAUAGAAGUCUUAGAAGAUAUUUUUACUUGCACGGCAUAAAUUGGACUAUACAAUUUUUUUUACUUAUAUUACUAAAAUAUAUUAAUCUUAUUUUUUUUUUCCUUUGAAAAAUUUAACAAAUUGAACUUUUGUGAUUGAAAGAACUCGAACUUAAAACCUUACGAUUCUGUAUAAAUAGGAAAAUCAAUCAGACUAUACAUAAUUGGUAGAAAUUAAUGUCAUUUAUUGAUGCUCAAUUAUAUCCAAAAAUAUGUCUAAAAAUUUAAUUUUGACAACUAAUUAAACAUAGAAAAAAGAUUCUAAAGAAAAGAAUAAGAUAUUUACCACAUUAUUAUAUGUUUAUUUCCAUGCAAUAUCCAAAUAUAAAACAUUUUUUUAAUUUUUUAAUCGUAUAUAAAAUGAAAUAUAUAUGGUUGACAUGCAGCUUUUUUUUUUUUUUUUUUUUGACGCUGUAGAGAAUUUAUUAGUGCUAAGUUGUAUCAAAUUAUAAAUAUCAUAAUUAAAAAACAUUUUGACUGUUCUCAAACAAACAAAAAAUUAAUUUUGACUGAGUGGGGUAAGUACGGGCGUUGCAGAGCCACCUCGGAUACACGAGGUGAAAACUUGUCUAAAAGGUAAAAGACAGAAUAUUAUGGACCCCACAUAACCAGCUUUUGGUCCAAUCAUUGAUGAAGACUAACAAAAACUGAAGAGUUUCCCAAAUACGGGACCCUUCUCCUCCUCCUCUGCCUCUCUUCUUCAAUCAAUAUACUACCUUGGGAAUGGGACCCACAUUGGCACAGCUUACGAGAAACUUUUCCUAUGACGUGGCAGUUAAGUAACGAGGUAAUAACCCAUGACUCGGUGCUGACUCGGACUUGUUCGUUUGCAAUUUGUUAAGUACUAUUUCUUUUGGCUUUGAGUGAAGGAAAGGUCGUUUUGAGAAGAAAGUAGACGAUGAAGGACGUGCGUGUGAGAGCUAUUUGUUUGCUUUUAGAGGUAUCCUUUGAUUUGAAGGGUAUCCCUUCCUAAUGUCUAUACUACUGUGGAUUGUAGACUGGAUCUUUCUGCAUAAUUGGGGUGUCCUCCUGCCUAAGUCAAGGUUUAGAAGAAUUCAAGACACCGACAGUUCUAUUUUUCCAAUUUUGGCUUCUCCGUAAAAUGGGAUUUAGUGUAAAGAGUAGCUACAAUGAUCGUCAAGCUUGAAUUUAACCGACUAUUUCUAUACUAUAUAAUAUAUAAAAUAAAAAUCUCUCUAUUAAGUAAAAUUGAACGCUCGAUCGUUUAUUUAAAAAUCCAAGUUAUUUCUACACGUAUGAAUCCCGUUACAACUGGUAAACUAUUUUUAGAGUAGCAUUUUACGUAUAAAACCAUACCAAAUUUAGAGGAUAAUUUGAUCUAGAGGGCUUGAAAUUCUCAACAGUAAAACAAGAAAUGUUUUGAAAAUCAGGGGGUGCACGUUCAAAUUUUUUGACAGAUUCAAUGCAUUUAGAAUUGUAAUACAAGAAGAAAAGGACUAGUUUAUUUUAUUUUUGAAAUUUCCGUUCCAAUCAAACGUUAAAAAGCGGUCAUUUGAAGCCAUAGAAUUGGUGAGCAAAAGACUGUCGUGAAGUGUAUGGCAUGGCACCAAGGGACAUGAUUGAUGGCAAUUUAACGUUUUAUGCUUGUAGUUCCAUGCAAGGAAAAUUUCACAAAUUAGUACUACUAAUUACAACGUUUCAUAGGCUUGGCGGUGCCCGACAAUAUAUUUUAAUUAAGCUUUUUUAAUUGACAAUCUCAGUCUCUCACCCUCUCCUUCGUUCCUUAUUCGGAGCUUUUUUUUAUAUUUUGCUUCACUCAACCUCCCUCGAUCAAUAUUUUGUUCGGUAGUGUUUUUUUUUUCUUUUUAAUAAUUUCAUGAUCUAUAUUUAUUUGAAAUAUGUUUUUUUUUUAUUUAGUCUUUUCAAAUUUGUUUUUAUUAACGUGUCUUGAAUGUUUUUGCUCUCAAGAGGUUCAGUGUUUUUGCUAUUCUUAUACUGCAAUUUUUUUAUUUUGUUUUUUCUCUUUCUAUAUAGUUGUUUCCUCAUUAUUUUGUUUGUAUUUUUUUUUUUUCUUUAGUAGUCCAAAACGCAAGAUGGAUUGUUGAAUUUUUCUUUUUAAAAAAUACAUAUCUUCAAGUUAAGUUAAUGACUUAAUACGAAUAGAGUCUGAUUGCACGACUCGAUCCUCCAUUAAACGUUUCGUAUUUUUUGUUUUUCCCUAACAUUGCAAGUUAAGAUUAAUAAAUUUUAGCUUUGUUUUUAAUAUAUUUUAUUCUUAAUUAAUGUAAGUUAAUUCUUUCUACUUAAUUAAAUUGAAUCCCUAUAAAUAUAAAAACAUAAAAAUUCCCAAUAUUUUAGAAUAAAAUAGUAUAUUCAGGAGAACAUUUUCGGCAAAUGUAUGUAACUUUUUUCCUUAUUGUUUUAAAUAUAAUUGUAUUGUUAUUAAGUAUGUAUAAAAAAUUUAUGCACAAAUAAAUUUUUUUUUUUUUUUUUUUGAAAUCCACAAUAAUUCGAAUGUAUCUUUGCGUUCCAUGUUUAUUUGAUUUAUAAAUUUUUAAAACUUAGCAAAAUUAUAUUUUACCAAGACUUCUUUUUAUUAAAAAAUGAAAUCAAAAUAUUACUGAGUGUUUUUCAUUUCACGGUGAUCAAUUUUUAAAAUAAUUAUACUUUUAUGUAUUAACAAUUAUAGUUUUGAUAAUUAAUAUACACAUAAAAAUUUAAUUUGAUUUUUAAUUAAAUUUAUUAAAGUAAUAUUAAUAUUUAUCUAUACACACGUGCAACGUAGGAGGUAAAAAGGCUGGAAAGUUCAAAGCAAGCAAUCAAAUCAAAAGGUAUUGUUUCCUAACUGGGCUGGUCUUAUUAAAAUGAUAUGACAAUUCACUAAUUGUAACGAUUGAGAAAAUCCUUUAUGUGAUUAUUGCUAAAUUAUAUUUCACGAAAACAAACCAAUUAGGUGAAAUGAUAUUACAUUUUUUUUGAACUGCCAGCCGAACCAAUAGGUUGCCAAUACGUAAGAGAUAAUUACAUUAUGCAUAAUUGCAAAGUGUAUCAUAUAUAUUAUUUUAAACAUAGGAAAUAACAUUCAACUUUUAACGACGGAUAAAAUUCAAAUACGAAAUUUCUCAUUUUCAAUCUCCAUUCCUUAUUUUUUUAUAAGAUUUGAGAAAACUAAUCAAAUCACAUCUGAUUAAUAUAUCAUUAUAUAUAUAAAACGUGAAAUAUAUUAAUUUCAAAUUAAUUCAAAUGAGAUGCAAUAUUAUUAUUAUUAUUACAACAUAACUCAUAUAUAUUAUUACUGUUGUAGACUAAAAGUCAUGAAGGCUGUGAAUAGCAAUUAAACCCUUAAACAAAUUCAUCAUAUCCAUGCAUAGACAUUCACAUAAUCACAUUUUUCGUACAUUUAUAAAUUUGUGUUGAAUAUUUAAAAUAUAUAUCUUAUUAUUUUUUUUAUUUCAUUAAAUUAAAAGAACCUCUCGGAUAUCUUAGAAAUAUUUAUUCAACACUUUUAAAAAUUUUAUAAAGUUUUUGUAAUAACUUCACAACAACGGUCGUAUACAUAUAUCAUAUCAAAUUAAUUACUAGGGAUUCCCCAAAGGGUUGCCUAAUGGAAACUACGCAGACAAACCUCUAGUUGUCCUGUAUUUGAUUCAUGAAAAUGUGGAAACAGUUAAUUAACUCUUGUUUAGACUUAAGCCCGCCAAUGCACAUUAAUCAUAACCCUGAUAUUUCAUUAAAUUUAUGUAAAUUACAAUAAAUUAUUGAAUAUUGACUAUAUUAUUCUUAAUUUAAUACUUCUAUGGGUAAUGGAAUGCGUGAUAUAAAAAUGAAUUUGAUCAUAUAUCAGAGACGCCUUUUGGUGGAAAUGACUUGGAGAGUUGGAAGAACUUCAGAGUUAAGCGUGUUCGCUUAACGGAAAUUCUAUGAUGGAUUUUACCAAUUCAAUAUGAGAUGAAAUUGACUUAAUCCAAAGCGGACAAUUCCUCUGGUGGUUGGAGUUGAGCGUGAUAUAAACACCAAAUAAUUAUUGGUCAUAUAUAAGGGUAAACAUUAAAAAAAAUUUUAUUACUCGUUGAAGCUACAAAUGUGACAAAUUAUUUUUCUUAAAUAUGACAAGUAUUAAAGAACAGAUGUAUUAAUGAAUGAUUGGAAGACUCUUUUAAGUCAUGACAAAACACAUUUUAAUCAAAUUAGUUUGAUGAACCUCUUGUGUUCGGUAGUGUAGUUUAGUUGUUUUUUUUUUUAAUCAAGUAACAAAAUGUUAAUGAUUAUCAAAUAAAAAAAAAGAUUUAAAAACUCUAAACAUGUUCUUAGCUUUGAUUAAUUAAUUGUUUAGGAUUGGGGAAGAGGAAGAAAAUUAAUAUUGGGAGUAAUUAAUUAAGUCUACAUUGACUUAUGAGUUUCAAUAUUGAGGGUGUUCAACUACUAAUUAUUAUCAUUACAUGAGGUAAUCAAUUAUAACCACCACAUUCAAGCAUAUCAUAUAAAUGUAUAAUCGAAAACACUAAUUAUUUACAGUAAAAAACAUGACCCAGAAUCCAAUUAUGCAAACCAGGAGGACGGUGAUGAAGAAUAUGAAUGCUCUCAAUGCUCGCAAGAUUAAUAUAAUGUAAAUACAAAAAAAUAAUCCGUAAGAUUAAUAAUAUUUAUAUAUUUUUCAAAUCGCAAAUUUAAUAAAUAUCCUAAUGAAAAUAAUUUCAAUGUCAAUAUGGAAAAUUCACCAGUAAAAUUUCAAUAUUAAAUUAAUACAUUGCAGGUUUGUGAAAGGAAUUCCAUUUAAUAGUUAUAAAAUUGCAGACAUUAUUAAUAACAGAAACACAUGAGAAGGGUGACAGGAAGAAGAUCAUCAAUAAGCAUGCAAGUCACUAUAUAUAUAUAUAUAUAAUUGGAAGGCAAGCAAUUUGCUUGAAGGAUAACUUAUUAAUUAAGGGACAGAGAUCAGUACUGCAGAUUAUGAAGGUGAAAAAUCAGGCUAAAGGAUAAUAUAUAUAUAUAUUAAGAAUUAGAAGACAGGUCCUGAAAUAUAUCUCAAGAACAUGAAAUUAUAGCUUCAGAAACUAAACAAUAUUAUAAUUAGAGUGUUACUUAAUUUUAUUGUUUGCAUUAAAGCAUUAAUAUAUUGAGACACACAUGCACCUAGCCAUUAUAAUACAUUGUUCCAUGAGUUAGGUGUGUACACAUUAUUGAAAUUCCUAUUUGCGAGCAAGUUGCAUUUUCUAUUUUAGAUCCAAAACUUUUUUUGCAGCAGCCUAACUACAUGUAUAUACCCUCUUGUUGCUUUUGGCAUUUUGUCCUGACUGCCUGCCUGCUUUCCAACUUGUCUUAGGGACGCAAUUGUUUACUUAUACAAACUGGGGAAUAGGAUCGUGUAUGUAGAUGGAGAUGUAAAUGAGACAAGCCGAGAAGAUCCGCUCGAUAGUUUAGUUUUGGUUCGAGACUCGAUGCUCAAAUAAUUUUAAAAUAUAUAUUUUAUAUAUGUGUAUAUAAAAGUUUAAUAAGGUCCGAUAAGUUUUCAAGCUGAACAUUAUCAGACUCGAGCUCAAUUUGAGCCAAAUUCGAACACCUCACAAGCCGACUUGACUUAUUUACACUCCUAUAUACAGGCAUGCACUGGUACAACAAUAAUUUGGUAGUGAUUGAAUUGGUUUUGUAUUGUAAGCAACUAUAUAUCAUAAAAUUCAAUAUUUUUUUCUCAUUGCCCCCCUCCCCCCCCACAGUCACAAUAUAUAUAUAUAUAUAUAUAUAUAUAUAUUUAUUUAUUUAUUUCUAUGCUCAAGGAAUUUUCAAAAUGUCUUAAGGGAUAAAGACUCUUGUUUUUCCUUUUUAAUUUCACUAUCAAUUUAUUGAAUCAAAAAAGAAAAUAUAUUCAUGAAGGAAUCAGAGUAGGGACUGAUGAUUAAUGUAUUCAAGUGCCAAUUGGCUUUUAGGUUCCUCUUUUCACUGUACAAAUUGCAUGAACAAGAGGCUGAGAAUCUAAAAAUAAAAAAAGGUGUUAAAUUCCCUUCUUACAUUUUAAUUUUAAUUUAUUUGAUGUAUCUAUCUGUCUGUACAAUUAAUUACAAUGUAUAUGUAAUUCUAUCAUUCUGGAUUUGUACUUUCAAAUUUUUUUUGUUCUGGAUAAGGAGAGCUUCAUUUUCAUGAUUAAAGAAUUAACUCAACUCUCAAGAGUCUUAUCUCUCUCUCUGAGCUUGGAACAAUACAAAGCUACAUAGCAAUUAAUUAGUGCAAAAUGCCAUUGAUUUUAUCAAUUCUGGUGAUAAAAUCAAACAACAAAAAAACAUAAUCAGGUGAUUUUUUAGCUGUUUGAUUUUAUCCUAGAAAGUUUUAAGGCAAAGCACAUGCAAGGUCCAAAUAGAAGACAUGGGUAGAUGAGCUAGUUCUGGAAAUUUUGUGCAAAAGAGAAUCUUCUUUUGCAUUAGAAUAUUUCAAUUACAGUUAAAUAAUACAAAUUGAGACAAAACCUCCACCUGAUAUGCACAUAUAUUUAUAGUAUAUAUAAAAUAUUGAACAAAAAAAAAGAAAAAAGAAAAAAGAAAAAACAAACUCACAAAAAAAUCUUAACGAAGUUAGUAAUGGUGAAGGAGAAGGUAGUAGUAAUGGUGAAAAUAUGGGCUUAAAGAAGACAACACGCCAUUUUAUGCUAAGGCCUAAGGGUUCUGAUAGAAUUAAAAAAGCUAUAACUUCUUGUUGAAAUGGGUUGGAUUUGUAAAUUAUUGGGCCUUAUGUGCAACCAUUUUCAGAAGAUUUCAAAAUAAGAAAUGGGCUUUGUUUACCUAAGUAAUUAGUUCCAAGCCAUUGUAAUGAAAAAUGAAUGAUCGAACUUGGUACCUAACUGUUUCAUAUUAUCACUCUCUACUUCAAAAAUAAUUUCGCUAAAAAAAUGAAAGCUCUAAAUAUCGACUAAUUAUGGGGCGAAAAUAAAAACUAAUCAAUCAAUAAAAUUACGAAACGCCGCCGCUUUCCGUGGGAAUGAGUACCGUGAGAGCUUUCCGGUGUUGCAAGAUGCAAACCCUGGUAAGUGGGCCCCAGUCACCGACAAUUGUGGGUCAAACGCGCUAGUUCUGUCUUAAAAAUGAAAGAUUUCUUUUUUUUUUUUAUUAUUUAUUAUUUUUAUCAUAGUAAAAAUCAGAAAUGAAGACAUGAGCGUAAAUGUAGUAACAGUUCAGUGUUAAAUCGAAGACAUCAUUAGAUCUCUACGGUCUCUCCUGCUAGCCCAUAAUCUUUCUCUCUCCGUCUAUCCAUGGCCUGUAAAUCUAAUUUCUUUUUUAUUCUCUGCGUCUUCUCUUUUUCCGUAAAUUCGAUCUUCUCCUUACGAUCAGAACCACAAUCACUUAUAGAAACAGAUUGCACCAACCGCUGGAUCCAUAUUAGACGGUUACCAUCACGCUUCAAUCUUGAUCUUCUUACAAACUGCUCCGAGUACACACUUAUCGAAGAUUUCUGCCCCUAUUUAGCCAAUCAUGGCUUAGGCCCCAAAACGCACAAUCGCUCUCAAUCUUGGUACCGCUCCGAUCCUCUUUUGUUAGAAGUCACUUUCCAUCGCCGGAUGCUUGAGUACCCAUGUCUCACCGCCGAUCCCAAUUUGGCCACCGCAAUCUACUUACCUUAUUAUGCAGCAAUUGAUUCUUUAAGGUAUUUGUACGGUCCAGAUGUAAAUAAUAGCAUGGAGCAUGGGUUAGAAUUAUUCGACUAUCUUCAAGAAAAUGAUUUUAAGAUAUGGGAAAGAAAUAAUGGGAUGGAUCAUUUUCUUGUUAUGGCAAGACCCGCUUGGGAUUUUUCACAGCCUUUGGAUUUUGACCCACCUGUAUGGGGAACUUCACUUCUUGAAUUGCCUGAGUUUUAUAAUGUAACUGCUUUAGUUGUUGAAGGUAGGACUUGGCCUUGGCAAGAACAAGCUGUGCCUUAUUUAACCUCAUUUCACCCUCCAAGUUUAGCCCUUUUUUAUUCUUGGCUUAAACGUGUUAAGGGUUCAAGAAGAACAACGUUUAUGCUCUUUGCCGGCGGCGGCGGUAUCUCUGCCACCCCAAAUAUUAGGAGAAGUAUUAGAAAUGAGUGUGAAAAUACUAGUAAUAGUACUAGUACUAGUAUGGGUGGUUUUUUUUGUACUAAGGUAUGUGAUUUAGUGGAUUGCUCUAAUGGGAUAUGUGAACAUGACCCUAUAAGGUAUAUGAGGCCAAUGUUACAAGCCAAUUUCUGUUUGCAGCCACCAGGGGAUACUCCAACAAGAAGAUCAACUUUUGAUGCCAUAAUUGCAGGGUGCAUACCAGUUUUCUUUGAAGAUGUGUCGGCAAAAUCGCAAUACCGUUGGCACUUGCCGGAGGAGAUAUAUGGGGAAUUUUCAGUUUUUAUACCUAAAGAAGAGGUUGUGUAUAAAGGGUUAAGGAUUUUGGAUGUUUUAACGAGCAUUCCAAGUGAUCAAGUGAGGAAGAUGAGGGAGAAAGUUUUAGGGUUGAUUCAUAGAGUUUCAUAUAAGAAGCAUGGGAGUUCGUUGGGUUUUAGAGCAAAAAUGGAUGCUUUUGAUAUUGCAGUUGAAGGUGCUCUGAAGAGGAUUAAUACAAGGCUUAAUGGAGGAGAGUUUUAUUACUGAUUAUUAAUUUUAAUUUAUUUUGGUUGUUGUAAUUAUUAUUAUCAUUGAUUCUUCUCUCUCUCUCUCUCUCUCUCUCUCUUUUUUUUCUUUCGUUCUCCUGCAAAAAAUGCAGAGAACAAUAGAUCAUUUUUGUUUGUAUCAGUAACCAUCUGCAUUCAAUUUUGGAGGAAAAAUAUUGGUAUUCUCUCUUUCUGUUCAUCUUAAUAUUUGCCUUGAUGUUAAGAACAGUGCUGAUUGUAAAAAGAUCAAUAAAAGAUGAAAUGCUGGUGAACAGAAGUCUGUAAAGCUUCUGUAAUGGUGAUCAAAAGAAAAGGAAAAAGAAUAAUUAAUUAAAGCUGCAAAAAUAUAUGUGACAACAGAAACCAAGCAAACAAAAGGGAGCUGUUGAGAGAUUUUGCGUUAGCGAAAUCUCUGAUUAUCUGUAAUACAUAUAGAAAGAAAGGGAGGGCAAGAAUGGUUUGACUUCACGUUACAAAGUAAUUCUCAUUCUUCUUUUAUACUAGUCAUUGAAAACCUUCAGCCCCAUCUAAUAAUUGCAGAACCCCAAGUUAGACCAGCUCCAAAACCUGCAGUUGCAAUAGUGUGGCCCGCCUUCACUUUCCCACUUCGAACCGCUUCAUCCAAUGCCAAUGGAAUCGAAGCAGCACUCGUGUUCCCAUAAUUUGCUAAGUUUGAUAUGACCCUUUCUGGUGGAACUUCUAAUCGUGUCGCAACUGCAUCAAGGAUCCUCUGGUUUGCCUGCAAAAAAAAUAUUCACCUCCAUUAUUCCUGCAUCACCAUAAUUACCCUGUCUGGCAUGUUGCAUGAUACAAAUCAGAGACUUCAUAUAAUUCAUACCUGAUGGAGCAGUAACCAAUCAAUGCUAGAUCCUGUGAGACCGGCCUUCUCAAGAGCAGACUCUAUAGAUUGUGGGACACAUCGAACAGCAAAGCGGAAGACCUCUUUUCCGUUCAUCUGAAUGCAGGAAUAUGAGGCACGCCUGGGAGGGAAGCCUAAAACUGAACCAUUAGAUCCCAAUGCAUGAUCCACUUCACUUUCUGUAAUGCCAGCAUUCAAAUGUCUGCAAGAAAAGAAGGAUAUGUCAUCUGUAUCUUAACUAGUAGAAAACUUGGAGUCUAUUUACAUGGGUACGUCAGAAAAACCUACCUCUGGCCAUCACCAUCACUAUGCAAAUCAAAACUAAAUAAACCAUCAUCCUCACUGUCACAGGCCUGUAGAAUUACAGAAAACUCAACAACUAAGCAGCUACUUAUUGAUUGUUCACCUAUAAAUACAUAAGCCAAACCAAAUAUUAACAUAGAACAGGGAGGGGAGUCAAGUUGGGGGUGGAAACAAUUAAGUUUACAGAGAGUUUGACCAAUGACCCGAGACAAAACCAUGAAACUAAAGAUGAAACAAGAUAUUUAACUUACAACCUACCAUGAAGAGGUAGGGAUCUGAACCACAAAUAAUUCACCUCAUCUAAACCUGUUUAGAGUCAAUGGCUAGAACAAUAAUAUAAGAUAUCAGUUCCCUCUUACACCUAGCUUUUGAUACAGAGAUGCAACUAACCAGGAAAUGCUUUAUCAUCUCGCUCUAGAAAGCAGCAUAAGGUGCUAAAUGGUCCCAAUUUUCUCCAAAUUUAAAAAGAUAAUAAUAGUAUAAUAUGUACUACCAUGCUUGAUCUACAAAAUGUGAUGCAUGACAUGAUUGUAGCCCACUAUAAUGAGUAUCAGUGAAAGAUGCAGAAUUUGUCAAUGGAAAUAAAAGUUUAAUACUGUCUCAAGUGAAGAGAUGCAUAGGCACCUCAAUCCCUAAUAGUUGAGGUCAGUUGCAUAGAACCUUCUACAUUCGCUUAAGGUGCACCAAUGAUAUUGAAAAAAUAAAAACAAAAAUUAACCAAUGUAAUCAAGAAAAAUUAAAUCAUAGUACAGCAGGUACACGAAUCAAAAAACUAAGGGAAAAAUAGAAAACAUACCUGUACAAGCACAGCACCAGCAGCAUCCCCAAAGAGAAUACAAGUUCCUCUAUCCGUCCAGUCAACAUAUCGAGAAAGACCAUCAGCACCGAUUACCAGUACAUUUCGAAACCCACCUCCUGUAAUUGACAACGUUUCAUUUGAUCUAUCAAAACAUGGAGGCCAUGAUCAUGCUUGAGAAAGCAAAGUAAACAAGUUUCUUUACCCCUAAUGUGACAAGCAGCUGAAACUAGGCCCAAUACAAAUCCACUACAAGCAGCUGUAAUAUCAUAAGCCAAAGGAUUUGUUUUGCAGCCAAGUGCCUUUGGGAUCUGAAAUUUUUAAGAAAUACUAAAUUAGAUUCUUGCAACAAAAAGCUAAUAUAGGAUCGAUUAACUUCAGUACUACUGACAAACUUUCACAGUGUUUUACCCAAGAAUCAGAAGCUUAAAACCAUUAAUCAGCGAAUUAUAAGGUCUGAUGAUUGAGAUUGGAAACAGGAUAAAGGCUUAUUUAUUUGUAUACUAAAGCUUACCAGGAAGGAAAAAGAGAGAAGAUGAAGAGUAGAAAGAUAGGAGUACAGAGCCAUAUAGGAGAAACAGAGUAUUAAAAUGGGAGAAAGUGCAUCUAAUAUUGAAUUUUAUAAAUUACUUUUUUAUUGCAACGCUAGUAAUUUCAUAUGCAGGGAUGUAGCACUGUAACAGUAAAUAUUAAAAUAUAUAUUUCUUUCCUUUCAACCAAGCAUGUAUUUGUGGAAGAGUUUUAUCCGUUUUUCUUUCUUUUCCAUCACUUCUUCCAAGCGAGGUGUUAGUUGUUCAUUGAAAGCCAUCAAAGAAGAAAGCAACUUAGAAAACUAAAUUCAACGUAGAUAAAGGGGAUGACUGACUACAGAAUGCAACAUAGUUGUAAAGACUCGAUGCAGCUACCAAGAGAUUUGUAUAGUAUAAUAAAUUUGAGCAAGUCCUUUCAGCACAAUUGAGGAUGACGCUUUAAGUUACUGAUAAACAAUCCAGGCACAACUUAAGAAAAGUCUCCAAACUUGCCCACCAACAAAAUAAGUGAGUUUCAAGUUUCAAGAUUGACCAGUUAACUACCCACGUAGCGCUAAACUAUGUGAAGGAUAUGCCUAUCUUGAAACCCAUACCUGAGGAGCACUACCAAAAAGAUCCUCUGGUGUAGAUGUGCACAUCAACACCAGGUCCACAUCAUCAGGUUCAACCUCUGCCAUCUGAAGAGCUUUUCUUGCUGCCUCAGUGGCUAAGGAAAUCAAACUAUCUUUUCCUGUAACAUUAGUGACAAUCAAAAUUAAUAACUAUUUGCAAUUGCACUUCCCAUUCCGUAAACAAUCAAUUGUAGAUAAGUAGGCCAAUGAUGUUCAGGAAAACACAAAUCAUAGGCUGCGAACCACAAUAGAAAUUAAUAGUUUGUGACCAAACAGUAAUAAAUAGAUGCCUCUAGGUGCAUUACCCUAAAAUAUAGUAAAAAGAUAUUUGUUUGAGAGAUAUCAUCAAGCAUGAAACUGGCAAUGGCCAUCAUGUAAUCACAGUUCAACCAAGAUGAGUUCAAAUUCACAAGGCUAAAAGUCUCAAAAUCAUCCAGAUGAAUGCCCUCUACCUAGGCUCAAGCUCAACUUUCAAGCAUUGUUAUUGAGAAGCUGGGUUACAAGCCUAGAUGUUACACUGCUCAUAUCCAUCUAACAUAUGAAACUUAAAAUGCAUUGCAAAAUGAAAAAGCCUGACCUGUAAGAACUCGUCGAUUGCGAAUCCCAGUUCGAACUGAUAUCCAUUCAUCAGAAGUAUCAACUACCUUUGCAAGGUCAUCAUUUGAAAUCUGAAGAGCAGGUACUGCUGAACCACUACCAACUAACUUGCAACCAUUACUAAUGAGCCUGUGAAUUUACAAAAUUGGAACAGAACUAAACUAAGAUAAUCAAAUUCAAUUCUUUUGUUAUCAGAUUCAUCUAAAAAGGAAUCUAUUACCAUAAAUCAGUAGCACCCACUUAUAACUAAUAAUCAUUACUAAAAACCAUUACCAAUCCAUAACCGGUGAAUCCAAUACCUACUUCAUUCAGCUCUGAACUUUCUACAACCUGCUUGAACCAAACUCCUACUUCAAUAUGAAGUUUAAGAUAUACUGCGUAAGCUACUGUAUCCAAAAAUGAUUCAACAACUUUCAGCUGAUGGCUUCAAAUCACAAUCUAACAAAGUCAACCCCUUUAUUUAGCUUUAGAUUGUCUUGCAUGGCACUUAAUCUCAUUUUAGAAGAAAAAGAAAAAUUGUAAUCCUUUUGAUUGCUCAGGAUUCUAAUUGCCAAACUAUGUACAAAUUUCCACUUCUUCAACAAGCAACGCAGACCAAAUAGGAAUUAUACGUCAUCCAAUCAAUUUGGAAUGUUUGAACCAACAAGAGAAGCUAAUACAAUCAGGAAAUACUCAUUUGCAAAUUCAUACCUGGGUAUUUGAGAUUGAGAAGUGGAAAGCUUCUCUGCACCUUCAAUGGAGCUGGAGCAGAAUACCCUUCUGGAUAUUCUUCCGCAAGAGAAAAACCCAGAUCCAGUCAUCUCUAUUGAAGGCUUAACCUUUCUCCUUAGGCUUGGAACUGAAGGACUAAAGAAACCGGAUGCAUUUGCCAUCUAUACUAUGAACAACCUAUCCUAAGAAAAUAAAAUAUGUUUUGUAGUUGCAGAGGGAGAGGAAAAAAAUGCAAGAAAUUUGUUUCAACUUAUAUAUGAGGAACCAAAAACGAGAAAGCGAUUGUAAAUAGACCCAGAGCCCAUUAGAUGAGAAGAAACCGGAAUAAAAUACAAAGAAAUAGAGAGUAAGACGCACGCAAAUUCAAAGAUCUGAUUUUUGGUUAAUCUUUUGAAGGAGGACCCAAGAAAAUAGAAGAAAAGGGGCGAUUAUGCCAAUCCAAUUUGAGGGAACUCCAAUGCCUUCAAUCUCUUUAUCAGCAACUUUGUUUGUAAAGCUCAGUCCUGGAAAUCCCUUAUAGUUAAUUUUGUUGAUACAACCUAAGCGGUUUUGGUUCAAGCGGCAUGCACUUGACACAAACAAUAGUUGGUAGAAUCCAUUGAUUGUGAACACCUAUAUGGAUUACGUGGCAAAUUCUUAUUGGUUAGAUUAUUAAAGUUUGUGUAGGGUGGCAUGUAGAAAAUUAUGAACUGAGAUCCCCCCCAUCUUUUGUUUCUGCUAGUUGCAUUCCAUGUGUUUAGAUACAAACAAUGACAACAGUUUCGUUUUUUUACAAGUCAUUUCAAAUCUUUCCUUGGACAAUACAAGUUGACAAAAUUUGUUUAGCUACAAAGUCUAUUUCUUUGCUGUAAGAUUGUUGUCUAUUGACACUUUUCCCCUUGUUUUUUACAAACCUUGUUAAACCUAUAUAUUUUCCAACAGAAUAUCCCACCUCCCUUUUUCAUUACUGUGAGAUUAAUCUAGUAGAUCAAUUUUGUUGAACUUCACUGUCUUAUUGUCAAAAUUCGUAAUUUUAAAAAUAUAAUAAAUCAGUCUAUAGUUUAAGGUGUUAUAAAAUUUUUACCAAAAAUUCAGAAAAAAUUUAUAUAUUAUGUUUUCAAAUACGAAAAAUGUUAGCAUCCUCUUUUAUAACAAUUUUUUUUUCCUUCUGAAAUUGGACAACCAAACUCUCUCUAAAAGAUAAAUAAAUAAAUAAAUGUUAUUAGUUGCCAUGUCAGAUUGUUAGGCUAGAGAAGUCGACUUUUUUAUACAAACUUGUCGUGAUCUAUGAAUUGCAUAGUUGCAAAUGAAUUGCAGACAGCAGCAUUAUUGUUUUUGUGAGAAAAAAAUUGGAAUAAAAAUAAUUAAUUACAUUCAACAAUUAAAUCGGUGUUUGAAUAGCUGAAAAUAAGAUACAUUUGCCACUUCAACAUCUAUACCAUGCUUUUCAGAUUUUGAGCUACAUUUGUGGUUUCUGUUGAGAGUUGGGUGAACAACAAACGAACAUUUCUUCAAAGAAACAAUAUUUGUAUUUAUAUCUUGUUAAAGUGUUUAUCUAGAUAAGAAUUCUAAAGCACUUAGCUACCUCACCAUGAGUCAGAGCCAAAUGGUGCUGCUCUUUCUUUAACAUGCCUAACAUUGUUUAAAUCGAACAACUCGAUGAACAAAUCAAAGUGCUCCAUUAAUUAAAAAUAACUUAAAUUAUACUCAAUGCCCUGGCUUACACAUGGCUACUUCCAUUAAGCAUAGAUGUCAAAAUCAUUUAGAUCAACCUUCAAUUUCACUGUUCAGCCUUCUUUUAAAAUUUCACUUUCAAUUUCUAGGAUGAUUUGUCUUUUUCCAAAAAAUUUAAUGGCUCACGCAUGACAGAAUUAAUGGUUUGUCGGAUAGAGCAAAGGGGCACCAGUGGUCUAGUGGUAGAAUAGUACCCUGCCACGGUACAGACCCGGGUUCGAUUCCCGGCUGGUGCAGUGAUUAUUUUUUGUUGUUUCUAUUCAUUAAUAAUGGAUAUAAUUUUUUUCCCCUUUUCAUCCACUGAAAAUUCAACGCACAAGUUUCCAAAUUCCAAGCUCCAUUUAAUUGUAUAAACUACAGAAUUUUACCGCCAACUUCUUUUUUGUAGUCAUAACUAAUCUAUCAUAUAGUUUACUGAUAGUAGUUUCAGUUUCUUUAGCAGAAGAAUAAAGGAUCGUGGACUUUCUUGCAAUGAUUAAUUGUUUUUCAAAGAAUAAAAAUAAUCUUUUUAGUUUCUUAUUUUAAUUAAUUUUUAUAUUUUUGUGGCCAUUUGAGUUGCAGGGUGGGGUAAGGAUUUCGAUGCAGACAAAUGGAAUAGUUUUGUUAAAAGUAUAUACAAAUUUUCGGUAAUGAUUCAGGCCACAUAAUUUUUGUUUUUAUUUUUGUCAUUAAAGAAUUAAAGUUAAUGUUUUUAGUACACAGAUGGAUAUGGGUAUAGGUUUGAUGUCCCUGUUGGGACAGACACAGAGCUUAACAUUAACUCGUUUACACGUUUAUGAACUCUCUGUUUAUGUUCUUAAAUUACAUUCGGUGAAGUCUUGAAUAGCUUCCAAGAUCAGGUUAUCAUCUUCCCAUUCAUCACGAUAUUUUUCUGGGUUCAAGAGGAGGUUCUUCAAAGCCGCAAAAAACAUUUCCGUUCUCCAUUCUUCCAACUCUUCAAAUCCACACUGAACAGCAAUCCACUUGUAAUACUCAAACUAUGAAAAUUACAAAAACAAUGUAAGAAAAGCAAUUAAAUUUUAGCCAAGCAAGUUGUGUAGGGACUAGGGAACUACUUGACAGACAUUAAUGACAAGGAAAUUGAUAUACAAAAAGGCUUACCUGAGACACGCUCAUAUCAUGAGUGUAUCUUUUUGAUAUAUUUGAAGCUUCAAGUGACAGGUAGAAUGCUUCAAUAUCUUUCAUCAUUUCCUCUUGUGAUGGAAGCACAAUCCUACCCGAUAAAACGCCAGCAAUCCACUUGCUUUGAAACUCGAACAUUCGGAAAGGAAGAACCUGGCACCAAUCACAGAAGAAUAUCGUUCUCUCAGUCCAAGUUGAAAAUUGCAUCAAGAAAAGAAUAUGACAUCAAACAGAAAAGAACCUUCCAUGGUAACCCAACAAAUGAAAGCCAUGGAGCCAAAACUGGUGGGAAAACAUGCUUGUAUAAUGGUCCAACACGAUUGUCAUCCACAGUCACAAUGCCAUGGGUUUCAAGAAAAGGGAAAUGAUACUUGUACCUUAUAGAAGAGGACAAUCAUAACUAUAAAUUCAGUUUCAUUCCUUUCUCUGAGACAGGGAUAUGAGUGUAUAUAUAUAUAUAUAUAUAUAAGUUAAUCAUCAAACGAAAGAAAUAUCUAAGUACCCGGUGCAAUGUAGAAUGGUAUCUGCAAGGACAACCCUCCCAUUUCGGAAGACCACAGAACCAUCUUCAUGCACACUUUGUAUCUGCAUUAUUAUUAAAAGAGUACAAUUUUAGAACAAGCUAUGCUCCUGAUACCGGGGUGCAAAUUGAAGCCAGCUGACAAAUUUCUCAAGUUAAAAUCCUCACUCCUAAACUGUGAUUUACCAUAGAAUGGCGCCACAUGUUAUCAUAUCCAGGCUGCUCUUCGUGUGUUUCGUCUACAACUGAUCUUGAGGCAACAUGGACCUCUUUGGCAACUACAGCAAUAUCCCUGGAUAUAUCCAUAGCACUUGCUGCAUUCCCAAUCAAAACUACCACCUGUUUGCAUAGAAUUAGAAAUAAUGCAUAUAAGCAAGAAAUACAAAAUGCUUUAGGCAUAAAAGAAAAGGUCAACACGGGCAUAAUACACACAGGACAUAUAUUGAAUAGAAAAAGAAACAAGUUCUGAAAUUUUUGUAAUUGCAUGAAACUGAAUCCCAAAUUGCCCAAGAGACCUAUGAUUUUUGCAAUUCUAUCAGGAAAGAAGCAUGCUUUUACUAAAAGUUCUGUUAUUUAUUUCAAUCUCGCUAACUUGUAAUUUGCUAGGCAUCAAUUGUAUCUGACAUUCCAAUUGGACAACAUCAUUGUGCAAAAGGUGGUAGCUUUGUUAAAUUUACCAAGCAAACGUACGCAUAAUAAACCCAAAAACUUCACAGCGGAAUCCAAUAAUUCCAGCAACUUUGAAGCAAUAACUUUCUGUAUCUAAAAGUAGAUAAAGGAGAAGUAGAAAUCUGAGACGGACUUGAUCUCGAAAGGGCUCAGGAACACGGUAAUUGUGGCUAUGCACUUGCUUCCCCGGCCAAGCACUGAUGCCUGAAAAGAAUAUCCUUCAUUAUUAUUCAUCUUUUCUUAUUGAACAAAGAGUGUAGAAGAAAUACAGAAAUUAGUAAAUAGUCUUUGCAAAUAAAGCAAAAACUAUUAGGAAAAACAUAACGAGACCCAUCAACAAACAUCAACUGUUCAUAAAAAAAAAAUGAUCCAAGGAAACAUAAACAAAGAAUACUAAAAUAAGCCUGAUAUUCAUUACCAAGAUUAAGUACCUGCUAUUUCAGCAACACGAGGUUCAGUGAAAUGACCAUUACAAACCACAACAGCAUCAAAAAUCUCUUCGUCAUAUUCAAAAUUAACAUCACUAUUGCCAAAGUUAUCACAUUUUUUCCUUUUAGACCUUACUUUCCACUUGUUACUAUCCUCCAUUAACCCGACGUACACAACCUCAGUCUCAAACCUCACCAACUGCUCAAUCUCAAAUUCCCUCGCAAAAUCUCGCAAGUAGAAUAACACCUCUCUGUGACCCGGAAACCUUCUUGGAUCUCUCAUCUUAUCAUUUUUGGGUAUAAACGGGUAGUCUCCGAAACCCAUCGCUUCUCUAGGCAGGUUGGUGCGGAGAGAGCUGUAGAGGCUCGAUUGGAUUAUGGGUCGGCCUGGAUCGAGGCUUAACGGGUCUGGUUCAACCCGCGGAUUGUAGACCCAUGUACCACCAAUUUGGGCAUCUCGUUCAUAGACGACGACUUUGUGGCCCUCGCGGCUGAGUUCACGUGCGGCCGCGAGGCCGGCGGCUCCUGCUCCGAUCACCGCCACGUAGCGAGAGGUGAGAGGAAUUGACAUUGCUGAACAGUUGAAUGUCGGAGAAAAUAAAUAAGAGGAGAAAAACGUGCCCUUCAAAAAUGCUCUCACUGGAAAGUGAGUGCGUAUACACUUACGAACAUGAAAAAUAGUCCAAAUACUCUGAGUCCAAAAAUUUGUUCUGUAAGAAAACUAGUUCCGUAUCAAAUUUUGUUUUUGCUCCAAAGAUAAAUAUUUGUUUAUCCACUAGGACGGUUGAAGAUGUCGUAGUUUCGGGCCAGCUGUUUUUUACUUUCUUCACAUGGAGAUGUGAUCGCUCACGCAUGUCUACUGCUAGAACUAAGACUGUUGUUUUCUAAUAUUAUUAGACUCGUUCGUUCAUUCCAGGAGUUAGCGCAUAGACCAACUGUUACCGUGCGUUGUCGUUUCAAUCAAAAUUUCAAAUCAAAUUAAACCAAAUCCUAAACCCUCCUAUUUAUUUUCAAAGUAUGAUAAUUUAAAAAAAAAACAUCUAAGCGGAACAGCAAUUUGUCCUUUUCUUUUUUUAAAGAAAGGGCUCAGAACAAUACAGAAAGAGUUUACUUUUUUUUAAUCAUAUUCCAGUCUUCAUCUUUGUACUUCAUAACAUUACAAUUUUACUCAAAUCUCUGAAAAUAAAUAAGUAUCUUCAACUCUUCAUCUUGAUUAAAAUUACAACAACACAGGUCGAAUUUUGAAUGUAAAAAGAAAUGGUAACGGCUUUAUUUAGAGGUCAGGUCCUUUUGAAUGUAUUUAGCGAAGUCCUGAUUAGCUUCCUCGAUCAAGCAGUCAUCUAUCAUCAAUUCAUCACGAUAUGUCUCUGGAAGUUGACGCUUGCCGAUGCUACUUGCAUUAUACAUUUGCUUUCUCCAUUCCUCAUACGCUUCACACCCGCAUUGUCCAGCUAGCCAAUUGUUAUACUCAAACUGCAAAAAGACAUAGUUCAUCCAGUUGCAGGAAAAUUUUCUCCAAGAAAAUUCAGUAACAAAUGUAAGAGUAAUAGACAGAGAAAAAUGGGUGCUUAAGGCGUACUUGAGAUUCACCCAUGCGAUGGGUGUAUCUUUUUGGAACAUUUGAAGCUUCAAGAGACAUAUAAAAGGUUUCAAUAGCUUCCAUCAUCUCUUCUUUUGAUGGAAUUCCAAUCCUACCUGAUAAAACACCAGCAAUCCAUUUGCUUUGAAACUCACACAAUGGGAAAGGAGCAACCUAGCAGCAAUCACACUAAAGGUGUUAUGUUUACAGAGAGUCUAAUAUUGCAUGAAAACAAAGCACUGCGACCUUCAACAGAAUACAACCUUCCAUGGUAACCCAACAAAUGAAAGCCAUGGAGCCAGAGCUGGUGGGAAGACAUGCUGGUAUAAUGGCCCCACACGAUUAUCAUCCACCGUCACAAUGCCAUUGGUUUCAAGAAAAGGGAAGUGAUACUUGUACCUUAAAAUAACAAAAAUUUCAGUUCCAUUUCUUUUGAACAGACCCAGAUAUCCCUCUUUAUGUAAAUCCUUGUGCAUUUAGCCAAAAUAAUUAAUUCAAAUUGAAAGUACCCGGUGCAAUGUAGAAUGAUGUCAGCUAGGACAACUCUCCCAUUUCGGAAUACCACAGAACCAUCUUCAUGAACACUUUCUAUCUGCAUUGUUUAAAUACAGUAGAUCAGGCAAUUCUUCCAACAUUAGUAUCAAACACAUACCUCCACAAGCUCCAUAAGAUAAGUCACUCACUCUUAAUCUGGGUGAUUUACCAUAGAAUGAAGCCACAAAUUAUCAUAUCCAGGCUGUGCUUCAUAUGUUUCAUUUGCAACUGAUCUUGACGUAACAUGAACCUCUUUGGCAAACCCAGCAAUUUCCCUUGAUAUAUCAGCAGCACUUGCUGAACUUCCAAUCAAAAUUACUACCUAUCCGCAUCCGCGUAGGACAAUGGAUAAAGCAAGACAUAAUUAGAUCUUAAGAAAAAAGAGGUUAACACAAGAAACAAGCUCAGAAUGACAUAUUCACAAACAGAACAUAAAUAUAGAAAAAGAAAUAUUAUGGAAAGUUGCAAGUAGCAAAAACGAAAGAAAAUCAAUAAAGUAGAAUAAAAUUAGGAUAAGAACUACGAACUUUCACAGUUUAACAUCUGACAUACGUGUUAUCUCCAACGGGCCAAAAUUAAUGGAUUUGAAUAUUCUGUUUUAUAUGCAGCGCAAGAAGUCGGAAGUGGCUAUUGUAAUUUUGUUAGUUACUGAGCACGCAAGAAAAGUAUAAUUUGAACCACUAUAGAGUACAGAUGUAUGCAAAAACCAGAAAAAUUCACUAAGCAAGUCCAUGACAUGCAUCGACAUUGAAGCAAUGGUAUUUUGCAUUUGAAACAUAAGAACAUUAUAGAAUUGAAGAAGUAGAAAUCUAACACAUACUUGAUCUUGGAAUGGGUCAGGAACUCGGUAAUUGUGGCUAUGCAUUUGCUUCCCUGGCCAAGAAUUUAUGCCUGAAAAGGAACUUCUUUAUCAUCAUAUUUUCCCAAAAAUAACAUCCAACCAAAACAUCAAAUAUUCCUUAACAUAGCAGAAAACAUGAACAAAUAGCAAAAAUAAAAGUAGAUAAUCAUCCUAAAGGUAAUUCCACUCAAAGAAUCUAUCUUAGUCAUCAGGAAAGAUGAGUGUUCCUCAACAAAAACAACCAACCUUGAUCCAAUCAAACAAGUAAACUAAAAGUCAACCCAAAAUUCAGCGUAAGGAAUUGGCACCUGGUAUUAUUUCAGCAAUACGAGGUUGAGUAUAAUGACCAUUACAAACCACAACGGCAUCAAAAAUAUCUUCAUUAAAAUCAAAGUCAAUAUCUUUGUCAUCUCUCUUCUUUUUAGACCUCACUUUCCACUUAUAACUAUUCUCCACUAACCCAACAUGAACCACCUCAGUCUCAAACCUCAUCAUCUCUUCAAUCUCAAACUCCCUCGCAAAAUCUUGCAAAUAGAGCAACACCUCUCUAUGACCCGGAUACCUUCUCGGGUCUCUCGUUUUGUCGUUUUUUGGUAUAAACGGAUAAACUCUGAAACCCAUCACUUCUCUGGAGAGGUUGGUGCGGAGAGAGCUGUAAAUGCUUGAGUGGAUUAUGGUUCGGGUCGGAUCGAGGCCUAAAGGGUCUGUUUCGACCCGGGAAUCGUAGACCCAGGUGCCGCCGAUUUGGGCAUUUCGUUCGAAGACUAUAACCUUGUGGCCUUCCUGAUGGAGCUCACGAGCAGCGACAAGGCCGGCAGCUCCGGCGCCGAUCACCGCCACGUCGCUGGAGUUGAAAGGAGUUGGCAAUGAUAAACGGUUGAUUGUCAUAGGAGUGAGCAUUUGACUUGAUGUACGAUCGGGGUUCUGUUGGUCAUUGAUUACCGGCAUAAUCUUGAUUCCGAGGAUAUAUGGACGGUUUGGUUAUUUUUGGUGAUAUGACUAACGGGUUUGUGGCCAUUGGUUUGGCUUCAGAAAUAUAUGAACCCAGUUACCCAGUUGCGAUAAGACACGUCACACAAGCAGCGUUUGGGCGCGUACGUUAACUAGUGAACGGUAUCUGUAAUUAGCGAAUAUUGCCACGUUUGUAAUUUUUAAAUUAAUAUUGCAGCGUCCUGCGUGCUGCCUCUGUCUGGUGGCAAUGUAAAUAUUAUUUUCUCUGUUUAUUAUUAAAACUUGCAAGCCUAAUAGCAAGAGCUUACAAGUUUAACUUUGAGAAUAAAUAUAAAUAUAAAUUCUUUCUCCACUGUAUAAAACUGUAAUUCAAUAAUUCAAAUGGUAAGAUAUGCUUGAGUGUAAUGUACGCCGUAAAACCAAAAAUAAAAAGAUGGAGAAAUUUAUAGUAAAAGAAAAAUAAUAAUAACAUUUCUCCUAUCCUAUUUCCAAGAUUUUAAUUCCAUUAAUAUAUGUAAUCUAUUUAAGGUAACUGAUAUUGUUCGUGCUCCAAUAAUAAGUAUUGGUACAAUAAUAGCAUUAUUUAGGAGUUAUCAUUAAAGAGAUAAAUAGGGUGUUGGGCCUUACAUAUACAUUUAACUUAAGCAUACAUUUAUGAACUCUCUGUCUAUAUUCUUGAAUUGAAUGGUUAAGUCUUUAAUAGCAUCCAAGAUUAGGUCAUCAUCUUCCCAUACAUCACGAAAGUUUUCUGGGUUGCAGAGCAAGUUCUUGCGACCUGCAUAUAUAAUGCAUUUUCUUUCUCCAUUCUUCCAAGUCUUCACAUCCACACUGAGCAGCAAUCCACUUGUAAUACUCAUACUAUUAAUAUUAAAAACAUAUUCCAAGAAAAGCCAUUAAAUUUACCCAAAAAAAAAAAAAAAAAAAAAAAAAACAGAGAGAGAAAGAAAAGGAGUAGGAUAAUAAUUAAACAGACAUUUACCAUAGCAAGUUGUGGAGGGACUGGGGAACCACUUAAUAGAUAAACAAAGAAAUUGCUAUACAAGAAGGCUUACCUGAGAAACAUCCAUAUCAUGAGUGUAUCUUUUUGGAAUAUUUGAAGCCUCAAGUGACAGGUAGAAUGCUUCAACAUCUUUCAUCAUCUCCUACUGUGAUGGAAGUACAAUCCUACCUGAUAAAACACCAGCAAUCCACUUGCUUUGGAACUCAAACAUUCGGAAAGUAAAAACCUAGAGCCAAUCACAUAUAUAGAAUCUAGAUUAUCAUUUCUCGGUUCAAGUUGAAUAUUGCAUCAAAAGAAAGCAAUAUGACAUCAAACAGAAAAGAACCUUCCAUGGUAACCGAACAAAUGAAAGCGAUGGGGCUAAAACUGGAGGGAAAACACGCUUGUAUAACGGUCCAACACGAUCAUCAUCCACAGUCACAAUACCAUUUGUUUUCAAGAAAAGGGAAAUGAUACUUGUAACUUAAAGAAGAGGACAAUUAUAACUAUAAAUUCAGCUUCGUUUAUGUCUUAGAGAUAAACAUGUGUGUUUUUAUAAGUUAAUCAUUAAACGAAAGAAAUAUCUAAGUACCCAGUGGAAUGUAGAAUGGUAUCUGCAAGGACAACCCUCCCAUUUCGUAAGACCACAGAACCAUCUUCAUGCACACUUUGUAUCUGCAUUAUUAUAAAAGAGUACAAUUUUAGAACAAGCUAUGCUCCUGGUACCAGGGUGCAAAUUGACGCUAGCUGACAAAUUUCUCAAGUUAAAAUCCUCACUCCUAAUCUGUGAUUUACCAUAGAAUGACGCCACAUGUUAUCAUAUCCAGGCUGCUCUCCAUGCGUUUCAGCUACAACUGAUCUUGAGGCAACAUGAACCUCUUUGGCAACUCCAGCAAUUUCCCUGGAUAUUUCCCUUGCACUUGUUGAACUGCCAAUCAAAACUACCACCUGUUUGCACGAAAUACAAUUUGAAUCUUUAGGCGCAAAAGAAAGGGUCAACAGUGCACACAGAUAUCUAUUGAAUAGAAAAAGAAAUAUGUUCCAAAAUUUUGUGAGUAGCAAAAACUCAAAUUGGACAAGAGAGCUAUGGUUUUUACAGUUUGAUUAUGGUUUUUAGAAAAGAGAAAGGCGUGAUUUUUGUAAAAGUUCUGUCUGGGUAAGCAUCAACUUUACCUGACAUUCCAAUUGGAUAACAUAAUUGUACAAAAGGUGGUAGCUUUGUUAAAUUUACAAAGCAAAUAAGAAGAUUAAUUGCACUUCGUACCAAUAUAAAUGAAUGGAUAUGUAUAAAGCCAAAAAUCUUUAUAUUAGCAAUCCGUAAAAAUGCAUCAACAUUAAAGCAACAGCUUUCUGAAUCAUCUAAAAGCAGGUAAAGGAGAAGUAUAAAUCUGACACAGACUUGAUCUCGAAAGGGCUCAGGAACACGGUAAUUGUGGCUAUGCAAUUGCUUCCCUGGCCAAGAACCGAGGCCUGAAAAGAAAGAACGUCCUUAGCUAUUAUCAUCUUUUCUUACUGAACAAAGAACCUAGAACAAAUACAAAAAGUAAAGUUAAGGAAUCAUUGCAAAUGAAACAAAAUGGACAACAUUUAUUUACGCUCUACAUUAAACCAAUUGAAAAAAAUACUUUUUUCAAAAAAUUUGUUAUUUUAUUUUUUUCAAUAAUAGUCAGAAAUAUUUUUUUAAAAUUAAAAACACUGUUUUUGAUUCAUUUAAUAUAUAGAGUGAGUUUAUAUGUAGGUAAAUCCUUCUAAAACAAAAACCAAAAGCCACAAUGACCCAUCAGCGAACAUAAAUUGUUCCUAAAAAAAAAGGUCCAACUAUGAUUAACCCAAUAUUCAGUAUAAGAAAUUAAGUACCUGGUAUUUCAGCAAUACGAGGUUGAGUGUAAUGAACAUUACAAACCACAACAGCAUCAAACAUAUCUUCAUAAAAUUCAAAAUCAAUAUCAUUAUCACCUCUCUUCUUUUUAUACCUCACUUUCCACUUAUUACUAUUCUUCACUAAUGCAACAUUAACCACCUCAGACUCAACUUCACCAUCUCUUCAAUUCCGAACUCCCUCGCAAAAUUUUGCAAGUAGAGCAUCGCUUCUCUGUGACCCGGAUACCUUCUCGAAUCUCUCGUUUCGUCGUUUUUGGGUAUGAACGGAUAAACUCUGAAACCCAUCGCUUCUUUGGGGAGGUUGAUGCGGAGAGAGCUGUAGAGGCUCGGGUGGAUUAUGGUUCGACUAGGGUCGAGGCCCAACGGGUCUGAUUCGACCUGGGGAUCGUAGACCCAGGUGCCACCGAUUUGGACAUUUCGUUCGAAGACUACGAUAUUGUGGCCUUCCUGACGGAGCUCGCGAGCAGCGGCAAGGCCAGCAGCUCCUGCGCCUAUCACCGCCACGUGGCGGGAGUUGAGAGUAGUUGGCAUUGCCAGACCGUUGACUGUCGGCGCAAAUAAAUAGGAAAUGGAAAACGUGCCUUUAGCACAUAUAUAUCGACGGCAGCUGCUUUCUGUUCACAACUGUUGUAAGCAUAAAUUGAAACAUGUCGUGUUCAAAGCACGUGACAGUUGAUAAACUACCUAAUUUUGGCACUUAUUUAAUUUGUUUAUCUAUUUUUUCACAAAGGAAAGGGUCAAGAGUACAGUAACAUUUGACUUUGUUUCAGUUUUCUUCAUAUCUCUGCAAAACAUUAUAAUUUUACCCAAAUCUCUUAAAUUACCAUUAAUUUUCAAAAUGCAUUUACAGUAAUAAUAAAUUAUCAUAACUGCAUUUUGAAAAUUAAUUGUAAUUGUACCACUUGAUUAACUGAAUUUAGCAGCAAAACAAUUCAGUGGCUAUAAAAUCAAUAAGUCAGAACAUAAUGUAGCUCGAAUUUAUUCAAUCUUUGGUAAGAGAAGAAACGGUAAAUUGGUUAUAGGUAGCUAAUUAAUGCGAAUUUGUGAUAUGAAUUGUCAUUUACAGCUGCGACUGCAGAAAAUCCUUUUGAAUGUAUUUAGCAAAGUCCUCAUAGGCGUCCUUGACCAAACAUUCAUCCAUCAAUUCAUCACGAUACGUCUCUGGUCUUUGGAGCCUGCCUAUGCUACUAGCAUUAUACAUUUGAUUUCUCCAUCCUUCGAACUCUUCGCAACCGCAUUGAGCAGCAAGCCAAUUAUUAUACUCAAACUGCAAAAAAACAUACAAAAGAUAUUACUAUGACAGUAUAUCAAAUAAUCAAAGGCACAUUCAUUACAGAUAUGCCUCAGGCCAUAAUUCAUCCAAUUGAAUCUAUUAGAUUUGUAGAAAAAGUUCCCCCCGAGAAAAUUCACGAACAAAAAUAUAGAGAAUAUGGAUUAUAUUCAACAAAAUAUCAAUUUGAUUGCCAGCAAUGUCUCUGUUAAUCUAUCAUAUGUACAGGCUUCAGAGUCUCCAUCCUGCCAGAUAAUGAUAAUGGGCCUCUAUAAAAGCAUGGGAGCUACCUAAUAGGUAUUAACAAAGAAAACGGGGUACUUAAGCUUACCUGAGAAUCACCUAUACGAUGAGUAUAUCUUUUUGGAACAUUUGAAGCUUCAAGAGUCAUAUAGAAGGCUUCAACUGCUUCUAUCAUCUCCUGUUGCAAUGGAAUUGCAAUCCUGCCCGAUAAAACGCCAGCAAUCCACUUGCAUUGUAAUUCAAUCAAUGGGAAAGGGGCAACCUAGAAGCAAUUACAGUAAAGGUGUUAUUUUUACAGUCUAAUUUUGCAUCAAAACGAAGCACAACACCAUCAAACAGAAUAGAACCUUCCAUGGUAACCCAACAAAUGAAAGCCAUGGAGCCAGAACUGGUGGGAAGACAUGCUGGUAUAACGGCCCCACUCGAUUAUCAUCCACAGUCACGAUGCCAUUAGUUUCAAGAAAAGGGAAGUGAUACUUGUACCUUAAAAUAACAAAAAUUCAGUUCCAUUUCUUUUGCUCAAACCAAGAUAUCCCUCCCUCUCUAUAUGUAUGUGCGUGUUUAAUUGCUAAAAUAAUUCAAAUUGAAAGUACCCAGUGCAAUGUAGAAUGAUGUCAGCUAGGACAACUCUCCCAUUUCGGAAUACCACAGAACCAUCUUCACGGACACUUUCUAUCUGCAUUGUUUUGAUACAGUCAUUUAAGAUCAGGCAAUUCUUCUGAUAUCAGUAUCAAAAAGAUACCUCCACCAGCUUCUUAAGAGAAGCCACUCACUCUUAAUCUGGGUGAUUUACCAUAGAAUGAAGCCACAUGUUAUCAUAGCCAGCCUGUGCUUCAUAUGUUUCAUUUGCAACUGAUCUUGACGCAACAUGAACCUCUUUGGCAACCCCAGCAAUUUCCCUUGAUAUAUCAGCAGCGCUUGCUGAACUCCCAAUCAAAACUACAACCUAACCACAUAGAGGUGAAAAGCAAACCAUAAUUAGUUCUUAAGAAAGAGGAGGUUUGUCACAAGAAACAAGCUCAAAAUAACAUAUAUUUACGCACAAAAUAUAUACAUACAUGUGUAUAUUUAAAAUAAAGAUGCUCCGAAAUUUGCAAGUAGAAGAAAGGAAACAAAAUCAGAAAAACCAAAAUAAAAUUGGGACAAGCAUUGUGAGUUUUCACAGUUUUACUAUUCGAUAGAAAGUAUAUAUGCCGUCCCAAAACUAAUGGACUUGAACAUUCUAUUUUAUUUGCAUCUCCUUGUACUUUACAUAGCAUCAGUUCUAUACUUGAAUGGGUUGAAAACAUGGCAAUUGAUCUAACAUUCUAGUCAGCCAACAUCAUAAUGCUAGAGGCAGUAGUUUUGUGCUGAAGUUACUAAAAAAGCAAGAAAAAUAUAAUUUGAAUCGCUACAGAGUAUAGAUAUAUGCAAAAACUAAAAAGUUCAAUAACCAAGUCCAUGACAUGCAUCAAAAUUGAAGCAGCAGUAUUUUGCAUUUCAAACAUAAGAACAUUAUGAGACGAGAAGAAGUAGAAAUCUAACACAUACUUGAUCUUGGAAGGGUUCAGGAAUUCGAUAAUUGUGGCUAUGCAUUUGCUUCCCUGGCCAAGAAUUUAUGCCUGAAAAGUACUUCUUUAUCAUCACAUUUUCCCAAAAUAACAAAAACAAAUAACCAAAACAUUAUAACUGGAAAAGAAAAAAAAAAACCAAUGGCAAGAAUAAAAAUGAAUAGUCCUCGCAAAAGUAAUUCCAAUACAAGAACCUAUCUUAGUCAUCAAAGAUGAAUAUUCCCUAAAAGAACAACCAACCUCAACCAAUCAAACAAGCAAACCAAAAAUCAACCCAAAAUUCAGCAUAAGGAAUAGACUACCUUGUAUUUCAGCAAUCUGAGGUUGAGUGUGAUGACCAUUACAGACCACAACAGCAUCAUAAAUCUCAUCUUCAAAAUCAAAGUCAGCUUUCUUCUUUUUAGACCUCACUUUCCACUUAUUACUAUUCUCCACUAACCCAAUAUUAACCACUUCAGUCUCAAACCUCACCAUCUCUUCAAUCUCAAACUCCCUCGCAAAAUCUUGCAGGUAGAGCAACACUUCUCUAUGACCCGGAUACCUUCUCGGGUCUCUCGUUUUGUCUUUUUUUGGUAUAAACGGAUAAACUCUGAAACCCAUCACUUCUCUGGGGAGGUUGGUGCGGAGAGAACUGUAAAGGCUGGAAUGGAUUAUGUUUCUGCUGGGAUCAAGGCCCAACGGGUCUGAUUCGACCCGGGAAUCAUAGAGCCAGGUGCCGCCGAUUUGGGCAUCUCGUUCGAAGACUACGACAUCGUGGCCCUCCUGAUGGAGCUCACGGGCAGCAGCAAGGCCGGCUGCUCCGGCACCGAUAACGGCCACUUGGCGGGAGUUGAGAGUAGUUGGGAGUGAUAAACGGUUGAUGGCCAUAAGAGUAUGCAGUGGACAUAGGACCGGGUUCUGUUUUAUUUAGUCUUGGUCAUUGACUAAUGAUCAUUUGCAUGAUUUUGAUUCCGAGGAUAUAUGGGCGGGUUGACGGGUUUGGCUUCGGCGGCCUAAUGAUAAUUUUCACUAAUAAAUUUUUCAAAAAGUUAGAAUUUCCUCCUAGAGUUAUUUUUAUUAUAAAUAUACUCCAAAUUCAACAUUUAUGUGUAAUUGCAUCCUAAUUUUUUUUAUGGAAUUUGCAAUCCUAAUUGAAUGUAAAGAUUGAAAUACAAUAAUAUAUUUGAUGAGAUCCACAAAAAAAUUCCGGUAAAUUUAAAACCAAGGUGAAAUUCAAUUUGAUACACACCUUUUCAAUAAAUUUUCCAAAAAAAUUAGACCUAAAAUAAAUUUGAUUCCCUUUAAUUUCCUCUUUCCCUAUUUCAAUAAACUUUUAUGUGGAUUUCAUUAAAUAUAUUAUUUUUAUUUUGAAUCUUAACCCAAAAUCAAUUUUGGUGUGCAAUUAUAACUAAUUAUUGAAUUUGAGGUAUAUUUGUAAUAAGAUUGCUUGAAGUUCUGAAAGUUUAGGGUGAAACGUAUUAUUAAGCUGGUUGUGAAAUAUAAGGUUGCACACGGUCUCAGGAACCAGACUAAAAAAUUUUAUCCAAUCGAAUUGGAAUCGAAAAAGGAUACCGAACCAGGUUUGACGGUUUUUUUUCAAUAGCAAAAAACAGAAUCCUGGACUUUCUAACAAUCAUUAAAUUGAUUUCUUGUUUAAUUAUGCAAUGUCUGGAUAUGUUGUAAUUUUGUUUGUGAGUUCAGUAAGUGAUAUAUAUUGAUAUGUCAGAGAUUGUUGAGAUUGCCAAACAGGUCCGUAUAGUCUUAAGAUCAAUUGCAGUUGAUAUAUUUAUAAUCUGCCUGGAUAUGAAAUCACGUGGCUUCAUUCCAAUGCUAAAAUUAAACCUUAUAAUGCUUUGUUUGGAAAAGAAAGAAAAUCGAAAAUAAUGGAAGAAACAUGGAAGAAUUACCAAUUUUUUUUACAUAGUUAUUUUUCACCUUUAUUUAUAAUUGUGGAUUUAUAACUGUGGAUGAGGAUGACAAUUGUAUAACACCAUAAUUAUUAAUACGUGUCAGCUUGAAAAUCCGCCCGAUUUUAAUUUUAAACUAUUAUAAGAAGGAAAAUCGAAUUGAAUUAGUUGCUCCAUGGUUGGACCAAUCAACCAGCAUAGAGCCAAUUGAUUAUUUUUAAUUAUUUUUUGAUUAUAUUAUGAUUAUUUUAAAUUAUAAUUUAUUUAAUUAAUAUAUAUAUUUUUAGUCUUUUAUGACCCAUUAAUUUAAUCAUUGAUUACCGAUUAAUUUAUUUAAUAGACUCAAUAUCAAGAUCGGAUUUAAUAACACUACGUAGGACCAUUGCAGAAGUAUUAUAUUUCCACCAGUUUUGGCUCUUGGGUUUUCAUUUGUCAUCAUGGAUGUGUUUAGCCUAUUUUGAUUGUAUUCCGUAACAACUUUGUAAAUGCAUUAUUUUUUAUAGUAUUGAAAAUAACUUUUAAAUGUUAAUAUAGUCUUUUAUAAAAAGUUAAGAUUGUGUUCGGCAACAUCUUUUUAAGUAAACGCUAAAAACUAUUUAAAAAGUUGUUCGUUAAUAUAGUAUUUGGACUAACUUUUAGAGAUUAUAGUAGCGUUUUGUAAAAAUUAACUCAUGAAACGUUUAACUUUUAGCGUUUUAUAAAAAGCUAUUAAAACAACUAAUAGCUACAAAAACAGUUAAGCUUGGCGAACAAACUCUAAUUCUUGUAACAUUUAGUUUUUAGCGUUUGAUAAAAAAUUACUCAAAUAGCUAAACUUCACCAAAACAUUUAAUUUUGCCGAACAAUCCAUUUAGCAAAAUGUUUUAUUUAUGUACUAUGUAAUUUCAACUGUAAAUUAAAUAGAUAAUCUAAUAACAUUAAUAAUAAUAAUAAUAAUAAUUUGUGAUCAAUAACGAUCUAACCUCCAUAAAAGUGAGAACAUAAAUGUAAUUAUUUUUACGCUAAAGAGAUUACACCUUAUAAUAAUAAUAAUAAUUGUGUGCAAUUGGUAGCGGCUUAUCCCAUCCUCUAUGUAUGAAUUGCAUUCCAAGUGAAAUAUACCUGCAAGUCAUAAGAAAGUGGCGAAGUUCAGCACAGCUAUGAACCAGUCAUAUAUUUAUUUAAAUUACUAAGGGCCACGAGUCCAAAAAAUUGCAGCAUGUCGGCACAUCUUUUUGGGACAUGUUACUUCACUUAUGCCUCUAAUGAGACCAAACCCAUGUCUCAUCAUUCCUACCAUUUCGUAUCUCUCAAUUUUCAAACUAAUAAAAUGCACAUAAUGCGAGUCAUACUUUUCAAUUUUCAUUUUUUCCCCUUUCAAAGUAAUAAAAUUAAUCUCCUUUUCCCUUUACUUCAAAAAUUUCUAAAAACUGCCAUAAUGAUUUUUUAUACUGAGCAAAAAGAAAAUCUAAAUAAAGCAAACAAACAUCACUCAAAGAGGAGUCACUGUCACAGACUCACAAUGCUAGUUAGGUAGCCUUAGGAAGUCACUUUCACCAGAAAGCAGAGGUCGGAUUUUACAUAAAUCGAUAAGGAUUGGUAGGUUUAAUUGGCCAACAAAAAUUUAUUAUCUAUAAUUGAAUAACACUAUUUAUAUAAUUGAGAAUAAAGUCAAUAUAUUCAUUUUAAUUUUUAAUUAUAUGUUAUAUAUAAGAGAUAUUUUAUAAAUAUUAUAUUUAUCGACAUAAUAUUUAUACUGUUAUUUAGAAUUGGAGAGAUGAAUCAUGAGACGACAACUAUUAGUAUAAUUAAUAAUUAUUAAAAUAAUUAAUUUUAUCCAUUAGGAUCUAAGCAUCAAUAUUAUGGCACAGAUUAGGCGCGAUUUGCUUUUUUUUGUAAUUUUCUUAAUAAUCAAGAUAUAAGAAAAAAAAUUACAACAACAAUAUUCAACAAUAUAAUUAAUAGCCAAUCAAAUGACUGGGAAGUUGUACAUACCAUUAACUAUGGACAACCUGUUUAGAUUUUGAUCCAAGGGAAUUUGGGAGGCCUGACCCUACAUUGUUUUUUAAUCCCACUUCUCUUCUCAUCCAUAAAACCAGUGGACGUUAUCAUUUUGUUUGGGUCUCCUGUUAAAGAAACCACAAUAGAUAUUUUAUUAAAGAGCUAUAACCUGAUUAUGUGUGAUAUGAUUUGUAGAAAAUAUAGACAGCGAGAAAUUUUAAAUUGAAUCAUCUUCGAUAUAAAAAAUUAUUAUUGUUACCAAUACUUAAAUAACAUCAUUUUACAAAGUACUUAAAUAUAUUGCAAAAAAAUUUCGACAACCGAAUAGCUACAAACUACCAACUUUAAUUAAAAAAAUCAUUUUUUACAAUAUAUCACGAAGUAUCAUAAGAUAUUUACAACCGAAAAUAUUAUUUUGUAGUAGGAUAAUUUUCAAAAUAUCAUGAAGCAUUACAAGAAAUGGUAACCAAAUCUAUUACUUUACAAUCCACUAACUUUGUAACCAUAGCGAAAUUAGAAAAAAUUGUUUGGAGAUGCGAAAUAAACUCUGUAGGUGAAAGAUAUAAUUUUUAUAUAUCUUAAGGAUUAAUAAUAACCUAGUAUCGAAUAUUAGAUACUAUUAGCCCAGUUGAAACAAAUGAAUCAUGGCUAUAGAAUUUAUUUAGAAAUGAAAUAUGUUACAAUUUAAGAUAAUGAAUUCAAUUGAAUUCCACAAAAUUAUAUUUGGAAUAUAUUCUUAAAUGAAAAUUCAUUUGUCUUUAUUUAUUAUAACACCCUUGACAUAAUAAUUUAAUAAAAAUAAAUAACAAACACCAAUUAUAUUUAUUAUGUAUAAUAUAAUAUCCUGUCAUUUUUUAUUAAAAUAUAAAUAAUAAAUUUCAUAUAAAUAAGUACACUAAUAUUUCACACUAAUUAAUUAAUUAUAUAAGUAGUAACAUUCAUCAUAAUAAUUAUUUUUAAUUCAUGUAAAAAAUUUUGUUUAUUUAAGUAAUUAAUUUGGAAGCAAAAAAAAAAUAUUAAGAAUGUUACUAUUAUUUUUAAUUGCAUUUGAAAAUAAUUGUUAAUGCUCAGUUUCUAUAGUUUUAUAAUAAUGAUAACUAACGUAAUUACUAGACUUCAAAAAAAAAAAAACGUCAUUACAGGUUUGCAAAUUUCUAAAAAAAAAUAUAAAUUAACUUCAUUAUUGGAUUAAAAAAAAAAUAACUGUUAUAGUUUGGAAUUUUUCAAAGAAAGUAAAUAAAAAGGAAAAAAAAAGUAAAAAUAGUUGAGUUUUACAGUGGAGGGUAAUUUUGUUAAUAAAUAUUUUAAUGGUCAAUUUUGUGGAAUCCAUUCUAUCAAUUUUAGUAGAAUUUGAGUUAGGUAUAUCUAAUUUCAUAGAAUUUUGUAUUUAUUUUCAUUCCAAACACAAUAUUUUAGACUUCUAAAUGAAUUUCACAAAAUUUUAUGUAAUUCAUUUAUUUCAAACGGAUUCUACAAUUUAAUAGCGGUAAAUUUUAAUUUUUUAUAAGAAUUUUUUUUUUAGGUGUAGUAGUCUAUCUAAUUUUGCAAACAACCACUUUUUGUAAAUUGUUAAGCAGUAUUAAAAAAAAUUCGCCAUCAAAAUUAUUACUUUGUAAUAUAGUCACAUCGCAAAAAAAUAGCCCUUUCUUACACAUUAUUAGGAAUUUUUACAAAAUAUUUAUAAGUAGAUUUGUUAUCUUGUGAUCUGAUAAUUUAAAAAAUAGCCACAUUUUACAAAAUAUUAAUAACAACAUUCAUUAUUUUGUAAUAAUUUUUUUAAAAAAUUAAUUUAUUGUGUAUUUGGAAUUUUAUAAUAGCUUUGUUUUACUUGAAGGCAUUGUAGAAAAUGCCACUACUUUAUCUUCAUUACUUGUAAAUCCUGGCUUGGUGACUAGUUUACACGUAUAGAAUAGCAAAUAAGAUCACAAUGCAAAAUGAAAAUUGUUAAAAUGAAACUAAUUAUUUAAAGUUUUAAUUAAAAUUUUGACAAAUUGGUUAGGUGUUGAUUGUUUUUGGCAUGAGGAAAAAAUAAAAUAAAAUGAAAAUUGCAUGGAAAAAAAGAAAAAGACUGAUUGAAAGGGAAGGGGCAAAGUAGUAAAUAGAGAGAGGAAAAAGACAUAUUAAAUAACCACUAUCGUGCUUUUGCAGUUGAAACUGUCAUCUCUUUUAAAGCCAAAAUCUAUUUGGCAUAAGAAAAUGGAGAGAGAGAAAGAGAGAAAGAGAGAGAAUACCAUAAAGAGAAAGAAUGGUCCCACACAAGCCACUGAGCAGAGCUCAUCGGCCUCAGGCCUCUCCUCUCCAAAAGAGAGAGAGAAAGAAUUUAUCUUUCUAAUGGGUUCUCUUCCUUCUCUUUACCCGCUGAUCUGAUUCCUUUUCUUUUUUCUCUCCUUUUUCUUUUCCCUACCCUUCCCUUCCCUUCUCUUAUAUAAUAUUCCCUCUUUGACUUAACUUGUCUCUCUUUCUAUAGAUAUUAUCAUUUGCUUUCUCCUUCUUCCUCUUCUUCUGGGUUUAUAAAGAAAGAGCACCAGUUGUAUUGUUUCUGGGUUUUCUUGCCUCUUGGUACUUUCUCUAUCUUUUCUCUACAUUUUUUUUUGGGAUUUGAGAUUUUUCUAAUUUUGUCAUGUAUCUGUAUCUUUUGUGUAUGAGCUGGAACUGGUAUUUGAUCUGAUUAAAUGUCAUUUUGUAUGAUAUUGGAAUUGUUCAUGUCAAGCCAAAGAAGACAAGUUAAGAUUCCGAUUGCUUAUCACGAGGUUCAUGGGUUUAUAUUUUUUAUUUAUUUGUUUUUUUUUUUUUGGUCGUUUUCAAAGCUGUUUAUCCUUUCAGCUUGUAUUAAUAAAAAAAUAUGCGACCUUUAAGAAAGUCUCUCUUCGUACUGCAGUUUUUUUUUUUUUUCUCUUUUUAAAAUUUUUGUUGUUUAUUAGCCUCUCGUGAAGAUAUUUUUGGCAAGAUUUUCCGUCUUGUAGACGGAAGGAUGUUAGUUUAUGGGCCAAAAGAAAAAAGAAGAAAUCUUGAGUUUGUUCUGGGUAAGCAAAGAGCAUUUGAUCCAUUUCCAAAAAUUUUAUCUUUCAAUCAAAACCUUUUUAGAAUAUAAUUGGUCCUGUUGCAUGAGUUCCCUCGCACCCUUUUGUUCUAUCCCAAUCCAGAUUCUUUACUCAGUCUUGAACUAAAAUGGCGUGGCAGCAUUUCUACAUUAUGCAUAAUUAUCCUUUUUAUUUUGAGUUUGUGUCACAGUGGAGCUUGUAUAUUCUUUCUAUGGCCAUGCCUGAAUUUUUCUUGACGUUUUUUUUUUUUCUUCCAGUCGAUGGUUUGAGAAGAAACAUGUUUGAAUUGACUUCAGCAAGUCUGACCUUUGUCUUGUAGCGAAUAGCGAUCAAGGAAUUGCCAGAAUAGGCAGAGAUAAUGCUUAUAGGGGAACCAAAUCAUGCUUUUUCACACUAUAGCAGGGUGCUAUCGGAAUUCAUAACUAAUUGCAUUGUCCAAACUAUGGGCAUAGUUGUUGGUCAUUUAACACCUAACUAGUAAGUUGGUAAAAGGCAGCAUAGUGAAAAUACAACUUGUUGAGGAAAUGCAAGGAAGAGGAGGUGGUUUCAAUGGCUAAGCACUUGAGAUUGCUCCUGCAUUUGAAAUUGAAGUCUAUGUAUAAAUAGCUUCUCUGGCUUGCUAUUUUGGUGAAUAAUUGGUUCCACUUUGCGUUUAUGUUGGUUUAUUAAAUGCUUUAAAUGGCUGGUAAUCUGCACAUGGUUGGUUGUGCUUAUGUACUAACAUAAUUAAGCAGUUGUACUUUUAUCCUUCAAUUUUUAAAGCAUAACUGAAAAUUCUGGCCCAAACAAGAGAAUGAGGAGGAAAAGGUUAAAAUAGGAAGUUCAUCGUUGAACUGCUAGAUGUUUGCGUUUGUUUGUGGCUUAGGUUUUUAGAACCUUUAUUGCUGUUAAACAAUGUAAUUUAUGCUCUAGAUUUUUUGCUAAAUAGACGAAUUAAAUACUUCUAUACUUGAGCUAAUUUUGAUUAUUCAAAUGCUUGCCUAGCAAUGAUAGUUCAGAAGCUAAUCCUAGAUUGACUAGUUUCCUCACUAUAACUGAUGUUACCUAUUUUACAGCCAGCAACAUUAAGCUUUUCUGGAAUGGAGAAUCAAUUACUGGGAAAAAUCCUUGUGAAACUUGUGGAUUUAAGGAUGCCAGAUGUGAUCUAAUCUGAUGCACUUGUUCAAUUGUAGUAUAGAGAAAAUGAUGAUGCAAGGAGAAUUUGAUAUAAAUCCAGUUCAAAUAUAUACAGAUUCACUUAAAGAAGUUUUAAAGCAGACAAUGAUCAAUCAGGAUGUUGUAUUCAGAAAUCAGGUAUGAUCUCACCCUCGCACUACAAUAUGUUGUUAGCUAGAUUAACACCAUAUGAUUCUUUUGAGUGGGUCAAAUCCUUGGGCUGCUUCUGAAAUAUAUUCCUUAUCUGAUUCCCCGUAACUUGUCUUGACUUCUUAAACAAUGUGGAUGGCUCUUUGAUUAUAUCCACCUAAUAUUGCUCAUCUUAAGGUUAUGCAAAUACAAAAACCAUACCUGUGCCUCUAUCUUCUCAGCCCACCUCUAUAUGCUACUGAAAUUUCUUGAGAUCCAUGAACUCCAGUAGUUCUGGAUUAUACAAUUAUCAGUAAUGAAGGACCUCAGUUCUGAGCACUUACUAUAUUGUUACUAAUAUUUACUUAGGUCCAUGAACUCCAUCGGCUAUACAGUGUACAAGAAUCUCUAAUGAAGGAUUAUGGUUGGAAAGAGUGUAAUGGAUACUGUUCAUGGAAUCCAAAAGCUCAAUCAUCUCUACUUCCUCUUACAAAUCAUACAAGAUACAAAUCACCGGCAAAACAAACCAGAUUCUUAACUACCGAGGUAAGUGAAGUACCAGUUUUGAGAAUGCUAUUACAACUUACAAGUGAUCCUUCUUAAUGCAUUGGGGUAGAGUGUUUUGGGUGCUUUUGUUAUUCUGUUACUUUUUAUUGUCUCUUUUUGUGACUCUGGGGCAUGAGACAUACCAUAUGAUAGUCUAAUCAAGAAGAUCAAUUAAAAGUUGGCAAUACCAGUGAUGGAGACUUUAUUAGAAUUAUAUUUCAAUUUGUUUUUUUGUCCUUGAGAGAACAUGUAAUGUCUGUAUGAUUAAAGAACAGUCAGACAUGAUAUAUCAUAUCAUCUACCAAUGACUUGGUUACAUAAAAUAAGAAUGAUGAUGCCAUGAACUUUAUAGUUUUAAUCGGCUAAGUUUGUCUUUUAGGUGGAUUCAACUCCUCUUCUAAGCCAAGAGGUGUUCAAGGAUUGUGAAGAUGCAUAUUACAAGCUUCAGCAUAGAUCUCUUGAUCUUCAACUUUCUGCUGAUGAAUUCAUUAACAAUGGUGAGGAGAAUAUUCCAAUGAAAGGGAAUGUUCAAAAUUCUUUAGAAGGCCCUGUAGACUUUAAGCUUCCAAUUUUGGGUGAUAACUCUCCAAAUGCAGAGGAAUUGAAGCUUUCCCUUAGCACUGGAGUGGAUAAUAGAACAGUAGGACAUACAACGAGAACAUGUUUCACUAAGAAAUCUUUUUCCUGCUCUCAAAAUGUGAUUGAUUUAGAAGAAUUGAAAGAAAGGAUACUAGAUAGAUAUGUAAAAUGCCCACCACCUCUUGGCCGUGCAUGUCUAGAAGUUCAUUCUAAAGGAAAGCAUGACUCACAAACUUCUGACUUCCCUGGUCCAGACAUUUCAAUCAGUAUAAAGAAAGAUCUUUCUCAUGAGAUUGCAGAAAGUAGCUCUAUUCAAGAAUACAGUGAAUGUUAUCAAGAGCAAACCUUUUCUAACGAGGGUAUAUUAAAUCAUUUUUACAAAACUAAUUAUAUUAUUAUGGGCUUGAUUUGUGCUUGAGGAUUCUCAUCUUGAAAAUUAAAAGAUAUUCUCAUUUAAUGAGUUAGCUCUUUUUGUUUGUUGGUUUCUCAUACAGGAAAUAGAGAGUGCCAUGAUGAUGUCCCAUCUAAUGAUCAUUUCACUGAAAUGCAACAGUUUACUUUAUAUCGAGGCCAGCAGUUUGACCUUAACAAAGUUCAUCUGGAUGAUGACUCUUGUUGCUCAGACGAUCAUAUGCUUGUCUACCCUUCCACAGCAAGCUCAAAAGGCAAUUCUCAUGGACUUGCAGGCAGCAUGCACGAUGGAACUUGUCCAACUGCGUUUCAGGGAAACAAAGUAAAUCAGUUCUCAAAUGGAGUUUCUGCAAUGCUAAAACAAGAUAAUAUUGUAAAUCUUGCUCUUGCAAAUUCCAACCGAGAAAAUAAGUCCGCAGACAAUUGGACCAGAAAUACUGGAAUAAUUAGUAGUCCAGAGUCCAUUAUUAGGACCGCAGUAGACAUUUCUGAAGAUCUUGGUUGCUGCAGUGGUCACAAAAAUGGUAUUGAUGAGCUGAAGUCAAAACUUGCUAGGGAAGUGAGUAGUGAGAAAAGUGAGAUAGAAAAUGCUCUUUUUUCAUGUAAUGAUCAAAGCCAAAAUACAUGUCAAGAUGGACAUGGCAAUAAGUCACCCUCCUCUUGCAAGUCCUACUGCAUCUCUGAUAAUGAUUCAAGCAGUGCAAAGACAAAGUAUUCUGGCAUCACAUCAGGUGUUUUGAAAACCCAAUUAGGAUCUCAAGUUGGUGAUGUGAUAAGUGGAGAGCAUGAUCAAAAAACAUGUGACGGCAUUGACAUUAAAAAUGACUGCUACACCAAGAAAGAAGAAUCAGCUAAUGUAGAUGUUUUGAUAAAAGAAGCAGCUGAAAUGCUCAUACAGAUAUCUGCAAAGUGUUCGGCUAGUCAUCAAUAUUUGUAUGCAAAAGUGGGAUCCAAGCAGAUGGAAGAUGACAAGAGAGAGCAAACACAAUGUUCUUGUGAUUCUUUUGAGUUAAUGACUUUAAACCUAACAGAAAGCAAUCUGGAUGACAAUUCUGUGUCAUCGAAGCCAAUUGAAGUGGAUGACAUAGAGACGAAGGAUUUUGGAUUUAAGUUUAGACGGGGGCGGAGAAUGAAAGAUUUCCAGAAGGAGAUCCUCCCCAGUCUUGCAUCUCUUUCUAGACAUGAAAUUCUUGAAGAUAUAAACAUUAUGGAGGGAGUUCUAAGAUCCCGUGAAUACCGAAAAAUGAGAGCCAAAAUGGCAGCACAUGUUGACAACUGGGUUGCACCAGUGAGAAGUAGACGGUCAAGAACUAGUUAUGCUGGAAGAAGAAAUUUUUCAUGAAUAGUUCAAUUAGAAGUUGAUAAUAGCAUUAUAACCGAACUUAAACCCACUCUUGGUUCAACAUACCAUCACUACAUAGUGGUUGGUAUCCCCAGAUUUAGAAAUUACAGUCAAUUACUUUCAGAAAGAUCAUUGGUUAUUUUGUUUUCAUUCUUGCAAGAGCAAUCUUUCUUCCGACCUUCGUUGCACCACUUAUUUUGAGGCUGGAUGGUGCUUUUACAAUUUUGUUCUUUUUGUCUGUGUUAUCUGGGAUUAAAAAAAAAAAAAAAAAAUCAGAAUCUCCCUUUCUCAUGAUGACUUGCUUCUUCACUGAUGGCAAACAAAGUUAUUAAGUGAAUCGAAGUGUUAAUGUUGUGCCUGUAUAAAUGAUAAUGCAACAAGUUUAAUGAUCUUUAGCUUCUAUAUACAUUUUCACGGUUCUAAUCUUCUCCAAUAUCUUUAAUGGAAUGCACAAACUUUGAGACCACUCACCCAUUUAUUUUUAUAGCAUGUUAUGAUCUAAAAAGUUGUCACAAAAACCUCUAUGUUUCACUGUUUAGAGUCUAAUACAGAUUAAGAUUGGAGUAUCAAGUUGGUAUUUUCUCCUUAUAUACACAUAUUUCUAGGUUUGGUUAGAGCAGCAGGAAACAAGGGGCAUAGUGGGGGUCCAUUUGCAAUUCUUUUCAAUAAGCCACAUGCCAAAUCUCAUUUUCAACUUUGCUUCCAUUCUCAGAAACACAAGGAAAGUAUCUCCGCAACUUUCAUCAGAUUUUCAAAAGAAAACUUCUUAGUUGAAGAAUGUUUGGAAUUUUCUGAUGUUUUGUGGUGUUAAAAGAAUAGCAAAUGAAUAUUUUUCUCGUUGAAGGAAAAAUUAGACUAUUUCAAAGAAAAACGAUUUCUUAUUCAAAAAAAGGAAAACUUUUUUCGGAUAAUGAUAUACUUAAUACAGACUUAAAAUACAUUUAUUUAAGCUAUUGAUCAUUAACGGUCACUGGAUAUCAUCGAGAAAGCAAAUUGUUUUUGAAUUAUCAAAGUCCAAAGGUAAUUCUAGAUGUGUAAGAUGAUGAUAACACAUAUUAUAGGUAAGAUUGCUAUGACAGAUGUGUUUUCUUCUCUUUGAUUUUCUUUAGUGUGAUAAGCACAGGGAAAAUAAACAAAUGCAAGCAAUAUGAAGAGUGGAGGCAAAGCCACUAAAAGCCACCCUUUGGGAACAAGCAUGCUUCAAUAAUGAAUCCAAAAGGCAUAAAAAUGCAAAAUGGUCCAAGUUCUUGAGUGAAAGAAACUGCUUUCAAAUCAAAUUAUGGUUGGCUGGUUUCUUAUAGUGGAUUAGAUAUUCAUGGGCAAGUGGAGCUCAGAUGAUGCCACAUGCAGCCAAAUUCUUCACCUAAAUCUUUGAAUAUUUAUGCACUUGCACAUACCCCACCACUUUUACAGUGGGAUAAUCUAAAUAUUAAAAAGUGAAAGGUUUUUCAUUUAAAAAACAAAAUACUAAACUUGUCUUCCCCUUAGAAAAAUUAGAAACUGCAAUUGCCUAGGCACAUUCUGCAAGCAGUCCCUAUAUACACAAGAGUCCUAUGAUAACUUUUAUAGAGUUAACAAGUUUUUCUUUUUUCUUUUUUAUGAAACCCUUUUCUUGAUAUUUUCUUUUUCAUGUUUUCUUGAAUCCUUCUCCUUUUUUUUUAAAUGACACUACUGCAACUUGCAGCAUGAUAUUUUACAGCCACCUUUGUUUCUACUCCACCAUUCUUAUUCAUCCAUCUGUUGUGUAAUCUAAGCCUGUUGGAUCAGUAACAGGCAGUGGUUACUCUCGCCAUGAAAGAAGGUGCAGGUGUAUGUGCUUCAGUUAAUGAGGCUGCACAAAGUAGUUUCAGGCAAGCUCACCAUUUAUUCAGUUGUAUUUCUGAUCAUAAAAACCAAAAAAGAAGCAUUCAAGAAGUGAGUCUGAUUGCUCAAGGUGCAAUAAAAGAAUUCAAUAAUCUACUCACUCUUCUUGAUGAAUCAACAAAGUCUAAUCCUAAAAGAAUUAGGAAAGGUCCUUUGCCACUUUUCCAAUAUGACAUUAACCCACUUGUAUUCAUGGAUAAUAGUCUUAGUCAACAACCUCAGAAAGUCAAACAGCUGUUCCCUUUUCACAGUCUUCAUCAAUCAACCAAUUCAAUGAUGAUCCCUACAAAUAGUUCCAAGAACAGAAGUCUUAAGCCAAAAAGCUCUUCUUUUUUAAGCUUGGAAUAUGGAAAUGUCGUGCACAAGCCAUUUGUACUUCAUUGCUCAUCAUCUGAAACCAGUGCGUUCUCCAAAAGCAAGAAUGGGAGGAAGAGUGAAGAGGCAGGAACUAGGUGCCUAGCCUCAACUGGUGGAUGUCACUGUUCAAAGCGAAGGUAAAUAAAAUUAAUGGUAAUUAAUGGAUGUUUUCAUGUUUCUUAAUUUAUUUCGUUCUUGAAUUAUUAUAUUAACAGGAAACUGAGAAUCAAGAAAAUAGUUCAAGUGCCAGCUUUAAGUGGCAAGUUAGCUGAUAUACCACCAGAUGAUUAUACUUGGAGAAAAUAUGGACAGAAACCCAUAAAGGGAUCUCCUUAUCCCAGGUAUAUUUCAUUCUUAGUACCUCGUGUGAAUUAAUUAAAAUGGAGGGAUGAGCUUAAUUUCCAAAAUAAACAAGUAAUUAAUUUUUAUUUUUAUUUUUAUUUUUAAUAUGAAAGGAGCUAUUACAAAUGUAGCAGCAUGAGGGGUUGCCCUGCAAGAAAGCAUGUGGAAAGAUGUUUACAGGAUCCUAGUAUGUUACUUGUAACCUAUGAAGGGGACCAUAGUCACUCCAACCUUACAUUUCAAUCACCUAACAUCAUUCUUCAGGUUUAAUAACAAACUCAAAGGAAAAGCAGAAAUAGAAACCUUUUCUAUCAGUUUAUCAUGUUAGUCAAUCCUUUCUUAUUUUCAUCUUGAGAAAAAAAAAAUAAAUGCUUCUCUCUUUUAUAUAAAAAAAAUAACAAUAUAAUUUUUUUUAAGCAUACAAUAAUAACAAAAUUUGCAUGUGCAAGUACAAGUGUGUAUAUGUUGUUCUAGCAGUGCGCUAAAUCAAUUCUAAUUUGCUAUUCUAAGUUAUAUUGAUAUACUCAGAUGUAUGAUGUACUCCAUUAUUCUAAGUUAUAUUGAAAUAGAAAUUAUAAUUAUCUAUUAUUAAUUUUGACAAUUAAUUAAUUGUAUAUUAGAGUUUAUGAGUUUCAAGACUAAUUGAUAAAAAAAAAAAAUGACACUAAUUAUUUUUCAACAUGAAUAAUCAACCAACACCAAUGUUAAAUAUUAACUACCUUGAAUUAGUAUCGAAAAUUACAUGCAAAAGUUUGGGCUUUAGGCCCAACCUGAAAAAUUAUAUGAAGCAAUCUUUAUACUUUCCUUUUUGGGCUCAUUGAUCCACAUGAAGUAGUAAUUGUUUACAAGUCUUCUUAUCUUGUUGUAGGGGUUGGGUUUGCCAUUUCAACGACUUGUUGUUUUUUCUAGCCAUUGGAUACUCUUAAAUUAAUUUCAAGAAUCUGAAAUUUCAAUAUUUUUUUACUACUCAUAUUAUUGUUUAUAAGAUCCUCUUAUCAUUAUGGACUAACAAUUAAAUUUUUUUUUUUUUUUAAAUGGGAAAAUAUGUUUAAUGAACACACAUGAUAUAUCUAAAUUUUGAUGCCUGAAGGGGGCUUAUAUGACUAUGAGUCCCAUAACCAAUACAACUAUCCAAGGUGUUGUCUAAAGCUAAACCCCAACAUUUGUUUUUUUUUUUUUUUAAAUGGGAAAAUAUGUUUAAUGAACACACAUGAUAUAUCUAAAUUUUGAUGCCUGAAGGGGGCUUAUAUGACUAUGAGUCCCAUAACCAAUACAACUAUCCAAGGUGUUGUCUAAAGCUAAACCCCAACAUUUGUUUUUUUUUUUUUUUAAAUGGGAAAAUAUGUUUAAUGAACACACAUGAUAUAUCUAAAUUUUGAUGCCUGAAGGGGGCUUAUAUGACUAUGAGUCCCAUAACCAAUACAACUAUCCAAGGUGUUGUCUAAAGCUAAACCCCAACAUUUGUUUUUUUUUUUUUUUAAAUGGGAAAAUAUGUUUAAUGAACACACAUGAUAUAUCUAAAUUUUGAUGCCUGAAGGGGGCUUAUAUGACUAUGAGUCCCAUAACCAAUACAACUAUCCAAGGUGUUGUCUAAAGCUAAACCCCAACAUUUGUUUUUUUUUUUUUUUAAAUGGGAAAAUAUGUUUAAUGAACACACAUGAUAUAUCUAAAUUUUGAUGCCUGAAGGGGGCUUAUAUGACUAUGAGUCCCAUAACCAAUACAACUAUCCAAGGUGUUGUCUAAAGCUAAACCCCAACAUUUGUUUUUUUUUUUUUUUUUAAGUGAGAAAAUAUGUUUAAUGAACACACAUGAUAUAUCUAAAUUUUGAUGCAUGAAGUGGGUUUAUAUGACUAUGAGUACCAUAACCAAUACAACUAUACAAGGUGUUGUCUAAAGCUAAGUACCAUCAUUUGUUUUUUUUUUUUUUUUUCUCAACCACUAGUGAUGCUUUGCUAGCUUGGUGGUAGGCCCAAAAAUACAUAUCAUAGUCUUUCAAAUCUUUUCAUGGAGUAGCUAAUGAGGAUGGUACAAUAUAAAAUAUAUUGUACAGUAUAAUAUAUAAUUGUUGUCCUUUGUCCAUCUCCACAUCAUCCUUAGUGGAUAUAAUGAAUAAAAAUGAAAUUGAAAAUUAAGGUUUAUUCUUUGAAAGUAGGUAAUGUUUUUGAAGAUCUUCAAUUGGGAAUUUAUAGCAGCGAUCCCAAGUUAAUGCAUAGACAAGUAAAAUAUAAUGGUAAUGAAACUCCAUUAGGGUUCCUCCUUAACAAUCAUAACUCCUUAGACAGAUUUUGUUAAAAAAGAAAAAGAAAGGAAAAAAAAAAUAUUUGGUCCAUAAUCUCUGCCCUAAUGUUCAAUGAUUCAUCAUUUAGCAGUAAACUUUUAUUUAAAAAUAGAAUAGUAUGUCUCCCGAUCAUUUUUGUCUUAGAAAUAAAGUACCUUUGUCUCCACAGUUUAUUAAUUAUAUUUAAUAUUGAAGUCACUACUUUCUCCUCACACACUUGUUCUUGGAAGAUGAAUUAAUUAAUUAAUUAAAUUAUCUUAAUUACUUCAUAAUAAUAAUAAUAAUAAUAAUAAUAGCAAUUAAUUAACAAUUUGAUGACAUGACAAAACAACUAUAUAUUUAAUGAUCUAUCAUAACAAAGGGUAUGGUUGGUUAUUGUCAAAUGAUUAUGAGAUUACUGAAAUCACGGGCCAUUUAAAAAAUAAUUAGAUCAAUUAACUGAAUCAACAAAUUGACUUCCUUCUCCUCCCCUCUCUCUCUCUUUUUUUCCCAAGAUAAAUUGGAUUUCAAAUCUUUAAUUCACUUUAACUUGUAAAAUUAUACUUAUUAAAUAUUUUAACUUAUAUAAUCACUCUGCUGAAUAACUCAAUUCAUAAAACACAACCAUCUCUGGAUUUAAAAUAGAAACAUUUUCAUGUGAGUUUUAAUUUCGACAUUUCAUCUCAAGAUUUUCAUCCAACUAUUAGUCUAUUACGCGUGUCUUCUUGUUCUAAUUUUUAAAAUAAAUAUAUUUUUUUUAUUAAUUAAAUUAUUAUUUCAAUUCAUUCUCUUGAUAAAGGAUAUAUUUGAUAAAAUUAAUUAUUUUAAUAACAUUUAGUUGAUGGUCGUUUUAAUAGUUUUUUAUAAAAAGUUAAAAGCUAAAUAUUAUAAGGAUUAACUUUUAUAAAAUACCACAUUAUCCGUUAAAAGCUAGUUGAAACACAAUAUUAUUAAAGAUCAUUAGAAAUAAAAUUUAACAUUUUCAUGAGUGAAAAUGCUAAAACUAAGUAAGCUGUGUUGAGGAACGCAGCAUCCGAAGUAGUAUAAUCUUUCUACUGUAAAAUUUUCAAGAAAAUGGUGGAAGAAUGGAGAGAGACUAUUAUUUUCUUGGAUGGAUGUCGUAAAAAGCCAGCAAAUGAAUUUACUUGUGUCAGGUUUCAGGGGUCUUGGCUUGCCAAUUGCCAAUUGCCAAUUGCCAACAACCUUAUCAUCUGAGCUAUGUGUACAAAACCUAACAUGAAAUGGGAUACAACAAGUUCAAAGAAAGCUAACGCACCAAUCAUUUUCAGGAGCUUUGUCCUAGAAAUGAAGUACAAAAUUAAAAUUUUUUCUCAUGUAAACAGCAAAAUUGGAAAAGAAAAAUUAUAAAAAGGACUUUUGCCAUCAUUUGAGACUGUCUUCCAAUUUCUUUUGUCACAGAGGGGAAAAUAAUUAAUGAUCCAAUGACCAAAAGACUCAUUAAUGGGAAAACAAUCAGAGAAUUUACGUUUAAAUCUUUAAAUAGAAAUGUAAUCAUCAACCAUUCAUAUUUAUGUUGAAAAGUUGGAUCAAUUAAGUCAACUCCCACUUUAUUAAAAUUCUCAAUAAUCUAUUAUUGUCAGAUUUUACACUACUAAAUUAUGCUUUAAUAUAAAUUGUUAAUUAAUACACUAUUAAACAAAAAUAAAACUUAAUCAUUCAAUUAUUAGCCAGAUAAUUUUUUUAUUAGCAUAUGCAUCGAUUAGAAUAUUCAAUUUGAAGUAGUUGUUUCUUAUAAAUCUAGAAAUCACUUAAAGAGUUGGAAAUCUUUUUCAAUAUUUAUUUAUUGUUUGGUUGAAAAAUGAAAAUUAUUUCAAGUUGUGAGUUGUGUGAAUGAACAUAUAAAAUGGAGAGGCAUUGUGAGCUGUGAAUGCAUGCAAAGCAAUCUCCAAUUUCCAUCUGUCAAUAGUGAAGAUUAGGGAUAGGGCCAUAGGGGAGCUCACAAUUACUGUUAUUACUUGUAUGCAUAUAUACCUAAAUCCUAAUUUAUUGGACCACUUAAUAAAUGUGUGACAAAUGUAAGUCCACGAUGUUUUUGUCAGCAUAUGAGAGACACUAUUAUCUUUCUCAAAAAACACAACCGUCUUUGUCCAUAGAAGAUCUCCAAAUAUGAGUGAGGCUUUCUCUGCUAGAUAGGGACAUUAGCCCUGCGCAACCCAGCUACUUCCAUCCAAAUGGCUGCUUUUCCCUUCUAACCUUGUCCAUGCCAAGCUCAAGCUGCAAGGAAUAUAUUUCAGAUAUAUAAUUUAUUUAAAAAAAAAAAUUAAGUUUUCAGAUUUAUUUUAACAAAAUGUCUUAAUAAAAAUACUAAUUUUUCUUAUUUCUGACUAUGUUAACACAUGUAAAAGAAAAUUAAUAAGAAAAUUAGUGAUCUAUUUUUUUUUUUAAUUUAAACACGUAGCUCAUUUUCACUCAGUGAUCUAGUCGAUGAAAUUAAACAGCAAAAAAAGUCAAUUCAGUGAUCUAAUAUUAAUUAUUAUUUUUUUCUGGUAUUUAGUAGACAAAGAGGUCCAAAUUAAUCUAGAAACUACCUUAAUUCUAUGUGUUCUAGAAUAAAACUAAUAUGAAGUAGUUGAACAAUACAUUGACAUUGUUUGUGUAUAUUAGAAAUUCAUUUCAGACGGUUGAAAAAUCAAAAUCUAAGCUCAUUAAACAACAAAUGCUUAAGCAUUAAUUGAUUUUUUAUUUUCCCAAAAAAAAAAAAAAAAAAAGACAAAAGAAGGCAAAAAAGAGGUGCAUUUGGUGGUGGUGCUGCCCAUAGAUAUUUGUAUUGAUGGAUGGAGAAAGUGGGGACAACCAGAUCUCUCGGCUAUCUUCCAUGAGAUACCCCAUUCAAGUACCAGACCUCCACUUCUGCCCAAUUAGCUUUUAGGGUACUCUACCCUACAUCUUACUAUUACUACUACCCUACUAUGCUCUACAGCUCUCCUACCACUACAGGGAUUUGGACUUAGGGCUGUUCGCGGUUUGGUUUUUAAAUAAAAAUUAAAUCUAUUUCAAAUUAAACUGAAUGGAACAAAAAAGAGAGAAUCAGAAUCCAUACCAAAUCUCUGAAUCACAAUCCAUAUUAAAAAUUUCUGAGUUGAAAUUAAUGAUUUGAUUCUACUUUAAAAUCUUUUUUUUUUGGUUUUACCUUUAUUUUGCAAAUCAACGAAAAUCAACUUCACGAAAAUUCUUGCAUUCAAAAAGUAAAAUUUUUACACUCUAAAAUUUUAUAAAAUUUUGAUUAAUUUUUCCUAGUUUCCCAUAUCAAUACUUGAAAAAAAAAAAGAAGAUAAAAGAUUGUACAAAUACAAAAGUUUUGAAUUCUGAAAGAUGAUUAUCAAAAAAUUAGUUUUCAUAAAUUGAGAAGCAUUGUCGAUGAUCACAAAAGGGAUGGAGAAAAUUCUCAAACAUGAGAAUAAAAUAAAAUAAAGAAAUAGAAAUAUAGGAGAUUGACAAACAGAAGCUUGUCGGUUGAGAGUUGGGAACAAAGGUACUCUAAAAUUUUUAACUCUAUAAAUAGUCCCUACCAAUUCCUUCUUCAUAUAUAUAUAUAUAUAUAUAUAUAUGCUUGAAAAAGAAACAUAGAAACAGAAGCUGUGCCGUCACUCCAGACAAAUUAAAUUAAUAUCAAAUUGGUGACACCAAUAUCAUUAAAUAUUUAAAUAAAAAUGUAAGUUUAUAAGGAACAAAAAUAAAUUCACUAAAAAAAUGAAAAUGAAAAUGAAAAUGGUAUAUUUGAUAUUUUGAAAAGAAUUUGACAUAUGUUUAAUUUUUUUUUUUUUUAAAUUUUGCUUAUAUUGAUAUAUUUGUAUUUUAGAAGAGUGUAGUUUUAAAUAUUAUUAUUAUAAUGUUUUUAUUGUAACGAACCCUAUCCUUACAGUACCUCUUAUAAGACAAAACGAAGGGUAAUACCGGUCAUUUAAAUAUGGGUCCACUGAUUAACGUUCUGUCUACGGUUAGACGACGAGAAGAUCUAGAACGUACAAACGUUAAAAGUUGACAAAGUAUCAUCAAAAUGGUUCACACAAACCCCAAUCACGCCCUAUAUUUUCCUGCCACGUCAGAACCCCAAAGAUGACCAGUAGGGUCAAUGCGUAUGAACCCACUUGCCUCUCCUGUCCCACUCUCUCUCUCUCUCUCUCUCUGGACUCUUCCCUAAAGGCAUUCUAUUAAGGAAUGACAUUGGGUUGGUAUCUGAAUUAGAUUUUGAUAAGGAUUUAGGUACUUAAACUUGUUAAAAAAUUUAUUUUUAUUACCUAAACCCAUUUAAAUAUCAGUCUAACACUAAAAAAAAAUUGCUUUCAUUUUCAAAAUAAAAAUCAUAUAUUCCCGUUUUUGUUGAAAAAAGUAAACAACGCAUUUUUUAUAUUUAUAUUACAUAAGCUCUUAUUACAUUUUCAGCAAUACACCAUAACUAAAUAACUGAAAAGAAACAACUAAAAAUAUGUUUUGCAUUUGUCGUGAUUAGUCCGGUUGAUAAAGGAAGACUCUCGCAUACGAUGAGAACGAAAAGUCCUACUUCUAUAGAUAAAAAUUUUAUUGUCGAUAGUACUCUGGAAAUAUUAAUUUUAUUUUCAAAUGUAGGAAAAAUUACAGUACGAUCUCUGUAGUUUGCGAAAUACAAUUAGUUAUUUCAUAUCUUUUAGAAAAUAGACUAAAAUAUCCUUAUAGCUUACAUUCGUUAAAUUAUAAGGACAUUUAUUCAAUUUUUACAUCUUUUCUACUAAGUAUCUUAUGAAAUGAUAAAAAUAUCAUUUUUGUAUUUUUCAAACCUUAGGAACUGCAUUGCAAUUUUUUUGAUAUAAUAUUUUAUUAUCUCUCAUUUGACCAUUGUCUUUUCUCGUUGAUUUAAUGGAAAAAAUUGUAAAAACUGGAUAAAAUGAUCUAAUAGUAUAAUAGAAACAAAAUAUAAAGACAAAUUAGUGUAUUUUUUUAAAAAAUAGAAAUAAAUUAAUUGUAUCCGCAAACUAUAGAUAUAUACUGUAAGUUUCCCUUAAAUGUAUUUUGGUAAUGUAGAAAAAUGCACUUUUGAUCAUUUAAAAAAUAGAUAUAAUGUAAUAAAGUUAAUCCGAAAAUACAUAAAGAAAGAAAGGAAGGAAGAAGAAUUCGUAAAAUAUUAUUAUGAGGAUUAAAAUUCAAUUUGUCCUUUGAAUUUGUUAUUAAAUUAGACUUUCAAGACAAAUUACAAGUUGAAAGAGUAAUUUAAAUUAAAGAAUAAUUUUAUACUUCCUCCGUCCUUAAUGUUUGUCAUGUUGACUUUUGUACAAAGUAAGUAACACAUUAAUUAUAAUGUCCAUCAUACAAAAUAUAAAUAUUUUUUCAAAAUUGUCAUCCUUUAAAAAAAAAAACUCAUAAAACAAUUUAUAACGAGGAGUAUAAAAGAAAGGUAAAUAUCUUUUAAGUCAAGUGAACAAAUAUUUUGAGACAUCCAAUAAUGAAAAUAUCCGCAAACAUUAUGUUAUGGAGAGUGAUUUUUUUUUUUUUUUUUUCUUAUCAUGACAUGGAGUACUUCCAAGCUACAUUUUCUUUGCAGUGCAAGUCAAGACUCGAGACAUAAUUACUUAUCAUGAAUGUAUGAAGGAAUUUGCUAGUAUAUGAAGCUUCAACGGUGCAAUUGGAUCCCACAAGGUGUUGUUUAGCCACGAGGUUUUAAAAAAUGGGAAUGAUGUAUUUUGAUAAAUCUCAGGAUUUCUAUUUCUGUGUUUGGAUGGAGGAGAAAAAGAAAAAAAAAAAAAAAGAAAGAUUAUAUAACAAUUUCAAUAAUUAUAUAUAUUAGAGUUCUCAAUAAGAACUUGUUUCUAAAAUUAAGGAUUCAAAAAUAUGAUGAAUGAAUUUAUACACUUAUAUAAUUUUAAAUAACUGAAAAUAUUUUUUAUUUGCAUUUUAUAGAUAAUUCUUUUAUUAAUCACAUCGAUUCAUUAAAUUGAUAAAAACACUUGUAGUCGGAAUACAUAAAUUUGAGACCUCCUUUGAGAAGACUAACCACAUCGCAUUCAAUGGGCUCUAAUUAAAGAAUCUUUUAUUUCCUUAGAAAUACAAUAAAAUUGGGAAGAGCUACCAUGAAAUUAACAUUAAUUAAUCCUGCAUAAAAGACAUAAUAUCACCACAAAUUGCAAAUUGAGUCUGGAUGUUGAAAUUUUCUUCAAUUUAUCCACUGAGUUUGACCACUAAACAACCCUAGCUCUGCCAGAAGCCCUAAUUUAUUAUGAUAGCUAUUACCAAUAAUUGAUGAAAAGUUAUGCCUAUUUUUUCAAGUUUCAUAGAUAUGGUCUAUGGGGCUCCAUAUAUUUCACUGUCUAAAAUUAAUUUACGAAAAAAUUUUUUUUGAUAUUAUAUAUUAUUUAGUGAAUGGUAGGCAAUUAGUCCAUAAACAUGCAUGUAUAAACAAAAAUAAUUAGGAAAGUGAAAUGUCUUAUUGUUAGAUCUAUCAAGAAAUGAUAUUUCAUCUAAUACAAAAAAGGAAUGUUCUCAUGAAUAAUAUGGUUUGAAGGAUAAUAUUUUUCACAGAUGACAUAAUAUUUGUUUUGACAUUAACCUUUUUUAUUAGAAUUAAUCUCACAUAUAUAUAACAAUUUUCAAAAUUAAAAAUUUUAAAUAACUAAUAAAUAAAAAUAUUAAUUAAAAAAAAUUUAUUCGAUACAUGGAAAGCGCAAUAGAUGGUAAUAAUAUUAUGAAGUUAUUGUAAACAUUUGUUAAUUGGUUAUUGUGUAACAAGGCUAAUAAAAGAGAAGAAUUAUUUUUUAUAAGGUAAUAGCUUCGGAUAAAAUUGAAAGAUUUUAAAGAUUAAAUAGCUUAUAUGGAAAUUACAGUGAUUUUCACCACUCGAAAAGCGCGCGAAAAUUCCCAAAGCCAGACCGCACGGCUUCUUAUUGAGAAACCGAAUAUACUGUUUCAAAGAAGUACGGAAUGGAUUAAAAAAACUCCAUUACUCAGCACCUAUCACACCUGCCUUAUUUAUAAUUUUAAAUAUGAUAAAUAUUAUGAAUAAUACUGAAUAUCUAAUUUACUUUAAUUUUAAAAUUUAAAAUGGAAUAGUUCAUCCGUUUAUUCAUUUUUCAUCUGAAAUUUAAACUUGAAGUUUUAUCUACUUACAUUAUUUUUUCAAAAGCAGAUAAAGUGUUUUUAUUUUGAAUUUAUCACUGAUAUUUAUUAUUUCUUUAAAAAUAAAAUCCGUUAUUUUAUAAACAAAAAAAUUUUAUUUAAAAUUAACAAAAAGUUAAUUAUACUUCUCGAAGAAAAAAUAAAAUUAGUUUUAAAUUAAAUUAAAUUAUGUAAUAAAAAUUUAAGGAUUAAAUUAUACAAUAAAAAUUUAAGGAUUAAAUUUAGGAUUAUCCAAAAGUUUAAAAACACAAGUAAAAAAACUAAGUGGAAUCACGAGGCUGUCUAUUUUAACACACACUCUGUUUCUCUUUCUCUUUUUACUUAUCGAAAAGAUUUCAUUUCCUCUCUCCCUGUCCUUUCUUUCUCUCUUUCUUGUGCAGAGAGCCCCUCUCUUUCUCUUUCUCUCACACCAAAUCAAAAACACUACUUCUCUCUAUAUAUACGUCACUUUCUCUCUCUUUAUGCGUCUCCCUCUUCUUUCUCUUUUUUUUUUUCCCUCUCUCUCUCUCCUCAGUUUUAGCUUUUCUUAUUUGAACUGAGGAAUAACUACAGAGGAGACGAGUAAAGAGGAGAGACCGAGAGAGAGAAAGAAAGUCUUUUUCCAUCUACUUUGUUGCUCUCUAUUAUAUAAACAACAUAGAUACAUAAUUAGAUACACAAACAGAUACAAUGUCGGCUUACAGAGAUGAAGAUCCUCGUAUCCAUGGCAUCCAAACUAAGAUUCGCGUUGUCCCCAAUUUCCCCAAAGAAGGUUUCUUUUGCCUUUUGGUUUCUCCCCUUUUAUCUUUUUCCCCUCUUGAUCAUUUUCUCAUUUUCUUUUUACUCUUUGGUUUGUUCUGUUUGGCUGAAAAUAAUGCAGGCAAGAAAGUGAGAAAUACACUGACUUUUCUUCUCUCUUAUGAUCUCAGGGCAAAAAACAAGUCUUUAAGACUACUGGGUUUUCCAUAUCUUCAAAAAAUAGAAACCACAAGCUCUAUUUUAUGCAAAAUUUUGUCUACCUUUUUCUGAUAACGUUUUAUCACAAAAUGCUUUGAUUCUAUGAACUGGGAUUUUUUUUUUUUUUGUCGUUUCGUUUGCUGCCCAACCGUUUCUUGUGGUUAUUGACAGAAAAAGUCGGGUUUUUUAAAGAAAAUUUCUUGACGGGUCAUUAUGGCAUUUGGCAGGUAUCAUGUUUCAGGAUAUCACAACUCUAUUAUUGGAUCCUAAAGCGUUCAAGGAUACCAUUGAUUUGUUCGUUGAGCGGUACAAAGGGAAAAACAUUUCAGUUGUUGCAGGUAGGCAACACAAGAAAGCUCCAUUUCUUCUUUUUAGUGUUUUUCCUUUUCUUUUCCCUUUCAAGGUUCCAUUUUUUUUUUUUUUUUUGAGGUGUUAAAGACUUGAUUUAUCAUCUAAGGCUUUUAAAUAACUUUUUACCUCUCUCAUUUGGGGUUGAAGGUGGUGGGGUCCUUUUGCUUACAGAGCAAAAAUGCACCAUUGCAUAAGUUUCUGGUUGCCUUUUUCAUGGAUGCUUUUUUAAGGACAUUUAUGCCAAUUGGAAGUGACUGUGCAUGUGUGUGAUGUGUCUCUUUGUUUGUGGUUUCUUUAUUAAUAUGUUUUCCUUUUCUGUUUUCCCGAUUGGGGUUGGGGUGUUAGGGAGUGAUCGAUUUCUCGUUUGACUAUUGGCCUUUGUUAGUGGAUGUGCCAUCGAUUGCUCCCUCUGUUCAAUUUUCUCUUUGAGCGGCUAUCGUUUGCUUUCUCUUUCUCUCCCUCUCUCUCUCGUUGCUGUUGUUGGCAUUGUGGGCAUGUGCUGGGAUCUGAUUUGGGUGAAUUUAAGGUGGUUGGGGAUGGAUGCCCACCCUGUUGAAAAGGAGGUGGACCCAUAUGAUGCUAGUUACCAUUGGGCCUGUUUGUUUUGGCUCUAUUGUAAUUUGGUUUUUAUACCAUGCUUGAUAUUUCUACUCUAUUGUAUCAUGCGUUUUCUGUUUCCUCCUCUUAUAUGGCUGUGUCAAACUGAGUGAUAAUAAGCACUUUUAGCUGAUGAAUUAUGUUCACUAUACCAUGGGUUUUGAUUUUUCUUUUUCUUUAUCCGUCGAUUGGUAAUUUUGUACGAUUGCUUGUAUCCCUGUGUAGUCAACCCCCUCAUAUUCAUGAACAAAUUUGAUUGCAUGAAUUGCAAUUUCGCAUUACAUGUUAGUUAACAGAAAAAAAAAAUACUGUAUUAAAUGACUACAAAUGAUGGGUUAUUGGCAUUCACAAGAAGUAGCAAAACUCCAAAUAUAGUGAGUGGUAUUGCUCCCACAAACGUGUGCAGAGGUGAAUAGUUUCCGUGAUCUCAUCAUUAUAGUGGCCUUUGGUCUUCAUUUUAAUUAUAUUUUUGGAUCACAAAGGAUUUGGUCAACAUUUAAUAUGUAUAUGUUUUGUCCUAAUGUGUGGCUUUAGAAUCUGUCUCUUUAUGUGCUCAUCUGGACGUCUGUUGUCUUCUUGUGUUCAUGUUUAAAACAUACGUGGAAUCUUCUCUUCAAAUUAUAGUCCCACAUGGAAAAGUUGUGGCCUUUUCCUCUGUGCGAUAAAGAUAUCUCUGCAUCUUCUUAUCCUUUGUCUGUCCAGCUGAUGUUAUCCAUUGGAUUAGGUCCAGAGCAUGUGCUGAUAGGGUUGGUCAUUAGAAGCCCUAGAUUGGUGAAUGAAUUAUAGGUGCAUGUCUUGCGCUCAAUCAUAAUGGAAGCUUAAUCCUGCCCGUUAAGCUUAAAAUAUCAUUCGACGUGAUGUUUUUGUCUUUUGCAAUGUAUAUUUUACUACAUAACUAGAAAUUUGAAGUACAUUAGAAUCUUCUCUUUAAUAUUCUAUGCUGAAGUUACUGUUGUACAUUUGUUUGUAACUAGUGUAGCUCUUGAAAACUAGGUUUAGAUUUUCUUAAUCUAUUAGUCGGCUAUGCCAGCACUGGUUUCCUUGGACUGCCAUGAAAUUUUAAUUGGUUAUAUCUCUAGUGUUUCAACUUUGCACUUAUUGUAGAGGCCAUUAAUAUUAUGUGAUGAUAAACUGCUUUGCUUUGAUGUUUUGUGUAAAUUUGGUGGUGGAAAUUGAAUUUUGUCUGAAUAAAGUGACAAAGCUCUAGUUUAAUCUCUGGUUCCUGAUUUUUAUCCUGAAACGAGGGCGUUGUGAACAUUUUCACUAUUUGCUAGGCAUUAAAAUUUUUCAAAAUAUUCUACAAGUUCUGCACUUUGAUAUUUUAUAUAUUCAACUAUAACUUUAGGUUGGUUUCUGAUGCUUUUUCAUAAAUUUCUUGUGUUUUUUCAUGGCUAUUGCAUUCUAGGUGGUUUGUGAGUGAGUCUAAUGCCUCUUUAGUGUAUCAAUAUUUUGCCAUUUGAUCUAAUUUCUCUCUAAUAACUAUUGAUUUUGAAGUAGUUAAUUUGUCAAUGCGACUGCUUUAGCUAGCAGCUGAAUGGUGCCUUCUGAUGUUAUAGCAGUGGUGGUGAUUCAUGAAAUUAUGAAAUCUUUAGCUCUCACUUUUUUCUUUCUUUGAUUGGGAACUGGCGGAGAUUCAAGCAUACCUCGUGUUUAUUUUUGUCCAAUGUUGGUAUGGCAUUUUUUUGUUUUUGCCAGCCAUGUAGAGUCUCACACUGUCACCAUAAUUAGUUUCAUUAAUUUGUUACUUUGCUUUUGAAGUUUAUACUACUUAUUGCAAGUUAUGACACCAUCCCUUCCUUGCGAAGGGGAACAAUAUCAAUCUUUAAACGAGAGUAUGGAACUUCAUUAACAGGUUCAGACAAUUGGAGUUCAUCUGUUUUGAUGCCUUGUUUUGCUUUUAGCUAAAUGUUACAGUUAAAUGUUUAAGCAAUUAAGAAAGUCUUUUGAAGUAUUUUGUAUUAUAUAUUUCUGAAAUACAAGGGUUUUGUUUUCCAGGAAUAGAGGCAAGAGGGUUUAUUUUUGGACCUCCUAUUGCAUUGGCAAUUGGAGCAAAGUUUGUUCCAUUGAGAAAACCAAAGAAAUUACCUGGUACUUCUUCAUCUCUUUGCAUUAAUUUAUCUAUUUUCAGCUCUCAAAAUUAGCUGUCCCUAUGAUAUAUCCAUUAUAUGAUGGUAUGAUCCCUUUCUGUGUUUGUAAUUCAUCUCCAUAAGCUUCUAUAAUUUCAGACCACUAUGACUUGAACUGCAUUGUUUUGGCCCAAAGUCUUUGUAGUUGCCCGUUCGGCAAACGGAUUUGUUAUAUCUGACAUGCUUUUAUCUUGGUUUGAUAGUGGUAAGACACAGCUAAAUUGCAAUUUAAAGUACUCUGAGUUUGUACUUUUAGCAAAUAAAUAAUGGAAUACUUAAUUGUGCUGAUUAUGCCUGUGGCAUUCAAAUGUAUGAUAACUUGGUAGACUGCGUGAAUUAUUAAUGCUAUUGUUGUCUCUAAAUACCUUUGGUUUCUUUAACCUUGUUACCUUACCAGUAAUGCUGUCUUGUUCAAUAAGAAGUUACCAUGUUGCAGGUGAAGUUAUUAGGGAACAGUAUGUUCUGGAAUAUGGAAGUGACUGUCUUGAGAUGCAUGUUGGAGCAGUCAAAACGGGGGAACGUGCUUUGGUGGUCGAUGAUUUGAUUGCCACUGGUGGCACUCUGUGUGCUGCUAUGAAUUUACUGGGUAAUUACCAUAUUAAAUCUUAAAUAUUGAGCAACAAUUACUAUCUUUCUGUUGAAAAAUUUGAUGCAUGGAUGCAUACUAUCGAAUGAGGUAUAUGCACGCAACUCUGCUGAUAAAAUUAUCAACUGUAUGUACACUGUUAGCUUGAUAUAAUGCUUGGCUUGGUAUAUUUGCUUCCCUUAGCAACAUUUAUGUUCAAUAUAUCUCUAUGCUGAUUAAGCAUCUAAUGAAUUUACGACGCGCCGCCUUUCAGAACGAGCUGGAGCGGAAGUGGUAGAGUGUGCAUGUGUAAUUGAAUUACCAGAUUUAAAGGUGAGUAGGAUGGUACUUAAUGUUUGAUUUGAACUUCCACUGCACUCGUUUUAUGUUUUGAUGUAUCUAAUCGACAGUUUUUCGAUUAUUAUGAAUGUUGCAGGGUCGCGAGCGAUUAAAUGGCAAGCCCUUGUAUGUACUUGUGGAAUCCCACUAAUGAUUGCAGAAAUGAUUCUCCUCCUGCCAUGGUUUAGCAAAAGACCAAGUGUACAUUAGAGGGAUUGCUGGUUACUUCUCAUCUGGAAUCUCUGCUAUUGGUUCAGCUCCACUGUUUCCAUGACUAGUGAAUUUUGAGAAACAAUGGAGGUUGAGACCCUUAUUUUACUUAGUAGUGUAGAAAACAUUGAUUUUAUGCCUCAAGCUGGGUUUGGAAAAAAAGAGGAGGAAAAGGCUUGUAGGGAAUCAAAUCUCUCAUCAUUUUUUUUUUUUUUUUCCUUUCUGGAAAAUGAAUUUAUAUUUACCCUCCUUCUGUUUGUCUUUGGGGUCGAGGUUUUUGAAAUUCCUUACAUAUUUCCUUGCAUGUCUUCAUACAAAUUUUACAUUGUCGGUUCAAAUCUCUACCCUGCGUGAUUCUCUGAACAUGGAGAAACCAAGGCAACUUACGGCGCUGUUUUUUGUAAUUAGAGAUAAAGUGGACUCCAUCAACCUUUCAUAAUCGCUAACUGGAAUAGAGGUUCAUCAAUUUAGCAAAAUUAGAGUUGCAUUAAUACUUGCUUGUUGACCCAGCAAAUCACUCUUUGAAGUUUGAACACCCUCAACGGCUACAAUUUAGGAAUAAUAAUGUACUAGUUAGAAAAAUGGAAUUUAUAAAACAGAUCAAAGAUGGUGACCGUAUAACCACAUUAGUCUUAUCUUCCUUCAAUUCAAUUGCACUUUAAUGAGAUGGCUAAACUAAUCAAAUACUAUAUUAUAUUAUUAUCAUCAAUAAAUAUUUAUUUGAGUCUCAGUUUUUUUUAAAUAGGGAAAAAUAUUACCAGUUGGGUGACUGACUGACUGACUGACUGGUAGAUUAAUGUUAGGUUGUUAUAUUUUUCUCUUGCCUUCUAAUUCUCAUACAACUCUUUAUUUAUUUAUUUUUUUCUUUCUUUAUUUUUAUGUAUAUGAUUAAUACUUCAAAUUACCAAACCUAUCAAUCUCUUCCUCUUCAAUUAUUUCUUUCUUUUCUUUUUUUUUUUUUUUUUUUGAGAGAGAAUUCUUCAAUUAUUUCUAAAGUAUCAAAAGAAAUUUAAAUUUCAUUUCCGUAUUAUUAGAUUAAUAUUUUAAUAGUUAAAAAUACUUCAUAUGUAAUUUAAGAGUUUAGAAUUUAUAUUUGAUAAUCAGACUCUAAUUCAACAUUUUAUAUGAAAUUUAUGUUUUUUUUUUCUUGUAAAUAAAAUUUUAAAAUUGAAUUAACGAAAGUAAAUUACAUUUUUAGAUGAUGUUUAUCUAUAAAGUUAAGAUUUGAAAGUUCUAUUGGAAGAGCUUUUUCUAUAUAUUAAUAUUAUAUGGCUCAAACAUAAAGACACGCAAGAAAAAUUUAAAAAAAAAAAAUGAAAUUAAAAGGGACAAAAAGAAAAAUGUUAAGAAUUGAAAUUCGUGGACAUUUUUCAUAUGUGGCAUCUCAACUUUUAGAAUUUAACACAAUAAGACCAAAUGGUGAAUGCUUUUUCCAAUUGAAUCAUUACCAACAACAAACAAUAAUCCCAUGAGAAAGCCAAUAUUUUUGUUUGCCAAAUAUCAUUAUUAGAAGUUCAGUAUUUUCACUAAAUAAUUAGGAAAUUGGAAAUACAUAAUCGAAAUCGAAAAGACUUUAUUUAAACAUCAUUAUAGUUUCAAUAUGAAAAUAUGUGCGCAAAUAUAAUAAAUACGAAUUAACUCAUAAUAAGAAAUUUAUUGCUGUGAAACACUACCAUGAGAGUAUAUUAUGAAAAGGGCAAAACUGAGGGUUCAAGCUUUCUUUAAUUGCAAAUUAUAUCUAAUCAAGAUGAUUAAAACUGUUGCAAAUGAUGUAUUGAGAUGGUUAAAAUUUAUGCCUUAGAACUUUUUGAUCUCCGUUUCUAACUUGUAAUUUCUAUCUUUUAUGGACCAGACAGCAUCGCCUCAAUGCAAUUUUAUAAUAUAUACCUUAUAUAUAAAUAAUUAAAUAUGUUGUAAAGGGAAGGAAAAAAAAAAGGGAAAGACCCCUUAAUCUAACUAAGAGUCAAAAGGCACAGAAUGCUAAAUGCUAAUCAUAAAAGUUGGGAAUCCAUGAAUUUUUCUUUUUGGGGGAGCCCAUCGAUAUUUUGGAUAAUUGCUAAUACUUUCUAAAAUAGAGUUAAUUAUCCUGUAAAUAAUGUUUUAUAACCUUAUCAUCCAAUUUUUAUUAUAAAAAGCCCAAUAGUUAACAUAUUUUCCCAUCUUUAUAAUUUUUUUAAAAAAAUUUCUUUUCAAAUUUUAUCGAAUUUUUGAGAAAAUUUAUUAAUUCAAUUUCCAUUGUCCAUAUCAUGCAAAAUACUUAUGAUAUUACCUUUUAUUGAAUGAAAAAAAAAAAAAAAGGGCAAGAUUUGCUAUAAAAUGCCAAUACUAUGAUUAAAUUUAAUAAACAUUUUCACAAACUAAUUAUCUAAAUUAAAAAUGAAACCUUUCAUUUUACUAGCUCCCUUGUUAAAUAUUUGUCAUAUUUUGAAUUUAACGUCACUUAAAAAAAUAUUAAAUUUAUCUAAGUUACUAUAAAUUAUUAAAUAAAUUGACUAUAUUAUUCUUAAUUUAAUAUAUCCAAAUAUUAAAUUUUUGAGGAAUUGAAGUAAUAAUUAUUGAUAAUAAAUAAAGGAUAAAUAUGAAAAAAAAUUUAUUAUCCCCAAAACCACAUAUGUGACAAGUAUUUUGAGUCAUAAUAGUUUAUUAGAUGUCAUAAUUAAGUAGAUAAUACUCCCUCCAUUAUUUUAAAUUUUGACGGUUUUUAUUAUUCACAAGAAUUAAGAAAACAAUUAAAUCACCUCAAUUUAAAAAAAAAUAGAAAUAAUAUAUUAAUUUACCCUUUAAUUAAAAUAAAAUUUAAUGUAGAUAUAGGUAUCGUUGAAAUAAAAUAACAAGUGUUAUUUUGAUUUUCUCAAAGUGUAAUGAUAAAAAAAAGCAAAAAAAUAUCAAAUUUAAUGGAACCAAUGGAGUAUAAUAUAUUAGAACGAGAUAAAAAAUUUUGAAAAUUACUAAUAACUUUAUGGUAAAAAAAACUAGGUAGUGGUAACUAAUAUAAAAAAGCAAUAGAGUAACUUUCCUUACCUUGGAGAUAAGGAAUCAAAAUCCAAUAUCAUUAUCACCAUAGUGACUGAUGACCCUACAUUUUGACCAAAAACGUUUCGAAACACAUAAAGAGGCACUUAAUGCACAAUUAAUUAAAAAUUUGUUAAUUAGACAUUAAGAAAUAUUAAUGGUCCAAACAUUAAGAGGCACUCUCGAGCAAAAAAAUAUUGUGUUGAUAAAUGAGGCAUAAGAAAACAAUCCGAGAGAAAUUAAAAAUGGAAAAGGAAAAAUAAAAAUAGGAAAUAAUUUCCAUAUAUUUUUACAAUUUAUAGAUAAUAAGAAAGCAAGGUAACACCGCACGAGGAUCAAACACCAGCAACUCGCCAUUUUCCCCACUCACCGAGUCAAACCCGACCCGCCCAUCAAUCAAUGAAUCGAACUCUAUUUGCUUCGACACGCGACCCGCUAUCACUCGACAAACCAGCAUCGCCCUCCUUCCACUGCCACCGCCAGCACUCUCGUGUGCCCCGCCGCUUCCGGAAAAUGUACAAAUCGCCGCCCCUUUUCCACCGGGGAAAACCCACGCACUGCAGCGGGCUUCAUGAACGCCACCAGUGGGACCCAGGCAGUAGAACUGCAUCAUCUCGUUUCCGUCAGCGACGCACCGCGCAUUCUCCUCCCACGUGCUUCCGCCAGAUAAUCCGGCUCGGGUUUUAACCAUCUCGCGAUACUCUUCGAACCGAGAAAUCGUUCUAGUCCCGUUAUGUACUUUAAAAAUCAUCUCGAUCCUACCCGGAAAUGACUUAUUGCUCCAACUCGUGUGAAAGAUAAUUUCCACCACAUUACGAGAAGGGUGGCCGUCGGGUACUUCUGUUAAUGCUGGAAACAGCGGGUCCGGGUUACGGGUAGAACGAGAACGAGAAGGAGGAGCUGAAACCGGUUCGGAUUUAGGUUUGGGUUUGGUAUGGGUAGGAGAAAAAGAGGUAGAUUUUUGUAGAUUCUGUCGUUGGUGGUGGUGAUGGAGGCGGUGGUGCUUAGGUUUAGUGGGUCUUUGAUUUCUGGUGGCGGUUUCAAUAACGUCUUUGAUGCUCUGAGCGCUCUUUCUGCAACUGGAGCUGGGUAUUAGAUAUUUCGGAUUCGGGCUAAGAACAUCUUCAACAGCUCUUGAUUUGCAUUGUAGCGACUUCAUCCACCGGGUCGCCAUUAAACGAACAGAAUGACAGACCAAUCCGAUCUUGUAUUUCUAUAAAGAACACAACUUUCUCUCCCUCCCUAAAGAAUAUAGUCUUAAGCAAUGUGCUUAAAGCUCAGAUUCUUGAUUUUUCUCUUCCAUGACUCUUUCUGUGUUUCAAGUUCUUGACUUCCUGUCUCUCGAAUAUUUUCGGUUCCAUUAGGGCUGUGAAAAUUCCAUCUCUAAUUUUUUAAAAUUUUUUCCUCUCUGGUUUUAUUGGGGUAUAUGUGUUGGUGUAAAGACUGGAAUGGAAAGGACAUGGCGCGAUAAUAAAUGGACAGGUCUGAACUUUGUGGAGGGUAUAGUUGCAAUGACGAUAAUGCCACUGAUAAUUGAUGAGGUGGCUCUGAGAACUGCAUGUCUACUACUGCCAACAUAAAAAAAAAAGUCCGUCCCUUGCUCCGGUAACUGAAUUAUGGUAAUAAUGGUGAAAAUAUUUAAAAUAUGGUAAAAAUGUUUAAUUAACUCAAGAUAGUGUAUGUUUUUGGUAUUAGGCACGAUGUGUAGUUGUGUUUUUACCGUUAAAAGAGCGAAACGGGUGGUUAUUUUGUCUAUAAAAUGGUUUGUCUUAACUCUUAAAUAGUGUUAGGCAAAGCUUUCAGAAUUCAGAUUAGUACUACUUAAUAAAAAGUCUUAAUUUAGCGGUUAAGAAGCAUUUAUUGUAUUUGUGACUUGAUUACCAAUUUUAGAAGAAAACCUAAACGGCUUAUUUAGGUAAAAUACCAACAUUAACCUUUUGGAAAUAAUAUGCUUUUCGCAAAAUAUUUGCGUCUUUUACAUAUAUGUUUUAAUGUCAGUGUACCAUCUGCCUGAUAUCAAAAAUUUAACAUUUGCAUUAAAAUGUAAGUUGAUGAGCACUCAUUCUCGUCAUGUCAUUUUCCAUUAAAGGCUUUAUAGCUAGAUUUCUGCCAUCUGAACUUCUUUAAUGCUUUUGUUAGGGCCUUGUUGCUACUUCAAAUCAAAGUAAUUAAGCAAACAAUAAAUAUUAGUUUGUCUUUUAAUUGUUUAUAUAUGUAGGUGAGCCUGAAGUUUCACUGCAACAGCAAAAACCUACUUGUACCCUUGUUUUUAAUUUUUGUUCUUUAUACAAACUAUUCUGAUACAUGGUGGUACAACUCCAAAACAAAUUUUUAAGGAGAAGAUUAGCUAUAUUGAAGUCAUUCUUCAAUCACUAAUUUAAGUUCAAUAAUUAUAUAUUUUACAGAAUUAAAUAGGAUUCAAACUUGCUAUGAGGAUAGUAUUAUAGUAAUCUGAGUAAUUGUCUUGCAAAUACAAAAAAAAAAAAUUAGGGAUUCAAAUCAUAGAAACUUUGAUCUUUUUUUUAAAUUGAGUCUAAUAUAUAAAAUUGAAAGAUAUUUCCUUACCCAACAUAUAGAACAUUUAGGGCGAUUGUUUUGUUAAAAAAUAUAAGACAUUUUGAGUAUUUUAAAGAGUAAUAAUUUUUUAUUUUCCAAUUUUACACUUCGUUAUUUUAGAUAUAGUUAACUAUUUUCAUGAGUUAUCCUUAUGAUUUUGAGAUAAAGGGUAAUUUGAUCAAAUUAUUUUUGAUUUUAUUAUAAUUUAAAGAGAUUAAUUAUUUUUUUAAUUUCUUUAAAAAAUUUUAAACGAUUUAUAUUUUGAAAUGUGCGAGUUGUAAAUUUAAAUUAUUAAACCUUUCUUGACCAGAUGAAGCCAUCGAUUUCAUAAUUGCAACAAUCAAUGAAUGCUAAUUAACUUACUUGUACAAUUAGUAAAAUAAUUAUUUUGGCAUCAUCCUUUUUUACAAGUGAAAGAUUGAAAACUACUCCUCUCAAAGAGGGUGAUUAAGAGUCUGCCAUUUUUUUUUUCAAAAAAGAAUAAGGAUACUACUUAGGUGGAAGUUGACACAUUAUUGCAUAUGGGAUUCCUCUAUGCAAUUUAUAUAUUGAGAAAUAUUUAUUUAUUUUUAAUAAAUCAAAUAAUGUAUUGAAUAUAUACAUAUUCUUUUUACUAUUCAAUGCCAGAUUUUGCGCAUUUGGGAUUAUAUUAUUAUUAGUAUUUAGCUUAUUCAUGGCAUUACAAAGAAGUGAAUUUUUUCUAAUAAAAAAACAAAUAAGCAGUGAAUUUUCUAGGUUAUCCUGAAUUGCUUGCAUAAAUAAAAUAAAAGAAAAAUGUAAAGAAGACCAAGAGGAGGAAUCUUUCAUGAGAGUUUGAAAGUGGAUAUGGCAGGAAUAGAAGAAUAGAAAGAGAAUGGAAACUGGCACACAGAGAGAGAAUGCAUCUAAAAAGCACUGAAAUAUAAACUAGUAAAACGACAAUUUCUAUAUGUUCGUUUAAUUCUUUAAUAAUCAAUUAAGUGUUUAACCCAUUACAGGUAGUGAGUCACCAUAUAACAUUAACAAAGUUUGGUGGUAUUGCAGUUACAAUAGGAGCCGACAACAUUGAUAUGUGUAAACCCUAAACAACAUAAUUAAUUUUAUAACCAUCUUUCCAUACCAAACACCAAAUCUUGAGAAUUGGUCAUAGCUCAGGCAUGGACAACCCAUUUGAUCAUUAUGGCUUCAAAUUUGAAUACAAAGUGUAUAAUUACACGUUUUUAUUAUAUGGCCAUCAUGAGAUCCCCACAGGAUGAUUUAGUGAAAAGAAGAGCCUGGUUAACUAAUUCAAAGUUUAAGGAAUAGAUUAAGUUUUAUCUCACAUUAUUGAAUUAUUGAUUCAACUUUACAUUUAUUUAUUUAUUAAUUUACGGUUAUUCUCGAGUCGGCUGUUUAAAGAUUUUAGAUUUCAACAUCUUAACCUUAUAGAUAAAAUUCGUUUGGAGUUUCAGUUGAUUUCUGAUCAAAACCGCUUGUUAAUUUUAAACCCUUUUGUUUAUGGAUGAUUGUAUAUUUUUGGAUAGAUGGAAAAAUGAAUUUAAACAUAUUAAGUGAAAUUGAGGGUAUUACAUUUAAAUAAAAAGAAAAUUAGUUCAGUAAAGAAAUGAGUGGUGGGGCUUAGUUUGUGGGUGGGAGUCUUUGCCAGCCUUUGGCCUCACGCCUGCAGAAUCUAUUUGAGCUCCGGGAACUGGGUUUCAUUUGGCGUGCUUAAUCUUAAGGAAGCCCCAAAACUUCUACUUUUUUAGCUUUUUCACCACUUUUUAUUAUUUGUUUUCUCCUUUCAGUAUUCAAAUAGUAGUAUAUGUGCUUUUUAUUAAUCACAGCUUCAACAGUGGUAUUUGCUAUUGCUCAAUUUGGAGGAGUGAAGUGAAGGCUUUUGCCCUCAGCUUGUGACCUAUUAUAAUCCACUUGUUGCCUCAUUGGAGGCAAAAUAUUCUUUCUGCUCUCUUUUAUAUAAUCCUUGGGUGGUUUUCUUCAUAAAUUUAUAUUUUAUUUAGAGUAUAUGAAUUAACAUGUCAUGAUUUUAUGAAUGAGCAUAUAAGUCCUAUUUUUAACCCCAUUGUAAAUUUUCUUUUUAACUAAUAGUAAAAAACUACAAAUAAAAAAAGAAAAUAAUAACAAAUUUUGACCAACUUCGAGCCAAGAGAUAAUGAAUGCGAUUUAGGACAAGGAAUGCAAGUCAAUUAAAUGCACAGAUUGAGCCUCUUCCUUUCCUUUGUUCAAUAAAAUUGUCAUUUUCUCAUAGAAAUAGAAUCAUUCAAAGCUCUAAUUAAUGCGACUCUUGGAAUUUUCCCUUUGAUGCUUCUUUGCCAACCAUUUUACAGUGCACUGCCACGUUAUCUCUACCUUACUCCUCCUUACACUCAUCUUCUUUACAUUCAUUUUAAAAUAUUACUCCUAUUUAAACCAUAUUGUAAUUUAAUACCGUGAAAGUACAUUGUUUAAUGUUUGAUUACAUUUUACCACUGAAUAUAUGUUUAUGCACUCGUGGCAGCAUGAUGUGGCCCAAAUUUAAUGACAUGGAUGAACACACUUAUCCUAGACAAAAUGAUGUCGUUUCAAUAAGUGGAACGAUAAUAUUUUCCAUUUGAAGCUACACCUAAACUUUGCUUUCCCCUACCGGCCACCGCUGCUCUCCAUUGGUAAUUGGUGCUGUGGUGCGGCGAUUUUGGAGAAUGAAACGACAGUGGAUAAGUAGCGGAACCACUUGCCGUGACGGCGCUAGUAUCAACUCUACCAACAGUGGCUGUGUUGGUCGGUGUAACUCUGCAAGUGGUGGGGACUAAGAUCGGACACGAUUAAUAGCAAAACCCACUUUGAAUUAUCCCCGAGAAAGAAAAAAGCUUAUCCAUCUCAGGGAUCCUCUCCUGAUUUCUUCCUUUUAGCACUUGGAAACGACAUUGCUUUGCUCUUCAGCAAGCUUUGGGUACGUCAUAGUACUGACAGACAUCCAUACUAAUUACAAGAAUUUAUGUAUUUUGUUUUACGAAACUUGAUAAAAUAAAAUGUUAGGAAAAAGAAGAAUGGGGCCGAGGAGGACAAAAGAGAUGAUACGGUGGGGAGUGAUUAUCGGAUGAAAUUGUUUUUGAAUGUCAAAGUGGGAGCAAAAAUUGACAAGGAAAAGACAAAGAUAAUAGCAUGUGAUUUAGAGAGGUUUGGUAAGGUAAGGACCAAGGAGGAUGGUUGGCGGGGCAGGAAAACUUCCAGUUUGGUAGGGCCCAGUUUUUAAGGUGGUCCUAAUUCACUAACUUCCGUGACAGUCACAGUAAAUCUGCCUGCCCUAUUCCAACUUGGACCUUUCUUCUGGGCUAUAUGGACAGUGACAAUGGCCUUUAUUAGUGUCUACACAUUUUGGACCUUUCCGCGGUUUCAAUUCAAUUGAGCAGGGUAACUUCUCUUUGGUAAAACCGCAAUGAUUUCUGAACCCUUUCUUUCAGUGAUUAGCUAUGCAAAUUAUCAAGGGUAUUAAAAAUUUGACAGUCUCAUUUACCUUUUGAUUUAUAGUUAUCAAAUCCAGCCCAACCCGAUGAGUCAAUAUGGAAAAAUUGCUUUAAAACGUGCCACCGUUUAAGAAAGAGAUCGGAUUGAACUGGUUGACUCGUGAUUGAACCGAUCGACCUGAACAAAUCCGAUUAAUCCAUAUCGAUUUUUUGAUAUUUUAAAUUAUUUUUUAUUAUAGUAUAAGUAUUUAGAUUCUAAUUAUUUAAUUAAUAUAUAUUUUUAAUAUUUUUAUGACAUACUAAUUAAACUAUUGACCUACUUGUUAAACCAACUAUCUAUCCACUUAAUUUUUUAACUAGGUCAAUGUCCAAGCUGGAUUUAACAAUGCUAUAAGUAUUUAUUAAAGAUAAUAUUCAAAUAAAGUAUUUGUUUUAUAAUCACAAUAUCAAAUUUCAAAUUUGACAUUGUAAAUAAGAUUAGUUACAAGCAUUAAACUUCGUAUGAAUUUCAGUUUCCGAAAAAUCAUGUAUUGAAACUUUGAAAAUCUAAUAUUUUAAGAACGCGUUAACAGUAGUAGAAAAACCAAGAUUCAAACUUAAUAUACCGAUUGUAAAAACACACACUGAAAAGAACUGGAUAAGCAUAACACAUUAAGGAAUCUGCUUUUUGUCCAACAUGUGAAAGUUUGAAGUUGGGCCGAUUUUGUUCCUAAUGGCCGACAAACAUCUUGUCAUUUGUCACACCAACUUUUCCAGAUAUGGGCCUUAAUGUGUCUACCUACAUCACGAGCCCAUUAGUUAUCAUUAUCAGUAUAUCUAUGUAUAUCACGUGUUGUCUCUUGUACGCAACGAGUUAUUAGGUUUGGCACUAUGGAUUUAUUCUAUGUUGGUGAAUGUAAUUUCUUCCAAAAAUUAUUAUGACAAAUGGGUUUACUCUCUUGGAUUAUUAUUUCUCUAAAAUGCAUUUCUCAGAAAUUUAAUUUUUAUUCUCACUCUUACGAAUUGAAAUGAGUUCGUUAAUCACUAUAACCAUCACUUUGUCGAUAUAGUUCAACAAUUAUUUGUAGCCUUAAAAAAAGUUAAAAGUAAGGUUUGUUUUCGGGUUCUACAUUUUAAUACCUCUUGAGGAUACAAUUGGGCUUUUACUGUUAGACCAAUAGAAUGCCAAAAUCAUAGCCCAAUGGCCUACUCUCUUACAUUUCUCAACGACAUCGUUUCCCUGCCUAACUGUUACACAUGUCGUACAACUUUAACGUACACAACACGAGUUUAACCACCAAUCCACCACUACUGAUGAUGGCAACCUCACCGCCGCCGCCACCACCACCACCACCACUGCGCCACCUGUUGACCCUCGACACCAAAUUCUCGUACUUUCUCCACUCGCUUUUCCAUUCAUACCUUCCCGUUUCUCUUCUCCUCGUUCUUGAACUCUCAGCUGAUUUUCGCUUUUCCUUUCCCAUUACUCUCGCGCUAUGUCUGUCUCCUCUCUCACCCUCCCUCCUCCCUUUCCUUUCCCCUCUCCUCUUCGGCCUCCUCCUAGACCUCGCUUUCGUCGGCCUAAUCAAGAUCAUUUUCCGCCGUGCUCGUCCUCCCUACAAUCCUAACAUGACUGCCGCCGUUUCUGCUGAUAACUUCUCCUUCCCUAGCGGCCAUGCCUCCCGUGUUUUCUUCGUCGCCGCAUUGGUUUCUCUAUCAGCGGACGCUAUUGAAAAGGCUCUGAUGGAAUUCAGGGCCAGUGGUGGGUACGUUGACCAGUGGAUUGCGGGGGAUGACAACACGAAAGUGGUGGGGAUUGUGGUUUUGGUGGUUCGUGUGUGGGCGGCAAUGACGGCUUUUUCUAGGGUUUUGCUCGGUAGGCAUUUCUUUCUUGACGUUUUGGCUGGAGCGUGUUUGGGCGUUUUUGAAGGUCUAGUGGCAUUUCAAUUCCUGCGAUUUGAGAAACUUCUGAGGUAAAUAAAACAGUGACUUGUCCCUCUAGAAUACUUUAAAUUAUUACAACAAAUUGAAUUUUGCAAUUACCUUUAUCAAUUUAGAAUUUAUGAUGGUGGACAAUAAGAAUUGUAUUUGGUUAAUAAUCAGGACUUAAAUUACGGUUCUUUGAAUUUAUUCUUUUGGGCCGAAACCAAAAGAGGGAAGUGGAGCAUAGCACAAUAGGUAGGGAGCAAAGUUACCCUUAAAUCUUUUUAAGCGUGCAUCAAUUUGUGUUUAAAUGUCCAGUUAGCAGUUAUGUGACAAUGGGUGAUAAUAAGUUAAUAACCUCACAGUUCAAGCAAAGUUGUCUAUUGAAAAGACUGUAGUUUUCUGCUUUCUUCAUUGGUAUUUUGAAGGCCAGAGGAUGCCACAUUGCGUGGCAUAAUAUUAGGCAUCUCUGUAAUUCUUUGUUGUGCAUUUGUCCUAAGCUGUAGAUAAUUGAUGGAUCCAUAAUGGAAGAACUCAUUUAUGUCGUCUUGAAUGUAUGAAUUAUGAUGAAUUGAUUAGAAAUGUAGAUUUCUCUGUCAUAUGAUCUUCAGCUCAGUCUCUUGUUGAAUGCUUGAGCUGAUUUGGUCUUCCUAAACGUCUGGAACUCGUGUUAGCCUUUGGCCCUAUUUUCCAAUGAUUAUGGAACUUGAAGUUUCUAAUAGUAUGCUUGCAUAUUUAUGGCUUAACAAGCAGCCGGCAAGGUAAUCUGCUGUCUGCCCUUUUCUUUAAGUGAGCAUGUUUUUCUCCAACUGAUUGAUUCAGUUUUGAGAUACUUAUUCAUGUCAGUUUUGAAAUUAAGAUUUUUGAAUUACAAUAUUACCUAAAAGCAAAAUAAUAGUACUAAACAAACUUUAUUUUCCUACGGACAGCCUCUUGCUUUACCAGAAAGUUGGCCAAAGUAGAAGUUAAGUGCAUUUGGAGUGGGAGCCAUAGGAAGUGCUUCUCUUGCAACAUAUCGGAUGAUUAUUUCCAAAAGCAGAUACAUGUUGAUGUCCUGAGGAUAUUGCUUUUUCAGUGUGUGCAAUGCGGAGAAAUUUUGCUUGACUACUUCAAUGAUCACCUAAGACAUUAAGCACUGGAAUCACAUACUACUUGGCUGUUGUACUCUAUUGUAUUCUUACUUUGAUAUUCAAACUCUGUUGAUUUUGACUACUGCUAUGGGGCAUUAGAUUUUAUGCCAAUUUAUACAAUUCAUUUAUGAAUCACAUUAAAUUUGACUCUCUGUCCCCUUCACUUUAAUUGACUUCUGUGGUGUUAGUCCCGCAAAAACAGUUUCUUUGAUGGCAUUUAUUGUAAGUUAUUCCACUCAUAUGUUUUGUUGUUUCUAAUAGCAGCAGCCUUACAUUGUAUAAAUGCAAAUCCGCUGGUAUUGCAACAUCUUCUUUCUUCUGCUAUUGCUGAUUUAAUGACCAUAUAAACAUGUAUUCAUUAAAACAACAUUUUCUAAUGUCCUUUGCUGGCAUGAAAGUUGGUUCACUUGCUAUAACUGUCUAAAAUCUGCUUAACGGGGUUGAGGACUUGGAUCUUCCAGUUUUUCAAUUACAAAAAUCUCUGUGUGGCCAAUAAGCAAUGCGCAGACAGUAGGAGUUGGUGAUUGCAUGGAUAUAGUUGCUCUAUGGGUUAUUCUUAUCAAUCUUCGAAUUAAAAAGCAGUUAGCUCAAUAAUUUAAUGCUAUGUGCGCUUUUUUGGAUGCAUGAAAAGUUGAUAAGCUUUAUCCGAUAAGGUAAGAUUGAUUGAUUGAUUGGAUUGAGAAGUAGCUUUUUAGGCAAUAUGGAAACAUUGUAAACUUGCUUGAUUAGCGCUGACAGUGAGUAUUGAAAUUUUUGCUACUUGCAUCAUUGCUGUAGUUAUCAUGUGGAAAACAUCCAAGCAAAAAGAGAUUUUGACAUAUUCUUUCAAUUUCAUUGAGCUAACAUGCGGGACUGACAUUUGAACCUGAUUGCAUCAAAGGAUCUAUCCUACUCGCCACUACAUGUUCAUUUGUUGCCUUGAUAACGAACUGACUCAUAUCCCAGCUUGUGUUCUUUUGUCAUUAAUUGUUACUAUGUCAAUUUCUGAUUGCUGUUGCUGAAAAGGAGUUGCAUAUGCAUUCUUUGAAUUCUGAAUGUGUUUACAUUACAUUGGCUUGUCAAUCAUAUUGAAGUCCUGUUUAAUCGAGGGAUAGUCUUUAUCUACCACACUAAUGCAGGGGUCCUACCAUGGAAAUUAAACUGAUAUUUGUGGUCUUUUUCUUUUCUUUUCUUUUUUCUUUUUCAGGUUGGAAGUGAGGAUUGCUGUUGGUGAUUACUUAGUUUUGUCUUGGCUAUGGAAAUGGUGUCACAGGUUGUCCAUUUGCGGAACAGGUGCAUAUGUGCUUUUUAAAUUUUGCUUGAUCUCUGGUUUUCCUUUAAAUCUAGCUCCAAACUCUUUUGGAACUGGCCCAGCCACUAACAGGCAAUUAUUCAGGCUUUAUUGAGAUUGAUCACGUGCCAGUGCCAUAUUCAUUUUGAAUGAUAUAACAGAAAGAAACAUUCUUAAGUUUAGUGUCAAUUAUUACAGCCUCACUUUAUGUGGGCUAUAGGGCCUGCUCUCACCAAGUCAACAACAACAACAUCAAUAAGAAAAAAGCUCCCUCAUUGUCUAUAUACAAUUUUUAUUUAUGAGGGGAGUCUCAUUUUACUAUAAUAGAAAAUUAAGGGUUGCAGAUCAUGAGAAUCUCUAUUAUUACCUACUUCUGAAGAAAUCCUUUUGCCCCCACCCUAAAUCAGCUUUCCUAACACGUCUAUAUAUGGUUAGUGAUUAUGGGGGAUGGGGACCAUAGUCUUCCAUAUAUUACUGUUUCUAAUAUUGAAUAGUUUCACCUUAUGCCUUAAUUAUCAAGAGAAAUAACUUCUUCACCUAAUUUUUCUGAAUAUUUCCUAUUAUUUAAUUUUGGUCUAUUUCAGUUGAAAAAUUAAACUGUUCCACCAAAAGAAAGGGAAAAAUUAAAAUGACUUUGUUAUUUUUUAUUUCAGAAGAUCUAUUCCAAAUUAACCAAAUUGACUGAUUCCUCUAAUUGAUCUAUUCUUAUCCAGGUAAGAAACUAGUAAUUAAAUUAGUGGGUUAUAGUCAAAGUAUUUGUUUCUUCUUCACCUUGUUGUAGCUAAUGCAGGUUUUGAUUAUCACACCUAUGCAUGUGGAGCUGAGAAUUGCAGGCAUGGCUAAGGCCAAGUAUUGAUUGUAUGAGUACUGUGCCACUGACACUGUUCAAUCUGGACCAUAUACGUGUGUAUGUGUUUAUAUAUGCACGUUCAGUAUCCAGUAUGAACGCAGAGUUUCACAUGUGGGCCCAAAGCACGCAUGUUUAUAUAUGUGUGUGUGUAAGUAUGCACAUAUGUGUUUUGAAGGUCUGGACCGACCUGGAAGCUACGUAUGAAAUUGCAGAAGAAAUGUUAGACCAGUCAAGGUCUUUUAUUUUAUGAUUAGGAUCAAACUUAUUAGGACAAAAUCAAUUCUGAGAAAGAAAGGUUAAUUUCAUUGGCCAUUUAGUGAGUCUUAGUUUCUUACGACAUCAUCUUGUUGUUAUUAUUAUUGUUGAUAUUUCGUGAAAGCAAGAAACUCACAGAAAGUGAUAUGGAAACAUUUGAGUCUUAUAACUGUCUCUUCUGUAUUAUUUACAAGAACAUAUAAAUUUUAAUUUGAAUUGUUUUUUUGGAAGAUUGUGGCAUGGCGUUUUGGUCUAUGAUGAUUUUUAAUGUUGUAACUGAGUUUUUGGACACAUUGGACACAUUGUUCUUUUUCAGCCAGAAAUGGUGGUGCUUUCUUUUUCCCAAAAAGCUUAGGACCACUGAGAUAUGGAUUGGAUUUUGGGGUAGUGAGGGCUGUGGUGGUGUUUAUCUUAUUUAUAUAAAUAUAUAAUAGAUUGAUUUUUUGUCAAUUUUUGCUUUUCUUUUUGGGUAAUUGGGACAAGUUUACCCAGUUGAUCAUCGUCAUGAUCAUCAGUGGCAGCAAGGGACAGAGACCUGGGCAGAGAGUUUCAGAGGAGAAAGACUGACACAAAAUAUUGGAACGUACGUAUGAAAAGGGUGAAUUAUUAUUUCUUUCCUCAAAUUUGGUCUAAUUAACGAUUUUCAUUUUUAAAAAUAUUUAUAUUUUUAUAUUAUUAAUCCGUUAAAACUAAUAUGUUUUUCUUAAAAAAAUGAUGUCAUUUUAACUGUUAAUGAUAAUAAAGAGAUAAAAAUGUCAUUCAUUAAAAUAUAAUCUCAGAGAAAAAUACUUUCUUAACAUUUUAAAUGAUUAAAAAAAAGACAUUUUGCGGAUGGAAAAAAAGAAAAUAUUUAAAUGGCUCAAUAGUAUUAAGAGUGUUUUAACAUAUUUCUUAAAAUUAAAGAAGAAAAUUAUUAAUUAGACUAAAUUGAGGGACGAAAUGGUAAUUCAGUCAUAAAAUAGAUAUUUCCAAUAUUAUUAAUUAGAAAAGGCUGAGACGAAGGCAGUGCAUCAUUUGAAGGACCCUGUCACUCUUUGCUUCUGUUAUUAUGAUGAUGAAAUUCAAUAACUCAUUUUGUUUGUACGGACUAGUAUUUUGCUUUUCUUGUUUUCGUUUUCCUUCUGCCUCUGUGUCUGUGUUCUUCACUGUGUAAUAUAUCUUGGUUUAUUAUUAUUAUUAUUAUUAUUAUUAUUAUUAUUGUUAUCAUUUUCUGGUGUUUAGUUAGAAAAGUUAUAACCAUAAUAAUAAAUUCACGUAGCAGUACUAAAGCUAAUUAUUAUAGCCAUUAACAAAUAUCUGGAAGUAUCAACAGUAUCUUUUUCGGGUAUCAAAAUGGUAUCCAAUGGUUUAACAAAUCAUGAUCUUGACUGCCGACAAAGGCUCAGAGAAUAGAAUGAAGCUAACACCCAUUUAGAUCGGAAUAAAGUUCAAUUUAUCUUUUGAAUUUGCUAUUAAAGAACAAAAAGUUAUAAAAUUGACCUUUAGACUCAAUUUAUCUCUUGAAUUUACAAUUUAUAUAAGAAUUAAUUGGAGAAUUUGCACAAAUUGAGCCAAAAGAUCAAUGUUGUAGCCUUUUGCUCCCGGACAACGAGUUUAUAGAAUGAAACAGUUAAACUUGUUAGAAAAUAAUUUCAAAAUAAUAUUUUCAAAUAUACUAAAUUAAUAUGGAAAAACUUAAUUUUAACAUUGACAUAUGUAAUAUUUUCCCCCUGUGAGGAUUCUUUUUUACCUCUCAUUUUAGCUUCUUUAUUUGGAGUAUUCAUUUCAGUUGUACUCUUUAAUCAUUUGAUUGGAUAGGAACACAGUUAAAUUAGUGAAGGUGAUAACUAAUGAGAUGAAAUUGCUUUACCUUCUAUAAGCUUCUGAUAAAAUAAGAAGAUAGAUUGACAUGACUAAACACCAUACUAACAAACCCUAGAAGAAUAAAAGAAGAGGAAGAAGGAACUCAUAAUGAUUGUACUACCAUUGGUUUCUUAACUACCCUUUUCUUUUCUUUUCUUCUUUGAAAAAGAAAAGAAAAAGGGUUACGAGAAACUUAAAGAGAACCAGCAAACAGUGCUUCCAAACUUUAUUAUACCUAGAAAAAGAAAGCUCUAGCUGUGAAGUAAGAAGGAGAAAGCUAGAUUGCUUUAUUAUAACUUUAUUAUUUUAGUUAGAAAAUUAAUGAAUUAAUUUCCAUUAAUGACCAACUAACUCUAGCUAGAUUGCUUAAUUACUCCAUAUGGUACAAAACUGUUGUAACUUCUAACUAUAUACUAUAUAGGAAUGAUUUGAAUAAAGGCCUCCAUGGAAGCACAUCUUUUGCAUUCUUUUUCAAAAAAAGAAACAUUAAUUAUUAGUUCAAGAACACAAUAAUUUUACACAUUCUAGAAUUGUUGAAUUAGUCAAUGUGAUUAAGCAUAUAAGAAUCCAAAAUAAUCAUUUGCCAUUCACAAGAAUUGGGAUCAUCUCAUUAUUUGUCAUGCUUAUAUCACCUCACUUACCUUAAAAUUAAUUAAUUAAUUAAUUAUAUAUCUUAUAUUUAAGUGGGACACACAUAUAUAAUAUCGAGAUGCAAGUUCCAAAUUUUCUAAUUUUUCUAUUCAUUUCCAUUGCCAAUAAAUUUCAAAUUUUAAGCAACAUUCCAAAUUGGGUCCACACAUAAAAUUCAAAAUUUGAUCUUUCAAAUCACUAGGGUUGAUAAUAGUUGGUGUUCAAAUUUUUGUAUUAUAUAUAAUAUUUUGAAAUUUGAGAAUUUUUCUGUACAACUAGAAUUUAAAAUUCAUCUUCUUAUCAUAGUUAGUCAAUGGUUUUUUCAUCAAUAAAAAUUUCAUUUCUAGUUUUAGGAUCCUAUAAAAGAAGUUCUUUUUUUCUUUUUCACUCUUUUGAAUCUUAUAAUUCAUGGCUGAUAGUCUCUUUUUUUAUCAUAUUAAGUAAAAAACCGAUCUAUAACAUCAUUUAUAAUAAAAUAAAAUAAAAACAAGCAUAAGAUUGAAGACAAAAAACUACCAUCUUGAAAUUAAAAAAAAAAAAAAACCUACAUCAAAUUUUCAUAUAUAAGCCUGAUAAUGCAUGUAUGGGCAGGCACAUGUUGUGCUGGUGAGGCACAAAAUUGAAAUGAUAGGAGAAAGGGAGCAUAAAAAAAUUAGCUCCAUGCACAGAGAAGAGGGGGCCAUAUUUUUUUAUUUUAGUGCUUCAAUGAGUUGUUUCCCAACUGGAAGUUAGGUAAUCUGUAUAGAAAAUUUUUGUUCAAUGUUUAGUACUUGAGAAACAUGGAUUUGAUUGAAGGUUGUUGCUUUCUUCGCGACCCUUUCGUCCCCCCCUCCAAUACUCUAGAUAUAUAUAUUAUUUUGUUUUAAAAACUAUUUUUACUGUUAAUUUUGAAAUAUUCUACCAAGUGGUAUCACCCCUAUGCAUUAUAAAAGGCCUUUAAUCAAAGGAGAUCCCAUGCAAAAUACAUUAGAUUAGAAGGCUAAUUAAGCUUUAAUUAACCAAUAACUAGCAUUUUUUUCUUACUUUACUUAUGUUAUGACUGCAAUUUGCCCCUUAACCCUAUUGUGCUUUGAGUCAGCACUUGGAAGCAUCAUUAGAUGCCUAUAAUAAAAAUGUAAUCCCAAAAGCAUCUUCUUGUAAUUAGGGAUAAUUACACAUUAAAUUAAUAAUUAAAGUACACAAAUGUAGGUUGGAAAUGAUGCUUUUCUCUCCUUUGCCUCCAAAAAAGCAAACAAAAACUAUAUGCUUCUUAGUAUUUCUAUACCUACAUAAAUAAUAAACAACAUAUAAAGUAGUAGUUGACACCAAAAAGACACAAAUAAGGACACCUCUUUGUCUAAUUUUAGAAAUAAAAACAAUUACUUUCCCUUUUUUCUUUCCAAUGAAUUGUGGGACAAAUGUGUCAAAGAGUACAUGUGAGUUAUUUAUUAAAUAACAGGAUCUAAAGUUAUGUUAGCUACAAAAUUAUCAAAUUGAGCUAAUUGAAGUUGACGCAUAUAUGAAAAUGGAGAAUGAUUUCCAAACUCACAAGAGAGACAUUGGACCCACUUAAGUUUUUUUCCAUUGGCUUAAUGACAAAAAAAUCUCAACUUUUGACUUUUUUUAUAAAAUUCUUUUAAUUUCAUCCAUCGCCAGCGUGUAUUUAGUUUUCUAUAUUAAUUAUAGCUCUCAUUUGUCUUUUUAUCAAUUUCAUGCUGAUCUAUCAGUUAUCUCUCACAGUGGAUCCUACAACAUCUAAUAUCAGCGUCAAGUCAUAUAUCCACGUAUAUUAAAAAAAGUCUGAAUUUUAAAGUUUUUAUCAAAUCUGGCCAGUUAUUUUAAUUUUAUCAAUUAAUAUCGCGUAUUAAUUAAUCUCUGUCAAAUGAUUUGGUUAUAUUGAUAUUCAUUCAAUUAAAUAGUUUAUUAAUUAACUAUGUAUAUUAAGUGUCUAAUGUGAUUAAUCAAUUACAAUUCAAUUUUAUUGCAUAGUCUUUUUUAAAAAUGUUAUUUUAAAAUUACUUAAAAAUAUUAUCAAUUAGUACAUUGAAAAAUAACUUUUUUAAAAGACUCUUCAGUAAAAUUAAAUUUUUUAAUUUAUUAAUCCCAUUAUAUACUUAAUAUAUAUAGUUAAUUAAUAAAUUAUUUAAUUAAAUAAAUAUCAAUAUAACAAAAUCAUUUGAUAGAGAUUAAUUAGUAUGACAUAUUGAUUGAUAAAAUUAAAAGAACUAGCUAGAUUUGAUAAAAAUCCUAAAGUUCAUGCUGUUUUUUAAUAUACGUGGAUAUAUGAUUUUGCAUUUACAUUAGAUGUUGUAGAGCCCACUUGUAAGACAUAACUGCCAUGUGAGCAUGAAAUUGAUAGAAUACAAACGGAUGCUAAAAUUGAUACAGAAAACUAAGUAUGUGGUAUUAAUUGUUAAAAUUAAAAAAAACUGUCUAGAACUAAUAAAAAUAUCAAAAUUCAGAGGCUUCUUUUAUCACUAGGCCUUUUCCUUCGAAUCUCAUGAAUGAAAAAAAAAAAUGAGUGCAAUAAGAUCGUUUUAUAACUUUUCUUGAUAAUAUUAAAAAUAUGCCAUGGUCUAAUUACAAAACUAGAGAUAUAUUAAGAGUAGAUAUUACAAAUUUAAAUCUUGCCAAUAUAAAUAGAUUUCUUCCCUCUAAUAUUAAUAAAAAAAAAAAAAAGACCAUUCAUUUGAAAUAUAUUAAUUUGAUGCAUUUGGAAACAAUUUUGAUAUGACACAUAUACAGGACAUAUAUUUAACUUUGUGCUAUAUUGAAUUAUGAAAUAGAAACCGAUUCAAUAAAUAAAAAUUAUAUAUAUAUAUAUAUAUUUUAAAUGAAACAAAGAUGAAUACAAUCAAUAAUAGAAUUCCAAACUUUGUGAUUAGCAUAUCGAUUGGAUGCUCAUUUUAUUAAUGAAUUUAUUAAUCGUUAGAUUUUGAAUUAUACUAACUUAAAAAUAAUUAAUCUAAUAGCAAAUUUAUAUCUGGAUUUUGAUAAUAGAUUGAAGUUUUUAGUUUUUUGCUCCAGUACAUACGAAAAAGAUAGUAGUAUAAUAUUAAAAGUUAAUGUUAAAUUAAGGGUUCAAAUCUCCUCUCAUUCAACAGAUGAUGAUGAUGUGGAUCCCCACCACCCUCACCUCCACAACCACAAGCCUCAAGCAAUUAAUAGUAUUAAUUUCCAUAGCUUGUAGAUAUUAUAAAACAAAUAGAAUGCCCAUGUCAAUCAGUGCAAGCUGCCUUCAAAAACAAUAAACAAAUAAACCAAUAAUUAAUAUUAUAAGUUAACAUAUACUAUAAAAAUAAAAAUUGAACUUUACACAUGAUAUUAAUAUUAAUAUUGUUGGUUGCCUUUAUAUAUAUAUAUAUAUAUAUAUGUGUGUGUGUGUGACACAUCGGACUAAGUUAUGCCCUUUUAACAAAACAAGGAAACGAAGAAGGGACUUGCGAUUUGAACUAGUAUAUCUUAAGCUCUUUGUAGGGUCACAUGUAAUGGGGUAUUAACACAACUUAAUACACACACAUGGCUAGGGGAUAGCACUCAUUGUUUUGGUCUCAUAAACCCCUGACACCAUUAUUUUUUGGGGAGGGUGUUUUUGAUUUGAUUUCCUUACCCAUCAAGAUAUUUAUUAUUAUUAUUUUUUAAUUCAUUCCAUGCAUUAUGGGCUAUCUUAUCAAAAAAAUAACUAUAUAUAUAGUUAUCCAAAUUAUUUUUUAUAACCAAAUUCUAUCAUUUCAACUUAUAAGAUAAAAAAUCGGAAUAGAAUUUAUUAGUUUGUAAUUAUCUACUCUAAUUUAUAAUUGAGUAUCUAUUUUGUAAUGUAGAGCGCUAUUAAUUGAAAUUUUAGAAGUUAUUUAUUUAUUUUUUUUUAAAUUCUAUAGCCUCAUCUAAAAUAUCAUAAAAUAAUUGUAAAGUGAAGAGAAAUGUGUGCAAAAGCUUCAAAGGACAAUAAGAAGACUUUUAAAUUUUAUGGAUAAGUAUUUUCUCAAAGAUAACAAAGAUGUCAUUAUUUGUAUCAAUCACACACAUACAAAGAUUCUUUUCUCUUAUUUUGUUCCAAUUAAUAUUAAAUAAAUAAAAGUUAGUGUCCGAAAAAUGCUGGCUAUUAGUUAAUUUGCAAGUAGUGUUUUGGACUGACCUUAAGCCACACAUCCCUUCAGAAUUCUUUCAGACACUAUUGAAAAAGAUAUACAAAACGACCUGUCAAAAAGAAAAAAAGGAAGUUGCAACAAGAGGCCCUACAAUUAGUGAGAUAGUCGUUUUCCAAUUACGCCAAUUUUUAUUCCUGAAUAAGUGGGGGCUUGGGGUUGUAAGGUCCGUAAUUGGGUGUCUACUUUAUUGCACUAUACUCUUAAUAGACAACACAUACAUUUCAUAAUUUUGAUCACUUCAUAAUUGAUAUAAUGCAUUAUAUUGCAACCAUGUAGAGAUACAAAGUCUAUAUCUAUCUAUGUGCUUUGGUAGGGUUUGGUUCGAUUUUUGUUUCGCCAGAUAGUACAAAUUCACCUAUAUACUUUAUAUGAAAAAUUUACAGCAUUGAAAUUUUGUAGGAACGGUUUUUAAGUUACAAAUUAUGAUAAUAAUAUAUACCUUCCAUUUUAGCAAUAAUAGUUCUUAUAAAAAGUUUUUAGUUUUGAAAUGUGAUUAGUACAACUUUUAAAAUAAUAAUUUUCAUAUUUUUCAAUUAUUCAACAAGUGUUUACUCGAUCUAAUUUUAUAAAUCUAAAUGUUUAAUAAAAUGGUUUUGCAAAGUUAAAUCGUUUUAUAGGUGGAAAUUUUAAUGGAUGAAAGUAAGGGUGUUAAUGUAAAAAUUUAACAAAAUUACAUGGAUAAAUUUAUGAAUUUGACCAUUUUUUUUACUGAACCAUGUAAUUUUAUUGUUAGCUUAUAAGUCAGGACUUGAUAAUGAGAUUGGUUUAGUCUCAGAUGGUUCAGUGCUGACACAAGAAGCAGACUCAGACCUUAACCAAAUACUGAGUCAUAUAUAUACAUACACAGAUAGGCACAAAAUCCACCUGAACCCAGAAGUGAUGUCAUAAAUGUUAUCCAUUAGUAUCAUUAUAUUUCUUAUUUUCUGGUUGUGGGUUUUGUGCAGUUGGGUGGUAAAUUUGGGUUCGGAUGUCCAACUAUUUUCAGUGUUUAACUAGUUUGAUUUUACAAAUUCUUAGAUGCAAGACUGAAAAUAAAAUGAGAUUAAAAUUUUACUAAUUAUUAUGGCACUUGGAUCUCUACCUAUUACUUCUCAAUUGCACAUGCUAAUAUUAUUAUUCUCAUUUUAAAAUUUUCUAAAGGAAAAAAAUUGAAUCAUCGACUUUUUCGUAUAUUGCAUGGUACAAAUUCAAUCCCUAAUUAAGUUAUUAAUCUAAUUGGGUAAUUAAUUAGUAUUAUAUUAGUGUGAAACAGAUAUUGCUUGUGGUAUAAGUUGUUUGCUAGGAUCUAUGACUUUGAAGAAGAAAUAGAAAGGCAUAUUUAGUUAACAGCGAAUUUCUCGGCGUCAACAGUUUUAAAAAGCUUAAAGCGCAGAAAUUACACCAUCUUAGGUAUUGAUUUACAGGAAAAGAAAGAAUCUUUGGAAGAAGAGUCGACCAAAUUUAUGAACUCCAAAAGAGCUGCCACCGCGCUGCUCGUGAGCUACUCGAAAUUUGUCUCCAAAAAAAAAAAAAGUUUGUUGGAUCUUGUUUGAUAAAUUUAACAAAUCAAGUUUCAGCCUGAAAAAUGGAUCCAAGAAAAACCUAAUAUACUAAUACCAUCCAUCUCUGAUCCUCUAGAAGAAUCCCACCACCACCAAACCAUCGACAGUAAGCUUACAAGUUACACCAGCCCUCCGGAGGCGCGACCCAACUGAUCAUCAAACGGGUGGAAUCAGAGACACCGUCACUACUUACAUGAAGGUUUCAAAUUCAUCGCCAUCGGAAUUGGAAGCAAAGGACAUGAAUCCGAUUGCCGUCGGUCACUUCUAUGGAUUUACAUCAUAAAAAACAUGUAUUAGAGUGUAACGCCACCAUCUGCAUGGAUUUGAGAACCCGUCAAAUCCAAGUGUAACGCCACCAUCUCGAAGCUUUCAAUUUCCUGUUAAAAAAAAAAAAAAAAAAAAAAACUAAAAAAAAAACGCCACCAUCUGCAUGGAUUUGAGAACCCGUCAAAUCCAAGUGUAACGCCACCAUCUCGAAGCUUUCAAUUUCCUGUUAAAAAAAAAAAAAAAAAAAAAAAAACCUCAAAUGCAAGUUGUGAGCAAACGGAAACGGGCAACGAAUAACUUACACCCAUGGGACAUGACUUGUCCUUCCUACACGCAUGGUUAAAUUAGUAAUUUUAAGAUUAGUUAAUGAAGUAAUUGAUUCAAUCCAUUCUAAAAAUACGUGAUUAAUUAGCAAAUAAUCAACUUAAAGAAACCGAAUUUCCUCAAAAGCAAGAAAAUAAUAUAGUAACGGAGGAGGUUUGGAACACGCGCUGAAGCGAAGGUGAAAAGAAAACCUCGAGUAUAGAAAAGAAAAGGAAACGGGAAGCGUGGGAAAUGGAGGAGCGAGCCACUACUUUACGCACUAGACUGUACAGUCUAUAGUUAACAGUAGAGUACAGUUCCCAUGUGAGUAAAUAUUAUUCCGGUUGUGCCGUUAGAUUUAUUAACACGUGUCAGCAACAUGAGGUUAGCACCGAUUCCGGCCCCUACGCGUCCCGGCGGACCACUAUCUCCGAUGGUGGGUUACCGGUUUCGAUCACCUUUUGUUUUGCAUAGUAGCAGUCUCAGGCUCUCAGCUAGUAAGAUAUUGCCAUUGUCAUUUCGCUUUCACAAUACUAAUUUAUUACUCUCAUAUUUCCUUCUCCAACGACUCUGUUUUCUUUUUUUCUUCUUUUUCUUGGCAUUUAGUCACCUCUCUGUUUUCACCUUUGUAAUGAUUUUUUACCUCCUUACAUUGUUUGAUUAUUGAUUGGUGGGACCCAUAGUCAAUAUAAAGAUAAUUAACAUAUCUAAUUAAUUGUAUGUAAUUUUUUUUUAAUCAUUGUUGAAAAAUUAUUGAUUCAAAAAUUUCAUCUAAUGUAAAUACUCUGAUUUUUUAGUAUUGGAAAAUGAGAUCUGAAGUCAAUUUAUUGCGAGAUCGUAGCGCAUUUAUCACUAAAUUAUGUCUGGUGUAUAAUAUUUUUCUUAAUAUUUUAAUAAAAUUAAAAUAUAUUAUGCUGAUAAAAAGAAAAAUAUUAUUUAAAAAAGAGGACUAUUUAACAUAUAAUAACCUGAAGAUUAGAAAAGGUUAUUUCGUUAUCACAUGACAAAGCUUUAUUGCCAUUUCCACGAAACUUCAUGAAUCACCAAAAAUUCAUUGUAAUAAGCAAAAAUAUGAGUAAAAAUAUUGCUUUUGUGGCGUAACCUCUGGCUUGCUAUUUGGAUCUCCAGCCUCAAAUUUCACAUUGGAAUUUAUUGUACCAUUGAUUUGUCACUUUCACCAAACAAAAAUGUAUUUAUAUAUGUAGUAUAAAUAGUUGGUCAAAGAAGAAUUAUAGACUAAAAAUAAAAUAAUAAAAAAUAAAAAAGAAGAAGACUAUAAAUAAACUGGUCCUAUGAAUUAAUUCCCAUUCCCUUAAGUUUUGGGUCAAAAAAGCAUUGCUAAGAAUGAUACAAAAAUUGUCAGCUAAGCACAUUUAUCCUUUGAUGCUCUCUCUACUUUCUGAUGGGAAUUCAGUACGAUAUGUAUAUGCAUGUGUGCUGUGUAGUUGUUGUUAUGUUGAUAGAUAGAGCUGCAACUCCAAUGCCUAUUUCCAGAGGUCCCCCUACCCUUAUCGUUUCAACCCUUCUCAUUCAAUUUUUAUGGCUACUUUUUUUCAUUUCAAUUAAUUAAUCUAAAGUUCUAUAUAUUUCAAUUUGACUUAUGAUGAUUGUUUUGUCCUAAGAUAUAAGUCUUUUUCAGCAUUUUAAUUAUUAAUAAAUGAUGUUUUUUUAAUAUUCAAUUUAUUUAAAUUAGAUAUAAUAAUUAUCUUGAGAUGGAUAGAGUAAUAUUUAGUCUUGUAAUAAUUAAAUGACUUGAUGAUAAUUUAAUUUUGACUAGUUAUAUUAAUUUUCAAUUUAUUAAAUUUAUUGAAUAAACUAAGAAAUUACAUUAUAUAUUAAAGUAAAAAUAUAAUAUCUUGAAGGAUUUUAAUUAAUUAUAAUUAUAUACCAUAUAAGGUAUAUAUUAAAAAUGAUAAGGAUAUAAUAUCUUAAAGGAUCUUAAUUUUAUUGAUUAAAAAAAUAAAGGUAAUCUCAUUUUGAUUGGUCAUAUUAAUUUAUAUUAAUUUUAUUGAUUAAAAAAUAAGAUUAACAUUAAUUUUAUUAGUUAUAUUAUAGAUACAUAUUAAAUAUGGUAAGAGUAUAAUAUGUUUAAUUAUUACUUUUAAGAAUUCUUUAAUUUGAUUGGUUAUAAUUAUUUCUUGCAAGUUACUUAUUUUAAAAAAAUAAAUAUAAAUUAUUAUUUAUCAAAAAAUAUAUUAUAAGAUUUAUUAUUUGAUAUAAAAUAAAAAAAUAAAACUCACUAGAAAAAAUAUAAUAUAAUAUAAUAUAAAAUUACAUAUAGUAUAACGUAUUAGAUUAGCAAACCAUAUACACAUUGGAAAAAAAUCUAAAAAAAAAAAAGUAACCGUAAAGUUAAUUUUAUGCUCAUAGGCUUUAGCAAAAAGUAAAAAGAAGAAAAAUACGAAAAUUAUAAAUAAUGCUCUAAAACAAUGAUUAAUAUAUUAAUUAUUAUAAUACUUAUCUAAUUAUUACAAUAAUUAUCUAUCUAUAAUAUAUAAUAUCUAUAGUAUAAAUUCAAAAUAUAAUAAUUUAAAUCAAGUUAAUCCUCGCUCUAAGAAAAUUUAUUAUUUAUUAUUUUAUUAUUUCAUAAAGUGUUAUUUUAUCUAUUUUGAGAGUUUUUAGUAAUAUAAAUUGUUGAUAAUAUUAGAAAAUAUAAAUAAUAAAAAAUUACAUAUAUAAAUUAAAUUACAUUUAUUUAGUAACGGUUGAAAAUCUACAGGUAUAAACAAUUACAUUUAUUUACCAACCGUCGGAGAACACUCGUAAUAUUAAUAAUCUAUUACAUAAAAGAUUAGUUUGAACCCAAAAUGAACAUUGAGAUGGUGUUUUGUUUUGAUGCAACUAUUUUGUCGGAAUUGGAUACGACUUGGACUGGGGCUGUGGAUAUUUUUGUAGUUGUGUUGGUUUUUUUUUUAUAUUUUUUAGAAUUUUUUUUAGAUUAAAUACACAAUUACCAUCCGUCUUGUUUUUUUUCCCCCUCUAAUGCUCCGUUUAUUUCCAUAAAAUAAUUCAUGAAAAAAUAUUUUUUAUAAUUUUCCGUUAUUUGAAAGUUUCAAAAAAAUAAGUCAAUGAUAAAUAUUUUCUUAGUCAAAGGAAAAUUAAGUCAUUUUCAAAGAAAAUUACUUUACAUUUUCAAGAGUGUAAAAUAUUUUUCAAACUUAUUAUAACCUUAUAAAUCCAUAUUUUUUUAAUUUAUUAAUCAUUGGUAGCCACAUUACCACUCACCAUUCACCACCAUCAGCCGCCACCACCACCAACACCAAGCACAAUGACUUUCAUAAUUUUCUAUUUUUUGCAUUAUUCUCACAUUUACAAUAAAAUUUUUAAAAUAAGAUUUUAGUUAAUUUUCAAUAUUGCAACUAAGCAAUGAAAAAUAAGUCAUUUGAAAAAUAUUUUUUAAGAAAAACAUUUUCUUUGGAAAAUAUUUACCAAAGAUAAGUUAUUUUCCGGAAACAAACAAAACCUAAAUUUCAAUAUUUGGUGAUAAUUCGUUUCUCUUUAUUUUGCCCUUUUUUUUUCAGUAAAUAUAAAUUAUUUAGACAUAUUAAUUUGCAUUUUAGACUAAUACUGGUUUUAUUUUUCAUUAUUUUUUCAUUUUUUAUCGGUUUUUAUGGAAUUAAAUGCUUUCGAAGUCUUAUAUUUCUUAAAUAUACAUUCUUUGCAAAUGGGAGAGAAAAGAAAAUAAUUGAAAAAAAUAACGAAGAAUUGUCAAUUUUUUUCAUAUAGUUAUUGGUCCAUCUUUGGGUUUGGAUAUAAUAAAUGAAGAAGAUAUAAUACAUUUAUUUUUAUUUUCUCGAAAAGGGUAAAAUUUUAGAAGAAAUAAAAUGUUGUUAUUUGCAAUUGACUGUUAUAUCCUCAUUCAUUUUUUAAACAAUAAAAUAUAAUUCUUGGUUAUUUUGAUGUAUUUGUUAAUUUAAUAAAAAUGAUUGAAAUACAUACUUUUCUCCGUUAUUUUCUCUUCAAAUUGGAGAGAUUAAAAUAAGCAGAUGUAAGUGAAAAAUAAGUGAAUUAUUACUCUUUUAAUAUCUUUUUUCCUUUUCUCAGACAAGAAAAAACUUAUUUUCCUUUCUUAAAAGUAAAAACAAAGGGUUAAGGAGGAGUAAAAAUUUUUGUUGCUUUGAACUUUUAGUUAACAUUUCAUUAAUUGAGCUUGUUUAAAGAUAUGAAAGUUGUUUCUUAAUUGGAAAUAGCUAAUAGACAUAACACACAUCUCAUCUAAUUGCCAAUUUUAAUGUUCUACAUCAUAUUAAUGGGAGUGAAGUGAAUUUUUUAUUUUGAUAUUUAUGAGAAUAUUUAUAGAUUUUUAUUUUUAAAUUAAAAUAAUAUAAUGAAAGAUUCCAUAAAAAUUUAGCAUUUUCUGGUUGGUUCAUCGAUUGUCUUUAACAGAUUUUGCUAUUUAAGCUAACUAUGAAUUGAUGUGUAUAAUACUUAUCAACUUCAAGGUUUUGAUAGAAAAAGAUUGAAAAAUGAAAGGAAAUUCCCAUGUCACGGUUGGUAAAGACAACAUAAGCACGGAUUUAUUAGGAGAUAGAUUUAGAUAAGGUCAAGGUAGUCAUUUAACAUUUAUCGUUUUUUUGCUAAUAUUUUAUGUCAUUCUAUAUAUUUGUACACUAACUAAAUUACAUUACAAAAUUUCAAAUUCUUUGAUAAAAUACUAUUAUGAGAAAUUAAUGUGUAAAAAUAAAAUAAUUAAAAUACUGAAUAAUAAAAUCUAUGUAAUGGUUUAUAUGAGACAGUAGUGGACCAAAUUGUUGAAUCUUUUCCACUAAUGUCAAGAGUGUUUAUGAUCGUGAAGAAUUCAAUAUAGGGAAUUUCUCAAAUCAAAUUCAAUUAUUAAGAAGAUGGUUUUAUAUUAAGAAAAUUAAAAGAACUCCAGUUAGAAAAAAUGGCAAUAAAUUGUGCCUCCUUUGAGUUCAAAGUGCCUACUCAAUUAUAUUAUAAGUGAUCCACAUCAAUUUCAAUUUACUAUAAUGGGUAUAUAAUUAAUGUUGUAUAAUUAUUUUAAGAAAAGUUAAUGCCGUAAAAUUUAGUUAUUGAACUUUAAAAAAUUCAACAACUAUAUGUUUUUUUUGAGUACUAAUUUUUAAAUCAAAUAAAAAUUAGAGUAAAAAAAAUACUACAAAAUCAAAUAAAUAUCUAUGUUGAAUAUAAUUUUAAUUAUGCAUGCAGUAAAUAAAUGGUAAUUACACGGUAAAUGCUAGUUCCCCAUUGAUCAUCAUAAUCAAUAGAUAUACUGUAUCACAACUUACCCGAUAUUUUUAUUUUACCAUAAUAACAAAUUCUCCAUUUCACGAUAUCUCAUCACAACAUCACUUCACUUUCCUUCUUCUUUUCUUCUUCUUCUUCUUCUUCUCCUCUUUCUUUCUCUCUCCACCCAUCAAUUCAUUCUCGAAACACAACUCAGAUUCAACCCCACCAUUUUAUUUACCGUUCUGCCACUGCUUCUUCUCUUUAUUACCCCACCUGCUCUUCUCCUUACAUCCUCCAUUGCCAUAUAUAUACAUAUAAUAUAUCAUUUAUAUAUUAUAUAUAAAUGACAUACAACACACACAGCUUAAGCAAAGUAACACAAUAACCCUUUGAGUACUCCCGAAUAUUUUCUUUGAAAUAAGAGAAUGAAAAAGCUCUCUUCUUUUUAGCAUCAGAGUUCAGGUUUGUAUACUUACAGUAAGCUAGUUUUUAUUUUGUUUUGUUUUGCAUAUAUUUUUGAUUAUUGGUUUGAUUUGCAGGGAGUGUUCGCUGUUUGUUUGAUGUGAAGUUUUUUUUUUGGCGAAGAAUUAUUGUUUUAUUAUUAUUUUAAUGGUGAUGAAAAUGAGGGUUAAGGAAAUGCACCCGCUGUGUUGCAUCUCGCUAGAGAGCCCCGGAAUCGGGGACCAGUCACCGGAGGCGUCGUUGACUAGAGCGAGAUCCUUACCGGCUGGGUUUUCCGGCGGAUCUGAUGGCAAUGCGGGCAGGAAUAUAGCGGGAUCGGAGGCCACCGUAGCUGGAGUACUAUAUAAGUGGACCAAUUACGGAAAAGGGUGGAGAUCACGAUGGUUCUUACUUAAAAACGGCGUGCUUUCUUACUCAAAGAUUCGGAGGCCGGAGAAUCUGAAUUUGUUAACAGCGAAUGAUGACGUCAGAUUGAUCGGAGAAAUAUCUACCAAUCGGCUAUCAAGGAUGGACAGCGGAAGUUUUCGGCGGAAGCAGCAGAAAAGUGUUGGCAUUGUUCAUUUAAAGGUAUAUACUCCAACCAAGUAAGAGAAAAUUAAAAUUGAAGGUUGAAACUGGAAAAUGGUGGUAGAUAGAGAGGAUUUAAUGUGCGAUCUGGACAUGGAAGAGUUGGUUUUUGAUGCAUUUUUUGGCGGUAUUGGGGAAAGUUUUGCCAAUAUGGGAAACAUUUCGAUUCAAAAAUUGAACUUUCCAGUAUUUACUAAUUUGGUCAAAUUGUUUACUUUCUGAUUUGUGAUAUCUGUCAACAACAAUGAGCAAGAAAGAGCAUUGAUAUCUGAGCUAGAAAGAGUAAAAUGGGUCGGUUAUGAACCGCAGGUUUCUUGCAUUGCUCAGUAGGGUCUGUUUUGUUCUGUGAGCGGCCAAAACGGAAUUUUAAUUUUCAUUACACCACUAUACUUUCUUCUCCUCUUUUUCUGAAGAUGGUCUCAAUUUCAUCUUUGCCCUUUUUUUACAGUUUAACUGGUUGUUAAUGUAGAGUGGGUCACAUCAGCAGGUGGGUAUUGUGUGUGUAUGUGUGUGGGUUGGCUAUGAUAGGAUACAGUGUAGGUCUAGGUAUGCAGCUGUGGUCACAUCAUUGGUUUUGAGUGGAUGGUCUCAGCUCUCUGAAAUGAUUCUUCAUUUCUUGCUUUGAUUUUUUUUUUCUUCACCCUAUUUGUUUUUUACUCAUCAGAUUCACAUCCCAACCAAUCCAAAUCCCUUUUUUCUUUUUUUUUUUUUAUGAAAAUAAUCCAAAAUUUUUUUACUUGUCAACUUCUGGGGUUUUUGUAUCUCUUUCUACUGUAUUUUUCGCACUUUUAUUAGGUUUUGGUUGUUUCUUCUUUACUUUGUAUUUUCUAUUUUCUUUUGCUUUCAUCAAACGUUGUUGUUUCCCUCAAGGCUUGAAAUGGGUUUUCUUGUAUUUGCCCACUUGGGUUGAUUACUCUUUUCUUUUGACUUGGUUUAAGUUAUGCUUAAUUUUAUUUUUAUUUUAAGGUACAGUUUUCUUUGAGUCUACUAUUGUGGGCUUUAUUCUACUCUUUUAUCUUUAGUGGAGAAAUAUACAGAUAUAGGAGAUUGUGGGGACUCUGUGACUACUCACUAGUAGGUGGCGCUUCAUUCAUUACGCCACCAUUGCUAAGCUAAGAUAGAAAGGUUAUUUCUUGGAGUAUUUUAAGCAUAUUCUUUUUGUAAUUUCUAGAUCCGAAUGCUGACUGUAAUGUCAUGCUCCUUCUGUCUGGGGUUUUAAAGCUGGAAACUCUGUAUUCUCGUGGCCAAACACUAGUAGAAGUUGAUUAGGAGCUUUAAACUUUACUGGUUGUGUUAAGCUAAAGAAUUAGCUUUAUUCUCGCUUAGGUUAGUUUCCUGGCGAUCUGUGGAUGCAGCGAAUUGGAGUUUAAUGGUUUCUCUUUUGGGUGUCCUAGUUAUUUGAUAUGUGCGAGUCUGCUGUUUUUUCAUUUACUAAAGAUUUCAACUUUCUUUCUGUCACCUGUAUACUCCGUAUAAAUCUACGUCAGCACAUUAUUUGUUAUGAAAAAUGCCAAUCUUGCAAAUAUUAAGACUUGUUAUAUCUAUUCUUGUAGCAGAUCUCGUCAUUCCGUGAAAGCAAGUCUGAUGACAGGCGAUUUUACAUAUUUACAGCUACAAAGACUCUUCAUUUGAGAACUGAUUCAAAAAGAGAUAGGGUUGCUUGGAUACAAGCUUUGGUCUCAACUAGGAGCCUCUUUCCAUUAAGAUCACUUAAUGAUAGUCUCUCCCUUGUACCAAAAGAUUUGUCUGUUUCAUCUGAAAGGCUUAGAAAACGAUUACUCGAAGAAGGUAUCAAUGAGAACCUUGUCAAGGAUUGUGAGCAGAUCAUGCUGUCGGAGUUCUCUGAAAUACAAGGGCAACUUAAAGUACUUUGUGAUGAACGGUCCAAUUUGCUAGACACAUUAAGGCAGUUAGAGGUAACAUUGUAACUAUUAUGACUUAGACACCCAACUAUAUUUCUAAUGAUCUUCAGUGAAUUUAUUUUUCUUGCAACUGCUGUUCUAAGAUGCUGCAGAUUAAUCAUAUUAUCAUUGCAUUACCAUUAUAAUUUUAAAAAUUCUACUGAGUUCAAUCUUUUUAUUACAUAAUUUAAAAGUCGAUGUGACAGUCACAUAUGAAUUGUUUCACAAUGAAACAUUUUCAUACAUGUGGCCAGAAAGGAAACAUUUCCUAAUAUUAUUUUUCUUCAUUCAAGCCGAUUCAUUUUAAGUCAUAGGGUAUCAUUCUUUCACUUGCUUCUAAAUUAAUUUCUUUUAUUGUAUAUACAUUUUAAAUAUCCCCAUCUAGUUGUCUCAAAAACAUCAUUGUUGUGCUUACUGAUCUGUGUUACACAGGCAAAACUAGUUCUUUUGUUUUUGUCUUCAAUCAGUUGGUUGUUGAUUUUAUGUGAUGCCACUCUAUGUUUUCUUGUCUUUCCAUUCACUUAACAUUUAGUGUGACACUAAUAUGAAGUUAUUUCCUAAGAAGUUCAACAGUGAAAUUGACCAAGUGUAUUGGUUGAUUUGUUUUCAAUUUUAUGUGGUUAUACUAGGUUAUUAAUCAAUGAAAAUGCUCUUCUUGCAAAGAUUGUGUAAAUAUUUGCUUGCUCUUGUUACUAAAUUGUCAUUUUCUGGUUAAAGUGAUUUUGUGUACAUUCAGAACUUUUUUUUGAAUUAUCAUUUCCACUUGGUGAGGAUUAAAUAACAUAUUCAACCAUUGAUUAGUUUUGGAGUUUUCAUGUCUUUGAUCUUUAUUAGUUGUUCGUUUUCAUAUUCCAUUUCUUGUUCCCAUUGCAUACUAUGUCGAUCUCAAACAAUUAUUUUGGGGCUGUACUAUGGCUUGUUCAUUCAGGCUGAAGUCAGAUGUCUUCUGCAUCCACUCUCGACAAUUUCAUGCUUUUACUAUUUAUAUUCCAUUCUCUUUUCAAAAUGCAUUGAAAUCCACAGGUUUCCUGGCUGAAUUGUAUUUUACAUUUCUUUUUCCUUCCAAUUUGCUUAGCCCCCGUUUAAUGUAUUAACAUUUAUUAACAUUUAAACUCUUUCUGAUACAUAACCUGACCACAUUCAAACUACAUUCUUGAAAUGGAUUCGAGUUUCUUCAGGAUAUUCUUUUGGGUUAUUGACUUGAAUUUAAAUUUGACUGUCUAUGUAGACCUUAUACAUAUCUAUAAUUCAUGUUUCUCUUUACCUCUUGUGCAAAAUAGAUUUCCCCAUGGUUCUCAUGCAUGACAAUGCUUAUGGAUGAUAUGAAUCAGUAAUCACACGAUAAAGAAAUUAAUUUAUUGUUUGCAAGAAUUUACUGCUGUGUUUUUCCGAACACUGGCAAACUUUGUGAUUUGUUCUCUAGAUUAAAUGCCUCAGUAUUUUGUGAUGAGCUAUUAGUGGCAUAUAUGAUUUAUAUCCUGGAUUUGCAAGUCAUAUAUUAUCUUUGGCGAACGAGUUACGUAAAAGUUUGGCAUGCUAAUGAUUGGUCUGUGACAGGUUUAUGGACUCUUCAAAUACAUUGAUUUACAGCUUAUGUUUCUUGAUCAUAUAUGUUUUCAGCUUAAAAUUUUUGUUUCAUAAUAUCUUUUGCUCUAAAUUCACUUGUAAUAUACGUGCUUCUGAAAUAAACUUGAAAACAUCACUGCACAUCACCAAUCUUUCUUUUUACUUGUGCAGGCAGCUAAUAUUGAAGCAGAAACAUCUGGAAUUACAGAUGGUGAAUUUCAAUUGAAGCAUGAAUUUUCGAGUUUAGGGCGUGGAAAGUUUAGUGGUAUGGGCAUCAUUACUUUGGUUUUUUUUUUAUUUUUUUUAUUUUGUUUGUUUAUUUUGGAUCCAUCAAUAUUUCUUAUUAUCCUUUACUUGGAGAAAAAUUCAAGUUUAUUUUGAGUUAGCCGAUUCAAAUGUGGAAAUGACCAUCAUCUGUUUUUUGGUUUUCUGUAUGGAUCCCUCUAGUUAACAUUUCUUUAAGUUUUAAUAAUGUUAUUGGAUCACCUAUCUUUCUUUUUGACCAUAGUUUGUUAAUAUUGCUGUGAUAAUUUUCCCCCUUUUCUAUUGCUACUUGUCCUGCACUCUUAUUCCAGUUAUCUUGUUUUGGGUUUCAGAAUGUAGCACUACAGAAUCAUCUGAUGAUAUUGAGAAACAAGAACUUGAGGAAGUGUCAGAAGAAGAUGAGGCUUCAUUUUAUGAUACAAAAGAGUAUUUUACUGAACCUACUAUUGUUCGUGGGUCAAUAAAAGAAGUUUCUGGUCACCAAGAGAAACACAGGGAAUGUAGUCAAUUUGACAAUGAUGAGAAAAUGCAUACUGAGAAGCAACUUUAUAAUGCUAGAUAUCCACAUAUUCAAAGGCGAAAGAAGCUUCCCGAUCCAGUUGAGAAGGAAAAAGGGGUUAGUCUUUGGUCUAUGAUCAAAGACAAUGUCGGGAAGGAUCUCACACGAGUUUGUCUUCCUGUUUACUUUAAUGAACCAAUAUCAUCUCUUCAGAAGUGCUUUGAGGACUUGGAGUAUUCUUAUCUUUUGGACCGUGCUUAUGAGUAUGGAAAAGAAGUAAGAUUGCCAUACACUUUUUGGUUUGUUGCAUUUUGUGGGUAUUGAAACAUUGUGCCUUUAUGGAACAGUAUCUAUCUUCAUAGAGUUCCAAGUAUUAAAAAAAAAAAAAGGAAUAUUUUACUUUUCUUUCUGUGUUUGAUUUUUUCCCCUUUUAUUUUAUUUAUUUUGUGUGUGUGUGUUUUUCCUCUCUACUUUCUCUUGUUAUGGUUGAUUAUUUUAAGAGAUAUAUGUGUGGGCAAAUUCAGAUGAUAGGUAAGAGAUAGUGAAUGACUCAUGGCACAUGUAUCUGUGAAGAUUGGUUAAUUCCAUUCUGUUUUGAAUUAAAAAUAUAACGUGGCUGAUAGUUUUGAUGAAAAUUGGCAUCAAACUAACAAGUAUUUCAAAUAUUUGUAUGUAAUUAAAAAAUUGUAAGGAUUUUGGCUACUUACCUUAUUUCAUUUAUUUUCUUGCUAUUCACAAGGUGAUGUUUCCUUCUGAUGGUGCCCAUUGUCUGUUCUUAGUGCAAGGAGAAGUGGAUUACUAUUGAGCCUGUACCGAAUCACCAUAUGUACUUCGAAUAAACAACUGAUUUUCAAAUUUGAUUAUUGAAAAUUAUUUUGAUUUAGGUGAUCAUACCCUUAUAUCUUGUGCAUUACGAAUGAGCUAGCAGAUAAUUUGAAAUUAUGCUAAUUGGAAACGAAACAUGGGAACAUAAAUUGUCGAGGAUGCAAUUAAGUUCAUGAAUUUAUUAUUCCAAUUCCUUAUGCACUAAAGGUUCAUUGGCAUGUUUAUAGAAUACAAUGUUUCAUGAACAGGAAGUGUCAUUUGAUUGGUUCUGAUUGUUUGUUCCUCUAUGAUUUUUAAUUUGUACAGGGGAAUAGUCUUAUGAGGAUCCUAAAUGUUGCAGCAUUUGCUGUUUCUGGAUAUGCAUCCUCUGAAGGCCGGCACUGCAAACCCUUCAAUCCUUUACUAGGAGAAACCUAUGAAGCUGACUAUCCUGAUAAAGGGGUUCGCUUCUUCUCUGAGAAGGUCAGUAAUGAUCCUAGAUUAUGGUAGAAUGAUGCAGCCUUUACUUUGAAGUUAAGCUGGCAGUUUUGAAAUUAAGCUGUGUGUUACAUGCACUUUUUGUUGUUUAAACGAUGAUUGUAAUAUCUGCAGGUUUAGACAGAUAAAGAAGGAAUGGAUUUUUUCCUCUACCAAAAAAAGAAAAAAAAAAAAAAAAAGAAAUGGUUUUUUUCCCCUACCAAAAAAAAAAAAAAAAAGAAAUGGUUUUUUUCCCCUACCAAAAAAAAAAAAAAAAAGAAAUGGUUUUUUUCCCCUACCAAAAAAAAAAAAAAAAAGGAUUUUCCAAAUCUUCCAUCUGCUCAAAUCCCUCGAAAUAAGGGAUUUAAACUCCCGCUUAGGAGGUGCAAUUACAUGAAACAUCUCACGUUUGCGAGAUGAUAGAUUUUCCCAUCCUUUCUUUCACUUCCAAAAUUACUCUUCAAUUUCUAGGAUUUUGAUUAAGUGCCAAAACUGUAUGUUCUCUAAAUCCAUGGACUUAAAAUGUUGAAAAUCAUUGGCCAUAAAUCAGGGUGAUGGAAUAUUUGGAAGCAAAGGGGUCUGCAGGACCUUUUCUCAAAGGAAGAAUGAAAUGCCACAUAUAACACAUGUAAUUUACUUACAAAGGAAAAUCUUGAAGAAUUUUUUUGAAAUCUACAGAAUAGUGAAAGAAACAACAAUUAAUUGCAAAAAGUUGGAAGUUUUCUUUGGUUACUUGUGAUGAGUGAGAAAACUUGUUGCAUUUGAAGGCAUUGGUAAUGAAUUUGCUUAUCUGCUUUUUUUAACAGGUUAGUCAUCACCCAACUCUCAUUGCCUGCCACUGUGAAGGUAGAGGGUGGAAGUUUUGGGGUGACAGCAACCUCCGUACAAAAUUUUGGGGGCGGUCUAUUCAACUUGACCCUGUUGGAGUUCUAACCCUGGAGUUUGAUGAUGGUGAAAUAUUCCAAUGGAGCAAGGUAUAUAUUGCUGCAUAACUGUGCCUGUACAUGACAUGACUGCUCAACUUUUUCUACCUUUUACCUCCUUUUCUGUUUUGAUGGUGCUUAUCUGUUUUGAUGGUGCUCAUUAUUAAAAUGGGCUCUCUCGUUCAUCAGGUGACAACUGCAAUUUAUAAUCUUAUUCUUGGUAAAGUGUAUUGUGAUCACCACGGAACGAUGCAUAUACAAGGAAAUCGACAAUAUUCAUGCAAACUCAAGUUCAAAGAACAAUCAAUUCUUGACAGAAAUCCACACCAGGUUAGUAAUUCCACUUUGUUUGCCUGCAAACUAAUCUGAAAAAGUGCUUUGUAGUGCCUUGGUUACUUUUAAUAUCUGUUAGGUUCACAUGCAGUUUUUCACUCAUUAGGGUACAGUAUUCUCUGUCUAUUGUGUGAGUUAUUGUCUAAUAUAUCAUAAUAUUAUUUAUGCUUACAUCUGCACAGGUUAAUGGGUUUGUUGAAGAUGUUUCGGGGAAAAAAGUUGCUCAAUUGUUUGGGAAGUGGGAUGAUAGCAUGUAUUAUACAAAAGGUGAUGGGACUAGCAAGACAAAGGAUAGCAAUUCCUCACCUAAUACUAUGUUGCUUUGGAAAAGUACCAAAACACCUCCUAAUAUUACUCGGUACAACUUAACAUCAUUUGCGAUCACUCUAAAUGAAUUAACACCAGGACUAAAGGUAGAGAUGAUGUAUUAUAUCAUUUUCCAGAUAUGCAUUCUCAUUUUCCUCCUAUGCAUCUCUAAUCGGUUUUUAUAGCCAUGUCUGAUCCCGGGUAUUUGAUCACGGAUUAAGGAGAAGCUCCCACCCACGGAUUCGAGGCUCAGACCGGACCAGAGGCAUCUGGAGAAUGGGGAAUAUGAGAAGGCAAAUGCAGAGAAACAAAGGUUGGAGAAGCGGCAGAGAAUGGUACACUUGACCCUUUUUUUUUUUCUCUGACAUAAGCAUACACAGAACAUGACUGCAUAUCUGGUUGAAUCAUAAUGUGGAGUGCACACAGAGCUAGAUUAUGGUUAUAUUAACAGAUUUCAAUAUGAAGCUAAAGAUAAGUUCUGCAAAAAGUGAAAUGAGUAACAUGUGACAGUCUAGAGUACUAUUAUGAAGUAUUAACUUGUAGAAUUUGUGAUAUAUAUAUAUAUAUAUAUAUAUAUAUAUUUGUUAUGAGCAUCAUGCUUUCUCUCAUUCCAUGCAGUCAAGGAAAUUACAAGAGCAUGGAUGGAAGCCAAGGUGGUUCCAGAGAGAAGGUGAAAAUGGACCUUUCCGCUAUGUGGGAGGGUAUUGGGAAGCACGAGAGCAGGCAAAUUGGGAUGGCUGUCCAAAUAUUUUUGGUGAAUUCAAUGAAGAAUUUGCAGAAUCCUCUGAGGGAUAUUGAUUUUGGUUUAGGUAUCUUCUCUUCUGGAGAAUAUUUUAUUUUUAUAGAACCACAGUAUUGGUUGACACUCCAUUUUCAUAAUGAAAUGUUAAUCUAGUGCCUAUAUAGUGUAUAGGAAAUCAGAAUAAAUUAUGAUGUUUUUAACCGUUCUGUUAAUCCUCAUUUCAUGCUACCUUGUAGAAAAAGUUGUCACAGAGUAAUCUGUGCACAUUGAUUGGUCAGUUCUUCAAAUUCCAGUCACUACUGGCAAUAACCAGGUCUGAGGUGGCAAGUUUUCACCGGGAGAAUAUGGAGCGAAAAAACUUAAUUUUCAGCUUACAGAGAAUGCAUAGAAUAGAACCUAUAGCAUAUUCCUAAUUGCCUGCUAUGGGAAGGGUUGUGUAAUGUAGCAUCUUGAUUCGAGUUUAGUUUCUUGAAAUGUACUUCUGCCAUUUUGAUAUUUAUUUGUAUUUCUUUGUUAGAAAUAAACAGGGAAAGGAAAAGGAAUUGUAUUAUUAUCAUAAUCCAAAAACUAGUUUAUCCAUACUCGUGUAAAUUUGUGCUGAUGUCAAAAUUGCGCAAGUUCCAUUGAUUUGUAUACUAUCAUACGUCAUAUAUCAAUACUCUUCUCUCUCUCUCUCUCUCUGUGUGUUAGAAUUUUUUGGGAAUGAAUAUGAUGUCUGUACCCUAAGCAAGUGUAUCAGUAGCUUAAUGAAAGAUAAAUAAACAAGAAGCAGCAUCUCUCCAAUCUGCUUUUGUUCUUGCCUGGCCCUAGUCAAUCUAAAAAGUUUUGCUUUUGAUUACAAGUUCAAUUUACAUAAGAAUUAGACUUUAUUUAGAAAUAAAUUGCGUUUGGCAUAACGUAAUUUAAAAUAUCAAAUUUCAAUUAAAUUUCAUAUAGUUCAUAAUUGAAAUUCAUUUAUCCUAAGUUCAUAAAUUACCCUCAAUGAAAUUAAAAAAUUGAUAAUUUUUACUCUAUAAAAAAAUCUUAUAAGUUAUAGCUAUUAAAUUGAUAAAAAUUAAUAAAUAUAAACCAAUUAACAAUAUAUUAAUAAAUGCAAGAUAAAUUCUCGUACUUCAAGAAGUGAAGAAGAAAAUGGAAGAAAAUUUUUUUUAAUAUAAGCAUUUUAGUUAAAAAGAAUUGUUGUGAACUUAUUUCAAAUUCCUAUCAAACUUAAUAAAUAGAAAUUACUUUUAGCAAUCAAUUCUAAAGAAUUGAAUUCUGAUAAAAAAAAUUAUAAAGACUUGGAAUUGAAUUCUACCAAAUUUUGUUGGAACCAAACAAAUUAGGAACAUAUUUAAAAAUAUAAGUUUAAUUAUGAAGCUGGGCUUCUUAAAAUUAGUGGGACCUAAGGCCCUAACAAACAAUAAAAGAACACUACAUUCAUAUUAUCCAUUAUUUUGUUAUGGGGACUAUUCAUGGCCCAUGCAUUACAACAUUUAAACUUCAUGGACGUAAUGGUAAAUUCAAUCUGAAGUAGAAUUUUAGAUUUUGUGUUGAAAAAUCGGACUAAUUGUUUUCUUUUUAAAACUAUUCCGUAUCCGAAUAGGCACAAUAAAUUCGGAUUUAUGUCCCGUACAACGAUAAAAAAAAGUAAGAUGUUAUGUUCCAAAUUUUACAGUUCGAAUUCAAUAUUUCUAACCAAGGGAGAAGACACCGUUGUCAUCUCAUCAAAUUAAAUUAUCAAAACUAUAAAUAUAUCCAUUACAUUGGUGUUGGAAUUGACAAGGCAAGAAAAUGAGUCCACAUGGGGAUUUCUAGAAAAUUCCUGAAAGUGAUUUUCCUGUUGAGAAAGAUGAGAUUUUUUUCCUUUGAAUAAAUCAAAUCCCAUUGCAUAGAUAAGCAAGAUAGAUUGAAUUAUUGUUUAACUAUUCUAAAUUAUUGGUGAAUCCAAAUUAUUGAACAAGAAAGACAGAAAAGAUCACGUGGCUAUUUGUCCAUUUGAUUUGUUUAAGUCAUAAAUUGGCUGCUUCUGCUGGAUAUUUUCUUUUUUGUUGGAAAUUAUAGCCCAAGUGUUUAAGGAAAAUUUCACAUGGUUUUGGUCAGUUUUGAAACAACAACGACGAAUAUGGAAUUCUGUGCUGUCAUUUUUUGCUUCUGUCAGAAACAUAUGCAAGCUGCUUGUCAUUGACAUUAUAUCUUUCUGUACUAAAAUUAACCAAAUAGAAUCAUAAAUCCAGUAAACUUCAAAAAUAUCACUGCAAUUUGGCCUUGAAAUAUGGCUUUAUAUAUUACCAUUGACAAAAUAUUAUACGGUGAAUUUACUCUAAGUUGAAUUUAAUUUUGUAUAAGAACGGAUUUAUCAUUCAGUAAAUUUUAAAAUUGUAUUAGAAUAAAUGUAAUUGUUGUUGAUAUAUUUGAUUUAUUUCGAUAUAAUUUUAAAAUUUAACAACUGAGUUCUUAUAUAAAUUUAAACUUAUAAUAAUUAAUCCAAAAUCGUAAUUGUUACUCACUUUUGCAUAAUUUUUAUUUUUUAAAAAAUCCUAUCUAAUGUAACAUUAAUAUGAUAUUCACAAUAGAAAAAUAUUUUUGCUGGAAAUCCUAGGACCAAAAUAAUUGUUUCCUAAAAAAAAAGAAAAGUAUGUCUGCGAAUGUAUCUUCAAUAAUAUUUCUUGUCACCAUAAAUCAGAACGUACUAUUAAAUUUCCCCCAUUGAUUGAAUUUCGAUCCUGCCCAAGUUUUUAAGGAUGACAAUGAUUAGAUUGGAAGACAGGUUGCCAAUCUUUUGCCUUUGUUUUUAAAGAAUCCUUUUUUUUUUUUUUUUUCAUAUACAUGUUUCAAAGCACACCACGUUUCCUACAUUGUACUACUCUGUCUCUUCUUCUUUCUUCCAACUUGGCAUACGGUUGCCACUCAUUUAUUUAAGUGUCUAGAGCAAAGAAGUUUACAGGUGUUUGAUCUAACUUGUAAUAAGGAAAAGAAAAAAAGAAGUUAAGAUCAAUAUAAUUGUAAUUAUAAUUGAAAUGAGACUAUUAGGAUAUACUUAAAUGUCCUGAAAAAUAAAAAAUUAUUGUAGAUCUAUUUUGUAUUUUCAAUCCCAUAAUUGAUCCAACUCAAAUUAUUCUAGCCGGCUUAAUUUAAUCAAUGUUGGUUAAUGUUUUUUUAUAUUUUUAUUUUAUUAAUAUAGUCCAGGAAAAACUUCAUGUAACUGGGAGCUAAAUGAAUUAUUAUAAGAUAGUAUAUACACAUCCUCUUCAUUUUUUUUACUCACUCAAAUUAUUAUUAAUUCUUAAAUUGAAAGAUAUAAAGAUGGGGAAAGAUAUCAAAUACCUAUUUGAACACAAAGUUAUACAUACACUUAAAAUACAGUAUAUUUUUGUAUUAUCAAAAAGUUAUUCAACACAUCUUCUUCAACUUUUGCUUCAUUUUGAUGCUUUUUGUUUGUACAUACAAAGGUUAUAGAGCAGAAACUUAAACGAAUUAAGAGCAAGCUUAUGCUUUGAAACAUAAAAUAGUGAGCUAAAAAAAAAAAGUGAAAAAAAGAAGAUGAUAAAUCCUUGAAUUAAUGGAAAGCAGGCUCAUCAAGCUCCUCCAUUUCAAUGCCAACCUCACCCAGCCUCUUGUCCUUGUACACAUACCAUUUAGAAGAAGCAAAAAAUAUCACAAAAUUCAAUGCACUCAAAAUUGCCAAUAGCCAAUAGAAAUCGUAAAGCCUCCCUUGGUUUAGAUUAUCAGCUAGCCAUGGUUUAUUUCUCGUCACCUUGUGCACUAUUGUCACCAAUAUAGAACUAACGAAAAACCCUAAUGAAAGUGUGCUUAAAAAUAGCCCUGUGCUCAUCGUCUUCAUUCCUUUAGGACACUCUCUUAAAAAGAAAUCAAGCUGCCCUAUAUAUGUAACUGCUUCUCCUGCACCCACUAGCAGAAACUGAGGAAUUAACCAAAAUACACUUAAUGGGAUCUGAGCCGUUGCAUCAUUGCUCAAACCAUUUGAUCUUGCGGCUCUUAACCUUUUUAAUUCAGUCAAUGCAGCUGCUACCAUUGCAAUAAUGGAAAACACUAGACCAACCCCUAUACGUUGCAAUGGAGUUAGCCCAUUUUUUUUCUUGAAAAUAUUCUUGGCAAUUGGAAGUAUAAUUCUGUCGUAAAUCGGUACAGUUACGAGAAUGCUAAUAACGAAAAAGAAGGUCAGGGAGGCUGCUGGUAUUUCGAAAGAUUUUCCUAUGUGACGGUCCAUGGUAGUUGCUUGCGACACAGAAAAUGUUGUCAUUUGUGCAUAGACCGUCCAAAACAUAAUGCAAGUAGCCCAUAUGGGUAACAUUCUAACCACCAUUUUUACUUCUUCAACAUCUGUUAGGGUUGAUAGAUUCCACUUGUUUACCACUGUACUUUCUUGGUUUUUGAUUGCUGCUCUGUCCAAGAAACUGUACAAACAAAGUAAAAAUCAUCACUAAUUAAUUAAAAAAAUUUACCGACAAAUUAAUAACUCAGAAUGUCUAUAUUAUAGUUUGUUUUGUUGUUUGAAUUUAGUUCACGUGUCAGGCCAACAAAUGUAGACAUAAGGUUUCAAAAAUAGCUUGAGAUUUCUAUUAUUAGACAGUGAUACUUCUGAAAUGCUAUAAAAAAGACAGUAGUGGACAAAGAAAUAUGAUGUGUUGUGUCCGUGAUUUAGCUUAUAUUAGCAGCGGUAAUAAUGCUCAACAGACUAUCAAAAUCAAUUAAUUUGGAGACAGACUGGCUUUGGUGACUCGUGACCACUUCUUAAUCGGUUACGAGUAUUAUUUUUGUGGGAACAUUUGGUAAAGAAUCUGUAAAUGAAGAGAUACUUAAUUAAUUAGGGAAUCUAUAUAUAUAACUAAGGUCUUUACAUUUAUGGAAUUUUAGGGUUUAAGUGAUCAAGAUUUGAAGCAAAUUAUAAGAAUAUGAGAGAUGCAUGCAUAUAUAUUAUACUAUAUUAUAAGGAACUGAUUCCAAGAAAGUCAAUUGGGCAUUUGAUAUUUUCUGACAUGUCAUCCAAAAUGAGAGUCAUUUUGUCCUCUAAUAUCUAAACAGAGAACAAGAUAAAAACUGACAUAUCACAUUUCAUGUAAACUUUGUUUUUUUGAGAGAAUGGUUUUGGGUCUCCGCUUGCAAGUUGUAAGGGUUAGCACACAGACUCAGAAUUCAAACCUCACCACACAGCAAAACUUAUGGUCUUGGCUGUCAAUUUGCAUACAACCAUUUUAUAUGACUGGACCAAAAUUGUAACAAUCAUUUCCAUAACUCUGCUCUCUGAUUGGCUAGCAUUGACAGGUUUCCAUCUGUGAUAUGUCUACUUACGACAGCUCCGACCCAAAUGGAAAGUUAAUUUGAGCUGUUGUUGUCACCUACCCCCCCCAGUAUUAGUCCAUAUACCAUGCACAUUCUGGUGAAAAUGAUAUCAUAUUCUUGCGUGUUGUAUUUCUAUUUCUAUUCUAGUUAGUUCAAAAAUAUUUCUAACUUAGCUUUCCUGUUUAUUUUUCUUUACAUUUUAAUCCUAUGAAAGAAGGGGUUGAUUUCAUUCAAGUAGUACCAAUAGAUAAAAGAGAGACUAACCGGAAUUGCUUGCUGUGAGGAAGUUUUUGCUUCUUGCUCUUUUUUCCUUCUUCAAUAUCUUCUACAUUGUGAAGAAAUGAAGGAUCUGAAGGUAACUCCAAGUUUCUUUUUUUCCAAGCACAGACAAAAACCGCAGCAAUCUGCGUCAAUGGGCUACCCACCAAUUUCUUGAAACGGUAUCGUCUCGUGCCGGAUAGGAAAAGAAUUAGUCCCAACACAAUAGCACAUCCACAUAUACCAUACCCCCACUUUCUCCCUACAUUAUCUUGAACAUAAACAAGGACUGUAACUGCACCGAGUGACCCGAGGUUUAUUAAGAAAAAGAACCAGUGGAAAAAGCGAUUCAUUUUUUUUCUUUCAUUUACGUCUGUCUCGUCGAAUUGGUCGGAGGCAAAACCUGAUACACUUGAUUUUAUACCGCCUGUGCCAAGAGCGUACAUGUACAGGGCCAAAUAUAGUAUUGUCAGUUGCUUGCCGCUUGCCGGAAUGCAACCGGUGUUGUUUUCGCAUUUCGGUGGCCUUAAGCUCGGAAGUGCGGUUGAGAUAGUCAGGAUUGUGAUACCCUAAUCAGUCAAAAAUAAAUAAAUAUUAAAUAAAAGUGAACAAAAAGAAACAAAUUAAUAUUGACAAAGCAAAAAUAAAGUGCACUACCUAAAAAAGAAAAUAUAAUCAGCGUGCACGAACAAACUUCACGUUCAGGUAAAGAAAAAAAAGGCAACAGUCGGUACUCUUGCAUAUGUAUAUGAAUAUUUUCACGUGGUUUAUUUUUCAUUUUCAAGAUUUUUUUCUUUUUCAUUUAUUUUGAUUUUAAAUAGAGGUUGUUGGUAAGCGCAACUAGAUUAGUUAAUUACCAUUGCUUGCACGGUUGCGAAGAUGGCAAUAGUGAGAUACCUGUCCAGAUAAUAAUCCCAGAUUCAAGAAAAGUUAGAGAAACAUAACAGGAACAAAAAUAUAUAUGCAAUAGAAAUGCAAGAAGAUGGAUCAUAUUGAUCAAACCUUCCAAGAAAAGUAUCGGCGACGAAGCCACCAAGCAAGCAAAGCAUAAAAGUAGUUCCAAGGAAGUUGGUGGUUGUAUUUGCAGCGGUAGCAUUGCCCAAGUGCAUAGUAUCUGUCAUAUAAGUCACCAGAUUAACCACAAUACCAAGUGUAGUUAGCCUUUCAACAGCCUCUCCACCUGAUCAGAAAAUAGAAAUCCGGUAAGAGAAAGAUAGAAAAGUAGUAAUACCGAUAAGUUGAUAAAAAAAAUUUAGCCUUUUGACCUAGAAUCAUGGCGGCGCUAGUCCAGCCACCAGUUAUGGAGCGCUCGGCAGGGCGGCCCUUGUAGUCCCAAGCAUCUGGGAGGAUUUUGCUGGAAAGAUCAUCGCUAGCCAUAAAAUUGGUCUGAUAGGUACCUGUGAGAGAAGGGAUGAGUAAGUGAAAGGAAAUUUGAGGCACGGUGAAUGUGCAAGGAUGGUUGGGUUUAUAUAGUGGGAAGUCACGAAUUUAAUUAUAAAGUUAAAAAAUUGUAAUUAAACAAAUAUAUAAUAAAAUAAUCUUGAAUGAAGUAACACCUGUGGGCUGUGCUUAAUUAUUAUUUAAUUUAAAGAUAUACAAUUAUUUGUACCUAUAAAUAACUAAGGAUAAACUGAAACCUUGGUUAGACAAAGUGGGUUAAUUAAACAGUUGAGUCAUGUUUCCCUCGAAAAAGAUAAAAAAACAAAGGACAGCUCAGUCAUAUGUGUCUAUCUGUGUGUUUUUUUUUUUUUUUUUUUUUUUUUUUUUUUUUUUUUUUUUUUUUUUUUUUUUUUUUUUUUUGAAAAGAGAGAAGAAAACAAAAAUUAAUGAAUUAACAUACACAUGUCUUGUUUAAUCGAUUAAUUCAAUCGGUUAAAGUAGAAAGAACACAAUUAACAUUUAGCAAUCCAUUCCACCUGUUCUGCUCUAUCAUCUUCAAUUUAUUUUUUGAUCCUUUCAUUUACGUUGUAAAUCACUAAUAUACUUUUUUUGCAUAUGAAAAAUUUAUAUAAUUUAUUUUUCUAUAAUUGUUGAUACUCUGGAUUUUGAACGAGGACAGGAAACAGAAAAUUUAAAAUCAAAAAUAAAAUUUGCUAAUUACUAAAUUUGGUGGCUCAUACAGGCCAAAUCAGCCUUUGUAGAUGAUCAUCAUCGUCAUCAAGCAUGUCCUCAUGUCUGAACUUCCAUGGAAAUUCCAAUUAUUUAUUAACAAAUAUAAUUAAUUUAAAUGUAAAUCAACUUUUUGAAAAAUAAAUCGUUUUAAAAUCAAAUAAAAUAAUAAUGUUGAUAAUAUAAAUGUAAGUAUAUUUAGAUAAUAAGAUAAAUCGAUAAAUUGAUUGCCUUUAGUUAGGAAGUGCAACUUCUCCUAUCUGAAAAAAUAACUUUCCUUUUAUAAGGGAAGUUAUUGGAUGGUCCACCCUUGUAGGUUCGACAAAAUAUGAUAAAACUUGUUUACCAAUUUGAACCGAGAUGAUUUGGUAAAACUGACUUGAUAAAAUGGUAAAUAGUACAGUAAAUUUUUUGAUAAAAUUUGAUACUCCAUAAAUGGUUGGAUAAAAUAUCCAAAAAAAAUCAAAAUUCUCACUUUACUCAAAAUGGUGUUUAAUUUUUUUUAAACAAAAGCAAACCCUAAUAUACAGUAAAUCAAUUAAUUUGGUAAAUGGUAAAACACCAUCAAUAAAUCGGUAAAUUUGUAAUUCAAUAAAUAUGUAAGUCCGUCAGCAGACAAUCAAUACUCAUAGUAAAUCAAUAAAUGCAAAUUCGAUAGUUAAUCGAACCGAUGAAUAUUGGCUCCUACUUCUUAAAAGAUAAAAUUGAUAAUGCAAAUUAAAUACACAAACAGUUUAUACACUUCUCUAAUCUAAUUACCCCAACUAAACAUCACCAAUAUUUUUGAAUACAAAGUUCUAAUGUCAUUGUUAAAUGUUAAAGUUUCUUAAGGCCUAAAUUAGACUCGUACAUGUCCAAUUGCUUUCACAUUAAUUGACAACAAGAACUACUCAUUUCUUUAGUGUACUUUCUCUUUGUUUACAAGUAAUCGUCAUAAUCAGUGAUGGAGUCGAUAAAAAUUUAGAGACGAUCAAAGAAAAUUUUCAAAGUUAGGACAGGCCAAAUCAAAGAAGAAAGCUUUAUAAUACUAUUUUGCAAAGUAAUUUUUUUCUUUAAAUGGAGAUAAUUGGCUAUAAGCCCCUCCAUCCCUCCCUCCGUCUCUGAUGAUGACAACUUUGUAUUUGCUAAAAUAUCAUUGACUUUCGAGAAUCUUUUUUUUUUGGUGUUUAUGGUUUAAAAUCUUUCCGCUACCACCACCACUGAAAUUUUUAGUGGCUUCAGUUAAUAUAAUUAUACAAGUGUAGUAUAACCAUACGCUAAUGGCUGGAAUUUACUGUGCAUUUCAUUUUUCAAAUGGUAGGCCAUUCUUGAUUCUUCAUCUCCCACCCUUCAUUACAUUAUGCGUCCCUUUGGUUCAAUUUUUGAGACUAAUAUUUAGCUUUUGUGCGUUUCAAUUAUUAAUUAAGUGUUCAGAUGAAUUUGGCGGUCGAUGAGAUCAGAAUUAUUACUAACAUACGGCCCUCCAACUCCAACUACAUUUGCUAACACUUGAGUGUAUUUUAUUAUAUUUAAGCAUUAUAUAGAGUCGCGCGGUUGGUUGGUCUUAACCUAAUGAAGAUGUUAAUUUUAGUACAGAAAAGUCAUGUAUGAGUACGAUAAUAUUGUUAUCAUUUGGCAACUAGUAAUUAACUUCGCAUGGCAACAAAACAAUAUAAACUAUAACGACAAUUCAAAAUGUUGGUAUUGUCUUGUAUCUUUCUCCAACGUUCAACUCUCCUCGUGUAGAACAUUUAAUUGAUGAUCCAUUAGCAGGGGUGGCCAUCAUUCAAAACCAAUGGUUUUUGUUUAGUCCUUUAGGAUUAAAAACUCAAGCUGGCUCAGAAGAUUAAAUAUAUUCGAUUUUGAUUUCAAUUUCACCGCGAUUUUAACUGAUUGUGAUUUUUUUUGUUCUUUUUUUCCUUAAUUAUAUGUAAUGUGAAUCAAAAUAGAUAACUAAUGUAGUAAUAAAACAUAUGAAAAAACCAUUUUUAACAAUACCAUAUGAAUCAUAAGAGGUUAGAGUGCUACAUUUAAAAAAUUUAGUUAGAAUAUAUAUGAUAAGAAUUGGACAGUUAGAGAAAACAAAAAACAUUGAAAUUAUUAAAAUCGAUUUUAAUAGAAUUUGUGAAUGGCUUAUACUAGCCCAAGAAAUGGGUGGAUGACGCACAACGUUAACACGUGACAUCUUCUAGAGGUAUAGGGUCCGGUUUCCCCAUAAUUAAUAUAAUUAAUUUUCCAAAAAUAUAAAUAAAUAAAUAAAUAAAUAAUGCAUGAUCGAUCGUUGAUUGAGGCUUAGCCCUUAGGUGUUGACAAACUUUUUUGGGGGAAUAAAAUUAAUGAUUCAAUUCAAUAAAAAAAAAUGCAAUUUCAUCCAAUAGAAAACUUGAGAUUAGUCGGUCGUGUGGUAUCCCCAUCUUUUCAUAUAGCUAGGAGGCCUCCCUUUUAUUCUAUUUUGUUAUUGAAUUAUUGCAUUCUUGUCAAUACCAUUUGGAGUCAAAAUCAAUUAUAAAUUCAUAUUAUAUACAAAAUUAAUUUUUUAAAAAAAUAUAAUAAUUUGAUUGAUUAUGAAGAAGAUGGUAUCAAAAUGGAUCAAGAUUCAAGAAUAUUUUUUCCAAGUAUGCUUUGAGGAUAUCCAAGAGCCACAUAGCAAGAUAAAAAAAAAAAAAAUGCAUAGACAAGUGGCUUAAUUAUAGCUCUUUAAAAUGCAGAAAAAGGGAAUAUAUAAUACACUAAUUGGUUCGUUGAUUUCUACUAAUAAAAGAUACCUAUAAUAGAAGAGAGAGAGAGAGAGAGGAGAAACUUAGCCAUUGAAUCUCAUCAGAUAUACGUUAAUAAGAAAUUAGGAUAAAUGGUGAGGUGGUCGGUCAACUCAUUGUUAAUCAAGAAAAUUAGGGUUACCAAAUAUUUUUCCAUUCUUGAUUUUUUUUUUUUUUUUUUGAUACAUUAUUUGUGGCUUUGAAUUGAUAAGCUAUUAUGAAUGGAGAAUGGUCGGCACAAUCUCUUAUAAGUUAUAUAUAUAUAUAUAUAUAUAUAUUUUGAAUGGUUAUAUAUCAAAAUAUAAGUUUUGGCGAGUUAAUUCUUAUAUUAAGAUGAAAGUAAUAUGUCAUCCUAUCAAAACAAUUGUGCUAUUUCUAGUAUAAAAUAUAUAUGUUUUCUACUUGUUACCCAUUCGAAUUGCCAAAGAACAACUAUUAAGGAUGGCCAAUUGUGUACUCCAAGAGGAAUUCCAGAGGAUGUUUAUAUCUUGGGGAAGAAAUCUAUAUAUCUACUUAUUAUUGAGUAGAAUGAUAUUUUAUUAAGGUUCCAAAUAAGUUUAUAGUAAAUUCCUUUCUGAAAUGAAUUUUAGGGUUCAGGUUCAAGCAUGAUCAAGUCGAAUUGUAUUGAUUAUUUAUCAAUGAACUAAUAUUAAUUUAGUUAAAUUUUUUUCCUUGUUUCCUUUAAUUGGUUGGGAAUUAAAAUUUAAGUUAUAUAUAAUUAGACAAGUGAUUAAGAAUCAAUGGCCCAGGCAGCCAAUUUUAUUUAUUUAUUUUGUAAUAACUUGAUCUUAUCACAAGUCCAACCCUAAUUGUAAUAUAUAAUGCAUGUCUUUCUCUCAUAGUGUAACAAUUACCCUUAAAAAUGUCAAAUUCACACCAUUUUGUAAAUAUUUUCAAAAUCACACCGUUUAGGUAAAUUGCCCAUAUCACCUCUCCUUUUACCAUUUUUUUUUUAAAAAAUUUAAAAUAUAGAUUUAAUAAUUGUACCUUCAAAAAAGGUGUAGCGUAUAUUGUAGUCAAACAAUGAAUAAAUACAAAGGAUAUACUAGAAACUUGGUAAGGAAAGUAAAGGUGAAUAUACCAGAAGCAUGAAUAUGACAAAAAGAUUCAUGAUUAGACUAAUUAAUUUCUACUUUCUAGGGAAAGUUGUAUCUGGGGAAGAUUCAGUUUAAUUAUUGCAGACAACUAAUGAAUCUUAUAUAUGCACGAUCCAAAUGAGUCGGAUUGUGUUUGUCAAACUUUAAAAAUGUUUUUUAGUCAUUCAUUCAAAACAAGACAACCAACUUAACUUAAUAUAAUAUUAAACAAAACAAAGUGGGUUAGCAACGAAACAAUUAUGUAGUUUGAUUUCUAAUUUUUAAAACCAAAUUAAUUCCCUAAUCAAUGAAUCUUAAUUUUCAUUUUCUCUAAUCAGUCCAACAAGUGUAGCUUGCGCAAUUUACUUGCUCUUCUUGCUAGUGGGUGUCCAAAACACAAGAUUUUUGUGGGCUAAAGUGGAAAUUAAAGCGUGAGAUUGAAAAAGUUUAAUUAAAAAAUAGCCAACUAUGAUGGUCUGUCUUUUGUAUUAGAAAAAAAAAAAAAGACAAAAGGAAAAGUGUAAUCCAAAAAAUUCUAUCCUUUCCUCAGUUAUGAAUUGCCAUCAAUCUAAUGUGCAUAAAUUAAAUUUUAUUAAAAUAAUAAUGUACAGAAAAACUUUAAUUUAUUUAAAAAUUAACCCAAGUUAAUAGGCCAUCCUCUUAAGUAAAAAAAAAAAAAAAUCUGGUCACAGCAUUUUUAUAGCUCAAAUUUGAGAAUACGACCGAAGCUAAUUACCCUAGAGUAGAACUAGCUCUUAAUACUACCUUCAUACUAAAUCAAAUAAAUAAAUAACUUGUAACAAAAAAAAAAUAUAUAUAUAUAUAUAGAAAGAAAUAUAUGGUGACCCUUUUGCAAAAAUUGAAAAAAGAUAUAUAUUUGUCUUUAAUAAAAACGUCAUGUCUUAAGUUCCCAUAUUCUUGGAAAAAAAAAAAGUGAUUAAUAUCAAAUCUUCAUUUAAAAAACACAAUUUACUAUAUUUGGUAAUAUAUAAGAAUCGAGUUUUCGCUUCACAAAAUGAAGAAAUAACCUUUAAGAAUAAUAAAAACAAGUUGUGGGUUGAAACUAUAUAUCCUAAUUAAACCCUAAUAACAAAUAACAUAACGUCAAUUUAUUUCAGUUUCUUGAGGAUAAAAAAAAAAAAAAAAAAAGAAAUAUGAAGCACAUUCUCAAAUCUUCACUUCACAACAAUAUAUCUUAAUCAAACCCUAACUAUACCUCGAGUUUUAACUUCACAUAAGAUGACCUUUAAUCAUAUUGAAAACCAGUUGGAAAUUUAAUAUAGCAAAAACAUUAAUAUCUUAGUUUGAAAAAAAAAAAUAAUAUUGUGAUUAUUCCCAUGCAUGGUCCUUCCUUACUUCACAGCUAUGAGUCACAUUUUAUUAUGCAAAUUGUUCAAACUCGAGUAUUCACAUCACAAAGGUGGCCUUUAAGGAAUUCUGAAAGAUGUAUAUUUAACUCAUAGGAAAAAAGAAUAAUAAUAUUUAUUCACUUCACAACAGGGAAAAUCACUGUUGAACAUAAAUGUUGGAAAAGGAAAUAAGAGCAUGUGACAAAAGCUCAACUUGUCUCUUCUCUGCAGUUGAUUAUUAUGUAUGGUGAGACCACUUUGACAGCUGAAUGACUGAUCUUAGCUUUCCCCUUGCUUUUUGGAAGUGGUGCGGAAUUUUCGAUAUUUUUGUUUAUUACAAAAAAUAUUAUAUAUACUAUGGAACCUUUUCCAAAGAGGUGGGAUCUGGUUUGAGUUGGUUUGGUGGAAAGUGAUGAGAAACACUAUUUCACUUGCGUUUUCCAAAAAAAAAAAAAAAAAAAAGAAAAAAAACACUAUUCACUUUAUAAUGGUAUUUAUGGGCCUAGAAGACUGGGCUUCUGUUAAUUUAAUGGGCCAUAAAAUGUAGAUCUUGUGGAUUAUUGGGCCUGCACUGUAGAGUAAUGGCUGUAGCUGACUUAAUCCACUUGCUAAAUUGAUUAAUGUUUAAUUAUAACUAUCUGCUAUUAUUAAUAUUGAAUAGACAUAUUGUUAUACAUGUCUCGAGUAGAGAAAUUGUUAUAAUUAAUUUAAAAAAAGAAUAAUCGAUCCCGCUAGAUAAAUUCUUAUUCACCUAAAAAUUUUUUGAUGAUGGAUUCCACUAAUUUAAUUUUUAAAUUUAUAUAUUUUUUAUUGAGUAUAGUAUAUCUCUAUUCGAGACAUAUUAACAUAUAUAUUAUAGAAUUUAUGUUAUUAGUAUUUUGUGAACAGGAGCUUAAAAGGAAGAGAGGAUGAGAAAGGUUUAACUACUGGCCCAACAACUAGUAUCAAUAAUUUUGGUGUAAUCUUUUGAGGGAAUUUUAAUCUCAAGAUUAAUUAAUGACAAGUAAUGCCAAACAUAAAAUACAAAUCUAACAGUUGUUUUGGUUUUUCUGCCAACUCCGUGAUUUCGUGUUUAAGAAAGAUCAAACACAACACAAGAACAUUGUAAAUUGUAAUCAAUAUUGAGAAGAGUGUCCUCUUGAUCCGUUGAUUUGCUGUUAGUUCACGGGUUGAUUAAAUCUGAUGGUCGUUCUUGUGUUUGAAAGUGUUGUUGUUGUGAAGAAUUUUGUUGUCGUUUUAACAGUAUCAUGAUUUGCAACUUGCACUAAACAUGUUCGAUUAUUAGCUUAAGAGAAUCUCUUUAUGAAGUCAUACAGGAGCAGCACUAAACUCAAUCUUGAAGCCUCAUUCCACCUCGAUUGAGUUGUGAUUUUUUCCGACUUUGAUUAGAAAAUUACCUUAAAUUGACUGUAUAUAAAUUAAAAUGCUAAAAAUUUUAUUAAACAUUUUUUAAAUAUAAAUUAUUUUCAAAAAAAAUUUAAAUAUAAAUUAUGUCCAUAUCCUUUUUAUCCGUUCAUAUAUUUUUAUACACACAUCGCAAAUUUCAUUAUUAAAAUAUAUUUUAUCAGUUUAAUAUUUAUUUAUACUUGAACAUAUAAGUUACUGUUUAAUCACUUAAUACAAUUAAAUACACUGGUUACGAUUUUUAUUUUUAAAAUAUGUAUUUGAUAAUUAUCAAAGGACUAAAUAGUAAUUUAAUUUUAUUCAUUAGGAAUAAUAAUAAUAAUUUACUAGCAAUUAAUGAAAAAAUAAAAUGAAAGAUUAAAUAAUAUAAUGGAAAUAAAAUAAAAAGAUUAUAUAAUUAAAUUCUAAAAAGAGAGAUCUAACUAAUAUAUUUGAAUAUAAAUGAAGGAUUAAAUAAUAAUUCACUAAAAAACAACAAAAGCAAAGGGCGUCCUUCGUUAAGCUUAGCCCAAAGACGAUGUGGCGACAAAUGGAGAAGAGGGCCUAGAGGCUCAGUUACGGAUUGCACCCCCGCGGCUAAGAUUUGAUAUGAGAGUUAGGUCCAUCUACAAGUUUCGAGCUGAAUUUAUAUAGCCCACCAGUUAGUUCUCCCCUAUAUUCCAAUUGAUAACCAAUAUUAUUUUAUCCAUGAUAUUUUGUUCAAAGAAUUUGACUAAUCUGAUAAAUUUUGCAGGGAAUGCAUUUUGAAAUGAAAUAUGAAAAUAUAGAGUCAUAAUUAAAUUUAUGUAAAAAUAUUUCAUUUUAUCGUGAAAUAUAAUUAUUAUUAAAAUAUGAAAGUAUGCGAUCAUAAUUGAACCAUUGUAAAAUUUAAGGAUUAUAAAAAUAAUUAACUAAAGUUAAUGGUUAAAUUUAUGCAUUAGACCGAAUUUGACUGUCAUAUCAAAAGAAUAAGCCCCACGUUGAAAGAACCACAUCACAUGCAAUGGUGGGUUGAACUUAUCUUAUAUUUCAAAUAGAAUAUUAAAAACACACAUGAGACAUGAUAUAUUUUUGUUAAAAUCAUGGCAAUUUUGAAAACAUGCAAACCUAUAUACCUCACACAUAUGUACACUCUAUAAACAAGGCAUGUGUAUACUAUUGAUUUUGAUAAAGACUAUGUCUUGUCUCUGUUUCAUGUAGAAGUAUAUGUUCUAUGAGAUCUAUAGGUAAAGCAAUUAUAAAUAAAAUGAUUAGCUUGGAAUUGCAAUUGUACAAUCAUAUAGUUUACAUAAAGAAACGCAAUAAAAUUUCACUGUAAGAAUUAUUGAACACGCUUAGGGUUACAUAACAAACAUGAGUACAAGAAAAAGCCAAAACAUAAAUAAAACACAAUAAUUCCAAAUUAAACAAUACUGCCCACAAAUUACAAAUGCUUAAUUAGGCUUAGGCGCAAAUGAAGUCAGAGGGAAGUUGCUUCCCGCAAGUGUUAAUAAGCAAGCUCAAAGAAAUGGGAAUGUUAAUGUUAAUCCCAAGAAUGUUAGCUUUAAUUGCAGUGCAAAGGCAAACAGCUGCUUCGAGAUCAACAAGCCCUUGAAGUACAGAGCAGCAAGGGUGGUCUGGGGGGUUCCCAACAACUCCACCAACUGCACCAUUAAGCAACUUAGCACAAACUCCCAAUUUUAAGGCAUCUCUUGGGCAGCUUUUCUUUGCAGGUGUAGGGUUUGGGAAUGGCUUGGGUUGAACACAAGUGUUGCAUCCACUCACUAAGGCAAAGAAUAUCAGGUUGAUAAAGAGAAAAAAUGCAGUUGAUAAUGAAUUCUUGCUAUCCAUUUCUCUCUCUCUCUCUUUCUCUCUCACACACACAAACACUCUUUACUAUAUCAAGUAAAUAAGUUGCUCUUUGGCUAAGAAAUGCGCAUGGGAAUUUAUAGGGUAAAAUGAAAUGUUUUGACAGUUACAGCUAGCUACAGGCUCAACCCAACAAAAAGUAGGUCUUUUCAUAUUGGUUGAUUGAUACCCAAUGAAAGAAAGAUUAUAUUAGCUUUAUUAAAUUCUAUGUAUAUAUGAAUAUAUUACGAAGAGUUGCUUCUCUUUUCAAACAUACUGUUUAAAUUGAAUGCGUUGAAAGUUUUAACUGAAAGUACAUAUAUUAUAUAUCUAGCUUCAAUCUAAGUUAAGUUUUACCAUCGAAAUGCUAAUAGUAUGACAAAUAAUAAUGUGAAUAAAAAAUUAGUACUAUAAGGACUUAGGAGAUCUUUCAUGUGAAGCAAGGCUGGCAAUGAAAGGAUUCUACACCACUUAUAGGGAGGGUUUUUGUCAUAUUUGUAGUUGCUACUGUUGUUUUUUGGUUGUUUGAAUCUCAAGAUUUGACGAACUAAUUGGCACUCCCGUGAACACCUUUUGGAACGGUUUUUGCGAUUCUAUGGGCGCUAAUGGUUACUACUAGAUAGUAACUAGGAAGUUUUUUUUUUUUUUUUGCCAACAUCCUUUCUUUUUCCCCAUCUCGUUUGUCCAUUAGUUGGAAAUAUUUCCAUGGAAAACCACUUUUGUUGCUUGUUUUUCUAUCAUACGAGACAUCGUGUCUAUGUCCGGUGAAUGAGAUGAUCGUGCACUGAACUUCCUUUAGAAAGAAGUUUUAAAAUAUUAUUAUUAUUUUUAUUUUUUUAGUGAACAGUCAUAAAUAUAUUUAUUUAAACAAAAAAAUUUAUUUUUGCCUGAUUUUAAUGUAUAUCUAUACACGGGAUAUAAAUAAAUCAUUCCUUCCUGGACUUGUUUGUUAUUUGCUAUUACCUAUCCAUCUUCAUUUUCAUUUAUAUCAUUUAUUUUCUCUCUUUUGUUUAUUAUUUAGGUUCUUAUUCAGUAUAAAACCAUAUAGUCAUAACCACACAUGAAAAUUAUUUCAAUAUUAUUGAAAAAAAAAAACAUAAAUAGAACUGAAAUAAAAAAUAUAUAUAUAUAUACUUCAGUUUGAUUUGAUUUGAUUUUUAAUUUUAACCAAAUAAUUUGGUGAAUGGGCUCCAGAAGUCCAAAAUUUUCUGGAAGUAAAGUGAAACCAAUCCACAAUCUUUUAGACUAGAUGGACUUACAGGUUUGGUUGAUAGCCCAAUUCAUAUCCCGCAUAUUUCAGUUCACAUGUUCAUUUACUUAAGAACCCACGUCGUUCUAUCUUCUCCAAAGCACAGAUCCUUUUUAUUGGGGUCGUUUAACUAAGGGGACUAGUCGUUCAGUCGUUUUUACAGGAGAUGGUCACUUGACUUGGGCUGAGGCAUGAUAAUGCCAGGAGGGGGCCGUGAUCCCAAUUGUUGCGUGUCGUAUAUAUAGGAUUUCAAAGUUGAUACAAGCCGUAAUAAUUGAUCAGUUUACUUAUCAAGGGUUGAUUUAGGUCGGCACUUCCAGAAGAAAAAGAAAGUCAUAACUCAUAAGUCUUUUACAUUUCUUUUUCAAAAUUGUAAUCUUUCUUACCAUUAAUCAAAUGAUUACAACUAUAUAAAUUCAACCACGUUUUAGUGUGAUCCUUAAACAGUAAACAUUUUAAUUUAUAAAAUUAUGUUUCAUAUUGUAAAUUAUGACUGCAGCAAUUUGUAAAAUUAUAGAUCGAUCAGACACAUAUUAAUUAUAUAUCAAAUUAAUAUUUUAUAUAUAAAAAUUAAAUUUAUAACUUUAGAAAUAUAAAAGAUCCUCAAAAAAAAUUGAGAUAUCGCAAAAGAAAUAUAUGAAUAAUUUUAUAUAUUUGACUAUUUAGAAAUUGAUUAUAUUAGCAUAGGUGCUUUAGGAUUCAAACUUUGCAACUUGUUUAGCGGCUGAAAAACAGGUGUAGUGAACGAAAAAGAUAUUUUUGGAAAGAAAAUUUCCUAUUAUUAGAAAAAUUGAAUAAAUUAAUUCACGAAAUCUAUUUCUAGAUUUUCCUUAGAUCAAGGAGAAAAGGAAGUAGGAUAAUAACAGCUAUUCGAUUUGCACCAAGUCACCAAAACAGUCUUAAUUUUAGAUUCAAGAAUUUUUUAUUUUGCUUAUCCUCAAAGAAAGAAAAAAAAAAAAGAAAUUAUUAUUUUGCUUAAAUUAUUAAUUUUUUAGUCAGUACGCGCCAAUCAAGGUCUGAAUUCACAAUGUUGUAGUUUUGCAGAAAAUUCCUAUAUGAAGUUAUUUUAAGGUCCUAUUUUUGAAUUAGUAAAGAAAAUUCCAAUAAUUAAAUUUUGAAUGGAAUUAGAAACAAAUCUAUUAAAAGAAAAAGAAAAUACUACAAAAUUUGCUUGAAUUUUGGCAACAACUGAAUUAAUUUCUUAAAGUUGGCGAAUUGGACGGUAUAAAUUAUUAGUGGUUGGGUGAAGAAUGGUCCAUUUCAGUUGGAAGAAUGUUUAGAUAAAGUGAACAAAAGAGAUAAUUAGGUGUAAGAAAGAAAUUAUGAGCCCACAUUUUUACUGGGAAACAGAGGAAUCCAUUUGGCCCCAUUUGUCUGCUGGCCGCUGCUAAACCCCUUUGCUUGUUUCGGUGUGCCCAUUUCUUCAUUUCAGUAAUCAGAUCAAUCAUGUACCCAACCUUUGCUUACUAUCAACUCAAAUGUAUUUCUUAUUACUUAUAUCCUUUACCUUUAAUAAUUGGAUUUUUUAUUAAUGAAGAUGAGCAACACCGGUUAAAUUAUGAGAAAGUCAUGAUGAAAUAUUUGACAGAAGAGAAUGAAGAAGGUGAACGCCAAAAUUGAAAGGUAAAGCAUAUUUAGGAAAGCAACACCGGUUAAAUCAUGAGAAAAUCAUGAUAAAAUAUUUGACGGAAGAGAAUGAAGAAGGUGAAUACCAAAAUUAAGAAGAAAAGCAUAUUUAGAAAAUUAAUCCACACAACGAUUAGCUUCACGCAAUAUACACGGUGAACUUGAAAAAGCAAAUUACUAUCUUUUCGAUUGUACAGACUUUCCUGGGCCAGGAGUAAAAAAUAUUCUAUCUUGCUGUUAGUAGUUUAUGCAAAAUGAUAUGUACGUUGUGUCUGUUUGUUUCUACCGCGUCGUUAAGCCAGCCCCCGGCCUACCUGGCUACCAGCAACAUAAAUAUAUAAAUAUAUAUAUAUAUGUCAGACAUAACAUCAAAUCCAAAAUACUAUAUUGAUAGACAAAGAGUUCAAACAUUUUCCCAUGUUUUCACUUACACGCGUUGUCAAAAAUUACACAUGUUGAAGCAUUUUUUUCCAAUUUCCAAAGAAAUUGGCUUCCAAAUUUUACUGUCUUUAUGCUACUACUUGAUUUAGGACAUGAGUGAAACUCUUAAUUCAUUAAUUUGACAAAACAUUAAGUUGAAUCUUUAAAUGAAAAAGUAGUUAAUUAUGGAUUUUGAAUGUCUAACACACACGUUUUUAGUAAAAAAGAAAAAAAGAAAAUCAAUAUCAUGAUAUUGGUUAUUGAUUGAAUUGUUGAAUUGAGAGAUCAACUUUGUGCAUUGGAUCUCAUGAUUUGAUGUUGACUUAAUUAAGCAAUGGUUAAUUGCAAGUAGAAGAAAAGAUGGCUCCACAAGGUGUGAAUAUAAGGAAGUUUAACAAAUCAUGACAAAGAUCUAAGUUUUUUUUUAAAUGUUAUUUUGCUCUCAAUGCAUAAUCUAAUUUCAAUUCAGAGUGGAGCCCAUGGUAGGUUCUAGGUUAGCCCGUGACAUUUCCAUCCAAACAAAGCAAGCCACUCCUACCAAAAUGAAUAGGCCAGGAUUGCAUAUCUAGUCAGCACCCUUAAAAAGGGCUUAAUAUAUACUUAUAUCCUUAACUUUAGAAUUUAUUACAUUUACACUCUAAUUUGAAAUUUCAUACCAUAACAAUUCCUAUGUUAUUUGGUUCAAUUACCAUUAUUAUCAAAAUGCAUUCGGUUACUGAAUUAAUUUAAUUCGAUCUGAUUCAGUUAAAAUUAAUGUUCAUUUUUAUCUGGACGGACAUCUUAGAAUACUUACCUGCAACCUAGUGUAGGAGCUCACAUAUAUACUAAGAGAAUCCUAAAUGGUAAAAUUUUUUGAUAUAAUACUUUAUUAUUAGUUUAGUGUAUGGAUGGGUGAAUAUAGGUAACUCUUAUCCAUUUUAUUGAUAUAGGUUUUUCCUUGCUUAAAUAAGAAAUUAAGACUUAACCUGUAGAAUUGCUUUUAACACUGAAAUCACAGCCAUUUCAAGGGAAAAAAGACACCAAGACAUGGAAAAGAUUACUAGGCAAAACGCAACUCAUCCAUGGGUAGCUAUCAAAGUAAAGAUAAGAAAAGAUAAGGCGUAAGUAUUGAUUAAACUUUAUAGAGCGGAAAAGAACCAGUCGACAAAAAAGAAAAAACCUUGAAGGGUCACAAUCUGGAGACAAUUUAAAAACAUUUAAGCCUUUUCUCUUUGGUAAUUAUCUAUGUUUUCAAUUUGGAAGGAACCGUAACACAUAACAAAUUGAUAUUAAUAAACGAAGAGAUUUAAUUAGACUUGUGUUUUCACAAAUCAUCCAAGUAAUAAUGUAAAGACUAGACCUAAUUGGUUCAUUAAAUCAGUAAUUUCGGUUAAAUGAAUUAGUGGUUUUGAAUCGAUGAGGUUUCCGACCAGGCCAACCAUCCUCUCAGUUCUGAGCCAACCACUUUUGGUCUUGGUUUCGGUUUGUACGGUUCCAGUGAAGUUCACUUCCCAUCAAAUUGUUAAAUCUCUUUUCAAGCUUUUUUCUUUCCUCGUCAGGAAUUCGCUGGAACAAAUAAUUUUAUGCUGAUUCGACUGACACGCUUGCUAAGUAGGAAUCUGUAAUCAAGUUCGGUCUUAUAGUUCUGAUUUGAUUUGAAAUUGAUACUCUCAACUCUCAGUAGAUUCUAGUCCUAGACCGAUUUGGAUUCAAUUAUAGUCCAAACUAGCUUUGCCAAAAUUGUUUGAGCAUGAAUAAAAUUUUUUUGGAAAAUUUAAUUGGUUGGUGAUAAAAAAAAUUAAAAGAGAUAGCCGAUACUUGAACACUAAUUACAAUGAUUACUGGAAAUUGCAUGUUAAUCUUGACAAGGCCAGUGGCACCUAUACAGUAAAAGCCAAAAUUUUGCAAGCUAGGCAGACCAAAAUGACUGAUCUUGCUAUCCAGGGGAAAGGAAUAUAGCCCACCUCAAAAAAAUCCAAAAAUGUUUUCAAGAAACAAUACCUGUACUGCCAGCUAAAAUCCCAAAUAGUGUACACAUGGGGUGCAUGACUUUAUUCUACAAUUUUCGCUGAUAAUUACUUCAUUUUAACAUCUCCAAGACCCCUAUAUAAACCCACCCCCUCACUCCAUAUGUUUCCACCCCAUCACAAUACACUCUCUCUUAUACCUAAAUUUAAAGUUAGAGUUUUCAGAAAUAUGGCUACGAAGAACACAUCAACAGUUGCUCUCUUUCUUGUAUUUAACCUUUUGUUCUUUACCCUAGCCAACGCAUGUGGUGGGGGCUGCCCUACUCCUAGGCCACCAAGACCAAAGCCAACUCCAAAGCCAACACCAACUCCGUCACCUUCAGGCGGAAAAUGUCCUAGAGAUGCACUUAAACUAGGCGUAUGUGCUAAGGUGCUCGGUUCAUUGCUUAAUAUCACCAUUGGCGAUCCUCCUGUCAAACCUUGCUGCUCUCUUCUAGAGGGUCUUGUUGAUCUUGAAGCUGCUGUUUGCCUUUGCACUGCCAUUAAAGCUAAUAUUUUGGGUAUCAACCUCAAUGUUCCACUUUCUUUGAGUUUGCUUCUAAAUGUUUGUAGCAAAAAGGUUCCUUCUGAUUUCCAAUGCGCCUAAACAUAUAUAGACAUUUAACUAUAUAUCUAUAUAUGGGUUUUGAGUUUUACGUGUUGUUCGAUCAAGUUUAGGAGUUCGCUAAACUUAUGUUUGUAUUUUAAGGUUGUAAUCGUUUGUUUUGUUUAAUAGCUUGUUAAAAUGUUUGUAAUUUCUGUUUAUUGGGGGGUUAAUCGAAACAAAUAAGUGUUGUAUUAGUUAUGUUUAAUGAAUUACUUCUAUGGGAAAUCAAUGAAAGUUUAAUCUAUUUCCUUAAUAAAAUUAUUACAGACCUUUAAAUUCAUUCUUCCCUUGAAAAUUCUUUAAAUAAUUUUAUUAAUCAGCAAUUUUUUGUUAAAUUUUACAUAUAUUAUUGUUGUGAUCAUAUCCGUGUAGUACAUGUACUUGGGAAUUAUAUAUUCUCUGGUCUCUGUUUUUCCUGUCUAUGCACACUCGUAACAGUGUAACUAUAUAAAAAGUGGUCAGCAAUCAGCUAGCCGUAUCACUCCAAACUGUAAUUGAAAAUAAUACAGUGAAUCCAACGACGGUUAUAAUAAAUAUUUUUGUAAUCUUUUCUUUUAAAAGAAGUUAAAAUUUUAAUUUUUAUGGAUGGAGCAAAUACUGUUAUAGAACACUUUAUUUCUUAAUAGGCUGAUUCAGAAUGCACGGUAUUUAAAAUAAGAAUAUGAUAAAUUAUGAUAUCCUAUGCUUAAAUAAAAAUAAAUAUAUAAUUAAGUGAAUAUCCUUAUACAAUUACGUUAUGGACAAUAAUCAUUAAAUAGAAUAAGAACAUUAUUAUCAAUAUAAUAACUAAUUAUGAGUAUAUGUUAUAUUUUAUUAUGUUAAUCGAUCAUGGUAAAUUAUGAUGAAUAUGUAUAUUCCAAUUCAUUUGUCACAUACAACAUUCAUGUGGAGGAACUAAGAAGCAGCAAUUAAUAAUUCAGAACUCUUAAAGCAUAAUCGAUUAAUUAUUAAUGACCAGUUACACCUUGGCCAUGCAUAUUAAUCUGUUAUCUCCAUGCUCAAAAGCCAUAUAUGUUCUGACAUCAUUAUAGCGAUGAUUUUAUUUCUAAUCCUUUAAAAUUUUUAUUUAUAACUUAUCUCAUAUAAUUGUUUUAUAAAUUUGAUUUCUAAUCAAUGUGAGAGUAAAGUUGAACUGAAUUAAAGAAAAACAAAAACAUGAUAAUUAUAUUUUAAAUCAACGAGUGAUAAAUAAGUGAUUUGAUAUUUUUUUUUUCUCUUAAAAAUUAAAAAAUUCUUUUGGAGUAAAUAUUUGUUAUUAUAGGCGAGUUGACAAAUGACAAUAACUAUAGAUAAUGCCAAAAAAAAUUUACUAGCAUUUUAUUUUGAAAGUCAAUUUCAUUUGGUAUAUUAAAUAAUUUUCCCAAGAAAAGAAUUGUCUCAAUUCACAGUCUAUUGAAUUGGAACCAUUUUUAUCAUUACAAACGGCCAAAAGCUUGGAACAAAUUCAUGCAAAAGCCAAAAUAAAAUUUCACUCGGUGCUUGUUGAAUAGGAGCAAAAUAGUAUAUUGGAACUUGAAAGUUAUCUUUUUCAUUAAUUAAACACAACUGUGAAGCAAGCUACAAAUCAUUAAUAUCAUUAAAGAGGCCAAAUCAAUGGUUUUUCAAUGUUAUAGUAAACAUGGGAAUUGAAAACUAUAAUAUAUUUCGGUUACAAACGAGUUAAAGCUCUGUGUCGUUUAACCAAAGAACAAAACAAAACUACAGGUGCAUAUUACGUACGCCAUUGAUAUUUUACGAAAGCCAAAACCAAAUUCCACUCGGUGGACCUUCAAUUAAUACCAAUUUUUCAAAGAAACCUAGGGUUGAAACUAGGGAUUAUUAAUGAUGAUGAGGUCAGGCAAGCGAAUGGUGAGAUAGUAACUGUAAGUCUCCAUCAAUUCUAAAAUGUCGUUUUUUCCUGGAAUUUCAAAAGUAGUGAUAUAUCUAUGUGUGGGGGUCAAACUUUAACAAUAAUAUCAAUUUUUAAGUUAGUUUAAUGGGGGCCAAAGUAUUUUUCAUAAAGUCAAUUAUAACCACCAAGCUUGUCUAAGUCCGUGACUCAAAACUAUGCGUGGUGGAUGACCAAAAUAAAUUUUUUUUUAAAAAAAAAAAAAUUCUGAAAAGACUCGUACUCUUGGUAGAAAGUACUCGUACUCAAAAUAAGUGGUUUUAAUGGUUGAUUAAUUUCAAUCUAUCAACAUUCUAAUUGUUGAAGAAAUCAAUCAUGGUCUGUAGCCACCAGUCCACCAUCCAUCCAUCCAGACCUUUUUUUUGACAAGACAACGGUGAAAUGAAAUAUGAAAAAUGAUUAAUAUAAUUAAUAUCACAAAUACAAAAUAAACUUUCAAAUUAAUUGAUGUAAUUAACUGCAACAAGUCAACAAUUAAUUCAAUAAAAAUAUAUAUUAAUUAUAAGUGCUUUGAUUAAAGAAAAACAUAUGUUAACUAACUUUGGAUGGAUGUUUAAUUUAGUGAGUAAAGUUAGAUACAUUGUCAUUGUCAAGCAAUUAACCACCACUCCCGUGAACAAUGAAUCUUAUAUUUUUUGCACGUACAAGUUUAUAUAUGUAUUAACUAUAACUAAAAAUUAAUCGCUAUUAUAUUUAGAUAAGCAUUCCUUAAUUUGUUUCGAAUAUUCCCUAAAAAAGAAUCAUCCAAUCCAUUCAACUUUCUUAUACAUAUAUAUACGUAUAUUAGUUUAUAUAAUUAUAGAUAGAUUGAUGAUGACAUAAUUAAUUAAGAUUCUAUACAAAGAUAAAUUCACGUAAUGCCAGAUUUUCUUUGAGAUGCCAGACCAUAUAUAUCUAUAUAUAAGACAGAACAGAAAGUCAUGUGAAUUUUUUGUUCUUUUGUGUAAAAUUUCUUACAUGCAGCUUAAAAGAUUGCUAAUUGUAUUAUACCUUUGUCAUGAAGCGAUAAUAUCACAUGGCUUUGGAAGAUUAUUAUAUCGCUUGCCUUUGGCCUCUAUAUAUGACUAUAUAUACAUUGACUAUUACUAAAAUUUAAAAUUGAGUUUUACGUCAACAUAUUUUAAUGGAGAAAAAAAAAAAAAAAAGAGAAAAGAUACGAUUUAAUUGUCUUUGGCAAGAAAUUGAUAUAGUGGAAACAAGUUUCACCUAAUUUUAUUUUAGCUAAUUAAUUAGUUAUAUAGUUAUUCGAGCUUAUUAUUGUGUAUAUAUGUAUAUUUAUUGUUUGUUGAAAAAUAAUUGAAGAAGCUUAUCAUUUUUUGUUACUAAGCAUUAUUAAUUAUGAAUUCAUCUUCAUUAGUUAGAUGUGGUACAAGAAAGAGUCAUGUACUUUUAUUGGAGGAGUGGGUAAGUCCACCUAUUGUUUUUUAAAAUUUAAUAUUGAUGGUUAUGUUAUUAAAAAGCCAGGCCCAGCGGGUAUCGCAGGAGUUUUAAGAAAUUCUUCAACGGUAGUUAAUUGCAUGUUUUACAAAGUAAUUAGCAUAUUAGACUCUAAUGAAGCUGAAUUGUUGGCAUUGUUUGAAGCUAUUCAGAUUUUUGUUUCCUCUUCUUUGAGAUUUGUCAUUUGAUAAUUAAUCGGACUCUAACAAUGCUAUAGGUUGGAUGUUGCAUAAGGAGAAAGACCAUAGAAGUGAUGGAAAUUGUUCAAUAAAUUAUAUGAGAUGGUGUUGUCGUGUUCUAUAUUUGUUUUGCUCAUAUCAGAAAAUUUAAAUAUCAUUAUUGCCUAGUUAAGAAAAAGGUGAAUGCUAUAGAAAGUUUUUUUGUUUGGUUAUAAUACUGUGGAUCUUAUGUUUGUUUACUUUUACCUCAAGAGUGAAAGAUUUAAGUUUAUCCUAAUUAUUUUCAGUUGUUUUUUUGGGUUUUAUUUAACUAACUUAGGUCUUAGUUUGGAUAUAUUGAAAAAAUUUAUUGGCUUGAAUUAAAUUCCUGAAUUAGUUAAACUCUUUUCGGUUUUAUUUUAUCUAAUAAUAUUAAGAAAUUUAUUUUCUGGCAAAAAAUAAAAAAAAAAGUGAUUCUAGAUGGAUAUCAUCUAAAUUAAUUAAUUAAUUAUGUCAACCUAUCGAUAAGCCUAUAAGUCUAACUUUUUUUUUUUUUUUUUUUAUCAGCAAAAAAGAAGAAUUAAUAUUAUUAAUGGUGAAUGAGAAAAAGUUAGUUAAUCCAAGUCUAACCCGAAUCUUUUCAAAUUAUGAAAGGCAUAAUCCCUUCAUAUCUGGUAUUUGACAAUGAUAUUGAUAUUAUACGCAAGUCCAAAUCAAAACAUGGGAGUAAUGAUUUUAAGAAUUAACUUAUCAUUAGUGUAUAAUUAACAAGAAAAUGACCAUAGCAUUACUAGUUGUUUUCAUGAACAUUGAAAAGAAACACGUAAAUAAACAUCAAACAUGAAAAAAUAAAAUUAAUUAUUUAAUUAAUUUCUGUGGUGUGAAUUUGAUGGAAAGGAAUUAGAAAAGGAAAAUUGAUGGUGAGGCGUAUUUAUUUGACAGUGGAUGACAACGAUUAAGCAAUUCUUUGAAAAAAAAUUUUGAGCUAGGUCGGUCCUCCUAACUCUGUCAUUUUCCAAAUACACUUGUAGCUACUGGAGCAAUUCUAAAACGGGAGAAAUAGCAUACUUGGCAAACUUGGUUCUUUUAGAAUAAUUUCGAGCAAGAAUUUCUUUUUUAUUUUCAGAAAUAUUCGGAAUAUUUCAUUUUUUAAUAGAAGAGUCGUUUUCUUUUUCAAAUAUUAUUCAAUAGAUUACGUAUUAAUUAAUAUUCAAUUAAUAUUUUCUAAGAUUAUCGACAAAAAAGAUUAUAACCUCGCGAAUGACUUCAUUAUAUAUCUAGUAUAAGGCUAUUUAUAUACCAAAUCAAUCCUAUAAAAUUAGUUAGUGUAAGUGAAGAUGGUUCGCAGUAUUGUACGCUUGCAGAAAUUUUCAGUAAUAUGUAAACUUAAAAAGAUGGUAUUGCAUGUAUGUUUUAAUUUGUAUUUUUCCUAUAAUUAGAUUUUUGAAACAAUUAAAUUUGUUAAUUAGAUAAAUUUUGUAUUUUAUCAUAUAUUAAAUAUGUUCAAUAUGAUGGUGAUUAGAAAUUCAAUAAUUUUAUAUUAUUUUUUCUGUUUAAUGUUAAGUAAAUAUACAAAAACAAAACAAAAGAAAGAAUUAUAAAAUUAUUAAUAUAUUUUAAUAACAUGUUAAUAAAAUUAGCAAAGGAUUUUAAUAAUAAAAUUAAUAAGUUUAGUAAGUGAUUUGGCAAUGUUUAUAUAACUAAGAGAUUUAGCAACGGCUUAGUCACUGAAUUACGCAAGAGAUUAAUAAAUUUAGUAACAUAUUUAGUAAUAAAAAUAAAUAAAUGGAUUUAGCAAAACAUUAGACACGAAUAAGUAACGGAUUGAUAAUAAAAUUUUGAUAUUAUAUCAUUUAGGAAAUGAAAUAUCCGUUCCUAAUUUAGCAGCGCCCGUGAUAAAAUAUUUAGUAAGGCACUUUUAGAAAGUGAUGAAAUGUUUCUAAAUUCAGUUUAGCAACGGAUUUCCUACAUAAACUGUAUUUUUUUUUAUAGUGUACAUUGGUGGAGAUACAAGAUUUAAAGCUAUAUAAAGCCAAGAAAAAAAAAAUUCAUUUAUUUUCGGAAAAUAACUGUAAAAGUAUUUUUCAGGGAAAUUUUUUUCAUUAAAUUCAUAAAUAGAGAAUUAUAUAAUUACUAAUUUUGAAUUAUUUAUUUCAACAUAAAUAGUCUUUGAUCCAAUCAAGCAGAUCAUUCAUGUAAAAGUUAAAUCACGAUGUUACUAAUUCAAUAGCAAUACAAUACAAAGGGAAAACAUAAACUCAAUAGAUAUAUAAGAAUAAUUCUUUUCAGUGAAACCAUGUGCUAUCGGUAGCCCGACUAAUAUAGAUGUAUGAAUAUUGAUAUAUGUAAAAGAUUAAAUGAACAUCGUAGGCUGUCGAUAGCUAUAUCGGAUAAUUUUUUUGUGGUUUUAUCAUGGAGUAGUGUACCGAUUAAGUUGCUGGAUGGCAUUUAAACAAAAUAAUGAAAUGCAAGUUUCUCAAUAAAUAAUAAGAAAAAGAGCAAGUCUCUGAGAGAGAGAUCUCAACUGCUUGAACAUCAUACAACACUUGACUUAAUUACUCCCUCAAGUAUAACCCUAGAAUGGAAUUUAAUUCACUGUUUGGCACUGCGAAUCAAACCCUAAAUGAUCAAGUCACAGACACUAACACUAACCAAAAAGAAAGAAACUAACACAAAAACUAAGGACAAAUGAAUUUACCCCAUAAGAUUAACCUUAUUGGUGGAGUAGUACAAUGUUUCAAAGAGGAGGACACACAAAACCAGGAGGUGGAUUCUUUCCACAAGUUAUUAAAACUUGAAGAGCAAGAGGAAUGAAAAUGUUGAUAUUAAGAAGCUUAAGCCUUAUAGUUGUGCAUAGACAAACUGCUGCUUCAAGCUCUAGCAAUCCUUUAAUUACGGGGCAGCAAACAUUCUCAACUGGAUUCCCUAAUCCAACAUGCACUAAUCCUCCUAAUACAUCAACACAAGCCCCUAGCUUAAGGGCGUUGAUUGGACAAGUGGGUUGAGUAGUAGGUGGAGGAUUAAGCCCCGGAACACCACCACCACCACCUCCUCCUCCUCCUCCUCCACCGCCUCCGCCACCGCCGCCGCCUCCGCCACCACCAGAUGGAGGGCUAGGCGUGUAUGGUGGGUAACCUGAAGAAGGCGGCGGUGUUAUUACAGGAGGAGGUGUUAUUAUUACAGGAGGGUUUACUACAGGAGGAGGAUUAAUGACUAUUGGUGGCAAAACCACUGGUGGGUUUUUUGUUGAAGGUGGUUUUGGGUGGCCGCCGUGGUGUGGUGGGUGCUUGGUGCUUGGUGGGUUAGGAUGAGGAACUUUUGGGUGGGUUGGACGGUGGCCUGGUGGAUGUGGCUGAGUACAAGGUGCACAAGCAUAAAUUGGUGGCAAUGAUAUUGCCAUGAAAAUCAUAAAAAUGAAUAACAAAGCUUCAAGUUUAGAACCCAUGAUUGUUAGGGUUCUCUUGAAAUUUGCUAAACUAAUAUUCUUUUUCUUGUGUAUUUUGAUUGGUUUGGGUCCUAUCAUUAUAUAGCUGAAUUCUAUAAGCAACCCGUGAACUAGCUAGUUUUCCGAGUACGUGGAAGCUAAAAAAAGUACUCUUAACAUCAUUUUUAGAGAAACAGGCAAUCUUAAACUGGAAAUUUGGAUUUUUGCUGGUCAAUUUCAAACUCCAAUGCGUAUCCGUGACUCCUUUUCAGUUUCUGCAGGGACAGAUUCUUUUUUCUUUAUUGUUUUUCAUUUGCAUGUCUCUUGAUUUUCUUUUUGGAUGCCAAUAUCAUUUCUUUUUUGAUUUUUAAAUGGGUUGUCUUAUUUAUUUUGCAAAAAAUAUAUAGCAUGAAAUAAUCUAUAGUUUUGAAGUUACAGGCACAUGGAGUCUUAUACUUCGGGUCUACAUACUGUACUCUAUUAUUUCUGUUGGCGGUUUUGAUGAUAAUGGUGGGUGCUGGAUCUAUUGUAGAAGAUGGAGGUUUUAGGGUUUUGCAUUUUGCAGUACAGGCAUGCAUUAUAUUAUUGAGUUCAGUUCACGAAGUAAACAUGUGAACGUUUCUAUGUGGUUUUGUUUUCUUGCAUUUUAAAACGUUAUCAGCAGUAGAAAACUUCUAUACAUGUGUUUUUCUGUAUAUGUUACUUAAGCCAUGGUGUAAAGUCUUUUGAUCCACAUUGCGAAACUUGUCCUCAUCCAUAAUUAGCCAAGACAUUAAAAUCAAACAUAUUCAUUUUCUGUCAUUUACACAUUAUUCAUGUGAAUUUUCGGAAUUGUGUUGUCAUUCUGAUCAGGAGUUGCAAUAUCCUUUAGAAGCAUUUUUCGUAGUGGAAACAAAUUUAUUUUAUUUAUGCACAAAUCCUUAAUUAUUGUUGUUAUAUUAUUAUUAUGAUUAUUUUGCAUUAAUUAAACAAAAAUUCUUUAAGUAAAAUUUAACUGCGUAGAUAGAUAUAUUCUCUGAAGAAAAAUAUGACAUUAUUUAGUUGGCGGAUAAAUAUCAUUAACUUUAAUCUAAUUUGCAUAUAAAAGAACUACAAAUUGUCGGUUCUUUCCCCUGUUCAUCGCCCCAGUUGUUCACAAAUUUUGGCCUUUUUGUUUUCUUGCGCAUAUAAGAAAUAUAAAAAUAAUUUAGAUGCUUUCUAAAGAAGAAAAUCCCCAAUGGUACAUUGAUUUGUUAUGAAUUGUUGGUGGUAACACCAUCCAAUUAUUAGUUAGCGAAGUGUAAUUUGAAAGGCUUCUAUUUUUAAGUAGCACAAACUGUAACUUCUAAUUUAAUUCGCCCAAUUUUGUCAAGCAAUGACCAGGAAAGGUAAGCGCCCACAACAGUAUUAAGUCAACUUGCUUUGGCAUUCACACACAGAGACAGAGGCAAGUGAAAAAAUUUUUUCUUAUUCCAUUUCAUUAACUAAUUGCAAAUAAAACAAUACAGAAAAUGACAUAGAAGAAGGCGAGAUGCCCUUCUUGCCGUGUAAACAAUAAAAAAUGAUUUUGAUCACCAGAAACAAAGGAUGUUAAGCUGCAAGAAUGAAAUGAGAAAAAAUAUUGAAAAUAAUAAUAAUGGAUUAAAUUUAUGCGCACUUGAAUCCUUCAGGAACCUUCUUUCCACAGUAGUUAAGCAACAAGCUCAAGUCAAUAGGAAGAUUUAGGUUAAUGCCCAAAAGACUAGCCUUAAUGGUAGUGCAAAGGCAGACAGCGGCUUCAAGAUCAACAAGAUCGCCAAGGAGGCUACAGCAAGGGGUCUUUGGUGGCUUACCAACUGUAACAUUCAACAAACCCUUCAAAACAUCAACACAUACACCCAGUUUCAAGGUAUCUCUAGGACAAGCACCAGUUGAUGGGUUAGGCGAUGGCUUAGGCUUAGGUUUUGGUGGUGGUGGACAAUUGGUAGAGCUCACUAAAGUGAAGAAGAGAAGGUUCAAGGAGAGAAGAAGGGCAGUGGAGACUAGAGUUCUUGAAGCCAUUUCUCAAGAAUUAAUUAAUUCUUCGGAUAUAUGGUUCUUAAUUUGUUAGCUUCAAGAGACUGACGAACAUCGUAGAAUGGAUUAAGGAAUUUAUAGAUGGAGUUUAAGCAUUGUUUGAGCUUAAAAAAUCAUAAUAAUAUGACCCAUGUGAGAGUACAUUGUUGGAAACAACCUGUCGCUGCAGCUUGAGCUUGGAAUAUAUGUGCAUAUAUGAUUCUUCUUUGAAAAUUCCUAAUAUUGAGUUCGUCUACUUGUAGGCACAUUCAUUCCAUACAAACCGAUUGUUGAAUGAUCUGCCAGCAUCCGUAGUUGGCCAUAUAUUCCUUUUCCGUGAAUCACGCAUCACUGAUGCGGAUUUUUAAAUUGCAUAGCUGAUCUCUUUGAUCUUGACCCAUUAUGUAAACCGUCCUUACUUAAAAGGAAUUUUUUAUGGAUAGAAAAUUUUAUGCUUUUAGAAAAUGUAAAUAAUGAAAAACCCACAUAGGUCUCUUAUAGGACUUUAAAUUUAAAAAGAAAAAAAAGAAAUUAACGUAAUUUUUGUGUAUCAUAUACCACCAUCUUCCUAAUUAUGUGAUCUUAUGCGGAUUAGAGAGGAUUCACAAUGUAUAUAUAUAUAUAUAUAUAUAUGGUUGGCCUUAAAAAUCAAACUCUAGUCAACAUAAUAUUGAGAGUAGUUUUGGAUUUUUUACCGCUAGAUUAAAACUUCAUUUUCAGAAUUUAUUAUUGUCUGCUUACAAAAAAUUAAUUUAACUUAAUUAUUAAGCCAUGUCUCCGGUUGUUUUCUAGAUUUUUUUAUUUAGCGUUUACGAGUUAGGUUGGGUGUAUCAGGGACAUAAUGGAUUGGGUUUAAAAACUUUGAUAUGCUAAGUUAUUUUUAUAAAUUAAUAAAAUAAUUAUAUUUUGCUGAUAAAAAGAAAACACAUAUCUGCAUUCUUAUUAACUUCUAAAACAGGCAUUUCCAUUGAAAGUCAAAAAGAGCAAAAACACUUAUAUAUAAAUAGUUAUUUUCUUACUCGUAGCAGCAGUUGAACGUAUUGUGGGAUCAGUAAAUUUCAGUCAAUCGCAUUACUAAAAUUACUCAUGCAGAUCGAUAAGCUUCAAACUAUAUAUAUAUAUUCAAUCAUUCAUUCGAGGAAUAGAAAGGUUUGAAUAAUUAAUCAUUACCUAUAUAAAAAUAUAUAUAUUUAUUAAAAAUUUAAACACUAAACUAAACUUAUUUAGAUUUUUUUGGAACAUAUUAUUUCAUUAUAUUAAAAAAACAAUACAGACGCACGACGAAGUAGGCAAGAAAACCUUCUUGCCAAAUCGAUUACAACAGUAAGAUAUUAUUUUGAUUGAGCUUCUAUGGCAUAUAUGCCAAGAAAACAUCUCAUGAAUAAAUUAAUACAAAACGAAAGAAUUUAUUUAAAUUAACUUGGAAUAAAUAGAAUGCAUAACAAAUUUAUGCACAUUGAAAUCCUUGGGGGACCUUCUUGCCACAGUAGUUAAGCAACAAGCUCAAGUCAAUUGGAAGAUUUAGGUUAAUGCCCAAAAGACUAGCUUUAAUUGUAGUGCAAAGGCAAACAGCAGCCUCAAGGUCAACAAGGUCGCCAAGGAGGCUACAGCAAGGGGUCUUUGGUGGGGUACCAAUUGUGACACUCAACAAAUCCUUCAAAAGAUCAACACAUACGCCCAGUUUUAGGGUAUCCCUUGGGCAAGCUCCAUGUGAUGGGCUUGGUGUCGGGUUAUUGGGCUUAGGAGAUGGGGUUCUUGGGCUUGGUCUAGGGUUAUUGGGCCUAGGUGAUGGGUUGCCGGGGCUUGGUGUCGGGUUAUUGGGCUUAGGUGAUGGAUUGCUCGGAUUUGGUGUCGGGUUAUUGGGCGUAGGUGAUGGGUUGCUGGGGCUUGGUGUUGGGUUAUUGGGCGAAGGUGAUGGAUUCCUGGGGCUUGGUAUUGGGUUAUUGGGUGAAGGUGAUGGGUUGCUGGGGCUUGGUGUUGGGUUAUUGGGCGAAGGUGAUGGGUUAUUGGGCUUAGGUGAUGGGUUGCCGGGGCUUGGUGUGGGGUUUUUGGGUGUAGGAGAUGGGUUGCUUGGGUUAGGAGAAGGGGUUUUUGGUUUGGGUGAUGGCGUAUCAGGUGGACAAGAGCAAGAGGUGACCAAAGUGAAGAAAAGAAGAUUGAGGGAGAGAAGAAGGGCAAUGGAGGCUGCAGUUCUUGAAGCCAUAUUUCUCUGUGUUUUCUUUAGUUUACUAAAAUAAGUAUGAAGUGAUGAGAAAUGGUGGAGAGGGUGUAGGGUUUUUAUAGAAGGACACCACUUAAGCAUAAAAUUAGAAAAUUAGAAUAAUGUGAUGCAUGUGGAUACAUAUAUUUUUGCAUGGGUAAUAAAUAUUAUGAGACACAAGCUGUCACUUUGCAGCUAGCGUUUGAAAAUCAUCGUCGUUGAAAAAUCUUCAAUAUAAUUAGCAACUACGUGUAGGCACAUUCCAUAGGAAAAAAAUGAAAUUUUGUUUAUUUAUUUGCUUUAAAUGGGUUGUUUUAUUGACUUUAUAAGUGCCUAGUCUCAUAAUUACAUAUAUAGAAUAUUUAUAGUGCAAUAACAGUUGUAGAUAGACAAAAUCCCUGAACUUGGGGAGAAUUUAAGUUUUUUUAAUUACUAUAUUAUUAUUGUUAAAAACCUAUUCUUUAGUCAAGAGCAAUCACCUAUUAUUACAUUGGAAAUUUAUUUCAAUUGAUUCUCUUUGCCUUGUAGUUUUACUUUCCCUAUUAAAUAUAACUCUGAUGUUCCAAUUUUUUAAAUAUUUCUAUUUUUUCAUACGGUAUUGUUUGAUUUAUAAUCCUUUUUAAAAAUUAUUAAUUACUUGCUUGUAUAAAUAAUAAUAUUAAAAAAAGAGUUAUCUAUUGGAGUACGUGAAUAAUCCUACAUCGGAUAAAUAUAACUAAUUAAAAGGGCAUAUAAUUUCAAGGGUGAACUAACCAAAAUAGCUUAGACUAUUUUGUAUUAAAAGUAAGCCCAAUGUUAAAUACAGAUUUGAUUAAUUUGCUCAUAGGCCCCAUAUGCUUAAUAUUAUAUAAAUAAUAAUAAUAAUAACAAACAAUCCCUUAUCCAAAUUCCUCUAAUGAUAUGCUUAAAAUUAUGAUUACAAUUCUUGCAAUUACCCAAAAAUAAGGUGAUUCUUAAUAGAUAAAUAUAUUAAAAUUCUUUAAUUUUAUUUAAUUAAAUAAAAUCAUGAAUAAGUUAAAAUAUAUUCGACAAUUAAAUAAAUUAAAUUUAAAUAAAAUUUUAAAUUGGAUGUAUCAAAUCACAUCUUAUUAAAUAAAAUUUUAAAUUAGAUGUAUCAAAUCACAUCUUAUUCAAAAAAAAAAAAAAAAAGUUAGAUCACCUCUGUUUAAAUUAGAUUUAUUUGAUAUAUUUUAUCAAAUCACAUCUUAUUAAAUUAGAUUUAUUUAAUAAGACGUUAUUAGGAGUACAAAACUUCUAUGCUUAUGUUUUUUUAUGUAUAUGAUAUUUUAUUUUCUAUUUAUUGGGAAGGACCACUAAAUCGGAAGAAUAUAAUGUGAUAGCCUUCUCUUUUAUUCAUAAAUUGAUGAAAAUUCUUUAAUUAAAAAGUUUCGGACUUAAAAUUUCUCGCUUAUCAUAUAAAUGAAAAGACCAAUGAUCAGAUCAUACAUUUAAAAAAUUGAUUAAUUCAACUUUCCUCAAAUAACAUUGUUCAUUUCAAAUUAUGUUAUUUAAGCCAUAGAGUAAAUUCUUUUGAUCCACAUUUCAAAGCUUGUCCAACUAAGAUAUGUAGGUAGAAUUUAUAAUAGACCAAAGUAUUAAAAUCAUACAUAUUCUGAUUAAACUUUAUUCAUUUUCUGUAAUUUGAUAAAUUUUGAAAUUCGAACUCAAUUAAUUUAUAACUAUCAAACCGACCUGAAUUAAUUUCGAACUUAGCUAUUUAUAAACGAACGGGUACUGGAGCUCAAGCUCGAGUUAUGCUGCUAGGCGUGUUUAUAACAAUUCCAAUCCUAAGCAUAAUUUGAUGUGUCCUGGAGGAAACACGGUCCAAUUAAUAGUGUUUUUUCUUUCAAAUAUAUCAAUUAAUAAUUGGCAAAGUGUAACUUAAUUAAAAUGCUUUUCUUUUCUUCUUUUUUUUUUUUUUUUCAAAAAGAAAACUUAAAAAGGCUUAUUUUUAUGUGCACGAAUUGUAACUUCCCAUUUAAUUCACUGAACUCUUGGCAAGCCAGAUAAAAAACGUGAUAAUUUUUUUUUAUCUGAAAAAAAAAACAGUAUAUUUAUUGCGUGCAUGGACUGCUACGUAUAACAUGAAGAAUUAGCAAAUUUAGGCACAGAGGAGUAAGGAGUCAACUUCCUUUGGAAUUCACCUUAAACAAUCAACAACACAUAAGCAACUGGAAAAAAAAAACAAUUCUUAUUCCAUUAAAUUAAUUAAUUGCAAAUAAAAAAUAUUACAGAAACAGACAUAUCUAUAGCAGAAGGCGAGAAGCCUUUCUUGCAAUGGAAACAAUAAAUUCUUUUAUCACAAAAAAAAAAAAAAAAAAAAAUCAAAUAGUUACAAGAAUGAAAUGAAAAAAAAAAAAAAACUUGAGAAUAAACAGAAUAAUAAUGGAUUAAAUUUAUGCGCACUUGAAUCCUUCAGGGACCUUCUUGCCACAGUAAUUAAGCAACAAGCUCAAGUCAAUAGGAAGAUUUAGGUUAAUGCCCAAAAGACUAGCCUUAAUGGUGGUGCAAAGGCAGACGGCAGCUUCAAGAUCCACAAGAUCGCCAAGAAGGCUGCAGCAAGGGGUCUUUGGUGGGGUACCAACUGUAACAUUCAACAAACCCUUCAAGACAUCAGCACAUACACCCAGUUUCAGAGUAUCUCUAGGGCAAGCACCAGUUGAUGGGUUAGGCGAUGGCUUGGGCUUAGGUUUCGGUGGUGGUGGGCAAUUGGUAGAGCUCACUAAAGUGAAGAAGAGAAGGUUCAAGGAAAGAAGAAGGGCAGUGGAGACUACAGUUCUUGAAGCCAUUUCUCAAGAAUUAAUUAAUUCUUUGGAUAUAUGGUUCUUAAUUUGUUAGCUUCAAGAGACUGAUGAAAAUGGUGCAAUGGAUUAAGGAAUUUAAGCGCGGUUUGAGCUUUAAAAAUUCUUAUAAUAGAACCCAUGUGAUACAUUGCAAGGGAAUAUUGUUGGAAACAACCUGUCAUUGCAACUUGAGCUUGGACUAUAUAUCAUCCGAUCUUCUUUGAAGAUUCUUGAUUUUAAUUAUGUCUACACAUUGGUCGUUGAAUGUAGAAUCUAUAGUUGGCUAUAUAUCUAUUCCUUUGCGUGAAUCACACAUCAUUGCUGCAAAUCUUGAAAUUCCAUAUACAAUUAAGUAUAACCGUUCUUAAUUAAAAAAGAAUCUUGUAAUGCAUAGACAAUUAUGUUCUUAUAAUAAAAUAUAAACAAUAAAAAACAGAAGAACAAUUGAGGGGAUUGGAGAUCUAUGGUGUAGUGGGUUGCAGCCCCUCUCAACAUAAAACCUCAUAGGUUAGUUCCCCUGUCUCUGGGAGCCAACGGAGAAGAGAAUUACUUGAAACAUUAACUGGACACGGACAAGAGGCAGCAAAGGAGAAUAGUCGAAUUACUUGAACUAUUAAAAGAUUUGAUUUUUUUUUUUUUUUUUUUUUUUUUUUUUUUGUUUAUGGCAAGCAUUGUGGUUGUGGUUGGCCUUACAAUUUUUUUAAAAAAAUUGUGUAUACAUCGUAUUAAAUUCCUCUACACUUUUUUUUUCAUCUUCCUAAUUACGCGAGCUUAAAAUGAUUAGAGAAUGUGCAAUACAAAAAGGAAUUAGAUGGUUGGCCCUGAAAAGUAAACUUUAGAAACAUAAGAUUAUGACAUUAAUUUUUGAAUUUUUUAUCAGCUGUCAGAUGAAAACUUCAUUUCAGAAUAUUUUUUUCCCCUUACAACAAAUUAGCUUAAUUCAAUCGUUAACCUAUGUCUGCAUUUAUAUAUCAACUUCCAAAACAGCCAUUUUCCAUUGAAAUAAACCAAAAAAACACUUAUUUAGCUAUUUUCUUACUCAUAGUAGUAGUUGAAUUUAUCGUGGGGAUAAAUACUUCAACUAAUUAUAUCAGUAUAUUUAUGUUAUAAAUGAAGUGUAAAAUUACUCAAAUUCAAUUUUGUUUCAAAAUAUAUUAUUACUACAUUUUGAUAAAGAAAUUCAACAACAAUAUUUUUAUUUUUAACAUGGUAAUUGAGUAAAAUUUCUUUAGCAAUAUAGCCUCUAGUGUUAGUGUGUAUUUAUAUAUAAAUAUAUAAUGUUUGAAAUUACACGAGAAAGAAGGAUGAAACGAUGAAUAUUUAUUUGUCAUUCAGAAAGAUAUUCUCUCUUCAAUUAUUUAUUCGAGAAAUAGAAAGAUACUAGUUAUUCAUAAUUAGUAUAUAAAAAUAUAAAUUUAUUAGGAAGUAAAAUGCUAAAGUAAUACGAAUUAUUAUCAUUAUGUUUUUUUUGCAACAUCUUAUUAUUUCAUUAUACUAAAAAAACAAUACAAACGCAUGACGAAGAAGGCAAGAAAACCUUCUUGCCAAAUCGAAUACAACAGUAAGAUAUUAUUUUGAUUGAGCUUCUAUGGCAUAUAUGCCAAGAAAACAUCUCACGAAUAAAUUAAUACAGAACGAAAGAACUUAUUUAAAUUAACUUGGAAUAAAUAGAAUGCAUAACAAAAUUAUGCACAUUGAAAUCCUUGAGGGACCUUCUUGCCACAGUAGUUAAGCAACAAGCUCAGGUCAAUUGGAAGAUUUAGGUUAAUGCCCAGAAGACUAGCUUUAAUUGUAGUGCAAAGGCAGACAGCAGCUUCAAGAUCAACAAGAUCGCCAAGGAGGCUACAGCAAGGGGUUUUUGGUGGGGUACCGAUUGUUACACUCAACAAAUCCUUCAAAAGAUCAACACAUACACCCAGUUUUAGGGUAUCCCUUGGGCAAGCUCCUUGUGAUGGGCUUGGUGUAGGAUUAUUGGGCUUAGGGGAUGGGUUUCUUGGGCUUGGUGUCGGGUUAUUGGGCUUAGGUGAUGGGUUUCUGGGGCUUGGCGUGGGGUUAUUGGGCGAAGGUGAUGGGUUGUUAGGGCUUGGUGUCGGGGUUUUUGGCGUGGGUGAUGGAUUGCUCGGGUUUGGUGUCGGGUUAUUAGGCGAAGGUGAUGGGUUGCUGGGGCUUGGUGUUGGGUUAUUCGGUGAAGGUGAUGGGUUUCUUGGGCUUGGUGUUGGGUUAUUGGGCUUAGGUGAUGGGUUGCUGGGGCUUGGUGUGGGGUUUUUGGGUGUAGGUGAUGGGUUGCUUGGGUUAGGAGAAGGGGUUUUUGGUUUGGGUGAUGGCGUAUCAGGUGGACAAGAGCAAGAGGUGACCAAAGUGAAGAAAAGAAGAUUGAGGGAGAGAAGAAGGGCAAUGGAGGCUGCAGUUCUUGAAGCCAUAUUUCUCUGUGUUUUCUUUAGUUUACUAAAAUAAGUAUGAAGUGAUGAGAAAUGGUGGAGAGGGUGUAGGGUUUUUAUAGAAGGACACCACUUAAGCAUAAAAUUAGAAAAUUAGAAUAAUGUGAUGCAUGUGGAUACAUAUAUUUUUGCAUGGGUAAUAAAUAUCAUGAGACACAAGCUGUCACUUUGCAGCUAGCGUUUGAAAAUCAUCAUCGUUGAAAAAUCUUCAAUAUAAUUAGCAACUACGUGUAGGCACAUUCCAUAAAAAAAAAAAAUAAUAAAUAAAAAUUUGUUUAUUUAUUUCCUUUAAAUGGGUUGUUUUGAUGACUUUAUAAGUAGCUUCUGCCUAGUGCUGUUUUGGACGAAUCUCAUAAUUACAUUUAUAGAAUAUUUAUAGCGCAAUAACAGUUGUAGAUAGACAAAAUCCCUAAAGUUGGGGAGCAUUUAAUUUGUUUUAGUAAUUUUUUUUUUGUUUUAAUUAUGUUAAACAAGCUUUUUUUUAGUCAAGAGCAAUCACCUAUGAUUACAUUGGACAGUUAUUUGAAUGUGUUCAAAGUUUAAUGAAAUCUCACUAAACGUCUAAAUUUCUCUUUGCCAUGAUAGUUUGUUUGUUCCAAUUUUUUAACCAAUUCUACAUUUCCAUGUGGUAUUAUUUUAUUGAUUCCUUUUUCAAACAACUUUUACAUCUGCACCUGUUUACACCAUAAUUUGAAUCUAAUUCAUGUUUUUCUUUAUUUAGUGUUUUUUCAGUGGUUUAGUGGUUUAAAUUCCUAAUUUCUUCUGCUACGAUUUCAUUCAAGAUCAAUAAAUUUUGUCGUGCUUUAUCAAUUCAGUUCAUUUUUUAUGUACGAGUUUUAAGAAAAAAAAGUUUUAUUCUCUCUGUAUUAUUUAUAUUGAUUUGAAGUUGAUUAACGAAAUUUUAAUAUAUUAUGGUAGAAAAAAAAGCUAGUGUUAAUUACAAUUUUUCUAAUUCGUUUUUUUCCUUGAUUUCUUUACAAUACAAAUAACAAACAGUUUCAUAUAUCCAAAUUAUUAUAUUGAAAAUUCUUACGUUUCAAAAGUUCCCAAACAAUGAGGUGAUUUCAAUCUCUGGCUUCUCAAAUGAAUGUGUAUUCUUUUAAUCUUACUUUAAGGAUUGUAGCUAAAAAAUUUCAAAUAAAAAUUUUUUUAAAAAAGAGAAAAGUUUGGUAGGAUUAAACAAUCCAAACCAAUCCAACAUGACUCAAUAUUAAAUUUUUUUUUUUUUAAACUCGUUCAUUAAUGCAAACAAAUCAAGCUAAAAUACAAACUGAAACGCGAAUAUUUUUGUGCAUGAGUUUUGUCAUCUACAGACUCGACUCAAAAUCCCAUGAACAACUUUAAGAAAAAAUAAUUUAUGUGCUGAUAUUAUAAAAAUAAUAAUUUUCUUUAUAUUUUAUGAAAAAUUUAUUACAAAAUAAAAGUUAAUUAAAUUUAUUACAAUAAUUUUACAUUUCAACAAUAAUUUGGUUUAACUCAAAAUCAAGUCACAUCUUAUUAAACAUUGCUCGUUUUCAACUCCAUAAAGUAGUACCCGCUUUUGUUCUUUUGGCGUGUGUCUAUGCCUAAGUUUAACAACCAUUACACUUAUAUAUCCUUAGCUAGGAAUGGACAGUUCUGAUUUCUCAUGUGUACCGUGAAAGCAACUGUGCUGCAGAUUGGUUAGCCCAUUUUGGGAGUAGCCUUGCGUUGGGAGUCCAUUUUUUUGAGCUUCCUCCCAAUGGCUUUUCUAGUUUUCUGCUCCAUGAUGUCUGUGGAGUCAGUUAUUCUAGGCUAGUAAUUGUGUAGUUGUUAGUUUUAUUUUCUCUUUUCCAAAAAAAAAAAAAAAAAAAAACCCGUUACACUUAUAUAGAAAACAUUAGUUAUCCCAACAAUUAUCGACCUACGUAUUCAAUAUACUAUAAUUGAGUGCAACAAUAUAUAUCUAUGUGGACGGAAGUCCAAAAUACAUGGUAAGAAGUUAAACCCAGCCUUGAAUUAAUUAAGAAAUACAAAUUAAUAAUAACAUUAUGAAUUAAUUAUUUCAUUUAACAUCAAUUCAAGUAUAUCAUAUACCAAUAAAUUGACGAAAUUAAUUAUUAAUCUAUGCACAUUCAAAUCCUUCAGGAAGCUUCUUGCCACAGUAGUUAAGCAACGAGCUCAUGUCAUCAGUUGAAACAUUUAGGUUAAUGCCCAAGAUACUAGCCUUAAUGGCAGUGCAUAGACAAACAGCAGCUUCAAGAUCGCCAAGGAGGCUACAGCAAGGGGUCAUUGGUGGAGUACCCAUUGUUGCAUUCAACAAAGCGUUCAGAAGAUUACCGCACAGACCCAGGCUUAGGGUAUCCUUAGGGCAAGCUCCGGUUGAUGGGACUGGUGCUGGAUCGCUUGGCUUAGGUGGUGGCUUGCUUGUUUUUGGUGGUGGUGGUGGUGGGCAAGCGAAAGAGCUUACCAAGGUGAAGAAUAGAAGGUUGAAGGUUAUUAUAAUACAUAUAAUAAUUCAACAUUGCUCAAAAAAAAAAUAAAUAAAUAAAUAAAUGUUGAAUUAAUUUUCACUAGAAUCCAGUACAACAUACAAAGACAGAUAUGGAUGAAAGCAAUCAAGAAGCUUUCAUCACAUAAAAUUUUUUUUAAAAAAAGUUGCAAUUAAGAAAUUAUUGAAUAAAAUGUUUAUAUAGCAGAUAACCAAAUAAAACAUCCAAAACCUGAAAACACAACACAAAAAAAAGAAAACAAAAUCACAAAUGUGCAUAUUUACGCACACUUAAAUCCUUCUGGAACCUUCUUGCCACAAUAGUUAAGCAACAAGCUCAAGUUAACAGGAAGGUUUAGUUUAAGUCCCAACACAUUAGCUUUAAUAGUAGUGCAAAGGCAAACAGCGGCUUCAAGAUCAACAAGAUCACUGAUAAGGCUGCAACAAGGUGUCUUUGGUGGGGUUCCAACUGUAACACUCAGCAAAUCUUUCAAUAGAUCAACACAUACACCUAGCUUUACAGUAUCCUUAGGGCAAGAACCUUUAUUCCCUUUUGGCUUUGGUGAUGGUGAUGAUGGUGUUGGUGGGCAAUUGGUAGAGCUCACCAAAGUAAAAAAAAGAAGAUUUAGGGAGAGGAGAAGGGCAGUGGAGGCUAUAGUUCUUGAAGCCAUUUCUCACCUAAAAUAGUUUCUUGGAUAGUUUUAGAGAUAUGAGCUUUGCUAUAGCUAAAGUUUCAAGAGAUGGGUGACAAUUGUGAAGUCGGUUGAGGGUUUUUAUAGAUGAUGAUUGGAGUUUAUAAUAAUUUCUAUUAUAUUUAUUGAAUUUAAAAAAUCUCCAACAUGUCAAAUGAUGGUUGGUAAUGUGCCCAUAUUUCACUCUUGUUAGUAAUUCUCCGUCUUAUUUAUUCUCUCAUUUACUGUAAUUGCACUCUGAAUGCAAUAUUUAAAAUUUAGAAAAUAAAUUUAUUUGGAUAUAUGAAAGCUGAUUCAAAUGUGAGAGAAGAAUAUACUUGAUUACCUGUGGGCACAUUGGAUUAUUCAUGUAAGAUACACAACCUGGCAAUGCAGGUUGCAUGAUAAGAUGUUUUGUGAUUAUAGAGUUUGGAGUGUUCCUAUUUGUUAGUUGGCAAUUCUCUCUCUGCACAUGCCAAUUAUGUAAUAUUGCAUUUUGUUACUAAUUCUUCAUAUAUAUGUAUGUACUUGUUUUGUUCACAUCUGCAUAUUCUGAUCUGCAAGUUGAAUUUCCAGCUAACUUUAAACAUUAUUGAUGGCUUAACAUCGUAACAAUUGAAAUAAAAUUAACAAUUUACUGUAAAAUUAUGAAAGAUAAUAAUAAAGUUUGUUUUUUUGGGUAAUUAAGAAACCAAAGCAUUAUAAACUUAUAGAGCAAAUCCCAAAUCCUAAAGUCGAAUCAGAGACUUGCAUUGCAAAAUCCACAUGGAAAAAUCGAGAAAGCAUAGUGAUGGAGAAGAGGACACUGUAGCUCUGGUAAUGGCAGUGGGAAGAUAGUAGGUAAGGUGGCCAUUGAAAUGAAGGUCGCAUUGAAAUGAGAAUAUAAUUUUUCUAUCUUAUCUCUGUUUCUUUUUUUUUUUUUUUCCACAAAUAGUAAUAAGGAUUGUAUUUCUGGAAAUUCCUAAUUAAAAAAUGGUAACAAAACAGUUCAAUCUUAAGGAUAACUUCUACGUUUUCCUCCCUAUUUGCAAAUGAUAGGAAACCCAAAACUGAUUAUUGAAGUCAACUUUAUAAUGCCCCCAAAUCCAGUGACAUAUUUUCAGACUGUUGGAAAUAUUAUAAGUCAAUUUCCUGCCAAUCAAAUAUAGUUUGCUUGGUCGUCUUUUCAAUUUUUUUUUUUAAUUUAAGACCAAAAAUCUCAUAUUAGAUUGUUUUCAAUCAUAUAAAAGUCUUAAUCAAUAUUGUAAAAGUUAUUUAAAGGGAAAAUUACCUUCUGCUUUGUAGCAUAUAUACAAGCUUAUCUCAACUUAUAUAAUUUAAAAAAAAAAAAAAAAACAAUUCUCAAACCAUCAGUCAUAAUAAUUAAUUAAUUACUUGUGAGCUUUUACAUUGAAUAGUACUUGACAAACACGAUGUUAGAGAUCUACUGAAUAUUAACUUUGGGAAUUGUCUAUUGAUUAAUCUCAUUCAAAAUUGUCCCUUUUUGGCAUUAAAACUCACAACAGAAAUUUAUAAUUUCAUCGUUCCAUUGGACACAAUAGCCAAUCAAUAUUUCAAGCUAUGCCCACUUCUAUAUAAUCUUAAUUUUCAACUCAUUCCACAAUAAAUUAUAAAAAUCUUAAUUUUCAACUCAUUCCACAAUAAAUUAUAAAUAAGCUCACAAAAAUCAGCUAACUUUGAUUAUAAUAUUUCUGUUUUAAGUCUGGUCUUUAGGAGAGAGUCAUAUAUAUACGCUUUUUAUAUUGAUUUGAAUUUAAUUACUGAAGCUCUAAUAUAUUUAAUAGCCUGUAAAUUAAGUGAUAAUAUAAAAAGUGAAAAGUUCAAACAUUAAAAUAUUUCAUUUUCUUUGGAAACCAUAUUUCUAACUAGUCUUUACCUGACAAAGAAUCAUUUGUUGCAGUUUAAGUUGCGAAACGAAGAGAUAUGUUAUGGAAGGUCUAUGCUUGCAGAAGAUUUGGAACUUAAGGCAACUGCCCAAUGGUAACCGCAUCAAGUGUAACACUUGAAAUUACAAAUGUAAAAUAUGUCAAGAAAAACAACACAACCAUGCAUAUUAUUUUCAAACAUCAUAUUAUUACUUGAAAAUUUCCAAUUAAAAUAAUAACAACAAUUUGCCAAAAGAAUACGCAUUACAAUGAAAAAUGAAGUCAGUAAACUUUCUCUGCAACGAGUACGUAACUGCAAGAAAUUAUUGAUUUACCCAAUAAAAAACCCAAAUUAAGCCAAAACACACACCAUUAAUUAGGACGAGAAAGAAACUGAAUGAAUAGUGCAGUAUUAAUCUAUGGACAUUUGAAUCCUUUGGGAACCUUCUUCCCGCAUCUGUUGAGGUACAAGCUCAAGUCAAGUGGAACAUUUAGGUUUAGGCCCAAAACAUUAGCUUUAAUGGCAGUGCAAAGGCAAGCACCAGCUUCAAGAGCAACAAGAUUACCAAGAAGGCUACAGCACUGUUGAUUUGGUGGGAUUUUAAUAAUCCCCAACACAUCUGCACAUACCUUCAGCUUUAGGGCAUCAAUAGGGCAAGUGGCAGCGCUCGUCAUAUUGAAGAAAAGAAGGUUAAGGGAAAGAAGCAAGGCAAUGGAAGCUACAGCUCUUGAAGCCAUCUUGGAUUUUUUUUUUUUUUUUUCUUCAGGAUAUAAAUGAGCUUUUGUUUUGAUGCUGAUGAGAAAUAGUGAAGGGGUUUUUAUAGAGGGAGAUUAAGCGUAAGUUAAUGUUAAACAGAUCAAGAAUGUGAUCCAUGUGGGCAUUAUUGAACAAAAGUAGCUGGCAUGCGCAGUGAAGCAUAUAAGUUAUGUCUUAUAAUCAACAUAUGGGCGCACGUCGAGUAAUCGUGUAAGUACCGAAUAAUCCCAUGAUCUUCAACUUCAGGGAUUAGUUUUUAAUUAUUGUUCGUAGCUCCUGGAAUUACUCAUAAUUAUUCUUUACGUGAAAAUUGAGUUUUAAACGUGCUCUUGACCAUACUACUUUCACAUUUUAUUUGUGGGGAUCCAUAGAUCUAGUAUAGACAAGUUAAUCCCAUCAAUAACACUCUUUGCUGUUCUCUCUCUUUGAAUUCUCAUCCUUUUCUAUCUUAUCUCUGUUUCUUUUCUUUUUCCUCGAAUAGUAAUAAGGAUUGUAUUUCUGCAAAUUCCUAAUUAACAAAAUGGUACAAAACAGUUCAAUCUUAGGGGAUAACUUUUACGUUUUCCGCCAAAUUUGCAAAUGAUAGGAAACCCAAAACUGAUUAUCGAACACAAUGCACUUAAUAAAAUCUUCCACUGUUGGAAAUACUUUCUUGUUUAUCAGCAAAUAAAAAUUUUAUUUUAGUAAACAAACAUAUCCAGGAAAAACUUAGCAAAAUUAAGAAACUUUAUCCGAGCUAAUAAACCCUCUAAAUACAUCCAAACCUACUUAAAAAUGUUAAAUGAAAAAAACCUGAAAAACCUUAAAAUUAAAAUACAUAUUUAUCUUCUGGAGAUAAAAAAGAAUGAAUUUAAAACCAAAACUGAAUCGAAUCAAAUCAAAGUACCGUGAAAGUCAAAAAUCUACUUAUGACCCAACCCUCAAUAUCCAAACUGAAGAACCAUUUGCUCUUAUCCUCUAAUCAAAGCCACCUAACCGAAACAUAAUUAUAACCAUAGCCAAAAAAAGUUCUGCAUAAAUUACUCCUUUGUUUUAGCUAGGUUAUCUGCAAAACAAUUUUUUUCUCUAUUAACAUGUUUGAAUUGAAAGAAAAACAAAGAAUCAAGAAGAAGUCAAGUCUAUUAAAAUUGAACGGCCAUCUCCAAAGGCGAUGAUUAUGUUGAGUUACCCAGCCGAAGACUACUCUAGAAUCUGUCUCAAAAGUAAUUGAAAUUUUGGCAAACUUUAAAUGAACAUAAAUCUCAACGGCUUUUGACAAAUCGAAUAACUGAGCAACAUUUGACUCUUUUAAAUCAACGGAUUCAUAAAAACUCAUAAGAUAAACCCUUGCAAAUUCCUCAUUACACCUUCAAUUUCCGCUAGGUCAGGCUUUCGUAAGGCACAUUCAUCUGUCAAGCACGAUGUUAUAGAUCUAUUGAAUAUUAACUCUGGGCAUUGUCCAUUUAUUAUUCUAUUUCAAAUUUGUCCCCUUUUUUGGCAAAAGAAAUUUCAUUGCAAUAACCAAUCAAAUAGUUCAAGCUACACCCACUUUCAUAUAAUCGUAAUUUUCACGUCGUCCGUAAUAAACUAUAAAUAAUCUUACAAAAUUAGCCAAUUUUGAUAUGGUUUUUGAUUAUAACAGUUCUGUUUUAAAUCUGGUCUAGAAGAGAAUCAUAUUUUUUGUAGGCUUUCUGUAUUAUUUUGAAUUUAUUUAUAUUGAAAUCCUAAUAUAUUUAAUAGUGGGUAAAUAGUUAAGUGUUUGAUUUUGAUAAUAUCAAAUGUGAAAAGUUCAAACAUUAAUAUUUCAUUUUCUUUAGAAAUCAUAUUUCUAACUAGUCUUUACCUUAAAAAAAAUAUUUCUUGCAGUUUACGUGGCAAAACGAAGAGAUAUGCAAUGUAAGGUCGAAGAUUUGGAACUUAAUGCCCAAUGGUUACAGCAUCAAGUGUAACACUUGAAUGUGAAAUUCAACGAUAGGAAAUUACAAAUGUAAUAUAUGUCAAAAAAAAAAAAAAAAAAAACCAACACAACCAUGCAUAUUCUCUUAGAACAUCAUAUUAUUACUUGAAAAUUUCGAAUUAAAACAAUAACCGUAAUUGGCCAAAAGAAUACACAUUACAAUGAAAAAUGAAGUCAAUAAAACUUUCUCUGCAACGAGUACGUAACAGCAAGAAAUUAUUGAUUUACCCAAGAAAAAUCCCAAAACAAGCAAAAACACACGCCAUAAUUAGGAGGAGAAAGAAACUGAAUGAAAUAGUAGUGGAGCAUCAAUCUAUGGACACUUGAAUCCUUGUGGAACCUUCUUCCCGCAUCUGUUGAGGUACAAGCUCAAGUCAAGUGGAACAUUUAGGUUUAAGCCCAACACGUUAGCUUUAAUAGCAGUGCAAAGGCAAGCACCAGCUUCAAGAGCAACAAGAUUACCAAGAAGGCUGCAGCACUGUUGAUUUGGUGGGAUUUUAAUAAUCCCCAACACAUCGGCACAUGCCUUCAGCUUUAGGGCGUCAAUAGGGCAAGUGGCAGCGCUUACCAUAUUGAAGAAAAGAACGUUAAGGGAAAGAAGCAAGGCAAUUGAUGCUACAGCUCUUGAAGCCAUCUUGGAUUUUUUUUUUUUUUUUUUUUUUUCUUUUAGGAUAUAAAUAAGCUUUUGUUUUGAGGCUGAUGAGAAACGGUGAAGGGGUUUAAGGGUUUUUAUAGAGGGAGAUUAAGCCGAAGUUAAUGUUAAUUAAACAAAUCAAGAAUGUGAUCCAUGUGGGCAUUAUUGAACAAAAGUAGCUGGCAUGCGCAGUGAAGCAUAUAAGUUAUGUCUUAUAAUCAACAUAUGGGUGCACGUCGAUUAAUAUUGUAAUCUGUGGGUGCACCGAAUAAUCCCAUGAUCUUCAACUUCAGGGAUUAGUUUUUAAUUAUUGUUAGUAGCUCGUGGAAUUAUUGAUAAUUAUUGUUUAUGUGAAAAUAGAGUUCUGAACUCGGUCUUGACAAUCGUAUUUUUACAUUUUAGUUUGAAAGAUAAACAAUCAACCAAGCACUGCUGGAGACUAUAUAGAACGCAUUUUCAAUUUCACAAUUCUUUUUGUAUUCAUGAAAAGCUUCUAUAAUGAUGGUUAAUGGAGUUUAAACUCAAGUCUUUUCCUCUCUCCAUGAACUCUAUUUUUUAAGUUAAAGGUGGGCGAGAGAUUAAAAUAGUUGAAGAAACCAAUUAGCUAGGUAUAAAAAUUGACUAAUAAAGGAUUGUAAUUAAAAGAUAUUUUAUCUUGGAUGGAUUAAUCUCACAAUAAUAAAAGCUUAGGUCUCUGUAACAUAUAAGUACGAUUAUAUAUGUUUAGAUAUCACUUUCUAUUUUUUGCAUUAACACCCUUUUUGAUUAAAAUUGCCUGGAAUGCUAUUUUGUAUGGAUGCACCUGCAUUUCUAUAUUGUAUGAAAGCAAGGUUGUUCCGUACUUCGUAUAUAUACUUUUCUAUCGACUUAAAUAAUCAAUCUUAUAAGUUUUCUAUCGACUUUUCUAUACAAAUCACUGAAUUUAAAAAGAUCUUUUAUUAAACUUAAACGUGUCUUAUCUUUGAAGUCAUUUUAUAGCUAAGUAUUGUGAUAUUUUUUACAUAUUAAUAAUACUUAGCUACAUAUGUUGUAUUUGAAAUUCUUUAAUUGGGUGUAAAUUAAUCUAUAGAUACUGCAUAUGCUUAGACAUAUAUAGGCCCUGGGGUAAAGUUUACUAUUUCCUUCUUUUAAUAUUGGAGAAAGAUACUAUUAGUAAUAUUCAAACUCUGAUUAACAUAGCCCAACACGUUAGCUUUAAUAGCAGUGCAAAGGCAAGCACCAGCUUCAAGAGCAACAAGAUUACCAAGAAGGCUGCAGCACUGUUGAUUUGGUGGGAUUUUAAUAAUCCCCAACACAUCGGCACAUGCCUUCAGCUUUAGGGCGUCAAUAGGGCAAGUGGCAGCGCUUACCAUAUUGAAGAAAAGAACGUUAAGGGAAAGAAGCAAGGCAAUUGAUGCUACAGCUCUUGAAGCCAUCUUGGAUUUUUUUUUUUUUUUUUUUUUUUCUUUUAGGAUAUAAAUAAGCUUUUGUUUUGAGGCUGAUGAGAAACGGUGAAGGGGUUUAAGGGUUUUUAUAGAGGGAGAUUAAGCCGAAGUUAAUGUUAAUUAAACAAAUCAAGAAUGUGAUCCAUGUGGGCAUUAUUGAACAAAAGUAGCUGGCAUGCGCAGUGAAGCAUAUAAGUUAUGUCUUAUAAUCAACAUAUGGGUGCACGUCGAUUAAUAUUGUAAUCUGUGGGUGCACCGAAUAAUCCCAUGAUCUUCAACUUCAGGGAUUAGUUUUUAAUUAUUGUUAGUAGCUCGUGGAAUUAUUGAUAAUUAUUGUUUAUGUGAAAAUAGAGUUCUGAACUCGGUCUUGACAAUCGUAUUUUUACAUUUUAGUUUGAAAGAUAAACAAUCAACCAAGCACUGCUGGAGACUAUAUAGAACGCAUUUUCAAUUUCACAAUUCUUUUUGUAUUCAUGAAAAGCUUCUAUAAUGAUGGUUAAUGGAGUUUAAACUCAAGUCUUUUCCUCUCUCCAUGAACUCUAUUUUUUAAGUUAAAGGUGGGCGAGAGAUUAAAAUAGUUGAAGAAACCAAUUAGCUAGGUAUAAAAAUUGACUAAUAAAGGAUUGUAAUUAAAAGAUAUUUUAUCUUGGAUGGAUUAAUCUCACAAUAAUAAAAGCUUAGGUCUCUGUAACAUAUAAGUACGAUUAUAUAUGUUUAGAUAUCACUUUCUAUUUUUUGCAUUAACACCCUUUUUGAUUAAAAUUGCCUGGAAUGCUAUUUUGUAUGGAUGCACCUGCAUUUCUAUAUUGUAUGAAAGCAAGGUUGUUCCGUACUUCGUAUAUAUACUUUUCUAUCGACUUAAAUAAUCAAUCUUAUAAGUUUUCUAUCGACUUUUCUAUACAAAUCACUGAAUUUAAAAAGAUCUUUUAUUAAACUUAAACGUGUCUUAUCUUUGAAGUCAUUUUAUAGCUAAGUAUUGUGAUAUUUUUUACAUAUUAAUAAUACUUAGCUACAUAUGUUGUAUUUGAAAUUCUUUAAUUGGGUGUAAAUUAAUCUAUAGAUACUGCAUAUGCUUAGACAUAUAUAGGCCCUGGGGUAAAGUUUACUAUUUCCUUCUUUUAAUAUUGGAGAAAGAUACUAUUAGUAAUAUUCAAACUCUGAUUAACAUUAACAAUAAGCCAUUAUUUGAUUUCUCAAAGAAAAUAGUUUAUUUUAUGAAAUGAAAAUACCUAAUCUUUACAAAAUUUUUGUAUCAUAAAUUUGAAAAAAAUAUCUCAUUAUGUAUAUAAAUUGACUAUUAUAUAUUUAAAAAAUUCACUAAUUUUAAAUUUGAACCAAAAUUAAAAUUAAGAAUAGCUAUUCUAUUUCUUUUUAUAGAUUGUCAAAAGUUCAGGAAUUAAUUAAUAUUUUCUUUUUAUAUGUUAUUACCACGUUAGUCGCGAGUAUAUAUUUAUUUUAUGUAAAGCUUAAUCUGUGUUUUAUCCUAAAUGCUUGGAAAACAAGUGUUUCUCAAAAGGCAGCACAACCAUUGCAUAUUCUUUUCAAAACAUCUUAUUAUUUCUUUAAACUCAGUAACAGUAAUUAAAUAAAAAUAUGUUUAAACUCAGUAACAGUAAUUAAAUAAAAAUAUGUUUAUUGAGUUUUUUUCUCUACAUAUGUUAUUUCUAUUUAAUUCUUAUAUAAAAAUUCUUCUUUGCUGAUAAAAAAAAAACAGUAAUUUGCCAAAAGAAUACAGAUUACAAUGGAAAAAGAAUACAAGCAACCUUCUCUGCAGUACAUAGCACCCAGAAAAUUAUUGAUUUACCCAAAAAAUAUCCCAAAUUAAUAAGCAAAAACCCACACCAUUAAUUAGGAAAAGAUAGAAACUGAAAGAAAUCAUGGACUACUAUAAUUUAAUUAAGGGCACUUGAAUCCUUUUGGAACCUUCUUCCCACAGUUGUUGAGGUACAAGCUCAAGUCAAGUGGAACAUUUAGGUUUAGGCCCAAAACGUUAGCUUUAAUGGCCGUGCAAAGGCAAGCAGCAGCUUCAAGAGCAACAAGAUUACCAAGAAGGCUACAGCAAGGUUGAUUUGGUGGGAUUUGAAUAAUCCCCAACACAUUGGCACAUACCUUCAGUUUUAAGGCAUCAAUAGGGCAAGUGCCAGUGGCAGCGCUUACCAUACUGAAGAAGAGAAGGUUAAGGGAAAGAAGUAAGGCAAUGGAAGCUGUAGCUCUUGAAGCCAUUUUGAGAAAAAAUAACAAUUUUUAUUUUAUUUUUUUGAGAUAUAGAGAAGCUUUUUGUUUUGUUUUGAGGGUGAUGAGAAAUGUUGAAGGGGCUUAAGGGUUUUUAUAGAGGGAGAUUAAGACUAGGUAAUUAAGAAUUAAGCAAAUCAAGGAUGUGAUGAUCCAUGUGGGCAUUAUUGAGCAAAAUAGCUGGCGUUUGGAGGGACAGUGAAGAAUAUAAUCCAUCUGGAUGCAUGUUGAUUAAUCGUGUAGCCACUGAAUUGAAUAUAUAAUCCCAUAUGACCUUCAAAUUGAGGAUUAGUUUUUAAUUAUUAUUAUUAGUUGCUCGUGGAAUUAGUGUUUAUUUUUUAAUUAUUAUUAAUUAACCGAAACUAACAUUUUCAUUUUCAUUUUUCGUAUAUAUGAGAGCUUCUAUGGUGGUGGUUAAUGGAGUAAUCCAUAUAGAACUUUUCACACAUAUACCUCCAACGACAUAUUUUCAACGACCAAUUGCGUAGAAGUAUUAAAAACCAAUUUUUGAACCAGGACCUCUCUUUCAAAACAUCGUCACGCAUAAGUAAUAAUUAAUUAAUUAAUUAAUUAUACAUUGGAGAUUUUACAUCCUUGACAAAUAUAAUGAUAUGAAUAUUGACUUUGGUUUUCAGUUUUCAAUUGAUUAUUGAGCUAGUGCAUAAAUUUACCAUAUAUUUUCGAUAAUUAUUUUUAUAGCCUAUUAAAUUUUACAGGAUUCAUUUACAUUUUUAUAUUUGAAUAAUAAUAACACUCCUCCCCAAAAUGAAAUAAUUUUGCAGAGAGUCAAUCAUAACUCUAUGCUUUCAUGUUUCAUUUCGGUGAGAGGCAUAAUUAUUAUUGAAAUAUGAAAAAAUUAAUCAAAAUUCAGGGUCAAAUUUCUGUAUUAAGCUAACGAUUAUUUUCAUUCAAAAUUUUCUCCACUGUUCACUAAGCUAUGUUAUGGCAUCAAAACUCAAUGAAAAUGUUAUGGUUGUAUUAUUACUCUAUCAGGGAUGGAGUUAGGAAUUAAAAUUAAGGAUAAAAAAAUUUUAUGAGUUAAAGAGGGUGAAAUUGAAAGAAAUUAUUAUUUUAAAGGGUAAAAUAAAAAAUUUCAAUAUUUAUGGAGGAUUCUUUUAAAAAAAUUUAGGGGGGUUGAGGGCCACCGCUGGCCCCCUAAGGACCUAGCUCCGUCAAUGACUCCAUUGAUUUCUUUCAUUCAAAAAAAAAAAAAGAAGCAAACCCAUAUUUGAGGCUGCCAAUCGUAAGGCCAAUAACAGUUCUAGCCACUUUGAUAUUGCACUGUUAGGCUUAGAUAAAGGCCCUGGUGGGGUAAAGUUAAUAUUGGAGAAAUAUAUUAUUAGUAACAUUCAAACUCUAACAUUAAUACUAAUCUCUUGUUUGGUUUCAGAAAUGGAAUAGUUUAUUUUAAGAAAUGAAAUACUUAUUCUCACUCCUUAAAAAACUUUUGUUUUUAUAAAUUUUUUAAAAAAUAUCUAUUUUUUGUAGACUAUUUUUUUUCUUAUAUAUAAUAGUUAUUUAACAUUUAAAUUUGAACUAAAAUCAAGAGUAUCUAUUCAUGGAAAUAACUAUUAUAUUUUAUAUUUCUUUUCGGUUCUGCAUGCCAUUGAUGAAUGGCACGAAAAUUAAACAACUUCAUUUUACUUUGAAUUAGUAGUUAAUAGUAAAUAGUUUAACAAUAUAGUGUAUCAACACUUUGAAUUAAUAAUAUUUAUUAAAUUGAUAAUAACUUCUAUAGUACGGAGAAAUCGAUUUGAGACCGCACAUUUUCUAAUUUUUUAUAAGAUGUGGAAAGAUUAAAUAAACCACAACUAAUUAACUUUUUUUUAUCUAUUAUUAUCACAUUAGUCCGUGAUAUAUUUAAUAUAUGCAGUACUAAGUAGUGCUCAGUGUUUUAUUUAAAUGUUUGAAAGCAUAAAAAAAAAACAUAACUGUUUGCAUGAAUUUGCGCAAUUGGUACCUUUCAAAAAAAAGAAUUUGCGUAAUUGUUUGUCGGUAGGCAACACAACACAUUGCUAGUAAUAUUUUCAAAACAUCUUAUUAUUACUUCAAAUUCAGUAAAAGUAAUAACAAUAAUCUGCCAAAAGAAUACAUAUUACAAUAAAGAAUAAGGCAAUAGAAACCUCUUUCUACAAUGAGCACAUAGCACCCAUAAAUUAUUGAUUUUCCCAAAAGAUAUUCCCAAACUAAUAAGCAAAAACACACACCAGAGAAGAUAGAAACUGAAAGAAAUAAUGGAGUACUAUAAUUUAAGGGCACUGGAAUCCUUUUGGAACCUUAUUCCCACAGUUGUUGAGGUACAAGCUCAAGUCAAGUGGAACAUUUAGGUUUAGCCCCAAGACAUUAGCUUUAAUGGCAGUGCAGAGGCAAGCAGCAGCUUCAAGAGCAACAAGAUUACCAAGAAGGCUACAGCAAGGUUGAUUUGGAGGGAUUUGAAUAAUCCCCAACACAUUGGCACAUACCUUCAGUUUUAGGGCAUCAAUAGGGCAAGUUGUCGCGCUUACCAUAUUGAAGAAGAGAAGGUUAAGGGAAAGAAGCAAGGCAAUGGAAGCUACACCUCUUGAAGCCAUCUUGGAAUUUUUUUUUUUUUUUUUUUUCUGAAGAUAUUAAUGAGCUAUUGUUUUGUUUUUGGGGUGAUGAGAAACGGUGAAGGGGUUAAAGGGUUUUUAUAGUGGGAGAUUAAGAGUAAGUUGAUAUUAAACAAAUCCCACGUGGACAUUAUUGAGCAAAAUAGCUGGCAUAUACAGUGAAUAAUAUAAAUGAUGGUUCUUUUUUUAUUAAAAUUUUCAAUAACUAAUCUAUCACGGGUGCACGUUGAUUAAGUUUGUAGCCUAUGGAGGCACGCAAUAAUUUUAAUUAUAUAGUUUUUAAUUAUUAUUAUUAUUAGUAGCUUGUGGAAUUAUUAGUGAUAAUUAUUUUAUUACAUAAUCCUUUCUUCGCUAUACGUUUUUACAUUUUAUUUAUAGAAUGGAAAGUAGCAUUUUCAAUUCCAUAAUUCUUUUCAUGUUCUUGAAACUUUUUUUUUUCAUAAUAGUUAAUAGAGUUUAACUUUAAGAUUUCUUAUUUCUCCGAACUUUUUUUAUUUAAGUUAAAGAUGAUAAAUUUAAAAUAAUCGAAUAAACCAAUUAAUUAUGCAUAAUUAGAUAAUUAGUUUCCUCUCAAUUUUUUCAAAUAAAGUGUAUAAUGUUUAAUUUUCUUAUCUAUUAUUAUUAUUAUUAUGAGAUUUUCCUUCAUCAAUUUAAUAAAAGUUAUAAAAACAGAAGACUAUAUUUUACUAUGUAACUUAUCCCAUUUAAUUUUUCCGUGGAGAGAAAAAAACUAUGCAAGAAUUAAAGGUAUAAUUUAUUAAAAAUCGAAGGUGGAAGUGUGAAUUUUAAAGGUUUGCAAAAAAGAAUUUUGCAAGUAAAAAAAAUAUUAAAAAUGAAUAUUCAGUAUUGCACCACUCUUAGCUUAAUAAAUGUGGGCUAGCCCAUGAUCUUCCAAAAUACAUGGGAAGAUACAAUUGAAAAUAAAAAAAGAACUUCCUUCUGUAAGAAAAUUCUACAAGCAUAUUAUAUUAUAUAAUACCAUGUUUAUUUAAAUCAUAUAUCAUGUAUUAUUUUAAAAUCCUUAUUAGACUAAUUCAAAAUUUAACAGCUAAAUCUUCAUGAGAUUUGUCAUCAAUUAAAAUAAUAUUUGAUAUUAAUGAAUGGUUAAUUGUUUAUUAUUAUACAUUAAGGAUGAUAAUCUCAGCGUUUGUCUGAAAUAGUUUUGUGAAUUGUAAGUGAGCCUUGCAGUGUGAUUGGGUUAUGAGUUGUGGGAUUAUGAGCCCUAUUUUGAUAGAGAUAAAAAUAAAUUAAUUAAAUUCUAAAGACUCUGAAUUGUAAUUGUGCUUAGCUAGUAAUUGUAAUUAGAGGCUAAAUAUUAUAAAUAUUGAUAUAAUAAUACGAUUGGUUUAUCUAGACAUAAUCUAUGGAUCUACUUAUGGACUAUACUAAUUAAAAAUGUAUUUUUAUUACAAUGAAUUCAUUUAUAGCCAUGCAGUGAAAGAAAAAAGGAUAAAAUAUGAAUAAUUUUUAAAAAAUUUUAUUUUAAUUAGUUUGAUCCAUGAGUGGGAGCAUAGAUCCUGUUUAGGCAAAUCUAAUAUGUCAUAUUGGAGAGGUAUUGAAGAUUAAAAUUAGAUAUUUCCCUUUUUAUCUUUCUUCUUCUCAAUUUCUCUCAAUUUCUAUUUCUCUUAUUUUCUUUCUUUUUCUAAUUUAAUAUGUUAGCAACACAGAAAAAUCUUACUUCUUUUCCCUCUUUUUCUUGAUGUAAAAAAUCGCUUACAUAGAAUAUAAAUCAUGCUAUUGGGUUUGGACUAUAUACAACUCGAGUAUGGUAGGAUCAUUGAAUGAAAAAAAAAUUCGAACCAUUCCAUCUAAAUUAAUGUUGCUAUCCUACUUAAAAAUUUAGAAAAAUGAAAAGUCAAAAAUCAUCAAUCACCGAUAUUUUUCAACUCAUCGUUAGCUCGAUUGUCGAUCAGGAAAAAUUUAAUUUAAAAUUCCAAGAUUGUCCGUUAGAAUUGAUAAUUUACACAAAUGAUAAUUAUUGAACAUAAUCUACGCAGGCAAAGUUACAUGUAAAUUCGUUUUCAGGAGGAAAAUGUUAAUGCAACACAAAAAUAAAAAUGAUUCAACUGGUGCAGCAUCCAUACAGUGUUUCACAGAGGGAAAAAAAUUGUUAUAAUUUUCUGUAAAGAUUACAUUGUUUUAAUAUACAAACUGCUUCUAACUAUCCACUAAUUACGGCUCUAAUUACUCCUAAAGUUCCACCUAACAUGAUUUUUACUUUUACUGUGUGUACAGGUUAGUGGACAGGGAAAUGAUGAACUAUGAUUCUGAUCCCUACUUUUUCUCUUCAUCCGACACUCCCCCUCAAGUUGAGUAGUGGGAUCUCCAAUACUUAACUUGUUCAAUACGUUAUGAAAGGAAUUUCCAUUAACUGCUUUUGUCAAAAUAUCUGCCAACUGGUCUUCAGAUCGAACAAACGGCAAUUCCACAAUUCCUGCUUCUAGUUUUUCUUUGAUGAAGUGUCUAUCAAUUUCAACGUGCUUGGUCCUAUCAUGUUGAACAGGAUUUUCUGAAAUGCUGAUCGCAGCUCUAUUAUCACACAUAAUUUUACUUGCUCCAGAUGGAGGAAAACCAAUCUCACUUAACAAUUUCCUUAGCCAAAGAAUUUCAGCUAGACCACGAGCUAUUCCUCGAAACUCUGCCUCUGCACUAGACAAUGCUACAACUUUCUGUUUCUUACUUCUCCAUGUGACUAAGUUUCCGCCAACAAAAGUGAAGUAGCCUGAAGUAGAUCUGCGAUCAACAUGACUACCUGCCCAAUCUGCAUCAGUAUAACCUUGUAUAUCCAAGUGCCCAUUCCGUUUAAACAGAAUUCCUUGACUAGACGUGCCCUUUAAGUACUUGAUGAUUCUUAACACUGCAUUCAUAUGAUCAGUUUGAGGUCUGUGCAUGAACUGACUUACUACUCCAACUGCAUAUGCUAUGUCUGGUCGAGUGUGUGAAAGAUAAAUUAAUUUUCCAACUAGUCGUUGAUACUUUUCUUUAUCAACCGAUUCUGCUCCUUCUACUAUCUGAAGUCCAUGAUUUGUUGCAAUAGGCGUGUCAGCUGGCUUGCAGUCAACCAUUCCUAUUUCUGCCAAGAAAUCCAGAGUAUACUUCUUUUGACAUAUAAAAAUUCCACUUGUUGAUCUCAAUACUUCAAUUCCAAGGAAGUACUUCAGUGCUCCUAAGUCUUUCAUUUCGAAUUCAGUGAAUAAGUUCCUUCUCAGUUUUGACAUUUCUUCAUCAUCAUUUCCUGUAAUAAUCAUAUCAUCAACGUAGAUAAUUAAACAAGUAAUAAGAUUACCCCUUUGCUUAAGGAAUAAUGUAUGAUCUGAAUUACUUUGUUUAAAAUCAUAUUUCUUCAUUACAAUUGUAAAUCUUCCAAACCAAGCUCUUGGAGACUGUUUAAGACCAUAAAGUGAUUUCUUCAAACGACAGACUUCUCCAGUUUUAAAUCCAUUUGUGAACCCUGGUGGUGCUUCCAUAUAAACUUCUUCUUUUAGAUCUCCGUGUAAAAAGGCAUUUUUUACAUCGAAUUGAUGGAGUGGCCAUCCUUUAUUAGCUGCUAUCGAGAAUAAUACUCUGAUCGUAUCAAUUUUAGCUACUGGAGAGAAGGUUUCUGAAUAGUCUAUACCAUACGUCUGUGUAUAUCCUUUUGCUACUAACCGAGCUUUAUACCUUUCAACAGUCCCAUCCAGUUUGUGUUUGAUCGUGAAAACCCAUUUUAUUUUAAUUAGUUUGNNNNNNNNNNNNNNNNNNNNNNNNNNNNNNNNNNNNNNNNNNNNNNNNNNNNNNNNNNNNNNNNNNNNNNNNNNNNNNNNNNNNNNNNNNNNNNNNNNNNNNNNNNNNNNNNNNNNNNNNNNNNNNNNNNNNNNNNNNNNNNNNNNNNNNNNNNNNNNNNNNNNNNNNNNNNNNNNNNNNNNNNNNNNNNNNNNNNNNNNNNNNNNNNNNNNNNNNNNNNNNNNNNNNNNNNNNNNNNNNNNNNNNNNNNNNNNNNNNNNNNNNNNNNNNNNNNNNNNNNNNNNNNNNNNNNNNNNNNNNNNNNNNNNNNNNNNNNNNNNNNNNNNNNNNNNNNNNNNNNNNNNNNNNNNNNNNNNNNNNNNNNNNNNNNNNNNNNNNNNNNNNNNNNNNNNNNNNNNNNNNNNNNNNNNNNNNNNNNNNNNNNNNNNNNNNNNNNNNNNNNNNNNNNNNNNNNNNNNNNNNNNNNNNNNNNNNNNNNNNNNNNNNNNNNNNNNNNNNNNNNNNNNNNNNNNNNNNNNNNNNNNNNNNNNNNNNNNNNNNNNNNNNNNNNNNNNNNNNNNNNNNNNNNNNNNNNNNNNNNNNNNNNNNNNNNNNNNNNNNNNNNNNNNNNNNNNNNNNNNNNNNNNNNNNNNNNNNNNNNNNNNNNNNNNNNNNNNNNNNNNNNNNNNNNNNNNNNNNNNNNNNNNNNNNNNNNNNNNNNNNNNNNNNNNNNNNNNNNNNNNNNNNNNNNNNNNNNNNNNNNNNNNNNNNNNNNNNNNNNNNNNNNNNNNNNNNNNNNNNNNNNNNNNNNNNNNNNNNNNNNNNNNNNNNNNNNNNNNNNNNNNNNNNNNNNNNNNNNNNNNNNNNNNNNNNNNNNNNNNNNNNNNNNNNNNNNNNNNNNNNNNNNNNNNNNNNNNNNNNNNNNNNNNNNNNNNNNNNNNNNNNNNNNNNNNNNNNNNNNNNNNNNNNNNNNNNNNNNNNNNNNNNNNNNNNNNNNNNNNNNNNNNNNNNNNNNNNNNNNNNNNNNNNNNNNNNNNNNNNNNNNNNNNNNNNNNNNNNNNNNNNNNNNNNNNNNNNNNNNNNNNNNNNNNNNNNNNNNNNNNNNNNNNNNNNNNNNNNNNNNNNNNNNNNNNNNNNNNNNNNNNNNNNNNNNNNNNNNNNNNNNNNNNNNNNACAGACUUAAAUAACCUAUGGAUGGAUGUCCCAGUCGUCGGUGCCAAAGCCAAGCUUCCCGUUCAGUAGUUCCGUGAGCCAGCAUUACAUUACCGUGUUGGGCCACUUCAUCCACAUAAUACAAUCCAUGAUGCUCAGUGCCACAUCCAAUAAUCUUCCCGCUCCUGAUAUCCUGUAAAAUACAAAAGGUAGGAUGCAUUAGUACAGUACAAUUUAAUUCCUUUGUCACAUGACUAAUCGACAACAAUUUAUGAGACAAUGAGGGAACAUAAAGACAAUUUGAUAUUUUUAAUGUCGGUGAAAUUUCAACAGAUCCUGCUCCUUCUACGGUUGCAGUGCUCCCAUUUGCAGUUUGGACAUGGGUUUUUUUUGGUUUUAAUGGUGCUAUUAUGUCAGCCGCCUCAAAAGUCAUUGUAUCAGUAGCACCACAGUCAAAAAUCCAGCGAUUAUCUUUUCUUGUCUGUUUAUUAUUAUUUUCAAAAGAUUUGGGGCAUUUCUCAUACUUUCCUUGGGGUUUUAUGUUAAAUGACCCCAUUCUUUUUCCUUCACCUUCUAGGGUUCCAUCUGCCCUUUCAUUUUGUGCCGCCACCAUCCCCAUCGCUCCUCUCUCAUUCUGACCUCCUUUGCUGUCGCCACCACUGCUGGCAGCCUCUAGGUUACCCACGGCGGCGGCUGCACUUGCGGCCUUCUGCUCCUCGUUNNNNNNNNNNNNNNNNNNNNNNNNNNNNNNNNNNNNNNNNNNNNNNNNNNNNNNNNNNNNNNNNNNNNNNNNNNNNNNNNNNNNNNNNNNNNNNNNNNNNNNNNNNNNNNNNNNNNNNNNNNNNNNNNNNNNNNNNNNNNNNNNNNNNNNNNNNNNNNNNNNNNNNNNNNNNNNNNNNNNNNNNNNNNNNNNNNNNNNNNNNNNNNNNNNNNNNNNNNNNNNNNNNNNUCUGCCGCCCCCGCUGCUGGCAGCCUCUAGGUUCCCCACGGCGGCGGCUGCUUUGCUGGUCUUUGUGCCCUUGUUUCGGUGAUUCUCGUUCCACCAUUCUGGAUAGCCAAUUAAUUCGAAGCAUUGAUCUUUUGUGUGUUUGCUCAUCCCACAAUAAGAGCACUUGAGUCUCGAUUUAUCUGGACGGGAUGAUGAACCAUCGUUUCUUGGUUCUGACCGCCGCUGGCCACGCGCGACGAGUCCUACACCAGUUGCUUCACUUGCUUCUUUCUUCCCGAUGAUGACAAAUCCGUCGCCUAUGCCCUGUGAUAGCGAUUCUCUGUUAGCUGGUCCCAUGAUGUUCAAUCGGGCGGCUUCUUUCUGAAUAGAGGCGUAGGCGGCUUCAGCUGAGGGAAGAUGCUCCGAUCUGAGGAUUUCCCUUUUGAUCUGAUCGUCCAUUAAUGAGUUUUUUAGAUAAUUAUUUGAUGUAUCGCUAGGAUCAAAAUCUAAAAUUGAGAGACCAAAGAAAAAUUUUUAAGAAUUAAGAGUUUAAUAAACUCUUUUUUCACUAUUUUAAUUAUAAAGUAAUUCUAAAAAAUUCAAUUAUUCAUUAUUUAAUUGUUAGAGUUCAAUUAUCAUAAUCAUUUUGGUUUAACUAAAUCUUGGCUUGGAUACUGAGAUUCUAACAAUUUUGUUUUCUAUUUUAAUUAAGUAUAUUAAUUGUCUUUCGUCACAUGCCGAUGUAAAUUUGAUGAUGAAAACAGGAUGCCAAAUUCUGUUUGAAUGAGAUUGUGAUGGGUGCAUGAACAGUGAUCUUUUGAAUAUAUCAGCACGGCCUCGUUUAUAGAAUUCGAUUCGAUUUGUUUGGAUUAUAUUAUAUGUUAUAUAUUCUUUCUUUUCCGUGAUUCUUCUUUAUCAGUAGUAUAACUUUUGUUAGAUGUAUGAUUUUUUUUUUUUUUUUUUUGCUAGUUAGGUAAUUUGAUGAUAUACCAAAAACGAAUAUUUCUUUUUAAUUUGUAUCAUGAGAUUCGAAAACUGUUUCACAGAGGGAAAAAUUGUUCUUCUUUUUCUGUAAAGAUUACAUUGUUUUAAUAUACAAACUGCUUCUAACUAUCCACUAAUUACGGCUCUAAUUACUCCUAAAGUUCCACCUAACAUGAUUUUUACUUUUAUUGUGUGUACAGGUUAGUGGACAGGGAAAUGAUGAACUAUGAUUCUGAUCCCUACUUUUUCUCUUCAUCCGACAUACAGAACAGAUCAAAUGAAAGGAAAACUGAGUCUUAUUGCCACAUCUUACUUAUUGUUCAAUAAUACAAAUAAGGAGGAGGCAUCCAUAGAAGGCCUUCUCCAUGCAUGACAGUAACUAAUAAAUAGUAACAUUGAAAUUAUUUAUUUAGUAUAAAUAUACCAAAUUAAUUAACUAAUAAAAUGGACUUAAGGACACUGGAGUCCUCCUGGAGCGUUCAGGCCGCAAUUGUUGAGGUACAAGCUCAGGUCAAGAGGAAUAUUUAGGUUUAGGCCCAAAAUAUUAGCUUUAAUGGCGGUGCAAAGGCAAACACCAGCUUCAAGAGCAACAAGAUUACCAAGAAGGCUACAACAAGGUUCAUUUGGUGGGAUUUGAAUAAUCCCCAGCACAUUGGCACAUACCUUCAGUUGUAGGGCGUCAAUAGGGCAAGUGGUAGCGCUCACCAUACUGAAGAAAACAAGGUUAAGUGAAAGAAGCAAGGCAAUGGAAGCUGUAGCUCUGGAAGCCAUCUUGGAAUUUUUUAAAAAAAAAUAUAAAUAAGCUUUUUGUUUGGUUUUGAGGCUGAUGAGAAAUGGUGAAGUUAUUUAAGGGUUUAUAUAGAGGGAGAUUAAGAUUAAACAAAUCAAGAACGUAAUCCAUGUGGGCGGUAUCGGCAUGUGCAGUGAAGAACGAAAUGAAGCUUCUUCUUCUUUUUUUUUUUUUUUUUCUUCUUCUUCUUCUUCAAUAAAAUCUUGAAUCUUAUAAUCCACGUAAGGGUGCACGUUGAUUAAUUGUGUAGAUGGAGAUUGGGCACUGAUUAAUUACCCUUCCUAUAUAUAUAUAUAUAUAUAUAUAAUCACCACGUUCUCCACAUCAAAAUAUUUUUGUAUUUCCCUCAAAAAAAAUAAUUGUUUUGCAUCCAUUUUCUUUUUAAAAAUAACAAGCUGGGUUUUGAGGACAGCAAGUUUGAUGCCAAGAAAGUAGCAGCACUAAGAGGGUCGGAUGCUUCUCUAAUUUGGUGAUGGUCAAGAUGAACUAUAUAGAAUAUCUUACUCUAAACGUGUUUUAUUAUAUGACCUGCUAUCUUGUAGAUGAGAUCCUUCAAUCUUGGCAAUCCAAAGUGCAAAAUAUUUUAAAUAUCUCAUGCGAAUCAAAAGUUAAGAGUAUAAAAAUUCUACAAACUACCUAAAUAUAGAUUUGAAUAGAAAAUAAAUACAAACUUGCUUAAACAAUAUAAAAAAUCUUUAUUAGAUUCUUUUAUAUUGAGAGUGAGAGAGUGAGAAGUCUUAUGUUCAACUCUUUCAAUUGUAAGAGGUUUUACCUUUUUAAUAAAUAAAGAGAAUACUUUACAAUACUAUUCCAAUCUACUACAACUCCUAGUAAAUAAAAGAAAAAAAAAAAAGUUACUAAUGGGCCUCAGUGUGGAAGGUCAGAGACAAGAGCCGCCCAAUAAGUGUUUUGCGUUUGUUUUAGUGAGAGGAUGAAGAUCGAUUGGUCUAUCAUUAGGUCUUAGAUGUUUUAAGGAGAAUUAAGCUUCUGGAUGAUGGGCCUAUUUCUUAACCAGUCUUUGCAAAUAAGAGAUAAAUUGUAAUUGAUGAAUCAAAAAAGUUGUUUAUUCCAAUGCCAUGAGACAGUUUACAAUUUAUUUAUAUGAGGCAGCACAAAUUGACAUGCCCUUUGAAAACCAACUAAGAAAUAUAUGAAAAAUAUUAGUUGCCUCUAAGAAUGCCAUUCUUGUGAUAAACUGAAGAACCUUCAAAUUUGGGUGUUUUCUGAGUCUUGGUCAUGGAGUGCGGAGAAGAAUAAGUUGCUCCCGGAAGUAUAUUGUAUACAACCAAUGGACUUCUGACCACAUAAGUCCCGUCUUUCCAUAUUAUUGCACCUGAACUGAUUGGUUGUUGGGAGAUCUUUGGUCCAUACACCUUAACUGUAAAUGUUUUGGUCUCUCCAAUGGCAGAGAAUGACAGGACAGAUGGCUCUACCGUAACACUGACAGAGUGUGGCACAUACACGCUCACAAUGUAGGUUGAAUUUGGUUUGCCAACAUUUGUAACUGUUCUUGUAAACACUCCCUGAAUUGGUUGCCCAUCUUCAAUUGCAAGUGCGAAAGUUGGGUAGUUAAGAUCCCAAGCUCUUCCAGGCUUUAUGCUGUUGCAAACGCUACUGUUAUCGCCUGUGAUUAGUCUUAGAGUUGUAGUAUUAUAACCUUGUUUGCAGAGGAAGUUAAUGUAAUCUGCUUCAGUUGCAUCAUAAACUAGUCCAGGGUCUGUUGCUUCCAAUGGAUUGAUGUGGCCAGAUCCGUAAGCGAAUUCCAAGUCUGGGUGCUUUCUUGCGUCCAUGAUAUUAGCUAUUCAAUAUGAAAUGAUAUAAAUUGAUAAGUUUUCAAACAAUCAUAAUUAGUUAAAGGCUUCUAAUCGAGUUCAUAAUUAUAGAUAUGUCUAUUUUCUUUAAAGACUUCUCUUUAUGACCUGUUGUCAUGAGGGCAGAUUUAACGGCAGCAGGAGACCAAUCAGGAUGAGCAGCCUUGACAUAAGCAGCAGCAGCACUAGCGUGCGGGCAAGACAUGGAAGUUCCUGAAAUUAUGUUGAAGUUUACACUCCUACUGUCGCCCCAGGAGAUAGAUGGUGGUGAUACAGGAGACCAAGCAGCAAGAAUGUCCACACCAGGGGCAGUCAGAUCAGGCUGUGUAUCGAUCAUCGGCCAUGUAAAAUGUCAACAAAAUUCCUCCAACGAAUAUACUAUUAUUUGUGCUAUAUAUUAAUGUUCACCUUGAGAAUAUCAGGGCUGAUAGGGUUGGGUCCUCUGGAAGAGAAUGAUACAACAGAAGGUGCCAUCACAUCCUUCCAAGUCUCACUAACCAAAAUAGUUGCAAGUGGAUACCUGGAAAAAAGAAAAGGUAUGUAUAUGUUUAGUUUUGCUAAAUUAGUGAAAUUGAUGAGAAAUAGUGCAUGAGAUCAAAUAAAUAAAAGAACAUAUAAUUUUACUCUGUGGAUUUGAUGUAAUCCAAAAUUUGUUGGCCAGCUUCUGUGGUGAUUACUGUUGCGGGUAAAGCAUAACUAAAGGCAAAAUCUUUGCUAUAUUCAGAAUCGGCCAUAAUAGCACCCACUCCAUUAGCCAAUAAAAUACCAGAACCAUCCCAAAUUGUUUCGCAGAAAACAAUCUUUCCUGAUACAAUGUAAGAAUUCAAGGCACCAGUGAAACAAUAUCUUGCGAUGUCAGGAUCAGCCCCUGCAGAAUAAUUUGCUGCAUCUCCUCCCCAAAUCAAUGGAUAUGUCCCGUCGAGCACAAAACUGUUAAUGGAGAGCCCCUAAUUUUUACAUUUAUGGAAGAAUGAAAUUAUUUAAUAAAAACUAAAUAAUAACAACUGAAAGAAAUAUCACUAAUAAAUAUAAACUCACAUUAAAGACUUGUCCAUUGCCAAGAACAACUUGUGCAACAAAUUUCCUAUCGAUGGUACUAGCAGCAACAGUCAAAGUCCAGGGAGCAAAAUUGGAGACAGAAUAAGGACCGGGACCGGAAUUUCCAGCAGAAUUUGAUGUUAGUAUGCCAUAUCUCAUUGCAUGGAAGGAACCAAUAGCAAUUGGGUCUUCCACAUAUGGGAAAGGCAAAGGAGCACCGAGAGAUACUGAUAAAAUGUCAACACCAUCAGCUAUGGCAUCAUCAAAUGCUGCAAGAAUAUCUGCAGUAGCACAUCCAAAUGACCAACAAACUUUGUAGACUGCAAUUCUUGCAAAUGGAACUCCACCUCUCGCUACUCCUUCAGCCAACCCAAAGUAGCUUGCCCCUUCGACCUUCCGACCUGCUGCAGUUGAAGCUGUAUGCGUUCCAUGACCUUCAGAAUCUCUUGGAGAUUUGAAGUCAGUUUCAAAAUACCAAUUCUCGCUGUUGUAGUACCUCGCUCCAAUAAUCUUGCUGCAAUAGUUUUUUUUUAUUUUUAAUUAUUUUCAUCAAUUUUAAAGCUGAGGUGAGAUUUAUGUGAGGAAAGCUCACUUGUUACAAGUGAAGUUGCCAUUUCCUUGGCAAAUUCCUUUCCAUUUGGAUGGUGCGGGACCCAUUCCUGUAUCGUUGAAGCUCUCAGAUUCUGGCCAUACUCCUGGAUUUACAUAGAAAAACUUGAAAUUAGAAUACUCCUGAUCAUGAUAUGAGAAAGUAUAAUUAAUUUAUUUUAAAACUUAAAAAUAAAAAAUAAAACCUGUGUCAAGAAAACCGAUAAUGACAUUCCCUUGUUGAGCACCAGAAAGUUUGCUUUUGGAGAAACCCAUGAAGUCCCAUGACCUUGUUGUGUGGAUCUUUAAUAUGUGAUUUGGUAUCACUGAUAUGACACCAUCCAUUUCUGCAACCAAUUUUUCAAUUGUCUUAUAUUUAGUUAGUUAUAAUAUAAAAAAUUAAUUAACGUAUGACAAGCUUAAUUAAUUGUAUGCUUUGUCCUUAAUUAAAUACUUAUUUAAUAAUAAACUCCAACCUGAGAGUCUUUCCACUUCUUCAUCAGAUAAUCUAGCUGCAAAUCCAUUGAAACUCCUCCCAUAACUAUAGAUUAAUGACU
This 367184-nucleotide long non-coding RNA is filed under the name Jatropha curcas. Its description in RNAcentral is "long non-coding RNA (JCUR_LNC002862)". The stretch from base 225175 to 225245 matches the Rfam family "tRNA". The record is from RNAcentral. Lineage: Eukaryota; Viridiplantae; Streptophyta; Magnoliopsida; Malpighiales; Euphorbiaceae.